UGGCUUCUCCUUGUUGGGUGUAUCUACUUUUUCUUUUGGCUUCUUCUCCGCAGCGGUGUAUCCAGAGGCGUCGUUCUUUCCUUUGGACUUCUUCUCAUUUUUACUUUUCGGUUUCUUCUCGAUGGUGGAAGGCUGGGAGGGCUCACUCUUUCUUUUGGAUUUCUUCUCGGAGGCCACUUCAGCUUUCUCUCCUCAGCAGCCUUGCUGCCGUCUUCGGGGUUCUUCUUCUUGCCUGCAUAGCCAGAGGCACUUACCGGUUUCUUCUCCGCAUCAACAUUCUUGGGGGCGACGUCAGGUUUUGUCUCCGCGCUGGAGGAGACGUCGGAUCCGGAGACAGCAUCUGGUUUCUUCUCAACAUCAGCGGAGAUGGCUUCGGGUUUCUUCUCAGCACUGGCCGAGACAGCUUCGGGUUUCUUCUCAAUACCGGCGGUGUAUCCGCCAGUAGCUUCAGAUUUCUUCACUCCACCGCCAUAGUCAAGAUCGCCAUGGGCCGAUGCUAGGGGGCUGAUGGAGGCAACAACGAGGAAGAGCAGAAGGGAUAGAGCAAGCUGGGCCCUCAUGAUUAUCAAUCAACCCGAUGAAUAGUGGUGGUGCGAUGAAAUGUCUGCAGGAGGAAGUCGGGAGGUAUUUGAAUGGCGAGGGAGGGAGGGAAGGAGAGGAGAGAUGGUUCUGGUGGGUCUUGUGCGUUUCUCCUUGAACCGCUAAUCUCGUCCUGUAAAACCAUGCGCCCGCCGUGAAGAAUGGAGCCCGAAGAGAAGCCAGUAACUUUACUAAAUAAGGUCUAAUCCUGUUUUGUCUACAUCUUUUCUGGAUGAUGUUUACAAAAUAGGCAGCAUGCAUGCAUGCAACUUCCUUUUCCUUUUUCUUUUUUCUUUUUUUGAGAGACUUGGUUUUCUCAAUAACAUGUGGGCGCAGACCCGAGCUAUCGACCUUGGUAGACGCAAAUAAGAUUACUCAUCUAGCAAUUCAGACAUGUUGCAAAAAAAAAAUGCUUUCACGCAUCUACAAAAAUUUACCAUGUUAUAGUCGUCUUUGCAAUGGACGAUACGACAUUAUUGCGGACAACAAAACCUGUGGCAUGUGCUCCUCGAUACACCAUUGAUCUCCCAUUCCUGACAAGAACAAACAUCGCUCAGCCCUCAUGAUUCCACUGCCCUUGUUGCAACACCGCCACACGGCUUGCAUAGCACAAUGCAGUCGCAGCACCAUCUUUCCCAGUGCUGCCACAAUUAAACUAGAUAGACGCAAGUUUAGUGUUCAUUAGAUACGACAAAAAAUCAUAAAACUUACAUGUGACAGUUAAAAAGGAGAGCAAGCGUUAGUUUCCAUGGACGAAACUGGUCGUGACAAAGCCUAUCAGGCAUCUCAACACCUUCUCUGUGGUGGUGUUAUCUUUGGGAUAUUCAAGAGUCACUGGUUCCAGGAUCCAGACAUGACAAACAACAACUAGUAUGGGACUGCGGGAGCUGGACUUGCCAUUUUUGUUAAAAAAAUGCCUCAUCCUGUAUGUAACAUUCACGAAAAUACAUUUCAGUUAUAUGUGAACCAGAAUAUUCUUGCCUACACGUCUACACCUACUCAAUAUAUACGAUUUUAUGGGGUACCUUUCAAGUGUACCAAAAAAGUUCUUUGUUAUACUCUUUGUGAAGAAAUUAAUAUAGCUCCAAUGUCCAAGCCUCCAUCAGCGAAUAUAAAGCUUAAAAUUUGAGAGGGAUGGGAUACAUACCUGGUUUGCCCGCUCUAAAAUUUGAUGGUAAUGGGGCACAAACUACAUCGCCCUCUUCAAAGAAACCUUCCUUGAAUGCUCGGAUCAGGAAACUAAAUUUAACAAGUAGUACAAUUUUGUCUUCAGCUGAUCAGCAGUUCCAGCUCCUCUGUUUGGUAGGAACAAUGCUCGAUAUUCAGAAUCUUCUACAGUUUUGACAAAGAUUCAGAAUAUAUGUACUUAUCUUGCACAAUUUUGUCAAAUACAGCUUGUUGUGUAGAUAUUAAUAAUAUCUCCAUGGUUAUCACUUAGAGCAUUUUUAACCGAUCCCCAAUAAAUAGUGGAGUAUCAGGUGGAGUAAACCCUUAGUGGAGUAAAUUUACUACACUAAUUUUAGCCGGACCUAGCCGAUCCCCUAUAUAUAACGGCGUAAAGUUUUUCCAUUUGUUUUUCAUUUUCAGCCAUUGAAACACAUUUCUUUGUUUCUUUAUUUCAUUGAACGGCAUUUUGAUACUUUGGAGUACAUUAUAUAUUCACAUAUUCUUGGCUACGAGAGUAAGACCAAGGAAAAUAGGAACCACAAUUAAACAUUUUAAAAGAUAUCCAAUUUCUAUAACUUCUCCUACUAGUUGGAUUAAUAUCUUCUCUAUGUUUUCAUUGUUGAUCUGUAACUUCUCGAGCUUGCACACUUCUUUCUUUCUACUUUGAUUUCGAAGAAGUAGACGUUGCUUCGCAUGUAGUCUCAUAUCUUGACUCUAUUCUUGCAAUCAGUGCACGAGCAUCUUCAAUUUUCAUGUUAUCAAUAGAUCGAUGUAAUCUUCUUAUCAAUACUAAAUCUUGCAUCCAUCCUACACAUAAAUUAGAGUAAACAAUGAGCUACCGAAAUUGUACCGAAUCCGGUGAACAACCGAAUGAAAAGACUCAUAUACGCCAUCUUUCUUGCACUUGAACAACACCCACCCGGGAUGUUCCGGCAUGGUAGAAACUUGGCGCACGACCUGCCGCGGGCAAUCGUCACAUUUUAUGAGCGACAACUGUGGGCCAACGAGUCGUUUGGCCAGCGCCGAGCCUAGGCAACGACCUUGUGUGUCUUCGCGGUGAACCGCUGACGGGAGAGAUCCGAGCGCUAGAGGCGGAAUCAAUACCUGCAUGCGAUGUGGAGCAUUGUCGGGGCUGUGUGGCCUGGUACCCGGCAAAUCCAUGGCAAGGCGCAGUCGCCGGAUGCGGAAGCCGCAGAUCUACCGGUUGUGCGCCGGCAACGGGGCGAGAGGGCACAAAUCCGGGUGGUUAAGGACCGCGGCGGCAUGCAGUAACUGGCGGGGGGGAAGGGGGGGGGGUGUGAGGGGCUUCGCCUGCGAAGUUGUGGCGUGGGGGAGGCAGCGGAGGAGAGUGGACUUUUUACUCAAGCGUCGAUAGGUGGAGUAAAUAUAGGGAGGCCGGGCGCGGCUGAGGAUAAUUAUCCUCCACUACAGCGAAUUUUUACUCUUCUAACUGAUUAUAGGGGAUCGGUUAGAAAUGCACUUACUCUAUUGUUCAUCCUUAGUUUUUGUAUGACACAAAACAGAUAAAGGGAGGAAGAAAAUGUUGGAAAUAUGCCCUAGAGGCAAUAAUAAAAGUAUUAUUAUAUUUCUAUGUUCAUGAUAAUUGUCUUUUAUUCAUGCUAUAACUGUAUUAUCCGGAAAUCAUAAUACACGUGUGAAUACAAAGAUCACAAUAUGUCCCUAGUGAGCCUCUAGUUGACUAGCUCGUUGUGAUCAACAGAUAGUCAUGGUUUCCUGGCUAUGGACAUUGGAUGUCGUUGAUAACGGGAUCACAUCAUUAGGAGAAUGAUGUGAUGGACAAGACCCAAUCCUAAGCAUAGCACAAAGAUCGUGUAGUUCGUUUGCUAGAGCUUUGCCAAUGUCAAGUAUCCCUUCCUUUGACCAUGAGAGCGUGUAACUCCUGGAUACCGUAGGAGUGCUUUGGGUGUAUCAAACGUCACAACGUAACUGGGUGACUAUAAAGGUGCACUACAGGUAUCUCCGAAAGUAUCUAUUGUUUUAUGCGGAUCGAGACUGGGAUUUGUCACUCCGUAUGACGGAGAGGUAUCUCUGGGCCCACUCAGUAAUGCAUCAUCAUAAUGAGCUCAAGAUGACCAAGGUGUUGGCCGCGGGAUCAUGCAUUACGGUACGAGUAAAGUGACUUGCCGGUAACGAGACUGAACAAGGUAUUGGGAUACCGACGAUCGAGUCUCGGGCAAGUAACGUACCAAUUGACAAAGGGAAUUGUAUACAGGGUUUGAUCGAAUCCUCGACAUCGUGGUUCAACCGAUGAUAUCAUCGAGGAGCAUGUGGGAGCCAACAUGGGUAUCCAGACCCCGCUGUUGGUUAUUGCCCGAGAGUGGUCUCGGUCAUGUCUGCAUGUCUCCCGAGCCCGUAGGGUCUACACACUUAAGGUUCGGUGACGCUAGGGUUGUUAGGAAGACUAGUAUGUGACUACCGAAUGUUGUUCGGAGUCCCGGAUGAGAUCCCGGACGUCACGAGGAGUUCCGGAAUGGUCCGGAGGUAAAUUUUUAUAUAUGGGAAGUUGUUAAACGGGCACCGGAAAGUUUCGGGGUCAUACCGGUAUUGUACCGGGACCACCGGAAGGAAUCCGGGGGUCCACCGGGAGGGGCCACCCCUCCCGGGGGGCCACUUGGGCUGCGUGGGGAUUGCAGCCAGCCCCUAGUGGGCUUGGCGCGCCCCCCCUCCUUGGGCCCUUGCGCCUAGGGGUGGGGGGGAAACCCUAAAGGGGGCGCACCCCCCUUGCUUGGGGGCAAGCCCCCCACCCCUUGGCUGCCGCCCCCCCUUAGGGUUUUCCCUAGAGGGCCGGUCCCCCUUGCCCUUUCCCCUAUAUAUAGAGGGGUGAUGGGAGGGCUGCAAGACACCAUAACUCAAGGCGCAGCCCCUCCCCUCCCCAACACAUCUCCUCCUCCGUACGUGCUUGGCGAAGCCCUGUCGGAAUACUGCCGCGUCAACUGCACCACGCCGUCGUGCUGCCGUUGGAGCUGCCUUCCUCAACCUCUCCUUCCUCCUUGCUGGAUCAAGACGGAGGAGACGUCUCCCGUCCCGUACGUGUGUUGAACGCGGAGGUGCUGUCCGUUCAGCACUAGGACAUCGGUGAUCCGAAUCACGUUCGAGUACGAUUCCAUCAUCACCAUCUCCUUGGCAAGCUUCCGCUCGUGAUCUACAAGUGGUAUGUAGAUGCAAACUCUCUCCCUUGACUCGUUGCUUAGAUGAACUCAUAGAUGGAUCUUGGUGAAACCGUAGGAAAAAUUUUAAAUUUCUGCAACGUUCCCCAACAGUGGCAUCAUGAGCCAGGUCUAUGCGUAGUUCUUUUUGCACGAGUAGAACACAAUUUUUUUGUGGGCGUGGAUUUUGUCAUGUUGCUUGCCUCUACUAGUCUUUUCUUGCUUCAGCGGUAUUGUGGGAUGAAGCGGCCCGGACCAACCUUACACGUACGCUUACGUGAGACCGGUUCCACCGAUUAACAUGCACUAGUUGCAUAAGGUGGCUGGCGGGUGUCUGUCUCUCCCACUUUAGUUGGAGCGGAUUCGAUGAAAAGGGCCCUUAUGAAGGGUAAAUAGAAGUUGACAAAAUCACGUUGUGGUUAUUCGUAGGUAAGAAAACGUUCUUGCUAGAACCCAAUUGCAGCCACGACAAAGAUGCAACAACAAUUAGAGGACGUCUAACUUGUUUUUGCAGCGAUUGAUCAAGUGAUGUGAUAUGGCCAGAAGUUGUGAUGAAUGAUGAAUUGUGAUGUAUGAGAUCAUGUUCUUUGUAAUAGGAUUCACGACUUGCAUGUCAAUGAGUAUGACAACCGGCAGGAGCCAUAGGAGUUGUCUUUAUUUUUGUAUGACCUGCGUGUCAUUGAAGAACGCCAUGUAACUUACUUUACUUCAUUGCUAAACACGUUAGUCAUAGAAGUAGAAGUAGUCGUUGGCGUGACAACUUCAUGAAGACACGAUGAUGGAGAUCAUGAUGAUGGAGAUCAUGGUGUCAAGCCGGUGACAAGAUGAUCAUGGAGCCCCGAAGAUGGAGAUCAAUGGAGCUAUAUGAUAUUGGCCAUAUCAUGUCACAACUAUAUAAUUGCAUGUGAUGUUUAUUAUGUUUAUGCAUCUUGUUUACUUAGGAUGACGGUAGUAAAUAAGAUGAUCCCUUACAAAAAUUUCAAGAAGUGUUCUCCCCUAACUGUGCACCAUUGCUACAGUUCGUCGCUUCUAAGCACCACGUGAUGAUCGGGUGUGAUGGAUUCUUACGUUCACAUACAACGGGUGUAAGACAGUUUUACACAGCGAAAACACUUAGGGUUAACUUGACGAGCCUAGCAUGUGCAGACAUGGCCUCGGAACACGGAGACCGAAAGGUCGAACACGAGUCGUAUGAAAGAUACGAUCAACAUGAGAAUGUUCACCGAUGAUGACUAGUCCGUCUCACGUGAUGAUCGGACACGGGCUAGUCGACUCGGAUCGUGUAACACUUAGAUGACUAGAGGGAUGUCUAAUCUAAGUGGGAGUUCAUAAUUUGAUUAGAACUUAAUUAUCAUGAACUUAGUCUAAAACCUUUGCAAAUAUGUCUUGUAGAUCAAAUGGCCAACGCUCAUGUCAACAUGAACUUCAACGCGUUCCUAGAGAAAACCAAGCUGAAAGAUGAUGGCAGCAACUAUAUGGACUGGGUCCGGAACCUGAGGAUCAUCCUCAUAGCUGCCAGGAAAUAAUAUGUCCUAGAAGGACCGCUAGGUGACGCUCCCGUCCCAGAGAACCAAGACAUUAUGAAUGCUUGGCAAACUCGUGCUGAUGAUUACUCCCUCGUUCAGUGCGGCAUGCUUUACAGCUUAGAACCGGGGCUCCAAAAGCGUUUUGAGCAUCACGGAGCAUAUGAGAUGUUCGAAGAGCUGAAACUAGUUUUCCAAGCUCACGCCCGGGUCGAGAGAUAUGAUGUCUCCGACAAGUUCUACAGUUGUAAGAUGGAGGAAAACAGUUCUGUCAGUGAACACACCCUGAAGAUGUCUGGGUUACACAACCGUAUGACCCAGCUGAAUAUUAACCUCCCAGAUGAGGCGGUCAUUGACAGAAUCCUCCAGUCGCUCCCACCAAGCUACAAGAGCUUUGUGAUGAACUACAAUAUGCAGGGGAUGGUAAAGACCAUUCCUGAAGUAUUUUCUAUGCUGAAGUCAGCAGAGGUUGAAAUCAAGAAAGAACAUCAAGUGUUGAUGGUCAAUAAGACCACUAAGUUCAAGAAGGGCAAGGGUAAGAAGAACUUCAAGAAGGACGGCAAGGAGGUUGCCGCGCCCGGUAAGCCAGUUGCCGGGAAGAAGUCAAAGAAUGGACCCAAGCCUGAGACUGAGUGCUUUUAUUGCAAGGGGAAGGGUCACUGGAAGCGGAACUGCCCCAAAUACUUAGCGGAUAAGAAGGCCGGCAACACCAAAGGUAUAUUUGAUAUACAUGUAAUUGAUGUGUACCUUACCAGUACUCGUAGUAACUCCUGGGUAUUUGAUACCGGUGCCGUUGCUCAUAUUUGUAACUCACAACAGGAGCUGCGGAAUAAACGGAGACUGGCGAAGGACGAGGUGACGAUGCGCGUCGGGAAUGGUUCCAGAGUCGAUGCGAUCGCCGUUGGCACGCUGCCUCUACAUUUACCUAUGGGAUUAGUUUUGAACCUCAAUAAUUGUUAUUUAGUGCCAAGUUUGAGCAUGAACAUUGUAUCUGUAUCUCGGUUAAUAUGAGAUGGCUACUCAUUUAAAUCUGAGAAUAAUGGUUGUUCGAUUUAUAUGAGAGAUAUGUUUUAUGGUCAUGCUCCGAUGGUCAAUGGUUUAUUCUUAAUGAAUCUCGAGCGUAAUAUUACACAUGUUCAUAGUGUAGAUGCCAAAAGAUGUAAAGUUGAUAACGAUAGUCCCACAUACUUGUGGCACUGCCGCCUUGGUCACAUUGGUGUCAAGCGCAUGAAGAAGCUCCAUGCUGAUGGACUUUUGGAGUCUCUUGAUUAUGAAUCGUUUGACACAUGCGAACCAUGUCUCAUGGGCAAAAUGACCAAGACUCAGUUCUCCGAAACAAUGGAGCGAGCAACCAACUUGUUGGAAAUCAUACAUACCGAUGUGUGCGGUCCAAUGAGCGUCGAGGCUCGCGGAGGAUAUCGUUAUGUUCUCACUCUAACUGAUGACUUAAGUAGAUAUGGGUAUGUCUACUUAAUGAAACACAAAUCUGAGACCUUUGAAAAGUUCAAGGAAUUUCAGAAUGAGGUGGAGAAUCAACGUGACCGAAAGAUAAAGUUCCUACGAUCAGAUCGUGGAGGAGAAUACUUAAGUCACGAAUUUGGCACACACUUAAGGAAAUAUGGAAUCAUUUCACAACUCACGCCGCCUGGAACACCUCAGCGAAACGGUGUGUCCGAACGUCGUAAUCGCACUCUAUUGGAUAUGGUGCGGUCUAUGAUGUCUCUUACCGAUUUACCGCUAUCAUUUUGGGGAUACGCUCUAGAGACAGCUACAUUCACUUUAAAUAGGGCACCGUCUAAAUCCGUUGAGACGACACCGUAUGAAUUAUGGUUUGGGAAGAAACCUAAGCUGUCGUUUCUAAAAGUUUGGGGAUGCGAUGCUUAUGUCAAGAAACUUCAACCUGAAAAGCUCGAACCCAAGUCAGAAAAAUGCGUCUUCAUAGGAUACCCUAAGGAAACUGUAGGGUAUACCUUCUACUUAAGAUCCGAAGGCAAGAUCUUUGUUGCCAAAAACGGAUGCUUUCUGGAAAAAGAGUUUCUCUCGAAAGAAGUAAGUGGGAGGAAAGUAGAACUCGAUGAAGUACUACCUCUCGAACGGGAGAGUGGUGCAGCUCAGGAAAAUGUUCCUAUGAUGCCCACACCAACUGAAGAGGAAACCAAUGAUGAUGAUCAAGGUACUUUGGAUCAAGUUGCUACUGAACUUCGUAGGUCCACAAGGACACGUUCCGCACCAGAGUGGUACGGCAACCCUGUCCUGGAAAUCAUGUUGUUAGACAACGGUGAACCUUCGAACUAUGAAGAAGCGAUGGCGGGCCCAGAUUCCAACAAAUGGCUAGAAGCCAUGAAAUCUGAGAUAGAAUCCAUGUAUGAAAACAAAGUAUGGACUUUGACUGACUUGCCCGAUGAUCGGCGAGCGAUAGAAAACAAAUGGAUCUUUAAGAAGAAGACGGACGCGGAUGGUAAUGUCACCAUCUAUAAAGCUCGACUUGUCGCUAAGGGUUAUCGACAAGUUCAAAGGAUUGACUACGACGAGACAUUCUCUCCCGUAGCGAAGCUUAAGUCCGUCCGAAUCAUGUUAGCAAUUGCCGCAUACUAUGAUUAUGAGAUAUGGCAGAUGGACGUCAAAACGGCAUUCCUUAACGGGUAUCUUAAGGAAGAGCUGUAUAUGAUGCAGCCGGAAGGUUUUGUCGAUCCUAAGAACGCUUACAAAAUAUGCAAGCUCCAGCGAUCCAUUUAUGGGCUGGUGCAAGCAUCUCAGAGUUGGAAUAUUCGCUUUGAUGAGAUGAUCAAAGCGUUUGGGUUUAUGCAGACUUAUGGAGAAGCCUGCGUUUACAAGAAAGUGAGUGGGAGCUCUGUAGCAUUUCUCAUAUUAUAUGUGAAUGACAUACUCUUGAUGGGAAAUAAUAUAGAAUUUCUGGACAGCAUUAAGGCCUACUUGAACAAAUGUUUUUCAAUGAAGGACCUUGGAGAAGCUGCUUAUAUAUUAGGCAUCAAGAUCUAUAGAGAUAGAUCGAGACGCCUCAUAGGUCUUUCACAAAGCACAUACCUUGAUAAGAUUUUGAAAAAGUUCAAAAUGGAUGAGUCCAAGAAAGGGUUCUCGCCUAUGUUACAAGGUGUGAGAUUGAGCUCAGCUCAGUCACCGACCACGGCAAAAGAUAAAGAAGAGAUGAGUGUCAUCCCCUAUGCUUCAGCCAUAGGAUCUAUUAUGUAUGCCAUGCUGUGUACCAGACCUGAUGUAAACCUUGGCGUGAGUUUGGUAGCAAGAUACCAGAGUAAUCCCGGCAAGGAACACUGGACAACGGUCAAGAAUAUCCUGAAGUACCUGAAAAGGACAAAGGACAUGUUUCUCGUUUAUGGAGGUGACGAAGAGCUCGUCGUAAAGGGUUACGUCGACGCUAGCUUCGACACAGAUCUGGAUGACUCUAAGUCACAAACCGGAUACGUGUAUAUGUUGAAUGGUGGAGCAGUAAGCUGGUGCAGCUGCAAGCAGAGCAUCGUGGCGGGAUCUACAUGUGAAGCGGAGUACAUGGCAGCCUCGGAGGCAGCGCAUGAAGCUAUUUGGGUGAAGGAGUUCAUCACCGACCUAGGAGUCAUACCCAAUGCGUCGGGGCCAAUCAAACUCUUCUGUGACAACACUGGAGCUAUUGCCCUUGCCAAGGAGCCCAGGUUUCACAAGAAGACCAGGCACAUCAAGCGUCGUUUCAACUCCAUCCGUGAAAAUGUUCAAGAUGGAGACAUAGAAAUUUGCAAAGUACAUACGAAUCUGAAUGUCGCAGAUCCGUUGACUAAACCUCUCUCGCGAGCAAAACAUGAUCAACACCAGAACUCUAUGGGUGUUCGAUUCAUCACAAUGUAACUAGAUUGGUGACUCUAGUGCAAGUGGGAGACUGUUGGAAAUAUGCCCUAGAGGCAAUAAUAAAAGUAUUAUUAUAUUUCUAUGUUCAUGAUAAUUGUCUUUUAUUCAUGCUAUAACUGUAUUAUCCGGAAAUCAUAAUACACGUGUGAAUACAAAGACCACAAUAUGUCCCUAGUGAGCCUCUAGUUGACUAGCUCGUUGUGAUCAACAGAUAGUCAUGGUUUCCUGGCUAUGGACAUUGGAUGUCGUUGAUAACGGGAUCACAUCAUUAGGAGAAUGAUGUGAUGGACAAGACCCAAUCCUAAGCAUAGCACAAAGAUCGUGUAGUUCGUUUGCUAGAGCUUUGCCAAUGUCAAGUAUCUCUUCCUUUGACCAUGAGAGCGUAUAACUCCUGGAUACCGUAGGAGUGCUUUGGGUGUAUCAAACGUCACAACGUAACUGGGUGACUAUAAAGGUGCACUACAGGUAUCUCCGAAAGUAUCUAUUGUUUUAUGCAGAUCGAGACUGGGAUUUGUCACUCCGUAUGACGGAGAGGUAUCUCUGGGCCCACUCGGUAAUGCAUCAUCAUAAUGAGCUCAAUAUGACCAAGGUGUUGGCCGCGGGAUCAUGCAUUACGGCACGAGUAAAGUGACUUGCCGGUAACGAGACUGAACAAGGUAUUGGGAUACCGACGAUCGAGUCUCGGGCAAGUAACGUACCAAUUGACAAAGGGAAUUGUAUACAGGGUUUGAUCGAAUCCUCGACAUCGUGGUUCAACCGAUGAUAUCAUCGAGGAGCAUGUGGGAGCCAACAUGGGUAUCCAGACCCCGCUGUUGGUUAUUGCCCGAGAGUGGUCUCGGUCAUGUCUGCAUGUCUCCCGAGCCCGUAGGGUCUACACACUUAAGGUUCGGUGACGCUAGGGUUGUUAGGAAGACUAGUAUGUGACUACCAAAUGUUGUUCGGAGUCCCGGAUGAGAUCCCGGACGUCACGAGGAGUUCCGGAAUGGUCCGGAGGUAAAGUUUUAUAUAUGGGAAGUUGUUAAACGGGCACCGAAAAGUCUCGGGGUCAUACCGGUAUUGUACCGGGACCACCGAAAGGAAUCCGGGGGUCCACCGGGAGGGGCCACCCCUCCCGGGGGGCCACUUGGGCUGCGUGGGGAUUGCAGCCAGCCCCUAGUGGGCUUGGCGCGCCCCCCUCCUUGGGCCCUUGCGCCUAGGGGUGGGGGGGAAACCCUAAAGGGGGCGCACCCCCCUUGCUUGGGGGGCAAGCCCCCCACCCCUUGGCCGCCGCCCCCCCUUGCCCUUUCCCCUAUAUAUAGAGGGGUGAGGGGAGGGAUGCAAGACACCAUAACUCAAGGCGCAGCCCCUCCCCUCCCCAACACAUCUCCUCCUCCGUACGUGCUUGGCGAAGCCCUGUCGGAAUACUGCCGCGUCAACUGCACCACGCCGUCGUGCUGCCGUUGGAGCUGCCUUCCUCAACCUCUCCUUCCUCCUUGCUGGAUCAAGACGGAGGAGACGUCUCCCGUCCCGUACGUGUGUUGAACGCGGAGGUGUUGUCCGUUCAGCACUAGGACAUCGGUGAUCCGAAUCACGUUCGAGUACGACUCCAUCAUCACCAUCUCCUUGGCAAGCUUCCGCUCGUGAUCUACAAGUGGUAUGUAGAUGCAAACUCUCUCCCUUGACUCGUUGCUUAGAUGAACUCAUAGAUGGAUCUUGGUGAAACCGUAGGAAAAAUUUUAAUUUUCUGCAACGUUCCCCAACAGAAAAAAAUAGUGUGCACUGCAGUCUGCUAUUCUGUGUGAAAAAUGCUAAAUGAAGAGUGAAAAAUGUUGUGCACUGUAGGUUUUCUGUGGUUUAUGUGUUUGUUUGCUAGAAACCAAAUGCGGUUAUGAGUAAGGUUGGAAAAAAUUCAUAUGCUUGUGACUACACAUGGCAUAUCUUGUUCCUCUUUUGUAAAUGGGCCUGCAACUAAUAUGUUUCCACUAGAACUUGGGUUUGUAGUGUUUUUCACAGAUUGUUGCAGUAUGUAUUAAGGACUCAUGGCAUAACACAAGGAUAUUCUUUCUGCUUACAUUUUGUAAAUCCAAUCUUGACAUGCUGCAGCAAACGUGUAGAUUUACGUCGAUCCUAGUUUUCUAGCGUUUUGGGCAAGAGUUUGGUUCCCCAAGGUCAUUCCUAGCACCGUGUUUGGGCGUACGCUGCACACGGUCUCAUCAUUUCCACUAAAGGACCUCAAGCCACAGACCAGCAACAUCAACAUCAAUGAUGACCCUGUGAAAAGGAUGAUCUAUUUUGAAUGGGGCAUGCACUUCCGCGGAGCAUAUCAACAGCUAGCGCUUCUUCUACAAAGAGCUGCUGGAGAAAAGUUGCACCCUAGGCUGGCUACAACAUUUCGUUCAUUUGUGUCCAUCCCCGCGUCGCUCCCGUGUGGCGACCUGGGGGGAAACCCUAGCCGCCGGCUUCGGGCCUCCUCUCGUCCCUUCCCUCCCUCGCCGCCGCCGGACCACGCUGCCGGGCAAAGCCCACCGGCGCCGGCGGCGGCGGGGCUCUUCUUCAUCCCGCUCGGAGGCUGUUGGCGUGGGGCAGCGGCGGACGGCGGUGCUUCGCGCUGGUGCCGGGCGCGGAGGCGCGGCGGUGGGCCCUGGCGGCAGGGUAGCGAGGGCUUGGUGGCGGCGCGGUGGGCUGCACGGGGCGGCUCGCGCUCGUGGCUGCGGUGGCGGCCAGGUCUGGGCUCUGCCAGAUCUGGCGGUACGGCGGGCGNNNNNNNNNNNNNNNNNNNNNNNNNNNNNNNNNNNNNNNNNNNNNNNNNNNNNNNNNNNNNNNNNNNNNNNNNNNNNNNNNNNNNNNNNNNNNNNNNNNNNNNNNNNNNNNNNNNNNNNNNNNNNNNNNNNNNNNNNNNNNNNNNNNNNNNNNNNNNNNNNNNNNNNNNNNNNNNNNNNNNNNNNNNNNNNNNNNNNNNNNNNNNNNNNNNNNNNNNNNNNNNNNNNNNNNNNNNNNNNNNNNNNNNNNNNNNNNNNNNNNNNNNNNNNNNNNNNNNNNNNNNNNNNNNNNNNNNNNNNNNNNNNNNNNNNNNNNNNNNNNNNNNNNNNNNNNNNNNNNNNNNNNNNNNNNNNNNNNNNNNNNNNNNNNNNNNNNNNNNNNNNNNNNNNNNNNNNNNNNNNNNNNNNNNNNNNNNNNNNNNNNNNNNNNNNNNNNNNNNNNNNNNNNNNNNNNNNNNNNNNNNNNNNNNNNNNNNNNNNNNNNNNNNNNNNNNNNNNNNNNNNNNNNNNNNNNNNNNNNNNNNNNNNNNNNNNNNNNNNNNNNNNNNNNNNNNNUGCGCGCUGGCCGUCCUCCAGUCGGGGCUCCCCUGUUCCGGCCCCUGGACGGCGGCGAGCGGCACGGGAUGGCUCUUCCGGUGAGUGCUCUUGGCUGCGGGUGCGGGCUGGCUUCGCGCUUCUGGUCGAUGGUUGGGCGGGCUGCCGUUGGUGGCCUCGUGUCGAGCUGCGGUGGGCGCCAUGGUGAGGCGACAUGGGGGUGUGUCCGGUGGGGAGUUCUCAGGAGGGGUGCACCGGUCCGGAUGAGUCCGCUCCGCCUCCCCCUUUCCUCGGCUGUAUGCUCUUUGUUGGGGUUCUAGCGAUGUUCGAGGCAGGGCGGUUGCUGGCAUCUUCAUAGGCGAGGGCUGCCAGUCAGGCCAAAGCCAAGGCCUUUGGGUGUUCACGGAGUUGCUUGCAUGCUGGGCGGCGGCCCUGGCGGCGGGAGGCGCGGUGUUCGUGGGCGGAGCGCGCGUCUUGGGUGCGGUCGGGCAGCCAUGGCCACGUGGGUGGCAUGGUUGGUGAUGUUUGGCGAAGCAUGGUGGUUUGGUAGAGGGUUAACACCGGAGUCCAUAACUUGCCCGGUUUUCUCCGACCGACGGUGGCGGCGCCAUGGGUGUCGUUUCCUUCAUGAAGGCUCCGUUGUGGUGUUCUCUUCUCUCCAUGUUGCUCCGGGUGAAAACUUGAUCUCCGAGAUCAGGCGGUGGCGGCUUUCGGUGUCGUGCCAUUCUUGAAGGCACCGCCUUGGAGUCCAUGCUUCGCCAUUGUCCUGCUUCACUUCUUCUCGGUGGCUAGGUCUCGGAAGGUCCUCGUCGGCCCGAAGUGUUUGGUAGUGUGCUUGGUGGUCGAUUGGGUAGUGUUGCGGUGCAUCGGCACCCCUGUGUCUUGCCUUGGGUGUGUGGUGUGUGGGGGGUUGCAUGUUGUACCCGGAUUUGUACUUCUGGUCGAUGCUUUAUAUAUAAAGCGGGACGAAAGCCUUUUUCGGUAAAAGAUUCGUGUGGGUUAAUUAAAAGGAAAAUCAGGUUUCGAUAGAUGGUAGCACAGUGUCGUUGGUUAAAGAUAAUUAAGCUCGUUGAAAGGAAAAAAUGUAUAAUCACACAAUGAGGCAUGCACAAAGAUAAUUACUAAGUUCACUGCCACUUUUUCGUCACUACCAAAGUCUUACAGAUACCGGUCAGUCGGUUAGCCACGCGCCUCGGGGCCCUCCCCUGUCCAGCCGGCUCGUCUUCCCACUUUGGAGAAAGCCGGCUCGGGGCCGCACCAGGCUGGUCAAGCGAGUGCACAGCAGCCUCGGGGCCCUCCCCCGUCCAGGGAAAAUAUCUGGUGCUCCUGUGACUCAGGUGCUACCGUGAUACGGGCUCCUGGGCCGUUGGAUUUUCAGAUCGGACGGUUCCUAGUAACUUUGUAACAUUUACAGAAAAACCUUCUAAAAAUCCAAAAAUUACACAUAAGUCUAGCAAAUCCAAAAGCUCUUAUAUGCCAUCCGAUCUGGGAUCCGACGGCCUAGGAGCUCGUAUCACGGUAGCACCUGAGUCGCAGGAGCACCAGAUACCCCCCCCCCCGUCCAACCCCGCAGUGUCUCUGCCUGCCUCGGGCGGCGGGCUUGCCCAGGCGUAGCCUGAUCCCGGGACCGCUGCUCAGGACAUGUAGCCCCUCAUGGACCCCACCACCACGCCCGUGAUCGGCUCGUCAUGCUCAAGGGUGCCUCCAACAGAUGGCGCCCAUUCACGUCCCACCCAUGCAGCCCAUGCACGGCGAUACCCACGUCCCGCCUCCCUCUCAGGCUGUCCUGGAUGGCUCGGUGCAAGGCAGUGAGGCCCUCCUGGCCUACGUCGACUUGGUGCAGCAGGCGGUGGAACCCCCUGCUCCCUACGCCGCGCCGCCGCCGUCUAGAGGUGCCUCCGAACUUCACUCCGUGCCGGAGCGGCCGCCUAGCCAAGGCUGAUCGUGGGCUUAACUCAGAAAUGAAGGCGAAGAGAGUGCUGUUGCGGCGCCUUGGUCAACUGCAUCAGUAUUCCUAUCUAGUUUUAGCCAGCCGGUUGUGGCGUCUUUUCUUGGCUAGUUGAUGUUUCUAGCCCUCUCUGGCUCUGUGUGAGCUUUUUGUGCUUUUUUAGUACUUUAUGAGACUUUUGGGACCAUGUUCGCACUACUUUAUUUGGUUAAUAAGAUGGCCGUAUGCAUCUUUCUGAUGCAGAAGCCGGGGAAUCCCCCUUUUCGAAAAAAAACUGCAUGAGGAUGAGCCGGUCUCUGAAGCAGUUCUGGAGAGAUACGCUAGAGUCUUCGAGCGGCCCAUAGCCAUCAAUGUCAUCCAGGCGUCCCAGAGUUCUACGGUUGGGAAGUGCCAUCGGAGGACAUUCUUGCCUCCCUGCGUCAGCCGGCGACCAUGCUUGNNNNNNNNNNNNNNNNNNNNNNNNNNNNNNNNNNNNNNNNNNNNNNNNNNNNNNNNNNNNNNNNNNNNNNNNNNNNNNNNNNNNNNNNNNNNNNNNNNNNNNNNNNNNNNNNNNNNNNNNNNNNNNNNNNNNNNNNNNNNNNNNNNNNNNNNNNNNNNNNNNNNNNNNNNNNNNNNNNNNNNNNNNNNNNNNNNNNNNNNNNNNNNNNNNNNNNNNNNNNNNNNNNNNNNNNNNNNNNNNNNNNNNNNNNNNNNNNNNNNNNNNNNNNNNNNNNNNNNNNNCAACCGUCGGGCCAAGCGCACCGGUGUCCAUAGCGUCAUCACUAUGGAUUUGCCUUCUAUUGUGUGCCUUCAAGAGACAAAGCUCAACUCCAUCUCGCUGCCGCUAGUGACUGAGACCCUAGGCCCGGCCUUCGACAACCUCUUCUUCUUGCCCGUCGUGGACACCUGUGGCGUCAUCUUGCUGGCUUGGCGUUCCUCCCUCCUUGCUAUCUCCAAUCCCACCUUUGGGGAGCACCACAUCACGAUAGCGGUCUCUUCGCUCUCCGGUGACCGGCAUUGGUGGCUCAUUGGGGUGUACGGCCCGCAGGGUGACGACGACAAGCUGUUAUUCCCGGCGGACCUGCAAGACAUGCGUGCUACAUGUGUCAGGCCAUGGGUCCUUGGGGGCGACUUCAACAUGAUUGCUUCAGUGGUGGACAAGAAUAAUAGUCACCUUAACUUGCGCAUGAUGCGGCGUUUCCGGCGUUUCAUGGCCGACAUGGAACUGCGUGAUCUAUAUCUCCAUGGCCGCCGCUACACCUGGUUUAGUGAGCCCGACAACCACACGCUGGUUCGGAUCGACCGUGUACUCUGUACCCCGGCCUGGGAGGAAGCCAACCCUCACUAUCUUCUCUGUUGUCUUUCCUCCGCUGCCUCGAACCAUUGUCCCUUGAUGGUUGACUACACAGCUAGAUCGCCUGGCCCUCGACGCUUUCAUUUCGAGAAAUUCUGACCAAAGAUGGAUGGUUUCCAGCAGUUCGUCACGGAGGCUUGGGCCACGGCUGAGCAUGAGCAGGACCCGUUUAGGCGCAUCUUCCUACGACUACGGUCCACGGCCAGGCAGCUACAAAGCUGCUGGAGCGCGAAAUCGAUCGGCCACGUCUCCCUUCAGCUUAUGAUCACCCGCGAGCUGAUCACACGUGUUGAUGCUUCCCAGGAUCUGUGGCCACUCUCGGAGCAUGAUAAUUGGCUGCGCCGCUGCCUUAAGGGCGCGUAUCCAGGCCUUGCGUCCCUAGAGCAUUCUGUCCUUCGCCAGUGGGUGCGAAUGAUGUGGCUGUGGGAUGGCGAGGCCUCCUCGGCCUUCAUGCACAUCCAUGCUGCCCACCACAAGCAAAGGAGCAGAAUUCUCACCCUGCAAUGCGGCAAUGAAACCAUUUCCGAGGGUGCCGCCAUGGCUAGGGCCGCAUUCGAGCACUUCACUGCUAUCAUUGGCACUGCGGAUGCACAUGAGCUCUCCCUCCGCCUGAAUGACAUCGACCCUAGGCCUUCAAUAUUUCCAUGCUUGAGCUCCCAUUCACCGAGGAGGAAGUUUGGCGCGCGAUCAAGCUGUUGCCGACCGAAAAGGCGUCGGACCACCUAUUCUGCACGCCAAAGGCCUCUAGCAGGGAGGCCCCUACUCACCCAUUCUCUUUACGCUGGUGAUAGACACUCUCAAUUCUCUACUGCACCAUGCGCUUGGGGUCGGCAUCCUUCGCCAGCUCACGGCACGAGGCGUGAGUUACAGCGUCCCCCUGUACACCGAUGACGUGGCCAUCUUCUACCACCCCGACACUGGUGACCUACGCACGGUGCACACACUUCUGCAACUGUUUGGGGUUGCAUCAGGGCUACACAACAACUUGGCCAAGUACUCUACGACUCCGAUCCAAUGCACACCCGCGGAGAUUGCAGUCAUUGCCGACGAGCUGGCCUGCCUGGUGACCUUGUUCCCCAUUCGAUACUUGGGCCAUCCCCUCUCGGUGUGCAAGGUUGCCGUCUCGUCUCUGCAAUACCUUGUCGACCGCUUGGCCAAGAAGCUGUCCACUUGGCGCGCCUCGAUGCUCUCUCGAGGCGAGCGGCUGGCGUUGGCCCGGCACGUGCUCUCGGCCAUGCCGACCCAUCUGCUCAUGGCCAUGGCCUUCUCUGCAGCCAUCCUGAAGCAGAUAAAUCAGAUCAUCAGGGGCUUCCUUUGGCAUGGGAUUCACGAUGCCUCUGACGGGCAUUUCCUGGUCAACUGGAAGAAAGUUUGCUGGCCGCUAGCCCUCGGCGGGCUCAGCAUCCCUGACCUACGGAUGGGCAUUGCUCUUUGGACCAGAUGGUGCUGGCUUCAGCGUACUGACAAGACCCAGCCCUGGAGCCAUCUCCAGCUCCCGAUGGAUGCCGAGACCUCUGCGAUCUUCCACGCUUCCAUGUUCUGGCUGACAGGUGACGGGUGCACCUGCUGUUUUUGGCAAGAUCGCUGGCUUGAUGUGCGGGCCAUCUCCGACAUCGCCCCAGUGCUUUCUUCCCUCGUCCCGCACCGCCGCCGCAAGACCGUCUUGGAGGCCGACGGGCUCCAUCAAAGGGCUUGGGUUAGAGACGACUCGAGCUGUGGCGACGACUCCUGUGGCAAUUGUUGAAUACAUCGAGCUGUGGCGACGACUCGAGACCGUGCAGCUCCCUGCCGAGCCGGACAGGCUCCUAUGGCGUUGGACCCCGCAUGGCAUGCACUCGGCGCGCUCCUGCUACAUUGCACUCUUCCAAGGUUCCACCUAUGCGCCGCACUAGAAGCUGACCUGGAAGGCCUGGGCACCUUUGGGCAUCAAAUUCUUCACCUGGCUCGCCCUUCAAGAUCGCUGCUGGACACAGGCCAGGCUGGCGAGGCACGGCCUCCUGCAUGACACUUUAUGUCGGCUAUGCAAUCAGGAGCCUAAGACGAUGCAACACCUUCUCACGGGCUGCUCGUUCUCGCGACAGAUAUGGUAUGAGGUGUGGACAUGGUGCAUCCUACAUUCACCCACACCGACUCUCGACCAGGACUUCAUGGAAUGGUGGCACACGACGCGAUCAUCUACUCCCGCACCCUCUCAUAAAGGCCUCUCUUCCUUGAUCAUUCUCACUGCCUGGUCCAUCUGGAACCACCGCAAUGCUUGCACUUUCGACGGUGCGAAUCCCUCCAUCACUCGUCUCUCCACUGGCAUCAAGGAUGAGGCCAGGGCCAGGGCUUCGGCGGGGGCCAUAGGGCUCGCCAACAUUUUGUCGUAGUUUCUACUUUUGCUAGGAGGGGCUGAGCAACCUUAGUUCUCUCUGCUUGUGUUGUUGCCGGUGCCUUCCAUGCGUAUGCCGACAACAACGCCCCCCCUCUCUCCUUGUACUCUCUGUAUAACAAACUUCUACCUAUAUAUGAAUGAUACGCAAGCUGUUGCGUAUUCGUGAAAAAAAAGAGCCAGCCACACGCUCUAAUUUUCAUACAUCGGGAAAGAAAGAUGAAAAGGAAGGAUGCAUCUCAAAGAGGCAGCAAAAAAGCGGCACUCAAAUAGAAGCAGUAAGCUGCAACGACACACGUUGGGAGCGCCAUCAUUCUUCAUCCAUUCAGGUCAUUGUCAUCGUUCAUUUGACAUUUCAAAACGGAAUCACAAUUUCAUACUUGAUCAGGGAUAUUGGUGGCAAUGCAUCCGGGGAUCAUCCAACGCCAACUUUGACUUACAAAGGCAAUGUGACGUUGAUCAGAGUUUUCAUUUUUUUAAAUCCUAGCGGAGUUCUAGUGCACCAUAACCCAUUUCACAGAACUUAGCCAAAAAAAAGAAACACAGUAUGCCGAUGCGUUGAAAAGAUCAGAAAAUUUUACUAUGCAAAUAUAUAUUAUUUGAUAAAGUUGAUAUGAUUAUUUAUGACAUGGGUAAAUCUUAGAGCAUCUACNNNNNNNNNNNNNNNNNNNNNNNNNNNNNNNNNNNNNNNNNNNNNNNNNNNNNNNNNNNNNNNNNNNNNNNNNNNNNNNNNNNNNNNNNNNNNNNNNNNNNNNNNNNNNNNNNNNNNNNNNNNNNNNNNNNNNNNNNNNNNNNNNNNNNNNNNNNNNNNNNNNNNNNNNNNNNNNNNNNNNNNNNNNNNNNNNNNNNNNNNNNNNNNNNNNNNNNNNNNNNNNNNNNNNNNNNNNNNNNNNNNNNNNNNNNNNNNNNNNNNNNNNNNNNNNNNNNNNNNNNNNNNNNNNNNNNNNNNNNNNNNNNNNNNNNNNNNNNNNNNNNNNNNNNNNNNNNNNNNNNNNNNNNNNNNNNNNNNNNNNNNNNNNNNNNNNNNNNNNNNNNNNNNNNNNNNNNNNNNNNNNNNNNNNNNNNNNNNNNNNNNNNNNNNNNNNNNNNNNNNNNNNNNNNNNNNNNNNNNNNNNNNNNNNNNNNNNNNNNNNNNNNNNNNNNNNNNNNNNNNNNNNNNNNNNNNNNNNNNNNNNNNNNNNNNNNNNNNNNNNNNNNNNCCCCGCUGAGGGAGUCCUGGACUAAGGGGUCCUCGGGCGUCUGGUCUACUCAAUAUGGGCCGUACUGAUGGGCUAUCAAGAUGAAGGAAGAAGGUCACCUCCCGUGUCCGGUUAGGAAUCUUGUAUGCAUGAACGACAAGAUUAAGUGUCCGGAUAUACUGUUUCCUUUCUUUGUGAACCGACUCUGCACAACCCUAGGCCCCUUCGGUGUCUAUAUAAACUGGAGGGCUUAGACCGGAGAUAGGAUCAUAACAUUCAUAGUCUAGACAAUCUAGGGUUUAGCCAUCAGAAUCUUUCGAGGUAGAUCAACUCUUGUAACCCCUAUACUCAUCGAGUACAGCCCCGAGCACGCUGAUCACGAGGACUCGGAGGACAUCAAUUACUUACCUAUCUCCGAAGUGGAUGUGAGCCGCGGUGACAAAGAUUUCAUCAUCCCAGAGGAACCCCUCAAACAACAACGCUUCAAGUGACAACUCAUCGCCACUGCACAGAGCCUGAAAAAGAAACAACAGCAGCUUCAGGCUAAACAGGACAUGCUCAACAAUAUAUGGACUAAUUAAGAUCCUAGCCGCCAAAGAGUACGACCUUGAGCGGCCAGUAAAGAGUUACCCGAAGUGCAGGCUGCUGCCACAAUUCGACGAUGAAGCCCUCGAGCCAAUUCUGUCGAAGUACAACUAUGCUGAUCAACCAGAAUGACCACCAGGUGGACGGGACAAAACGACCUAUAAGGCCGAACACCAGCCCGCACCACCUCGCCAUAGAGGCAGGGAGACAUCGGAACUGGAUUACACAUAUGACCUACGUCAGGACCUGGCCGAUAAAGCUGGCCAGACCAGAUCGAUCUAUGGAUCCAGAGGACGUGCCCCGACACGAGAUGACGGCCACCAAACCUGGCACGAGCAACAUCAGCAAGUUCGAGGUCAGCACCGAACACAGAUGUCAUCCAAACUACGUCGCGAUGUAGCUAGAUAUAGAGGUGUCGCACACCCUAUGUGCUUUACUGAUGAAGUAAUGCAGCACCAAUUUUUGGAAAGGUUUAAACCUGUAAACAUCGAACAAUACGAUGGAACAACAUACCCUGCCGUCUGGAUUGAGGACUUUCUUCUCCACAUUCACAUGGCUCGCGGAGAUGACCUCCAUGCCAUCAAAUAUCUCCCCUUUAAGUUGAAGGGACCAGCACGACACUGGUUGAAAAACCUCCUUAGAGAGCUCCAUAGGGAGCUGGGAAGAUUUAGAAGAUGCUUUUCUGGACAACUUUCAGGGCACUUAUGUCUGGCCUUCGGAUGCUGCCGACCUCAGUCACAUAAUCUAGCAACCCGGAGAGUCAUCCCGCAAACUCUGGAAUCAGUUCCUAUUAAAAAGAACGAAAUCAUGGACUGUCCAAACGCCGAAGCCUUAGCGUCCUUUAAACACAGCGUCCAUGAUGAAUGGCUCACCCGACUCCUCGGGCAGGAAAAGCCGAAAACCAUGGCAGCCCUGACAACGCUUAUGACCCGCUUUUGCGCUGGCGAAGAUAGCUGGCUAGCUUGUAGAAGCAACAGUUCCAGCGAUCCCGGCACCUCUGAGGCCAGGGACGGCAAUGGCGGGCCACGCCGCAACAAAAACAAAUGCCGGAAUAACAACGACGACACCGAAGACAUGGCAUUCAAUGCCGGAUUCAGUGGUUCUAAAUCCGGUCGGCGGAAGAAACCUUUCAAAGGCAACAGGGACGGCCCAUCCAACUUGGACAAAAUGCUCGAGAGGCCCUGUCAGAUUCGUGGUACCCUCGACAAGCCUGCCAAUCACACCAAUAAAAAUUGCUGGGUUUUUAAACAUGCCUGUAAGUUAAAUACCGAACAUAAGUGGAAGGGACCGCCAAGUGAGGACGACGACGAGCCCCGUCAGCCGAACACUGGGGGUCAGAAGCAGUUUCCCCCCGAUGUAAAAACAGUGAGGGAGCGCAAGCACGCACUAAGGGACGUCUACGCCGUAGAGCCUGUCGCCCCAAAGUUCAAUCUAUGGUAAGCCUGUCCGAUCACUUUUGAUCGCAGGGAUCACCCAACCAGUAUCCAUCACGGGGGUUCGGCCACCCUGGUGCUCGAUCCCAUCAUGGACAGAUAUCAUCUAACUAGAGUCCUUAUGGACGGUGGCAACAGUCUUAACUUUAUCUAUCAAGAUACUGUCCGCAAAAUGGGCAUCGACCCAUCAAGAAUCAAGCCAAGCACACUACCUUUAAAGGAGUGAUACCUGGUGUGGAGGCCCGUUGCACGGGCUCAUUAACACUGGAAGUGGUAUUCGGCUCUCUGGACAACUUCUGUAGUGAAGAACUGAUCUUUGAUAUCGUCCCUUUCCGUAGUGGCUAUCACGCACUGCUCGGACGAGCCGCUUUCUCCCGUUUCAAUGCGGUCCCGCACUAUGUUUAUUUGAAUCUUAAAAUGCCCGGCCCUAGGAGCCGAGGUAUAUGGUGGCCUCAUCAAGAUGAACAAUUCAUCGCCCAUCAAGACCAUUGACAUUGUUAAAAAAGUCCGGUCCGCACCUCAUUCAGAUAGCUCGACGGACCCGGACCUCGAAUAUCAAUUCUGUCUCCGUUGACUGCCCUAUAAGGCCGUGACAUAUGUACUGCAUGUAAACAACUACGCACUCAAAAUACCUUGGGCAACGCCGGAGGCACACCUCAGGACAGGUCCAUAGUAUGUCUCGACCCUAUUCGGACCUCACAUCCUCUUCCCUUCUUUUUUUCUCCCUUUCACUGCAUGUUCUUUUGAAAACCUAAAAGCUGUAUGGUUGCAUGAGGGAUCCCUCUUCGAACCCUCUUCUUUACAGACAACCAUCUUACAUCUCCUCUUGAAGGACUCAUUACUAAGGAGAAAUGGCGCAGACGUGUGGCAGGGCACCCUUGGGAUCUUCAAACCAUUACGUUAAGGCCAUGUGGAAACCUUUCCCUUGUGCAAAUUUUCUGGCAUGUAACAUGACCUCCAUAUUCAUGCUAUUUAUCGAAACACGUCUCUACGUAUUCAUAAAGAUAUAAAGGAAGCAAAUGAUCACCACUUUUUGUUUGGUAUGUGUGUUAUAUCAUCAUUUGUAUAUAGGGAACUCUUUAGCAUCCUGGAUAUUGCAUUAUAUGCAUCGGCUCCGAUUCAUGUCUUUGGUCUAUAGUUGGGUUGCCCGGCUCCUGUGCUUACCACCAUACGUUCCGCCACUUCAGCUAAGGUAGUAAAGGGAGAACUGCUGCGAUUGUAUAUCUGGUUCAUCCGAUUAAGUACCUUAGUAGAGAAAGCCGAAAACUGACCGUCAUGAUACGCGAGAGCUGGUCAGCAAUCCGGUGACUUAGUGUUAUACUACUAAUCGUUAGUGAUUCUUGCCGUAUUACACGAGGGGUUGGUACUUGACCAGCCGCGUUGCAGAGGCACCAUAAUCCGGAUUGCCGCUCAAUGCAACAAGGGUUACUAGUUAACCCCACCAAUCGACUCCUAUGGCUAAGAGAAGGUAAUAAAUCCACAUAGUCUGAUUGCCUAGUUCACCGCACGGACGCCUCCUCCAAGGACCAAGAUGUUGGAUAAAGUGCGGCCAUGCAUUCACGAACACCCCUGUACUAUUUACAUGGGGGCGGAAGCCGAUGACUGGCAACCUUCAGAAACACAAAUAAUAAACGGCCGCACAUGAGGAUAAAAUUAACACAAAAUGCGCAAUCAUAGCGUGGAUUCAUAACAUGGUUUCUGUGACCCGAUUACAUUUAAUCAAACAUAACAUCCUUGGAACAUUGGACCUCUACUAUUCGGGCCCCUUCCAGGACAUCUUCAAAGUACUUCUCCAGCUUCUGGUGAUUCUUGCCCUCGGGUGAACCUACGGUCGCCACUUCGGUGGCUCAUCUUUGCCCAUUGCAUCUUCAUGCGGGCGAAGCCAUCAGGGCACCUUAUAUGUAGGCCGGCAACUUUAUGGCGUCAAUCCGAGGCCGCACAUUGACAAGCAGCUUCACGAGGCCGACGUAGCUGCUGGGCAUGGGGUCGGCUGGCCAAAGCUGGACUAUUAGAUCCUUCAUGGCCAAACCGGCCACCAUGUGCAGCUCGGUCAGUUGCUUCAGCUGGUCGCUAAGGGGCGCCGGAUGCUCUGGGACAAGAUACUGCGACCAGAAUAGCUUCUCGGUCGAGCUCCCCUCCUCGACUCGGAAGAACUGCGUAGCGUCAACAACACUCCUCAGAAGAUCCGUAAACGCGCCUGGAGAACUCCAAACUUGGGUUAGCUAGAUAUAUCUCCUACUUCCAAAUUUACUCUACAAAAGAAAGGCCUUACCAGCCACUAUCUGCCUCGCCCGCUGGAUCUCCUGGCGAGCACUCUGGGACUCAACCCGGGCCUCCUUGAUACCCUGGACAGCCUUGGCGAGUUCAGAUGCUUGGUCCGAAGUCUUUUGCUCUAAGGACUCGCACUUGGUAAUGGCGUCCUUGAGCUCUUGCUUGACUUCGGCCACCUGAUCUUCAUGUUGGCGGCGAGUAGUCUACUCCGCCUCCAGCUCCUUAGCCGCCUUGUCAGCGGCUUCUUUAUUCGCCUCCGCCUCCUUCAGGGCUUGGGCAAGUGCAAUCUUGAGGGAUUCGACCUUGGCCGCGCCAACUGUGACCAUAAUCAAAUAAAUUAAAAGACUCAAUACAUAUAUCACUUCUGAUAUAUACACUACUGCAGGAUGCUGCUAACGCGACACUACGAUCAGAGACCCUUCGACGAAACUGUGUGCGAUGCAAUAAUCACAAACGGUGGUGUAAAAAAACCGUCAAAAAAUGUGCAAAACGUUUGCGAUGACGGAUGCAUCAAACACGGUUCAGAUUUUUGUUGCGUGUGUGAUUCAGGGCAUAUGGUUCAGUUCAAUUAACUGUUUGCGAUGAGGGUGAACAAAAGAAACGAGCUGCCAGAUGAAGGCGUGUGUGAUGUAGAGCAUACAGUUCACUCGGAUGAACUGUUUAUGAUGAGGCGGAAAAAUAGAAACGGGCAGUUAGAUGAAGGUGUGUGUGAUAUAUGACAUACAGUUCACUCGGAUGAACUGUUUGCGUUGAGCCAAGAGAACAAAAACAGUUCAACUUAACCAGAUGUGUGUGAUAUGGGGCAAACAUGUCUGUAAUCGGGAAUGUGUGGGAAGACCGAUAACAACAUAGACGAUUCCAGUUAACACGCUGUGUGUGUUGUGAGCAAACGAUUGCUGGUAUACAAUUGUCAGUGAUUGAUGAAAUCAUCACCGAUGGGUUCCAAUGUUUAGUCCGUGUGCGAUGUAAUUUGCUCUGUCUAUGGAGCAUCAAUAUAUAUAUAUAUAUAUAUAUAUAUAUAUAUAUAUAUAAAAUAACUAUUUGGAUCACAGAGCCCUAUAUAGGAGCGAUCGUGUUGUUCCCGAACUCCCCCAACCCGCUGCGAAAAACAAAUUCCCACCCCACCACCCCAUGACCGCUCGUUCCUAACCUCUCCCCCGAUCGUCUGUGAUCCACCACGAUAGUGGCUCCUUCCCCUCGAUCCGGCGCCUCCCGCCGCCGUCUCCCCGGCCCCGGCGCGCCUCUCUCCCUCCCCAGAUCGCCUCCCACUGCCUCCUACUUCACGCCGCCCCCGCGCCUUCACCCUACAACGCGCCGCCGCCCUGCAUCUCGCCGCCACAGCCNNNNNNNNNNNNNNNNNNNNNNNNNNNNNNNNNNNNNNNNNNNNNNNNNNNNNNNNNNNNNNNNNNNNNNNNNNNNNNNNNNNNNNNNNNNNNNNNNNNNNNNNNNNNNNNNNNNNNNNNNNNNNNNNNNNNNNNNNNNNNNNNNNNNNNNNNNNNNNNNNNNNNNNNNNNNNNNNNNNNNNNNNNNNNNNNNNNNNNNNNNNNNNNNNNNNNNNNNNNNNNNNNNNNNNNNNNNNNNNNNNNNNNNNNNNNNNNNNNNNNNNNNNNNNNNNNNNNNNNNNNNNNNNNNNNNNNNNNNNNNNNNNNNNNNNNNNNNNNNNNNNNNNNNNNNNNNNNNNNNNNNNNNNNNNNNNNGGCCAACCUUCUCCCUUCCUCCCUCCCAGCCGGCGGGCCUCCUCACUCAACAGUGGUGCCCCUCCUUCCCCAUCGCCGGUGUUCCUUUCCCAUGGACGCAUGCCUCCUCUCCAAUGUCGGCGGACCUUCUUCCACACGGCCAACAGGCAUACUCCCCCACGGCCGGUGAGCCUCCUCCCCCAUGGACGAUCCAUUCCGUCCAUGCGUCGUCCUCCUCCUGGCUGCGUCCCAUCGAGCGCGGCCCCUGCAUCUUGCCACCACCACAUCGAGCGCCGCAGCACUCAGGUCGUUCGCCACCACCUCCUACGGCCGUUCAACGAUGCAGCAGCAAGACGUUCAAUGCCUCAGCCCUCCCUGCGAAUCCCACUGUUGUAGCAACCGGACAAGGCCCAUAUAUUUCUUCUUCAAUAAGAUAAUUUUGAUUGCAUACUGUCUGUUAUUUUGCUCUGUCAUUUUGAUGAUGCCUAAAAAGAAAUUAGAUGAUGGGCUUCUCAUCCCUACUGCGGUCUGCAAGCUGCCUCCAACCUUUGGCAAUAUUUGUAAAAAUGAUUGUGCAGAUUUUUUGUUACCCCAUUUUUAGUUACUGAUUGAAGAAAAUUUUGUUCAUUAGGUGAAAGAACUUGAUUUCUGUUGUUCCUUUGUGGAGGAAGAAGGUCACCAUAAAGGUAGGGAGAUGGUCACAUAAGGUGCAGAAAGAAUGUCAGAGUUCAGCAACGGGGUGUGUGAUCUUUGUGUUGUUUUUGGGGUCAAAUCAUGGGUAUGCGAUCUCACAUCCUGUGUACUAUUGAGAUGGCCUUCCUUAGACUCAAACCACAUUGCCUACAAAUAUGAUAGUCACAAUGCUACCAUCAUGUGUAAAGAAAAUUAGAUAUGUACAUGUACACAACCUACAACAACUUUACGAGGAGUUGAUGGAUUAUUCAGUGGUUGUUAAUUCCACUACUGAUUUUUUCUUGAGAUGGUCUUCAUCACCAUUCAAUAAUUCACUUGUUUCUUGGUUGCAUCUAGUUCCCUCGCUCCACCUCAACACUGUUUCCUUUAGCUAGAUCUCCUUUGUUAUUUUGUAUUCUUAUUUUCUUUUCAUAAAGCAUUUGCUCUGAAAUCCGGAUCCGAUGAUGUAGCUUUGACUAUUCAUGAAAACGUGGUGAAAAUUGUACAUGCUCUAUAGGUCAAAAUUUUGUCUUUAAUUUAUUUUUUGUGAAUGUCAAAAUGUUAUGUUCGAGAAGGUCGAUUGUGUUAUCUCAGCAAGUUCAAAUAAAAAAAUAAACAUGCAAGGUAAAACAUCGGAGAGUUGCGAUUUUUUAGAACUUCAACUGACAAACAAAUUUGAAAAGAGCACAAAACAAAAUUUAAGUCAAACACUAUCAAGAAAAAGAAUGUUCUCUUUGUUAUCGAACACAAAAAUAAAAAUUAAUGAAAGGGGGAAUGCAGUUUAUGCAUUUUGAGAAAGAACUAAGAAGUUCGAGUUAAACUAAUAGAGUAGUUUGAUUUUAAUAAAUAAUUCAGUUUUUUUGUUUCCAUAAAUAAAACCAAGAAGUUUAAAAUUUAAAAAUAGAGAAGUUCAAAAAUCAUAAAAAGGACUUUCAUUGUUUCUCAAAAAAACUCUAGAAGUUGAAAUUGAAAUAAUGGGCAAUUCAAUAUUUAUUACAAAACUAUGAUAUUGUCUUUACUGAAAGAAAUAAAUCAAGAAGUCCAAAUUACAAAAAUAGAGAAGUUUCAUAUUUAUGACAAAACAAAGAUUUUCCUUGUUACUAAAAAAAUAAAAUGAAGAAGUUCAAAUUAAAAAAAGGAGAAGUUUGAUGCAUAUAGAAAAACCAAAAUUCUUUCCGUUUCUUGGAAAAAUAAAAGUAUGAAGUUUAAUUUAAAAAAAGUUGGAUGCUUAUUUAAGAACAUGAUUUUUCUAAGAAUAAGACUAAGAAGUUCAAAUUAAAAUAAAAGAGAAGUCCAAAGAUUAUAAAAAACUCAGAUUUUUCGUGUUACUAAAGUAUAAAACAAAGAAGUUCAAAUUAAGAAAAGGAAGAACUAAAAAAAGUUUAAAAAUAGAUUUUCCCCAUUUCUAAAAAAACUAGAAUUUCAAACGAAAAUAAUGAAGUGGUUCCAUGUUUAUUUAGAAACUAAGAUUUUAUCAUUACUAAAAUACUCAAAUGUCCCUUAGUAUUGAAGAAUCAACCAUUAAGUUCAAAUUGAAAAGAUGGAGAAGUAAAACCAGGAAGUCCAUAUUAAAAAGAUGGAGAAGUUCGAUGAUUAUAGAAAACUUAGAUUUUCCUUGUUAUUAAAGAAUGGAAAUAAGAAGUUCAAAAAUUAAAUAAUAAGAAGUUCAACUUUUAAAAAUAGAGGGCUUCAAAAUUCAUAAAAAAAGAUUGAGAAAUUGAGAUUAAAAUUCAUAAAAAAUCAGAUAUUUUCACGUAACCGAGUGAAGUUCAGAUUGAUAACUGCCAGAAGUUCAUGUACUAUAGGGUGUGCAUUUUGUAUUAGAAAAAGAAUGAAAAUGCAAAGCAUAAAGUUUUGUUGCUAGAAGUUCAAGUGCUCGACUCGAGAAAGUUCAAAAAUUCUUAUGUGGCAGAGGUUGACCAAAAAUACGUGACAGAAGUUCAAGGUUAAAACAACGAGAAGUUCACCUACUGCAAGGAAUGCAUUUCAAAUGAGAAUAAAAGUAUAGAAAAUUUAAAGCUUAAAAGGUUUGUUGAAAGAACUUCAAGUGCUUUGUCCGGGGAAGUUCAAAAAUUCUUAUGAGAGAGGCUCAUCUUGUAUUUCCAUGUUUGAUUUUUUCCAUAUAAAAAUCGAAUACAAUUCUUUACUUCAAAAUAUAAAAAGGUGAAGUUCAAAUUGAAAUAACACAGAAGUUCGGAGUUUAUUAAAACCUAGGAUUUACCUUUUCAAAAAAUAAAAAGCACAACACCAUUUUUUGCACUUUUGAAAACAAUCUCAUAUACGUAAAAAUGGUUGCUAGAAGUUCAAGUGCUCGGCGAGGGGAAGUUCAAAAAAUUUUGUGAGAGAGGUUCACCAUGUAUUUAGAUGUCCAAAAUACAUACAAAUAUGUUGUUUUUUGUGUUUUAAAAUAACUCUUUCAAACCAGAGAGAAGUUCAAAGUGAUAACAACUGGAAGUUCACGUACUACAUGGUGUGUAUUUCAUAUAAAAAAAUACAAUAAAGUGAAACAAAGUGAAGUUCAAAUAGACAUGCCCAAGAAGUUCAACUACUUCACGUAGUGCAAAAAACAGUACGUCAAAAAACAGCACGUCAAAAAUUAGAGUGAAGUUCAAACAUACAUGCCCGAGAAGUUCAAUUACUUCACGCAAUGCAUUUCCGUUCACGAUAAAGGCAGAAAUCAUGAUCUCGUCGUUUUCUAGUUUACUUCAAAACGACAGGAAUAUCAUUUGUGUAAGUUCAAGUCCUCGGUCGGAGAAAGUUAAAAAAAUAUUGUGAGAGAGGUUUGUACAAAAAGAAUAUCAUUUGUGUAAUAAUAAUGAAAAUGGAUGGGAAAAUUACAAACAAAAAUAUGUUACAGAAGUCCAACGUGAAAACAGCAGGAAGUAAAACUACUACAAUGAAUGAAUUUCACAAGAAAAUCUUUUAAAACCGUUGCGAGUAUAAAAAAAUGAUCAACACGAAAAAGUUGCGUGUUUAUAGCAGCUUUCCAUCGGUAUAUUACUUGCUUAAUUCCGGUUAGUGAAUGAAGAGCUACGAGCAAAAGAAAGCACGUGAAAAUCACAGUGAAGUCCAAGCAGAACUGCCACAGAAGUUCAAGUACUUCACCCAAUGCAUUUUCGACGAAUCUGUUUUGCGAUGAAGGCAGAACGAGUGAUCUCCCCGUUUCUGAAAUUACUUGAAAAUGGCUGGGAUUCAGAGAAAAUUAUCAACAUGAAAAAGUUUCGCAUUGUUCGUAGCUUUUCAACAAUAUAUUAUUUGCCCCGUUCCGAUGAAGUUUGUAGAAAUUAUGACAAAAAUACGUUUUUAGCCAUUUUCAAAAUCAACGUAAAACCGUAAUGAAUUUGGAGAAACAAUAUAUACCAAAAAGUUUCGCAUUUGUUCAUGCUUUCCAACGCUAUAUCCUUUGCUACAUUCAGACGUAUGAUUAAAAAAAUAGAUUGAAAAUACAAACUUGGUAGAUCUUGUACCAUUUUCUAAAUUACUCUUAAACCUUUCAAAAUUAUAAAAAACUUUCAACAUGAGAAAAAAGCGUUUUCAUAAGCUUUCCAACGUCAUAUCAUUUGUCUCAAUUCGAUUAGGCAUUCAGAAAUGGCAUCAAAAAUACGAACUCGGUUGUUCGGUUUGCGACAUUUUAUGAUUUGCCACAUUACUCUUUAACCAUAGGGAAUUAGAAAAAUCUUUCAGCAUGUGGAAGGAGCGGUAUUACAACAGCUUUCGAACGCCAUAUUAUUUCCUCAUUCUGAUAAAUGGUUUAGAAAUGCGAUUGAAAAUACGAUUCAAGUUUUUUGUAUGAAGAAAAAACUGUUUUCAAAACUGCUCUUAAACCACUUACAUGUUGCCAAGAUUUUAAGUUGGGUCAUGAUACUGGUGUCCAUAGCUUUCCAACGGUAUAUCGCAAGCCUCAUUUGGGCAACGUUGACGGAAGUUCAACCUAGCACUAAGGGAAGUUCAGGUCAAACAAAUCAGGCAGUAAAAUUGCAAAAAAACGCAAUUUCAUCACGACCCGAGAGCAAAAUCCGCCAGCGAUCGAGAUUUCUAUUUAAAUUUGGUAUUUAGUUGCUAAAAAACCUUUCUAGAUUACACUAACAUCAUAUAGAACACUACUAACCAGAAUAAUUCGCGGGGGAAGCCAUGGUUGCAAAGAUAGCCCGAAGGUCGGGUUCGUACAGAGGAAGUUCAGGCGCGUGUACAAACAAAAAUACUCACAGAAGUUCAACGUGAAAAUAGCAUGAAGUUCAACUACUACGCUGAAUGAAUUUCAGAUGAAAAACUUUUAAAAUCGUUGCGAGUAUGAAAAAAUGAUCAACACGGGAAAGUUGCGUGUUUACAGCUUUCCAUCGGUAUAUCACUUGCUCAAUUCCAGUGAGUGGAUGUAGAGCUAGGAGCAGUGGAUAGAGAUAUACGAGAAAAAAAGCACGUGAAAAACAGAGUGAAGUUCAAGGUUUCAUACCGAGCAGUUCAGGUUCUUCACGCGAUGCAUUUUUGGCGAAUUUGUUUCGCGAUAAAGGCAGAACAAAUGAUCUCACUGUUUUUGAAUUUAUUUGAAAACAGUUAGGAAUCAGAGAAAACUGUCAACAUGAAAAAGUUUCAAAUUUUCCGUAGCUUUUCAGCAGUAUAUUAUUUGCGCCAUUCCGAUAAAGUUUGUAGAACAUAUGGCGAAAAUACGUUUUUGGCCAUUUUCGAAAUUGACUUAAAACCAUAAAGAAUUGGGAGAAAUAAUACAUACCAAAAAGUUUCACACUUGUUCAAGCUUUCCAACGCCAUAUCAUUUGCUGCAUUUGGACGCGCGCUUAAAAAGUUAGCUUGAAAAUACGAACCCGGUAGGACUUGUAUCGUUUUCUAAAUUACUUUUAUACCUUUCAAAAUUAGAAAAACCUUUCAAAAUCAAAGAGUAGCACAUUUUCAUAAGAUUUCCAACACCAUAUCAUAUGCCUCAAUUGGACUAGCCGUUUAGAUAUGACGUUGAAAAUACGAACUCGGCUGUUCGAUUUGUGAAAUUUUAUGUUUUUUCAAAUUACUCUUUAACCAUAGAGAAUUAGAGAAAUUUUUUAACCUGUGUAAGUAGCGGUUUUGCAGCAGCUUUCCAACGCCAUAUUAUAUGCCUCAUUCCGAUAAACGGUUUAGAAAUGCGAUCGAAAAUACGAUUCACGUUUUUUGUGUGAAGAAAAAACGGUUUUCAAAACCGCUCUUAAACCGCUUACAUUUUGCCAAAAAUUUAAGUUGGGUCAUGAUACUGGUAUCCAUAGCUUUCCAACGGUAUAUCGCAAGCCCCAUUUGGGCAAUGUUGGCGGAAGUUCAACCUAGUUCACACGGAAGUUUAACGUACUACUAGCAGGGCAGGUCAGGUUGUGAUCAGAAUAUUAUUCUCAUCCCGUGAUCAGAAUAGUGUUUAUGUAUAUAUAUGGCAACUCACAUCGCAAGCCCCAUUUGGGCAAUGUUGUUUGGGGCACCUAGACCCAUUAUAUGGCAACUCACAUUCACUAGUGCAGAACCGGGCUUUAGCACCGGUUCGUAUGGGCCUUUAGUGCCGGCUCCACAACCGGCACUAAAGAGUGGAGACUAAAUCCCCCCCUCCCCUACUACCGGUUCGGCACGAACCGGCGCUAAAGUGCCACCACGUGGCACGAGCCAGGCCCGGGUGCUGGUAGACCAUUAGUACCGGUUUGUAACACCAACCGGUACUAAAUGUUUGGGGGGGGGGUUGGUUUUAUUUUUUUAUUUUCCAUUAAUUUUGUGUUUUCCAUUUAAUUCUUUUUUGUUUGCUGGUAUUUUACCAAUCUACAUAUUUUACACGUUAUGCAUAUAUAUAAAUAGAUUUUCUCGUAGAACCGCAUAUAUAUAUAUCAUUGAAUGUCUCACAACCAACACCAUUAGUUAUUCACACACACACACACACACACACACACACACACACACACACACACAUAUAUAUAUAUAUAUAUAAAAUUUCUCUACAUGUUGCCUUGGUGCCUUCAGAGCACGAUGACAAGUGGUUCAUGGGGGCGGUAGCGGCUAAUAGUAUUCUCCUUUGGGAUCUAUGACCUGGUUGAGCAAAAAUCCCGCUAUUUCCUCUCGAAGUGCUAGUAUGCAGUCCGCUGGGAGGAGCUGCUCCCGCACCUCUCUGAACUAUUAAGAAGGAGAUCAAUAUGCAUGUGUAUUAGUUGUGUGACUAGAUAUCGAUAAUGGUGUGAAUAGUUUCUGACAAACGUACCCAGUCCUGUCUUUGAGAUCUGCUCCUUUCGGACGCCAUCAUGCGAAUGUUCUCUCAAACGUAGUAUGCACACAGAUCAUUUCCCAACGCCUGCCUUAGGGACUUUACGAGAAUGGAAUUGAACCAUAUAAUGAUUAGUCAAGCAUGAUAAUUAAUUAAUGGUAUUGAAACAAGAAUUAAAGAGAUGGAAGCUAGCUAGCUAGCUAGUACUACUUAAUUACUUACCUUUGGUCGAUACCAAAACAACUUUUUUGCCCAUUUGCCUGGAGUCACCUUGAUGAACUUUGCCCAAGCCCUGCCCGCUGGCAAAGAAAAUUAAUAAAGGGGUUAUUAAAUAGUUCAUAUCAGGAAAUGACGAACUAAAUAGGCUGAGAUAUAGUUAAUAAUGAUUGAAAUUACCUGCUGACUAUCCCCUUCAAUAUGGUGUAGUCACUUUCUUUUUUAAGUAGUGAGUCCAGUACUUCAACUUUUCCUUCGUCAACUUUAAUGUCUAACAAGAUCCAGUGGAAACUGCAUGCGCACACGUUUGCAUGUCUUAAUUAAGCGGGCAUGUGCAUAACAGUAAUCAACUACCAUAAACCCUAUACACUUAAUUAUUAACAUCUAGCUAGCUAGUAAGCAAAAACAUAAUUUAUAGUACAAGACAGUGUGACUCACAGGAAGUUGUAAGGAAGUAAUAUAUCUUCAUUGGUACUGAGGCGCUUGAAGAACUCUAGUACGCUUUCCUCUAAACUUACUCGAUAACUUGGAAGAUUCCAUGUGUACUCCUUAAUGGUAUUUGGGUCAAUGAACCCAAUGCCAUAGCGUCCAUAUUUUUUCAUUUCAUACAACUUCAUCCUGCAUAUAAUACCACAUAAAAGAAUAUAGUGAGGAUACUUACAUGUAAUGAUUGAUCAAAAUGAUCACUACAGCUAUCUUGAGACUUAAAUUACAGAAAGAAAUCACUUACAGACAAUAGCAACUGACGAUAGAUUUGUCGAGUGCGUCUUGAUUGUAUAACUGAAAUAGUUCUGAAUACUCAACGGAUAGAGGUUUCUCAUGGAAGUAAUGCUCCUCAUUGACAUUCACCAUGAGGGAUUCUCGAUUGGAAAUCUUGGUAAUUUUCAUGUAUCAUUGAUGCAAUUCAUACAUUUUUGUUGGGAGGUUCUUGACCUUGACUGGCUCGACCAAAGGUUGGCCCCGGACAUAUUUCUGUUUUAUUUCCUCCUCUCUAAGCGGAGACAUGGGCUCGAUUUCGAGGAGUUGUCCAACAGUGAUCUUGAACAUUUUAGCCUGCAUUAUAUGCUCCUCGGUUAUUACCACAUCACCCAGCUGGGGAACGUUAACGGUUUGCCCACAAUAAUAUUGGGCGCGCGUACUCUCAUGUGUUGUUGGCACAACAAGCGGGGGGAUCGAUUGCGCCGCUUGUUCUCCCAGCUGGGGAAUGGUUUUCCUGCAUUUUUUGACAAAUGCUUGUUGGCUCGAGCUCGAGCUCGCUUCCUUCUGUAGUCGUGAUCCAUGUAGCUUCCUGAGUUGGCACUCAUAGUCUGAGUCAACAGGCUUGGGAGCUGGUUUUCUUGCCAUAUGAAUAAAGUGGUCAAUAACUUUCUCAGGCACUUUCUCCAUUGGCGGCGGUGCCGGGUUCGGUCCAAAAUGGGCGUCCACUUGGGCCUGCACUAUGGCUGCGUUUUGCUCCUCGGUCAUAUCGCAAGGCCUCUGAGGAAGAGGAGCGAGGCUUGGACCAUAUUUAUAUCGCUUGUCUCUGCCUGUACUUCCUGUACUACCUCGACUCGUACCGUCAUGCACCAUAGCUGCGGCGUGUCUCUUCUGCGAUUGCUGAGACGGCUGACGUGGUUGAGUUGAGCAGGAGGAGUGGCCUGACGCUGUGUCGGACUUGAAGCAGGAGGUGUGGCCUAACAUGGUGUCGGACUUGAAAUAGGAGGAGUGGCCUGACACUGUGCCAGACUUGAAGCAGGAGUCUGCUCACGCGUUCGUGGACUUGGAAGAGGUGGCGGACUUAGAGGAGGAGUCGGCUCACGCGUUCGUGGACUUGGAGGAGUGGGAGUGUGCUGACUUGGUGGCGGACUUCGAGGAGGAGUCGACAGACGUGGUGUCGGUGGACUUCAAAAGAUGUUACAAUCCUUUCUCCAUAGGAUGAUACGAUGUAUGGCCUCUCCUAGUGUGCGCUCGUCAUCACCUCCAGGAAUGUCAAGAUGUAGCCUCGAAUAUGGGUCCACCACUUCAUCAACCAAGACACGAGCAUAGCCCACUGGAAUCGGGGUGCAAUGGAAGGUUGCUUCGGGGGUAAUUGUAAAAGCAACGGCGUCCGCCACCUUCAUGGAUAUGUUCUUCAUUUUGGAGUGUAGCUCACAGUUAGUGUUCUCUAUGAUGUCAUUCACAGGGUAUGUAUCUAGCAGUGUGUCGCUCGGGGCGGAACCAAUGCUUCUUCUCGGCAUGGAUGGGACGGUGCUAUCCAAUGCUAGACGAUCAUCCGCUUGCUGCUACCGCUGCUGAGACCCCCUUUCCUGGCUAAGUGAGUCGAUCUGCUGCUGCUGCUGGAAUUUGAGUGCCAAGUCCGAGUGCCUUGAUUCUAGGCCUUGAAGGCGUUUUGCGUUCUGCUUCCUUUGCUCCUCCUACAGCUUCCUCUUCUUCUCCUCUUGCAUCUUCUUUCUUGCACGGGUCCUGUAGUCAUCGUUCCAUUCCGAAAAUCCCUCAUACCAGGGAAUAACGCCCUUGCCUCGUGUUCUUCCCGGGUGUUCAGGAUUUCCCAGGGCGCGCGUAAUCUCUUCGUUCUCUCUGUUGAGCGUGAACACCCCCUUUCGAGCAUCUUUUAUUGCGUCAAGUAUCUUUUGUUCGGCUCCUUUUAGACUUGCCUUCUUCGAAACCAGGCCUGUCUUCGGGUCCCACGGCCCCCAUGCGCAUAGAACCAAGUUCUGCACCUGGGGGCCAGCUCCUAGUAACCGGAGUGACCCCUGCAUCCUCCAUCUCUUGUUCAGACUUAUCCCGCUUAGGCAUUCCCACCGCGUAGCCACCUGGACCCAGCCUAUGGAGCUGCGUCUUUUUUGCGGCAUUGGCCUUGUUUUUUCUCGACCGUUGCUUAGAUAAUUCUGAUUCCUUUAAUUCCACGAAAGCGGCUCAGUGUUCUCUUUUCUUCUCCAGUGUUCCCUUGAAUUCUGGAGUCUUCCUUUCUGCAGUGAGGUAGUGGGCCCAUACAGUUUUCUUGUGGGUGUUGAAUGCAAUAGCCAUCUUCUUAAGAGCAACGUCCUUGACUUUCUGCACAUCUGCAUCAGUGAAAUAAUCUAGUAGGGUGAAAUGUUCCAUCAGAGAUUCCCAAAGGUUUUUUUUGCUCUGUCGUCGACCCAAGUAACAUCUAGACGUUUAGUUUUUGGCUCUUUCCAUUCUUGAAUGGAGAUCGGGAGUUGGUCCUUCACAAGAACUCCGCACUAACGAGUCCACUUGUUCGCAAUGUUCUUAGGCAUGAGGGGUUCGCCACUAGAUUUGAUGGAGUCGAUGUUGUACUUUAGACCCUCCUUCAACUUUUUGCCCGGGCCUCGAUUUGUCCUGGUGUUUGUAGAAGCAGAUUUGCUCGAUCCAGAGGGCUAAAAGAAGAAAGAUCGAUUCGUUAAUAUAUCUUCAAAUAAAAAAAACAUGUGAUGAUCACCAGAUUCCUGCUUAUAUAAAUAUACCUCACCGGUAGUGUUUGUUAUUUCAAGAUUAACAUUAUUGUCUGUGUCAUCAUAAACAUUGUCUGCGUCAUCAUAAUCAUAAUCAUAGUUCAUUACUUCAUCAGCUCGGUCGUCGAGAUCGAAUAUCUUAUCAUCACCCUCUCUGGUACUGUUCAGAUAUUGGGAGCCGUCAUCUACUUCAUUCAGAUCAUCUAGCCUGCGAGGGCUGCGUAUGAUCUCGAACAAUUCCUCUUCUCUCUCUCUGCCGGUAUUGUCCGCUAUAGCUUUUACUUAACUAAUAUAGAAGAAAUAUAAAACAAUUUAUUAUUCAAAUUACAAUGCUUGGAUGCAAUCAAUAAGGAAGAACUGAAUCAUAUAGUACAUAAUAUGCAUCAUCUCGAUUAAUAUCUAAUCUCGAAUACAUCAUCUCGAAUAAUAUAUAUAAUCUCGAAUACAUCAUCUCGAAUAUUAUAUAUUGAAUACAUCACUGGCUAGGUACCUAAUAAAGAUCGGAUACUAUAGAAGAAUCUAGGCCACUCACGGUUCCUGAGGCGAGGGCGGUGGAUACCCAAAGAGAAGGAACCAUUACAGGAUCAUAUCUCCGGUCAUCUACCCAAAGACCCUACCAAGUAUUGGAGAACCUGACGUCCAUAGCGGCCAUGUAGCAAUGGACGUGCUCGUCCUCCUCCCUGACACGGCGAUGCACCACCUCCGGCGGGUCCGGCUCCCUCUACACCGAAUGUGGCCCACGCGAACGCCACCAAAGGAGAUCAGGGUCGACGACGGGACCCGAGGCCGGGUUCCUCACCAAGCGGCGUGCCCCUCUAGGUAGCACCUCCCAGUGCUAGCCCGGCGGAGCCCAGUCCCGGACAUGGGUCAGCCGGAUGUCAUCGCGAACGGGUCGACGGCGAGGAUGCGGGUUGGGCAUCAUCGAGAACAAAUACUAUAUGCCCGCAAAAAGUAAUUUUUUUAAAUGGUUGGAUUGUGAUAACUAAAAUUCUAUAUGCAAAUAUUAACAAUUUGACAUUAAUCUAAUUCAUCUAACUAAAACUAAUUAUAAAAUUCCUAACAUUUCUAUAUAUAUAACAAACAUUUCUAUAACAUUUCUAAUAUUCCUAUAACUAAAAAAUACAAAAAUUGCUAACAUUUCUAUAACUUAAAAACAGAAAAAAUUUAUAAAAUUUCUAUAUAACUAACAUUUCUAUAAUAUUUCUAAUAUUUCUAUAAUAAAAAUAGAAAAAUUUCUAACAUUUCUAUAGAUAUUUCUAUAACUAGAAAACAGAAAAAUUUCUAUAACUAAAAUUUAUAACUAAAAAACUAAUGUGUAUGUGUGUGUGUGUGUGUGUGUGUGUGUGUGUGGACAUGGCGACCGGGGCAGGAGCUCACCGGCGAGGCGCGGCGACGGGGACGGAGACGGNNNNNNNNNNNNNNNNNNNNNNNNNNNNNNNNNNNNNNNNNNNNNNNNNNNNNNNNNNNNNNNNNNNNNNNNNNNNNNNNNNNNNNNNNNNNNNNNNNNNNNNNNNNNNNNNNNNNNNNNNNNNNNNNNNNNNNNNNNNNNNNNNNNNNNNNNNNNNNNNNNNNNNNNNNNNNNNNNNNNNNNNNNNNNNNNNNNNNNNNNNNNNNNNNNNNNNNNNNNGGCGGGGAGAUGGGGCGGGGCACGGCGACGGGGACGGGGACGGCCGGGGCGGCGACGGCGACGGGGACGGCGACGGACGCCGACAGGGACGGUGAUGAACGGCGAUGGGGACGGUGACAGGGGCGGCGACGAGGGGCGGCGGCGACGGGGCAGAGGAGAAAGAAGCAGAGGGAGAGAUGAGAAACUGAAUCUUUUUGAAGUGCUUUCUUAUAUAGAACAUGCCUUUAGUACUGGUUGGAGCCACCAACCGGUACUAAAGGUCUGUUUUGGCCAGGCCAAGCGGUGGGAAGCGCCCCCUCUUUAGUACCGGGUGGUGGCACCAACCGGUACUAAAGACCCCCUCUUUAGUACCGGUUGGAGCCACGACCCGGUACUAAAGGUGGUGCACUGGUGCAGGUUCGGUGCGGCAAGUUUAGUCCCACCUCGCUAGACGAGGGGCGUCCGCACUGGUUUAUAAGCCCCAGUGCGGUAGUUCUCUCGAGCUCCUCUCUAAAGCAGGCCUACUGGGCCUACCUGUUCUCUGCUGCCUUGUGGGCCUACUGGGCCUUUGCGGGCCUGCAUCCUGGCCCAACAACACGUUGGGUUUCUAGUCGUAUGCAGGCCGCUCUGGCCUAGUAGGCGGGCUUUUUUAUUUUCUUAUUUUUUUUCUUUAUUUAUUUUUGAGUUGUUUUUUGCUGCAUUUAGAGUUUCUUUGUGAAUAUUUUUGCUUUAGGUACAAAAAAUUAUAAACUUUCUGUUAGUGCCGGUAGUUUUCAAAUUUGAAUAGUUUAAAUUUUGAAUUAUUUGAAAUUUGUAUGAAUCACUAGUUUGUGAAUAACUUAACUUUGAAAAUAGAUUUUUCAGUGAUUCUUUUUUCUUAUGUGUAAUAUUAGUGUGUUUUAUCACUAUAUUCAAUUUGGUAAUGCUUAGGUUAUUUAAAAAUUCAAAUGCCUUUGUAACAAAUAAGUUUUUGUCCGAAACCCUGAUACUUCGAAAGAGAUUUUCUAUUUUGUACACGAAGUGCCUCCAGUUUUUGCGGCAACCAUCUCUACUUUUUUGCACAUGCUAUGUGGGUGAAAUCAUGAUACCAUGCCAACUUUCAACCUUUUCUGAGUUCAUUUGAAAUGCUUUUCAAUUUCAGGGUCAUUUAGCUGAAAAAAAUCAGUAAAUGCAGGAAAGAAUUUGUUUGCACAUUAAAUUUCUUCGCGUUUCAAAUGCCAAAACACAUAAUUACCCUAACUAUUACAGAGAUUCCCUCCUGGGUGUGAAAUACAGAAGAAAGUGAUGAUAGUGAAGCCGAUCACAUCCCAGAUCUUUGGGUGUGAAACUUUUUCCACUACUGGAAUCAGCUACUUUCCAUCUGCCAGCUAGCGGACGGCAAAGAAGCUCUUUGCCAUCAGCUACCGAAAAGCAGACGACAAAGAAACAGCGGACGACAAAGAAGCUCUUUGCCAUCGGCCGGCUCUUUGCCGUCAGCUGGCUGACGGCAAAGAGAUAGGUGGCCCCCACCCCCCGCCCGUUUAGAAAAAACUUAAUGCCCCACCUCUUUGCCGCCCGUUAGCAGAUGACAAAGAGAGAUAAAGGCAGACGACAAAGAGAGGCGGAUGACAAAGAGCAGGGUAACUAAGGGCCGCCACCCCCCCACCCGUUANNNNNNNNNNNNNNNNNNNNNNNNNNNNNNNNNNNNNNNNNNNNNNNNNNNNNNNNNNNNNNNNNNNNNNNNNNNNNNNNNNNNNNNNNNNNNNNNNNNNNNNNNNNNNNNNNNNNNNNNNNNNNNNNNNNNNNNNNNNNNNNNNNNNNNNNNNNNNNNNNNNNNNNNNNNNNNNNNNNNNNNNNNNNNNNNNNNNNNNNNNNNNNNNNNNNNNNNNNNNNNNNNNNNNNNNNNNNNNNNNNNNNNNNNNNNNNNNNNNNNNNNNNNNNNNNNNNNNNNNNNNNNNNNNNNNNNNNNNNNNNNNNNNNNNNNNNNNNNNNNNNNNNNNNNNNNNNNNNNNNNNNNNNNNNNNNNNNNNNNNNNNNNNNNNNNNNNNNNNNNNNNNNNNNNNNNNNNNNNNNNNNNNNNNNNNNNNNNNNNNNNNNNNNNNNNNNNNNNNNNNNNNNNNNNNNNNNNNNNNNNNNNNNNNNNNNNNNNNNNNNNNNNNNNNNNNNNNNNNNNNNNNNNNNNNNNNNNNNNNNNNNNNNNNNNNNNNNNNNNNNNNNNNNNNNNNNNNNNNNNNNNNNNNNNNNNNNNNNNNNNNNNNNNNNNNNNNNNNNNNNNNNNNNNNNNNNNNNNNNNNNNNNNNNNNNNNNNNNNNNNNNNNNNNNNNNNNNNNNNNNNNNNNNNNNNNNNNNNNNNNNNNNNNNNNNNNNNNNNNNNNNNNNNNNNNNNNNNNNNNNNNNNNNNNNNNNNNNNNNNNNNNNNNNNNNNNNNNNNNNNNNNNNNNNNNNNNNNNNNNNNNNNNNNNNNNNNNNNNNNNNNNNNNNNNNNNNNNNNNNNNNNNNNNNNNNNNNNNNNNNNNNNNNNNNNNNNNNNNNNNNNNNNNNNNNNNNNNNNNNNNNNNNNNNNNNNNNNNNNNNNNNNNNNNNNNNNNNNNNNNNNNNNNNNNNNNNNNNNNNNNNNNNNNNNNNNNNNNNNNNNNNNNNNNNNNNNNNNNNNNNNNNNNNNNNNNNNNNNNNNNNNNNNNNNNNNNNNNNNNNNNNNNNNNNNNNNNNNNNNNNNNNNNNNNNNNNNNNNNNNNNNNNNNNNNNNNNNNNNNNNNNNNNNNNNNNNNNNNNNNNNNNNNNNNNNNNNNNNNNNNNNNNNNNNNNNNNNNNNNNNNNNNNNNNNNNNNNNNNNNNNNNNNNNNNNNNNNNNNNNNNNNNNNNNNNNNNNNNNNNNNNNNNNNNNNNNNNNNNNNNNNNNNNNNNNNNNNNNNNNNNNNNNNNNNNNNNNNNNNNNNNNNNNNNNNNNNNNNNNNNNNNNNNNNNNNNNNNNNNNNNNNNNNNNNNNNNNNNNNNNNNNNNNNNNNNNNNNNNNNNNNNNNNNNNNNNNNNNNNNNNNNNNNNNNNNNNNNNNNNNNNNNNNNNNNNNNNNNNNNNNNNNNNNNNNNNNCGACCCCGACACCGCCGGUAUUCUUUUAUUUUGUACUUGAUGAUGAUACACUUAAGUGAUAUACAUAUUAUUAUUCAUGUUCGUAUUUUUUUUAUGUUGUACUAAUUUUGUUAACUGUUUGUCAUGGCAGAUGUUGAAAGAUGGUGGGCGCUGGUCGGGAGAGCUCGGAGGACCCUUCUUCAUCGGCGUGUGGUGCGAGGUCUUCUAUUCCACAUGCACCUCUCCGUCGAGCGUUGCUGGACAGUAUGGCGACACCGCCGGGCCCUUCUUCGUCGACCGCGGUGCCAAGCAGGGGCCGAGGUAAGAAGAAGAGAGGAGAUGGAGGACGUGGUCGCGAUAGAGGAGGUAGGGUGACUGCCAGGGCGCCUUCCUCGCCGCCACCCCAGCUGUUUCACCCGAGCACGUGACUGCUAGGGUGGACUCGUCCGAGGAGGAGGCUACACGGACUCCGGUCCACGAGCCUCGGGUUGACGGGCCUUCGGGCCACGAGAGUUCGGCCCACGAGACCUCGGAGGAACACACGUCUUGAUGGGGUACCUGGCCGGAUCAGCGUGAGGGGCCGAGUGGCCAUGCUGAUGAUGGCGGGGACACGCCUGAUAUUGAGGAGGAGGGUGGCACCAUCUACCAGCGUGGUUGUACAUGGCUCUCGGACGUGCCGGCGACCCACGAGCAGAGGUGGUUGAUUUUCCCUGAUGGGGAGAGGUAAGUGCAUGUAAUUUUUUUGUACCUUUCUGCAUUCACGUUUCUUCAAAUAUAUAAUGCGUUGGCCUUGUCAUGCUGCAGGGGUUGGGACCACCACCAUAGUGUCCGUCGGCCCAACUCCGUCCUUGGAGUUCUUUGUCGGCAAAACUUCCCGGGGUUUGUCACGUUGCCUGGUCAGGGUCGGCUUCCAGAGCUUGGAUUGAGUUGGGAGCACUACUUGGCUGCCUCGGCCCCGCCGGGUCAGAUUAUCAAUGGUGUCUUGUGCAAGAUGAGGGCAGACGUGGUGAUUAGAAAGUUCUGGGUAAUUUCUCCUUUACACAAUUAAAAAUCUUUAACUAGAUAGUUAUUAAUUGUACUAAUCAAUAUUGUGUCAUUUGAUUGCAGACAUUAUACAGGUGUGAGGAGGGAUACGAGGAGGCGGCGGCAAAUGUUAUCGAUAACGUCUGCAAGCUCCUACUACAUAACUUACGGCACGAGGCUCGGGUGCAGGCUGUUCGAGACUACUACGCCUCGCGUGGUAUUAAGAAGACCAAGCCGGCGUGCCGCGAGAAGUUCUUGAGUAAGGAGGAGUACAUGAAGGUAAUUCUUAAGGCCUUCUACUUUACUUCCUUCAUUUAGUAAUUCAUAGCCGUAGCGCUCAAGUUUCUAUUUCCUAACUUAGGCCCCUCCGAGAUGGUGUGCGGAUCGGAUGGAUUGCUGGGAGGUGUUGGUCAAUGAGUGGUGCUCAAAAGAAUGGCUAUCCCUGCACAACAAGGCCGAGGACAAACGUGCCCAAAUGGAAGGUGUGCCACACCAUCAAGGCAGCUCCAUCUUAUAUUAGUACGGGCGGAACUGGGUAUGUGGUUUGCUUCAUGAUUCAUGCAAUUCAUUCAUCAUGCUAGCUUGAGCCCUUUAAUUACUAAUUUACUUUGUUUCUCUCUUUCAGACACGCUACAAUAAGGCAGAUAAGGUGCCAAAGGUGUACGACCUGUAUGCCAUGGCCCACACUGGCUCUUACAAUAAAGUCAAGGCAUUCUCUGCGUCUGACCUCGAUGAUCCAAAAAACUUCACCAACAUCUCCUCCCACGACAAGCUCAUGAGAUAUAGAGAUGAGGGGAAGGCGAGGAAAGGGGAGGACUUUAACCCGAGCCAAGGUCCCAUUGAUACAGAGCUGCUGAUGAUAUCUGGUGGUGGGAGGUCCCAUGGCUCCAUAGCCAUGGGAGAUGGACUUAUCCGUUGUCCUAGAUAUGGAUGGAUGGAUGUAUGAAUGGAUGGAACUAUAUAUGUAUGUACGAUGAAACUUAUGUGCUAGAUAUUUCAUAUGUUUGCUGUUAAAUAGCCUUGUGAAAUAUAUUUUUAUGUCAUAUAUAUUUGCUGUUAAAACUGUUGGAUUAAAAAAAAUACAUAAAAAAGAGGUAAUGUAGGAUCUUUGCCGUCAGCCACUGAUGGCAAAGCCUCCUUCGCCGACAGCCGCGAACGGCAAAGAAGUCACGCGGCGGCCACCUGUGCGUCCUGGUGGGCUGACCCAUUUGGUCAGUUUGCCUACAGUGGCGGACGGCAAAGUCUUUGCCUACAGCAGCGGACGGCAAAGGCUUUGCCUACAGCGGCGGACGGCAAAGGCUGCCGUUAGCCAGCUAACGGACUAACCACGUAUUCUUUGCCGUAUGCUUUCUUUGCCGUCCGCUGCUGAUGGCAAAGGCCCCUUUGCCGUCAGCCUCGGAAAGCGGACGGCAAAUUAGAUCUUUGCCGAUCCUUACUUUGCCGGAGCCUUUUGCCGUCCGUGGCAGACGACAAAGACCUUUGCCGUCCGCCAUUCCUGCCUUUGCCGUCCGCCAUGGCUGAUGGCAAAGUAGAUGAUUCCUGUAGUGUUCUUCGCAUGUGUCCCUUUGCACCGUAUCUAUGGACAAUCUUCAUCAUUUAACAGGAUGCUCGGGUCAACAUUCACUUUGAAUGGAGCAAUUUCAUCAAAAUUUUCAUAAUCUUCUGACAUGUCUGUCUUGUCAUCCACUCCCACGAUGUUUCUUUUCCCUGAAAGAACUAUGUGGCGCUUUGGCUCAUCGUAUGAUCCAUUCGCUUCCUUAUCUUUUCUUUUUAUCGGCCUGGUAGACAUGUCUUCCACAUAAAAAACCUGCGCCACAUAAUUGGCUAGGACGAAUGGUUCGUCUGCAUACGCAAGAUUGUUGAGAUCCACUGUUGUCAUUCCAUACUGCGGGUCUUCCGUUACCCCGCCUCGUGUCAUAUUGACCCAUUUGCACCGAAACAAAGGGACCUUCAAACCACCUCCAUAGUUAAGUUCUCAUAUGUCCUCUAUGUAACCAUAAUAUGUUUCCUUUCCCGUGUUGGUUGUUGCAUCAAAGCGAACACCACUGUUUUGGUUGGUUCUCUUCUUAUCUUGGGCGAUCGUGUAAAAUGUAUUCCCAUUUAUCUCGUACCCUUUGAAAAUCAUUAUAUUGAAAGAUGGUAACUGGGACAUCGAGUACAGGUCAUCUUCAAUAUCGCCAUCACACAUGGCAUGUUUCUGCAACCAACCGGCGAAAGUCCUCAUUUGUUCAUGUGUAAUCCAGUCGUCAGACUGCUCCUGGUUUUUGGAGUGUAGAAAAUUCUUGUGUUCCUCCAUAUACGGAGCCACCAAGGCGGAAUUCUGUAGAACUGUGUAGUGUGCUUCAGUGAGAGAAUGCCCGUCCAUACAUAUUAUUUGAUCCCCUCCUAGCGUUCCUUUUCCACCAGUCUGCUCUUAUGCCGCGAUUCAAGAACACCAAUCGGCUUAAGGUCAGGAAUAAAUUCAAUACAAAACUCAAUGACCUCCUCAUUUUCAUGGCCCUUCGAGAUGCUUCCUUCUGGCCUAGCACGGUUAUGAACAUAUUUCUUCAAGACUCCUAUGAACCUCUCAAAGGGGAACAUAUUGUGUAGAAAUACAGGACCCAAAACGUUAAUCUCUUUGCAAAGGUGAACUAGGACGUGCGUCAUGAUGUUGAAGAAGGAUGGUGGGAACACCAACUCGAAACUGACAAGACGUUGCACCAAAUCAUUCUGUAACCUUGGUAUGAUUUCUGGAUCGAUUACCUUAUGAGAGAUUGCAUUGAGGAAUGCACAUAGCUUCACAAUGGCUAAUCGAACGUUUUCCGGUAGAAGCCCCCUCAAUGCAACCGGAAGCAGUUGCGUCAUACUCACGUGGAAGUCAUGAGACUUUAGGUUCUGGAACUUUUUCUCUGCCAUAUUUAUAAUUCCCUUUAUAUUCGACGAGAAGCCAGACGGUACCUUCAUACUGAGCAGGCAUUCAAAGAAGAUUUCCUUCUCUUCUUUGGUAAGAGCGUAGCUGGCCUAACCCUGAUGUAUGCCAUCUUUUCCGUGCAUACGUUGCUGGUCCUCCCAUGCCUCUGGUGUAUCUUUUGUCUUCCCAUACACGCCCAUGAAGCCAAACAGGGUCACGCAAAGAUUCUUCAUCACGUGCAUCACAUCGAUUGGGAGCGGACCUCUCGGUCUUUCCAAUAUGGUAGGUCCCAAAAUAUGGAUUUCUUCUUCCACAUGGGUGCGCGCCCGUCAGCAUCCUUCGGAACAGGUUGUCCGCCAGGACCCUUUCCAAAGAUUACCUUCAAAUCCUUGACCAAAUCAUGUACAUCAGCACCAGUACGGUGGCGAGGCUUCGUUCGGUGAUCCGCCUCACCUUUGAAAUGCUUGCCUUUCUUUCUUACGGGAUGCCUGCUCGGAAGAAAUCGACGAUGUCCCAGGUACACAUUCUUCCUACAACUAUCCAAAUAUAUACUGUCGGUAUCAUCCAAACAGUGCGUGCAUCCGCGAUAUCCCUUGUUUGUCUGUCCUGAAAGGUUACUGAGAGCAGGCCAAUCAUUGAUGGUCACGAACAACAAUGCCUUUAGGUCAAAAUCUUCCUGUUUGUGUUCAUCCCACGCACGUACACCUUUUCCAUUCCACAGCUGUAAUAGUUCUUCAACUAAUGGCCUUAGAUAUACAUCAAUGUCGUUGCCGGGUUUCUUAGGGCCUUGGAUGAGCACUGGCAUCAUAAUGAACUUCCGCUUCAUGAACAACCAAGGAGGAAGGUUAUACAAACAUAGAGUCAUAGGCCACGUGCUAUGGUUCCUGCUCUGCUCCCCAAAAGGAUUAAUGCCAUCUGCGCUUAGACCAAACCAUACGUUCCUUGGGUCACCUACAAACUCCUCCCUGUACUUUCUCUCAAUUUUAUCCACUGCGACCCGUCAGCGGGUACUCUCAACUUUCCGUCUUUCUUACGGUCUUCUCUGUGCCAUCGCAUCGCCUUCGCAUGCUCUUUGUUUUGGAACAAACGUUUCAACCGUGGUAUUAUAGGAGCAUACCACAUCACCUUGGCAGGAAUCUUCUUCCUGGGGCGCUCUCCCUCGACAUCACCAGGGUCAUCGCGACUGAUCCUAUAACGCAAUGCACCGCAUACUGGGCAAGCGUUCAAAUCCUCGUACUCACCGCGGUAGAGGAUGCAGUCAUUAGGGCAUGCAGGUAUCUUCUACACCUUUAACCCUAGAGGGCAGACAACCUUCUUUGCUUCAUACGUACUCUCGUGAAAUUCGUUGUCCUUUGAAAGCAUAUUCUUUAUCAUUACUAGCAACUUUCCAAAUCCCUUGUCAGAUACACCAUUCUCUGCCUUCCAUUGCAGCAAUUCCAGUGUGGUUGGUGCCCAACUUUUUUUGUCAGCUUCGCAAUUCGGGUACAACAAUUUCUUGUGAUCCUCUAACAUGCGCUGCAACUUCUUCUUCUCCAAAUCACUUGCACAGUUUCUCUUUGCAUCGGCAAUGGCCCAACCUAGAUCGUCAGCGGGCUCAUCUGAUGCCUCUUCUUUAGCUUCUUCCCAUUGCCGGCUCAGCUUCUUCCCCCAUUGUUGUAUCAUUGUAUUCAGGGAACCCAUGGCCAGGAUAGCUGUCUUCGUCCUAUUCUUCUUCAUUGUCUACCAUCAUAACCCCUCUUUCUCCGUGCUUGGUCCAAACAUUAUAGUGGGGCAUGAAACCGGACUCAAAUAGGUGGAUGUGAAUGGUUCUUGACGUUGAGUAAUUGUGACCAUUCUUACAGCCAGCACAUGGACAAGGCAUAAAACCAUCCGUCCGCUUGUUUGCCUCAGCAGCAAGCAGAAAAGUAUGCAUGCCAUUAAUGAACUCGGGAGAGCAUCGGUCGUCAUACAUCCACUAUCGGCUCAUCUUCAUUACACAACACUGAAAGGACCAAAUUAAUACAAGUUCAUACAUAAAGUUCAUACAUAUAUAUAGUUCAUACAACACUUAAAUGCAACAAACAAAUAACUCUCUAGCUAAAGCAUUUAAAUGCAACAACAAAUGCGAUCAAGAUUGCAACUAAGGUAACAAUUGAUCCAACAACAUAAUGAUACCAAGCCUCACUAUCAAUGGCAUAUUUUCUAAUCUUUCUAAUCUUCAAGCGCAUUUUCUCCAUCUUGAUCUUGUGAUCAUCGACGACAUCGGCAACAUGCAACUCCAAUUCCAUCUUCUCCCCCUCAAUUAUUUUCAAUUUUUCUUUCAAAUACUCAUUUUCUCUUUCAACUAAAUUUAACCUCUCGACAAUAGGGUCGGUUGGAAUUUCUGGUUCACAUACCUCCUAGAUAAAAAUAUCCAUGUCAACUUGAUGGGCAUAAUUUGUCAUAAACACGAAAUGCAACAACUAGUUUUAAAAUAGAAUAUACCACAUCCGAAUCAUAACAAGGACGAGGGCCGAUGGGGACGGAUAUCAAAACCAUGGCACUAUGUAUAACAAACAACGUACGGGUAAGAUAAUUAUAUGAGUAACUAUAUAUCCAAAUCACACAAACAUCAAUUUGGUAAUGUAAAACAUUCAUGAACAAGAGCCUCACCACAAGAUGGUGCCGGCGACGGGACGGUGCGGGUGAUUGACGGUGGUUACGACGGAGAUUUAGAAGGCACUAAGUAAACCUCACCUACAUAUGCAAACUAAGUGUUAUUUUUGACCUCAAAUUGCAUAUAAAUCAAAUACUAGCACAUAUACUUCCUCCCAAAUUACUAAACUCACAAAUUAAUCACUAUACAAAGCAUUGCAAGAGCUAAUCUAGCAAUGAGAGAUGAAAGGACAAAGUUGCUAACCUUUGUGAUCAUUUGAAUGGAUGAGGGCCUUUAAAUCUUGACAAAUUUUGGGCAAAAUGUGUGAUGAGCUCGAGGAAGAGGGGAAGAACAGAGGAGGAGAGGGGAAAGGGGAAGAACAGAGCGAGCUCGGGUGGACGAAGGGUUUAUGUAGGACGACCUUUAGUACCGGUUCGUAACACAAACCGGUACUAAAGGUGCUGGAGGGGCCCCAGACUGACAACAUCCCGCGACCACUGACUUUAGUACCUGUUCGUGGCACGAACCGGUGCUAAAGGUUCGCCACGAACCGGUACUAAUGAGAACGGCUGGCUAGCCAUUGGAACCGGCACUAAUGGACACAUUUGACCCUUUUUCUACUACUGAUUUGUAGUGCAUGAUGUACAAUAGACGACAAAUUGAGUUUCCAAAUUUGUUUGCAUGCACUACAACCAUCAAUGGUCAUUGAUUUCUUUUCAAAAAAACAAAUAUACUAUUGUUUCCUAGCAAUGACUUCUUUUCAAACAAACAGGGUAUAUAUGUACGCUCUGAUUUUUAAGUUAUCAGAUACGACCGAAUAAUAUAAGGCCAUGUCAUGCUUUUUAACGCCUAAUAUUUCUAUACAAAUUAAGAUGACCAUAUAAUAUAAAAUGUGACCCAAAUUAUUAUUUUACUUUUAGGAAAAUAUGAUGCAUGUUGAUACCCAUAGAUAUUUUUUUCGUGCGUACAAAUACCCAUAGACGAUUCUUUUUAGUUUUAGGAAUGCACAUUGUUUGCCAAUACCCACACAUGAUUUUUCCCAUGUGUAUGUGGACCUAAGAUAUCACACCCGCAUACCCUUUUUCAUCAUGCUUUGUAGAUAUAAACAAAAUUGAUAUACUUUGGACGGUACAUACGCGAACACUAUCUUUUUAUUGCACGUAUAUUUUGUUGAGACAUACUUGUAACUGAUACUGGGGAUAUACCCAAAAAUUGUAUAAUUUACAUAUACCUAAUAUAUAUGAUAUGUACAUAUACCUAAUAUAUUAUACAUACAAACUCAUUUUUUAGUACAUGUAUAUGCCUUGAAGACAUAUCCAAAAACAAUAUAGUUUUAAUGGGGACAUACCUAAUAAUGAUAUACUCUUUUUUGGGGUAUGUAUAUGUACCUAAGAUAUUGUACACGCAAACUAUUUUCUUCAAAAGUGUCAUGUGACAUACGUUUCUCCAAAAAGGUAUACAACAUCAAUAAAAUAUGAAUUCUUGUUCUCUGUAGAAAAGCACACGUACCAUGCAUGUGACCAUUGAUUGUUCAUUCUUGCUCACUACAAGAAAUAUGUCAACUAGUGACCUUCUGUCAGUGACCUUGGAAGAAUUGGUCAUAGAUCUAUGACCAUUUGAGACCAAUUGGUCAAAAGCUAUUCCGGGGGCUCCAAACCCUAAACCAUUGCGACCAUUUUGGUCAGAAAGGUCGUAAUUUCCUUACACGAAAUGGUCACAAAACAAACAGCGCUGGUUCGCUGCCUUAUUUCUAGUUGUUAACGACCAAUAUAGAUGGUCAUAGCAUUAUAAAUUGUGGUGGGUUGUGAUGACUAGGCGCCAUCUCAUCAGUUUUGCCUAUGUGUCAUGUCCAUGUGUCAAUUUUUGCCCUAGGUUGUGAAGCAACCUAUAUUUUUGUUAUUCCAAAAAUUCCCAAAAAAUUCUCAUAAUUUUUUUGGAUCAUAUCUUCAUCAAUUAUGUCAAAAACCUUCCUUGCCUAGUUCAAAAAUAAUUCAAAAAUAUUCAUUUUCCUAUUCUGUUCAGAGCAGCACUUUGUGAAGGAAGUGUUAUUUAUAUAUUCUUGAUUUCUUUAAAAAUUUGUGAAGACAUUCUUCUUAGUAUAUGAUCAUCCUCAGCCAAAACUCACGCCCAUUGGCCAUGUGCAUUUCCCGUACCGCUAAUCAAACACUUGGGUGCUAAUUCAUGUUUGAGCAUAGUUCGGUCUCCUCAUGAGAAUCUUAUGUUGUCAUUUUCUUCCUAACACCUACCUGAGGAGUUCCCAACCCACUAGACAUGCCUAGGCCGCCCUGAACGCAUGGCAACGCCACGGUCACGCGGUGACCACGCGGCGGGCAUGCGAGCUUAUGAGCUAUAGAGUUGGGGCCCUCGGCCACCGUCCAAAUCUUGAUGUCUUGCCACCAAACCAUGUAUUUCUGAUUAAAUAGAUACUUAUGUACCUAGAAAUGAUUUUUGGAAAAAAUAAAGACCAAACUAUGAGGCAGCUGCAGUUCAAAUUUGACCCACUUCCUACUGAAUCAGCGGGAAUUUGUCUUUUUCACCAGAGGUGGAUCAAAACUUUUGACACCCAACCAUUUUGUCAAUUGUGCAUUAAAUAUGGCCUAGUAUUUUUGAAAAUUGAUUUGGUCCAAUUUUGCAACAAAUAUAUGGUAGGUCCUUCACAAAAAAACUCAUUUUGGGUACUCGAAAAAAUGGAAAAUGAUUUUUUCGUCCAAAUAAAAUGAAAACUUCCUUAGGCAACAUUGUUUUUCAUUCCAACAUGCAGUCUUUUGCACGAUAUGAGAUCAUUUGAACAAACUAUGCCAUGAAUGUGGCCAUAAGAUUGAUCAUUUGGGUUGAAAGCCAUGAAUCUUCACGCAUGAUAGCUCAUCUCUGAGAAUACCUUUUUAAAAUAAUUUCCGUAUUACAAUUUUAUUAUUUUUUCUGGAAACUUGAUCACAUAUAAUGAAACAAUGCAAAAGAUUUCCAAUUUUUUGUUUUUUUUUGAAUUUUUAUGCCCAUUUCAAGAUGCAGCCAAAACGACGGGCUUGACAGUUCCUAGCUAGUGGUUGAAUCUUGGAAAACUUUUGAUGUUUCUCUGAUUAAAUAGAUAUUUAUGUACCUAGAAAUCUUUUUUGGAAAAAAAUAAAGAGCAAACUUUGAGGCAGCCACAGUUCAAAUUUGACCCGCUUCCAACUGAAUCAGCGGAAAUAUGUCUUUUUCACGAGAUGUGGAUAAAGGCUUUUGAAACCCAACCAUUUGGUCAAUUGUGCAUUAAAUAUGGCCUAGUAUUUCAGAAAAUUGAUUUGGUCCAAUUUUGCAAUAAAUAUAUUGUAGGUCCUUCACAAAAAAACUCAUUUCGGGCACUUGAAAAAUGGAAAAUGAAUUUUCCAUGCAAAGAAAAUGAAAACUUCCUUAGGCAACAUUGUUUGUCAUUCCAAUAUGCACCCUUGUGCACAAUAUAAUAUCAUUUGAACAAACUAUGCCAUGAACAUGGCCAUAAGAUUGAUCAUUUGGCUUGAAAGCCAUGAAUCUUCACAAAUGAUAGCUCAUUCAUGAGGACACUGUUUCAAAAGAAUUGACGUAUUACAAGUUUAUUAUUUUUCCUGGUAACUUGGUCACAUAUAAUGACACAAUGCGAAAGUUUUCCAUUUUAUUUUAUUUUUUUAAAUUUUUUAUGCCCGUUUCAAAAUGCGGUCAAAACGAUGGGAAUGACCGUUCCUAGCUAGUGGUUCUAUCUUGGAAUUUUUUUGAUGUUUCUCUGACUAAAUAGAUACUUAUGUACCUAAAAAUGAUUUUUGGAAAAAAUAAAGAGCAAACUAUGAGGCAGCUGCAGUUCAAAUUUGACCCGCUUCCAACUGAAUCAGCAGAAAUUUGUCUUUUUCGCGGGAGGUGGAUCAAAACUUUUUACACCCAAACAUUUGGUCAAUUGUGCAUUAAAUAUGUCCUAGCAUUUUAUAAAGUUUAUUUGGUACAAUUUUGCAACAAAUAUUUGGUAGGACCUUCACAAAAAAACUCAUUUCGGGCACUCAAAAAAUGGAAAAUGAAUUUUCCGUGCAAAGAAAAUUAAAACUUCCUUAUGCAACAUUAUUUACCAUUCCAAGAUGCACCCUUAUGCACAAUAUAAGAUCAUUUGAACAAACUAUGCCAUGAAUGUGGCCAUAAGAUUGAUCAUUUGGCUUGAAAGCCAUUCAUCUACACACUUGAUAGCUCGUUUUUGAGAACACUUUUUUAAAAUAAUUGCCGUAUUACAAGUUCAUAAUUUUUCCUGGUAACUUGGUCACAUAUAAUGACACAAUGCGAAGGUUUUCAAAUUUUUUGUUUUUUUUGGAUUUUUAUCCCCGUUUCAAGAUGCCGUCAAAACGGUGGGAAUGACCGUUCCUAGCUAGUGGUUGAAUCUUGGAUUUUUUUGGUGUUUCUCUGAUUAAGUAGAUACUUAUGUACCUAGAAAUAAUUUUUGGAAAAAAUAAAGAGCAAACUACGAGCCAGCUGCAGUUCAAAUUUGAUCCGUUUCCAACUGAAUCAACAAAUAUUUGUCUUUUUCAAGACAGGUGGAUAAAAUCUUUUGACACCUAACCAUUUGGUCAAUUGUACAUUAAGUAUGGCCUUAUAUUUUAUAAAAAUGAUUUAGUCCAAUUUUGCAACAAAUAUAUGGUCGGCCCUUCACAAAAAACCUCAUUUUGGGCACUCAAAAAAUGGAAAAUUAAUUUUUAGUCAAUUACGACCAAUUUUUUAUUCAACUAUGACCAUUUGAGAUGGUCAUAACAUCGUACGCGUAUACUGCAUUUUGAUUGGUCCGUGCAUGUUUCACGCGGAUCAUGCAUGGAACACCGUCGGAUGCUCGCGGAUCCAACGGUGGUCCUCACCCCAAGCCCACCUAGGCCGAAACCCUAGCUCUUUCCUCGUGGACAUUUUCCAUCCACCCCCGCCUCUUUUCUUUCUCUCCUCGCGCUGCCAAUUCCCUAGCUCUCUUCUCCUUUCUCGCUCUGCCCGCGCACACCAUGGCCACCCGCACGCCCCUCCUUCGCCGGUGUUGACCCGCAGUCCACCUUCCCCAUCUUCCACUCCCUCUCUCCACCCGUCGAUCCCAUCGAUCCAUGACCAGAUCCAUCGCCUCUUGUGGCAUCCCAUCGAUCCACGGCUAGAUCCACCGCCCACCCUGACCACUCCUCGUUCCACCCACACCAAUCCAUCCCCCCGCGUCUCCGCUGCCCCCACCCAGUUGCGCCGUGGCGAAGCCCGUCCUCCGCGUCGCUGCCAUCUGCGGCCCCUCAUCCCCUCCUCUCUCUCCCGCUCCACUCACUUGCUGCCGCCACCUCACACGCUCGAUCCCAGCAAGGACGCAGCAGUUGAUCCCGGCGAGGACGACGGCAGCGAGGUCGGCGCCCUCGUUGAGUGGCACGUGACGCCCGGCGCGAUGCUGACGCGGUCCGUCAUGACCGCCUGCAGUUUCUGCACACCCAAUGAUGGCUGCACGGUCACCAUGCCGAGGUCCACGCUCUGCUCCCUCUGCUCUUUUUUUCCCUCUCGGCCGCUGCCGCCGUGUAGAAUUUGAUGCUGCCAUGGCCGUUCCCUCGAUUUGAUCGCCGCAUUCGUUGAUCAGGAUUAGGAGCCUCCUGCCCGGACGCGGCCGGUGGUGCGGAGGUCGCCUGGAGCCGGAGAUGGCGCCAGCGCCAUGACUUCCCAUAGCUCGAGUUGAUGCACUCAUCGCUACAUGAUCUGUAAGUGUUGGGUCUGUAGCUAGAAGAAGCUAGGGUUCUUGACUCCUGCUGCUAAAGAGAUUCAGGCGGGGGUGGUCUUAGAUUUUUUUAUCGUAAUAUAGUCUAGUGCGGAGUACUCCUUGCUCCAGCGAAAGGAUUGCAUCAGCCAUUGGCAGCGUCUACCUCCGUCCUUUGCUUAGUAGGAGCAAGAUGGAGUCGCUGGAGGAGAGUAGUGGAGUCUGCAUUUUCUUCUUCUGUCAGACAAACAUCCACAUGCUGUACCGAUUCUUAGUUCAGAGACGGGGAUGUAUAAAUGGUUGCCGAUCUCUGCAUGCAUGGAACAAUAGCUUUUUAUGUAGGAUCCAUUCUGUAAAGAUGAGUCACAACAUUGAUUUCUUGAUCCAUUUGGAAACUAAAAUAAAGUACAGAGAGAAGGAACUUGUUGGUAGAACUUUAUCAUAUUCAGCAGACGGAGUCCACGGGUGUAGCAUUUUGUCUAGUACACCCAGCUCCACCUGAGGAUCCAAUCCACUGUUAGAAAGUUAGAAACUGAUAUUACAGGUUCAUUAUAGUGCAAACCAAAGCAACUACUCCAACAACCAUCAAAUGAAACCAUGUUCUUUAAAAUUAAAGGGUCUAGUUGAUAAUGGUCCUUCUUUUGAUAGGUAUAAUAUGUAUCUUGACUUGUUAUUUUCUUCUCUAGCAAGCACUACGGCGUCAACCUCGUGGUGGCCAGCGUGACGGCCAUCGAGCACGACUUCUUCGCCAAGAACAACCUCAUCGUGGACAUCACGCCUCAGUACAUCAUGAUGGAGCUCGGCUGGUUCGACGCCCAUCUCAAGACACCAUAUACCCCUGCCAGUACCUGAUUGUUCUCAUUCAUUAUUGUGCAACAGCGCUUGCUUGUUCAAAUCCAUUUGUUUCAAUUAAUGCCAACAUGUACAUAUUUACACAGGAGAGAUAGCUAGAUUUUCCGACUAAGAAGUGAUAAUAAAAAUGUGGUUGUUUUAACCUAGAGGUUAAUAAAACACUUUGAUAGUUCUGUUCCUGAGCAUUUUUCAGUUUGCAGUUACUUGUGCUGAGAUACUAGUCUCUUUCUUUGUCCAGAAAAUGUGAUGUGUAUUUCUUGUCGAGAGUAUAAUAUUCCAUGGCCAGAGCAAGCAAGAUGUUAUUUCUAGUGCUAGCCUUUUGUUGUAUUAAGGUACUGUAUAUAGUAGGAGCACUUUGUCUUCAGAGACAUCAAUCAUGAGUAAUGUAGUCGCUUCCAUUGCAUACUUGCUCUAGCUGCAAGUACUUGGAAAUUACUAUGACGUAUAUUUUUGGAUGAGGGAUCACAUAUCUUGUGUGUUGCAUGGAUGCCAUCUGAACUGAAGUAUUGUAAGUACUACUUGCCGCUAAUCUUGUGUGUUGCAUGGAUGCCAUCUACACCAUUGGUUAAUGCAGGACACUGCCAGUUGCUCUGUAGUGUAUCUUAUCCUGCCGUUCUCAAGGUAGGACCGUGAAUUGGAAGCCUACAGUACGUAUUGUGUGGCUUGCCCCUUUUGGGAGAGGUUAUUUUCUUAUAGUCAGUCUAGUCUGCCUGUGUUUGUAUACUAAUUAUCAUUUACUAGAAUUUAGCUCCUGCUUGCUACUGCCUGGUUCUUGACACCAGUAUUUUGUAUUAAAACCUGCAUACUUCACCCCUUUCCAGAUUCUUCGGUGGAGGUGACCCAUGUGAUGGCGAUUCACUCCAUCUGCUCCGGUUCUGGCGGUGGUGGUGCUCCUAUGAUGGCUAUGCGCUGGUAGGCUUGGCUGCCUCCCCUGGCCGCCGCCAUGGUGAUGAAGCUGAGCCUAGGCUACAACCCCUCCAGUGAGAUCCUCAGCUCCCCUUGUACCCCUCCUACUUGCUUUAUGAUUCUCUGCUCUGCCUUCGUGAGGUGUAAUUGUUCAAUUUUUUCAUAGUCGAGCAUUGGAUGAUAUUGUAUAUGUCAUGAUGUACAUGGUUCAUGAAGUAUGCAAACCUACAGCUUGUUAUGCUAGUGAUAGUAGGAUAAUGUAGCUUGUUGUACUAAUGAUACUGCUAUGGCUUUCACAUUCAUUCAUUCUCUGAUUGUUCUAGGAGUCCUCAUUCAUUUGAAAAAUCUGUGCACAUGUAGUCAUUCGGGAGAAGCAUCCCCAUACUAGCACAUGUAUUUGAAAAAUAUAUUCAAAUUUGUUCAUUCCAGAGAAGCACACCCAUAUUAGCCAUUGCAGGGGAGGAAGGGAUCAGGGAGUUGAGUUGCUUGACUUUCUUUUGUAAUAUAUAAUUUGUGCAUAUGAUGUGCCACGAUCGAUGAUUAUUAUUGUAGUUUCAGCGUGUGUUGAACUUAAUGAAAUGGUUAGUUGUGGUUUUCUGAAUCCUGUACUAUUGAUGUCACAAGGGAAGGGAUCUUGGAGUACCUGCUACCUUUGAGAUGUACCGGUGGGCUGCCAUCGGGAUGAUUCUCAUGUAGAAGCUGAACGAGAUGGUUUCCAGCUGUGCGCCCAGUCCUGAACUCGCCAUUUGUGUCCUCCUGCAGUGGUUUCUUGCUGGUUGAGCGCAGGAACACUCUGCAUAGCUGAGGCGAUGAUGCAUACCAAAUUUUCUUCAAGUACAUACACAUCCACUGCAUCAGCUUGGAGCUGGGUAUGCAUGAGGUCUCCUUUUACUUACUUCGUACUCGAAGGUGGAACAAAAUCUUGCUUGUUCAGUAUGGUCCAGCCUAGCAUGUAUAUAUACCCAGUAGUUUGUGUUCUUGAUAUCUACAUGUAGCGUCAUGAGGAAUAAACCUGCUGAUUUCAUAUGUCGUCCUAUGGAAGUCACCAACCUUUUUUUAUCAACACUAAUUUCAGAUAGAUAGGUUCUGCUUACCAUACCUAAGAGUGUAGCAUGCUGUGAAGGGAUACUCCAAAGUAGACAAUUAAAAGAUGUUAGUAAAAUCAGUAUGCAUCCCUAGUGAUGCUUUAUCUUGUUAUUUUUGUCUGAGUGUUGUGCUGUAGCAUCACUAACUAGUAUGUUUUUUUCCAGGUCUAUACAAGUGCCAUCUAUGUCUAGCAACAUAAGCCUCUUGUCAUGUCAUGUAUCUAUUAUCACGUUAGAUGUUUUAUUAAGUGAAUGUUUUAUUUCUUGAAAGCGUCGAUGUACUGAUGCGAACACUGCUUGUGUACUUAUGACUAAUCAGUUUUCCCCUCUCUUAUAUAGGAGUUCCUUGGUCGAAGAAAUUUGAAGAAGCUCGAAGCCCCUGUCAGCGACUCGCUUUAUAUGUUAUUGAACUUGUAAUGCAGAAUUUGCUUGGAAUUUUGAUGUAAGGCUGAUCUUGCUGGGAAUUGGGUGUAUAUUUACUUGCUGUACUUUUUAUUAAAAUGCUGGUUGUACUUGUUAUUCAAAUGCUGGUUGUACUUGUUAAGCAAAUGCUUGUAAUUUAAAUUUGUGCUAAAUGUAUACAUAAUACUGAAAGAGGCCUUGGCCCAAACGCUACUGGACCUUAAAAAGGCCACUGCCCAAACAUAGUUAAACUCGGUUUCAACAAAUACCAAUAUAUUAAUUCUUGAAAAUAAAUAAAAUGAAUUGUAAAAAGGCCAAAUUAUGAAAUUUAAAAGGAGAGCAAAAAGGGCCGAGGCUACAAAAAAUAAAUUGAUUGUAAUAGGCUGUGGCCGAGAAAGUAAAAGGCUGGAUUGUUGGGCCUGGCCCAUGUAGCCAAAUAAAAUUAAUAGAAAAAACAACAAAUAGGCUGAAUUGUUGGGCUCGGCCCAUGUAAAACACCGAAUCAGACUGGGAUGAAUCUUAUAAGUGACCUUUUCAAUAGGUCGCAAUUUUGCCACGUUAGAUUGCCACGUUGAAUCCGACGUGGCCUGGGCAGACAACCAGUGACCAAAUUAAGCAUAUAAUUACACACAUAACAUCUUCACACACCAAAGUAGGCAAUUACAUGCGUACUAAACUAUGACAAAUGAGGAUCUAAUCAUCUACUUCUUGUUGCGACCAUGCUUGCCAUUGCUCUGCUUCCGGCUAGAUCCCUGGUCGUUUUGGGGAAGGAGGCACUUCCUCAUGUCAACGAUCCACCUGUACAUGUCGUAGCACGUGUACGCCUCCUUGGCCCCGUACACGACGUGAGCUUUGUCGACUUUCUCCAUCAUGGACGAGUGCCAGGCACGCUUGUCCUUGUUGCAGGAAUCCUUCAUGUAUCUCUCCUCCACAUAGGCAAAAUUGCCAUGUAAGCAGGCUAUAAGCCCACUAUUGUAGUACUUCCUCUUAGCGGCAUGGUGGACCAACCAUGUGGGGUGCGAAGUGGCUUCGCUCAUGCGGGGGACAAAGGCCAUUCCGCAAGGGUGCUAGGUCUGAGAGGACGACCUUGUCGUCAGUGUGUGUCCUUCUGUGGCAACCGUUUGCUCCCCACUAGACUGUUCGUGUACCGUGGCAACCGUCCACCCCCUCUUCGCCUUUCCCUCUCGAUUUGGAACUGCUGUCGCAUGCUCUUCCUCCCUCCAUUUGCCUACACCCUUCCUUCUUCCCUUGUUCGGUCGUCUUCUCCAUAGAGGGAACAGGACAUAAACGACCCCGUUAUUCUUUCCCCGAUCUGAAAGAUGAUGUGGUGGAGGAACUCAUUGAUCGAAGCAACAUCAUCACCUCGGCUAGCAUAGAACGCUCAUUCAAGUCCAUUCUUGACUCAACAAAUAACAUCAUUGCAAAGAACCCGAGGGUUCAGCAGCGGUUUGAUCUCCCCUAUCUUCUUCGCCAUGACCCUGGUCACCGGCGUGGGGACGACGGAAGCCUCGCCUUGUGUAAGUUGAUGCCGCUUGAUAAUGAUACGUGUGAUGUUAAGAUGCCAUCGCUUGAGGGUAAGGCUUGGGCAUGCACAAAUGGAGAUUGGGUUAUUUAUAUUGGAUAUAAUUGCGAGUGGGAACUUGUGAAUGUGUACACUCGUAACUGGGUUCCACUUCCAAAAAUCACAGACUGCCCCGAGGUUCAGCAAACAGAUGAUCUACGAUCGUUCAAAUACGAUCAUGGGGACUGUCGUGAACGGAAGAUAGCAAUUUGUCGAGUUCCCAACCGCUCUUGGGAUUACAAGAAUUAUGAAGUUGUUGUUAUCUUAAACAAGCUUGUUGCCGUCCUUACUUCCACGCCUCGAUGGAUAUUGCUCAAAAAUUAAUUUAUGUACACGGAUGAGUACUGUGAUGCAAUUCAAUACGAGGGUCUUGUGUUUGCUGCCACCACUCGUGGCACUAAUUUUGCAUGGAAUCCUUAUGAUUUCGGUACGUUUAUCUUCCACCAUAAUUAUAAUUGUUUCAUCCACAUGCAUGCGGGUUAGCUAGUUUCCCUUUAUUAAUUAAACUUCUUGUGUUUCCAAGCUCAUGUGAACAUUCCACCACCUACACUUGAAAAUUUUAAUAACCAAGGGGGAGAUGACGAUGCUGAUGAUCGCGAGCAUGAUGACGAGCAGGACCUAUAUACUUAGUUUCCCCUGGCAACUUAUUCUGAUGGAUCACCUCUUCUUGUAUGUAUACAUGGCACUGCUGAUGUUACUAAUGAAGCAGGUGUUGUCUCCCAUGGCCGCACUCUCCGGACCUAUUCUAACAUCCGUUGCAGGGUAUUCGGGAUGGAUACUCGUGUGCUAGCGCCAACACCUUCUCCCUGGUUCAGUAUUGAUAGUCUUGGAGAAAACUCGCUCUUCCUUGGACAAAACUAUCCAAUGAUGGUGAAAGGCGAUCCAGCUGUUGUUGACACAAUGUUAGUACCCUUUAUGAGAAGCACCUGUAUCUAUACCUCGAACAUUGCUAUGGUUCCCGACCCUCUCUAUCACAAUAUGCGUCCUAUAGGCCGCUUCAGCCUGGAUGAUCAGUCCCGCGUUGGUUUCGAGAUUGACAAUAGUAGGCCCUUCCCAGAGAAUCAAUUAUGGUUCAAAGCAAGCGUUUCCAGCGCCGAGGAUUGGUUGAGCUAAAGUUCAUUUCAUCGCUUUGUUAUUUGUUGUGUGAGAAAAACUUUAGUAUUUACUAGGAUGUUUUGUUGGAAAUAAUCUAUAAUCCAACAUGUAUGCUCGUUUUUAUUGUGUGUUCAUGACUUGUUAUAUAUAAUCCAACGUAUAUUGUUUUUCUAUUUGGAUGAUUAAUGUUGCCGCUUUAUUGCUUAACCGAAGCAUGGCACGUAUCCAUUAUUGGUCUAAUGCUCACGGUUCUAAUAAAUAAUCUAUUUGGGAUAUUGGUUCCCAAUUAUUAAUAAUCUCCCGUUUGUAAUUAGAUAAAGAUUACAUCAAAACUGGUCUCAGAACUGACCAAAAAAAGUACAAUGCAACUUUGUAUUGGUGUCCAUAUGACAACACGAUAAGUUUCACAAACUUCAAAUAAGUUUUGGAUGUACAAGAAUUUAAAAAUCAAGAUUCUCAUUGUUUGGAAUUUGUUGCACGGGGAGUAAACAUGCACCCCAUGAGACACAUGUGUUUUUGCAAUCCAUUUAGGUGCACUGUCACGUGUGCAUGUAGCUCGAAUUUUAUUUUUGCACAUUAUACCCGUAGAAAAUCAAUCAAUUAAUGUACUAAAAUGUCUUAAUGAUCUCUGAUUUUUUUCCAAAUUAAAACGUCCCUCCUUUGGUAACAUAUAUAUGUUCACUGCUGGAUAAUUAAUUUAACAUGCAUCGUAGUUGCGGUGCAUUUGUGGUGUGUGUGUGGGUGUGUGCGCCUGGGGGUGGAGGGUGGCUCGCAGUACAGUACGAGCUGUGAGCCACCGUGUGGGUUGGCUGUUUUGUUAGGCAGGCUGGUGCCACAUCGGAGUCGUGAAUUCGAAAUUUAAAACAUUACACAAUCCUUUCAUACAUACAUAUUUUGUCCACAUGAAGUCGAUGGUUGUCCUACACGACACUCGAUCCUCGCGUGUGACGCUUUUAGUGGGCCCGCGAGGUUGUCGUCCAUCACUUUGACGAACAGCCGAUAAUGAGGUUAGUUUAAAAAGCAGUUAUCUCAAUGUUUGCGGCCGAGUGACGGUGGCAGGGUGUUUGACAUUCAUUCUCAUUUCUUGCAUGGGACCUUAGCAUGCAACCAAGGACAUAGAUUUAAAUUUUCAACCAAUUUAUAUGCAUUAGAGCAUGUCCCUGUACUUCAGAUUUGAAUUAUGCACAUAAAUGCAUUGAAAACUCAAUUAAUGUAUAAAAAUGUCCAAACGAACCCCGAAAAAUUCCAAAUUUUAAGACAACACUCCUGUUGUUCUAUGUUGACACUAGAGAAAAAAAUUAAAGAAAGAACAGGCAACGAAUAUCAUUUCGUCCCCAAAGGUGGCACAUUCCCUACCGAAACCAUGAGGGUCUUGUUGUGAGAAGCUCUGGUUUAUGAGAAGCUUAUAUCCAAGCCUGCCCCAAAUAGGACAAAAUUUUUACCACAGCAUGUUGAUGCCGCUCCAUGAUAGCAUGCCAAGUUUCAUGAAUUUCAGAAGAGUUUUGGAUUUACUAGAAUUUGAAAAUCAGAUAUCUCAAUGUUUGUGGCCGAGUGACGGUGGCACGGUGUUUGACAUUCAUUCCCAUUUCUUGCAUGGGACAUAAGCAUGCAACCAAGGACAUGUAUUUCAAUUUUCAACCAAUUAUUAUGCAUUAGAGCAUGUGCAUGUAGUUCAAAUUUGAAUUAUGCACAUAAAUGCAUUGGAAACUCAAUUAAUGUAUAAAAAUUUCCAAACGAACCACGAAAAAGUCCUAAAACUAACACAACACUCAUGUUGUGCUAUGUUGUCACUAGAAAAAAAAUUGAAAUAAAAAAGAGGCAACGGAUACUGUUUCAUCCAGGAAGGUGAAACGUUCCCUACCGUAACCAUGAGGCUUGUUGUGAGAAGCUCUGGUUUGUGAGAAGCCUAUAUAGCCCAACCUGCCCCAAAUGGGACAAUAGUUUUACAACUGCAUGUUGAUGCCGUUCCAUGCUAGCGUGUCAAGUUUCAUAAAUUUUAGACGCAUUUUCUAUUUACUAGAAUUUUCAAACCAUGUAUCUCAAUGUUAGCGUGUGAGCGACGGUGGCAAGAUGUUUGACAUUCAUUCUUAUUUCUUGCAUGGGACUUAAGCAUCUAACCAAAGACACACAUUCCAAUUUUGAACCACUUGAUAUGCACUGCAGCAUGUGCAUGUUGUAGUUCAAAUUUGAAUUAUGCACAUGAAUGAAUAGAAAACUCAGUUAAUGUAUAAAAAUGUUCAAGCGAACCCCGAAUAGUCCCAAAAAAUGACACAUCACUCAUGUUGUUCUAUGUUGACACGAGGAAAAUUUAGAAAGUAAGAAGAGUCAACAUAUAUCGUUUGUCCCCCAAGGUGGCACGUUCCCUACCGAAACCAUCUGGCUUGUUGUGAGAGAAGCUCCGGUUAGCGAGAAGCUUAAACCCAAAACUUCCCCAAAUGGGAAAAUAUUUUUACCAUGACAUGUCGAUUCCGUUCCAUGAUAUCUUGUCAAGUUUCAUCAAUUUCAGCCGAGUUUUCGAUUUACUAGAAUUUUAAAACCAUGUAUCUCAAUGUUAGCGGCCGAGCGACAGUGUCAAGGUGUUUCACAUUCAUUCUCAUUUCUUGCAUGUGACCUAAGCUUGCAACCAAGGACAAACAUUUGAUUGUGCAACCCGUUUUGAUGGACUGGAGCGUGUGCUUUAAUUUUGAAUUGUGCACCUGAAAUGGCGAGAAAACAAAUUUAAUGCAUAAAAUUUCCAAACGAACCCUGAAUAAUUCCAAUUUUUGUACGACACACAUAUAUUUGCAUGUUCACUGCAAAUAAAAGGUCUAGCAAUUCAAACACUGUCCAUUGCCGCUCCGACCCCAUUAAGCAAUUCAAAUCAAAAUGAAAAAUCAAGUUGAUCCUGCACAGUUUAUUAUCGCCAACCGUGUGAGAUGCAGUACAAAAUAUCCUAGAGUACCAUCUGUGUAUAGUACGCCUAUGGCUUACGCAAGAAGGUGGGUCGGCUAUAGUCCACAGCCGGUGUGUCAAGCACACUAUCUCGCUCCCCAAAUACUCCCGCCUCUGCAUUCCUCGCAAUCUCAAAAAUAUCUGCUCGCCCUUGAUCCAAAUUUUCAAUAGCCCCGCCCUGUUACUCCCACCUAGUAAAAUUUUCAGUUGCCGCGGUAUUUCCUCAAACACCACCUUAACACCCCCCCACACACCACACACCCAAAACCUCCGCUCCCCGACACACACCACCCCUGUAACAAUUGGAAGGUCAUUGCCAUCACCGCCGCCUCCAUCCUUAACCUCUGCCUAUGUACCGGGGAGCUCGAGGAGCCAAUGGUCCAAGGGAGGUUUAGCACAGCCUCCUCGCCCGAUGCAGGAGAGGUGGCCUCCGAGGUGUCCCCGUCGUCCUCUACGGGCUCUUUAUCGAUCCGCCGUUGCCGGUCACCCGAUCCGCCCGCCGCCACGCCCCUAAGCCGGUUUGAGGACUUCCCCGUCCUCCCUCGGACCCGACAGCCGACGAGGUCCUACCUCGGGGUACGUCAGUGGCGGUUGGGGAUGUGGGUCACCAAGAUUACAGAUCAGGAGGUCCACACCCGCUGGUGGCUCGGUAGCUUCCACAUUGCCGAGCUCGCGGCAAUGGAGUAUGACCGCUGGUAGGUCGCUACCACGGCGCGGUGGCUAGUCUCAAUUUCCCAUUUGGCACACGUCCGGUCCACCUCGUUCCGCCAGAGCCAGGGGUGGUGAGAUCGGCUAUGGCGCGGAAGGAUCGCGAGGUGAGGGAACGCAUCGAGGCCGAGGCCGCCGACGAGGCCUACAUGCAAGAGCUCCGCUGGCAACACCCAAAGCUCGUGGAGGCGGAGCAGGCGAUCUUUGCCGGUGCAGAGGGCGGCGAGGUUAUCACGCUCUCCUCCGCUGACGAGGUCGAAGGUGGCAAGGACGAUGGCAUGGAGGGCGGCGAGGUUAUCACGCUCUCCUCCGAUGAUUUGGUCGAAGGCGGCGAGGACGGCGGUGUGGAGGGUGUCGAGGUGGGUAGCGAGAACGAGGAGAUCGACAUCGACGAUUGGAGGAGUGGCUUCCCCAACGACCCCAAUGAAGGCACCGGCCCGGACCCGGCUCGUGGCACAUCGUACCUAACGAGGAAGGAUUGGCAGGAUCUCUACUUCGACCGAAAGUAGUUUAGCUUAGUUCAAAUUUAUGUUUUAUGUUCUCUUAUGAAAAACUAUCUAUGUUUAUGUUUGAAUGCAUGCUACUUUUGGUUGAACCUUCUUUGAACUUGAUCAAAUUGAAGUUUACAACAUUAAGUUUAGGGGAUCGACUAUAAACGACAAAAAAUUGCUGGAGUAUAUAUAUAUCCACUAAGGGUUUUAGUCCUUGAACUUCUAAAGGAUCGUCUAGAGAUGGCCUUAUGCCUUGUUUAUUUCAGUUCUUCACAAUGUGAUGCUCUAUAUGUGCAACUAUUUGCCGUGCAAUUCAAUAUCAUCAAUAACAGUUUCAACAAUACCACUACGAAUUACGAUAUUUGGUUGCUAUUAAGGAUAUUGCAGUUAACAUGCCUUUUAAUUUUUUAACAAUAACUAGUGUACUUUAGACCUGCACAAUACCAGUUUGAAUGACUAUUUGCUUGUUUAUAAAUGUUACGCCUGAUGCAGUUAACACACCUUUCCACUUCUUGUGUUUCUUAACUAGCGUGCUUAAGCCUGCACACUGAAGCUAUCAUUUGUUUAUUAUGUUGUCUACCAUGGAUAUAUUUGGUUGAUGUUUAGCAUGUGGUCCUUAACAUGCCUUUAUAUGUACUCAUACAGUUCAAUAUUGAGAACAUUGUUGUUUUCCAUUGAGGUUAGUUUCAUUGAAUUGUACUGAAUGACUAAAUAUGCAUUCCCAGGUUACAUAGCAACAAGGAAGAGUGUUACCUGAAUGUUCUGAUGAUGUCUAGAUAUACAUUUAUAAAAUCUUAUAUAAUGGGAUGGAGAGAGUGUUGUACUACAUCAUUUUUCAAUUGUUGUUUAGCUUCUAAUAUUAACUUGGUUCUUUUAGGUACACAUGUCAUUGCCAAAGAUCCACACUUAGACCCUUGCAUAUUAUAAUUCAUCACGAAGUUCUAGUAACUUUGUGAUGGUGACUAGCGAACUUUGUCAAUCACUAUCUUAUCUGGAAGAUUAACUCCCACUUGAUUCAAGCAACUGUAGUACCCAGACAAUCUGAGCACAUGCUCACUGCUUGAGCUAUUCUCCUCCAUCUUUUAGCUAUAGAACUUGUUGGAGACUUCAUAUCUCUAAACUUGGGUAUUUGCUUGAAAUAUUAACUUCAACUCCUGGAACAUCUCAUAUGGUCCAUGACGUUUAAAAUGUCUUUGAUGUACCGAUUCUAAGUCGUAAAGCAUGGUGCACUAAACUAUAAGUAGUCAUCAUAUUAAGCUAGCCAAAUGUUCAUAACUUCUGCAUCUACUCCCGCAAUAGUUUUGUCACCUAGCGGUGCAUCAAGGACAUAAUUCUUCUAUGCAACAAUGAGGAUAAACCUCAGAUCACAUACUCAGUCCGCAUCAUUGCUACUAUCACCUUUCAACUUAGUUUUCUCUUGGAACAUAUAAAAACAUAGGAAGCUACAACGCGAGCUAUUGAUCUACAACAUAUUUUGCAAAAUACUAUCAGGACUAAGUUCAUGAUAAAUUAAUGUUCAAUUGACCAUAUUACUUAAGAACCCCCACUUAGAUAGACAUCCCUCUAGUCAUCGAAAUGAUCACGUGAUCCAAAUCAACGAAACCAUGUCCGAUCAUCACGUAAGAUGGAGUAGUUUUCAAGGUGAACAUCACUAUGUUGAUCAUAUAUACUAUAUGUUUCACGCUCGACCUUUCGGUCUCCAGUGUUCCGAGGCCAUAUCUGCAUAUGCUAGGCUCAUCAAGUUUAACCCAAGUAUUCUGCAUGUGCAAAACUGGCUUGCACCCAUUGUAUGUGAACAUAGAGCUUAUCACACCUGAUCAUCACGUGGUGUCUCGGCAUUAAGAACUGUAGCAACGGUGCAUACUCAGGGAGAACACUUAUACCUUGAAAUUUAGUAAGGGAUCAUCUUAUAAUGCUACCGUCGUACUAAGCAAAAUAAGAUGCAUAAAAGAUAAACAUCACAUGCAAUCAAAAUAUGUGACAUGAUACGGCCAUCAUCUUCUCGUGCUCAUGAUCUCUAUAACCGAAGCAUCGUCAUAAUCUCCAUCGUAGCAUCGUUGUCGUCUCGCCAACUAUUGUUACUAGGACUAUCGCUACCGCUUAGUGAUAAAGUAAAACAAUUACAUGGCGAUUGCAUUGCAUACAAUAAAGCAACAACCAUAUGGCUCCUACCAGUUGUCGAUAACUUUGUUACAAAACAUGAUCAUCUCAUACAACAAUUUAUAUCACAUCAUGCUUGACCAUAUCACAUCACAGCAAGCCCUGCAAAAAGAAGUUAGACAUCCUCUACUUUGUUGUUGUAAGUUUUACGUGGCUGCUAUGGGCUUCUAGCAAGAACGAUUCUUACAUACGCAUCAAAACCACAAUGAUUUGUUGUCAAGUGUGCUGUUUUAACCUUCAACAAGGACCGGCAUAGUCAAACUCGAUUCAACUAAAGUUGGAGAAACAGACACCCGCCAGCCACCUAUAUGCAAAAGCACGUUGGUAGAACCAGUCUCAUGAACGCAGUCAUGUAAUGUUGGUCUAGGCCGCUUGAUCCAACAAUACCGCCAAAUCAAAGUAAGACAUUGGUGAUAAGCAGUAUGAGUAUUAUCGCCCAUAACUCUUUGUGUUCUACUCUUGCAUAUAACAUCUACGCAUAGACCUGGCUCUGAUACCACUGUUGGGGAACGCAGCAAUUUGAAAAGUUUCCUACGAACACGCAAGAUCUAUCUAGGUGAUGCAUAGCAACGAGACGGUAGAGUGUGUACACGUACCCUCCUAGACCAAAAGCGGAAGCAUUUCAAUAACGCAGUUGAUGUGGUCGAACUUCUUCGCAAUCCAAACGAUCAAGUACCAAACUUGUGGUACCUCAGCAUUCAACACACGUUCAGCUCGAUGACGUCCCUCAUGCUCUUGAUGCAGUUGAGGACGAGGGUGAGUUCCGUCAGCACGACGACAUGGUGACGGUGAUGAUGAAGUUACCGGCGCAGGGCUUCGCCUAAGCACUAUGACGAUAUGACCGAGGUGUGUAACUAUGUAGAGGGGGCACCGCACAUGGCUAAGAGAUUAUUUGUUGUGCUAUUGGGGUGCCCCCUGGCCACGUAUAAAAAGGAGGGAGGGACAGAGGAAGCCGACCAGGUUGGGCGUGCCAGGGGGGAAGUCCUACUUGGACUCCUAGUCCAAGUAGGAUUCCCCCCUUUCGUUUCUUCCACCAGAGGGAAAGGGAAGGGAGAGAGAGGGAGAAUGAAAGAGGGGGGGGGUGGCUGUCGGUAUCAAAACUGGUGAAUCUCGGGUAGGGGGUCCCAAACUGUGCGUCUAAGGCUAAUGGUAACAAGAGGCGGGGGACACGAUGUUUACCCAGGUUCGGGCCCUCUCCAUGAUAGUAAUACCCUACUUCCUGCUUGAUUGAUCUUAAUGAUAUGAGUAUUACAAGAGUUGAUCUACCACGAGAUCGUGAGGCUAACCCUAGAACCUAGCCUAUGAUUAUGAUUGUUGUCCUUGUCCUACUGACUAAACCCUCCGGUUUGUCACUAGUAGAAAAACGACUUUUAGUACCGGUUCGUAAGGACCUUUAGUACCGGUUCUGGAACCGGCACUAAAGAGUGGGGACUAAAGGUCCCUCCUUUUAGUACCGGUUCAACACGAACCGGGACCAAAGGCCCACCACGUGGCACGAGGCGCGCCGUGGUCUGGGGGACCUUUAGUCCCGGUUGGUAAGGAUUUUUUUAUUUUUAUUUUUGAAAUAAAGCAUAAACAACCCGCCUACUGGGCUGGCACGGCCUGCAUAUGAAUAGAAACUCAAUCUCUAGUUGGGCCAGGAUGCAGGCCCGUACGACCCAGUAGGCCCCACAGGGCAGAAGACUGGCAAUAGGCCCACAAAGGCCUGCUUAGAGAGGAGCUCGACACGGUAGCCGCAGCGGGGCUUAUAAACCGGUGCGAGCUCCUCUCAACUAGCAAGGUGGGACUAAACAUUAUGCACUGCGGGUGGCAUCACACCACCAUUAGUACCGGUUGGUGGCUCCAACCAGUGCUAAAGACCCCCCCCUUUAGUAAUGGUUGGAGCCACCAACCCGUACUAAAGGCCACCACCUCUUUAGUACCGGUUCGUGGCACGAACCGGUACUAAAGGUUCGCCACAAACCGGUACUAAUAAGCGCCGCCCGCCUGGCUAGUGCCGAUUCAAUUGCAAACCGGGACUAAUGAGUUUCAUAUUAGACCCUUUUCUACUAGUGUAUAUAGACACCAGGGGGGGCUAGGGUUACACAGAGUUGGUUACAAAGAAGGGAAUCUACAUAUCCGAAUCGACAGGCUUGCCUUCCACGCAAUGGAGAGUCCCACCCGGACAUGCACUACAAAAAAAUACACUUCCGUGAUGAUACGUGUUUGUCACAGUAGGUCGCGUUUUCUGUCAUGCAUGUACAUCCAUGACAAAUUUAUGACAGAAUCAAGAUAGUCAUACCUGUGCUAUCGUAGAAGUGUUCCAUGACAUUACCAAAAUUAUCAUCACGGAAGUGUCCACUUCCAUGACGAUAAAUCACGUGUCACAGAAGUGCUUUCGCCAAGGGUGACCAACACGUGGCAUCCACCGUAACGCAACACCGUUAAGCUGUCGGGUCGAGUUUUGGAUCCGAUAACCCGUUAACAGCCCCGACCAAUGGGGAUUUUCCACGUGUAAAAUCAUCAUUGGCUGGAGGAAACACGUGUCGGCUCAUCGAUGGGACAGAUGUCAUCCACUCAUUGGACAUAAGGCGCCUAUGAUACGUCGACACGUGGCACGGCCCAACAGUGGCCCAUUCCUGUGAAAAGGCCGGCCCGUUUGACUUGGUCAAAAUAUGGUGAUCCGGCCCAUGUAAAGCCUGUUAACGGCCUAUUCGCAUAUAGCCCAUUUACAGCCCGCUAACCCAAGGCCCGUUACGCCCUAUCCGAAUUAGGCCCAGUAGCGUUAUCUGGGCCAUCCAAUAUGAUUCCAGCCUAUUUUCACUUCUGGCCCAUGUAUGGCCCAUGACGUCUUUCAGCCCAUAUGAGGCCCUAUGUAACUCUUGGCCUAUUAACGACCCGUGGUGAAACUGGCCCGUAAUGAAGAGUGUAUCACUUUACACCCAUUAACGGCCCAUGGUGAAACUGGCCUGUAAUGAAUAGUGUAUCACUUUAUACCCAUUAACGGCCCGUUAUUCCGUUGGGCCAUUUCCAGCCUAUCUUAUCUUUCGGCCUUCUCAGAGCCCAUUUAUUCUUGGGCUCAUUUCCAGCAUUUGUUUACUUACGGCCCAUUACUGUCAUUUUCUGCUUGUGGGCCAAAUUCAGCCUGUGGUUACAGUCGGCCCGUUUGUGGUCCGUUAAUACGUUGGGCCGUUUUCAUAGCAUCAUCAAAUACGGCCUAUUAACGAUGGCCCGUUAUGGUUGGCCCAUGAAAGAACGAUUCCAACUCUAGCCCGUUUACGGCCAUAUUGCGGCCUGUUAUUGGCCCAUGUUUGGCCAAUCGAUCAUACUUCCCGUAUAAGGCCCAUUGAUGAUAUGACCCAUAGAAGGCCCAUUGUUUCUACGGCCCGUAGAAGGCUUGCUGUUUCUACGGCCCAUAGAAGGCCCACUGUUUCUAUGGCCCGUAGGAGGCCCAGUGUCACUACAGUAAAGAUUAGCCCAUGGUUAUUGUGGCCUAGUUUUAAAAAAUAGGUUAUUGCAGCCACUAGCAAACCGCGGAAAAAGAACUGCUAUGACUACAAGCAAACAAAUAAACAAGACAACAACGAAAUAAAUAAGCAAGCAACUAACGCUAGGCUAUCACGGCUAUCACACAUAUUACAUCCACUAGGCAUCAAAGUUUGCCACCAGUGCAAAUAAAUGCGCCGACAAAAGAAUAUACAAAACUGAGAGCACUUCAGAAGGCACUAGGCCUGGCCAGGUUGGGCCCCCCAAAUAGCUGAAGAAGCUGAGUAGACCUCAGUUGUGUCAACGAUAGAUGCAUCAACACUAGAUUUAAGGCAUGAUGGUGCGCACGGCAGUCCUCUAACAUCUUCAUUACAUCUUUGACUUCACGUUAGAGCUGAGCUGAAGCAAUCCUUUCCGCUUUAAGUUGAGACUGAAGAAGUCGAACUGAUUGAGGCAGCGACUACACAGAGGUUGUCUCACACCUGCUGGUGAGUAGCUUCAACUCACUGUCUUCAUCAAGACAGGACCUUGGGGACAUCUCGCUGUCCUCAAGAUGGUUUGGCUCACUAUCUUCCCUAACGUUCUGCCUGGCGUAAGAGACACGACUCUGAAAGAGAAACAAGGAGACACGUAACAUGUUUCACAAUUAUAUAAGCAAAUAAAUGGAUCUGUUCUGCAUAAGGAACAUGUUUUUACAACUACAAUUUGAAACUGGUAGUUGUUGCAAACAUCCAACCAGAUGUAAACAACAAAGCAAACAGCAGUGGAGGAAAUGAUGCCUAUCCAAAUCUAUACUAGAACAAAGUUUGAAGGCUUGAGAAGGAUGAACUUACAUUACAUGUUAACACGGGCUGGACAAAGCCCUUCUCCAUGUUGAUGGAAGGAUAAUUCAAUAAAUUCUGCAAGAAGAUUCUUUAUAAGUGUUGCCAUUAUUCUACAUUUUGCAAAGAGUAAAUAUAGAUCAAAUAAUAUUGGAAGAAACAGAGGAUAAUGAAGCUCAGGUGCAGACUGAUGAUACAUAAUCAAAUAGCAAUUAAUUAAGUACAUCAUUACAAGGCAAAAGGGAGAGAGGUACUGACAAGAGCAAUGCAGAGCCCAUUAUUGUUUUGAGAUCGUAUCAUCCUUUGAGCAAGGAGAUUCAUCUGAAAUUAGUUUUCAUAGAAGAGAGAAGGUAAGGCACAAGCAAAAAUUUAGGAGUUCAAAUUUUGAAUUGAUAUCAUAGAUAGUACCUGACGCUGGGCUCCCAGCAGUUCUAAUAGGGGUUUGGCCACUAGAGUAGGAGUAAAGUGUGGUACAGUUGGGCGUGUGUUUUUUGUGGCUGCUGAUCUAUCUGAUUUAACAGGUAUAACUACCUUCUCCAAAUACCUAGUUUGUACUCCUUGAGGAUCUGCACUCACCCUCUUCCUUUUGGACAUCUAUUACGAAAGAACAACAUUUGACUGGAAAAACAUAGUGUGACGUCACAUGGAAAAGGUACAGAAAAUGGAUAGGUAUGGCAUAUACUCAUAUAUGAUGCUUAAACUAAGCACAUGGUGUAACAAAGUGGAAGUAAUGCAAGAGGUCAGAUGCACAAUAUGUGCGACCAAUACAACUUUGCAAAGUUAGAGCAAGCACCUUGAUGCGUGAAUAAGAUAGGCCAUCCUCCACCAUGCCAAGUUUGUUAGCCAGUGGAUCGUUCCGCAAUAUUCCUCUCGUGCGCCCAUUCUCAUAUUCAUUUUGAUAAUGUUCAAUAUCCGACAUGCAUGAAAACAUAAAAACAAGUGAGAUUUUGUUUGUAAUGCAGAAGUGAUUCUAAUCCAAUACUGCCUCCCUGUAAACCCCUUUCUUCUAUCUCUGCAAUUCUUUUAAAAGAUGCCUUACAUGCUGUAAUUUGUUGUGUGCAUUAAUAUAAUGUGGCCUACUACUCAAAAUACGAGAGCUCCAGAAGUGAUGACACUUCGCAGAUGACAUCUUCAACGUAUAGUAAAGAAGAACAAGUCGACCUGACCUGACAUAUUCAAAAUAUACUAAGGGAGAACAACUUGACCUGACCAGUCGACCGCGAGAGAAGAGUAUCAUCUUAAAGAAGAGCAGAAGAGCAAGCAGAUUAAAGAUAUUACAAGUCUUUCAAUACAAUUUCGGUUGGCCACCCAUGAUGAACCAGAGCACACAGAGAAAUACUAUUCUUUCCAGUCCCUCCAUAGUUGCUCACAUGCAUUUCGAAACUAAAGUAGGAACAUUUAGCUAACCAAUUAAACAUCUCUCAGUUUUACUAAUAUCAGCAAUAAUAUCAGAUAUGAAUUUGUACAACUAAGCUUGUUUAGCUCGAUGGGUGGAGCAGUGCUAUUACGACACGAACCAUGUAGGCUAAUUGUGGUCAUCAUAAAAUGGGGAAAACAUAAGCAUGAUGAGUACAAUGUUGACCAUGGCAGCGGGAUGGCAGAUCUGAAGCUGCAAACCGCGCAAAGGGUAGUUAGCAACGGAUGUUUGCUUUGAAAUAACAACUAUGAUUUGGUAUGGACAAGAAAGUACGGUCAACAAGUGACAAAGAAAUGCAAUUAUGCUGUCUCUCUAUAUGUCGCGACAUGCAUUUGGAAACUCAAGUGGGACCUUUAGCUAACCAAUUAAAUGUGUCGGUUAACUAAUAUCAGUAUCAUAUCACAAUCAUAUUUGAACAACUAGGCUUUCGAAUUCUGAGUGCGUGUUGUUUAGUUUGAAGGGUGGAGUAAUGCUAGUACGAUAGAAAGCACCUACGCAGAUCAUAGUAUAGUAGAUAAAAGGGGAAAACCCUAAGCAUUAAGAUAAAAAUCAGGAAAGUGGAACUAGAUGGACCAGUGGGUGGCGCACAUGCUUUUCGAAACGAAUAUAGGAACAUUAGGUGACCAAUUAAACAUUCUCUAUUUUAGUGAUAUGAGCAUCAUAUCAGAUUUGUAUUUCAACACGUAAGCUUUGGGUUGAGGUCUUGAGGAGCAGUGCUAGCACGACACGAAGCACCUACAAUGAUGGUAGUGAAUAUAAAGGGGGAAACUAUAAUCUUUACGAGUAUAGUGCCCGUGCCAUGGCGGAUCUGAAGGUGCAAACCAGACAAAGCUACUUCACAACCAAUGUUUACUUUCAACUAGCCACUACGAUUUGCUACGGACAAGAAAAGUACAGUAAACAAAUUACGAUCUAUUUUGCGGGUGAGAUCAAUAACUUAAGCACAUAUGGAAGAUCUAUUUUGAGGGUGUAGGCCUAUGCUGAUACGUUGAGGGUGCUGCGGGUGCGAUGGCUGUCGGUGGCGGGGAAGAAGACUUUAGACGGCAGACGGCCGGGUCGGGGGAUAUAUCCUGUUGCCGUGGACGAGGCGGUCGUACGAGCGGCAACGGCAAGGUGGACGACGGCGCCGUUGAAGCGAGAGGAGGCCAUGAAAGGAUCCUGGUCCAGCGCCGUGGAUGAGAGACAUCCAUCUCUUGUAGUGGACGACGGGGUAGGGGUAGCGGCUCCAGCAAGGUGGAGGAUGGGGUGGCGGACGGAGGAGGAUGACCGCAGUGCGGAGGUUGCCGUGCCGCCGAUGGUGUAUGAAUGGGGAAAUGGGGGGGGGAGGGGGGAUCUCAAACUUUGGGACGCGCUUCUUUGAAAUGGUGGAAAGUUAUGAACUUAUCCCCCGUUUAAAAUUUCGGACAUCGCGUCGGUUGGGGAUAGGACGGUAAUCUCGCAUCUCCCAAAUAUUUGCCGGUAACUAUUUCGGGCGAGGAGAGGGUGUUUUACUGCCCACGGUUGGCACCCAUGGAGUAUGAACGGGGCUGACAGGUAGGGCGGUUGUGUCACGUCUGAUGUUAGUUACACAUCUGCCCCUAUUUAACAUAUUAGCCUACAUCAAUUUCAGACGAGGAGAGUUUGUUUUGCCUCCCACCGUGUAUGAAUGGGGAAAUGGAGGAAGAGACACAUGUCUUUCGGACAAGCUUGAAUCAAAUGUGUUUUGUCGCCCAUGUUUGGCACCCACCGUGUCUGAAUGGGCUCAGAGGCCGUCAUGUCACGCCUGAUUGAAGUUACUAGUCUACCCCUAUCGACAUCAGUGUAAAUCCGGUCGAUAAGGAUGUCAAGUGUUAGGGGUAGACAGUAAUUUCCAUCUCGCAAACACUUGCUUCGGGCAGCCCACAAAUUAUAGUGGGUGUUUAGCCGCUUCGUUCAAAACUUGGGAGAAUUAGCAUUCACGUUUGCCCUGGGCCCUGGCAAAAUAAAUUCAAAUCCAAUUUGUAUUCGAUUACAAAUAUCCAUAGAUAAUUAUACGUUUUGUUAUUUAUUUCUUCAAAACCACAACAAAGAUUUAUUACACCUUUAUAUAUGAUUAUGAUUUAGAAAUGCCUUGAUCUUCAAAUUCAGUAGGUUGGAUACACUCUAAGUCAAACAGUUAUUUCAUCCAAUACAAUAUGCUCACACGAAAAUUAGUUCACCUUAUGUCAAUCAUACAAGUACUGAGGAUUACCUCGCCUAAAAAAUCCGGAUCAUUACAACACAUUGACAACAUAGGGGGUCUUGCAACAUAAUCCAUUCAGAGACAUGACACAACAUGCAAGUACAAUAAUCUAAUGACAAUUUCAACUGGUAUCUAAAGAAGAACCGGGAUUACCUUGGGCUUCAGAUAGCAAAAACGGUAGGACCUCCCCCGUCUUCAAAUGCAACAUUCUUACUUCCUCCAAUUCUUGGGUUGCUUGCAUAAUUUGUGCCGCUAGUUCCAUAAUUUCCAGCCUCACGAUAAAGAUUACCUCAUUCAUGGCAGCCGCACCAUCUCUUUCUGCCUCUAGUAGAGCCUCAAGCACUAUAAUAUUUGUGCUCAGACCGCUCUCCGGCGGUGUUGCCUCUGAACUGCUACCAUCUGGUAACAUGGAUGGCGCACUGCUUCCACAAAUAGAUUCUGUGGUUGUACACUGUGUCCUAGUGUGAACGGCAUCCUGAAAGGUUUUCGCUAGACAUAAGUAAGAGAUAGUUAUCGUAUGAUCCAGGCAGUAAGCUUACAUGGUUAACGACGGACGAAUUAUUGCCGAGCAUGGCAAACUAUAUUUAAAUGGUUCGAAGCAGCAUCAGCCGAAAAGAAAUUAAAAUGGUAAGUUGAAACUUGAAGGGAGUGUACCACCGCUAUAUUUAAGUUGCCAAGGCAUCUAAGCAGUUGAAAUAAUUUGAGAAAGCACUUAACAGUGUGGCCUCAUAUAAACUACGAAGACAGUCUUGUGAUGAAGUUGAGAGGAAAAGUUAAGGACUCAAAUGAAAUAGGCAUGCAUUUCUUUACGAUAGUACAUCAGGCACUGCUGACAUAUUGGCCAACUCAGGUAUAGCGUAACAACAAACAUGCAUUCGAAUCAAGCAAUACAGCAAAGCAGACAACUGAAGUAUUUGUAAUUCGGUAGGAUUACAGGUUGAGGGCACAAGCCAAGAAAGCAGCCCACUCGCAUUACAUUUCACAUGUACUAAAACACACUGGCUUACCAUAUGUUGCUGUGAAGCCUUGCUGAUGUUGCAAUGUUCUUUGAAGAUAUGGUCAGCAUCCCGUGGUUGCAAAUCUAGUUGUUGUAGUUUAUUCUGCACCCUCUAUUUAGGUAAAAUUAAAUUUAAUCGCAUGCACUGGUCCGAAUUGAUCAUCAAUGGUUCAUCUAAACUAAUGAAAGAAGGGUGUGUGCAUACACAACAAUAUAUCUGCUUCCCUCUAUUUUUAUGCUUGUUCGAGGUGCCAGCCCCAAAAGAACGAAAAUUUUGCUUGAUGGGGUUGACAGCUCCAUAAUUAAUAGAAGCAUCAAAUUUGUCACGCAACUUGGGAAGAUCAAGAACACACAAACAAGUAAUGAACAGAGGCUCGGAGUAGUGAUGUAAUAGCUAGCAUCAAAAAAUGUAGGUUAAAACGAACAAAAAGGAGCGGAACCACAUGCUUUCGAUGAGGCGUAUCUAUUGCGGUGGACGAGGGCUUGUAUGAAGGGCCAGCGAAGGGGCGGACGAGGGAGUUACUAAAGGGCCUACGCUAUGGUGGAAGUGGUCGCCGGUUAAGCAGAUCCGGUGCAGUGGACCAUGAUGGCGGUCAAGGAGAUCUAGAGCGGUGGACAAGCCAGUCGCUGAAGCGGCUCCGGUGAAGUGAUGAGUUGGCAGUUGGUGGUUCCAAGGUGCGGAAGGUAGAUCCGGCGGGGUGUGAGGUCCACCGCUGCGGCGAAGGACUAUAUUUGGUGGCUUGCCGUGGUUGGGGGCGUCGGGGAGGGGAAGGGGAGUGGCUCUGGGGAAGAAUGUUGGGGGCAAAGAGGGGAAAACAAUGGAGUUACCAAAGGAGCCCUUUUCCGUUCAUGUGGUAGGGGUAAAACAGGAAUAUCACAGGGCUAAACUUUCGGGGGCGUGAUAUUUCUAUGUGAGCGGGAAGUUUGAAAGCUUUUGGCACCUAAAAUUAUAAGUAUUCUGCUCUCGUACGGACGACCAUGAUAUCAUGGCCGACAAUUUGUUUGUUUUGCACGCAAAAAAAGUGCAAGUUUUGAAAAUCAAUGUCUCCAACUCGAAACUUAGAUUGUCCAUUCAAUUCAAAUAUGGAUCAUUGAGCUACUACAAGAAAAUACCAUCAUACGGUCCAAUUCAAAUGAAAUUCCAAAUGUGUUUAUCCUAAAUAUGAUGACAAAAGCUAAAAUGUGUGUGUGUAUGAAUAAAGUGGAUGAUUAUAAAGUUUGAACAUUCCCGUAUGUGUAGAUCUCUAGGUUUGAUGUAUGAAUUUGAAAUCACGAAAUCCCGGCUUAAAAAUUGUACCUCCGUUUAAAUGAAUUACAAAAGCUAAUGAUGGAGUCGAAUUCCCCCUCAAAUCAUUAUUUUUCCUGAACAUUACUUCAAACAGUACUGAUGCGUGUUCGUCGGUGGCGCCGGUGACGAGCGAGUUGGCCGCCGCUCCACCGGACGGCCGGACGCCGCGCUGGCCUCUGCACGGGUUGGCAGACUGGCCCGAGCGUGACUCACGAGCGAGCAAGAUGCCGCGCUGGCCUUCGCUCAAGCCAGAUGGCUGGCCUUAACAUGGUGCGCGCGAGAAAGCCGCCGCGCUGCCGUGCCAAUCUAGCUAGCAAACCUUGCAGAGAAGCAGCUGGACGGAGCUAUCUUGGCUAGCUAGCGGCCGCAAGUGCCGGACGGAGCUGGCAUCCGAGCUGCCGCAACAUGGGCUCCACACCACCGGUAGUUUUGACCUCACCUUCUGCCGACGGCGGUAGCUGCUUCCCAUGAUAGAGGAUGACUAGGUGGACAUCCCGGAGGUAGGAGGUCACUUGAGGAUUUUUCUUGGUAAGAGCAUGUACAAUGGUUGAUAAGGUAGUCUUAUCUUACGUCUGCCACGUAUGCAAGUGGUAGUAGUUUCUUGGCAUUUUAGUGGUUUCUUGCAUUAUAGGGGUUUCUUGUAAGGAACAAUGUACGUACUACUAGCGACAAAAGGCGAUUCUAGGUUGCGUUGUACUCCAACGAGUACUACUAGUGGUCGCAGGAGUGUAUACCUCGUUUUCUGGGUUCGAUCCCGGCCGAACGCAUGGCGGUCUUUUUUUUAAAUAGUACUACUACACUUUGCUGUGAGCCAAUAUUUUACACGGGUAGUUUGAGUUUUGAAGUCAAACGGACGUGCGGCCCCACAAUCUGGGUGCAUUGAAUACCCUAGCCACGUGAACGGGUUUUCCUUCCCAGCAUCCCGUGGCUCGCGUGCUCGCCCUAGCCGCACCUCGCUUGCAGCUUCCUCAUCAGCUAGUAGCUAUUUAAACUAGCGCCUCCCAAUUAAGCCCGAGGAGCUGGAAAAGCCUGGUGGGGGCAUUGGUAACUGUGCAAUAUGGCUCUGCACGUAAAGUGCUCUACUACUACUCUUUAGCUUGUGGCAUUGCACGCAUGGACUUCACUCCAUUAUCGGCUCUACUAUAAAAGAAAUUGCUAUUGACGUGUUUUUUUUAAACGGAGGCAAAAGCUUUGCUUCAUCUCUUCAUAAAGAAGGAACUACUAACAAAGUUCGGCGAGAUCCAUUACACCUCCACAAAUGGAAGCGAAAAGCCUAGUCUCGCUGUAUCAAAUAACUCAAAUGUUUUGCCCCGCAGUAACCGUCGCUGAUAAACAGGCUGCUAGUGUGUGUGUGAGAGGAGCGGCUGAGUAGGCCAGCUACGUGAGAGGAGCGGCUGAAUAGAGCACCGAGAGUACCCACUAGGCCACUACGCAGGUGUACUUUCCCUGCAUUGAUAGUACAGCGAUGGUUCUAGAGAACAAUAGUACCCUCCACUUCCAACUGUAGCUCCUUGGCCCUGAGAUUCAAGAGUUCAAAACUGGUGCACUAUACUAGAACUAGACAAGAAGUAGAGUACAUCGCACUACUAGUUGAGAAAAGUAGUACUAGUACUGCUAGAGUAUGAGUACGUACUCCUUCAUCACAUAAUGUAAGACGUUUUUUGACACUAGUUGGCGUGUACAAAAAUGGCAAAAACAUACCCAAAUUUUUUUAAUCCACGCCAAAAACUAAUACCUAGUGCCAAAAAUUUCUUACUAGUGCUAUUAUUUACAGUAUAAUGAAAUCCGAUAACGUUCCAUAAUGCUAGUACUAGUAGUAAAUAAUAGCCUCACCCCUUCGCUGAGGAACGAUCUGCAGUUGGAAGGGAUGAGGCCCUGCGGUUAUUACACUCUUAUCUCCUCCUCGCAAGUUCCCCUCCCCCCGAAGAGAAGGCAGUUCGUCGCUGCUCCCAUGGAUUCGCCAGGCGGUUCUCCUCCUCGUCGGGGCUGGGAGACCUUGGACAAUGAUCCUCUAGGAGAAAUCGCACGCUGCUCCGACGUCCUCACCGCCGCAAGACUCGGUGCUUCCUGCACCAACUUUUUCAAGACGCUGCUUAAACAAGCUUGGGAAAAGGACAUGCUUGUUGGUCUUCCAUGCGUCCUCGAGGAGAAGGUUCUUCUAUGGGACAAUCCUUCGAACAGUCCACCGCUCCCUAGCCAUGGUCGCACGUUGACUCCGCUAGAGUUGCCGACGUUGAGAGGUAGUCGGAUUUUGUCUGAUGAGCAGGUCAGUAAUGGAGUUCGAUCAUGUAGUACUUAGUUAUUCCAUUUCCAUCCCGUAGUUUCUCUGCUGCCCACCGUCUUAUAUAUAGGUCUGGGUCGGUGCCAACGAAGAUUGGCUUGCAUACCUCCGGCCGGAUACCACCAUCAUUUUGCAUAACAUCCACAACAGUGCGGCCGUUCUGGUAGACCCCUUCUCCACUAUUGGGAUCGGCCUUCCGGACUGGCUGGGCUUGAAUACGUAUGAUGAUGCCUACAUGAGAUUGAAGAAGAUAACAAUCGCGGACCCGCCGACAAAGCGAUGCGGCUACGAUGAUUACUAUCUCAUCGCGGUGUUCGACAUAAGGAUUGCCAUCAAUGCAAGAGGCAGUAACGGCAGAGGCUGGCGCAUGUUGGCGGAGGCAGAUUUGUACCCCUACACGUUCGAAGACGCCGUGCGCCAUCUAGGCUGCAUCUUCGUGGUGACAAGCCAGGGGACUUGUUUCAUCUGGUGGCCAUCCUACGGUACGGGAGAUUACAAACGGAAUGCACAAACCAUCAUUUGUGUCCCUAACGAUACUCCAUUAUUUUGCAGGGACCAAUCAUCCCCCGAUCAAAGUAAGAUCGCCGAUCCUGGAUGUGCAUUUGCAUCGGUGAUUUGGUCUAACCUGGAACCUUGUAGCUGACUUUUGCAUAUUGGCAUCAACUAUCUUAGCAGUCGUUACCCAUGGUACCACUGAUGUGCAACAUGGUCACACAAUCUACCACGAUCGGACCGUCAUCAUCUACCCAGGUAUUCCAAUUUUUAACCCUCUCGCCUUCACUUUCAUUGCUGUAGUAGUAGUAUAGUUAGUAGUACUAGUAGGAGUACUUUUUACCUUGGAGGACGCGUAUAGCUAGCUAGGCCCUUGAAGACUUGAACCCACUAGCUGCCACCAUUUUUGUUUUUCCAUGUCUUACUGUCUCAUCCAUGUAGCAAAGAGUGUGGCUAUAUAUAAUAAGCCGGUUAUUUUACUUCCUCUAUACCGGAGUAGUACUAUUUGCUGCACAGUAUUAUUGACCUCCAUAUUUGAGCACAACAUUAUUAUGCAUGGACCUUGACUAUGUACGUCACCAUGUGUCCAGAUCUGGGAUGCCGCGUGUACCAGAUGAAUGGCGCCGAGUUCGACCCCCAUGAUGCUACGUGGGUGCCGAGGAACACUCUUGGAGAGUACUCGCUUUUCAUCAGGGACAGCUACCCCAUUGUGAAGCGGAUGCCACCUUCCGUGCACGACACAGAAGGCCUGUCAUUCAUGAAGCAUGGUUGUGUCUUCAUUGCGCACCGCUGGAUGAAUCACAUGCUGGGACACGCUAUCCCUGAUUUAUGCCGCUUCAGCUUGGAUGAGUCUCCAUCGUGUGGAACUGGACUAGAAAGCUGCGACAAUGAUUCCCGUUGCCCACCGCUAUGGAUCAUGCCAUCCAUGAAGACCACCUGGGACUGGAACCUGGAGGAGGACAUGUAGCCCAUCUAUAACGUGUAAGUGGAGUACGGUAAUUGUGAAUGGUAGCGCUGUGAAUAUAUGUGGACUAGUCGUGCACAAAUUUAUCACAUGAAUUGGGGAUGAACUUGUGUGGCAUACUCGCAUUUUCCCUCUAGAAUUUCUUACUAGUAAAUGUGUUAUGUGUACGUGCAACUUGUGUGGUUGUUGCACGGGCUCCAACACGCUCUUUGAGAAAAAAAGGUGGCACAACUUUGGAUAUACGUGACGUGGUGGCAUCAUACAGUAGCAUCGUUCGCUAUAGUUGUAGUACACUCCUACUAGGACGACAACUCCUAUAAAACCUUGCGCUUGGCUCUUUGCCUCUUCGGGAGGUUCAAUAGUUCGUACCCAUGUGAACCUUGCACUUCGCUCUUCGCCUCUUCGGAAGGUCCAACAAUGAUGAUACUACAGUACAAUAUGCUUCUGGCAAUCUGACACCGAUUGAACUGUUGUACAUCCACCGCGAGGGCGAGGGCGAGGGCGAGGGAGAGGGAUAGGGCGCUGUAGUCAAAACCCUCUCCUCGUCAUGCGAACCACCGCGUGCGUGAGCGAGGGAGAGGCGUAGUAAGCAAGCUUCUCCUCAUUCGGCGAGUUGACGGGACACAUCAAAGCAGUACUAGUACUAGUAGUAGUCCAUACUGCGUCCUUUCCGAUUAAUAUGGCUUAAUUUGAAACGAGAAAAAUACACUGGCGGUCAACGUAUGUAACAAUACACUCUUUACGGUCACUAUAUAUAGUUUUGCGGUGAUUAUACGAUCACUCGCUCAUCGUAGAGCACCAUAUUGCACCCUACUAACCGGCCACAUAGUCGACGUGGCACUUUGUUGACUGGUUAAAUUGUCACCUGCACUACUAGGGAAAACCAUAUACACAGAAUCUUAGCAGUAGUGCGGCUCAAAAAGGAGCACUGCUACUAAUUAGUAGUAGCGCAGGUGUGGAAAACCCGCUACUGACAAGUGUUUAGCAGUAGCGCGCUCUGUGUAUCCCACGCUGCUACAAAUAUCGACCGACAGUGCCCCCCAAACUCCAUUUAACAGUAGCGCGGUACUGCUAGCCACGCUACUGCUAAAGCUGUAGUAGUAGCGCGGUUUUUCUGAGGUCGCUGCUGCUAACUUUCAAAUUGGACACACUUUUUCUCCCGGUUAGCAGUAGCGCUUCUGCCGAAAGCGCGCUGCUACUACUUUCUUAUCAGCAGCGCGUUUUACGUCCCGCGCUACUGCUAAUCCGCACCAACCCACCACCUUUUCCCCACCGCCCCUCCCCCUCCUCUCUUCCCUUUCCCCUACCUCCCACUCUCACUCUUCUUCUUCCUCAACACUUCUCCCCCAUUACUCUCCCUCUUCUGCCUACCUUUCUCUCUCUUCAUUACUCCUACCUAACUACACCACCUCCAUUAAUGCAUCUCCUUUCUCUCUUUCCUUCCCCCUCCACUAGUUAAAGUUGUCUCCUCCCAAAUUAGGUAGCUAGGUAGAUGUAGCAUUUAGUUAAGUGACCUAUUUGCCCCCUAACUAGAUAUAUCUUUGUCAAGAAGAGCUUUGCGCACUUUUGAUGUCCCUACAUCAUCAUCUCCACCGUGUGCUCGAUCUCGAGAUAGAGGUGAUUAAAAUUUCAUGCUUUUGCAAAAUGGAAAUAUGUUUAUGUGUGUGUGAUAUGUUUAUGGAAAUUGUGUGUGUGGCAUGAGUUGACGCCAAAUUGUGCUUUUGAGUUGCCUAUGUUUUGCCGAAAUGUCGAUUUAUUUCCAUUUCGGCGAAUUCCGGGCAAACUCUAGAUCUAUAUAUGUCCUAUUUUUAAGGAAGGUCAUGCCGAAUUUUUGUAUGACUUUGAUGCAUGCACACAUUUUUUAUAAUCAAUUUUUUUUAUUACCGUGCAUAGUUGAUGAUGGUCAGUGGAACGAUGGUGGACAGGUGGUUGCGGUCGGCGGUGCAGGACAUGAAAGAAAAUAACCGAACAGAGGUUUUAUGUCCGUGUCGAAAAUGCAAAGGAGUAGUUUGGCUCAACCACCGUGAUGAUGGUCGUGUCGAAGCACACCUGCUCAUGACUGGUUUCAUGGAUGGCUAUACUUGGUGGAUAAUUGAAGAUGAGGAUGACGAUGUUGAGGAUGCCGACAGGGCAGGCAAUGAUGACACGGGGCAAGACGAAGAGAUGAUCGAUAAUGGCGGCGGGGAAGAGGCCGGACAUGGUGGCGGAGAAGGGGCCGGACAUGGCGGAGGAGAAGGGGCCGGACAUGGCGGCGGAGAGAACGACAUGGACUCCACGCAGUAGAGUUCGUCGGUACUAAGUUCAAUUGUGUGGGACCCUCAUGUUCAAGCAUUUCUUCGGAAGGAGAUGAGUACUGAGAGAGCUGCUUCUAGAGAGGAGGCUAAGUUGGAGCAACUGGUGGUAGACUCGAACACUCCAUUGUAUGAUGGUUGCAAUCCUGAGGUGACCCACUUGAGUUUCAUGCUCCAACUCCUAAAGACGAAGGCUAAAAACAAAUGGACCGACACUAGCCUCGAUGAGCAUCUCAAGUACCUAAAGGAUGUUCUUCCUGCGGGUAAUCUAUGUCCUAGUAGUGUUGAUGAGGCCAAGAAUAUCGUGUGCCCUCUUGAUCUGCCACACGUUAGAUACCAUGCAUGCAUCAACGAUUGCAUAAUUUAUCGGAAGGAGCACGCGGAAAAAACAAGCUGUCCGGUGUGCAAUGCUUCUCGAUACAAGAAGGCCGGGAAGAAAUGUCCCCAGAAAGUUGUAUGGUACUUACCGAUCACUCCCCGUCUCCAGAGGUAUUUUGUAGAUCCCAACGAAGCAAAGCUAAUGUGCUGGCACGCGGAGAGGAAGAAGCCCAAUGAUGGAGAUGAUCCAAAGCUGAGACACGUCAAGGAUGGAAGCCAAUGGAGAGCGUUGAACAACUUCUAUCAGUAUUUUGAAUGUGAUGCAAGGAACAUCGUGCUCGGCGCAUUUACCGAUGGCAUGAAUCCGUUUGGCAACCAGAACACCAACCAUAGCAUAUGGCCCGUGUUUGUAUGGAUGUACAACCUCCCCCCUGGUUGUGCAUGAAAUCGAAGUACAUUCACAUGAGCAUGCUUAUUCAAGGGCCAAAACAACCAGGAAAUAAUAUUAAUUUGUAUCUGGGGAUACUUCAAGAGGAGUUAGACACGUUAUGGAAAACACCGGCCAAGACAUGGGACGCCAGCAAAGGCGAGUAUUUCAACAUGAGAGCCACGCUGAUCACGAUAGUGCAGGACUAUCUCGGUUACGGAUAUGUGGCAGGCCAGGUGUGCCAUGGAUAUUGUGGAUGCACGCGGUGCAUGGAUGAUACGAUGUCUCAGGAGCUAACAUCAAGGAAAGAUGGCGGGUCUGGGAAAAUCAUGUACAUGGGGCAUCGAAGAUGGCUCGAACAGGACGACCCGUGGAGAAACCAUGGAGAUCUAUUCAAUGGUCACAUUGAGCAUCGAGGACCUCCACGUAAGCGGAGCGGUGCCGAAAUCAAUGAGCUAUUGAAAAACUGGAAGGAGUGCCCCGCGCCGGGAAAGACGAUGAGAAAGGCACCAGAGCCGCUACUGAAGGUUUGGAAGACAAGGUCUGUGUUCUGGGACUUGGAGUACUGGCAAAAACUCGAUAAACCUCAUUGUCUUGAUCAAAUGCAUAUUUGUAAGAAUGUCCUUGAGAGCUUGCUCACAACACUGAUGAACAUGCUGGAUAAGACCAAGGAUGGGCCGAAGGCAAGAAAAGACUUGCAAGAUUUGGAAAUCAGGGAAGAUCUGCACAUGCCUCCCCAUAAAAUGUCAGACGAGACAGAGAUGGAGGCAGAGGCACGAGAGAAGAAGGGCAAGAAAGUAAAGAAAGAGGAUUAUUGUCCGCCUUCUUGCUUCACCUGAAGUCUGGUUGAGAUCGAUCAAUUCUUUAAGUGCCUAACCGGAGUCAAAGUUAGUUCCGGUUACUGUGGCAAGAUAAGCACAUAUCUAGACACAGACAAGAAAAGGUUUAGCGGAAUCAAGUCCCAUGACUGUCAUGUGAUGAUGGCGCAGAUACUACUUGUUGCCCUUAGAGGGAUAAUGGACAAGCACGUCCGUGACACGCUUAUUUGUCUUUGCAACUUUUUCGACGUCAUCUCUCGAAAGUCGAUCAGUGUGAAGUAGCUCCGAAGGCUACAGGAAGAGAUCCUUGUGAUACUGAAUGAGCUUGAGAUGUACUUCCCCCCCCCCGUGUUCUUUGAUGUGAUGGUGCAUCUGUGUGUCCAUAUUGUGGAUGGCAUAAUAGACAUGGGGCCGUCAUUCCUGCACAACAUGAUGCCAUUUGAGAGGAUGAAUGGGAUCAUCAAAGGAUUCGUUCGUAACAUGUCCCGUCCGGAUGGAAGCAUUGUCCAGGGCUAUGUGACACAAGAGUGCAUCUCUUUCUGUGAGAAUUUUCUAUAUGGCGCAGACCAGCCGCUUGGUGUUAGUGUUGGUUUGCCCGUUAACAAGCACGAUGGGAGGCUCGAAGGAGAAGGUCACUACAACGGUCGCAGGGAACUACACGUGGCAUACUCCGAUAAAUGCAGCGACUUUGACAGAGCAAACUUGGUAGUGCUACAACACCUAGACGAGGUAGAUCCUUUCGUGGCACUGCACAAAGAAAUUAUCGCAAAGAAGUAUCGUGACCGGGGGGUAUGCAGGACGGACGCCGAAGUUACUAAAGAGCACAACUCCACUUUCCUGCAUUGGUUCAAAGAGCAUAUUAUUGCUAAUCCCCCGAAGGAGGGCUCUAAGGACGGAUUGCUCAUAUACGCCUUAGCAGAUGGCCCCUCGCCCAACCUCGUAACCUAUCAGGCAUAUGAUAUCAACGGAUACACGUUCUACACGGAGGCCAAAGAUAUGGACAGUGAUGAUCAGAACUUAGGGGUGACGAUGGAAUGCAUGUCCGGCAGCAACAACGGUGCAACUGAAUGAUUUUAUGGAAGGGUCGAGGAGAUCUGGGAGCUUGACUACUCUAGACUGCACAACACGACGAUGUUCCAUGUCAGAUGGGCUAAGAAUGUCAAAGAGAAAACUGGAUUUUCACUACCAUGACUAUACCCGACGCCAAGAGUUCUACCGUGAGCGCUAUCACAAAAAACGAGCCAUGGUUACACGCUAAGCACGUGACACAAUGCUUCUUCAUAACGGACCCACACAAUCCCAGCCGUGUUGUUGUGGGGAGAGGCAAAAGGAACAUCAUUGGAAUGGAUGGAGUCACCAACGAGGAAGACUAUGAUCAGUACGGCAACCCAAUGAGGGAAGCUAACGAUGAUGAUGAAGUAUAUGUCAAAAGAAGAAUCAAUACUACAUUACCUAAGAAAAAUCGUACUACAUGUAAAAGGCAAAGUCACAAUGAGGGGCUCAAUUAUUCUUCGACGAAUAAGAAGGGAAAGAAGCUGACUCAAAAACAAAAACGUCAACGCUGAGGAACCAUAUGUUAUCGGUCAAAUGAUGUUAUAUAUAUAUAUGUAUAUAUAUAUAUAUAUAUAUAUAUAUAUAUAUAUAUAUAUGUUCCUAUUUUGUAUACACACUUAGCCACCAUUAUGCAUGGGUCCAAUGAUGUAAUAUAUAUGUUCCUAUUUUGUAUACAUAUUUAACCUUCAAAUGAUGCAAUAUAUAUCGCCUUCCCUUUGUUCACUGCUCUUGGGAAAUAAAAGUGGGAGAAAAUAAGUGGGAGAAAAUAAAGGAAAAGAAAAAGGAAAACUGGUUAUAGUAGUAGCAGUUUACUGAAGAAAGAGCUACAGUCAAGCUAGCAGUAGCGAUUUCCUUAAAAAACCACUACAGCUAGUGAAGGUAGUAGCAGCGCGUUUGUUCUAAACCUCUAGAACUAGUGAAGGUAGUAGCAGCGCGUUUUGUCUAAAUGCGCUACUGCUACGUCAACUUAACCCAAAAUUCUCACUCUCCUUGCUUCAUCCCGCCUCUUUUCCCCCAAAUCCCCACUCUCUCUUCCCCAGUCGCACUGCCACGCCCCGGCGCUCGCCAUCGACCCGACCCUUUACCCCGACCCCGGCGCUCGCCAUCGACCCGGCCCUCGCCCCUGACCCCGGCGCUCGCCCCCGACCCUGGCGCUCGCCACCGACCCGACCCUCGCCCCCGACCCCGACGCGCUCGUCCCCGACCCGUCGGCCCUCGCCUCCCUCCUCUGCUUCCUCCCCUCCUCGCCCCUGCACCCUCUGUAAACCCCCCUCCCCCCUCUCUCUGCUAGCUAGGGUUCUUCGGUUAAUUUACUUAGGUUUUAGUUAGGGCAGUAGGUUAAUUAGGUUAUCUAUUUAGUUAUAAAUUUAGCUAGGUUUUAAAAUAUGACAGAAAUUUAGGGUUAAGCAAUUGUAGUUAAAAGAAAAGGCAGCAUUUAAGCAAUUGUCCAAAUCAACAUCCCUUGUUAAUUAAAGCAAAUUUAGGUACGCUGAAUUUAUAUGCAAAUUUGAACUGGACAUGUGAUAUGUGGAUAUGUCAUGUUUUGGACAUGUCAUGUUUGGAAUUUGAACAUGUCAUUUGGUAAAUGAUCCGAGUGGCCUAUGUUACGCCGGAAUGCUGAUUCAUUUCCGUUCCAGUGAAUUUCAGGAGCUCGAUAUGUCCAUUUUUUAGCAAAGGUCAUGCCGAAAUUUGCCGUGAAUUUUGGCAUGAUUUGUGCUAGAUAGUUGGCAUAUCGAGUGCUGGCACAUAGAUUUCUUUUUUAUGUCAUUUCUCAUUUUUCCAUACUUUUAGAAAUAAACGAGGACACUUAAUCAUAGGAAACAUGUCGAACAACGAAGAAACUGGGCCUUCUGACCAAGAUGCAGACGAGAUGGAUUAUGAUGGUGAACAAGAGUACCUCGACUAUUUGACUGCUACAAGUGGGACAUGGAGAAAAAAGUUUUUUACACGGACCAGAUCACGAGGAAAUUGAUUAGACUACUGGAGAAGCAUCACCAGCUUGCAGCCGAAAGCCCUAAUUCUCCUUGAGGCCCAAAUGGGACACCCCUCUCAACCGGGCCUUGAACGAACUUAAGGGACUCCCUUUGGGCCAGCGGCCGCAAUAUGGUCGUGUGCACGGCGAUGGAGACGGUGCCACGUGGAAGGUGUUUUACAACGAGGGCCCGGAGGCAAAGAAGCAGAAAAAGAAGUUUAGUCAGGCGGACAUUGACGCGAAGGUGAAGCUUGCAGUCGAGAAAAUAGCAGCUGAGGACGCGGAAAAAACAGCCGAGGAGAAAAAUGAGUUGCUACAGCAGGCAGUCAAUGUAGCUAUAACUGCCUGCAGAAAUGAUUUUGCUACUAACUUGGUUCCAGCUAUCAUCAACUGGACGAAGGAAAAUCCAGACAAGAUGGUACAUGAUUUCCCGAUGCCCAGUUUCGUCGGGAGCAACUCCAUGAACAACAACAACACCGCACCAUCACUUGCUCACGCAACCAGGCCUCCUCUCGCGGUCGCUCCCGCUCACGUUCCACAACAAGCCUAUCCCCGCUGGGCACUUCAGGGUUAGCUUGUCCAGUGUGAAAUCAGGGCACGAGGCAUUGCCUCCUCCAGUACAGCAUGUGGGAGAGGACGACGAGACCCCGCCGCGGAUUGGAAGAUGCAAGGGUUGGGUGCUGCUAUGGCCGAAGAAUCUUAUUCGUUUGGAGCCGGCUGAGAGCACACCAAUAACCACACAUCAACAAGCAUGUGCGGAGACCACGACCCCGCCUAUGCAAUUACCAGCUCCUGUAGUGCCGAGUGAGAGUGGCGGAUGACGUCAUGAAGGGGGUGCAAUAGUACUAGCUGAUGUAAUCGGUCCUGUAGAACAGAGAAUGGAUGAUGAGAUGGAGGUCGACCCUAUGGGUUUCCUCAAUACAAACACGUAUGACUGUGACAUAGAUCUGAUGAGUCAACCAUAUGAUGAAUCGGGCUAUCAGCAUGCUAAUCAGGAUAUGGAUGAUAUGCUUGGGCAGGAAGGUCAUUGGAAGGAUUGCAAAAAGUCUCUCUUCAUGAAUUCCUCACAGGACUUGCCUGAAGAUGUCGCCUCAACACAGGCUCAACUAGCCGGGGGUCGUACAAUGCUUAGCCCGGGAACCCUGGGGCAGGGGUUAAGGAAGGGUCUGGAAGGUGUUCCCAAGAAAAACGAGGGGAAGAGAUCGGCGAAGAUAACUGCCUGAAACAAGCCAGAGCAAAUAGCAGCCGGAUGAUGCAUUCUGAAGAGCGUGUACCCGUGAAAGGUGUGGCCAUGUUCCAUCUCAUGGGCGAGCCGAUGCUACCACCGAAACCGCUGGAGGCACUAUCAGGGGAUCUCAGGAGACUGCACGACCAUGUGCUGUCGACUGAGAAAAGCCUACUAGCCUCAAAGGAUCCAGGAUAUCUGACAUACGCGGCUUGUGUGCCUGAGGGGAAGUGCUACGUCGACACACGGCCUGUGGAGGUGUUCUUCCUGCAGUUUAACCAUAUCUUUGAGAUGUUUCUAACAAGGCGGCUCGAUUUUACAAUCGUCCGCCUUUUGCGCUAUAUAUGAGCUCUGUCAUGAAGUGUGAAGAAGUCUCGCAAAUCUGUGUGGCGGAUCCAUACUACAUGCACGAGUCUUUCUUGAGUCUCAGCGACUUUGAGCGUGAAACUGCUAGGGACUACCUCCAAAACUUCAUGGUACUAAAUAAGGACUGGGAAAUUGUCCUCAUGCCUUAUCAUCCAAAGUAAGUCAGUUCCGGACAAACCUUUCGUACGUUUCAAUCAUUCCUUCUCUCUCAUAUGGGGAAUAAUUUGAGGUGUCUAUUCCCUGCAGCAACAGGGGCACCGUCCUUAUCGUUCUUUAGCCGCAAGUCUCCCACGCCAUGUAUUUUGACCCUUCUAGAGACUAUGAGAAAAAAGACUACACCCACAUAAUGAAUAUUCUAGAUGAUGCUCUCCGAGGCUUCAGCAUUAGAGGUGGCCACAUGUAGAUCAGGAAACAAAGGAACAAGAAGAUGGGUUUCGUGCAUAAAACUAACUUCUCCUGCAUCCAUGUCCCAAAACCAACCAAGAAGGAUGGAUUCUCCAUCGUCCAUCUCAUGAUUCAGUUCAACACGGAUCACCAAAAGCUUCACAUGAGAAGCGGAAAUGAUGAUCAUAUCCACAAGUGGCUAGAAUCUCAUGGAGAAGCGGAUUAUAAACUUAGAGAUGACUUCUUUCGCAUCCAAAGGGACAUUGCGAUGAUCAUAAUGAAAGAAGUCAUCGAUGAGAAGGGGAUGUUCCACCAUGGCCCUAUAUCGCGAGCUGACGUCCGAACUCUCAUAGGCAUGCAACCUCUAGACCUCACACCGUUCAAGAAGCUAGGGUCCAUCCCCAAUGAUAUGGAAGGAUGGAACUUCUAGUGAUUUAUGAUGCCGAUGAUGAUGAUAUGUGUCGGUUGAACUUGUAUACUUUUUGUAGCGAUGCAACUUUGUGAUGUCCACGGUCCCUGCCGAACUUGGACGAUGACCUGCGUACCUCUAGUUAAUUAGUUUGCGUACUGUAUGUUGCAUCUAGUUGCUAACCCUUUCUUUUUCGGUGUUGCUCUAGUAUAUUUGUUGCAUAUAUAUGAUUGUAUAUCCUCUUCAUGUACAUGCAUCUCUAACAGGUACCUAGUUUCUUGAUGGCGAGAUGGAAGUGCUAUGUCGUGUACAAAGGGAAGGUUCCGGGGGUGUACAACGAGUGGCCUGAGUGUCAGGCGCAAGUGAACGGGUUCUCGGGCGCCAGCCAUAAAGGCUUCAAAAGCAGACAAGAAGGAGAAGCUAGUUACUUGAGGUUCAUGCUAGCUCGAGAGAGGAAUCGUAACCGCCGCCUCAUGUACUGCAUAGUUCCGCUCUCACUCAUAGUGAUAGCUCUUCUCGCGUAUACCUUUGUUUAGAUGGAUGAUGCUGUAGUUGCAAGUAUUCGAGACUUGCAUGUAUCGCUAUUUUCGAGAUGAUGACAAGAUACCACUUUGUGUUGGAUGAUGAUUAUGAUGAGACUAUUUGUAUGUAUAUGCUAUGAUUACAUUUGUGGUCUCGCAGGCAUUUGUAUGUGUAUCAUGAUGACAUUUGUAUGUGUAUCAUCAUGACAUUUGUAUGUGCUAAAGAUUCUUCUAUAAAGCCUGUUCAAAUACAAAACAAAUAAGCGGAAAAAUAUAUAUUAAAAUUAGCAGUAGCGAGUGGAGAAAAGUUAGGAGCAGCACGGUAGUAUCAGUAGCGCGCACAUGGGAAGUGCACUAUAGCUAUUAGCAGUAGCGAGCUCCGCAGAAGAACGCUGCUACUACACUUGUAUAUCAGUAGCGCGGGUGCGCACGCGCUGCUGCUAUGGUUUAGCUGUAGCGCCUUAUUAGUAGCGCGGCCUCCCGCGCUACUGAUAACCCUAAAACCCGCGCUGCUGCUAGGCUUUCCCUAGUAGUGCUGGUUUCUGGGUCCUACCUGUCAGUUGGCAGAGAAAAGAAAUCAGUUAAACAAAACUUUACGCAGGCGCGACACGAGUUCAACCCUUGCGUGCGAACCGCCCUGGCUGUGUAUGUGAGUGCAUGCAUGUGUACUCCCUCGGUCUUCCAACAAAGAGUGUACAUCGGCUAUAAGGUUGGUCAUAGUGGAGAGUAACAUAUACUAGUAUCAUGCAUAUGAUACUAGUGUAUGAUACUACAUCUAUAGUGCAUAGUAUCAUAAAGUAGUAUCAUAGAUGGUCUCAUUUAUUGCCAUGCAUGACACACACUCCCUCCUUUCUGAUUUAUAGGACUUAUCUCAAAAUUUUAGUUUUUCCAUUUUAUAAGGCUCAAUUUGGUUGUUUUCCAUCACAUGUUCAGAUUCCAAGGUGCAUUAAAUCAUUGCAUGCAAGUAUUAAGAGAAAAUUGACCAAUGCAUGUACUUUACGCAUGCAUGCGUUGCAAUUAAUGCAUUGAUAAACAUAGGGGGUGUUUGGUUCUAGGGGCUUUUUUGUGUUGGGACUAGAAAAAGUCCCUAGCAAACCAAAUAGGGUGGGACUUUUUUGUGACUUUUUGCUAAAAGUCCUUAGAAGCACCUCCUUGAGAGUCUUUUUCAAAAAGUCCUAGGGACUAGAAAAAGUCCUAGGACUAGAGAACCAAACACCACCAUAAUUUUUUGAGGAAAACAAGAGCAUUAAUUAGGUGCUUUUGCAAAACUACAAAAAGUAUUCCACCACUCACCAUCUACCUUGAUUGGUGAGAUUUUUGAAUUGAGCCCUAUAAACCGGAAAUGAGUGAGUAGUAGCAUAACAUUAAUUGUGUUACGGUAUCUACCUAUGUUUACUACUACCUUCUCUCUCUUCUUUAAUUGUUUGCCACAUAAGCAUGUUUGCGAGUCCCAAGUACAUGAUACUAGUUAUGUUACCCCCACUAUGGCUAGUCUAAAACAAAGAGUGUAGUACAUGAUGUACAUCUACACUUCCAAUGCAUUUAGCCUUUAAUCUAACUCGAUAUUGAUUGACUAAUGCACCAACUUUUGCUGUAGGUAUAGGCUACAUGUCUAUCCUUAAUUACAACAUGCAACGACCUUCAUUUAAUCUUCUUCUCUCAAUGGUCGCAUGCACACAUAAGUCUAAUACUUUUGGGCAUUAAUUGUGCCCUGGUCAAUGUGUAAAUCUCUAAAUGUAGUACAGUCUUUCACAGACGUAGGGAGUAGGUUGAGCACUUGAGCGUGAGUGUGUGUGUUGCAUCGUUUGCUGUGUGCCGCAUGGGUGCGUGAGUGUUGCGUUCGUCCAUGUGUAUGUGUGAGUGUUGCAUGUUGCAUGCAUGCAUGCAUGCAUGGGGCUUACUCCCUCCCAUUGACAUGUUCAUAUUUCAAGCUUCCUCUGUUCCCUCCAUAUGGUGAUACUCCCUCUGUUCCCAAAUACGGAGUAAAAGCCUCCCUUUGUUCCCAAAUAUGGAGUAUUUGUCUUUCUACAGAUUUCAACAAGUGACUAGGUACGGAGCAAAAUGAGUGAAGUGAGCGUCGAGGCAUAGGGAUACUAUAAAAAGGAAGUCCUCGCGAUCCAUUAUUCCCCAUCUCGGUCAGAGAGAACUAUUCAACUAGUCUUCACAGUGAAGUGAUAAUACACGCUGCAGCAGAUGGGACACGUAAUUAAUAAGCUAAACCAGCAUGUUGGUGUUACUAAAUCAGCCUUACCCAGUACUGCCAUCAUGUUUGCCAGUAGAGCACGCUUCCGCAAAUACGCCUACGCACCUCUGUCCUCCAUUAACUGACAUAUGGGCCCUCUUGUGGUAGACCCACAUGUCAUCGUUGUAACUAUUUACACUCCGAACGACGGUAUAUCCUAGUAGUAGUACUAGUAGAAUUGAGAUUUAAUGCACUUUCUUCCCCGUCUUCCACUCUUCUUCCUCCUCUCUUCUUCUUCCUCCUCUCUUCCCCAUCAUCGGCGCACACCACUUACCCCCGCUCACUGCUCGCCCGCCCGCGCCAUCUUCCUUGGUAGCUCGGGCGUACCAUAUCCCCCCGCUCACUGCUCGGCAACACGAGGAGAAGCCUCUUCGCUCGCCCGCCCGAAUCCACUCCCCCCUGGCUCGCAGGCAUCGAAAACCCCAAUGGUAGAACCGACUGACACACAGAGCCAUGAUUGGAAUUCCCUCCCUGAUGUUCUCUUGGAGCAGAUCUGUAGUCGUAUGGACCUACUCAGCACCGUCCGUCUGGCCGCAUGCUAGGUGUCUUUGUACCGUCUACUCAUCUGCUACUGACCGGCUCUUUUCAAGACACCCUGCUUGCUGAUGUCUGAUCCUCGCAGGUGGCCCAGACACCGACUUGAAGAUCCUACAGAGGUUGCCGUGGUGCCCCUCGACAUGCUACCACUACCCGUCCACAUGUCCUUCAUGCGAGGCCACUACUGGGAGGGCAUGAAGGCCAACUGGAUCGUCCUCAUUCACCACUCCAGUAGUCCGUGGCAUCUCGUGGAUAUCUACACCCAGCGAGAGAUCACCCUUCCAUCUUUGGAUACCGCCGCCAUCGAGCCUCGCGGCCCGCCGGACACUCCUGCCUACUACGCACGAGACGCGUCAAGAUUUUGGCUCGACCUCUGUUUGCCGAAAGUUGUAAUCUGCGAAGUGCCCACACCAUCAGAAGAGUACAUGGAUUACAAGCUCAUUGCCUUGUUCAACAUGGGAUUAGUCUAUCUGGAAUCCGGUCACCAUACAUGUUUAUGGCUCAUCAUCAAUCAUGUUGAGGCAACAUUUAUGUCUGAUGCUAUAGUGCACGAUGGCAUCAUUUACACGGUCGACGCACAGAUUGGCUGCCUAUACUGGUGGAAUCUAUCAUUGUGUAAUUGUUCUAUCUCAUCUCAUCUUUACCUUAUGAAUACGACUGCCUAUUCAUUUGUUACAAAUUUAGAAUACAAAGCAUGUCUAUAACCACAUCAUUGCUAUAUGUUCCUCUCAUUUCCUAGAUUUUUAUGACCACACAUGUUAUUGUUAGAGUUGAUAUGAGAACAAUUGGCUUCUAAUGAUUGUUAGAAUACAUAUUAUGAGCAUAACCUCAUGAUUGCUAUAUGUUACUCUCGUUUACAAGAUUUUUAUAACAAUGCAUGUUAUUGCUUAGAGUUGAUAUGACAACAGUAGUAGUAAGUGCUAUGGUAGAAUAAGAGUAGGCGCUGUCAUAGUUGUUUUCCUCUCAUUGUUACAUGAUGUUUGAACCAUGACAUAUUGCUAGAAUAUGAAAGCCAUUGGCUUAUUUUUCUAACUUGGGGUAUGAUUAUGACCACAGCAUUGCAAUUCUCUGUCUAUGAUAUGUGUCACUGUUAUAAUAAUCUUAAUUCCACACACACUCUAAACAUGAUUGUUUAUUUUUGUCCUUUUGGUCUCCAAUUUGAAAUUUUGCAGCAGACGCAAAUGCGCUGGCCUUCAUGAUUCCAGGAUCUAGAAUCGUACCAGCCGAUGGGUGGUGCUUUAUCGCUCGUUCAGCUGACAGCGGUCAUUUGAUGCUCAUUCGCACGUACCAAAUUGACCAAACCAUUACAUCAAACCACAUGCAGUACAAUGCGUUGGGCAUUCAUGAAAUUGAUGGCUAUGGCUGCUUCGUGUUCGAGAAAGAUCCCAGCUCUGUUGGGCCAGGCGUAUUCAACUGGAGGCGGGUUUACAGCCUCGGCAACCACUCCUUGUUCAUCGGGCUCAAUUACCCGAUCAUCCAACCAAUCAUCGAUCAUAUCACCGGCGAUGAUUACCAUGCUAUGCAACUUCCAUUCGCGAGGGGGGACAUUGUUUACACAUCAUACCAUGGGUUUCAUGAAUCACCAUAUCCAGAGAUUCGUCGACACAGCUUGUUGCCAGAUAAUCUUUAGUGUGUGAAAGGCAUCAAGCUUCCAUGCGAUGGAUGGCUUUUGCAAACCCGACAUGCGGCGAUGUGGUUCAUGCCAACAGCAAAUAUGCACAACUUGAUUCAUGCUGAUAUCUAGACAAAGCCAUGUAUUCUGCUGCUGUCGCACGACCCUCUUUUGUUGGAUAUUAUGUACUGUUGUUAGUUUGAAGCACUCAUCUGGUUUGAAGGAUAGUAGAUACCUUCCUGGGAUCUAGUGCAUCCUAACUCACGUACAUAGGAUGUACUGAUAAUGAUGAUGGAGAUGCUGUGCAGAAGCCAUAUAUAUAUAUAUAUAUCAGUUAGGCUUCAAGUGCGUACUUGUUAGUUAGACCUAUGUAUAGAUUGUGACACUAAAUAUGACUAGUAAGUAGUAGAGUAGCAGUACUAGUAUAUGUCGGUCAAAUUAUUCAUCAUGUACACACAUUGAAUUGACGUGACAACACGCUGCGCAUGAGGUGACACAAGAAUCCCGGCGGCGUGUUCAGGUAUUCUGGACUUCAGAUUUGGAGUACCACUUAUCCGUCGAAAUCUUUCAUCAUUCACUUAAAAUAGUCGAUUGAUCAUACAUUGAGUACCAUAUAACUGGAAUUACCGAUGCAAGUUGAAGAACGAUUGGCCGGUGCUGCCGGCUGGCGUCAAGUUUGAUCCCACGAAUCAGGAGCUGAUGGAGCACCUUGAGGCCAAAGUGAGUGCUAACAGCGCGAGAUGUCAGUCUCUCAUCGAUUGGUUCAUACCAACCAUCGACAGCGAGCACGUCAUAUGCUACACCCAACCUGAGAAACUUCCAGGUAAGACACCGAUCGGCCGUCUACUUGCACAAACAUAUUCCUUUGUUUGUAGCUCUAUUUUUCUUUUUAGACGCAGACCUGGUGAAGCAAUUACAAUUUGACAGUUAAUAAAAAGUGAAACAAGUGACUGCAACAUGCCAAAGAUGUUAUGAAAAUGCCAACUACGUACACUAAAACCUGUAUUCCACAAUACUGUAGGUAUCACACUGAGUGGCCUAAGGAAGCAUUUCUUCCAGCGCAAUUUCAGGGCGUUCAAAAGGGGUAUGUGGACGCUUCGCGAGAUACAGUCAGAGUGCCGCAUGCAUGCGAUGUGGCACAAGACCGGCAAUACCUUGCCGGUGAUGGUCAACGGCCGGCAGACGGGCAGCAAAAAAGGUUCUGGUGCUGCACACCAACAAGAACUUCGACCAGCAGAGGACCAACUGGGUGAUGCACCAGUACCACCUCAGGGACCUGGAGCAAGAGAAGGAGCGGGAGCUGGUCCUCUGCAAGAUUUUCUACCAAACGAACACUAGGGCCAGGAGUAAAAAGAUUAUAAGUUAGUUUGGUAUUGGUAGUUGUACUACCUUGUCGUCCGCAAGUUGGUAUUGUUGUUAACGAUAUUUUGGUAUGAACUUGCAUUUGCUUCCAACCAUCAUGCCGAGGGUCGACGUGGAUAUAAAGCUGAAUCAUUUGUUUCGAAACGAAUUUUCAGGCACCUGAUUUUUAUUUGAUGGAUAGAAUAAGCAUCUGCCGUUUGAAUUCCCAGUUCUCCAAUUUUUAGAAACAAGUGCAUGCACUUAUUAUCACGAUGGAAAAACAAUAUCCGUGCUGCAUUCCAGUUAUCAGUAUGUACUUGCAGAAUUCACUCGUUUAUUGAGCACAUAUAUUGUUUUUUCCGGUCGAGCAAGUUUCAACUGGGCUGUAGACUGCCUAGGGUUGGUUUUGUUUUUACCAGGCCUAGACCAUGACGACAACGAGGCACAAAGAUCCAGCAGCUAUCUACUGGCCUCUGACCCGCCAGCGUUAGUUAUAUUUUGUCUUACAACAUCCGUAGGCAGUUUUUUUACUGGAUCAAACACACAGCCCAGUUCUAUUUUCCUCUUGAAACGCAUGUCCUACAUCCAUUUUCUAAUCUCUACCUAUAGUUUUACUCGUUCAUAUACACUUAUCAUUAUAUUGAAAACACAUAAAAUUCCCUUUUCAUAUUUACAUCCUUAUUUUUGUUUUUUUCCACCCAGCACUGAUUUUUUUACCACUGGUUUUCCCUUAAACCAACUCAAUUGUCCCACGUCUUAUUUGCUUACAAAAACAAAACGAUUUUUUUGGCAAAUCAAUAAGUUAUUAAAAAAAUGUUUAUCAUUUCAGGAUUACAACAGUUCGGACUCCACUGAAAUAUGCAAAAUAAGGUUGACAACUGGGUCCAUGGCCACAGCCUAGUUUUUUUGUGACCUGCCAAGUAAGUUGCUUUGUCAGGCCUGUUGGGCUGCACAUCUUUCAAGACGAGGAGAGCUUUCAUUCGGCUGGCCGAGAAAAUGGCCCAUCAGUAAUGAGAAAUGGGCUUACAUUUUUAAAACACAUCAAACCGGCAAUUAGUUUUAAAUAUCUUUUUUUUCAUUUCGAGAUUUUAAAUUACAUUAAUUUUAUGCAUGGAGAAUUUGUUGGAUUUUAUAUUGAUAUACAUUUAUUUUUAAAAUCAGUUUGAAUGUGAGUCGAAAUUUCGGGAUUAAAAACAGUUCGGACCGCACCGAAAUAUGCAAAAUUUCGUAUAUUUUUUUAACCGUGGCCACAAUAUGGGCUGUAAUGCUAACAAAAGGAAUAUGUGCUCCAAAAAAAACCCUUAAGAAUUAGCAAAUGGGUUGUAAAUUAUUAGAAAUAAUGGCACAUGGGUUGUAUGUUGUUUUCCACAGAUUUCAGGCUUUCCUAAAAAAAGGUUGACGCACAAGCAGUGAUUGUUGGAUGUCCAUCCAACGGCCAUCGUGCUUCUUAAAUCUCUGCUCUUCCUGCUCCAUCCACUGAAACAAGCGCCGGCGGGACUGCCUGCUACCUCCUUCCCGCGGUCGGCUGUGCUGCCACGCAGGCCUCGCUGCCCCACCGUACUCCCAUCGCUGGCCUGGCCAUCGCUCUACUCACCCACACAUGCUGUUAUUCUCUGGCGACGGCAGACGAACCAGUAAACCCUCGUACAGUCGUACUCCCUUCCGCGUGGGAAACAACUGCCCAGUCUUCCAUGCCUCCGUGUCGUUCCCUUCCAAGGCCUCGCCGUCGUCCACCGCCCUGGUGCUCUCGGCGCGGCCUGGUCAACAUGGUCAACGACCGACAUGCAUCUGAAGUGGACUAUGCAUGGAGAGGCCGACAGCUGGAUCCACGGCCGCACACAAGGAAAUGCCUCCUUAUUAUGCGCAAAAUAAUGAUUCCUCCACCAGACAUCAGGGACCCACCGAAAGGGCCUCUGUAUUUCGCGAAAAAAAACAUUACCGCCGCUGACAACUCGGACCCACUAGCUAUAUCUUCGCACGCAAGGAAGUGCCUCCUUAUUACGCACAAAAAAUGAAUACUCCCCUGUUAGCUGGGACCCAGUAUAGUGGCAGGCUGACUUGUGGGCCUGCUAAGUUGACGGGGACGGAGGGCUUUGUCAACUUAGUCAAUAUGCACGAUUCUAGCUCCAGUGACCGUACAAUGUCCAUCCAACGACUGUAGUGCUUCUUCAACCUCUGGUCUUCUUCCUGCAGCCGCCCAAACCAGCGCCGGUCGUGCCUCAUGCUCCUGCCUCCCAUGGCCGGCUGCGAUGCGGCGGAGGCCUCACCGCUCCCUACUACUCCCACCAUUGGCCAGGCCAUCCCUCUACUCAACCACACCCCCUGUUAACUGUUAUUCUGCGGUGACGGCAGCCUCACACCGCAGCGAACCAGUGAACCAUCGUACUCCUCUACGCGUGGACAUCCACUGCCACGUCUUCCAUGGCUCCGCGUCGUCCCCUUCCUAAGCCUCGCAGUCGUCCACCGCCCUGGUGCUCUCGGCACGACGUGGUCAACGUGGUCAAGGAACGGCUUCCAUCUGACGUGGACUGUACGUGGAGAGGCUGACAGCUGGGUCCACGGCGGCCGCAAGGAAGUGCCUCCUUAUUACGCGCAAAAUAAUUAUUCCUCCACCUGACAGCAGGGACCCACCGGACGGGCCACCGUAUUUUGCGAAAAAAAUGUUUCCCCCCUGACUGCUGGGACCCACCAGCUACACCUUUGCACGCAAGGAAGUGCGUUCGGGCAAAAAAAAAACGAUUCGCUCCCGUGACUGCUAGGACCCACCAGGUACAUCUUCGCACGCAAGGAAGUGCCUGACAGUCGGGACCCACCUAGUUGAAGCGUACAUAGCGUUGUCAUUCAGGUCGCGAACGUGUACGUACAUACUGGUGGAUGUAGAGGCGCGCACGUGUCGUAGUAGAGGCGCGCUUAUGUCGUAGUAGAGGCGCGCACGUAGCAUGUACACGUACGUACAGUGGCCAGUGCGCAAGAAAGAAAAUACGGUCACGUAUGUGUACAUACGGGCGGGGUCUCAAACGCCUACUCGCGCAUAUAUACGUACGGCCAGGGCUCGUAUACAUGGCUGGGUCAGAACAGAGAAACAUCAUCGUCGUCGUGUUCAUGGGGAGCCAACAGGCUGGGUCGGAAUGGAAUGCGUGGUCGUGUUCAUCGGGAGGGCUUGGACGGAACAGGCGAUGGAAAUGAGGCCUGGCGUACCGUAGAACGGAGGAAACAGCCUUGUGUUCGACCUGCCACGUUUGAAACGGGAUCCUGUUCAUCGAGAGGGGUCUGGCGUACUGCAAAACGAAGGAAACGGACCUCCUACAGUCGAAAUGGGGGUCCUGUUGAUCGGGAGGGGUGUGGCGUACCACAAAACGGACGAAACGGACCUCCUAUGGUCGAAACGGGGGUCCUGUUGAUUGGGAGGGGUGUGGCGUACCGCAAAACGGACGAAACGGACCUCCUAAGGUCGAAACGGGGGUCCCGUUGGUCGGGAGGGGUGUGGCAUACUGCAAAACAGACGAAACGGACUUGUGUUGGAGCACUACGGUCGAAACGAGGGUCCUGUUCAUCGGGAUGGGUGUGGCGUACCACAAAACGGGACUCCACGGGAUAUUGUUCAUCUCCACCAUCGACCUCCUCCAGCCUCCACGGGCUACUGUUCAUCCACCGUCGACCUCCUCAAGCCUCCACCUGCGACUGUUCAUCCACGGGCUCUUGUUCAUCCAGCCUCCACCGUGCGCUACUCCACCGGCUACUGUUUAACCACCCCUCUCCACGGGCUCCUGUUCAACCACCCCUCCACGAGCUACUGUUCAUCCACCCCUCCACUUUAUACUAUUCAUCCAGCCCUCCACGGGNNNNNNNNNNNNNNNNNNNNNNNNNNNNNNNNNNNNNNNNNNNNNNNNNNNNNNNNNNNNNNNNNNNNNNNNNNNNNNNNNNNNNNNNNNNNNNNNNNNNNNNNNNNNNNNNNNNNNNNNNNNNNNNNNNNNNNNNNNNNNNNNNNNNNNNNNNNNNNNNNNNNNNNNNNNNNNNNNNNNNNNNNNNNNNNNNNNNNNNNNNNNNNNNNNNNNNNNNNNNNNNNNNNNNNNNNNNNNNNNNNNNNNNNNNNNNNNNNNNNNNNNGAUCGGCUUCAGUUAGCAGCAGUAGCAAAGGAAUCGAUCGCUCGGGUUCAGUUAACAGCCAUCGAUUGAUCGCUCGAUUCAGUGAUACAUGUCCAACGUAUCUACUUUUCCAAACACUUUUGCCCUUUUUUUGGACUCUAACUUGCAUGAUUUGAAUGAAACUAACCGGACUGACGCUGUUUUCAGCAGAAUUACCAUGAUGUUGUUUCAUGUGUAAAAAACAAAAGUUCUCGGAAUGACCUGGAAAUGCUCGGACACAAGUUUCAGAAAAUAUAAAAAAUCCUCACAAAAUAUGAAGACCAAGGGGCCCACACCCUGUCCACGAGGGUGGGCCCCCCCAAUAGGACGCGCCCCCUUAUCUCAUGGGCCCCCUGAGGCUCCGCCGACCUCAACUCCAACUCCAUAUAUUCCGUCUCGCGGAAAAAAAUCAGAGAUAAAGCUUCAUCGCGUUUUACGAUACGGAGCUGCCGCCAAGCCCUAAUCUCUCUCAGGAUGGCUGAUUUGGAGUCCGUUUGGCGCUUCGGAGAGGGGGAUUCGUCGCCGUCGUCAUCAUCAACCAUCCUCCAUCACCAAUUUCAUGAUGCUCACCGCCGUGCGUGAGUAAUUCCAUCAUAGGCUUGCUGGACGGUGAUGGGUUGGAUGAGAUUUACCAUGUAAUCAAGUUUGUUUUGUUAGGGUUUGAUCCCUAGUAUCCACUAUGUUCUGAGAUUGAUGUUGCUAUGACUUUGCUAUGCUUAAUGCUUGUCACUAGGGCCCGAGUGCCAUGAUUUCAGAUCUGAACCUAUUAUGUUUUCAUGAAUAUAUGUGUGUUCUUGAUCCUAUCUUGCAAGUCUAUAGUCACCUAUUAUGUGUUAUGAUCCGACAACCCCGAAGUGACAAUAAUCGAGAUACUUCUCGGUGAUGACCGUAGUUUGAGGAGUUCAUGUAUUCACCAUGUGUUAAUGCUUUGGUCCGGUUAUCUAUUAAAAGGAGGCCUUAAUAUCCCUUAGUUUCCACUAGGACCCCGCUGCCACGGGAGGGUAGGACAAAAGAUGUCAUGCAAGUUCUUUUCCAUAAGCACGUAUGACUAUUUACGGAAUACAUGCCUACAUUACAUUGAUGAAUUGGAGCUAGUUCUGUGUCACCCUAUGUUAAAGCUAUUACAUGAGGAAUCGCAUCCGGCAUAAUUAUCCAUCACUGAUCCAUUGCCUACGAGCUUUUCAUAUAUUGUGUUUUGUUUAUUUACUUUUCCGUUGCUACUGUUACAAUCACUACAAAACACCAAAAAUAUUGCUAUUACUAUCUUUACCUUUUACCACCGUUACCAUUACUAUCAUACUACUUUGCUACUAAAUACCUUGCUGCAGAUACUAAGUUAUCCAGGUGUGGUUGAAUUGACAACUCAACUGCUAAUACUCAAGAAUAUUAUUUGGCUCCCCUUGUGUCGAAUCAAUAAAUUUGGGUUGAAUACUCUACCCUCGAAAGCUGUUGCGAUCUCCUACACUUGUGAGUCAUCAAGACUAAUUUCUGGCGCCAUUGCCGGGGAGGUAAACUCUAUUCUCUGAGUCACUUCGGAUUUAUAUCUGUUGAUCACUAUGAAGAAUUUGAAAGACUCUAAAACCAAGAUCUAUCCCUCAACUACGAGGGGAGGUAAGGAACUGCCAUCUAGCUCUGCACUAGAUUCUCCUUCUGUUAUUAAUAAGCUUGCGACACCUAAAUCUGCUACUGCUAUGAAUUCUGAUAUGUCGCAUGUUAUCGAUGAUGCCACUUCUGCUUUGAAUGAUACUUAUGAUGAAACUAUUUCUGUGCGUGAUACUACUGUGCCAUUAGGUGAAUUUCUUGACGAACAACUUGCUAGGGCUAGGGAGAAUGAAAUUAUUGAAGAUGCUAUUAUUGAUGAUAGUGAUGAUGAAUGUUCUCCGAAUGAUUCUGAAUUGCCUGUUGUUCCUGAGGGUUAUGUUAUGAAUAAAGAAGCUGCUGAAGCUAUUUUUGCCUACAAAGAUAGAUAUGAUCUUAAGAAACUAUUAGCUAAAUGGAAGCAGCAAUCUCUUAAUGCUAGAAUGAAACCUGACCCUGCUUUUGCUACUUCACCUAUCUAUGUUACUGAUAAGGAUUAUGAAUUCUCUAUUGACCCUGAAAUUAUUACUUUGGUAGAAUCUGAUCCUUUUUAUGGCCUUGAAUCUGAAACUGUUGUGGCACAUCUUACCAAGUUGAGUGAUAUAGCUACCCUGUUUACUCAUGAUGAGAAGUCUCGCUACUUUUAUAUCCUUAAGAUAUUUCCGUUCUCAUUAAAGGAUGAUGCUAAGACUUGGUAUAAUUCUCUUGCUCCUGGUUGUGUGCGUAGUCCCCGGGAUAUGAUUUAUUACUUCUCUGCUAAAUAUUUCCCUGCUCAUAAGAAACAAGCUGCCUUGGGGGAAAUAUAUAAUUUUGUGCAAGUCAAAGAAGAGAGUCUCCCACAAGCUUGGGGGAGGCUUCUCCGAUUACUUAAUGCUUUGCCUGAUCAUCCACAUAAGAAAAAUGAAAUACUUGAUAUCUUCUAUAAUGGACUAAACGAUGCUUCCAAGGACUAGUUGGAUAGUUGUGCUGGUUGUGUUUUCAGGGAAAGAACAGUCGACGAAGCUGAGUUACUAUUGAAUAAUAUGUUGACUAAUGAAAAUAAUUGGACUCUCCCUGAGCCAAUUCCUGAACCAUUUGAGCCAACUCCUGAGCCUAUCCCUAAACCCACUCCGAAAAUAGAGGUGUUCUAUUUCUCAGUCCUGAAGAUAUGCAAGAGGCAAAGAAAUCAAUUAGAGAGAAAGCUAUUAAAGCUGAAGACAUUAAUAAUUUACCUCCUAUUGAAGAAAUACAUGGUCUUAAUAUACCGCCUGUUGAAGAAACACAUUGUCUUGAUAGCCCGACACAGGUAGUAAAGGUAAAUUCUCUCUAUAGGUAUGAUAAAGAUGAAAUCCCAUCUACUAAAUUUCAUAGCCCUUGCUUAGAUGAAUUUGAUGAUUUCAUGAAUAGACAAGCAAAUUUCAAUGAUUAUGUUGGUAGACAACUGAAUAAUAAUGCUAAUACGAUAGUACGCUUAAAUGAUUAUGUAGCUAGAGUUAAAGGUGAACUUAAGCUCACUAGUAAACAUGCUUCCAUGGUUGCUACUCGAGCUGAACAAGUACUUAAGGCUCAGAAUGAAUUGCUUGCUGAAUUAAAUAAUAAAAAUUACUUUGCUGUUAGAGUGGCAACUAGAACUGGUAGAAUGACUCAGGAACCUUUGUAUCCUGAAGGCCACCCUAAAAGAAUUGAACAAGAUUCUCAGAAUAAUAAUCUAGAUGCUCCUAGUUCUUCUAAGAAGAAGAAAAAGAAGAAUGAUAUGACUUUGCAAACUUCUAGUGAACCUAAUAUAGAAAUACAUGAGAAUCCUAAUAAUACUCCUAUCUCUGAUGCUGAAACACAAUCCGAAGAUGAACAUGAACCUGAUGAUAAUGUUAAUAAUGAUGUUCAUGUAGAGGCUCAACCUAGUAAUAACAAUGAAAUAGAAAUUGAACCCCCUAUUGGUCUUGAUAACCCACAAUCAAGAAACCAACGUUAUGAUAAGAGAGAUUUUGUUGCUAGGAAGCAUGGUAGAGAAAGAGAACCAUGGGUUCAGAAACCCAUGCCCUUUCCUCCUAAACCAUCCAAGACAAAGGAUGAUGAGGACUUUGAGCGUUUUGCUAAAAUGAUUAGACCUAUUUUCUUACGCAUGCGCUUAACUAAUAUGCUUAAAACAAACCCUUAUGCUAAAUAUAUGAAAGAUAUCAUCACUAAUAAUAGGAACAUACCUGAAACUGAGAUUUCCACCAUGCUUGCCAACUAUACCUUUAAGGGUGGAAUACCUAAGAAACUUGGUGAUCCCGGAGUACCCACUAUACCCUGCUCUAUUAAAAGAAAUUAUGUUAAAACUGCUUUAUGUGAUUUAGGAGCCGGUGUUAGUGUUAUGCCUCUUUCCUUGUACUGUAGACUUGAAUUAAGUAAGUUGACACCUACUGAGAUAUCUUUGCAAAUGGCUGACAAAUCAACUGCUAUACCUGUCAGCAUUUGUGAGGACGUGCCUGUCGUUGUUGCGAAUGUUACUAUCUUAACAGACUUAGUUAUUCGUGAUAUUCCCGAGGACGAUAGUAUGUCUAUUAUUCUUGGAAGACCCUUUUUAAAUACUGCAGGAGCUGUUAUUGAUUGCAACAAGGGCCAUGUCACCUUUCAUGUUAACAGAAAUGAGCAUACGAUACAUUUUCCGAGGAAGCAAAUCCAAGUUCAUAGCAUAAAUACUAUUCAGAAAAUUCCAUCAAUUAUUAUUAGAGGUCUUGAAUUUCCUCUCCCUACUGUCAAGAAAAAGUAUGAUAUUCUUAUUAUUGGGGAUUUUCAUAUCCCCGUUGAGGUAACUUAGUGUCACUUCGCAAUUUCUCCGGUUCCGUGUUAUUCGGAACGAGUUUAUUAACAAGACUUGAUCAACCUUCUUAGUGGAUUCAUUUUGAUGACCAUGAGAUGGAUGAAACUAGAAGGCACAACCUUCUGUACUUUCUUUUUACUUUAUGGUAUUUAUAAUAAAUAAAACAAAAAUAGUAUUAUCCGUCUGUUUUCUGAUUUGUCUGUGCAAUAAAAAAUAUCCCAAAAAUAAAAGUGCUCCAAAUGCCCUGCAAAUUUAGUAUGAUUUUUAUGGAAUAUUUGAGGAUUUUAGGCACUGAAAUCACUGCAAGACGGGCAAGCACCAGGCCACGAGAGUGGAGGGUGCACCCCCUGUCUCGUGGGCCCCUGGUAGCCCCCCUCCACUUAUGCCAGCACCCACAGACUCCAUAUUAUACACAAAAAAAACCCGAUCCAUCUCAAGCACAAGUUCUAGCUCGUUUUGCUAUGAUUUUCGAUCUCCUUGCUCAAAGCUCCAUUCACAAAACUGCUUUGGGAGAUUGUUGCUUGGUAUGUCUCUCCUCCAUUGGUCCAAUUAGUUUUUGUUCUAGUGCUUUAUUCAUUGCAAAUCCUUGCUGCCUUGGUGACCCUGUUCUUGAGCUUGCAUGUUAAAUUUAUGAGGUUCCAAGUAAUUCUAAUGCAUGAUGUAGGCUCUAGGCACUUGUAGGAGUAGUUUCUACCAUUCUUGUUAAGUUUUAUUCACUUUUAUUUUGAAGUUACUAAAUUUUCAAAAUUAUUUCAGAAAAAGAAAUAUGCUUAGGAGAAUGUACCAAGGUGGUUCCUCGGUGAAGAAAGGGCCCAGGAUUGCUAUACGUGAGCAAGAUGUUGAAUUGCCAACGAACGCUGAUGUACGAGCUUGUGAGUGGCCAUCCGAUGAUUUUAUGGUCAAAGCGGGUUUUAAGGAGGAAUUUGACGCAUAUGUGCAUAAUGCCGAGUUGGAGGACUUCUUACAAGAUAAGUGUCCGCAGUACUAUCAAUUGACCGAUUCUUUUGUGCGGAGGUUUAAAUAUAACUGUACGCGUAAUUCUCCUAGUGUCAUAUUUGAUAUUUAUGAUACAUCUUAUACCAUGGACUUAGAGGAUUUUACAACUGCUUGCGAAUUCCUGUAGUGGGGUAAUAUUAAUGAUCCUCACAAAUCUGAAUUUAGAGAUUGCCUUGCUAGUAUUACUGUGGGAGAAUCUAGGGACAUUGCACAAGCUACCAUAGGGAGCAUUCAUUUUCCUGCUAUACAUUAUUUUGCUCUCUUCACUGGUAGAUGUACUAAUGGUAAGGAUGAAGCAUGUCACAUGUGUGUCCCUUAUCUGAGUAUCCUCAAGAGUGCUGUGUUAAGUUAUAAAGGUUAUAACCUGGGGGCAAUAGUUGCACGUAGGUUGCAGAAUAAUAGUUGAAAGGGAAAUUUAUUUGGAGGAAUUUAUGCAACCCGUGUGGCUAAUUAUAUUGGUAUAGCCCCACGAGAGGGAGAUACAAUAAUAUCUCCUGUUUAUUUGGAUUAUGAAGCUAUGGUCGAUCAUCAAUUCCUUGGGAGGAAUGAUCAAUUCCUCCAAUAUCGACUAACCUAUGACAGACGCAACGUCGUCCAUGUUACUCUUCCUGCUCCCUACCUUUUUGAUUAUCAGGCAAAAGGAAGAUAUGUUGUUACUAGAGAGGAAGCAGCUGAACACGAGAGGAGAGCGGAGGCAGCUCGCCAACACGCCGCAGCUCAGGAGGCGGUUGCCGCUGCAUCUCAGUACGACCCCGGUUUCACUUAUGGAUAUCAGCCAGGCUGUCCCUGGUAUUAGACCAACUUAGGCCAAAAGCCUAAGCUUGGGGGAGUACGUAUUUCUCAUCGACUUUACAUUCAUGUUCACACACUAGUUUUCGGUGCUCAUACCCUUUCAUUGUAUUAUCCAUGUUAGUUUAAAUUUCUUUUUCUAGUUUUCUUCUUGUGUGUUUGAUAAACCUUAAGAAAAACCAAAAAAAAUAGUUAGCUUAAUUUCCAUGCUUGUAGUAGAAAUUAAAAUGAAAAACCCAAAAAGAUUUCUUGUUCUUCUUUUACUUGUUGGGAGCUUUCCCGUGUAAAUAGUUUUAUUUUCUUUUCUUUCCUAUGGGGGUCAAGAAGACCAUAUUGAAAAUGUUUAGUGGCUCUCAUAUGCAUGAUUGUUUAUUUAAUUUAGAGCCCAUAUUAUUUGUAUUCUCUCUUGAGUUGAAUGCUUGCAGAUUCCAGCUUAGUCCAAUGCACGUACACUCUAUUAUUAUACACAUCGUUCGGUCGUGCGAGUGAAAGGCAAUAAUGACGAUAUAUGAUGGACUUAUUGAGAUGAGAAAAGCAGGUAUGAACUCGACCUCUCUUGUUUUUGUAAAUAUGAUAAGUUCAUUGUUCCUGAUUCAGCUUAUUAUGACGUAAACAUAUUUGCAAUAACAUUUAGAGAUUAUAGUUGCUUGUGCCAUGCUUGAUUAGCUUUGAGUUAUAAUGGUUUACCUUGCGCGCCAACAUGCUAUUAGAAUGAUUAUGAUGUGGUAUGAUGGGAUGGUAUCCUCCUUUGAAUGAAUUGAGUGACUCGACUUAUCACAUGUUCACGCAUGUAGUUGAAACAAAAUCAACAUUGCCUUCACGAUAUUUAUGUUCAUGGCGGAUUAUAUCCUACUCAUGUUUGUAUUCGGUGUGAAUUAGUUUUAAUGCAUGUUUAUGACUGUCGUCGCUCUCUUAGUUCGUCGCUUCCCAGUCUUUUGCUAGCCUUCACCUGUACUAAGAGGAAAUACUGCUUGUGUAUCCAAACUCCUUAAAAACCCCAAAGUUGUUCCAUAUGAGUCCACCAUACCUUCCUAUAUGCGGUAUUUACCUGCCGUUCCAAGUAAAUUUGUAUGUGCCAAACUCUAAACCUUCAAAUGAAAUUCUGUUUUGUAUGCUCUAGCCGCUCCUCUUUCCACUAGGGCUGUCUAUAUCUUCCAUGCUAGGUGGGUUAUUCUCAGAGGAGUGGACUCUGCUCCUCAUUAACGAGAAAGGGUCGGCAACUGGGAUGCCCAGUCCCAUGAUCCAAAAAGAUCAAAGCAAAUCAAAUAAUUAAACAAAACUCCCCUAGGGCUGUUAUUAGUUGGAGGCACUCGUUGUUUUGAUCAAGCCAUGGAUUGAUGCUUGUUGGUGGAUGGGGGAGUAUAAACUUCUACCAUUCUGCGUGGGAACUGCCUAUAAUGCAUGUAGUAUGGAAGAUACAGCCAUCUCAUUGUUGUUGUGUUGACAGCGAAAGUAUGCCGCUCAAAAUGGUAUUCAAUCUUUAUUUUAAAAUAGAGCUUUGGCACCUCUACAAAUCUCUUCUUCCCUCUGUGAAGGGCCUAUCUAUUUACUUUUAUGUUGAGUCAUCACCCUUCUUAUUAAAAAGCACCCGCUGGAGAGCACACUGUCAUUUGCAUUCAUCAUUAUUGGUUUACAUUGGGUAUGACUUGACUGGAUCUCUUUUACCAUGAAUUACAAUGUUCAGUCAGUCCUUGAUCUUUAAAGGUGCUCUGCAUUUAUGUUUUGCGGUCUCAGAAAGGGCUAGCAAGAUACCAUUUUGUUAUAUCAUGUUAUGAUUGUUUUGAGGAAGUGUUGUCAUCCGAGUUUUAUUAUUAUGGCUCGCUAGCUGAUUAUGCCAUUGAUAUGAGUAAUUGUGAGGCUUGAGUGUUAUUGUUAGUAUGGUUAGUUUAUAAUAUUGUUGAAACUUGAAUAAUGGCUUUGCAUGUUUACACCAACAAGAGCAAAUAGAGUUUGUAAAAGUUUUUCUUUAUCACUAUCAAUUUACCAACUGAAUUGCUUGAGGACAAGAAAAGGUUUAAGCUUGGGGGAGUUGAUACGUCUCCAACGUAUCUACUUUUCCAAACACUUUUGCCCUUGUUUUGCACUCUAACUUGCAUGAUUUGAAUGAAACUAACCGGACUGACACUGUUUUCAGCAGAAUUACCAUGAUGUUGUUUCAUGUGUAGAAAACAAAAGUUCUCGGAAUGACCUGGAAAUCCUCAGAGACAAGUUUCAGAAAAUAUAAAAAAUCCUUGCAAAAGAUGAAGAUCAGGGGGCGCACACCCUAUCCACGAGGGUGGGGGCGCCGCCCCCCCUAUAGGGCCCGCCCCCUUAUCUCGUGGGCCCCCUGAGGCUCCGCCGACCUCAACUCCAACUCCAUAUAUUCCGUCUCGCGAAGAAAAAAACCAGAGAGAAAGUUUCAUCGCGUUUUACGAUACGGAGCCGCCGCCAAGUCCUAAUCUCUCCCGGGAGGGCUGAUCUGGAGUCUGUUUGGGGCUCCGGAGAGGGGGAUUCGUCGCCGUUGUCAUCAUCAACCAUCCUCCAUCACCAAUUUCAUAAUGCUCACCGCCGUGCGUGAGUAAUUCCAUCGUAGGCUUGCUGGACAGUGAUGGGUUGGAUGAGAUUUACCAUGUAAUCAAGUUAGUUUUGUUAGGGUUUGAUCACUAGGGCCCGAGUGCCAUGAUUUCAGAUCUGAACCAAUUAUGUUUUCAUGAAUAUAUGUGUGUUCUUGAUCCUAUAUUGCAAGUCUAUAGUGACCUAUUAUGUGUUGUGAUCCGACAACCCCGAAGUGACAAUAAUCGGGAUACUUCUCGGUGAUGACCGUAGUUUGAGGAGUUCAUGUAUUCACUAUGUGUUAAUGCUUUGGUCUGGUUCUCUAUUAAAAGGAGGCCUUAAUAUCCCUUAGUUUCCACUAGGACCCCGCUGCAAUGAGAGGGUAGAACAAAAGAUGUCAUGCAAGUUCUUUUCCAUAAGCACGUAUGACUAUUUACGGAAUACAUGCCUACAUUACAUUGAUGAAUUGGAGCUAGUUCUGUGUCACCCUAUGUUAUAGCUAUUACAUGAGGAAUCGCAUCCGGGAUAAUUAUCCAUCACUGAUCCAUUGCCUACGAGCUUUUCAUAUAUUGUGCUUCUCUUAUUUACUUUUCCGUUGCUACUGUUACAAUCACUAUAGAACACCAAAAAUAUUGCUAUUACUAUCUUUACCUUUUACCACCGUUACCAUUACUAUCAUAAUACUUUGCUCAUAAAUACCUUGCUGCAGAUACUAAGUUAUCUAGGUGUGGUUGAAUUGACAACUCAGCUGCUAAUACUCAAGAAUAUUCUUUGGCUCCCCUUGUGUCGAAUCAAUAUAUUUGGGUUGAAUACUCUACCCUCGAAAGUUGUUGCGAUCCCCUACACUUGUGGGUCAUCAUUCAGUAACGCAUAGCCUGCAGUGCAAUCGCUCGGGUUCAGUUAGAGCCCAACGCCUCGCUCGGGUUCAGUUAGAGCCAACGCCUCGCACACACGUGCGUACGUGUACGAGAGAAACGCGCAUCGCUCGGCCCCCGACCUCCCACCGUAACCGGGAACUCCCUGAAAUUUUCCUCGCCCUCGCUUGUACCAAGGUUUUUUCCGUCAUAGACGGCCCAAAGAAUGUCAUGCAGCUGCGUCCCCGGCCCGCCCAGGACGAAAAACCCAUUUUCUUUCAUGAUUUUUUGUCAUAGAAGUUGGAGCCCACCACAUCUAUGAAAUUUUUUCGUUUGACCCAAAAUGUCAUGAAUGUCUUUUUUUUGUAGUGACGGGACGAAGUCUUCUAUCUUGUAUCUUCAUAGUCCAACAGUCCGGAUAACUUAUAUAGCCCAGCUGUCUAAGGACCCCUUAAUCUAGGACUCACUCAGUAGCCCCUGAACCAGGCUUCAAUGACGAUUGAGUCCAGCGCAGAUUGUCUUUGGCAUUGCAAGGAGGGUUCCUUCUCCGAAUAUUCCAAAGUAGAUCUUCGAACACAAGAAUCAUGUUAGGCUCUGCAAAACAGACUCCACAUACCUCCGUAGAGAGAACAAUGUUCCACGAGUCUAAUAUGCUGACAACCUUUCCAUAGCGUGACAUCACGCCACGGCCCGGUUAUUAUUCGAACUAUUUUCCAACCUGCUACUACACGUUUCGCGAGGCGGUUUUAUCGGCACGUCUUGUCGAAGCAGAGAUCGUGUCCCCUUAUUACGGGAUUCUCAUCAAUACGGGCGUGGCUAACCCAACCCUUCCACGGGUAGGAUUCCUUGGGAAUAGGCAAGUUUCAAAGGCCACAUGGGGGACAUUUGAUAUUUGUCCUCUUUAUAAAGAGACCAAGGCCUGCCUUUUUCUUCCACGCUCAAUCCUCUCCUUCUCCCACCUCGAGUUCCAACACCCAAGGCUUUAGCCAAAACGCUCCAAACUUCCGACCAUGUCCAGAUCCAGCCUUCAAGGCCGGCGAAUGGCCUCCUCUGUCACGGAGGAGGACAUCAAGAAGCUUAGGGAGGCAAGGUACUUGACCGCGGAAAUCCUCCACAGGCUUCCUGCUCAAGGGCAGGUUAUCCCUACCCUCAAGUCCAAUGAGAGUGUUAUGUUUAUCUCUCACUUCCUCCGAGGGCUAGGCCUCGGUCUUCAUCCCUUUGUUAGAGGGCUCAUGUUCUAUUACGGACUAGAUUUUCAUGAUCUAGCUCCAGAUUCCUUCCUUCACAUCUCGUCAUUCAUCGUCGUGUGUGAGGCUUUCCUCUGCAUUACUCCACACUUCGGCUUAUGGCUCAAGACCUUCAAUGUAACGUCGAAGAUGAUCGAUGGGAAACACGCGGAGUGUGGAUGGGUAAAAAUAAGAAAAUGUGCUAAUGCUUUAUGGCCGAAGGAUCCUUCCCGGAGGCUUCCAAACUAUGGUAGCGGGAGUGGUUUUAUAUCACAGCACCCCGAUGUAAAAAGUGGGCGGCUGUCCCUUCCUUCCGCUUCGGUCCUCCGCCACACUUUCAUAAUGGGUCAACAAGGGGCUGGACUAGGGAUCGGCUGAUGAUGUGUGGACAUUGCAAAGCCGCAUUCGAGAUCUCAUCGAGAAGGACAUUAGUCUUGUCAAGGUAAUCCAAGUAAUGCUAGUUUGGUGGGUCCUGCCAUGCCAACGACGACCUCUCCGUAUGUGGGAGUUCAAUCCGGAAGGACCGCGAACCGUUCAACACUUCUUCGGCAUGACACUCAAAGGGAUGUAUAAAUCAUUCUUCGGAUCACGAAUAAAGUGUCCGGACACCAUGGAAGACGCAGGCCUUGAAUGCAACCAUACAGAUACCCCGGUGAGCACCCCACAACCGAACAUGUUGUCGUUAUAUUUAUCAUAACGUUAUUCUGAAAAACCAUCCUCGGCCAGGGUUGGGAAGGCAGAGAGGAUCAGGUGUUCGGCGGAUCCGGUGUUAACCAGGAUGCUGGUGCACCAUAUCAAGUGCCAUCAGGGGAAGACAAGGAGAGGAGUGGGGAGGUCAAAAGUGGCCUCCAUACUGGUGGUAUAUUACACAUCAUAUCCAGAGAAAUUGGAACUCCUGUGUCGGAGGAUGAGUGGGGAGGAGAAUCAAGUAUUCCCUCCCUCCAUGGGAAGAAAAGGGCCACACACAAAGACUUGAAGGCAGAGGCCUCCAAGCAAGGGAAGAAAUCCCUAUCAGGGGGUCAUGUCCGGGGGAGCAAUGUUACCGAACAGCACCCUCAAGGGGACCAGCCGUUAGCCAAGACGUAAGUGAACAAAUGUGCUCUGUUAGCAUACCACGUUCAUUUCCCGUUUAUGAUAGUAACAUCUGAAACAUAUGUCCUGCAGUCCGGCCUAUAUCCUUCCACAACAAUCUUCGUCCUCGGGGGAUCUUCUUCUAGAGAUGAUGGAGAGCGAGACGCCUCCUCAUACUUCCCCUGCCCAUAAGGAGGAUGACCCUAAAGUGUCGUCUCGGAGGAUCUCUUGCAAUCCGCAAAGGAGGACGAGGCCAGAAGGUGAAUCUUCGUCCACCUGAGGUCGGGGGUGUGCGGCUCUUAAAGAGACCGAAGACAAAUGCCCCGGACUAUCCAACACACAGCCGGACACGUUGAUGGGUCUUCCGCGGCGAGCGCUUGUUUCAGAGGAACAUCAUACCUUAAUGGUUAUGGUGAUUGAGAGAAUUUCGUCCACGAAAAGGGGACUGGAUGAAGGCUUUAUGAGUCUAUUAAGAGGCUUUGAGGUACGUAAUGUGGCAUUUUUUAUUUGUACCGUAAACGCAAAGUGCACUGUGUGUAGAUAGUAGCCCCUGAGACUCUGGUUACUAUCCGAACGGGGCGAUCAGAGGAUCAAAAAUAGGAAUACUCUCAGGUAAUGAUUUUGAAAAUUUUGUACACGGGCAGCUGCAGCCCCGGCUGCCGAAUUUGCCGAACUGAAGCGGCAACUUAAUUUGGCGGAUGAGGACAUCAUGCUCGUGAAUAAGCGUCUUGACGAGGCGCAAGGUAUGUCUUUUGGGUGGUCAGUAAGUAUAAAUGAGAGCAUGAUGCUAGGAUUUAUGAUAUGCUUGAACUGCAGAUGGUGCUGCCGCCAUGGAGACUCUUUGCGGUGAGCUCGCGCGUGCCAAGGAGAAAGCUAGGAUAAGAGACGCGGCUACCGAAGUGAGAAGAAAAUAGCCAGUAUGGCUCUUGAGUUGAAGGAUGCCGCUAGCAAAUAUGAGCUUCUCGAAAGAGAGAACCAAGCAAAAACGGCAGACCUAGAGAAGGCCUUACAAGCAGCAAAGGAAACUCGAUCUGAUAUCAGAUCGGCUCGGGAGGAGCUCCGGCAAGACGGCGAGAUCGCAGCUGGGAAGCCCUUUUUAUUGCGAACUAAAUUUGGCGAUCCGAAGUAUGCUGCUCUUGAUCAAAUGUGGAGUUCUCAAGACGCAUACUUGGACUUGUCAAAGAGUGCUGCUGAUGCGACGCGGUUCUUCCAAGACCAAGAAGAUCAUGAAGCGAAAAGACUGUUCUGGUCGCAGUUCAGCAUGCCAAGGCGUCCACUGCUAUUGAACGAGUAGAUGGCCGAAUGGGCGGAGCUCCAUAGUUUAUCCGGACUUGCCAUGAAGGCUGUCGUGGACCACUUGUGGCCGGAGGAACCAAGUCCGGAUAGUUAUUUUGGUUUGGUGCAACGAUUUAUUCGUGCUGUGCCCCAUAUCGAUGCUAUCAAGCGGUCGGCGUGCAUAGAGGGUGCGCGGAUGGCCCUUGCCCGUGUUAAGACGUACUGGGCGAGGAUGGAGGCCACCGAUAUUGCAACAAGGGGUCCACCAGGGGGCCAGGACCUGCCAGAGCACUAUUUCGAAGAAGUCUCAGAGGGUGCCCACUUAAUAGAGGCUCAGUGCUCAAAAAAUAUCAUGUUCGAAUGAUAUGUACUCGAAUUGUAAAGGCAAUGCUUUUGACAGUAAAGGCUAUAUUUUUACUUUUUCCCAUAAAGUAUUUGGGUGCCACUUGUGCGGCCGUUUAUGUAUAUAUGUAUAUAACCUAAAAGAUUGCAGUCGCUGGCUUCAGCCCCCUCGCGCAUAAUGCGGGGGUGUUCGGCAAAAACACAUAGUCACACUUGACCCAACGUAUUGGUCCGUUAAGGAGGUGAUGGUGCAGCGAACGAGGCAAUUGGACUAUAGAGCUUUAACACUUUCACUUAGCCAUAGGAGUUUGACUGUGGGGCUACUAUAUAGCCCCUUGUAUGGCCGCGUUUAUCCAAAUACAAUGCGUUGACAUACGUGACCGGGAAGCCGGUCCUUUGUUAAGGUGGAGGAAUCAUGAGGAUUCCGUUGAGUCAUCGAGUGGUUGACCAGUCUCUAGCUUUAUCAUGAUAGUCAGUUUUCGGCUUUCUCUACUGAGGUUCUCACCCGGAUGAACCAGGGCACAAUCGCAGUAGUUCUCCCGAUGCCGCUUUACCCGAUAGAGCGGAACGUAAGGUAGCAAAACAUGGGAGCCGGGCAAACCCAACAUUUGACCAAAGACAUGAUUUGGAGCUGAUGCUUAUAAGGCCAAACUCGCGACGCCGAACACUCCCGACGGUAUUCUAACUUUACAAUAUAUACCGGGCUGAAUUAUAGCCCCUGGUAUUGAACCCUGGAUUUCAAGUUACGGGCGACAAUCCGGCGUGAAGAACGAGAGCCUGUGGUGAGAGCAUAGAUCUCAAAAACAUAAUUGUUGCUGCUUUUGUAACUUCUAUUUAAGUGCGGCGAAUCAUAAGUUCAGCUAUAACGCCGGUAUCCCUCUUGGUCAUUUCAAAUGCCAGUAGGGUAUGAAACAACAAGAGAUAGUGAAAAAGGUUUACACAGGGUCUUAAUUUAAUAAGAAACCUUUGAACAGGGCCCUGCUGCACGUUUGCACCUUUAUCUCUAUUGUGCCGUAUCCUUGAGGGGUAUAGAACGGUGGCCGUUUGAAAAAAAAAGAAAAAACCAGGUGAAAGAAUCUGGCGUGACUGUGAGUAAAGUUGGUUUGUUUUAAUGAACCGUGAAAAUGUAAUUUCCUUAGUCUGAAUAGGGUCAAGCCGAUCUAUGGACUUUUUACAUGCGGGCAGCCCCCAGCGCCACACAAGAAUUUUGAGUGUAUAUUUAUAUAUACGGGGAGACAUGUAUAGUCUUCUUACGGGCUGUUUUUAUGGGGGCAUAACCGCUAAUCAAGCUUAGGUUUAUCUGAGCUGCUACACCUAGGUGUGCGUCGAACACGUCUAGCUGUGUCCGCAGUCUUAACGACCGAUGAGUUGCUCCGCUUGAAAAGGCCACUUUGUGCUUCGGCUGCUAGAGCCGCCACGUAUUCUUCUGUACGAAGAGAGCGCUCUGUAUUUCCGCUGACCGUAAUAAUGCCGCGUGGACCGGGCAUCUAUACUUUGAGGAUUCAUAAUGCAGUACUACGUUGAAACGGGCAAAGGCCGUUCUUCCGAGUAGGGCAUGAUAACCACUUCGGAACGGGGUGAUGUCGAAGAUUAGCUAUUCGCUUUGGAAGUUAUCGGGAGAAACGAAUACAACGUCCAGUGUUAGAGAACCCAUGCAGUAGGCCUCUAUGCCUGGUAUUACUCCUUUGAAGGUAGUGUUGCUUUGGCUAAUUCUUGCCGGGUCUAUCCCCAUCUUGCGGACAGUGUCUAGAUAUAUCUGAUUAAGACUACUGCCGCCGUCCAUAAGGACUCGGGUGAGAUGGUAUCCGUCGAUUAUUGGGUCGAGUACUAAGGCAGCCGAACCCUUGUGACGGAUACUAGUCGGAUGAACCCUGCGAUCGAAUGUGAUCGAACAGGCUGACCAUGGGUUGAAUUUAGGGGCAACAGGCUCUACAGCAUAUACAUCUCAGAGUGCAAGGUUGCGCUCCCUCUUUGGGAUAUGAGUGACAUAAAUCAUGUUCACUGUUUUGACCUCCGGUGGAAAUUUUUUCUGUCCCCCUGUGUGCAGUUGGCGAGAUCCGUCCUCGUCUCCACUUUGCGGUCCCUUCCCCUUGUAUUCGGUGUUGAGCCUACCGGCCUACUUGAGACCCAGCAUUCUCUGUUGGUGUGGUUAGCUGGCUUGUCGGGGGUGCCGUGAAUCUAGCAGGACCUGUCUAGAAUUUUAUCUAGGCUGGAUCGACCUUCUCUACUGCCUUUAAAUGGCUUUUUCAUUUGACCUGGUUUAGAGCCCCUAAAUCCGGCGUUUACCGCUAUAUUUUCUGGGCUAUAUUCAUUAUUUAGACGUUUGUUUUUAUUGUAUCAUGGAUUUCCAUUGCCAUCCCUGAUUUCGGAUGUGCCUGGGUCGCUGGUGCUGCUACGGGCCAACCAGAUGUCCUCACCCGCACAAAAGUGGGUCAUGAGGGUGGUUAGGGCUGCCAUUGUACUUGGCUUUUCCUGGCCGAGGUGUUUGGCGAGCCAUUCGUCCCGGAUACUGUGCUUGAAAGCUGCUAGGGCUUCGGCGUCCGGACAGUCGACGAUUUGGUUUUUCUUGGUGAGAAAUCUGUUGCAAAGCUUAAGGCUGACUCUCCGGGUUGUUGGGUUAUGUGACUUAGAUCGUCUGCAUCCGUAGGUCAGACAUAGGUCCCUUCAAAACUUGCCCUGAAAGCAUCCUCGAGCUCCUCCCAGCUUUCGAUAGAGUUUUCGGGGAGGCUUUUCAGCCAGUGCCGAGCUGGUCCUUUGAGCUUGAGGGGUAAGUAUUUGAUGGCGUGGAGGUCAUCUCCAUGAGCCAUGUGGAUGUGAAGAAUAAAGUGUUAUAUCCAGACUGCAGGGUCUGUCAUUCCGUCAUAUGCCUCGAUGUUUAUGGGUUUAAACCCUGCUGGAAAUUCAUGAUCCAGCACCUUAUCGAUGAAGCACAAGGGGUGCGCAGCGCCCCUGUAUUUGGUUAUGCCGUGGCGUGAGUCCGACAGUUGUAGUGUCCGGUGUUGGUUCCGAACUAGAGAGCGACUGGAAUAUUUUUUUUGAUGGUCAUGAUCCUGCGUGGGAGCAUGUUCUCGAGAUCUGUAGAUGGACCUUGUUAUGCCAGCCCUUUUGUCCAGGUCUUCACGUAAAUCGUGUUGCUGGUUCUGGGUUGUUACCUCCCUUUCUUUAUGGAGUGGGGUGCGGAUUUGUGUGCGGCGUUAUUAGCUGCUCUGCCUCGACCAUGAGGUUGUCGGUCCUAUUGGUCUGCCGUACAGUUAUUCGGCGGUAUGGGUGCUAUAGCCUCAUCGUCGAAUUCGGGCAGCAGUUUACAUUUGGGAUAGCUCUUUGUUUGGUGAUUACCGCCAUAUUUUUCCUCGGUGUCGAGCACUUCGUUCCAUCUAUCAUCGAGCGUAUCAUGUGCGUCUUUAAGCUGUUGCUUCUUCUUCUUCAAGCUCCUUGCAGUGGCGAUAAGUCUCUGCUAGAGGCGCUCUCGUUCCACUUGUGUAUCAGGGAAGAUGAAUGCGUCAUCAUCCAGACUGUCCUCUUCUUUGGAGACAGGUUGAUAAGUGGUGUCUUUGGCAUCGCUGUGAUUGGACAGCGGCCCUGGUCUGUGUUCGCCGUCUUGCUUCUCGUCCUGCUUCAUGGCUGGGUCCGCAGAGUCUUCAUUGUCUUCGGUGUUGUCCAGGGUGUUAUAUUUUGUGCCGGUAUCGCUAUUAUUACCAUGGCGUGGCUUAGAACGGCGCUGCUGACGUCAGUGCUUUGGCUGCUUCUAAGGGGGCUUAUCCUCAAUUGGGUCCUUUUUGUCAUCGCCAUUGUUGUCUUUAGGUGUAUCCACCAUGUAUAUGUCGUAUGAGGAGGCGGCUGUCCAGCGCCCUGUGGGCGGUGGUUCCUGUUCAUCUCCUGCAUCGUCGUCCAUACCGUUGAUGUCUUCAGAGUCGUAAUCAAGCUUGUCGGUUAAGUCAUUAACAGUGGCUAUCAAGUGGGUGGUGGGUGGGUGACAAAGUUCUUCGUCAUCCGCUUCCCACUCAAGCCGAACAUAGUUCGGCCAAGAGUCUCCUGAUAAGGAGAGAGAUUUCAGAGAGUUGAACACGUCACCCAAGGGCAAAUGUUGGAAGAUGUCCGCGGAGGUAAACUCUAAGAUCGGCGCCCAAUCAGAUUCUACGGGCGCGGAUAUACGCGGUUCGGAACCUAUAUCCGAAGACGAGUCCGAUGGUCCGGUGACACAUGCCUCGUCAAAGGCAGAUCUGUGUUCGGCUCAUGCGCCGCUGAGUAUGCGACUUCCCUGGUGGGGUCUAGCCCCCGGUCCUCGGACGGAGAAUUCUACUCUGGAUCGAGGGCCAGGAUAGUUACAGGCGCUGUCUUCUGAGUACAGCCUGAUGACAUAUCUAAGUCACGCUCAUCACGGCUACCGGGUGCGGUUGCCAUGGGCUCGAAUCCACCUAAGAUCAAGUCUCCAUAGAUGUCAGCAGUAUAGUUCAAGUUUCCAAACCUGACCUGAUGGCCAGGGGCGUAGCUGUCGAUCUGCUCCAGAUGACCAAGCGAGUUGGCCCGCAGUGCGAAGCCGCUGAAUACGAAGAUCUGUCCCAGCAGAAAGAUCUCACCCUGGAUCGAGUUGUUGAUGAUCAAAGGAUCCAUCAAGCAUUACGAUGAUGACACAGUGGAACUCUCAAUGAAAGCGCCAAUGUCGGUUUCAAAACCGGCGGAUCUCGGGUAGGGGGUCCCGAACUUUGCGUCUAAGGCUAAUGGUAACAGGAGGCGGGGGACACGAUGUUUACCCAGGUUCGGGCCCUCUCUAUGGAGGUAAUACCCUACUUCCUGCUUGAUUGAUCUUGAUGAUAUGAGUAUUACAAGAGUUGAUCUACCACGAGAUCGUAGAGUCUAACCCUAGAAGCUAGCCUAUGAUUAUGAUUGUUGUCCUUGUCCUACGUACUAAACCCUCUGGUUUAUUUAGACACCGGAGGGGGCUAGGGUUACACAGAGUUGGUUACAGAGAAGGGAAUCUACAUAUCCGAAUCUCCAAGCUUGCCUUCCAUGCAAAGAGAGUCCCACCCGGACACGGGACGAAGUCUUCUAUCUUGUAUCUUCAUAGUCCAACAGUCCGGCUAACGUAUAUAGUCCGGCUGUCCGAGGACCCCUUAAUCCAGGGCUCCCUCACCGACCCCCUCCCCUAGUCCAAUUUGGUUUGGGCAAGGGGUGGGCACGCCCCUCCCUUGUGGCCUCUCUCCUCUCCUCCCAUAAGGCCCAAUAGGCCCAUUACUUCUCCGGGGGUUCUGGUAACCUCUCGGUACUCCAGAAAAAUGCCCGAACCACUCGGAACCUUUCCGAUGUCCAAACAUAGCCUUCCAAUAUAUCAAUCUUUAUGUCUCAACCAUUUCGAGACUCCUCCUCACGUAAGUGAUCUCAUCUGGUACUCCAAACAAACGUCGUCAUCAAAGCACAUAACUCAUAAUACAAAUCGUCAUCGAACGUUAAGCGUGUGGACCCUACGGGUUCGAGAUCUAUGUAGACAUGACCGACACACAUCUCCGGUCAAUAACCAAUAGCGAAACCUGGAUGCUCAUAUUGACUCCUACAUAUUCUACAAAGAUCUUUAUCGGCCAGACCGCAUAAUAACAUAUGUUGUUCCCUUUGUCAUCGGUAUGUUACUUGCCCGAGAUUCGAUCGUAGGUAUCAUCAUACCUAGUUCAAUCUCGUUACCGGCAAGUCUCUUUACUCGUUCCGAAAUACUUCUUCCCGCAACUAACUCAUUAAUCACAAUGCUUGCAAGGCUUAUAGUGAUGAGCAUUACCGAGAGGGCCCAGAGAUACCUCUUCGAUACACAGAGUGAAAAAUCCUAAUCUCGAUCUAUGCCAACCCAACAAACACCUUCGAAGACACCUGUAGAGCAUCUUUAUAAUCACCCAGUUAUGUUGUGACAUUUGAUAGCACACAAGGUGUUCCUCCGGUAUUCGGGAGUUGCAUAAUCUCAUAGUCUUAGGAACAUGUAUAAGUCAUGAAGAAAGCAGUAGCAAUGAAACUGUAACGCUCAUAAUGCUAAGCUAACAGAUGGGUCUUGUCCAUCACAUCAUUCUCCUAAUGAUGUGAUCCCGUUCAUCAAAUGACAACACAUGUCUAUGGUUAGGAAACAUAACCAUCUUUGAUUAACGAGAUAGUCAAGUAGAGGCAUAGUAGGGAUACUAUGUUUUGUUUAUGUAUUCACACAUGUACUAAGUUUCCGGUUAAUACAAUUCUAGCAUGAAUAAUAAACAUUUAUCAUGAAAUAAGGAAAUAAAUAAUAACUUUAUUAUUGCCUCUAGGGCAUAUUUCCUUCAUCUUUUUGGCAGGACUGAUUGAUAUGCCUGAAAUCAAUGCACAUAAGGAGUGACUUAUCUUUCUUGGGAACCAUGAGGAUGUUGGCAAGCCACUCAGAGUGGUAUAUCUCGCGGAUGAACUCAGCUGCCAGGAGCCGAGCCACUUCCUCGCCAAUCGCCUUCCUCAUCUCCUGGACCGUCGGAGAUGUUCCUUGACAGGUUUAGCUUUGGUGUUGACACGCAAAUGGUGCUUAGCCAGUCCUCUGGGUACACCUGGCAUGUCUGAUGGUUUCCAUAAAAAGAUGUCCCAGUUCUCACAGAGCAAUUGGAUGAGCGCAGCUUCCUAUUUGCUGUCGAAUGUCGUUCAAAUGUGAGUCGAAGCAGCUGUGGGAUCUUUUGGGUGAAUAUGAACUGUUUUUUUUCCGCCAGCCGACUGAAAUGCAGACUUAGAAGCAGGUUUCUUCGCACGGAGAAAAUCACUCGGAUCAGAAAUCUUCUUGUAUUCCUCCGGUUCAACCACUGCCAUUUGCUCGUCAGUGAUCUUGGACCCCUUCUAGAGGCAUUCUUCUGCUCUUUGCUUAUUCCAAGUGACCAUGAUCACACCUUUGGGUCCCGACAUCUUCAUCUUGAGAUACACGUAACAUGGUUGGGCCAUGAAACGAGCAUAUGCUAGCCUGCCUAGAAUAGCAUGAUAGGCACUAUGGAAAUUUACCACUUCGAACGUCAACUUUUCUUUGUGUAAUUUUUUUUGAAUAACCGAAAACCACAUCCAGAGCAAUUUUCUCGAGUGACUUCGCCUUCUUCCUAAGAAUGACGCAGUGGAACUGCAUGUUGCUCUCACUGAGUCGGGACACAGGAAUGCCCAUCCCUUGGAGGUUCUCUGCAUACACAAUAUUCAAACCAUUGCCACCAUCCAUGAGAACUUUACGGAGUCGAUUGCCUCCAAUGACUGGUUCGACCACCAAAGCUUGUCGCCCAGGGGUAGCAACGUGAGCUAGGUGAUCGGACUGGUUGAAGGUGAUAGGAGUCUUUGACCAAUUGAGGUAUGUCAUAGUUGUCCAAGCAACCAUGUUCACCUCUCUGUUGAUGACUUUCAGUCAACUUUUUCUCUCAACAUCAGCAAAAAUCACCAAAGUUGCACUGACUUUCGGGUAAUCAUCUAAAUUUUCUUCAUCUUCAUCCUUAUCAGAGCCUUUGUCACUCUGCUGCCCUUCACGAAACGGCUGAAUGAGGAACCUGCACUGUCGAGUGGUAUGUUUAGGAACAAUUAGGUUGCCUUCCUCAUCCUUCUUCGUGUGAAUGGGACACGAUAAAUCCUGGACAUCCUAGCGUGACUGAUCCUACAUUUUUCUUGGGUACCCAUGGUCCCUUGGGCUUUCCCUUGAACUUUCCUUGUGAAUUGACCACUGCUGCUUCAGCCUGGCCUCAGGCUUCAGCCUUGCGUUUCUGUUUCCGACUGGGAUUUCCACCCCCAUUUUCAGCAUCUACUGUCUUCCCUUUACCAUUACGGAGUCAGCCCUCUUCUCCACCAUUCGCCUACCGAGUGGAAAUUUCCAUCAUCUGAUUCAAAGUCAUGGCCCCAAAGUUACCAAAUUUCAAAGUGAGCUCUUUGUACCGCACACCUUCCUUGAAUGGACAGAUGGCCUAAUGCUCUAAACAAUUCUCCACCAGAUGGUGGAGGGUAGUGCAUCGCUGGAUGUAACCCCUCACAGUUUCACUCAGUUUUUGUACACAAUGCUUCAGCUUAGACAGCCCAGCGGGCCGCUUGCAAGUGCCCUCAAAUGUCUUGAUAAACACUUGGGCCCAAUCUUCCCAACAGAAAAUGCUAGCAGGAGCCAACUGAUUCAACCAAGCCCUGGCCGAGCCCUCAAGCAUCAGGGAUAGGUGCUUCAUGGCUACCUCAUUGUUUACCCCAUGGAUCUGCUCUCCCACUUGGUAAUCCUCUAACCAUGUAUCUAGCUUUGACUCGCCAGUAAACUUGCUAACUCCUACUGCCAACCUGAGUUGGGUGGAAUCUAAGCAGCACGGAUGGCUCUGCUGAAACACUCGGGUCCAGAGACGAACCCUCUGUUCCCACUCGGCUGAUCUUUGUACAAACCUUCCCUGUUAGCCCUACCUCUAUGAACCAGGCCCUGCAUAAGAACUGACCUUGCAUCAAAACCGGCCUCUCGGGGGUCGACUGGGAGCCUCCGGUCGUCGCCAUACGGGCGACUGUCAUCAUACCGCCGGGGCACGUACGAUCCAACGCUCGGAGGGGAUGUAGGCACUUGACGGUUGUCAUCACAGUGGUAUUGAAGGUCAAACUUCAUGUGGCCUCAAACCAGGUACUGGUCCUUGUGAUUACCACGAUCCUCACGCCUCUGGGGCAAUCUUGGGCUUUGUGCCGACUGAACUGUAUCUGCCACAGCAGACCUGCUGUGAAUCCUGUUAUGCGACUGAGAAACAGUUUAGUUCGGUUAUCUGGCCGCUCUGAGCAGCGCCCGAAUCUGCUGUAAGACUCUACUAGCCUCGGAAUAGGAUGGCUGGGUCGAAUCUACGAUACGUGCCGCUGCUGUAACAUUCUAGAUCGGACUACAGAAUACCUGACAGUCAUCUCGAGGUCCAUUGGAAACAGUUGCCAAUGUCGUUGACUGGAAAUUGGAAUAUGUAUGCGGGCGCGGUCGUCGAGUGCCUCUUGAAGAUUCUCCAGGCACGCAUGCUCAGCCAGAGUGGCUACACGCGCAACCUCCAAGGCCCGAGCCUCAGGGGUCUCCUCGAUGAUGGGGGCCUGGAGAGCUUCCAAAGCUUGAUCUUUCCAAUGCUGCAACUCCUUCCUCUGCUCUGAAGUGAGAGCUUCGGGAUAAUAAUCAUCGUUGUCACACGUCGGACCACUGCUGCCGCCCGCGCUACGGGGAAAUCCUGGUGGGCUACGCUGGGAACCGACCAUGAGAACUUCCGCCAUGGGUUCGUUGCUUUCACACUCGGAGAGAGUGUCCGAACAGCUAGUUGACAGGUCGAACAACCCAUAGGGAGAUUCUUCGGGCUAGCCUGCGGCGAUUUGAGGAGUGGCCGCGAGUGAUCGGAUCGCUUGUUGCGAUGGGCUGCGGGAAGCGAAGACGCCAUGGGAGCCGAACGAUAUUGAAUUGACGGUUGCCGCAGGAGGACACCGCAGGAACUCGUGCGGAAGUGCGCUGCCCCACAGAUGGGUAGUGCCUCGAAGUCGACGGGGGCCUCCUGAAGCCAGGCCGAAUCGUCGGCGAUGAAAGUGAGUGCACCGAGGUGGCUCUCGCGGCCCACGGACAAUCCACCAUCGGAAACCAUGUUGACUAAGAUCGAAGAUUGCAACCUCGCCGUAAGUCAAUAAGACGCCUGUCCCACGGUGGGCACCAACUGUCGUGGGAACGGAUCUGACAGUAGAGAGAGGGGGUACGUAGGAGAGGGAAGAGUCCUAGCUACGGCAAAGUUGUACCCUUAGAUUUACGAGUUUAGGCCCCUCAUGCAGAAGGUACCAGCCCUAGGUCGAUUGGAGUGUGAAGUUAUAGGGUGUGUUAACCCUUGUGCCAAAGGGGAGGGGUGGCUUAUAUAGAGUGCGCCAACCCCUGGUUGCCCUCCAUUACGCAAUGGUUCAAUGAGGGAGUAAUGUCCUGAAUGUUACUGGUAACACCCAUAUUUAAUGAUCUUUCUGGUGGCAGAGUGAAUGACCGACCGUUUCUAUCUACAGGUGACCUUAGGCUUUCUGUCUUCUGAGUGGAUUCUUGUCUUUCGAGUGAAGUAACAAUGGUAGAGUGGAAUUGGGAUAUCCGAGUUAAUCGUCUGUCGAGUGGAUUCCACUUCACGAGGAUUUCAGUCAGUAUCUUCUGUUUAACUUUAUAGGCCUUGGCCUCUAGUGUGAUGUCCUUGGGAAGGGCAUAUAGGUCCGGCAUAAGACCCUACCCUAGGUACAUGUCAAUGCACCCACGUUGUUUUCCCUUUGCAUUUCCUUUUAUCGUGGAAAGACUGUAGUGUUCGUGUUUUCCUUGUCUAGGACAAGACAUUGUGAAGGUUUCUGAUGCAGUUUUACAAGAAGCAUCUAGUUAGGGAGCUAAUUCAGAAGUUAGGCACUGCUUGUCGUGAUUUUUCAUUUUUAACUAUGGUGUCUAGGAUGAAAUGACCCUUUGUUGUGAUUUUCUUUUUUUGGAAAAUGUUAUUUUUAAAAUUUUGUAUUCAGUCUGCCACUUGCCAGUGAAUUAGGGCUGCAUUUCAGAUUAUAAACAUGAAGUAAACUAUGAUGUGCACCGCAUGAAGCCAGAUUGAGUCUAAUGAAAGAAGGGAGUGUAAUCAUGUUCUGUAUGUACUAUUGAAGGGCAGUCCGUAUAUCAUUUGUUUUGUUUCGUCAUUUCGUUCCUCCCUGAACUGACCUUAUCCACAAUCUUUUCCCUUUUCAUUUCCUUUUAUCGAGGAAAGACUGUAGUGUCCGUGUUUUCUAUGUCUAGGACAAGACAUUGUGAAGUCUUCUGAUGCAGUUUGACAAGAAGCAUCUGGGGAGCUAAUCUAGAGGUUAGACAAUGCUUGUCAUGAUUUUUCAUUUUCGAAGCCACAUAUAACCAACUGUUUGCUGGCUUCCCUACAUCAACGUAAUCCUCACUCCUUUGAGAUUUGUAAGAAGCCUAUCAUACUGCUCACUGUUAAGCCAAAAUUAGAUAUCUGAAGGGCAAAAACUUAGAUAUAUUUUUUCUGUUUUAUUUAUUAAAUCUCCCUCUUGGAAUGACCUACAACUACUAACCAGUUAUUCUUCUCAUAUCUACAAGAAAAUACUUUUAUAUGUGGGCUUAAAUUAGGGCGACUGGAUUGAUGUAACAACACUUUUACAUUCAAAAUGAUUAAAGGAAUGCGAAGAUGUGCCUUCUUGAGUUUUUACCACAUCUACAAACACUUUUCAAUUAUGGCUAGUCUCCUCACGGUUUGGUCUGCUUAUUUCACCAACUAGCCCGCUACUAUGUGCUGGAAGUUAUAUUGUUACUUAAUAGAGGCUACCCAUUAUAAACAUCUUCUUUUUGACUGUGCUGUCAGAUUAUUUUAUUCAAUGGAACCUGGCAUUAAUAAUAAAUUCCCUACAAUAAUAAUCUUCUUUAUAUGAAAAUGGUUGAAUAUAAUUAUGAAACUUUGAUGAAUGUUUUUUGGCUUGCCAGCCACGCAUAUGGAGAGCGCAAAUGCAAAUGUCUGUUUUGUAUUGAUGAUGCUCCCUUUUGAGCUCCAUUUUGAAUUAACAUGGUUUGCUAAUUAUUUUGGACAAGAUGCAUUACUUAGCAUUUGUAGCCUAUUAGUUUUAUAUGAGUGAAAACUAAAUAUCACAGUUCCUUAGUCUGUUCUUGCCAGCCCCUCCAUAUCAAGUAGUGUGACAGCCUGGUUUUUGCCUUCUCUCGUUUUCCAGAAUAUGUUUGCCUUUGAAUUUGCAGUUGGGUUUUUGCAUCAACUCAUUUGGACUACACCACUUGGACAUGUCCUUGAUUUUCACCCAAGUGACCCACCCCUCUCACAUUUCUUCUCUUAAAAAUCUCAAAAUGACCCAAGGAAUAUCUUUCAUAAAUUAAAAAUAUUCAUUUUCUUCUGUGCCUAACACUUCAUUUUCUUCUGUGCCUAACACUUCAGCUACAUAUGCUCCAAAGUAACCAUCAUUUUUCUUGCUCCAAAAAUUCUGAGAAAAUUCCCAAAUAAUCUUUGAACCUUGGCACACCUUCUUGUGCAAAAAUAUUUCAUAUUUAUUUGGAAUAUGCUUGCUACAGAAAAUCAUUUCUGUUCUGGCCUCGAAAUGCAGUUUCUACAACAAGUGUAUUUUUCCUUGCUCUAAUGAAGCUGAAUUUUCUUGAGCUUAUUUACCCUCCUAGGAAAAGAUUAAUCCUAGAGUCUUAGCCCUAAUCUCCUUCUAGAAGCUAGCCAAGUAGAGUGUCAAAGUUUCUGACCAGAAACUUGCUCGCAAGCUCAAGUUUAAUCUGGUCGGCCUGGCAGUGUAUGAUAUCUUCCCCAGUCUAAUCACCGCAUAGACAACACGAGAGACAAGGUUUGGCAGUGUGUGGCCGUCAUUUUGAGCAAGCCAGCAUGGUGAACGUGUGAGGACACAGCCUCUAGCACGCAUUCGACGCGCUCUGCACUGCGCCCGCGUCUCUAUGCAGUUCGUGCUCGAUGUAGAGCUUGCCGACGACUGCCACACCGCCUCCGUCUCUUCGCCCUGGACCACUCCCUGGCGCUCGCCGACGCUAGAGUCGCUGCAGCGGGCACGGGCACGACACGACCAAAGCCAUAGUGCGCCCCGUGUCACUGUCUUUGUCCGCGCCAACGCUCCUGUGCUCGCCACAUGUUGCAAAGCUCCCGCAUGAUUGCUAAACCUCUCCACCCCUCGCUGACACCGCUCGUGGUCGCUCGCCGGCUUCUAGAGAGCUCCGGCGGAGCCGAGACCCUCCUUCCCCUCCGCCUAUAAAUAGUGAUGCCCUGGCCUCUCCAACCCAUCCAGCCUCAUAACCAGCCACCACACGCAGUAGAGGGAGCUGUAGCCCGGCCGGGAAGGCCUCGGGCCGCCGUGCUCAAGCUCGAGCUUGCCGGUCAUCCCCUCUGCUCGCCCCCGCCGAUCCACUCCACCUCGAGCCUAACUGAUAUAUCUGGCGCAUCCUUUGUGGUCUAGUAGUGCCUGCUGACGCUGCUGGUGCCCCUGGAACUGCCCCUCUCCAUCGUCUUCCUCUUCUCCGAUGAGACCCGACCGUAGCCGCUGCUUGGGAGCUUGAUUACGAGCUGCUCCGACCGUCUCUUGUUGAGCCACAUGUACAGGCAGGUGCGCCUCGACCCCCUAUCUCUUUCGAUCCCUCUAGAACUAGCCAAGAACCCCUCCUCGCCGGAGUGAGCUCCGGCGAAGCGCCGCCUCUGCUAUGUCUCUCUCCCCCUCUCUCCAUACCUGAUCGGCGGGGCCCGGUGUUAGUGCCUCCACUCGCACCCGAAGCGGUACAAGUGGAGUCAUAUUUUGAAAAUACGCAAUCGGCGUCACCCCCCUGGAAAUUCUGAUAUUUGAUUUCAAUUCAAAUCUUUUACAGAAACUUCAUACAGCCAUAACUUUUAAACCCAAAGUCCAAAUGAAUUGAUUCUUUUUUUUGCAUUGUGUUCUUAUCGAAAAGAUCUAGCUGCACACCAAAAAUGAGAAUUUUCUCUACUGUCUAGAUUUUCUGGUGAAUUUCAUGAGGGUUCUUGAUAUUUAUUUUUGCUAUUUUUAUAUAUUUUUAGAAGGAGAAACUUGUCUUGAAGAGAACCAAGAGGACUGUGAUCCUCCUCGCCACUAAGGCAAGCCACGCCAACAUUUGCAUGGUGUCACUCCAAAAUUUGUGACUUUUCCAACUUUAAUAUGAUUUAUUUCAUGCAUUUAAUUAUUUAAAGGAAUAUUGCUCAUGCUAGUUGUUUUGUCAUGUUUGAAAUGCUUAGUUUACAGUAAGGUUGCAUGCAUGGACUAGUGUGAGGCAAUAGAAAUAGUUUUGCUUGUGUGGUUAUGAUUUGACUAUGAUCGGUCAUAUUUUUCAUAUAAAGAUUUGUUUGAGUUUAAUAUGAUAAUAACAUGAUUAAUAUGAUGGGUGUUAAAUACCGGUGAGCUAGAACCACUAAAGUUAAUGUUGACUAGUGCAAGUAGAAAACUUGAUGAUGUUGAUCCGUCUACUUGAAAUGAUAUGUGAUGAAUGUCGAAUAGUUGCAUGUUCAUGGCAUAUUGCGACUCGGGUUAUUUUCAUGUCAAGUUAAACCUGACGCUAAUCCAACUUGAACAUAAUGUUGAUCGAGUCCUGGUGCCUCUGAAUCGAGUUUUUCCAAAUGCAACCACAUUUUCCUUUAUGGGAAGGCCUUUAUUCGGUCCGUUGUCAUGCCUCUUGUCGGUACCUCCAACGGGGGAAGGUUAUGGGUGUGCGGUACCUUGGCCUGGUAAGAAGACAUAACCUUGUGUGCCUGUUUGUUGAUAUGGUACUUUGUCCCAGUUUGGGACCGUUUGUUUUGCCACGACGGUGGUCGUUGAUGCCUUUGGUAGGCACGGGCGACCCAUGACUUAGCCCAGAGGGGAGUUGGUCGGAGUGGCCUGGAUUGUGUCAUGGCAAUGGGAGGGUUUCGUCGGAGUGCCGUUGAUCCACCCGAAUAGGAGUGCGAGUCCAUGGGUUCCAUGGUGUGGGUACAGUGUACUACCUCUGCAGAGUGUUUACUAAUGUAUCGAUAGCCGCAUCCUUGGUUAUGGACAUAGAUCGUGAGUAAGUCACACCAUGGAUCAACAUAAUCAAGUAAUCUUGCACACUAAAUUCGUAUGCUUGGCACUGUUUGGUUGAUGAGAUUUGUGUGACCAUGAAGAUGGUCGGUAUUCAUCAGAACCAAAGUGUUGGUUCAUUUGUGAUCCGGGAGUGAUCACCAUUGAUGAGGUUGGUUACGAGGUAACCUGUCUGGUAAGAGUGUCCGAGGGAGUCGGUGCAUAAGUUUGGUCACCGCAUCAGUAGCAUGUUAUUGCAUUGCACUUAACUUGAUAAAUUGUCAUGAUAUUGUUUGUCGUUGUGCUUAUGCUUCUUGUGAGCUUGCAAUUACAUUCCAUGUGAUGACCUGGCGUGUCAUGCCAGAUUUCAGGGCAGGCUUAUCAGAUCGAAGUGUGCUACGUCUCCAACGUAUCUAUAAUUUAUGUAGCAUUCAUGCUAUAUUACUAUGUGUUUUGAAUGAUUAUGGGCUUUAUUUUCCACUUUUAUAUUAUUUUUGGGACUAACCUAUUAACCGGAGGGCCAGCCUAGAUUUGUUGUUUUAUACCUAUUUCAGUGUUUCGAGGAAAAGGAAUAUCAGACGGAGUCAAAACAGAACGAAAUCAACUGGAGAAGUCAAGUUUUGAAGGAAAGCAACCUGAUAGGCUUGGAGUGCAUGUCAGGGGAGUCCCGGGCUUCCCACGAGGGUGGGGGGCGCGCCCUACCCCCUGGGCACGUCCCCUGCCUCGUGAGCACCCCGGAGGUCCACCGACGUACCCCCUGCACCCAUAUAUACCUAUGUAUCGUAAAACUUCCAGAACAGAAGAUAGAUCGGGAGUUCCGCCGCCGCAAGCCUCUGUAGCCACCAAAAACCUCUCGGGAGCCCUUCCCGGCACCCUGCCGGAGGGGGGAUCCAUCACCGGUGUCCAUCUUCAUCAUCCCGGCGCUAUCCAUGAUGAGGAGGGAGUAGUUCACCCUCGGGGCUGAGGGUAUGUACCAGUAGCUAUGUGUUUGAUCUCUCUCUCUCUCGUGUUCUCUCUCGUGUUCCCUCCAUGGCAUGAUCUUGAUGUAUCCCGAGCUUUGCUAUUGUAGUUGGAUCUUAUGAUGUUUCUCCCCCUCUACUCUCUUGUGAUGAAUUGUGUUUCCCCUUUGAAGUUAUCUUAUCAGAUUGAGUCUUUUAUGAGAACACUUGAUGUAUGUCUUGCCGUGAUUACCUGUGGUGACAAUGGGAUAUCAUGUGCCACUUGAUGUAUGUUUUGGCGAUCAACUUGCGGGUAUCGUGACAUUGGGAACCUAUGCAUAGGGGUUGGCACACGUUCUUGACUCUCCGGUAGAAACUUUGGGGCACUCUUUGAAGUACUUUUAUGUUGGUUAGAUGAAUCUGAGAUUGUGUGAUGCAUAUCGUAUAAUCAUGCCCACGGAUACUUGAGGUGACAAUGGAGUAUCUAGGUGACAUUAGGGUUUUGGUCGAUUUGUGUCUUAAGGUGUUAUUCUAGUACGAACUCUUUUAUAGAUCGAUCCGAAAGAAUAACUUUGAGGUGGUUUCGUACCCUACCAUAAUCUCUAUGUUUGUUCUCCUCUAUUAGUGGCUUUGCAGUGACUCUUUGUUGCAUGUUGAGGGCUUGUUAUAUGAUCUAUCUAUGUUAUUGUUAUUGAGACAAUUUGCACUAGUGAAAGUAUGAACCCUAGGCCUUGUUUCCUAUAAUUGCAAUACCGUUUACGCUCACUUUUACCGCUCACUAACUUGCUGUUUUUAUUAUUUAAGAUUAAAAAAACCUAUAUCUACUAUCUAUUUUGCACUUGUAUUACCAUCUCUUCACCGAAGUAGUGCACCUAUACAAUUUGCCAUUGUAUUGGGUGUGUUGGGGAGACAAGAGACUCUUUGUUAUUUGGUUGAAGGGUUGUUUGAGAGAGACCAUCUUCAUCCUAUGCCUCCUACGGAUUGAUAAACCUUAGGUCAUCCACCUGAGGGAAAGUUGCUACUGUCCUACAAACCUGUGCACUUGCACGCCCAACAACGUCUACAAGAAGAAGGUUGUGUAGUAGACAUCAUGCUCUUUUCUGGCGCCGUUGCCGGGGAGGUGAGUGCUUGAAGGUAUAUCUUUAGAUCUUGCAAUCGAGUCUUUUGGUUUCUUGUUUUAUCACUAGUUUAUUUUAUGAAAAAAACUACAAAAAAAUGGAAUUGAGUUUGUCUCAUAUGGUUCAUAUUUUUAAUAUCUUUCAUGAGAAUGAUGGUGAGGAAAAUUGUGCUCAAGUUCUAGAAGAAGAAAUCUAUAAAAUGUUUGGCACUAAAUCUUCGAAUGAUGAUCAUGAUUGCAAUGUCGUUAGUAUGAAUUCUUUGAAUAUCCAUGAUGCUAAUGAUGAUUGCACUAGUUAUGAUGAAAAUGUCUCCUAUAAACAUGUCAAUUUUUUGUGGAGUGCAUUGGGUUUGUAAGUACACACCAAAUAGGGAAGAUAGAUAUUGCACGAGGCAUAAGUACUUAGAAACCAAAUUGUUGCAAGAAGAGCUAGAUGAAUGUGCUGAAAGAUUCAAUAUUUAUAGUACCCCUUGUGAACUUUGCAAUGAGCAUGGUCAUUUAAAGCUCCAAUGCUAUUUGUUUCAUGAUCAAGUCGUUUCCAAAUAUUGUGAUAAUUUGAUCACCUUUGAGCAUCAUAAAGAGCUUAGCCUUCUUUUGGGUUAUGAAGAAAUGAAACGUAUAACCAACUAUCUCCCAGAUUUUGCCCGUUAUAAAAUUCUUGGUUUUGAUCUAGAGGAAAUUUAUAUGUAUUGUGCGGAGAAUUUUAUUGAAAAUCCUUAUAUUGCCAAUUACCUAAAGAAAAGAAAGCAAAUGGAAGAUGAUGAGAAUACUAAUGAAAGGUAAGAGGCUUCCCAAUAUCCUCCUAUUAUUUCUUAUGAUGAAUUAGGUAACGAGGAGGAGCUUUCUAUUCAGCCAAUCUCAUCAAUAAGGAGCUCCAAGAGGAAGGUUGAACCUACACCUAAUGUGAAGAAGAAAAAGAAAAGAAGGAGCAAAAAAGGUAAAAAGGUAUCCCUCCCAAAUGAUGUUGCUCCUACUACUACUUGUGAUGAUGAUAAUUGCUAUACUAUUGGUGCUAUUGAUAUUUUUAAUGAUGAGAGUGAUUAUGCUUAUGAUAUGAAAAGGCCCAAGCUUGGGGAAGCUAUGUUUGAUGAGGAUGAAAUAUUUGAGAAUAUAUUUGCUGGAAUUAAUGUUUGUCCCAAUCUUGGGGAUGCUAUGUUUAAUGAAGAUGAUAUUUUUAGCAUCCCAAAUUUUGAUAUGCAAAUUUGUUAUGAUGAUAGCACGCCUCCUACCUAUGAUGAUUAUAUUGAUGAAAGUGGGUUCGGAAGAGUUUCAACUUUAGGAAGUAGUGAUCCCACUAUUUUGGAGGAUGUUGAAUCUACUUGUGAUGAAUACUAAAGUGGAUUUGGAAGAGUGUCAACUUUAUUUAGUGAUUCCACUAUCUUGGGAGAGGUUUCAAUCGAUUAUGAUGAGAACGAAGUUGCUACUUAUGAUGAUUAUUGUGAUGAAACUUAUGCUAUAAAAAUUAGUGAUGAUUACCCUUUUUCUGAACAUUACUCUUUUAAUGUGGAAACAAUUUUUAGUGUUCAAGUCUCUUAUGAUACUCCCACUAUUCAUGAGAAGAAUUUUGCUUAUGUGGAGAGUAGUAAAUUUUCUAUGCUUGUAGAUCAUGAAAAGAAUGCUUUAGGUGCUGGUUAUAUUGUUGAAUUCAUUCAUGAUGCUACUGAAAAUUAUUAUGAGAGAGGAACAUAUGCUUGUUGGAGUUGCAAUAAUGUCAAGUUUCCUCUCUAUGUGUUGAAAAUCUUGAAGUUAUGCUUGUGUUACCUUCCUAUGCUGGUUGAUUAUUGUUCCCAUAAGUUGUUUGCUCACAAAAUCCCUAUGCAUAGGAAGUGGGUUAGGCUUAAAUGUGCUAGUCAUAUGCUUCAUGAUGCUCCCGUUAUGUUUCAAUUCUUAUCUUUUAUGUGAGCAUCAUUGUCAUCAUUAUGCCUAGCUAAAAAGGCAUUAAAGAAAAGCGCUUGUUGGGAGACAACCCAAUAUUUAUCCUUACUGUUUUUGUUUGUACACAUGAUUAUGCUACUGUAUUAAUCAUGUUUUAUAGCUUUUGUUUCAAUUAAGUGCCAAGUAGAACCUUUGGGAGGACUUGGGUGAAGUUUAUGUGAUCUUGCUGUAGAAAACAGAAACUAUUGCACUCACGAGAAUGGAUGCCAUGUUUUACUGGAGAGAUAUUUCAGGUUGAUUCUUUAUGCAGGUGAUUAAUAGACAAAUUAAUCAGGUCCAGAAAGUUAUUUCAGAAUUUUUGGGGUUCCAUAAGUAUACGUUUGAUACAGAUUACUACAGACUGUUCUGUUUUUGACAGAUUCUGUUUUCAUUGUGUUGUUUGCUUAUUUUGAUGCAUCUAUGGCUAGUAUUAAGUGGUAUGAACCAUAGAGAUGUUAUAAUAUAGUAGAUAUUACACCAACAUGAAUUUAGAAUGAGUUCACUACAGUACCUAAGUGGUGAUUUAUUUUCUUACACUAACGGGGCUUACGAGUUUUGUCUUGACUUUUGUGUGGUUGAAGUUUUCAAGUUUUGGGUAAAAGAUUUGAUGGAUUAUGGAAUAAGGAGUGACAAGAGCCUAAGCUUGGGGAUGCCCAAGGCACGACAAGGCAAUAUUCAAGUACAACCAAGAUCCUAAGCUUGGGGAUGCCCCGGAAGGCAUCCCCUCUUUCGUCUUCGUUCAUCGGUAACUUUACUUGGAGCUAUAUUUUUAUUCGCCACAUGAUAUGUGUUUUGCUUGGAGCGUCAUUUUAUUUUUCUAGUUCUUGCUUGCUGUUAGUUAGAAUAAUGUUUUGCAUCUUUAGUUUCAAUAAAAAAGUCAAAGAUAGCCUUUGCCAUGCUUAUUUUGCUAGUAUACAUGUUGCUGUUUGAAAACAGAAAGUUUACCGCUGUUGCAAAAAUUCCCUAGAAAAGUCAGAGAAUGGUAUAACGUUGAAUCUUUUUGCAUAUUAAGCUCUGAUAAAUUUAUUACUGUGGGAAUUUUAGUUCAUAAUUUUUGGUGUCAGGGAAGUAUUGAUACUCUUGCAUUCUUUACAGACUGUACUGUUUUGGCAGAUUGCUGUUAUAGUUGCAUUGUUUGCAUAUGUUUGCUUGUUUAAUGAUCCUAUUUGAGGAUACGAGUAUUAAAUAUACAGAGGAAUUUUGUAUGCAAUGUUGAAUAAUAAUUUUAGUGAUUUGUUACAGUAGAAAAUGAUAAGGUUUUGCAUUGGUUUAUACUAACCUAUCUCGCGAGUUCUUGUUGAGUUUGUUGUGAAUGAAGCUUUUGAUAAAAAGAGAAACCAUGAUAUGAGAGUAAUUAAGGAGACACAAAAGCUCAAGCUUGGGGAUGCCCAAGGCACCCCAAGAUAAUAUUUCAAGAAGUCUCAAGCAUCUUUGCUUGGGGAUGCCCCGGUAGGCAUUCCACCUUUCUUCUUCAACAACUAUCGGUUAGUAUCGGUUGAGCCUAAGUUUUUGCUUCUUCACAUGAGUUGUGCUAUCCUUGCAAUGUCAUUUUGUUUUGCUUUGCUUACUGUUUGAAUAAAGUACCAAGAUCUGUAAUUCUUUAAUGAGAGAGAGUACUUUGCAUAGUUGCAUAAUUAUUUAGCUACUCAUUGAUCUUCACUUAUAUAUUGUUGGAGUAGUUUGUCAUUUACUCGUGUGCUUCACUUAUAUCCUAUGAGUAAAUGGUUGAAUAAGUUGAAUGCCAUAAAUCUGAAAUUAUAUAUGUUUCAUUUGCUUAUCCCAUGGGGAGUAAUGACUUCACAUCUAAGAAGUAGAGGUUGUAAAUUUAUUGACGGUUAGCAAGCAUUGUAUUAGUCAUUUGAACAAUUUAUGAAAGAAUAUUGAAGGAAGGGAGAUUUCACACAUAAAUAUAUUAUCAUAGACAUCUUUUAUAAUUGUGAGCACUCAUUAAGUAUGACAUGCUAAAGAGUUGAUGUUGGACAAGGAAGACAACAUAAUGGGUUAUGUUUUCUCGCAUCUCAGUUAAAGUAUAUUGUCAUGGAUCAUUCAAACAUGUUGAGCUUGCCUUUCCCCCUCAUGCUAGCCAAAAAUUCCUAGCACCAAGUAGAGAUACUACUUGUGCUUCCAAAUAUCCUUAAACCCAGUUUUUGCCAUGAGUGUCCACCAUAGCUACCUAUUUGUGGUAUUUACCUGCUGUUCCAAGUAAAUUUGCAUGUGCCAAACUCUAAACCUUCAAAUUAUAAUCUGUUUUGUAUGCCCGAAUUGCUCAUGUAGCAACUAGGGGCUGUCAGUGUUUUUCAUGCUAGGUGGGUUAUUCUCAAGAGGAGUGGACUCCGCUCCUCAUUCACGAGAAAGUGGCGGUAACCGGGAUGCCCAGUUCCAUGAUCAAAAAGAUCAAAAUCAAAUCAAAAUAAUUAAACAAAACUACCCCAGGAUUGUUGUUAGUUGGAGGCACUCGUUGUUCCGAGCAAGCCAUGGAUUGAUGCUUGUUGGUGGUUGGGGGAGUAUAAACUGUUACCAUUCUGCGUGGGAACCGCCUAUAAUGUAUGUAGUAUGGAAGAUAUUGGGAACUCUUGGUUGUUAUGUUGACAAUGAGAUCAUACCUAUCAAAAUUAUUUAUCUCUAUUUUAAAAAUUGAGCUCUGGCACCUCUGCAAAUCCCUGCUUCCCUCUACGAAGGGCCUAUCUUUUACUUUUAUGCAAGAGUCAAGGUGAUCUUCACCUUUCCCUUUUUCAUUUUAUCCUUUGGCAAGCACUUUNNNNNNNNNNNNNNNNNNNNNNNNNNNNNNNNNNNNNNNNNNNNNNNNNNNNNNNNNNNNNNNNNNNNNNNNNNNNNNNNNNNNNNNNNNNNNNNNNNNNNNNNNNNNNNNNNNNNNNNNNNNNNNNNNNNNNNNNNNNNNNNNNNNNNNNNNNNNNNNNNNNNNNNNNNNNNNNNNNNNNNNNNNNNNNNNNNNNNNNNNNNNNNNNNNNNNNNNNNNNNNNNNNNNNNNNNNNNNNNNNNNNNNNNNNNNNNNNNNNNNNNNNNNNNNNNNNNNNNNNNNNNNNNNNNNNNNNNNNNNNNNNNNNNNNNNNNNNNNNNNNNNNNNNNNNNNNNNNNNNNNNNNNNNNNNNNNNNNNNNNNNNNNNNNNNNNNNNNNAUAUAUAUAUAUAUAUAUAUAUAUAUAUAUAUAUAUAUAUAUAUAUAUAUAUAUAUAUAUAUAUAUAUAUAUAUCCAAUUGGAUGUACGUUAGCAUGAACUAUUAUUGUUGACAUCACCCAAAGGUGAAUACGUUUGGAGGCAACAUUAUAAGCCCCAAUCUUUCUCUGUGUCUGAUUAAAACUUCUUAACCACAAGUAUUGCGUGAGUGUUAGCAAUUGUAGAAGACUAUAUGAUAGUUGAGUAUGUGGAGUUUGCUAUUCCUGAAAAUAAGAUGAAUUGCAAUUGUUUUGAUGACUAAGAAUGAAGUUUGCUAGUUUUCAAGAAUGUUUAUGGUCUAUGCUUUAACAUGUGAAUUGCUUGUUACUAGUUUGUGAAAAGUUUUAUGAGAUGAACUACUGUUAUGACAUAUUAUCAUGCUAGAAAAGGUGAUUGAAAUUAUCAUUGAUCAAACUUGUGCACCUCUAGCAUUCACACUUCAUAAAUUCUUUCUUUUAUCAUUUACCUACUCGAGGACAAGUAGGAAUUAAGCUUGGGAUGCUGAUACGUCUCCAACGUAUCUAUAAUUUAUGAAGCAUUCAUGCUAUAUUACUAUGUGUUUUGAAUGAUUAUGGGCUUUAUUUUCCACUUUUAUAUUAUUUUUGGGACUAACCUAUUAACCGGAGGCCCAGCCCAGAUUUGCUGUUUUAUGCCUAUUUCAGUGUUUCGAGGAAAAGGAAUAUCAGACGGAGUCAAAACGGAACGAAAUCAACUGGAGAAGUCAAUUUUGGAAGGAAAGCAACCUGAUAGACUUGUAGUGCAUGUCAGGCGAGUCCCGGGCUUCCCACGAGGGUGGGGAGCGCGCCAUACCCCCCUUAGCGCGCCCCCUGCCUCGUGAGCACCCCGGAGGUCCACCGACGUACCCCCUGCACCCAUAUAUACCUACAUAUCGUAAAACUUCCAGAACAGAAGAUAGAUCGGGAGUUCCGCCGCCGCAAGCCUCUGCAGCCACCAGAAACCUCUCGGGAGCCCUUCCCGGCACCCUGCGCUAUCCAUGACGAGGAGGGAGUAGUUCACCCUCAGGGCUGAGGGUAUGUACCAGUAGCUAUGUGUUUGAUCUCUAUCUCUCUCUCGUGUUCUCUCUCGUGUUCCGUCUAUGGCACGAUCUUGAUGUAUCCCGAGAUUUUCUAUUGUAGUUGGAUCUUAUGAUGUUUCUCCCCCUCUACUCUCUUGUGAUGAAUUGAGUUUCCCCUUUGAAGUUAUCUUAUCGGAUUGAGUCUUUUAUGAGAACAAUUGAUGUAUGUCUUGCCGUGAUUAUCUGUGGUGACAAUGGGAUAUCAUGUGCCACGUGAUGUAUGUUUUGGUGAUCAACUUGCGGGUUUCGUGACAUUGGGAACCUAUGCAUAGGGGUUGGCGCACGUUCUUGACUCUCCGGUAGAAACUUUGGGGCACUCUUUGAAGUACUUUUAUGUUGGUUGGAUGAAUCUGAGAUUGUGUGACGCAUAUUGUAUAAUCAUGCCCACGGAUACUUGAGGUGACAAUGGAGUAUCUAGGUGACAUUAGGGUUUUGGUUGAUUUGUGUCUUAAGGUGUUAUUCUAGUACGAACUCUUUUAUAGAUUGAUCCGAAAGAAUAACUUUGAGGUGGUUUUGUACCCAACCAUAAUCUCUACGUUUGUUCUCCUCUAUUAGUGGCUUUGCAGUGACUCUUUGUUGCAUGUUGAGGGCUUGUUAUAUGAUCUAUCUAUGUUAUUAUUGUUGAGAGAAUUUGCACUAGUGAAAGUACGAACCGUAGGCCUUGUUUCCUAUCAUUGCAAUAUCGUUUGCGCUCACUUUUACCGCUCGCUACCUUGCUGUUUUUAUUAUUUCAGAUUACAAAAACCUAUAUCUACUAUCUAUUUUGCACUUGUAUUACCAUCUCUUCGCCGAACUAGUGCACCUAUACAAUUUUCCAUUGUAUUGGGUGUGUUGGGGACACAAGAGACUCCUUGUUAUUUGGUUGCAGGGUUGUUUGAGAGAGACCAUCUUCAUCCUACGCCUCCUACGGAUUGAUAAACCUUAGGUCAUCCACUUGAGGGAAAUUUGCUACUGUCCUACAAACAUGUGCACUUGCAGGCCCAACAACGUCUACAAGAAGAAGGUUGUGUAGUAGACAUCAAAGUGCUUCAUGAGUCCAGAUCGUCUCCACAUCGGUGUCCCUGUGCUAUGGAUAUCUGCCACGUCGUCGGUCCGCUGCCACGUAGUUAUCAUGAUCUAGGUCCCUUCAUGUUAAUUAAAUAAUGUACAUAUUGUUCGGCCGCACCGUGUGUGCCGCUUGGCCUCGUAAAAUGAUGUAAUAUCGAACCUAUGUUUUCUCUAGCAUCAAUAAAGCGGUUGUUUUCUGUACCAUAUCGUUGUGUGUUGCCAGAAGACUUGAUCUCUGGGCUGGCAAUGGCAGGUAAUCCAGUUGCUCUGAGCCAGGGUGUCACAACGCUUGGUAUCAGAGCCGCGCUGACUGUAGGACACGCUAGACCGUUAAUGCGGUAUUUGAACGGUACUUAAGUUAGUUUGAGUGCCGAUAGCAAUAGAAAGUAAUUGCUGCAUUGCAUGCAUUUUAGUUAUUGUUAUUGCUAACCGUCUAAUGAUUGCGAGUGUAGAUGGCUCCGGUUCCAUUCCCAUGCCAGUCCGAGCCAGCUCCGUUCACCUCACCGCAUCUGCUUCAGAAUGUGUGUCGUCGACUUUACCCAAUGGGUGCUGAUCCAGUGUACCAGGUGUAUCGGGAGCAUCUGGCCGGCUCGCUGUAUGAGUAUUACAUAGAGGUCACUUUACACCAAGUUCCCCUUCCAAUGCAUACACCCAUUCCUCUAAGGGUGGUUUCGCUUCCAUGCUCAGGCCAUCCAGUUUGCUACACUCGAAGCUCUUGUAGACUUGCGCUACAACGAGAUUCAAAUGCAGGCUCAUCCAGGGUUUUACUUCUACCCGUCUCUACACGAGAACGGGCAUAUCUGCUUCCCUUUCAUUGAUCCGGCGUGCGAUCUUCCUUCUAGCCACAUUUCUCGCUAUAUCACUGCUAGUUAUCUCUUGAUCUACGAGUUGGCCCGAAAGCUAACCCGAGCCCAGAUAGAUCUUGCCGCUGCUCAUAAUAGGAACCCUCAACCUUCUGUCGGAUUUGUCCCAUUCAUUCCACCAGCCUCUGCCUCCUCUCUCACUCAGGCGACCACCCAGUGUACCACGAACCCGUUGGCAGUGACUCCUCGCAGUGCCACUGCUGCGUGGGCUUCCCUUAUUGCUACUCUUGCAGCCUCUAUGCUUCAGUCUCACCCCACACCUGCCCCUGAGGGAGAGCCCUUGAGGUAGCGUCGUUGUGUCACUUCUAACCCGGAGGUUUCCGCUAUCAGCUCAGGAUCUGAGUCCGACUCUGGAGCAAAGCCAGCAGAGCUAGUAGAGCCAGUAGAGCACUAGAGCAUUAGAGUAUUCACAGUCAUGAGUUUGAUGUACGGAUCUACUCGUGCAUGGCAUGAUGUUUAGUUUCAUGUAUGAGGGUAGUCGAACCCGUCAUGAUGUUUACUUUCCAUGUAUGAGUCUAUGUAUAACAAUGUUGGACCUUCUUUUUAUUCGCCUUGGUUUUCACUGCUUUCUUUCAGGUUUGUCGCUGGCUUUUCUUCCCAUUUUCGGAUGUUGAUCAUCUCGAUUGCUUUAUAUUGGGAAAACAAACAAUAGGAUGAUGCGGGGAGGCAGCAGUAGUCACGCUUGUGAGGAUGUCCCUGUUCGUCGCUCCGCAAGGCAGGCAUGACAUUCCCCCGAGUCGUAUACUCCACCACCGCGUCCACCGCCACAUCCGCCCUUCAUUGAACAAAUUAUGCGGAUGUUCGAAGAGAGAACAAACAACGAUCUGAUUGAGCUAUUGAAAAGUGUGCAAGCUAUGGUUGGGCAUAAUGGAAAUCAGAAUGGUCAUCACUCCAAGCUGUCAGACUUUUAGAGGACCAAGCCACCCAGUUUCAGUCAAGUUAUCGAUCCCUUGGAAGUGGAUGAUUGGUUAAGGACUAUGGAGAAGAAGCUUGAUAUUGCUCGCACUGACGAAGCUGUCAAGGUUCCAUUCGUUACAAAUUAUCUCGAGGGAGCUGUCGCUAUCUGGUGGGAUAAUGCAAAAGCCAUGUGGCCUGCGAACGAAGAAAUUACUUGGAUUAAAUUCAAGGACCACUUCCGCAAAUAUCAUAUUCCCGCUGGUAUCAUGAAGGUCAAGCAGUGGGAAUUCCUUGCGCCUUACUCAAGGAAGUCUGCCAGUUAGCGAGUAUCUGCAUAAGUUCAACCAUCUGGCUCGUAUUCUCUCUAUGACGUGGUCACGGAAGAAAGGAAGAUCGACAUAUUUUUUGGAGGAAUGAAUCAACACCUUAGAUGCAUGCUCAGUAUGCUGGACUUUUCAGAUUUCCAGACUUUGGUCAACAAAGCUCUCAUUGCCGAAAGAGAGCACAAGCUCGUGCAUGACAACAAGCCUGGUAAUAAUGAUCACAAGCACAAAUUCGAGCCUAAGAAGGACGGACAACCAGUGUAGACGGCUCAUACUUGGCAACAGACUCACGUGGAGUACAAGCCCAAGUGGCAUCAGAAUGUGAACAAGACCACUACUCAAGUCAAGAAUUUCGUAACCAGUCUAGUAUGCGUAGAGUGCCAGCGCAACAACUCAUGCAUCAACUAUGGUCAAACCGGACAUUAUGCUAGACAAUGCCCCAAGAGCGACAAGUCAAAUGCUCCAUUCAGGCUGCAAGUCAACCAUAUGGGGCCACAUCCUGCCCAGAGGACCAUUCAAGGGCAAGUUCACCACCUCUCCGCGGAUGAAGCCCAAGAGGACCCAGAAGUCGUCAUUGUUAUUUUUCCUGUUAAUAACAUACCUACAAUAAUUUUAUUUGACUCUGGGGCUUCCCACUCUUUUAUUUCGUAGAGUUUUGUUGCCCAAAACAAGUUUCCUUGCUCGAUUUUGGGAAAAAAGUAUGCUGGUACAAUCCCCGGGAUCCGUGCUCAGAAGCAAUAUGGUCUGCCGGAAUUUGGAAAUUGGAAUUAAGGGAGUCAACUUUCCAACAUUGUUGAUCAUUAUUGAGUCUGCCAAGUCGGAUAUUAUUUUGGGAAUUAACUGGUUGACCCAAUAUCAAGUAUGCAUCAACUGUGCGACUAGAGAAGUCACAAUGAAAAAUCAUGAAGGCUGGUCUACAAAAUUCUUUGCUCACAGAAGCAUAUCAAAGAGAGAAUUGGUCUUCACCGCUGUAGCUGAAGAAUUGGAAUUAGUUCCUGUGGUCAGUGAGUUUCCAGAUGUAUUCCCAGAGGAAUUACCAGGAAUGCUGCCAGAUCGAGAGCUUGAGUUUGCAAUUGAGAUUGUGCCCGGGACUGGACCACUAUACAAGAAGUAUUAUCGGAUGCCUUCCUCCGAGUUAGUGGAAUUUAAGAAACAACUUGAUGAGAUGCUGCAGAAAGGAUAUAUCCAUCCCAGCUCUUCACCAUGGGGAUCACCCGCAAUAUUCGUGGACAAGAAGGAUUGAUGAUUUAUUUGAUCAACUCAGCGGGGCAAAAGUAUUCUCCAAGAUUGAUUUGAGGACCGGAUAUCACCAGCUCAAGAUCGAGAAAGAAGAUAUUCCUAUGACUGUAUUCACUACACGAUACGGUCUUUCUGAAUAUACACUUAUGUCCUUCGACCUCACCAAUGCCCCUGCCUUCUUCAUGCAUAUGAUGAAUAAGGUAUUCAUGGAUUUCCUGGAUAAGUUUGUGGUGGUCUUCAUUGAUGACAUCCUCAUAUACUCAAAAGGCAAAGAGGAGCACAAGGAACAUCUCAGAGCAGUCUUGCACAGACUCUGUGACCAUCAGCUAUAUGCAAAAUUGAGCAAGUAUGAGUUUUCGCUCAAGCAAGUCAGAUUCUUGGAACAUGUUCUGUCAGCAGAAGGCAUAGCCGUGGAUCCCAGCAAAGUGAAGGACGUGCUUGAUUGGAUAGCACCCACGACAGUAUCCGAGAUCUGGAGCUUCCUUGGAUUAGCCGGAUACUACCACCGCUUCACCGAAGGCUUCUCCAAGAUCGCCAAGCCAAUGACAAAGAUCCUAAAGAAAGAUAGGAAGUUCGAAUGGACUGAGGACUGUGAGAAGAGCUUUAAUGAGCUGAAGACCAGAUUGACAUCAGCACCAAUAUUGACUCUUCCAGACAUCUACUGCCGCUUUGAUGUGUACUGUGAAACACACUAGAAAGGUAUUGGAUGUGUACUCAUGCAAGAUGGCAAGGUUGAAGCAUACACAACUCGUCAGUUGCGACCUCACGAAGGGAACUAUCCUACCCAUCAUUUGUAGUUGGCCGCAGUUGUACACGCUUUAAAAUUUGGAGAAACUAUCUCAUUGGCAAGAGAUGCCAGAUAUUUACCGACCACAAAAGUCUCAAGUAUAUAUUCACUCAACUGGACUUAAACCUUUGACAACGAAGAUGGCUCGAGUUGGUCAAGGAUUAUGAUCUUGGAAUAAAUUACCAUCCCGGUAAGGCAAAUGUUGUGGCCGAUGCUCUUAGCCGCAAGCCUGCCAUCUUGAUCACCUUAAUGGAGUGCCUUGCAAAUAUUCUGAAAGUAAAUCCUACACUCGAGGAUGAGAUCCACAGGGCUCAGCAGGAUGAUCUAGUCCUUCAGCAUCAUGCCGAGCGUAUGCAAGAAGGCAAGACCCAAGAUUUCUCUAAGGAUAAGCUAGGUACGCUAAGGUUUCGAGGACAGAUUUGUGUACCUGAGAAAGCAGACCUGAGAAAGAAGAUUUUGGCAGAAGCAAACGAAUCGUCAUACUCGAUUCACCCUGGAGGUACCAAAAUGUAUGAAGACCUUCGAUAGAUAUUCUGGUGGGAUGGAAUUAAGAAAACAUCGCAUACUUUGUCGCUUGUUGUGAUAUAUGCAACAAAGUAAAAGUGGAGCACCAGAAACCUACCGGACUUCUGCAACCUUUACCCAUUUCACAAUGGAAGUGGGACGACGUCUGCAUGGACUCCAUCAUAGGACUGCCAAGGACUCACAAAGGCAAUGAUGCAGUAUGGGUUGUGGUGGACACGCUGAAAAAGUAGCCCACUUCAUUCCCAUCCUAACCACAUACCGAGCCGAUCAACUCGCACAGCUUUAUGUAUCCAGAAUAGUCAGUCUGCAUGGAGUACCAAGAACUAUCACUUCAGACCGCACUACUAGAAAUACCACUACUAAUGGCGCACCUAAUAUGGCCAUUAAUGGCGCAUCACUGGUGCGCCAUUGAUAGCACGCCAUUAGUAAUUUUUACUAAUGGCGCACCACCUGGUGUGCCAUUAGUAUCUGUUAUACUAAUGGCGCACCACCUGGUACGCCAUUAGUAUAUGCGAGAGUGCGCCAUUAGUAUGCCUCCCAGGGGGCAUGUAUACCCAGGUGCUUUGGCAUACUAAUGGCGCACCACCUCUGGAUGCACCAUUAGUAACCGCAGACUAAUGGCGCACUACCCGGUGAUGCGCCAUUAGUAUGCACUGUCAUACUAAUGGCGCACUGUCAUGUGAUGCGCCAUUAGUAUGAAUAUUAGGUUUUUUUUAUUUUUUUAUUUUCUGUUUUUUGCACAGGUUACAAAAUGUAUAAUUUGACAAAAUAUAGACAGCACACAUCAACAAUAGAUUCAUCAAAUACAAUAGAAGAUUAGUCUUUGAAUACAAUUCAUCAUAUUAGUCCCCGAAUACAAUUCAUCAUAUUAGUCUCCGAAUUGAAAAGACCAAACAAAGAUAGAACAUUAUAUUACAAGUCUCGAGACCGCGAGUAGCGAGUUUAUCUUUGCAUUACAAGUCGAUAUCGAUCAUCUAAACUACCAUCACAUAGAAGAGAGCUGCGGUCAUCACGAUGAGCAUCAUCACGAUGAAACUCAUCUUCAUCCGGUUCCUCCAACGCUCCCUCCCCUCUCCCGCUAGAUAGCGGGCGUAUCUAGAUUCGGCCUCGGCCCUAGUGGUGUACCCUUUGUAACUGUUACCGCUGAAUCGGUGAACCUAUCUCCGACACUCCUCCCAGUCAUCGUAGACUCCGGGAACCUUACCCUUGUACACGACAUACGUCGGCAUCGCUAUGCACUAGCCAAACGAAACGUUAGUACCAAUUCACAGACAAUACAUAAGCAAUAUAUAAGUAUGCAACAGAACGAUCGGAAGAGAAAAGCAAGACAUUAAUAGCAUCGAUUACAUCUAAGUUGAACGACUCUCGAAACCAAAGAGACAUACUACAAGUUCAUUAAAGUUUAAUUACAACAUGAGCCAAUCGAUGUUUCAGAACUAGACAACUCGACUCAAGGGACCGGAGCGUGGAUGAAGCCGCCGUCUAUCGUGGGAGUCAUGAAAGAACGGGCGUUGUCAUCCUGCAUUUGUAGCAUUGUGUCGAUGUCACUGUUGGACGGUUGAUUUCUGAGGUAGAACUGCCCCGAGGUACGAAGGACAUCUUGAUGGAUGAUUUCCGCAAACUCCGACUGGAUGUGAAAGAAUUCUUGUCGGAGGUCCGCCUCCUGGAUUGCCGACACGCUCGCGGCCCAAUCUUGGAGUUUACUCGGUAGCAGAAGUUGAUGAUGGUCCCGUACGAUCGCCCGCAUGUGAUGGAUGGCGUAGUAGGCACCCUUCUGACCGCCAGGCGGCUGCUUGACGCAGCAGAACGUCGUAUUGUGGGAGAACACGUGCUUGCCGUACUUACGAAUAGGCCUGGUGAAGGUGCCUCCAGAUUUGGCGUAGCCGGGGAGAACAUCAUCAAGAACCUUCUUGACAUUUGUGUAGUCUACGUUCGACUGACGGUCCGGGUCGAAAUACGUGGCCAUGGAAUAUUUGGGGCUUAGGAGGAUGAGCGUGCAACGUGUGUCACUGCAGAAAACACGGAAUGUUAAAAGAAAAACGAUCGAAAUAUAAGAAUUCAUAUGUUACGGGCCGGUUGAGGGGAGGACUUACUCGGGAAAGUAAGGCACGAGGAAGUUAUCCUUAUCUUGGUUUGCCAGAAUGAUGCCUUCGAGGUAAGAACUCGCGACUUGCCGGUCCCCAGCGCUGCCCAAGAUCUUGGCACGCAUGUAGAAGGGGUCGACUAUCACGAUGUCCGGGGUCUUGUCGCGAAUGAUCCGCAUCUCCAUACUCAGCGAAAAUAGCCGAACGAAGGUGUAGUGCAGCGGAUGAAGGUUAAACAUAGCAAAGAUGUCAUCAAACCGCAGGAUGAUCGUACCCCCGAUGUCGCCAUCCACAAAGCCCUUGCCCUCUGGCACCUUGGCCACGAAAACCGGGUAUGCCACAUCCUUCUCUCUGAGACGCCGCUUCUCCAAAGAAAGAACACUGUCGUGCAGACUCCGCAUAGCACCGGUUGCAGCAUUGAGCAUAUUUGGUGGUAGCAUCGCCCUACCCGCCACAUGCACCCUCCUCGAGAUAUCCUUAGGUGAAGGUGGCCCGUCCUGAGCACGGAUCGUACUCGGUGCCGGCUGGCUCGCACCCUUCUUAGUCUUUCUUUUGCGUGCCUUCUUCUUCUCCUGUAAUGGGACUGAGUUUUGCUCACAGACCGCCUUCUUGAGUGUGUUGGGGCUGAUAAUAUUUCGCACCUUGCCUAUCUAAGGCUCGGUGAAGUCGGCAGCUGGAGGCGUCUCCUGAGAGCUGAACGCCAGACGGCGCCUGUUGCAACUUGGCUUCUCCGCGGUAUGAGCUAGAUCGCACACGUCUUUUGUUGGGUUUGGUUCUUGAGAAGGAGGCCCCAUGAAGUCGCCAUCGUACCCAUGCUCGGCAAAGUACUGAUCGACGUUGCCAAAUGUAUCAUAGUCGUCGUCGUCAUUCUGAUCCUGUGCCAUAUGCAUGUUUGGAUCCAGUGGCAUAGGGAUGUCCGGCACCGUUACGGCGGUCUUGCCAUGGGGCCGACUUGGCGCCGGCACGACUGGCGGUGUUGUCUUUGGGGUGGUGUCCCCCGCCCCCAAACGAAUCUGGCUCUUCGGCCAAAGCAGGGGCCAGCUCAGGCAGGCGCUGAGGGUCAUCACGUCAUCAUCGUCGGCCCCGACGGGUCGAUUCGGAGGUAACAAGUCGUCGCAGCCUGGCAGCACCCGAACCAGUUGAACCCUAAAAAAGUUGGGUGGCAUCUGGGUACCGUGGAACAAGGGGUUGCCCGGUUGAACGAUUUUGCCCUUGGCGACAUCGACCAACUCGUUGUUCACGAAGUGGAGGAGAGUGCACGGAACAUCGGCGGCGCCCUGCGAAAACAUGUAGGGCGUCAGGGAUGCCCAGUCAAAGGCAAGGAGAUGAAGUCCUCGGCCGAGAGAGGCUUAAUUAGUUACCGUGAUGAUGGCGUCGAGCUUGGCUAAUGUAGAGGCACCGCCAACGGCGGGCGUGCAGUUGACGGAGGGGCCGCUUGCUGCAGAGGUGCCGGCCGGCGUACACCCGGGUGCAUUAAGCUCCCGUGCCGGCGUCGGAGACACCAAUGCCGCCUCCGCCGGAGGCACCAAUGGCCCCGCCAUCGCAUUAUGCGAGUUGCUGGCCGUGAAGCUAGGAAUCGGGGGCGGCCCCUGUUGGCCGCCCGCAAUCCACGCACUCAACCCCGAGAUCAAGGUAGGCACAAGGGCGGUGAUCGUCGCUCCGAGUCGUUGUUCCACUUGCUCUUGGAUAAUCUCCGGAAUCCGCGCCACCUGUGCCUUGAGUUCUUGAACCUCUCGCACCUGGCUUUCCGAGCUGGUCUUUUUCUCCGUCCGCACACCAGCGGUAUAGUAUGACCCCCAUUUUGUCGACAAGCCUUUGCCGGCCACACGACCAGCUGACGUCGGCUUACUGAGCUUAUCCUUGUUCUUCAUUAUAUUCAACCCCCUAUUUAGAGUGGUGUCCCAAGGGUUGCUCUGAGUCGACCCCGCGCUACUGCUUUCAGUCGCCUGCGGAAGGAAUGUGAACCAUUUAGAAAUUCGGCUUCAUUAAUUAGAAUGCAACCAUAUGGAGCUAAUUACGCGGGGGUGUAUUCCUUACCAGAACAAGCUCAAGCCGCCUGGUCUUCGGAUCCGUGGUAAGCUCCUUUGUUUUCGGGUCCUUCUUGUACCGGGCCCUGACAAAGUUCCUGGUCUGCUUGUCACCGUAUUUAUCGAAGAGGGGCGGUAGGCCUUGCUCGGCACGGUCCGCCUCCUCCUUGUCCCAUAUAGGCUCCGCCACUCUGUAACCGCCGGGACCGAGUGUGUGUUCCCCUAUGUUCAGCUCCCGCAUUUUUUUCCCCCACUCACUUGAUUGGGAGCUUGCGGUGCUCGAGCAAUUGAUCUUGAAGUCGUUGUAGUCAUCUUCGGUGAUCGAAGGAUUUUUCUCCUUGAUCUUCUCAUAACUCUCACCUUUCUCGAUCAUUCUCUUCACAUUGCUUUUCCAAGUAGACAGGGCCUUGCUCAUCUUCAUGAGGGCAGCAUUGUUCACUUUAUUCCCUUUGAGGCUUGUGUUUUCGAAUUCAGCGGGGAACUUGUAUCGUUCGUGCAGCUUCGUGAAGAGGAGGUUGCGCAAAUUCCCUCGGUCAGGAUGCCUCAGGUUCUCGGUGUUGAUCGAGACGGUGCUCCGGACAAUGCACCCGAGCUGAAGCGAGUACCCCUUGACUAUUCGUUCGGGCGCCGUUGGAUUCCCGUUGGAGUCCACUUCAGUAACUUCCUCCUUGAGGGUGCGGAGCACGAUUGGGCGCCAGUCCUUCCGUUGCCUCUUCGGCUGGCUGCUAUCUGUGCGUGCGCCGCCAUCAUCAGUGGUGGCAUCCUCGGCGGCACCAUCAGUGGUGGCAUCAGUGUGGUCAUCCUCGGCGGCACCAUCCGUGGUCUCAGGAUCGGUGGGGAAGGCGGUGGCCUCAUACAAGUGAGGUUGUUCCUCCAUCUCCUGGGACAGCUCCCAGAAUGCCUUGCCGCCUGAACCCCCGGCCUCAUCGUUGUGGGCCAUGUUUCUCUCUAAAUAGAAACAAAGUUUGGUCAAAAAGUUGGUUAUUGUCAAGGAACAAGAUCAUGGUCUCAUCAUUUAGGGUUUGUCGACACUGAGGCAUUCUAAAAUCUAAGCUUUUAUCAUUGAGGGUUUUUCGACGCCAAGGCACCCUAAAAGCCUAACUUUUCAUCAUUUCGGUUUUUAUCGACACCGAGGCACCCUAAAAGCCAUGCAUUAGUCACAAGUACGCCGGGGCACUUGAUCCUACUUAAUUAACUACUAAGAUACCCCGGCCCAUGCAUUAGUCACAAGUACCCCAUAUGUCCUAUUUUUAGCAAAGUCAUGCUAAAAUUCACGGAAAAUUUCAGCAUGACCUUUGCUGAAAAUAGGACAUAUGGAGUACCCGAAUUUGCCGGAACGGAAGUUAAUCGACAUUCCGGCAAACUCAAGGGCCUCUCGGGGUACCUGCAAAAUCAUCACGACACGAUGGUCGGAGACAAAACCCAGCAAACUAGCAAAAUCAUCACAAAUUGUUUUCUGUUAAAGAUGAUCAUCAUCUUUACAAGUCUUUCUCAAUGUGAUCACAAGUAAUUCAGAGGCAUCACAAGUAAUUCAGAGCAUCACAAGGCAUUAGUAGUUCAGUACAUGAACAAGUUUUACAAACCCAUAUAAGAACAAGUGAAUUCUAGUCCCAUUGACACUCCUGGUUUUCUACAAACACCAAGUACUAGGGCACACAAAAGUUCUGAAAUUUGUGUGCCUAACUGAAUUAACUGAAUUUUCAGUAACCGAAUAAACUGAAUUUUCAAAACUGCAAGAAUACAAUCGAGAAAAAUCCAACAGCACUAGAACUGAGCUGAUUGACAGUAGUUUUGUUCACUGUUAUGAAGAGAAACUUCUUCUUGUAAGAAAGGACUUCACGUGUGGUUUGGAAUAUUCAGAAAUCAAGUUGAUAUAUAAAACCAUAUAGAGGUAGGUAUGCUACAAGUCUACAACAUAUAUACUAAUUAAUCAACUGCAAUCAGGAGACAGUUUCUUCUUCUAAGUCCAUCUCACGGUUCGCUGAAUUAAGAAAAAUACAUCAAAAUUAGAGACUUUAGGCAAAAUACAUCAAAAUCAGGAGACAGUUUCUUCUUCUAAUUAUCCAGUUUCUUAAGGCAAAUGGAUUGCUAGGUCAGUACCGGGACUACUAUAGCAUAGUCAUGCUGAGCAAGAAGGUAUUUGUGGAGAAGUUCAUAUGCCCUCACAAGGAAGCUGCACCACACCUCGCUGAAGACUAUGCAACCGCUUGCAAAGGGGAAAUGCCGUCUAAUUUUGGAAUAGCCUCAGAAAAUUGGCCUAACUGGAUGUUGGCUAUCUUUUAUAGUGUCUCUGUUACAUGCCAGUUUGGUCAUUGCUAACUCUUGAUGUAACUGAUAUUUUGAUUCCUGAACCCCCGAUAUGCUGUUGUGGUUAAUCCUAAGAGAAGAUUUUGAACAAUGAGAAGUCCAUGGAUAUGUUGUGUUUCUGACUUCCGUUGAGGAUCAUGGAAAUUGGAUAUGUGAGUGGUCGGUGGACCAACUUUUCACUAAAAAUAACAGAAGAGUCCUUGUUUUCCACUAAAAUUAUCAGUGUCAUCUGGUUUCAUGGCAAUAUUUAUCUAGCAUGUUCCGUAUUGAUUUCAUUGUAUUUUCUGUUCCAUCAUAUUUCAGUUAGUACUAAGGUUCUUUUUUUAGGGAACUCAGUUAGUACUCAGUUUACAGAAACGGUUCGAUGUCUAUCAUAUACAACCAUUUUCCCUGUUAUAAAAGACAUGAAAGAUCACAACAAUAUUGAUCUGAAAAGAACAGAAAAAAAGAGAAAUAGUAUGUAUGCAGUGAAAAAUAUAUAUUUAUUCAUGAAUGAGUAAAAGUUAUACCUGGGUGAUGAAGUGCCCACCAGUGUGGUGAUUCUACCUUGCUUUCUCAGUCGUGGGUGAUGAAGUGCCUCUGUUCUGUUGUGUCUGCAGUGGUAUGGAGAUGAAUGAAUUGGUAUUAGGUUCAAAUAUGAUCGAUGGAUACUCUAACUGUCCCAGAAAUUGGAGGUUAAGAUAGCUUGAAUUUUUCGCUGGGAUUAGACUUACGUUUUAUUCAAAAAUUCCAGCUAACUCUCUCUCAAACAAAAGAAAAAUGAAUCUAAUUAGUCUGUUGUAAAUUUUCUGCUGCACUUGUGCACAUAAGUUAUUCACCUGGUCUGUUACUGAGGAGUAUCUCCAUUUCAUUUAACCGUCACAACCACAAAUGCCAAAUUUUCAACUAAAGACCACGAUCUAGUGCUGAAAACAAAAUGAAACAAAUAUAUCUGAGCUAAAGACCAGUAGAUUUUGGCAAACAUCCGCUGACAGGAGCCCAAAAUUCAUCUAUUUUCUUUGCAUGGGCCUAGCUACCUUUAUUCACUCAAGCUGGUAGCUGUUAAUAUAGAAGUAAGAUGGAGCCAUCCACUACUGUUAAACUAAAUAGUGCUAAACUAGAAAGGAUAUUAGAUAAUAAUGGAAAGUAAAGGAGCCCAAAACCUUCAGAGCACACACAACAGGAGAAAGAGUAUUAUAGCACUUGCUUUUCAGUCAUUCCAAUGAGCACGAAUGCUAUCAGCUGUCAUAAGAAAAAAAUGUUCUACAUGUUGAUUAUGGUUUUGCAUCAAGAAAAUUACAAAUUAUUAUAAGCACAUAUGGUAGGUUUCUGUGGUUCAAAGGUAAUGUACUUGAUCUAAAGAAAGGCACGACUAUGAGAAACUGAAAUCAUUGUCACGUUGUAGCUUCAGAAUUUGACUCAGGUUGAACCUUCCAGUACUACACGGACAAGAAGACCAUAACAAAAUCCCUAUCAUCGGACCAACUACUCCAGUUUUCACUCGAAAUCUAUGAAGCUGAAAACUUUCACUGCCCUGUUGCUGUCCCUUGUCCCAUUAUCUUACUUUUUUUCCAGGAAAGCUAGCUAAACGAUUGACCGGUGUGAAGAUUUCCAUGAGAAGCAUUGUCACAUGGCCAUCUUGGUUAAGCCGCAUGAAUACAUAGCUACAACAAUCGAUGGAAUCCCUGCAAGCAGGGCAAUUUCGCUGUGCAUAGCUAGCUAGGACCUCUCUCAGGAAAGUUUCAGUUGUUCUCACGCCUAAUGUAGUGAGUGCAGCAAGCAAACUGGGUAUCUAGUUUAGUUGGGGAGGAAGAAAACUAACCACGAUAGACACCUAGAGCAUCAAAGAUGGAGAGAGCAGAGAGAGAGGGGGGAUGAUACCUUGACGAGCUCCCCUGAUGGCGUGGGUAGUAGGGUCACAGCAGCGUCCCAGGAAGAGGCGCACGGCGCUGUUAUCGGGGCGGCGUCGAGGGCGGCGGGGCCGUGGCGUCCUGGUCCUGCGGCGCCGUGGCGUCGAGGGAGGCGGGUCGACGGUGGUGUGGACGGGGCGGGGUCGAGGUGGGGCAGCGGCGUCGGGGCGGGGUCGAGGCGGCGUCGGGNNNNNNNNNNNNNNNNNNNNNNNNNNNNNNNNNNNNNNNNNNNNNNNNNNNNNNNNNNNNNNNNNNNNNNNNNNNNNNNNNNNNNNNNNNNNNNNNNNNNNNNNNNNNNNNNNNNNNNNNNNNNNNNNNNNNNNNNNNNNNNNNNNNNNNNNNNNNNNNNNNNNNNNNNNNNNNNNNNNNNNNNNNNNNNNNNNNNNNNNNNNNNNNNNNNNNNNNNNNNNNNNNNNNNNNNNNNNNNNNNNNNNNNNNNNNNNNNNNNNNNNNNNNNNNNNNNNNNNNNNNNNNNNNNNNNNNNNNNNNNNNNNNNNNNNNNNNNNNNNNNNNNNNNNNNNNNNNNNNNNNNNNNNNNNNNNNNNNNNNNNNNNNNNNNNNNNNNNNNNNNNNNNNNNNNNNNNNNNNNNNNNNNNNNNNNNNNNNNNNNNNNNNNNNNNNNNNNNNNNNNNNNNNNNNNNNNNNNNNNNNNNNNNNNNNNNNNNNNNNNNNNNNNNNNNNNNNNNNNNNNNNNNNNNNNNNNNNNNNNNNNNNNNNNNNNNNNNNNNNNNNNNNNNNNNNNNNNNNNNNNNNNNNNNNNNNNNNNNNNNNNNNNNNNNNNNNNNNNNNNNNNNNNNNNNNNNNNNNNNNNNNNNNNNNNNNNNNNNNNNNNNNNNNNNNNNNNNNNNNNNNNNNNNNNNNNNNNNNNNNNNNNNNNNNNNNNNNNNNNNNNNNNNNNNNNNNNNNNNNNNNNNNNNNNNNNNNNNNNNNNNNNNNNNNNNNNNNNNNNNNNNNNNNNNNNNNNNNNNNNNNNNNNNNNNNNNNNNNNNNNNNNNNNNNNNNNNNNNNNNNNNNNNNNNNNNNNNNNNNNNNNNNNNNNNNNNNNNNNNNNNNNNNNNNNNNNNNNNNNNNNNNNNNNNNNNNNNNNNNNNNNNNNNNNNNNNNNNNNNNNNNNNNNNNNNNNNNNNNNNNNNNNNNNNNNNNNNNNNNNNNNNNNNNNNNNNNNNNNNNNNNNNNNNNNNNNNNNNNNNNNNNNNNNNNNNNNNNNNNNNNNNNNNNNNNNNNNNNNNNNNNNNNNNNNNNNNNNNNNNNNNNNNNNNNNNNNNNNNNNNNNNNNNNNNNNNNNNNNNNNNNNNNNNNNNNNNNNNNNNNNNNNNNNNNNNNNNNNNNNNNNNNNNNNNNNNNNNNNNNNNNNNNNNNNNNNNNNNNNNNNNNNNNNNNNNNNNNNNNNNNNNNNNNNNNNNNNNNNNNNNNNNNNNNNNNNNNNNNNNNNNNNNNNNNNNNNNNNNNNNNNNNNNNNNNNNNNNNNNNNNNNNNNNNNNNNNNNNNNNNNNNNNNNNNNNNNNNNNNNNNNNNNNNNNNNNNNNNNNNNNNNNNNNNNNNNNNNNNNNNNNNNNNNNNNNNNNNNNNNNNNNNNNNNNNNNNNNNNNNNNNNNNNNNNNNNNNNNNNNNNNNNNNNNNNNNNNNNNNNNNNNNNNNNNNNNNNNNNNNNNNNNNNNNNNNNNNNNNNNNNNNNNNNNNNNNNNNNNNNNNNNNNNNNNNNNNNNNNNNNNNNNNNNNNNNNNNNNNNNNNNNNNNNNNNNNNNNNNNNNNNNNNNNNNNNNNNNNNNNNNNNNNNNNNNNNNNNNNNNNNNNNNNNNNNNNNNNNNNNNNNNNNNNNNNNNNNNNNNNNNNNNNNNNNNNNNNNNNNNNNNNNNNNNNNNNNNNNNNNNNNNNNNNNNNNNNNNNNNNNNNNNNNNNNNNNNNNNNNNNNNNNNNNNNNNNNNNNNNNNNNNNNNNNNNNNNNNNNNNNNNNNNNNNNNNNNNNNNNNNNNNNNNNNNNNNNNNNNNNNNNNNNNNNNNNNNNNNNNNNNNNNNNNNNNNNNNNNNNNNNNNNNNNNNNNNNNNNNNNNNNNNNNNNNNNNNNNNNNNNNNNNNNNNNNNNNNNNNNNNNNNNNNNNNNNNNNNNNNNNNNNNNNNNNNNNNNNNNNNNNNNNNNNNNNNNNNNNNNNNNNNNNNNNNNNNNNNNNNNNNNNNNNNNNNNNNNNNNNNNNNNNNNNNNNNNNNNNNNNNNNNNNNNNNNNNNNNNNNNNNNNNNNNNNNNNNNNNNNNNNNNNNNNNNNNNNNNNNNNNNNNNNNNNNNNNNNNNNNNNNNNNNNNNNNNNNNNNNNNNNNNNNNNNNNNNNNNNNNNNNNNNNNNNNNNNNNNNNNNNNNNNNNNNNNNNNNNNNNNNNNNNNNNNNNNNNNNNNNNNNNNNNNNNNNNNNNNNNNNNNNNNNNNNNNNNNNNNNNNNNNNNNNNNNNNNNNNNNNNNNNNNNNNNNNNNNNNNNNNNNNNNNNNNNNNNNNNNNNNNNNNNNNNNNNNNNNNNNNNNNNNNNNNNNNNNNNNNNNNNNNNNNNNNNNNNNNNNNNNNNNNNNNNNNNNNNNNNNNNNNNNNNNNNNNNNNNNNNNNNNNNNNNNNNNNNNNNNNNNNNNNNNNNNNNNNNNNNNNNNNNNNNNNNNNNNNNNNNNNNNNNNNNNNNNNNNNNNNNNNNNNNNNNNNNNNNNNNNNNNNNNNNNNNNNNNNNNNNNNNNNNNNNNNNNNNNNNNNNNNNNNNNNNNNNNNNNNNNNNNNNNNNNNNNNNNNNNNNNNNNNNNNNNNNNNNNNNNNNNNNNNNNNNNNNNNNNNNNNNNNNNNNNNNNNNNNNNNNNNNNNNNNNNNNNNNNNNNNNNNNNNNNNNNNNNNNNNNNNNNNNNNNNNNNNNNNNNNNNNNNNNNNNNNNNNNNNNNNNNNNNNNNNNNNNNNNNNNNNNNNNNNNNNNNNNNNNNNNNNNNNNNNNNNNNNNNNNNNNNNNNNNNNNNNNNNNNNNNNNNNNNNNNNNNNNNNNNNNNNNNNNNNNNNNNNNNNNNNNNNNNNNNNNNNNNNNNNNNNNNNNNNNNNNNNNNNNNNNNNNNNNNNNNNNNNNNNNNNNNNNNNNNNNNNNNNNNNNNNNNNNNNNNNNNNNNNNNNNNNNNNNNNNNNNNNNNNNNNNNNNNNNNNNNNNNNNNNNNNNNNNNNNNNNNNNNNNNNNNNNNNNNNNNNNNNNNNNNNNNNNNNNNNNNNNNNNNNNNNNNNNNNNNNNNNNNNNNNNNNNNNNNNNNNNNNNNNNNNNNNNNNNNNNNNNNNNNNNNNNNNNNNNNNNNNNNNNNNNNNNNNNNNNNNNNNNNNNNNNNNNNNNNNNNNNNNNNNNNNNNNNNNNNNNNNNNNNNNNNNNNNNNNNNNNNNNNNNNNNNNNNNNNNNNNNNNNNNNNNNNNNNNNNNNNNNNNNNNNNNNNNNNNNNNNNNNNNNNNNNNNNNNNNNNNNNNNNNNNNNNNNNNNNNNNNNNNNNNNNNNNNNNNNNNNNNNNNNNNNNNNNNNNNNNNNNNNNNNNNNNNNNNNNNNNNNNNNNNNNNNNNNNNNNNNNNNNNNNNNNNNNNNNNNNNNNNNNNNNNNNNNNNNNNNNNNNNNNNNNNNNNNNNNNNNNNNNNNNNNNNNNNNNNNNNNNNNNNNNNNNNNNNNNNNNNNNNNNNNNNNNNNNNNNNNNNNNNNNNNNNNNNNNNNNNNNNNNNNNNNNNNNNNNNNNNNNNNNNNNNNNNNNNNNNNNNNNNNNNNNNNNNNNNNNNNNNNNNNNNNNNNNNNNNNNNNNNNNNNNNNNNNNNNNNNNNNNNNNNNNNNNNNNNNNNNNNNNNNNNNNNNNNNNNNNNNNNNNNNNNNNNNNNNNNNNNNNNNNNNNNNNNNNNNNNNNNNNNNNNNNNNNNNNNNNNNNNNNNNNNNNNNNNNNNNNNNNNNNNNNNNNNNNNNNNNNNNNNNNNNNNNNNNNNNNNNNNNNNNNNNNNNNNNNNNNNNNNNNNNNNNNNNNNNNNNNNNNNNNNNNNNNNNNNNNNNNNNNNNNNNNNNNNNNNNNNNNNNNNNNNNNNNNNNNNNNNNNNNNNNNNNNNNNNNNNNNNNNNNNNNNNNNNNNNNNNNNNNNNNNNNNNNNNNNNNNNNNNNNNNNNNNNNNNNNNNNNNNNNNNNNNNNNNNNNNNNNNNNNNNNNNNNNNNNNNNNNNNNNNNNNNNNNNNNNNNNNNNNNNNNNNNNNNNNNNNNNNNNNNNNNNNNNNNNNNNNNNNNNNNNNNNNNNNNNNNNNNNNNNNNNNNNNNNNNNNNNNNNNNNNNNNNNNNNNNNNNNNNNNNNNNNNNNNNNNNNNNNNNNNNNNNNNNNNNNNNNNNNNNNNNNNNNNNNNNNNNNNNNNNNNNNNNNNNNNNNNNNNNNNNNNNNNNNNNNNNNNNNNNNNNNNNNNNNNNNNNNNNNNNNNNNNNNNNNNNNNNNNNNNNNNNNNNNNNNNNNNNNNNNNNNNNNNNNNNNNNNNNNNNNNNNNNNNNNNNNNNNNNNNNNNNNNNNNNNNNNNNNNNNNNNNNNNNNNNNNNNNNNNNNNNNNNNNNNNNNNNNNNNNNNNNNNNNNNNNNNNNNNNNNNNNNNNNNNNNNNNNNNNNNNNNNNNNNNNNNNNNNNNNNNNNNNNNNNNNNNNNNNNNNNNNNNNNNNNNNNNNNNNNNNNNNNNNNNNNNNNNNNNNNNNNNNNNNNNNNNNNNNNNNNNNNNNNNNNNNNNNNNNNNNNNNNNNNNNNNNNNNNNNNNNNNNNNNNNNNNNNNNNNNNNNNNNNNNNNNNNNNNNNNNNNNNNNNNNNNNNNNNNNNNNNNNNNNNNNNNNNNNNNNNNNNNNNNNNNNNNNNNNNNNNCGUGCUCGUCCCGAUAAAUGAUGCAAUUGUUCAUGCACACAUGGUAUUUCACGUGCGGUAAAUCCAGAGGACACACGAUUUUCUUCGCCUCCUCCAAACUGGUCGGGCACUUGUUCCCCUUGGGAAGACGUUCGUGCCAGAAUGACAUGUUCUCGUCGAAGCAUGCGUCGGUCAUUUUGUGUUUUACCUUCAUCUCCAGGGCCAUGAGCGUUACUUUCAGGCGGGUAUCCUCGGGCCUGCAUCCUUCAUACAAUGGAGUAACCGCGUCUAACUCAAGUUGAUCCAUCUUGGCUUUCUCUCGGGCGGCAGCUCUUGCGUUAUCCGUCUGCUUGAGAAGCAGCUCUUGAAUAUGAGGGUCCUGCACCCAGCCCAUCGAUGGUCCAGCGUCGUCUGCUCCGCCGGCAUCAUUGUCUUCAUGAUCAUGCCCGUCGCCUGCUCCGGCAUCUUCCUCAUCAUCAUGUCCUGCAUCUUCUACAUGAUGACUGUGUACAGCGUCACAGUCGUGAUCAUCUCCUGGGGAUUCUUCGUCUUCUCGCCCGCCCGAGCCGCGGUGGUUGUCUUGCUGCCCUUCCUCAUUUCUUGCCCGGCCCGCAUGGACGACUUCGUAGUCAUCUUCAUCACCUUGCCACCGAUAGCCAUCCAUGAAACCACGCAACAGCAGGUGGUCCCGCACCUGCCCGGAAUCCGGGUCCGCAAUAAGGCUCUUCAGCUUGCAUCUUCGACACGGACAUCUUAUCUCCGUCUCGUUCUUUUGAAGCAUCUCGGCCUUCGCGGACCUCAAAAACCUAUUCACGAUGCCUUCGGUCAUCGUGCGGACCAUGGUCGCCUGCGGGGUAGAGCAAAGCGAUAUUUUAGAACCAAACAAAAAUUUGGCAUGACUUUCCCUAAAAAUAGGACCAAAAAGAAUGCUUAAUGCCAAAAUUCUCGCCGAAACGGAAAUGAAUCAACAUUCCGGCAAAAUAUUGGCAACUAUCGCAUAUCAAAUACCGGUACACCUCCAAACACAAACACAUAUGCAACACCACAAACAUAUGCAACACCACGAACAUACAUAGAUCUAGCUAGGCCGUAAAAAGUGCAUGUGCACAUUGUUGUAAGGAGAACAACCUAAAUAUAGCUUCCCCCCUUACUUACCUAUUAAAACAAGGUAAUUUAACCACUUAAUUUGAAUGAAUCUAUGGUGGAAAUGAGGUGAAAAAGAGGAGGCACCCGAGACAAGGAGGAGGUGGAGAGAAUGAAGUGGGGAGAAAGUGAGUGUGUGGGUAGGAGAGGCUGUCCCAAAUAUCUUGUUGCUGCCCACUUACUAAUGGCGCACCUCUUGCAUGGUGCGCCAUUAGUAGUUACAACUACUAAUGGCGCACCCAAGCAGGAUGCGCCAUUAGUAUGUUUGGAUAGGCGCACUAGUUCAAAAAAAAAUCUAUACUAAUGGCGCACCCACUGCCUGGUGCGCCAUUAGUAGUUACAACUACUAAUGGCGCACUUGGGCAGGAUGCGCCAUUAGUAUGUUUGGAUAGGUGCACUAGUUCAAAAAAAAAAUAUUCUAUACUAAUGGCGCACCUGCUACCUGGUGCGCCAUUAGUAGUUACAACUACUAAUGGCGCACUUUGCCCGGAUGCGCCAUUAGUAUGUUUGGACAGGCGCACUAGUUAAAAAAAAAAUUGAUACUAAUGGCGCACCCGUAGCAUGGUGCGACAUUAGUAGUUUAAACUCUAAUGGCGCAUCAGAUUGUGGUGCGCCAUUAGUAUAUACUAAUGGCGCACCAUCUUUCUGGUGCGCCAUUAGUGUCAAUCCCAUCUAUAGCCCUUUUCCUAGUAGUGCCGAGGAUAUCUCUUUACGUCAGCCUUCUAGUCACGUCUCCAUCAAGCUUUGGGGACCACACUAAAGUACAGUACCGCCUAUCACCCUUAGACAGGCGGGUAGACAGAGCGAGUGAAUCAAAUACUUGAAGGUAUGCUCCAAGCAUGUGCUUUGGCUCAAGGACCAAAGUGGGAAGAUUGUCAGCCAUAUGUUGAGUUCUCCUACAACAACACUUUCCAGAACAGCCUGAAGAUGUCACCAUAUGAAGCUUUGUAUGGCCGGAAGUGCCACACUCCACUGAACUGGUCUCAAACCGGAGAUAUCCGCAUUCUCGGAGCUGACUUAAUGCUGGAGGCUGAGAAGAAAGUCAAGGAGAUUCGAGAUAGCCUGCAAUUGGCUAAGUCUCGAUAGAAGAGUUAUUAUGAUGCCAAGCACCGUCAGAUCAGCUUUGAGCCCGGAGAACAUGUGUACCUCCAAGUCACACCUAUGAAAGGAAUCAAGAGGUUUCAGACUCAAGCAAAACUAGCACCCAAAUAUAUUGGUUCAUUCCCAGUGAUGUCCAGAGUUGGCAUAGUUGUGUAUCAGUUGGAAUUGCCACCAGAAUUGUCAGAAGUGCACAACAUGUUCCAUGUCUCGCAGCUAAGAAGGUGCAUCUCACCACCCAAGAAAAGGACUGAUGUGGCAGAGCUAGAUCUUGCUAAGUAUUUGACCUAUGAGGAGAGACCGUUCAGAAUUUUGGACGAGACCGAGAGGGUCACUCGCAUUAAGGUGAUAAGGUUUUAUAAGGUUCAUGGGAGCAUCACAUCAAGGAAGAAGCAACUUGGGAAAGAGAGGAAGUUUUGAGGGAAGCAUAUCUGGAAUGGUUUUCCUGAGCAAUCAAAUCUCGAGGACAAGAUUCAUCCUAAGUGGGGCAGGUUGAUGACAGCCUCGUUUUUGCCUUCUCUCUUUUUCCAGAAUCUGUUUGCCUUUGAAUUUGCAGUUGGGUUUUUGCAUCAACUCAUUUGGACUAAACCACUUGGGCAUGUCCUUGAUUUACACCCAAGUGACCCACCCCUCUCAUAACCAUCAUUUCUUCUCUGAAAAAUCUCAAACUGACCCAAGGAAUAUUUCUCAUAAAUGAAAAAUAUUCAUUUGCUUCUCUGCCUAACACUUCAGCUACAUAUGCUCCAAAGCAACCAUCAUUUUUCUUGCUCCAAAAAUUCUGAGAAAAUUCCCAAAUAUUCUUUGAACCUUGCACACCUUCCUAAGAAAAAAUAUUUCACACUUAUUUGGAACAUUUUUUCUAUAGAAAAUCAUUUUUGUUCUGGCCUCAAAAUGCAGUUUCUACAGCAAGUGUAUUUUUCCUUGCUCUAAUAAAGCUGAUUUUUCUUGAGCUUGUUUACCUUCCUAAGAAAACAUUAACCCCACAGGAUCAUCCCUAAUCUCCUUCUAGAAGCUAGCCAAGUACAGUGUCAAAGUUUCUGACCAGAAACUUCCUCGCAAGCUCAAGUCUAAUAUGGUCGGCCUGGCAGUGUAUGAUCUAUUCCCCUAGACUAAUCACUGCACGGACAACACGAGAGACAAGGUUUGGCAGCAUGUGACCGUCGUUUUGACAAUACCAGCAUGGUGACCGCGUGACGACACGGCCUCUGGCACGCGUUCGACGCCUCUACACUGCGCCCGCAUCUCUAUGCAAAUCGUGCUCGAUGCAGGGCUCCAUGACGACUGACGCACCACACCACCGCCCCCGUCUCUUCGCCCUUGACCACUCCCUAGUGCUCGCUGAUGCCGGAGUUGCCGCAGCGGGCAUGGGCAUGGUGCGGCCAAAGCCACACUGCGCCCCGUGCCACUGUCUUGGUCCACGCCCGCGCUCCUGUGCUCGUCCGCACGUUGCAUAGCUCCUGCAUGAUUGUUGAACCUUUUGCAUUGUGUUCUUAUUGAAAAGAUCUAGUAGCACACCAAAAAUGAGAAUUUUCUCUGCUGUCUAGAUUUUGUGGUGAAUUUCAGAAGGGUUCUUGAUAUUUCUUUUUGUUGUUUAUAAAUAUUUUUAGAAGGAGAAACUUGUCUUGAAGAGAACUAGGAGGAGUGUGAGCUUCCUCUGCACUAAGGCAAGGCACACCAACAUUUGCAUGGUGUCACUCUAAUAUUUGUGAAUUUUCCAACUUUAAUAUGAGUUCUUUCAUGCAUUUAAUUAUUUAGAGGAAUAUUGCUCAUCCUAGUUGUUUUUUCAUCUUUGAAAUGCUUUGUUUACAGUAAGGUUUGCAUGCAUGGACUAGUGUGAGGCAGUAGAUAUAGUUUUGUUUGUGUGGUUAUGAUUUAACUAUGAUCUGUAAUAUUUUUCAUAUAAUGUUUUCUUUGAGUUUAAUAUGAUAAUAGCAUGAUGAAAAUAAUGGGUGUUAAAAACUAGUGAGCUAAAAUCAGUAAAGUUUAAUGAUGACUAGUGCAAGUAGAAAACUUGAUGAUGUUGAUCUGUGUACAUGAAAUGAUAUGUGAUGCAUGUCGAGUAGUUGCAUGUUCAUGGCAUAUUGUGAAUCGGGUUAUUUUCAUGUCAAGUUAAACCUGACGCUAAUCCAACUUGAACAUAAUGUUGAUCGAGUCAUGGUGCCACUGAAUCGAGUUUUUUCCAGUGCAACCACAUUUGCCUUUUUAGGAAGCCUUUAUUCGGUCCGUUGUCAUGCCUCUGGUCGGUACCUCCAAAGAGGGAAUGUUAUGGGUGUGCGGUACUCUGGCCCGGUAAGCAGACAUAACCUUGUAUGCCCGUUUGUUGCUAUGGUACCUUGUCCCAAUUUGGGAACGUUUGUUUUUCCACGACGGUGGCCGUUGAUGCCUUUGGUAGGCACGGGGCCACCCAUGACUUAGCACAGAGGGGAGUUGGUCAGAGUGGCUGAGAGAGUGUCAUGGCAAUGGGAGGGUUUCAUCGAAAUGUCGUUGGUCCACUCGAAUGGGAGUGCGAGGCCAUGGGUUCCGUGGUGCGGGUACAGUGUACUACCUCUGCAGAGUGUUUAUUAAUCUAUCGAUAGCCGCGUCCUCGAUUAUGGACAUAGCUCGUGAGUAAGUCACACCAUGGAUCAACAUGAUUAAGUAAUCUUGCACAAUAAAUUCUUAUGCUUGGCACUGUUUGGUUGAUGAGAUUUGUGUGACCAUGAAGAUGGUCGGUAUUCAUGGAAACCAAACUGUUGGUUCAUUUGUCAUCCGGGAGUGAUCACCGUUGAUGAGGUUGGUUAUGAGGUAACCCGUCUGGUAAGAGAGUCCGAGGGAAUUGGUGCAUAAGUUUGGUCACUGCAUCAGUAGCAUGUUAUUGCAUUGCACUUAACUUGAUAAAUUGUCAUGAUAUUGUUUGCCAUUGUGGUGAUGCUUGUUGUGAACUUGCAGUGCAAGUACAUUCCAUGUACUGACCUGGCGUGUCAUGCCAGAUUUCAGGGCAGGCUUAUCAGAUUGGAGUGCUUUGCAAGUCUAGAUCGUGUCCACAUCGGUGUCCCUGGGCUAUGGAGUUCCGCUGCUUCAUCGUUCCGCUGCCACGUAGUUAUCAUGAUCGAGGACCCUUCAUGUUCAUUAAAUAAUGUACAUAUUGUUCAGCCGCACCGUGUGUGCCGCUUGGCCUCGUAAUUUGAUGUAAUCUCGAACCAAUAUUUUCCCUAGUAUGAAUAAAGAUGUUGUCUUAUGUACCUGGUUGUUCUGCAUUGUCAGAAGACUUGAUCUCUCGGCUGGCAAUGCAAGGUAAUCUGGUUGCUCUAAGCCGGGGUGCCACAAGUAGGUAUGCACUGCAUUAUAUAAGAUUAUUUUUUGUUGUUUUUCCUUCUGGUUAGUAUUUCUAAUUCUGAUUAUCACUUGGUCUCUACUAUUAAAGGGGAGUACGUAGGUCGUUUUGUUUCGGGGAGGGGGAGGCGCAGCCUUGCGAAGGAGUGGAGAAGACAUCAUGCUCUGGUCCUCCUUCAACACCGCUAGCGACUUGUCGGUUUGUUGCUCUUCCCCUACAAGGUACGACAUACUUCUUCCCUUCAUGUGUCCUUGUACAAACAUGCAGUUCUUGAUUUCGUGGAAGAAACUAAUCUAGGAUUUGACUAAUUCUCUUUGAAAAUGGAUUUUCUUAGUUUGAUUUUCCCCACCCUGUGAUUUUGGUUUGAUUUCUUGAAUUUAGCUAAACACCUUUGCGUGUGUCCCUAAUUCCCCAUCACUCUUUCUGUCACAGCAUGGUCAGAAGUAGAAAUUCCUUUGGGCAUAGUAUGCCAGCGCCUUGAGGAACAACAUAUAGUGUGAACAAAAAUGACAUUAUCCCAUUAGAGAGACUGGUGCUAAUUCUUUAGCAUGUGUGGUGAGAUUAUGUUGGUGUGUAAAGUGUUGAGGAGCAGAGUAUUACCCGUUCCACAACUUCAAGCUUGGGGCAUCAACAACGGUGCCUUCACCCUUUACUUGUGUCUGUGCCCACAUGGCCAUCUUUGAUAUGUGGUAUUCAGUCACAUGGUAGAGUUCUUUGCAAGUGAUUAGGUGAUUUGGAACUCGGUGACUUGACACAUGUUUGCUUGAUCAACUUUGAUAUUAGUGACCUUUCAGAUAUUUAGCAUUCUGGAAGUUAGAUCCACUCAGAACUGGAUAUGCAUAGUCUUCAUCACCCCCAAUUCCUGAUGUCACUCAUGUGGUCUCCUGAUCUUCGAUUUACUGAUUUGAGUAUAUGUUGUGUGUUGGUGUGUUGUAGAUCCUUGAGGUUAGGUAUUAUACCUAGCGACACGUGGUGGAGAUUUUUUGGUAGGACGACGCCGGCGGCGGCAUCACCUGCAUCAUCGUCUCCCAGACCGCCUUCAUCAACACAGGUCACGUUAGUAGUCAAUAUGGUUCAGACAUAAUACUACGUACUUCAUUUAAUUUUUUUUUGUACAUGGCAUCUUAUGAGAAAGUGUUCCGUGUACCAUGUAACUAGGUACAAUUAAUGGAUAAUAAUAAUGGACAUGCUCCAUGAGACGACCGGCCAGUUGAUAGACACCACCUGCAUAUAAACGCAUCAAGGUGCUAUCUAGAUAGCACCUGAAUAAAAAGGCUUCCAGGUGUUACCUAUCAUUUGUAAUGCCGUGCACGAUGAAGUUGUUCUAUAUUUUGUAAACGACUUACUUUUAUUGUGCAUCAGAUGAUUUAGCAUAGGUCGUUCGUUGAAUUGCAUUUUUUAUCUAAAUAAAUUGCCAGUAAAGUAGAAUUCAGUUUUUCAAGACAUUUGAAAAUUGACGUGCAUUAUGUUUAUAUAUGCAAAGUAUUUUUUUAAAGCCCUUGGCAACACACGGGCAUUGUACUAGUGCUAGUAGUACAUGAUAUGUGAUGUUGUUUAGCUGCAGGCACGUUGGAUCUCCUGCGAAGUAUUUGCUCUACUCUAGGAAACAAUCUGGGAAGUAUUCAUGAAAGUUGAAUUUACCAAAUCAAGUGUUACAUGGACGGUACAUGAGUUUUCAUUCUAGAAUACAAAGUGAUAACACACUCGUUUAGUUACCUCAUGGGUACAUGUUUUCUUUACAGAAGUAGAAUAAUACUAUAGAUGGAGUUGCAUAAGUGGUACAUUAGUACAUUUAGGAUAAGCACUUAAACAAUGAAAAUUGGGGUAUAAAAAAUGACAGUGGACCGGAUCUAGUCAUAGUCCCUCCACAAGUGAGCUGAGAGGGUAAAUUAUUUUGGUUGGUCACUCGGAAGCUAGGUGAGGAUCUGGACAUACAUAUGUGGUAGGGGAAAUGGCCAAUCUUCGGGCGUGUCUGGCUAGUCAUUCUUCGGCUAGGCAUAACCGCCGGUUGUGCUAGCCGCCGCCAUCUCCGGCUGAGCAGUCUUCGGCGUAGCAUAAGUGUCAGUUGUGCUAGCUGUCGGCGUCUCUGGCUGAGCAUUCUUCGGUGCAUUGUAACUAUCGGAUGUGACGGUCGCCGCGAUCUCUUCCUUCUUCGGCUCCUCCUUUGGCUUGGUCAAUCUUUUAGGUAUCAUAACCAUGACAUGCGGCUCUUCCUUCUUCGGCUCCUUUUUUGGCUUCUCCUUGUUAGGUUUAUCUACUUUUUCUUCUGGUUUCUUCUCCGCACCGGUGUAUCCAGAGGCGUUGUUCUUUCCUUCGGACUUCUUCUCAGUUUUACUUUUGGGUUUCUUCUCGAUGGUGGAAGGCUGGGAGGGCUCACUCUUUCUUUUGGAUUUCUUCUCGGAGGCCACUUCAGCUUUCUUCUCCUCAGCAGCCUUAGUGCCACCUUCGGGUUUCUUCUCCUUGCCGGCAUAGCCAGAGGCACUUACCGGUUUCUUCUCCGCGUCAACAUUGUUGGAGGCGACGUCAGGUUUCGUCUUCGCGCUGGAGGAGAGAUCAGAUCCAGAGACAUCAUCUGGUUUCUUCUCAACAUCAGCGGAGAUGGCUUCGGGUUUCUUCUCAGCACUAGCUGAGACAGCUUCAGGUUUCUUCUCAAUACCUGCGGUGUAUCCGCUGGUAGCUUCAGAUUUCUUACCUCCACCGCCAUAGUCAAGAUCGCCAUGGGCCGAUGCUAGGGGGCUGGUGGAGGCAACAACGAGGAAGAGCAGAAGGGCCGAUGCUAGGGGGCUGGUGGAGGCAACAACGAGGAAGAGCAGAAGGGCUAGAGCGAGCUGGGCCGUCAUGAUAAUUAAUCAACCCGACGAAGUGUGGUGCUGCGAUGAAAUGUCUGCAGGAGGAAGUUGGGAGGUAUUUGAAUGGCGAGGGAGGGAGGGAAGGAGAGGAGAGAUGGUGCUGGUGGGUCUUGUGCGUUUUUUCUUGAACCGUAACCGCUAAUCUCGUCCUAUAAAACCAUGUGCCCGCCGUGAAGAAAGGAGCCCAAAGAGAAGCCGGUAAGUUUACUAAAUAAGGUCAAAUCCUGUUUUGUUUACAUCUUUUCUGGGUGAUGUUUACAAAAUAGGCAGCAUGCAUGCAUGCAACUUCCUUUUCAUUUUUCUUUUUUCUUUUUUUUUGAGAGACUUGGUUUUCUCAAUAACAUGUGGGCGCAGAACCGAGCUAUCGACCAUCGUAGACGCAAGUAAGAUUACUCAUCUAGCAAUUCAGACAUGAUGCAAAAAAAUUGCUUUCACGCAUCUACAAAAAUUACCAUGUUAUAGUCGUCUUUGCAAUGGACGAUAGGGCAUUAUUGCGGACUACAACAACUAGGCAUGUGCACCUCGAUACGCUGUUGAUCUCCCAUUCCUGACAAGAACAAACACCGCCACACGCCUUGCAUAUCACAAUGCAGUCACGGCACCAUCUUUCCCAGUGCUGCCACAACUAAUCUAGAUAGACGCAAGUUUAGUUCAUUAGAUAUGACAAAAAAUCAUAAAACUUACGUGUGGCAGUUAAAAAGGAGAACAAGCGUUAGUUUCCAUGGAUGAAACUGGUCGUGGCAAAGCCUAUCAGCCAUCUCAACACCUUCUCUGUGGUGGUGUUAUCUUUGGGAUAUUCAAAAGUCACGAGUUCAAGGAUCCAGACAUGAAAAACAACAACUAGUAUGGGACUGCAGGAGCUCAACUUGCCAUUUUUCUUGAAAAUUUGCCUCAUCCUGUAUCUAACAUUCACAAAAAUAUAUUUCAGUUAUAUGUGAACCAGAAUAUUCUUUCCUACACGUCUACACCUACUCAAUAUAUACGACUUUAUGGGGUACCUUUCAAGUGUACCAAAAAGUUCUUUGUUAUACUCUUUGUGAAGAAAUUACUAUAGCUCCAAUGUCCAAGCCUCCAUCAGCAAAUAUAAAGCUUAUAAUUUGAGCGGGAUGGGAUACAUACCUGGUUUGCCCGCUCUAAAAUUUGAUGGAAAUGGGGCACAAACUAUAUCUCCCUCUUCAAAGAAACCUUCCUUGAAUGCUCGGAUCAGGAAACUAAAUUUAACAAGUGGUACAAUUUUGUCUUCAGCUGAUCAGCAGUUCCAGCUCCUCUAUUUGGUAGGAACAAUGCUUGAUAUUCAGAAUCUUCUACAAUUUUCACAAAGAUUCAGAAUAUGUGCACUUACAUUGCACAAUUUUGUCGAAUACAGCUUCUUGUGUAAAUAUUCAUAAUAUCUCCAUGGUUAUUACUUAGAGCAUUUCUAACCGAUCGCCAAUAAAUAGUGGAGUAUCAGGUGGAGUAGACCCUUAGUGCAGUAAAUUUACUACACUAAGUUUUGGCUCAACCUAGCUAAUCCCCUAUAUAUAACAGUAUAAAUUUUUUUCAUUUGUUUUUCAUUUUCGGCCACUGAAACACAUUUCUUUGCUUCUUUAUUUCAUUCAACGACAUUUUGAUACAUUGCAGUACAUUAUUAGAUAUUCUUCUCAAAGAAAGUAAGACCAAGGAAAAUAGGAACCACAAUUAGACAUUUUAAAAGAUAUCCGAUUUCCAUAACUGCUCCCACUAGUUGAAUUAAUAUCUUCUCUAUGUCUUCAUUGUUGAUCUGCAGCUUCUCGAGCUUGCACACUUCUUUCUUUGUACAUUGAUUUAGAAGAAGUAGACGUUGCUUUGCAUGUAGUCUUAUCUCUAGAGUCUAAUGUUGCAAUCAGUGCCCAAGCAUCUAUCAGUUUUCGUGCUACCAAUAAAUCGAUGUAGUCUUCUUAUCGACACUAAAAUUUGCAUCCAUCCUACACAUAUAAAUUAGAGCAAACAAUGAGCUACCGAAAUUGUGCCGAAUCCGGUGAACAACUGAAUGAAAAGACUCAUAUACGCCAUCUUUCUUGCACUUGAACAAAACCAUCCGGGAUGUUCCGGCGUGGUUGCAACUUGGUGCACUACCUGCCAUGGGCAAUCUUCACACUUUAUGAGAGGCAACUGUAGGCCAACGAGCCGUUUGGCCAGCACCGAGCCUUGGCAACGACCAUGCGUGUCUUUGCUGGCGAACCGCUGACGGGAGAGAUCCAAGUGCUAGAGGCAGAAUCAAUACCUGCAUGCGGUGUGGAGGCAUUGUCGGGGCUGUGCGGCCUGGUACCUGGCAUAUCCAUGGCAAGGCGCAGUCGCCGGAUGUACCAAAUCCGGUGGCGGACGCGGAAGGCGCAGAUCAACCGGUCGUGGGCUGGCGACGGGGCGAGAGGGCACAAAUCCGGGUGGUUAGGGACCACGGUGGAGCCUACAGAGUGUCCAUGGAGGCAAGCAGUGAANNNNNNNNNNNNNNNNNNNNNNNNNNNNNNNNNNNNNNNNNNNNNNNNNNNNNNNNNNNNNNNNNNNNNNNNNNNNNNNNNNNNNNNNNNNNNNNNNNNNNNNNNNNNNNNNNNNNNNNNNNNNNNNNNNNNNNNNNNNNNNNNNNNNNNNNNNNNNNNNNNNNNNNNNNNNNNNNNNNNNNNNNNNNNNNNNNNNNNNNNNNNNNNNNNNNNNNNNNNNNNNNNNNNNNNNNNNNNNNNNNNNNNNNNNNNNNNNNNNNNNNNNNNNNNNNNNNNNNNAAUAUAGGGAGGCCGGGCGCGGCCGAGGAUAAUUAUCCUCCACUACGGUGAAUGCCCUUACUAGAUUCUGCCUCUAGCGCUUGGAAAAACUAAGGAUGGAUAUAGGGGAUCGGUUAGAAAUGCCCUUACUAGAUUGUUCGUCCUUAGUUUUUGUAUGACACAAAACAGACAAAGGGAGGAAAAAAAUUGUGUGCACUGCAGUGUGCUAUUCUGUGUGAAAAAAGCUAAAUGAAGACUGAAAAAUGUUGUGCACUGUAAGUUUUCUGUGGUUUAUGUGUUUGUUUGCUAGAAAGAAAAUGUGGUUAUGAGUAAGAUUGGAAAAAAUUAUAUGCUUGUGAUUACAUAUGGCAUAUCUUGUUCCCCUUUUGUGAAUGGGCCUGCAAUCUAAUAUGUUUCCACUAGAAACUUGGGUUCGUAGUGUGUUUCACAGAUUGUUGCAGUAUGUAUAAAGGACUCAUGGCAUAACACAAGGAUAUUCUUGGUGCUUAAAUUUUGUAAACCCAAUGUUGACAUGCUGCAGCAAACGUGUAGAUUUACGUCGGUCCUAGUUUUCUAGCGUUUAGGGAAAGAGUUUGGUGCCCCAAGAUCAUUCCUAGCACCGUGUUUGGGCGUACGCUGCACACACUCUCAUCAUUUCUGCACCAUCCACUAAAGGACCUCAAGACACAGACCAGCAACAUCAACAUCGACGAUGACCCUGUGAAAAGGAUGAUCUAUUUUGAACAGGGCAUGCACUUCCACGGAGCAUACCAACAGCUAGCGCUUCUUCUACAAAGAGCUGCUGGAGAAAAGUUGCACCCUAGGCUGGCUACCAAAUUUUGGUUCAUUCUUGUCCAUCCACCUUGCAAAAAGAUUCUUGUUGGUUAAUUAAAAAGGGAAAUCAGGUUUCGAUAGAUGGUAUCACAGUCUCAUUGGUUAAAGAUAAUUAAGCUCGUUGAAAGGGAUAAGUGUAUAAUCACACAUUGAGGCACGCACAAAGAUAAUUUCUAAUUAAGUUCACUGCCCCUUUUCCGUCAGCACCAAAGUCUUACGGAUACCGGUUAGUCAGUCAGCCACGCGCUCUAAUUUCAUACAUCAGGAAAAAAAGAUGAAAAUGAAGGAGGCAUCUCCAAGAGGCAGCAAAAAAGCGGCACUCAAGUAGAAGCAGUAAUCGGCAGCGGCACACGUUGGGAGCGCCAUCAUUCUUCAUCCAUUCAGGUCAUUGUCAUCAUUCAUUUGACAUUUCACAACGGAAUCAGAAUUUCAUACUUGAUCAGGGAUACUGGCCGGUGGCAAUGCAUGUGGUGAUCAUCCAACACCAACUUUGACUUACAAAGGCAAUGUGAUGUCGAUCAGAGUUUUCAAACUUUUUUUAAAAUCCUAGCGGAGUUUUAGUGCACCAUAAACUAUUUCAUAGAACUUAGCAAAAAAAACGUAUGUCGAUGCGUUGAAAAGAUAAGAAAAUAUUAAUAUGCAAAUAUAUGUUACUCAAUAAAGUUGAUAUGAUUAUUUAUGACAUGGGUAAAUCUUAGAGCAUCUACUGCCGGGUGCCUACCCCCCCCCCCCUUCCCCCUCAAACGCCCGGCCGAUGGCUCGGUUAAUGGCCGUUCAAAAUAAUGUGACCCAGACGGGCGCCUCAAACGGGCGUCUCAAACGGGCCUCUAACGCCCGCGCGGACUUGCAUCUCUCAUAUCCAGCCCAAAUGUAGGGCUCGUAUGGGGAGGCCCAUGCGCGACUGGGUGCGUCCACCACGUCGGACCUGACAGGCCUAUCUUACCAAAAAUUGCACAAAAUACACCGUACCCUUCGCCCUCCUCCCGCCUCCCUGCACCAAUUCCCACAUCCGAGCCCGCGCCAUCUGCCACGCUUGCUCCCCAUCCUUGCCGCCGGUCCUGAUUCGUCAUCCUUGCUGUCGUCCAGUCCGACCCCGACGCCUCGUUUGAGGUUCUGUCGGACCGACGAUACAGGUCGAACUCAGCGAGUCACGGUGCAAAUCGCAGCCCACAGGAGGACCAGCACAUGCACGACUGCGUGCAGGCAGGCACAAGCAGAGCAUGCACGACCACUGGCCUCCCCUCAAGAAACAACCUUCUCCAGUAGGUCCGCAACCUUGAGAUCUCCUCCUUCGUGCAAGGACUUGGCAGGAUUCGCCCUGAAGUCGUCGCCAUCAUCCUCCAACUCCAAGUUCGGGCACUGUCGUUCGUGGUCGAUAAUAAACCACAAGUGUAGGGGAUCGCAACAGCUUUCGAGGGUAAAGUAUUCAACCCAAAUUUAUUGAUUCGACACAAGGAGAGCCAAAGAAUAUUCUUGAGUAUUAGUAGUUGAGUUGUCAAUUCAACCACACCUGGGUAACUUAGUAUCUGGAGCAAGGUGUUUAGUAGCAAAGUAGUAUGAUAAUAAUGGUAACGGUGGCAAAAGGUAAAGAUAGUAAUAGCAAUAUUUUUGGUGUUUUGUAGUGAUUGUAACAAUAGCAACGGAAAAGUAAAUAAGCGAAGCACAAUAUAUGAAAAGCUCGUAGGCAAUGGAUCAGUGAUGGAUAAUUAUGCCGGAUGCGAUUUUCAUGUAAUAGCUAUAACAUAAGGUGACACAGAACUAGCUUCAGUUCAUCAAUAAAAUGUAGGAAUGUAUUCCAUAAAUAAUCAUACGUGCUUAUGGAAAAGAACUUGCAUGACAACUUUUGUCCUAUCCUCCCGUGGCAGCGGGGUCCUAGUGGAAACUAAGGGAUAUUAAGGCCUCCUUUUAAUAGAGCCCCGGACCAAAGCAUUAACACAUGGUGAAUACAUGAACUCCUCAAACUACGGUCAUCACCGAGAAGUAUCCCGAUUAUUGUCACUUCGGCGUUGUCGGAUCAUAACACAUAAUAGGUGACUAUAGACUUGCAAGAUAAGAUCAAGAACACACAUAUAUUCAUGAAAACAUAAUAGGUUGAGAUCUGAAAUCAUGGCACUUGGGGCCUAGUGACAAGCAUUAAGCAUGGCAAAGUCAUAGCAACAUCAAUCUCAGAACAUAGUGGAUACUAGGGAUCAAACCCUAACAAAACUAACUUGAUUACAUGGUAAGUCUCAGCCAACCCAUCACCGUCCAGCAAGCCUAUGCUGGAAUUACUCACGCACGGUGGUGAGCAUCAUGAAAUUGGAGAUGGAGGAUGGUUUAUGAUGACGACGGCGACGAAUCCUCCUCUCCGGAGCCCCGAGUGGACUCCAAAUCAGCCCUCCCGAGAGAGAUUAGGUCUUGGCGGAGGCUCCGUAUCGAUAAACACGAUGAAACUUUCUCUUUGAUUUGUUUCUCCGUGAAACGGAAAAUAUAGAGUUGGAGUUGAGGUCGGUGGAGGUCCAGGGGGCCCACGAGAUAGGGGGGCACACCCUACAGGGGGGGGGGGCACCCCCUGUCUCGUGAACAGGCCCUGGGCCCCCUGGUGUAUUUCUUUCGCCCAAAAAUUCUUAUUAAUUCCAAAAAGUGCCUUCGUGGAUUUGCAGGUCAUUCCGAGAACUUUUCUUUUCUACACAUAAAACAACAUCAUGGCAGCUGUGCUGAAAAUAGCGUCAGUCCGGGUUAGUUUCAUUCAAAUCAUGCAAGUUAGAGUCCAAAACAAGGGCAAAAGGGUUUGGAAAAGUAGAUACGUUGGAGACGUAUCAACUCCCCCAAGCUUAAACCUUUGCUUUUCCUCAAGCAAUUCAGUUGAUAAACUGAAAGUGAUAAAGAAAAACUUUUACAAACUCUGUUUGCUCUUGUUGUUGUAAACAUGAAAAGCCAGCAUUCAAGUUUCAGCAAAUAUUAUGAACUAACCAUACUCACAAUAACACUUAGGUCUCACAAUUACUCAUAUCAAUAACAUAAUCAGCUAGCGAGUCAUAAUAAUAAAACUCGGAUGACAACACUUUCUCAAAACAAUCAUAACAUGAUAUAACAAAAUGGUAUCUCGCUAGCCCUUUCCGAGACCGCAAAACAUAAACGCAGAGCACCUUUAAAGAUCAAGGACUGACUAAACAUUGUAAUUCAAGGUAAAAGAGAUCCAGUCAAGUCAUACCCGAUAUAAACCAAUAGUAAUGAAUGCAAAUGACAGUGUGCUCUCCAGCGGGUGCUUUUUAUAAGAAAGGGAUGACUCAACAUAAAACUAAAUAGAUAGGCCAUUCGCAAAGGGAAGCAGGGAUUUGUAGAGGUGCCAGAGCUCGAUUUUAAAAUAGAGAUUGAAUAAUAUUUUGAGCGGCAUACUUCCGCUAUCAACGCAACAACUAUGAGAUGGAUGUAUCUUCCAUACUACAUGCAUUAUAGGCAGUUCCCACGCGGAAUGGUAAAAGUUUAUACUCCCCCAACCACCAACAAGCAUCAAUCCAUGGCUUGCUCGAAACGAUGAGUGCCUCCAACUAACAACAAUCCUGGGGGAGUUUUGUUUAAUUUUUUUGAUUUUUUUUAUCUUUUUGGAUCAUGGGACUGGGCAUCCCGGUUACCGGCCCUUUCUCGUGAAUGAGGAGCGGAGUCCACUCCUCUGAGAAUAGCCCACCUAGCAUGGAAGAUAUAGGCAGCCCUAGUGGAAACAUGAGCGGCUAGAGCAUACAAAACGGAAUUUCAUUUGAAGGUUUAGAGUUUGGCACAUACAAAUUUACUUGGAACGGCAGGUAAAUACCGCAUAUAGGAAGGUAUAGUGGACUCAUAUGGAACAUCUUUAGGGUUUAAGAAGUUUGGAUGCACAAGCAGUAUUCCCGCUUAGUAUAGGUGAAGGCUAGCAAAAGACUGGGAAGCGACCAACUGAGAGAGCGACAACAAUCAUAAACAUGCAUUAAAACUAAUUCACACCGAGUACAAACAUGAGUAGGAUAUAAUCCACCAUGAACAUAAAUAUCGUGAAGGCUAUGUUGAUUUGAUUCAACUACAUGCAUGAACAUGUGGCAAGUCGAGUCACUAAAUUCAUUUAAAGGAGGAUACCAUCCCAUCAUACCACAUCAUAAUCAUUCUAAUAGCAUGUUGGCACGCAAGGUAAACCAUUAUAACUCAAAUCUAAUCAAGCAUGGCACAAGCAACUAUAAUCUCUAAAUGUCAUUGCAAAUAUGUUUACUUCAUAAUAAGCUGAAUUAGGAACGAUGAACUCAUCAUAUUUACAAAAACAAGAGAGGUCGAGUUCAUACUAGCUUUUCUCAUCUCAAUAAGUCCAUCAUAUAUCGUCAUUAUUUCCUUUCACUUGCACGACCGAAUGAUGUGUAUAAUAAUAAGAGUGUACGUGCAUUGGACUAAGCUGGAAUCUGCAAGCAUUCAACUCGAAAGAGAAGACAAGUAAUAUGGGCUCAAAAUUAAAUAAAAAAUCAUGCAUAUGAUAGCCACUAAACAUUUUCAAUAUGGUCUCCUCGACCCCCCAAAGGAAAGAAAAGAAAAUAAAACUAUUUACACGGGAAAGCUCCCAACAAGUAAGAAGAAGAACUAGAAAUCUUUUUGGGUUUUCAUUUUAAUUUCUACUACAAGCAUGGAAAUUAAACUAACUAAUUUUUUUGGUUUUUCUCAAGGUUUAUCAAACACACAAGAAUAAAACUAGAAAAAGAAAUUUAAACUAACAAGGAUAAUACAAUGAAAGAGUAUGAGCACCGACAACUAGUGUGUGAACAUGAAUGUAAAGUCGGUGAAAAAUACGUACUCCCCCAAGCUUAGGCUUUUGGCCUAAGUUGGUCUAAUACAGGGACCGCCUGGCUGAUAUCCAUAAGUGAAACCGGGUCGUACUUAGAUGGAGCGGCAACCGCCUCCUGAGCUGUGGCGUGUUGGCGAGCUGCCUCCACUCCCCUCUCGUAUUCAGUUGCUUCCUCCCUGGUGACAACAUAUCUUCCUUUUGCCUGAUAAUCAAAAAGGUAGGGAGCAGGAAGAGUAACAGGGACGACGUUGCAUCUAUCAUAGAUUAGUCGAUAAUGGAUGAUUAAACAUAGCUUCUUUAUCCAAAUAAACUGGGGGUAAAAUCAUAUCCCCCUCUCGUGGGGCUAUGCCAAGAUAAUUAGCCACACGGGUUGCAUAAAUUCCUCCAAAUAAAUUUCCCUUUCUACUAUUAUUCUGCAACCUACGUGCAACUAUUGCCCCCAAGUUAUAACCUUUAAAACCUAACACAGCAGUCUUGAGGAUACUCAGAUCAGGGACACACAUGUGACAUGCUUCAUCCUUACCAUUAAUACAUAUACCGAUGAAGAAAGCAAAAUAAUGUAUAGCAGGAAAAUGAAUGCUCCCUAUGGUAUGUUGUGCUAUGUCCCUAGAUUCUCCCACAGUAAUACUAGCAAGGAAAUCUCUAAAUUCAUAUUUGUGAGGAUCAUUAAUAUUACCCCACUGCGGGAGUUUGCAAGCAGUUGUAAAAUCCUCUAAAUCCAUGGUAUAAGAUGUAUUAUAAAUAUCAAAUAUGACACUAGGAGAAUUACGCGUACAAUUAUAUUUAAAUCUCCGCACAAAGGAAUCAGUCAAUUGAUAGUACUGGGGACACUUAUCUUGUAGGAAGUCCUCCAGCUCGGCAUUACGCACAUAUGCGUCAAAUUCCUCCUUGAAGCCUGUUUUGACCAUAAAAUCAUCGGAUGGCCACUCACAAGCUCGAACAUCCGCGUUCCUCAGCAAUUCAACAUCUUGCUCACGAAUAGCAAUCAUGGGCCCUUUCUUCACCGUGGAACCACCUUGGUACAUUCUCCUAAGCAUAUUUCUUUUUCUGAAAAUUUCUGAAAUUUUUUGUAACUUCAAAAUAAAAGUGCAUAAAACCUAACAAGAUUGAUAGCAACUACUCCUACAAGUGCCUAGAGCCUAUAUAAUGCAUUAGAAUUACUUGGAACCUCAUAAAUUUAACAUGCUAGCUCAAGAACAGGGUCACCAAGACAACAAGGAUUUGCAAUGAAUAAAGCACUAGAACAAAAACUAAUUGGACCAAUGGACGAGUCACAUACCAAGCAACAAUCUCCCAAAACAGUUUUAUGAAUGGAGCUUUGAGCUAGGAGAUCGAAAAUCGCAGAAAAACGAGCUAGAACUCGUGUUUGAACUGGAUGGGGAUUUUUUUGGGUAGGAGAUGGAGUGUGUGGGUGCUGGCAUAAGUGGAGGGGAGCUGCUAGGGGCCUACGAGACAAGGGGCGUGCCCUACAGGGGGGGCGCGCCCUCCUCUCUCGUGGCCUGGUGCUUGCCCCUUCUGCAAUAAUUUCAGUGCCUAAAAUCCUCAGAUAUUCCAUAAAAAAUCAUACUAAAUUUGCAAGGCAUUUGGAGCACUUUUAUUUUUGGACUAUUUUUUAUUGCACGGAUAAAUCAGAAAACAGACGGAUAAUACUAUUUUUGCUUUAUUUAAUCUAAAUAACAGAAACUAAAAAGAAAGUACAGAAGGUUGUGCCUUCUAGUUUCAUCCAUGUCAUGAUCAUCAAAAUGAAUCCACUAACAAGGUUGAUCAAGUCUUGUUAACAAACUCAGUCUGAAUAACAUGGAACCGGAGAAAUUUUGAAGUGACACUAAGUUACCUCAAUGGGGAUAUGAAAAUUCCCAACAAUAAGAGUAUCAUACUUUUUCUUGACAGUAGGGAGAGGAAAUUCAAAACCUCCAAUAAUAAUUGAUGGAAUUUUCUCAAUAGUAAUUAUGCUAUGAACUUGGAUUUGCUUCCUCGGAAAAUGUACCAUAUGCUCAUUUCCAUUAACAUGAAAGGUGACAUUGCCUUUGUUGCAAUCAAUAACAGCUCCUACAGUAUUUAAAAAGGGUCUACCAAGAAUAAUAUACAUACUAUCGUCCCGGGAAUAUCAAGAAUAACGAAGUCUGUUAAGAUAGUAACAUUCACAACAACAACAGGCACGUCCUCACAAAUGCCGACAGGUAUAGCAGUUGAUUUGUCAGCCAUUUGCAAAGAUAUGUCAGUGGGUGUCAACUUACUUAAUUCAAGUCUGUGGUACAAGGAAAGAGGCAUAACACUGACACCGGCUCCUAAAUCACAUAAAGCAGUUUUAACAUAUUUUCUUUUAAUAGAGCAAGGUAUAGUGGGUACUCCGGGAUCACCAAGUUUCUUGGGUAUUCCACCCUUAAAGGUAUAGUUGGCAGGCAUGGUGGAAAUCUCAGUUUCAGGUAUCUUCCUCUUAUUAGUGAUGAUACCUUUCAUAUAUUUAGCAUAAGGGUUUGUUUUAAGCAUAUCAGUUAAGUGCAUGCGUAAGCAAAUAGGUCUAAUCAUUUAUGCAAAACGCUCAAAGUCCUCAUCAUCCUUUGACUUGGAUGGUUUAGGAGGAAAGGGCAUGGGUUUCUGAACCCAUGGUUCUCUUUCUCUACCAUGCUUCCUAGCAACAAAAUCUCUCUUAUCAUAAUGUUGGUUUCUUGAUUGUGGGUUAUCAAGACCAAUAGGAGGUUCAAUUUCUAUAUCAUUGGUAUUACUAGGUUGAGCAUCUACAUGAACAUCAUUAUUAGCAUUAUCAUCAGGUUCAUGUUCAUCUCCGGAUUGUGUUUCAGCAUUAGAUAUAGAUGUAUUAUUAGGAUUCUCAGGUAUUUCUACAUUAGGUUCACUAGAAGUUUGCAAAGUCCUAUCAUUCUUCUUUUUGUUUUUCUUAGAAGAACUAGGAACAUCUAGAUUAUUAUUUUGAGAAUCUUGUUCAAUUCUUUUAGGGUGGCCUUCAGGAUACAAAGGUUCCUGAGUCAUUCUACCAGUUCUAGUAGCCGCUCUAACAGCAAAGUCAUUUUUAUUAUUUAAUUCACCAAGCAAUUCAUUCAGAGCCUUAAGUACUUGUUCAGCUUGAGUAGCAAUCAUGGAAGCAUGUUUGCUAGUGAGUUUAAGUUCACUUUUAACUCUAGCUACAUAAUCAUUCAAGCGUACUAUAGUAUAAGCAUUAUUCUUCAAUUGUCUACCAACAUAAUCAUUGAAAUUUGCUUGUCUAUUCAUGAAAUCAUCAAAUUCAUCUAAGCAAGGGCUAUGAAAUUUAGUAGAUGGGAUUUCAUCUUUAUCAUAUCUAUAGAGAGAAUUUACCUUUACUACCUGUGUCGGGUUAUCAAGACAAUGUGUUUCUUCAACAGGCGGUAUAUUAAGACCAUGUAUUUCUUAAAUAGGAGGUAAAUUCUUAUCAUCUUCAGGUUUAAUAUGUUUUUCUUUCAUUUAUUUCUUUGCCUCUUGCAUAUCUUCAGGACUGAGAAAUAGAACACCUCUCUUCUUCGGAGUGGGUUUAGGAAUAGGCUCAGGAGUUGGCUCAAUUGGUUCAGGAAUUUCCUCAGGAAUUGGCUCAGGAAGAGUCUUAUUUUCAUUAGUCAACAUAUUAUUCAAUAGUAACUCAGCUUCGUCGACUGUUCUUUCCCUGAAAACACAACUAGCACAACUAUCCAAGUAGUCCUUGGAAGCAUCGGUUAGUCCAUUAUAGAAGAUAUCAAGUAUUUCAUUUUUCUUAAGUGGAUGAUCAGGCAAAGCACUAAGUAAUCGGAGAAGCCUCCCCCAAGCUUGUGGGAGACUCUCUUCUUUGAUUUGCACAAAGUUAUAUAUUUCCCGCAAGGCAGCUUGUUUCUUAUGAGCAGGGAAAUAUUUAGCAGAGAUGUAAUAAAUCAUAUCCUGGGGACUACGCACACAUCCAGGAGCAAGAGAAUUAUACCAAGUCUUAGCAUCACCCUUUAAUGAGAACGGAAAUAUCUUAAGGAUAUAAAAGUAGCGAGACUUCUCAUCAUGAGUAAACAGGGUAGCUAUAUCACUCAACUUGGUAAGAUGUGCCACAACAGUUUCAGAUUCAAGGCCAUAAAAAGGAUCGGAUUCUACCAAAGUAAUAAUUUCAGGAUCAACAGAGAAUUCAUAAUCCUUAUCAGUAACACAGAUAGGUGAAGUAGCAAAAGCAGGGUCAGGUUUCAUUCUAGCAUUAAGAGAUUGUUGCUUCCAUUUAGCUAAUAGUUUCUUAAGAUCAUAUCUAUCUUUGCAAGCAAAGAUAGCUUCGGUAGCUUCUUUAUUCAUAACAUAACCCUCAGGAACAACAGACAAUACAUAAUCAUUUGGAGAAUUUUCAUCAUCACUAUCAUCAAUAAUAGCAUCUUCAAUAAUUUCAUGCUCUCUAUCCCUAGCAAGUUGUUCAUCAAGAAAUUCACCUAAUGGCACAGUAGUAUCACGCACAGAAGUAGUUUCAUCAUAAGUAUCAUGCAAAGCAGAAGUGGCAUCAUCGAUAACACGCGACAUAUCAGAAUUCAUAGCAGUAACAGGUUUAGGUGUCGCAAGCUUAUUAAUAACAGAAGGAGAAUCUAGUGCAGAGCUAGAUGGCAAUUCCUUACCUCCCCUCAUAGUUGAGGCAUAGAUCUUAGUUUUAGCGUCUUUCAAGUUGUUCAUAGUGAUCAACAGAUACAAAUCCCAAGUGACUCAGAGAAUAGAGCUAUGCUCGCUGGCAACGGCGCCAGAAAAUAGUCUUGAUAACCCACAAGUGUGGGGGAUCGCAACAGCUUUCGAGGGUAAAGUAUUCAACACAAAUUUAUUGAUUCGACACAAGGGGAGCCAAAGAACAUUCUUGAGUAUUAGCAGUUGAGUUGUCAAUUCAACCACACCUGGGUAAAUUAGUAUCUGCAGCAAGGUAUUUAGUAGCAAAGUAGUAUGAUAGUAAUGGUAACGGUGGCAAAAGGUAAAGAUAGUAAUAGCAAUAUUUUUGGUGUUUUGUAGUGAUUGUAACAAUAGCAACGGAAAAGUAAAUAAGUGAAGCACAAUAUAUGAAAAGCUCGUAGGCAAUGGAUCACUGAUGGAUAAUUAUGCCGGAUGCGAUUCCUCAUGUAAUAGCUAUAACAUAGUGUGACACAGAACUAGCUCCAGUUCAUCAAUGUAAUGUAGGCAUGUAUUCCGUAAAUAGUCAUAUGUGCUUAUGGAAAAGAACUUGCAUGACAUCUUUUGUCCUACCCUCCCGUGGUAGUGGGGUCCUAGUGGAAACUAAGGGAUAUUAAGGCCUCCUUUUAAUAGAGAACCGGACCAAAGCAUUAACACAUGGUGAAUACAUGAACUCCUCAAACUACGGUCAUCACCAAGAAGUAUCCCGACUAUCAUCACUUCGGGGUUGUCGGAUCAUAACACAUAAUAGGUGACUAUAGACUUGCAAGUUAGGAUCAAGAACACACAUAUAUUCAUGAAAACAUAAUAGGUUCAGAUCUGAAAUCAUGGCACUCGGGUCCUACUGACAAGCAUUAAGCAUGGCAAAGUCCUAGCAACAUCAAUCUCAGAACAUAGUGGAUACUAGGGAUCAAACCCUAACAAAACUAACUUGAUUACAUGGUAAAUCUCAUCCAACCCAUCACCAUCCAGCAAGCCUACGAUGGAAUUACUGACGCACGGCGGUGAGCAUCAUGAAAUUGGUGAUGGAGGAUGGUUGAUGAUGACGACGUCGAUGAAUCCCCCUCUCUGGAUCCCCGAACGGACUUCAGAUCAGCCCUCCUGAGAGAGAUUAGGGCUUGGCGGCGGCUCCGUAUCGUAAAACGUGAUGAAACUUUCUCUAUGAUAUUUUUCUCCGCGAAACGGAAAAUUUAGAGUUGGAGUUGAGGUCGGCGGAGGUCCAGGGGGCCCACGAGAUAGGGGGCGUGCCCUACAGGGGGGCGCGCCCCCUGUCUCGUCGAUAGGCCCUGGGCCCCCUGGUGUAUUCUUUCGCCCAGAAAUUCUUAUUAAUUCCAAAAAGUGCCUCCGUGGAUUUGCAGGUCAUUCCGAGAACUUUUCUUCUCUACACAUAAAACAACAUCAUGGCAGCUCUGCUGAAAACAGCGUCAGUCCGGGUUAGUUUCAUUCAUAUCAUGCAAGUUAGAGUCCAAAACAAGGGCAAAAGGGUUUGGAAAAGUAGAUACGUUGGAGACGUAUCAGUCGGUUACCUUACCGUUGCUGCCUCCCCGGCCUCACCGACCUCGUCAUCGAGUUCAGCAUGAGUCACCAUAGCUUUCCCCUUUGUUUCCCCCUCUGACUAUGACCCGUAGCUGUGUCUUGCCAUCGUUGCCGACGCCAUGGUCACUACCACCUCGCCAUGGCCAGUCCUCUCAGUCCAGCCCGUGCUUUGACGCCACUGGUUCGGUCCCUGAAAAAAGGACCACGGACUCUGGAUCCGGUGCCCCCAGCCUCGUCGGCCUUCCGCGCGCCUCUCUGACCCUCCUCCGCCUGGAUCCAUCCGUUGGCAGGUGCCUGUCGCCAUUCUCCGAGGUGGGAGGCAGGAGGCGGCCACCAGCAUGCGUUGAGGCCGGGCGGGGCUUGGCGGGGUUGGGUGUGGCAGGAGGUGGUGGGCGGUGAGGCGGGGUAGGGCGGUGAGGUGGGGUAGGGCGGUGAGGUGGUCGGCGGAGCACGGUGAGGCGGGGCAGGGCAGAAGGCUGGCGGAGUGCGACGAUGUAGAGGCUGGACUAGGUUAUUUCUUCUAGCGAGAGCAUCUCGAUAAGACAUAAGUUUUUUUUUAAAAAGAACCAUUAAAGAGGGAUUGCGGGUAUUAUUAGCCAAAAGUAUAGGUUUUUUUAGCAAAAGCGUUGUGACGGUGAGCGGGCGGGCAGAAGCAAUAAUCGGUUUAUUAUUAGGGAAAGAUAUCCCCUUCGCUCAUUAGGAUGGGAUGGGGGAAGGGGCACAGAGACGUGCGCAGGUCUAUCGCAAGUCCAGUUUUUUUCUUAGUUUUUUUCCCCAAAGCUAUAUCUGGUCCGUUAAUUACAUAUUAAGGACAGAGAUCCACCGAAUUAAUGGCCAGUUGUUUCUCAUUUUUACGGGAUUUUCUAACCUAAUUCCGUGUUUUGUGGUAACCCCAUAAAGCACUUUUUAUAUAUGAAUAGAUUUAUGCAAAAGAUGCACAGAUGUGGUAAUACUAAAAAAUCUUACCAUGACAUCUCCACGGAUGUUAGCAUAGUUCAACACGUGCACUAGUGGCACAUAUUGACCAUAAUAUGGAGGAGUUUGAUAAUAGAUAUUGUAAUUCUCAAGAUCAGUACAAAAUGGGACCAGAUGAUUUUUCUCCUGAUAAGUUAACUCAGAGCCAUCGGUGUAGUAGGUUCUGUCUACCAUCUUCCGCACAUUUUUUGAAGAAUGAAAAUAAGCUGUCAAUGGAAAUAAGCUGUCAACUGUUUUGAAAUAAACAAUAUAAAUUACUUAAUAACUAUGUUUGAGAAACUCACAUAGCGGUAGAAUUGGAAGUGUAUCAACAAGGACCCAAAUGUCCAAAUUGUCUUCCUCGAUGUCAGGAUCACCAAGAUCCAUGGUGACAAGCAUACCAUCAUGAAAAUCAUACAUCUUGCAAAGUGAUUCCCAAUCCGGGCAACCAAAAUGGGAUACGCUCUCAGAAUUGCAUAGAUUUACCUAAAAAUUCAUACCAUGAUGGGUCCUUAGGUGAACUUUCUUUGUUUCCAUACUCUCAUGAUCUUCAAAAUCCAUCCUCUCCAAGACAUAUCAUCUUGCAUGGAAUGGGAUAAGCUAGUCGAAUUGUAAAAGACAAAAGUUACAUGUUGAAGUAGUAGAAGUCGAGCUUAAUUACGAAAAAAAUCACUUUGCGUCGUAGUGUACCGUUUCAACAUCGAAGGCAUCCUGGAGCUUAAUGCUGAAGGGACGACCUUCUACCAAGUGAGGCCUAUCGCAGAAAUCCUGGUUGUCGCCGCACUAGGAGCACUCCGUGAGACUUUCGUUCGACGACAUUUCCUAUGUUCAUAAUUCAAAGAUUAAACUUCUAAAAUUCAAUAUAUGUACUACAAAAACUAAAUUAGAACAUUAUUAUUCAGCACGGGUUGACUAUCGGUCCGUCGAGUCUUUUUUUUUAAAACUCUCAGCUAAUGUAGUGUAUAUAUUCGACCGUUGCUGAUGGUCGCUCCUCCCUUCGUCCCCGUGUGCAUUAAACCAAAAUGUCGAGCACACGAGAACGAAGGAGAAGCAACCCCCACGACAACAGUCGGCAUUCUUCUUGUCUCAUAUAUGGCUGACACACUCCCUCACUGAUUUUUUGACCGUCGGUGAUGGUCGUUACUCCUCUUUCCCCUGGUGCCUCACAAAGGUCUAGCACAAGGAGAAGAAGGAGAAAUGACCGCCACGACAAUAGUCGGGUUUCUUCCUCUCUCAUAUAUGGUGCAAACUUUCUCCUUCAAUCAUUUUUUGAUUGUCAUGUAUGGAGCCUUGAUAGACUUAAAGUCAACCUGAAAUGGCAUUUAAUUAUCUUUCUAGAAAAUCCAAGCCACUCAAUAUUCCUACAUAUUCUAGCACAAGUCAUGCCAAAAUUCAUGGAAAAAUCUGGCAUGACCUAUGCUAAAAAAGGACAUAUCGAGCGCCUGAAAUUUGCCGGUACAGAAAUUAAUCAACACUGCAGCAAAACAUAGGCCACUCGGAGGUGUUACCUGCAAACAUGGCCACUUGGGCAAGAACAUAUCCUAUUUGCAUUCAAACUUGAUGGUCAUUGCAUUCAAACUUGAUGAUCAUUGCAUUUCAAUGGUUAAAAAUAUGAACAAAAACAUUUCAAAAUAUCUUAUAGGACUCAUAUUGACAUGAAGAUUUGGCUAGUCCCACCUUGAGGUCGGAGGGGGGCUGUGAUGGGGAUGACGACGGCGACUAUAUGGAGAUUUGGCUGCAAGAACAAAAUACUAUUCAAAAUAGUGCUCUCCAAUUUGAGCAUUCAAAAUAGGAGUAGUUCUCCAAUUUGCUACUGUUUUUCUAAACUUUGCUACUGUUUCUUAAAUUUUUUUGCUACUGUUUUUAUACCUAAUUUUUUGCUAACUUGCUACAAAAAUUUGUUAACUUGCUAAAAAAAGCAAAAAAACAAAAAUUUGCUAAUCAGCUACUACCAUAAUUUGCAAACAAAAGUUGAUAACUUUGCUAAAUUUGCUAACUUUGCUUUUUUUUUGCUAAAUUUGCUAACUUGCCCUAAAAUUUUAUACCUAAUUUGCUAACUUACUUACUUUGCUAACUUGCCCUAAGGUGAUAAAUUUGCUAAUUUAAUACCUAAUUUUUUGCUAACUUGCUACAAAAACUUGCUUUGCUAAAAAAACAAAAAAAAAUUGCUAAUCAGCUACUGCCUUAAUUUGCUAAGAAAAGUUGAUAACUUUGCUAACUUGCUACUGCCCUAAUUUUUUUGCUAAAUUUGCUACUGCGCUAAUUAUUUUUACAGGGAGACAGAGGAGGGCAGGGGAGAGGAGAGGCUUACGGCGAGGAAGCUCGGGCUCGGGCGGUGUCUAUCAAGGGCGAUGGAUGGCGGCGACGGCGAGGUCGAGGGCACGCUGGCAUGGGAGAGGCGGGGGCGGUGUGCGACGAGGUUGAGGGCAUGGGGGCAGGGGAGAGGCGGGCGACGGCGGGCGACGAGGUCGACAACGACCAGGUGAGACGGCCGGCGGUCGAGGGCGGGUAGGGCGACGUAAGGGCCAACAAAGCGGGGGAAGAAGGUGGGGAGAGUGGGGUUGGCACAUGGCAAAAUUUGAGCGCCUCGUGGUGGUUAACUCAAAAUAGUAGUAGCGCUGGGUCAGGAUCCAUCGCUACUACUAAACAGCUAGUAGUAGCGCUUGUUUCUGUACAACACUACAACUCCAGCUACCGUCGGUGGCCUCGUCUGGUCCCACAUAGUAGUAGCGUGUUUUUGAUUCACAAUGCUACUACUACAGAGUUACUAGUAGCGCUUUCCAGGAAAAGCGCUACUGGUAAAUAUCAGCAGCUGUUACUAUUUUGCAGCGCUACUACUAUGCUACUAUGUAUAAGCAUUUUCCUAGUAGUGCACCCUUGGGUGGAGGAGGAUCCCCUAGGAUUUCAACAGGAAAGUUGUGUUUCAAAAUAGGUCCUUUCUUAAAGAAUACUUCAUCUAUUUCCCUUCUUUCAUUCAUAAACAUAUCAUUUUCAUGGUAUAAGAAAUAUUGUUCUAGAGGAUCAUUAGGAGGCAUGGCAAUAGAAGCAAGACCAAUAAUUUCAUCUUUAUUACACAAUUUUUUAUCAUGGGGUUGUCUAUGAAAUUUAGAAAAAUUAAAGUCAUGAGACAUAUCUCCUAAACCAAGAGUAACAAUAUCGGGUCUAGCAAUUCUAGAAGCUUCAUCAUAGAAGUAAAUAACAUGCCCAUCAAUAUUAUCGACCAAGAGAUCUUUGACCAUACCAAUACGAGGUUCAACUUUAAUUUGUUUACGAGGUGUAGGUGUUCUAGCAUUAAUCUUAUGAACCAUAGUUGAAGCUUUAGCAUGAUCCUUUAUUCUAACAGGGAAACACUGGUACACGUUGGUGCUAUACAAACGUUUUUUAACCUCUUUCCGCGAUGGCAUUUGGAACCGUCGCCAAGUAAGUGUGGGCGAUAGAGGGGUCCUUCCCACACGACCCAGAAACAGUCGGGGAUAGGCCCUCCUGGCACUCAAGAUGGGGCAAAAUGAGCUCGUGUGCGAUCAGGUGAGCCAUUGCAACCUAAUUGUUUCCAUUCGUAUGUACAUCUCACACGGUCAAUCCCAGAAAAACAUUUCCAUUCGUAUGUAUAUCACAUACAGUCAAUCCAAGGUGAACGUUUCCGUUCUCACGUACAUCCCACACAGUGAAUCCAGGGAAAACAUUUUCGUUCGUAUGUACUUCCCACACAGUCAAUCCAGGGAAAACGUUUACGUUCGUAUGUACAUCCCACACAGUGAAUCCAGGGAAAACGUUUCCGUUCGUAUGCACAUCCCACACAGGUUUAUGUAUAGGCUCGUGUGUGAUACGUGUAACUAUCACAAUGCUCUGCCUUGGUUAAUAGUUUGCUUUUAUCAACUACAUCACAAACGAUUUGAUGAAGAAAACUGUGUGGCAUUGGACUAUCCAUCACAAGCACUUUUAGUUCUAGAACCGUUUGCAAAGUUCCAUGACCCAUUUAGUAGGUUUAUUAGUUUACAAUUAAUAAUUUCAGUAUUACGCAAAUUCACAUUUCAUAUCGAACAACUGUUUGCCAAUUUCAUAUCAGGCACAUAGAUGUAUUUUAACAUCACAGUACGUUAGCUACCGGAAAACAUCAGAGUACAUCAUAUGGAUAGUUCAACUUCAUAAGAACAAUAUUAGAAGAAUAUAUUCAUUUCCCUAAUCGAGAUAAUCUAGGCUCGCCUUAUCAACCUCUGCUUUCAGUUCAGUAAGAACCUGUUUUGCACUGGCCAACUUGGAAAGUGCCUCCUCCUUCGCCAACACCAUCUUAGCAAAGUCUGAUUUAAAAAAUCUCAGCUCAUUCUCAACCUUCCUCUUUUUAUGCGCAUCUUCAAAUAUUCUUCAGCGUUGACAACACUUUCUCUAAGCCUACCUCUGUUCUCUUCCUGAUACAUGAUCAAAGCUUUGCUAGGCACAUCUUCAAAGACUGUGGCCACUCUUGAUCAACCCACUCCCAGUAAGAACACUUCCAUUCAUCCUAUAAUAUUUAAAACUAGAUUAGUAAAAAUUAUUGGGAAAAUGGGUUUAUAGCAACAGAGAAAAUCACCAAUACUUAUUUUGAAAAACUAAAGAAAAAAUUUAGUUAUGACAUAUCUUCUCUCAAAAAGAUCAAUGUGCAAACGAAUUAAUUGCUACUGAGAUAACAACCAAAUUCUGAAACAUUAGAAGCUAUAAUUAACUAUAACAACGCUACAAGUUCUUACUCAUGUACUAUAAAUAACAAAUUGAACAUUUUAAGAGGAAGGUAAAUAUAACUCCAACAACAUAGCAACAAUGUCUGGAUGACAGCAAAUUGAUACUAACAGGUGGCUACAUGCACAAAUUUAGUAACAUAGAACUAAUAGCACUAAGGCGUCCACUAUGUAUGCCAAAAUCGGUGUAAAGACAGCUGUUGCUACAUCUCACACUGGUGCCCUGCACUGGUGAGGCGAUGCAGCGGAAAAAAAUCUGGUUCCCGAACUCCGAAGCACCUAGUUGCUCCGACGCCUAGUUCCUUCGUGCCAUAAAGAUUUUGUAUUUUACUGCUUGGCUACUCGGAUGUGUGGACAAGUUGGCUCUACAAACUGCUGAAGCAGUGCCAAAUAAUUUUCUAGUGGCACCGCCGAUGAGAUGGCAACAUUUUUAUAUACUAGGUACAAAUUGUGACACUGUCUUAGGAUGUGUUUGGUUGAAGGUGUGGUAUGAAUGGGUUGGGACCGUGACAAUGUAUGAAUCACAUCUAACAAAUGAUUUGUAACAACGAAAGAGGGUCUAACCUUCUCUGCACAUGCCAGAAACUUCCUCCCACUGUCCACAGAUUGAAACGCAACUAGCUUCACACAUGGAGAUUGAUGGUGACAACGAGCAGACAGAUCUUCAGCCACCCUACUCCAUUCGUUGCAAGUGAUGCCCCUUAUGAUAGCAACCUUUAUUAUGCAGCCCGUCUCUUUUAUUACGUUGCCAUCAAGUUUGUACAAUGCUUAUUUUCCCUUACAAUAAAAGAUCAAACAUAUUUAGGAGCAAUUUUUAUUGCUUUAUGCACCGAUGACAACUUACUUAAAGGAUCUUAUUCAAUCCAUAGGUAGGUAUGACGGACACUCGUGGCAAGAAACUGGGUUUAAGGGUUUUUGGAUGCACAAGUAGCAUCCCUACUUAAUAUGAAUUUUUGGUUAGCAAAAGAUCCUAAGCAAAUACUACAUGUUAGAGGAUCCAUAACAAUAUAACUUGUAUGCAAAUAUACGCAACAAAUAACUCAUUAUGUUGUCUUCCUUGUCCAACUUCAACAAAUUUGCUCAAGUUUGAAAAUAAUUAACGGGUAUUCACAAUCAUAGAAGAUGUCCAAUAUAAUAUAUUUGCACUUGAAAGUUCUCUUCCUUAUACUAAACAUUCAUGAAUUGCUUGUAUGACCAAUAUUGUGAUUGCCAAGCUUCAAUAGAUUUCACUUUCUAAACCCAAUGUGAAGCUACUACUAGGCAUGAUAGAAGCUCAUAUAAUUUCAACUUUAUGAUAAUGAAUUCAUUCAACAAUUUACUCUUAGGAUACAAGUGAAGCACAAGAGUAAAUGAUUAACUACUCCAAAAAGAUAUAUGUGAAGAUCAAACAACUAGUUAUGUAAGUGGGUAGCCAUUUGAGCAGACUCUCUCACUUAAAGACUUUCAUGUCUCACUAUCUUAUUAAAACAGCAAGCAAAACAUAAUAAAUUGACAUUCCAAGAAUAGCAGACAUCAUAUGAAGAAGCAAAAAACAUAGGCUAAACUGAGAAUAACCGAUUGCUGAUGAAGAAAGGUGGGAUGCCUACCGGGGCAUCCCCAAGCUUAGAUGCUUGAGACUUCUUGGAAUAUUAACUUGGGUUGCCUUGGGAAUCCCCAAUCUUGAUAUUUUGUGUCACCUUGAUUCAUUUUAUAUCCCAGUUUGCCUAAAUCUUAAAAACCUCAUCCACACAAAACUCAACAAGAACUCGUGAGAUAAGUUAGUCUAAAUCAAUGCAAUAACCAUAUCAUCCUCUACGGUAGAAAAUUACGAAAAUUAUUAUUUAACAUUGCAUACUAAAUGCCUCUGUAUAUUUAAUACUCCUAUCCUCAAAUAGGACCAUUAAACAAGCAAACAUAUGCAAAAAAUGCAAACAUAAUAGCAAUCUGUCAAAACAGGACAGUCUAUAAAGAAUGCAAGAAGAUUCAUACUUCUCUAACCCACAAAUUCUGAAAAACUACCGCACUUUAGAAAAUUUAUCAUAGCUUAUUUUCAAAAAAAAUUAACAUUUUAUCACACUCAGACAGUUUUCUCAAGAAUUCACGCACUAGCAUGCAACUUUCCGUUUUCAAACAGCCACAUAUAGACUUGCAAAAUAAGCAUCGCAAAGGCUAUACUUGACAUUUUUAUUGAAAUAAAAGAUGCGAAACAGUAUCUAAAUAACAGCAAGCAAAUCCUAACAGAAUAAAAUGACGCCCCAAGCAAAACACAUAUCAUGUGACGAAUGAAAAUAUAGCUCCAAGUGAGGUUACCGAUAAUGUUGGAGACGAAAGACAGGAUGCCUUCCGGGGCAUACGCAAGCUUAGUUGCUUGGAUCUUCCUUGAACAUUACCUUGGUGGUGCCUUGGGCAUCCCAUAUAGCUCCAAGUGAGGUUACCGAUAAUGUUGGAGACGAAAGAGGGGAUGCCUUCUGGGGCAUCCCCAAGCUUAGUUGCUUGGAUCUUCCUUGAAUAUUACAUUGGUGGUGCCUUGGGCAUCCCCAAGCUUAGGGUCUUGUGAUCGACAUCGACAUCUCACACAAAACGUGAAAACUUCAAUCACACGAAACUUAACAGAACUUCAUGAGAUGCGUUAGUAUGAUAAAGAGAAAAUCAUUCAAUUUGGUACUGUCAAGACAAGAUUUAUAAUUGUUCUCACAUAAUUCCUACAGUAUCCUAUCAUUUCUACAAUUUAUAUUAACAAAUAUAAGCCAUAGAAACUAGAAAACAAGCAAACUUUGCAUUGAAAAUAGAAUCUGUCAAAAUAGAAUAGUCUGUAGUAAUCUGAACAACGACCAUACUUCUGCUACUUCAAAAUUCUGAAAAAUUAGGACAACGUAGGGAAUUUAUAUUUCAAUCAUCUCUAAAAUAUUCAAAUCAAAAGCAUGUUCCAGUGAAUUUUAAAAAUUCUUCGACUAAGCACAAAAGUUUCUAUUUUUGCACUGAAUCAUGUCAACUAUCGUCCACACUAUCCCAAAGGCUUUACUUGGCACUUUAUUGAAACAAAAGCUAUAAAACAUGAUUACUACAGUAGCCUAAUCAUGUGAACACGCAAAAACAUUAUGGAUAAAUGUUGGGUUGUCUCCCAACAAGCGCUUUUUAAUGUCUUUUUAGCUAGGCAUGAUGAUUUCAAUGAUGCUCACGUAGAAGAUAAGAAUUGAAACAUAAUGGGAGCAUCACGAAACACAUGGCAAGCACAUUUAAGCCUAUCCCACUUCCUAUUCAUGGGGAUUUCAUGAGCAAACAAUCUAUGGGAGCAAGAAUCAACUAGCAUAGGUAGGCAAAAGAAGCAAAACUUAAAGAUUUUCAACACAUAGAGAGAAAACUUGAUAUUAUUGCAAUAUGUAAAAGCAUGUGUUCCCCUCUCAUAAUAAUUUUUAGUAGCAUUAUGAAUGAAUUAAGCAAUAUAGCUAUCGCAUAAAACAUUCUUUUCAUGAUCCACAAGCAUAGAAAUUUUAUUACUCUCCACAUAAGCAAAUUUAUUCUAAUGAAUAUUAGUGGGAGCAAACACAACAAAAGAGCUAUCAUGUGAUACUUGAUUGGCGUAAUCAUAUUGAGCAUUGAAAUCAUAAUGAUAAGUUUCAUGGAUAUCAUUACUCUUGAUAGCAUACAUGUCAUCACCAUAAUCAUCAUAGAUAGGAAUUUUGUUUUCAUAAUCAAUUGAAACCUCUUCCAAAAUAGUCAAUUCGUCACUCAAUAAAGUCAUGACUGUCGGUGUCAAAACUGGCGGAUCUCGGGUAGGGGGGUCCCUAAAUAUGCGUCUAAGGCUAAUGGUAACAGGAGGCGGGGGACUCAAUGUUUACCCAAGUUCGGGCCCUCUCUAUGGAGGUAAUACCCUACUUCCUGCUUGAUUGAUCUUGAUGAAUAUGAGUAUUACAAGAGUUGAUCUACCGCGAGAUCGUAAUGGCUAAACCCUAGAAGCCUAGCCUAUGAGAUUAUGAUCGUCAUCUCUACGGACUAAACCCUCCGUCUUAUAUAGACACUAGAGGGGGCUAGGGUUACACAAAGUUGGUUACAGAGAAAAGAAAUCUACAUAUCUAAAUCGCCAAGCUUGCCUUCCAUGCAAAGGAGAGUCCCACUCAGACAAGGGAACAAGUCUUCUAUCUUGUAUCGUCAUAGCCCAAUAGUCCGACCCAUGUAUAUAGUCUGGCUGUCCGAGGGCCCCUUAAUCUGGGACUCCCUCAGUAGCCCGUGAACCAGGCUUCAAUGACGAUGAGUCCAGCGCGCGGAUUGUCUUCAACAUUGCAAGGCGGGUUCCUUCUCCGAAUACUUCAAAGUAGAUUUAGAACACAAGAAUCAUGUCCGGGUCUGCAAAAAAAGUUCCACAAACAACCAUAGAGACUAUAAUAUUUCACAAGUCUGAUCCGCUGACAAUUUUUGUAGCAUGACAUUAUGUCAUCACCCUGCCAUUAUUUUGAAUCGUUUUCUAGCCUGCCACUCCAUGUUUCAAGAGGCGGUUUUAUUUGCCACGUCUGGUCAAAGCAGAGAUCGUGUCCCCUUAUAGCGGGAUUUUCAUCAACACGGGCAUGGGUAACCCAACCGUUCUAUUGGCAUGAUUCCUUGGGAACCAUGUUUUAAGGCCGCAGAGGGGACGUUUGAUAUUUGUCGCCUUUAUAAAGGGGCUAAGACCUAUCCUUUUCCUUCCACGCUAAUCCUUUCCUCCACCUCCCACCUCAAGUUCCAACACCCAAUGGUCAAUCCAGCCGCUUAGAGCUUCUAGCCAUGUCCGGACCCAGCCUUGAAGGCCGGUGGAUGGCCUCUUCUGCCACAGAGGAGGAUAUUUCGAAGCUCAGGGAGGCAAGAUACUUGACUGCGGAAAUCCUCGACAGGCUUCCUGCUCAAGGGCAGGUUAUUCCUUCUCCCAGAUCCAAUGGGAGGGUCGUGUUUAUCUCUCACUUGCUCCGAGGGAUUGGAUUUUCUCUUCAUCCCUUUGUUAGAGGGCUCAUGUUUUAUUAUGGGCUAGAUUUUCACGAUCUAGCUCCAGACUCCUUCCUUCACAUCUCGGUGUUUAUCAUCACAUGCGAGGCCUUCCUCCGUAUUUCCCCACACUUCAGCUUAUGGCUUAAGACCUUUAACAUGAAGCCAAAGGUAAUCGAUGGGAAACAAGCGGAGUGCAGAGGUGCUUCAAUAAGCAAACUCACAAACUCUCCUUGGCUAAAGGGAUGCUUCGUAGAAUAUUCUGACCUAUGGUAACGGGAGUGUUUACAUUACCGAACCCCGUGAUAAAAAGUGGGCAGCUAUACCUGCGUUUCGAUCUGGCCCUCCUUUACAGCUUGCAUCGUGGAUUAACAAGGGGCUCGACUAGGGAUCUAUUGAUGAAGUGCAGACAUUGCAAAGUCACAUUCGGAACCUUAUUGAAAAGGACACCGGUCUUACCAAUGUAAUCCAAGUAAUGCUAGUCCGCCGGAUCCUACCAUGUCAGUGGCGUCCUCUCCGUAUGUGGGAGUUCAGUCCGGAAGGUCCACGGACCCUUCAGCACUUCUCCGGCACAAUGCUCAGAGGGAUAUGGAAAUUAUUCUUUGGCGCACGAAAACAGUGGCCGGAUACUACAGAAGACUUCGGUCUAGACUGCAAUCAUCCGGAUACCACAGUAAGAACUUAACUCCCGAACACAGUUUAGUCAAAUUUCUUAUAACAAUGUACUGAUAAAACACUACUUGGCCAGGGUUGGAUAAAGAAGGCAGUGAGAACGGCAAAUUGUUGAUGCGGUGCCACGUAUCGACGCUGUUAAGCGGUCAACAUGCAUAGAAGGUGCACGGAUGGCCCUUGCCCGUGUCAAGAUGUAUUGGGCAAAUAUGAAGGCCACCUAUAUUGCACCGCAGAGUCCACCCGAAGGUAAGGACCCUAUCAUGCCAGAACAUUACUUUGAAGAUUUCCUAGAAGGUGCCCGCUUGAUAGAGGGUCAGUGCUCGAAAGAUAUUAUGUUCGAGUAAGUGUACUGAAAUUGUAAAAACAAUGUUAUGAUAUGUUGUAAGGCUAUGUUUUUAUACUUUUUCCCGAAAAGUUUUGGUGCCUCCUGUGCGGCCGCUUUUUAUAUAUAUAACCUGAAAGUUUGCCAGUUGUCGGCUUCAGCCCCCUCGCGUAUAACGCGGGGGUGUUCGGAAAAGCACUUGAUCACACUUGACCCAAUGUCUUGGUCUGUUAAGGAGGUGUCAGUGCGGCGAACCAGGCAAUCGGACUAUAGGGCUUUAACACUUUCACUUAGCCAUAGGAGUUUGACGAUGGGUCUAUGAUAUAGCCCCUAGUAUGGUCGCGUUUAUCCGAAUAUGGCGCGUUUACAUAUGUGACCAGAAUAGCGGUCCUUCGUUUAAUACAGAGGGAAUCGAGUGGUUGACCAGCUCUCGCCGCAUCAUGAUAGUCAGUUUUCAGCUUUCUCUACUGAGGUGCUCAUCUGGAUGAGCCAGGACACAAUCACAGUAGUUCUCCAUUUACUACCCUAGCCGAUAUAGGGGAACGUAAGGUAGUAAGCACAGGAGCCGGGCAACCCAACUAUUGACCAAAGACAUGAUUCGGAGCUGAUGCAUAUAAGGCCAAACUCGCGAUGCCGUACACUCCCUACAUGUGUUCGGACUUUGCAAUAUAUUCCGGGCUGAAUAAAGCCCCUGGUAAUAGACCCAUGGUAUCAAGGCAUGUUUGGCAAUCCGAUGUGGGGAAAGAAUGCAGGUGGUGAGAGCAUAAAUCUCAAAACGUAAUACGAACCAAGCUGCUUCUAUAACAUCCACUUUAGUACGGCGAGCCAUAUAUUUACAAGUAAUGCCGAUAUCUUUCUUGGACAUUUUACAUGCCAUGAAUGUAUGAAACAAAAAGAGAUAAAAAAGGUUUACACAUGGUAUUAAUCUAAGAAAGAAACAUUGAUGCGGGGCCCGGCUGCACGUCUGUGCCGUUUUCUCUGUUGUGAAGUGUCCCUGAAGGGUAUGGUGUGACGGCCAUCUGUAAGAAAGGGGAAAAAUAGGUAAAAGAAUCGGGUGUGGCUGUAAGUAAAGCUGGUUUCUUUUAAUGAACCAUGAAAUAUAACUUGUGGAGUCCGAAUAGGGUCGACCCGAACUAUGGACUUUUUGUGUGCACUGUGCCCCCGGUGCCACCCAAGGAAUUUUGAUUGUAUAUUUAUGUAUAUGUGGCACGUGUGCUAUCUCCUUAUGGGGCGGUCGGUGGGGGCGUUGCUGCUAAUUGAGCUCAGGUUUAUCUGAGCUGCCACACUGAAGUGUGCACCGGAUACGUUUAGCUGUGUCCGCGGUCUUAACGACCGAUGAGCUGCUCGGCUUGAAUAGGCCGUUUUGUGUUUCGACUGCUAGAGCCGCCGUGUAUUCUUCUGUACGAAGAGAGCGCUCCAUAUUUCCACUGACCGUAAUGACGCCACGUGGUCCAGGCAUUUUGAGUUUUAGAUAAGCAUAAUGCGGGACUGCAUUAAAACGGGCAAAGGACGUUCUUCCGAGUAGUGCAUGAUAGCCACUUGAGAACGGAGCUAUGUUGAAGAUUAGUUCUUUGCUUCAAAAGUUGUUGGGAGAGCCGAAUACAACCUCCAAUGUUAGGGAGCCCGUGCAGCGGGCUUCUACACCCGGUAUAACUCCUUUAAAGGUAGUGCUGCUUGGCUUGAUUCUUGACGGGUCUAUCCCCAUCUUGCAGACAGUGUCCUUAUAUAUCAGAUUCAGACUGUUGCCGCCGUCCAUAAGGACUCGAGUGAGGUGGUAUCUGUUGAUUAUUGGGUCGAGCACCAAGGCAACCGAACCCCCAUGACAGAUACUAGUCAGAUGAUCCCUCCGAUCAAAGGUGAUCGGACAGGCCGACCAUGGGUUGAAUUUGGGGGCGACGGGCUCGACGACAUAGACAUCUCAGAGUGCGUGUUUGCGCUCCCUCUUUGGGAUAUGAGUGACAUAGAUCAUGUUCACUGCUUUGAUCUCUGGUGGAAAUUUCUUCUGGCCCCCCGUGUUUGGCUGGCGAGGUUCGUCCUUGUCUUCACUCUGAGGUCCCUUCCCCUUGUGUUCGGCAUUGAGUUUGUCGGCCUGCUUGAAGACCCAACAACUGCGGUUGGUAUGCUUCAUAGGCUUAGCUGAGCUGCCAUGGAUCUGGCAGGGCCUGUCUAGUUUUUUAUCCAGAUUGGAUGGACCGUCUUUAUUGCCUUUAAAUGGCUUCUUCCAUUGACCGGGCCUGAAGCCCCUGAAUUUGCCAUUUACCGUUGUAUUGUCUGGGCUGUCUUCAUUGUUCCGGCGUUUGUUUUUGUUGCGUCGUGGUUUUCUGUUGCCAUCCCUGACCUCAGAUGUGCCGGGAUCACUGGUGCUGCUACGGGCUAACCAGUUGUCCUCACCCGCGCAAAAGCGGGUCAUCUGUGUAGUUAGGGCUGCCAUUGUCCUUGGCUUUUCCUGGCCGAGGUGUCCGCCUAGCGAUUCGUCCCGGACACUUUGUUUGAAGGCCGCUAAGGCUUCGGCAUCCAGAGAAUCAACGAUUUGGUUCUUCUUAGUGAGAAACCGGUUCCAAAGCUUGUGGGCUGAUUCUCCAGGUUGUUGGAUUAUAUGACUUAGAUCGUCUGCAUCCGGGGGCCGGACAUAGGUCCCUUGGAAAUUGGCCCGAAAAGCGUCGUCAAGUUCAUCCCAGCUUCCAAUGGAGUUUUCAGGAAGGCUUUUCAGCCAGUGCCGAGCUGGUCCUUUCAGCUUGAGGGGUAAGUAUUUGAUGGCGAGGAGAUCAUCUCCGCGAGCCAUGUGGAAAUUCUUCUAUCGAAACCGCAGGGUCCGUUGUUCCAUCAUAUGCCUUGAUGUUUGUGGGUUUAAACCCUUCUGGAAAAUUGUGUUCCAGCACCUCAUCGGUGAAGCACAGGGGGUGUGCGGCACCCCUGUAUCUGGUUGUGUCAUGGAUUGGGUCCGACGGUUGUAAUGUUCAGUAUUGGUCCCGAGCUGGGAAAUGACCGGUAUAUUUCGUUUGAUAAUCAUGAUCCCAUGUAGGAGCACGGUGCUUGGAUCCAUAAUUGACCUGGUUUUGAGGUCUUCACGUAGAUCGUGUUUCUGGUCCUGGGCCGCAACCUUCCUUCCUCUACGUGGAGGGGGUACGGGCUUGUGUAUGGCAUUGCUAGCCGCUCUGUCUCGACCACGAGGUGGUCGAUCCGGCCUAUCAGCCGUAUUUUUUCCGGCCGUAUAGGCGCAAUAGCCUCAUCAGCAAAUUUGGGCAGCAGCUUAAGCUUAGGAUAGCUCUUUGUUUGGCGAUUACCACCAUGUUUUUUCUUAGCGUCUAGCGCUUCGUUCCAUCUAUCAUUGAGCGUAUCCUGUGCGGCUUUAAGCCGCUGCUUCUGCUUCUUCAGGCUCCUUGCGGUGGCGAUAAGCCUUUGAUGGAGGGGUUCUUGUUCUAAUGGUUCUGGGACGACGAAUUCGUCGUCACCCAGGCUGAUCUCCUCUUGAGAGACAGGUUGAUAAUUGCUAUCUUCGGCAUCGUUGUGGUCAGACAACAUCUACGGACUGUGUUCGCCGUCCUCUCGCACACCCUGCUCCAACGCUGGGUCUACGGGGUCCUCGGCUUGGUUCAAAUUAUCAUCGUCGUCCAUGAAAAUGUUGCUCUUCUUCCUUUUGCCGGAUCGAGGUCGGCGCUUCUGAUGCCGGCGCUUGGGAGGUUCAUCGAUAGGCAUGCCGUUAUCGCCGUCGGCCACCUUAUCCUUAUGUGUGUCCACCAUGAAUAUAUAAUAUGAGGAUGUAGCCGUCCACCGCCCUAAGGGUGGUGGUUUUUGUGCCUGCUCCUCUCCGACGUUGUCGUCCAUACCGUUAAUGUCCUCGGAGCCGUAAUCGAGCAUGCCGGUUAAAUCGUUGAUGGUGGCAAUGAAGUGGGUGGUGGGUGGGAAACGAAGUUCUUCGUUGUACGCUUCCCAUUCGAGCCGGACAUAGUUUGGCCGAGAGUCCCCCAACAAGGAGAGGGAUUUCAAUGAGUUAAACACAUCGCCUAGAGGUGAGUGCUGGAAGAUGUCCACAGAGCUGAACUCCAAGAUCGGCGCCCAAUCAAGUUCGAUUGACGCGGAUGCACGGGGUACGGAAUCCAUGGCCGGAGACGAGUCCAAGGUUUCGGUGACACAAGCCUAGCUCGAUGUCAGAUCUGUGUGCGGCUCGAGCGCCGCUGAGUCUGCGGCUUCCGCGGCGGGGUUAAGCUCCCUGUCUUCGGACGAUGCGAUCUGCUCCAGAUCUAGGGCCAGAGCGGUUAUAGGCGAUAUCUCCUGAGCGCGGCCAGAUGACAGAUUUUGGUCAUGUUCAUCGUGGUGGCAGGGAUAGCCGUCAUGGGCUCGAAUCCAUCGAAGAUCAAGUCUCCACGGAUAUCGGCCACAAAAUCCAGGUUUCCAAAUCUGACCUGAUGGCCAGGGGCGUAGCUAUCGAUCUGCUCUAGAUGGCCAAGCGAGUUGGCCCGCAGUGCGAAGCCGCCGAAUAUGAAGAUCUCUCUGGGGAGGAAGAUCUCCCCCUGGACUGCGUUGUUGUAGAUGAUUGAUGGAGCCAUCAAGCCUUCUAGUGACGACGCAGCAGAACUCUCAAUGAAAGCACUAAUGUCGGUGUCAAAACCGGCGGAUCUCGGGUAGGGGGUCCCGAACUAUGGGUCUAAGGCUAAUGGUAACAGGAGGCGGGGGACACAAUGUUUACCCAGGUUCGGGCCCUCACUAUGGAGGUAAUACCCUACUUUCUGCUUGAUUGAUCUUGAUGAAUAUGAGUAUUACAAGAGCUGAUCUACCACGAGAUCGUAAUGGCUAAACCCUAGAAGCCUAGCCUAUGAGAUUAUGAUCGCCAUCUCUACGGACUAAACCCUCCAGAUUAUAUAGACACCAAAGGGGGCUAGUGAGGGAGUCCUGGAUUAGGGGGUCCUCAGACAGCCGGACUAUAUACUUUGGCCGGACUGUUGGACUAUGAAGAUACAAGAUUGAAGACAUCGUCCUGGGUCCGCGUGUGAGUCUCCUUUGCGUGGAAGGCAAGCUUGGCAAUCUGGAUAUGUAGAUCUCUUUCUGAGUAAACCGACUCUGUGUAACCCUAGCCCCCUCCGGUGUCUAUAUAAACUGGAGGGUUUAGUCCGUAGGACAAAAACAAUCAUACCAUAGGCUAGAUUCUAGGGUUUAGCCUCUACGAUCUCGUGGUAGAUCAACUCUUGUAAUACUCAUAUCAUCAGCAUCAGUCAAGCGGGAAGUAGGGUAUUACUUCCAUCGAGAGGGCCCGAACCUGGGUAAACAUCGUGUGCCCCGCCUCCUGCUACAAUUAGCCUUAGACGCACAGUUCGGGACCCCCUACCCGAGAUCCACAGGUUUUGACACCGACAUUGGUGCUUUCAUUGAGAGUUCCACUGUGUCAUCGUGAUAAGGCUGGAUGGCUCCUUCAAACAGCUACAACGACGCGGUCCAGGGCGAGGUUUUCCUCCCCGGACAAAUCUUCAUAUUCGGCGUUUUCGUACUGCAGGCCAAGUUGCUUGGCCACUUGGAGCAGACCGAUAGCUACGUCCCUGCCAUCAGUUCAGGUUUGGAAACUUGAACUACACUGCCGACGUCCACGGAGACUUGAUCGUUGACGGAUUCGAGCCCAUGUCAGGUGUGCCAAACAGUCACGACAAACAUGACUUAGAUCUGCCAUCGGACGGUGUUCGGGAGAUCAUGCCUGCAGCCGCACCGGCCAUUAACCCGGAGCAGAUCGUGCCAUCUGAGGAUGGGUGGAUGAACCCCGCCACGGAAGUCGCACACUCAUCGGUGUUAGAGCCGAACACAGACUGCACCUCCAAAGAGAUCUGUGUCAUCGGACCCUCGGACUCGUCUUCGGCCAUGGGUUCAGAACCGCGUGCGUCCGUGCCUAUUGAUUCUGAUGGGGCACCAAUCAUGGAGUUCACCAACGCGGAUAUCUUUUAGCACUCACCCUUGGGCAAUGUGCUAAAUUCUUUGAGGUCUCUCUAACUAUCAGGAGACUCUUGGCCGAACUAUGUCCGGCUUGAGUGGGAAGCGGACACGAAGAAAUUGAUUCCCCACCCACCACCCACUUAAUAGCCACUAUCGACGACUUAACCUACAUGCUUGACUUUGAUUCCAAAGACAUCGAUGUUAUGGACCACGAUGCAGGAGAAGAACAGGAACCACCGCCCACAGGGCGCUGGACAACCACCUCAUCAUAUGACAUAUACAUGGUGGACAUACCCAAAGAAAGUGAUGGCGAUGAGGCAACGGAGGAUAAUCCCCUUGAUAAGCAAUCUAAGCAGUGUCGUCAUCGGCGCCGCUCUAAGCCCCGCAAUAGCAAAAAUAGCGAUACCGGCACAAGAAACAAUAGUAAUACGGAUGAUGCCGAAGAUGAAAACAAUCCCGCCCAGCCAGACUUCGAGCAGGCUGAACGGGAGAAUGGGCAAGCUAGCCCUGAUGAACAGGCAACAGAUGGAGACUUGGAGGAUGAUAAUUACAUGCCUCUCUCCGAAGACGAGGUGAGCCUCGGUGACGAAGAAUUUAUUGUGCCGGAGGAUCCCAUCGAGCAGGAGCGCUUCAAGCGCCAGCUUAUAGCCACUGCAAAAAGCCUGAAGAAAAAACAACAGCAGCUUCAAGACAAUCGAGAUCUGCUAACAGAUAGAUGGACUAAGGUCCUGGCAGCCGAGGAAUACGGACUCGAGCGCCCAACCAAAAGUUACCCGAAGCAUAGGUUGCUACCUCAAUUCGAGGAGGAGGCGCUAGAACCUACACUACCAGCGCAGGACGAGGCUGACCGGCCACCUCGUGGCCGAGACAAAGCGGCGUAUCAGUCCAAACACCAGCCCGCACCCCGUCCCCAAUCAAACAAAAACACCAAGGCUCGGGGCUAUACGCAGGGCAUGUGAGACAUACUGGAAAACAAAGCAGGACAGUCUAGAUCGAUCUACGGAUCACGGUGGCGUGCCCUGCUUCGUCUUGAGCUUGCGUUGGUUUUCCUUGAAGAGGAAAGGGUGAUGCAGCAAUAGUAGCAUAAGUAUUUCCCUCAGUUUUUGAGAACCAAGGUAUCAAUCCAGUAGGAGGCUCCUCACAAGUCCCAUGCACCUACACAAACAAACAAAGAACUCGCAACCAAUGCAAUAAAGGGGUUGUCAAUCCCUUCACGACCACUUGCGAAAGUGAGAUCUAAUAGAGAUAAUAAGAGAAGAUAAAUAUAUUUUUGGUAUUUUAUAAUAUAGAUGCAGAAAAUAAAGAUGCAAAUAAAAGUUGAUUGGAAGAAAAUAUGAUAAGAGAUAGACCCGGGGGCCAUAGGUUACACUAGAGGCUUCUCUCAAAAUAGCAUAAGUAUUAUGGUGGGUGAACAAAUUACUGUCGAGCAGUUGAUAGAAAAGCGAAUAAUUAUGAGAUUAUCUAGGCAUGAUCAUUUAUAUAGGCAUCACGUCCGCAACAAGUACACCGACUCCUGCCUGCAUCUACUACUAUUACUCCACACAUCGAUCGCUAUCCAGCAUGCAUCUAGAGUAUUAAGUUCAUAAGAACAGAUUAACGCAUUAAGUAAGAUGACAUGAUGUAGAGGGAUAAACUCAAGCAAUAUGAUAUAAACCCCAUAUUUUUAUCCUCGAUGGCAACAAUACAAUAGGUGUCUUGCAACCCUUUUUGUCACUGGGUAAGAACACCGCAAGGUUGAACCCAAAGCUAAGCACUUCUCCCAUGGCAAGAAAGAUCGAUCUAGUAGGCCAAACCAAACCAAUAAUUCAAAGAGACUUGCAAAGAUAACUCAAUCAUAUAAAAGAAUUCAGAGAAGAUUCAAUUAUUAUCCAUAGAUAAACUUGAUCAUAAACCCACUAUUCAUCGGAUCUCGACAAACACACCGCAAAAAGAGAUUACAUCGAAUAGAUGCCCACAAGAGAGGGGGAGAACAUUGUAUUGAGAUCCAAAAAGAGAGAAGAAGCCAUCUAGCUAAUAACUAUGGACCCGAAGGUCUGUGGUAAACUACUCACAACUCAUCAGAAGGGCUAUGGUGUUUAUGUAGAAGCCCUCCGUGCUGGAAUCCCCCUCCGGCAGAAUGCCGGCGAUGGCUCCAAGAUGGGAUCUCGCGUAUACAAUAGGUUACUGUGGCGGAAAUAUUUCUUUGGUGGCUCCCUGGAUGUUUUCGGGGUAUGUAGGCUUAUAUAGGAGGAAGAAGUACGUCGGUGGCCGCCCGAGGGGCCCACGAGACAGGGGGGCACGCCCUACCCUCUUGUGGCCGCCUCGGCUGCUUCUUGACUUGCACUCCAAGUCCUCUGGAUCACAUUCGUUCCAAAAAUCACGCUUCCUAAGGUUUCAUUCCGUUUGGACUCCGUUUGAUAUUCCUUUUCUUCGAAAUACUGAAAUAGGCAAAAAAACAACAAUACGGGUUGGGCCUCCGGUUAGUAGGUUAGUCCCAAAAAUGAUAAUAAUGUGUAAAAUAAAGCCCAUAAACAUCCAAAAUAGGUAAUAUAAUAGCAUGGAACAAUCAAAAAUUAUAGAUACGUUGGAGACAUAUCAAGCAUCCCCAAGCUUAAUUCAUGCUCGUCCUCGAGUAGGUAAAUGAUAAAAACAGAAUUUUUGAUGUGGAAUGCUACCUAGCAUAAUUCUCAAUGUAAUUUUCUUUAUGGUGGCAUGAAUGUUCAGAUCCAAAUGACUCAAGAUAAAAGCUUAUAAAACAUAAAAAAUAAUAAUGCUUCAAAGCAUACUAACAAAUAAUCAUGUCCUAUCAAAAUAACAUAGCCAAGAAAGCUUAUCCCUACAAAAUCAUAUAGUUAGGCCAUGCUUCAUUUUCAUUACACAAAAUACUCCCAUCAUGAACAACCCCGAUGACGAGCUGAGCAAUUGGUUCAUACUUUUUAAUGCGCUUCAGCUUUUUCAACUCUUACGCAAUACAUGAGUGCAAGCCAUGGACAUAGCACUAUGGUGGUCUAUUGUGGUGGUUGUGAGGACAAAAAGUGGGAGAAGAUAGCCUCACAUCAACUAGGCGUAUCAACGGGCUAUCGAGAUGCCCAUCAAUAGAUAUCAAUGUGAGUGAGUAGGGAUUGCCAUGCAACAGAUGCACUAGAGCUAUAAAUAUAUGAAAGCUCAACAAAAGAAACUAAGUGGGUGUGCAUCCAACUUGCUUGCUCACGAAGACCUAGGGCAUUUUGAGGAAGCCCAUCAUUGGAAUAUACAAGCCAAGUUCUAUAGUGAAAAAUUCCCACUAGUAUUUGAAAGUGACAACAUAUGAGACUCUCUAUCAUGAAGAUCAUGGUGCUAUUUUUCAUGAACAAGUGUGGAAAAAGAGAUAGUAGCAAUUGUCCCUCCUCUCUUUUUCUCUCAUUCCUUUUUUUUCUUUUUCUUUAUUUUUCUUUCUUUUUCUCUUUUUUUUCUUUUUCUUUUUUUUCUUUUUUGUGGGCUUCUUUGGCCUCUUUUAUUUUUAUAAAGCCUUAAGUCCCAUCCCGACUUGUGGGGGAUAGUCUUCACCAUCCUUUCCUCACUAGGUCAAUGCUCUAAUAAUGAAGAUCAUCACACUUUUAUGGAUUUACAACUCAAGAAUUACAACUCAAAGCUAGAACAAAAUAUGACUCUAUAUGAAAGCCUCCGGCGGUGUACCGGGAUAUGCAAUGAAUCAAGAGUGACAUGUAUGAAAAUUAUGAAGGUGGCCUUGCCACAAAUAUGAUGUCAACUACAUGAUCAUGCAAAGAGCAAUAUGACACUGAUGAAACAUGUCAUAAUAAACGAAACGGUGGAAUGUUGCAUGACAAUAUAUCUCGGAAUGGCCAUGGAAAUGCCAUAUAGGUAGGUAUGGUGGUUGUUUUGAGGAAGGUAAAUAAUAGGUUUAUGCUACCGGCGAAAGUUGCGCGGUAAAAUAGAAGCUAGCAAAGUGGAAGGAUGAGUGUGCGUAUAUCCAUGGACUCACAUUAGUCAUAAAGAACUCAUAUACUUCUUGCAAAAGUCUACUUAGCCCUCGAAGCAAAGUACUACUACGCAUGCCCCAAGAGGGAUAGAUUGGUAGGAAAAAUCCAUCGCUCGUCCCCGACUGCCACUCAUAAGGAAGACACUCAAAAGAGGACCUCAUGCAACGAAUUUGUCACACAACUUUUACCAUACGUGCAUGCUACGGGACUUGCCAAGUUCAACAAAAGUAUUUCUCAAUUUCAUAAUUAUCCACUAGCAUGACCCUAACAUUACUACCUUUAUAUCUCAAAACAAUUAUCAAGCAUCAAAUUGAUCCUAGCAUCCAAUUCACUUUCUAUGAUAGUUUUUAUUAUACCCAACUUGGAUGCUCAUCAUUCUAGGACCAAAUUUGUAACCAUAGCAAAUACCAUGCAGUUAUAAGUGACUCUCAAAAUAAUAUAAGUGAAGCAUGAGAGACUAGCAAUUUCUUCAAAAUUAAUCGACCGCCAUGUUCUAAAAGAUAUAAGUGAAGUACUAGAGCAAAAACUAUCAAGCUCAAAAGAUAUAAGCGAAGCACAUAGCAUAUUCUAAUAAAUUCUAAUCAAAUAGGCUUCUCCCAAAAGGUGUGUACAGCAAGGAUAAUUGUGGUAAACUAAAAAGAAAAGACUAAUAUAAUACAUGAUGCUCCAAGCAAAACACAUAUCAUGUGGCGAAUAAAAAUAUAGCUCCAAGUAAAGUUACCAAUGAACGAAGACGAAAGAGGGGAUGUCUUCCCGGGGCAUCCCCAAGAUUAGGCUUUUGGAUAUCCUUUAAUAUCUUGGGGUGCCAUGGGCAUCCCCAAGCUUAGGCUCUUUGCCACCCUUUAUUCCAUAGUCCAUAAAAGCUUUACCCAAAACUUGAAAAAUUCACAACACACAACUCAACAGGAAAUCUUAUAAGCUCCGUUAGUGAAAGAAAACAAAACCACCACAUAAGGUACUGUAAUGAACUCAUUCUUUAUUUAUUUUUGUGUUAAACCUACUGUAUUCCAUGUUCUCUAUUGUUCAUACUCUUACAUACUAGCCAUAGAUGUAUCAAAAUAAGCAAACAACACACGAAAGGCAUAAUCUGUCAAAAACAGAACAGUCUGUAGCAAUCUGUAACUAACGCAAACUUCUAGAACAUUAAAACUCCUACCAAAAUAGUACGUCCUAAACAGUUUUUUUAUUGAUCAUCAUCAAAAAGAAUCAAUGCAAAAGCUCGUUUCUGUGAUUUAUUGAUUUUUUUUCUCGUGAGCGCAAAGUUUCUGUUUUUCAGCAGAAUCAAAUCAACUAUCAUCAUAGGUUAUCCUAUAGGUUCUACUUGGCACAAACACUAAUUAAAAGAUAAUAACACAUCUAAACAGAAAGUAGAAGCAAAAUUUAUCACUAAACAGGAACAAAAACAAAAACAUAAAGAAAAUUGGGUUUCCUCCCAACUAGCGCUAUCGUUUAACGCCCCUAGCUAGGCAUAAAAGCGAAGAUAGAUCUAAGUAGUGCCAUCUUUGACACUUGGUUCAUAGGUAGCUCGCAUGAUAGAUUCAUAAGGUAAUUUGACUUUCUUUCUUGGAAAGUGCUCCAUGCCUUUCUUUAAUGGAAAUUGGAAUCUAAUAUUCCCUUCCUUCAUAUCAAUAAUUGCACCAAUCGUUCUAAGGAAAGGUCUACCAAGAAUAAUAGGGCAAGAAAGAUUGCUAUCUAUAUCAAGAACGAUAAAAUCAAUGGGCACCAAAUUUCUAUUUGCAACAAUAAGGUCAUCAUUGAUCCUUCCUAUUGGCUUUUUAAUGGUGGAAUCCGCAAGAUGCAAAUUUAAAGAGCAAUCGUCAAGAUCAUGGAAACCUAGAAUAUCACAUAAAGUUUUCGGAAUCGUGGAAACACUAGCACCCAAAUCAGACAAAGCAAAACACUCAUGAUCUUUAAUUUUAAUCUUUAUAGUAGGUUCCCACUCAUCAUUAAGUUUUCUUGGUAUAGAAACUUCCAAAUUAAGUUUUUCAUCACAAGAUUGCAUCAUGGAAUCAACGAUAUGUUUGGUAAAAGCUUUAUUUUGAGUAUAAGCAUGUGGAGAAUUAACAACGGAUUGCAACAAGGAAAUACAACUUUCUAAAGAACAAUUAUCAUAAUCAAAUUCCUUGAAAUCCGAGGUAGUGGGUUCAAUGCUAUUUAAAGUCACGACCUCUCCAAUCCCACUUUUACCAAAGUUAGCAUCAAGAUCUAAAAACUCCGAAUUUUUGGGACGCCUUUUAGGUAAAGUUGACUCAUCUUCAGUCCCAUAAUUUUCAAGAGUCAUAUUGCAAAACAAAUAUCUAAUAGGGGACACAUCAAUAACUUUAAGAUCUUCAUCAUUAUUUUCAUGGAAACUAGAAGAACACGCUUUUAUAAAGCUAUCUUUCUUAGCACACAAUCUAGCGGUUCUUUACUUGCACUCAUCAAUGGAAAUUCUCAUUACUUUGAGAGACUCAUUGAUAUCAUGCUUAGGAGGAGAAGAUCUAAGUUUAAGAGAAUCAACAUCAAGCGAAAGUCUAUCAACGUUCCUAGCCAAAUCAUCAACUUUGAGCAAUUUUUCUUCAAGCAAAGCAUUAAAAUUCUUUUGAGAAAUCAUAAAUUAUUUUACACUAUUCUCAAAAUCAGAGGGCAUCUUAUUAAAAUUACUAUAAAAAUUAUUGUAGGAAUUUCCAUAAUUAUUAGAGGAAUUACUAGGGAACGGUCUAAAGAAGUUUCCUCUAUAAGCAUUGUUUCCAAAACUAUUCCUACCAACAAAAUUCACAUCCAUGGAUUCAUUAUUAUUCUCAAUCAAAGUAGACAAAGGCAUAUUAUUGGGAUCAAGAGGAGUAUUUUUAGUAGAAAACAUUUUCAUAAGUUCAUCCAUCUUUCCACUCAAAACAUUGAUUUCUUCUAUAGCAUGCACUUUUUUACUAGUAGAUCGUUCGGUGUGCCAUUGAGAAUAAUUUGCCAUAAUAUUGUCAAGAAGUUUUGUAGCAUCUCCUAACGUGAUUUCCAUAAACAUGCCUCCCGCGGCCGAAUCUAACAGAUUCGUAGAAGCAAAGUUCAAACCGGCAUAAAAAAUGUGUAUGAUCAUCCAUAAAUUCAAACCAUGAGUAGGACAAUUGCGAAUCAUCAAUUUCAAUCUUUCCCAAGAUGGGCAACAUGCUCAUAAUCAAGUUUUUUAAAAUUCAUAAUAUCGUUCCUAGGAGUGAUGAUCUUAGCGGGAGGAAAAUACUUAGAGAUAAAAGCAUCUUUGCACUUGUUCCAAGAAUCAAUACUAUUUUUAGGCAAGGACGAAAACCAAACUUUAGCACGAUCUCUAAGCAAAAACAGAAAUAACUUCAAUUUAACAAUAUCAUUAUCCGUUUCUUUCUUCUUUUGCAUAUCACACAAAUAAACAAAGUUGUUUAGACGAGAAGCGGCAUCUUCACUAGGAAGGCCGGCGAAUUGAUCUUUCAUAACAAGAUUCAGCAAAGCGGUAUUGACUUCACAAGAAUCAACAUCAUUAAGAGGAGCAAUCGGAGUACUAAGCAAAUCAUUAUUAUUGGUAUUCGAGAAAUCACACAAUUUGGUAUUAUCUUGCGCCAUGGCAACAAGUAAUCCAACACACAAGCAAACAGAAAUAGGCAAACGAAAGAGAGGAGGAGAUUGGGAAAGAGAGGGCGAAUAAAACGGCAAGGGUGAAGUGGGGGAGAUGAAAUCGAGAGGCAAAUGGCAAAUAAUGUAAAUGCGAGGGAGAUGAGUUUGUGAUGGGUACUUGGUAUGUCUUGACUUGAGCGAAGACCUCCCCGGCAAAGGCGCCAGAAAUCCUUCUUGCUACGUCUUGAGCUUGCGUUGGUUUUCCUUGAAGAGGAAAGGGUGAUGCAGCAAUAAUAGCGUAAGUAUUUCCCUCAGUUUUUGAGAACCAAGGUAUCAAUCCAGUAGGAGGCUCCUCACAAUUCCCACACACCUACACGAACAAACAAAGAGCUCGCAACCAACGCAAUAAACGGGUUGUCAAACCCUUCACGGCCACUUGCGAAAGUGAUAUCUAAUAGAGAUAAUAAGAUAAGAUAAAUAUAUUUUUGGCAUUCUAUAAUAUAGAUGCAGAAAAUAAAGAUGCAAAUAAAAGUAGACCGGAAGCAAAUAUGAUAAGAGAUAGACCCAGGGGCCAUAGGUUUCACUAGAGGCUUCUCUCAAGAUAGCAUAAGUAUGACAGUGGGUGAACAAAUUACUGUCGAGCAAUUGAUAGAAAAGCGAAUAAUUAUGAGAUUAUCUAGGCAUGAUCAUGUAUAUAGGCAUCACGUCCGCAACAAGUAGACUGACUCCUGCCUGCAUCUACUACUAUUACUCCACACAUCAACCGCUAUCCAGCAUGCAUCUAGACUAUUAAGUUCAUAAGAACAGAGUAGCGCAUUAAGCAAGAUGACAUGAUGUAGAGGGAUAAACCUAAGCAAUAUUAUAUAAACCCCAUCUUUCUAUCCUCGAUGGCAACAAUACAAUACGUGUCUUGCAACCCUUUCUGUCACUGGGUAAGAACACCGCAAGAUUGAACCCAAAGCUAAGCACUUCUCCCAUGGCAAGAAAGAUCGAUCUAGUAGGCCAAACCAAACCGAUAAUUCGAAGAGACUUGCAAAGAUAACUCAAUCAUAUAAAUGAAUUCAGAGAAGAUUCAAUUAUUAUCCAUAGAUAAACAUGAUAAUAAACCCACAAUUCAUCGGAUCUCGACAAACACACUGCAAAAAGAUAUUACGUCGAAUAGAUCUCCACAAGAGAGGGGGAGAACAUUGUAUUGAGAUCCAAAAAUAGAGAAGAAGCCAUCUAGCUAAUAACUAUGGACCCGAAGGUCCAUGGUAAACUACUCACAACUCAUCUGAAGGGCAAUGGUGUUGAUGUAGAAGCCCUCCGUGCUGGAAUCCCCCUCCGGCAGAACACCGGCAACGGCUCCGAGAUGGGAUCUCGCGGAUACAGGAGGUUACGUUGCAGAAAUAUUUCUUUGGUGGCUCUCUGGAUGUUUUCGGGGUAUGUAGGCUUAUAUAGGAGGAAGAAGUACGUUGGUGGCCGCCCGAGGGGCCCACAAGACAGGGGAGUGCGCCCUAUAGGGGUGCACCCUACCCUCUUGUGGCCGCCUUGGCUGCUUCUUGACUUGCACUCCAAGUCCUCUGGAUCACGUUCGUUCCAAAAAUCACGCUUCCGAAGGAUUCAUUCCGUUUGGACUCUAUUGGGGAUAUUACCACUGGGCGUGAACCGGCCUACCUGGGCCGGGUUAGCUUCAUUAUUAGUUUAUAGGUGAUUAAGCAGAUGAAGGCCCAAGGCCUGUAGUCGGUUUAGAACCUGUAGCCAUAAACCGGCUUGAUAUGUAAACUUGCAUUGUGAGUUAGGAAUAGAGAGAGACCAAUCGGGAUACGAGUAUGAACCGGUGUGGGACACUGUGGCCGACGGGCGUCACCCGUGUAUAUAAGGGGACGACCCGGCGGCGGUUCAAGGAGAGACAACAACAACUCGAGCCUAGGCGAAGCUUGUUUGCUCCCUAGCCUUCGAAACCACAUCAAUUCCAUCACAACUAGACGUAGGCUUUUACCUUCAUCGAAGGGGCCGAACUAGUAUAAACCCUCGUGUCUUUGUGUCUACUUUAACCACUUCAAGUUAACCCGUAGCGAUGGCUCCACGACUAAGUCCUUUCACAAGGACAUCUGCCGUGACAAAUCCACGACAGUUGGCGCCCACCGUGGGGCUAUCGCACGACGGUUUGAUGAUCUUGGAGGGCAAGCUCAAAAGACUCGAAGGCUAUGCUGUGGGCCCGAUGACGAAGAGUCGUCGCGGCAAGCUCUACAUCGACGAUGCAGGAUGGGGUCCCGAAGCCGGCUCGAUCGAGUACGGGUACCGGGUCCCCUUUGGUGGCAUACACGUUUUUAUCGGCAAGAUUGGUGAUCCUGGGCCUGAGUCGGACAUCCGCACCGACCUCGUCGAGACGGCUCAGCGUGCGAGAUCUACCCAGGUUAAACCGGCCGUGAGGCGUGCCUUCGUGGGAGUCAUCUACGGAGGAGAGCACGAGGACGAGUCAGAAUACGGUAGCGAGACCGUCGUCUAUUCCGGCGACGAGUCCUCAACCGGAGAGACCGAAUCAUUGUACCAGUUGCAAGAUGACUAGAUUAGGGGCUGUUCCAAUGGCGACAGUGUUCCGGGCCCCCCAGAUCAGAUCAACCGGGUCGGAAUAUUCAUGGCCGGCACGCAGGCAGCGAAUCACUCUUUGACCGCAGCAGCAAUGCUUUCCGGAUCAGCAGCGACAGCGGCAGCAAGGGUAGGAGGCCUUGUGCCCCCACCGGUUCAAGUUAUGUCUGACCUGUUUGACGCACUAUUGGUACUUAUGGCAGAGGCCAAUCCGGCGGAUCAGGAGGCCCAUGAUGCGGAGAUUGCAAAGGUGAGAGAGCAGAUUGUACAGGCCAAAGCCGACCUGGCAGUAGAGAAGGACAGGAUGGCUGCAGAGCGGGCCGCUUUGGAUGCCCAGGCCUAUAAGCUCAUGCUCGACCAGAACGCAUCAUAGGAGGUCUUGAAGCGGAAGCACAGAUCACGCCUGCCGUUAGGGUUCGACCCUCGAAAUCUCUUUCACACUCCGGGAGCUGCAAACAGUAAUCCGCCGGGGCACCUGGAGGUAAAUCGGGUCGAGGCACCAGGGCCAGGAGCGACAGUCCAACCCCGCCUGAUGGAACCUCCUCGGCAGAACAUUGUGAUUCCUCCGCCGGUCCAGACACCUCCGGGUCAUUAUUCUAAUCCUAUGGACAAUCUUGUCGCAGCUGCUGCGCGAUUAGAAGCUAUCCCGGUCGAAGGAGACUCUCCACAAGCAAUAGAGACGCGCCGGGUUAAGGAACUUCUCCGGACCGCUUUGAUUCAACAGGAGGCAUAUUCAUACAGCCGCGAUCGGAUUCAUUCCACACCUCGUCCAAGCCGGAGCUAUAGUACGUGCCUGGAUGAACCGGCCAUAUCAAGCAAUGCGCGGGGCCGUGAAGCGACCCGUGGUGAUAACCCGGCCGGUGGUGUUCACGAUGCUCAGGAUGUAGUGGACCGGGCCCGGGCACGAAGGGAGGCCGAGUUAGCAGCACAGAACGAGGCGGAUCAGCUUACACCGGUUCGUCCUACCACCUCUGCCAGGGCCAGGGGUCGCAUCUAGCUUGGGAGUGCCCUAUUUAGUCCCCGCUUUACGCAAUGUACGCCUGCCCAAGGACUUCAAGGGCCCGUGCAAGGUGCCAAAUUACACCGCUGAUUUAUCUCCAGAAGCGUGGGUAGAGAGUUAUGAGAUGGCAAUGGAGAUGCUGGAUGUGGAUGAGACCGCGUGUGCAAAGUACUUCACCAUGAUGCUUGAAGGCACAACCCGUACUUGGUUGAAGAGCCUGCCGCCUAAUUCUAUCAGUUCAUGGGCCCAGUUGCGGACCCGGUUUAUCCAGAAUUUCAAAGAUACGUGUAAGCAGCCUAAGUCCAUAGUAGACUUGGCGGCUUGUGUUCAGGAGGACGGAGAGUCAACAACCCAUUUGGUACACCGCGUUUCUAAAGUCUUGCACUCGUCUGACAGGAUCAAUGCUGACUCUGCGAUCUUAACCCUGGAGGGCAACUGCCGAUUUAAGCCUCUAAAGUUGAAGUUGGGGCGUAUGAAGCGGUUCUGUAAUGACAUGGGAACUCUCAUGGCCGCUUUAGUGAAGUAUGCUGAUUCUGAUAGUACUAAGGAUCCCGAGACUGACGAUGACGAAGCAGGGAAGGGAAAAAAGAAUAGGAACUCUAAGGGGCAUCAAUACAAACCGGCGGGCCAUGGAAACGGAGGCAAGCAUAAAGCGGAUGGCAGCAUGGACUUUGUGGCUAACACUAAUGCGCAGGACAAGAGUCAGCGGCGCAGAGGUAAAGCGGCGAAUCAUAAUGGGGCUCCAAAUCCUAACCCGGAUCGCUUAAACUAUUUGCUGAAUCAGCCUUGCCCAAAACACGGGACGAAGGAGGCGCCAGCUAACCACCUUUGGAAGGAUUGUUACAUUAUGCAGGAAUUUAAAAACUCUAAUGCCUUCUGGUAUGACCGUGGGUCAGGUGGUGGCUCAGGAUCCGGUUUCCAUGGGUCGGGUCACGAUGGAGCUUCCGGUUCAGGUUUCAAUCAGGGCGGUAAUAAUAACCAGGAUAAUCAGAGCGGUCAAGGGGGUUACAACCAACAGCAGCAGCAGCAGCGGUCGGGUUAUCAGAGCCAGCCAAAACAGUUGAACAAUGGGCAGUAUCACGUUUUCACAACUAUCUUAGAUAAGCGCGACCGGAAACUUCACAAGCGAGCAGUGAACUCUGUUGAACCGGCCAUACCGCGUUAUUUACGCUGGUCGNNNNNNNNNNNNNNNNNNNNNNNNNNNNNNNNNNNNNNNNNNNNNNNNNNNNNNNNNNNNNNNNNNNNNNNNNNNNNNNNNNNNNNNNNNNNNNNNNNNNNNNNNNNNNNNNNNNNNNNNNNNNNNNNNNGUACCGCGUUAUUUACGCUGGUCGGAGCAGCCUAUCGUGUGGAGCAGGGAGGAUCACCCCCCCCGGGUUGACAAUCCGGGCCAGUUGGCAUUAGUGGUAGACCCUCAGGUGGGAGGUUAUAAAUUCACCAAGGUACUCAUGGAUGGAGGGAGCAGUAUUAACAUCCUGUACUAUGAGACAUUCCGCCGCAUGGGGCUAACAGACAAGGAUCUCAGACCGUCUAAUACGGUGUUCCAUGGUGUGGUGCCUGGCAAAUCAGCGUAUCCUGUUGGUAAGAUAGCCUUGGAGGUGGCUUUUGGGGACGAGCAUGAUUCCCGAUCUGAAACACUAACCUUUGAGGUAGUGAAAAUUCGGAGCCCGUAUCACGCCUUGUUUGGGCGGCCGGCUUAUGCCAAAUUCAUGGCACGACCUUGUUAUAUCUAUUUGCAGCUCAGGAUGCCGGGUUACAAAGGGACAAUAAUGGUUCAUGGGAGCCGCAAGAUUUCUUUGCAAUGUGAGGAAGGUGAUGCGGCCUAUGCAGAGUCAGUUUGUGCCACGGAGGAGUUGAAAUAUUAUAGGGACAAUGUUGAUCCGGCGGACAUGACCCCUUUGAAUAGGCCGACUACGGAGCAUGAUUCAGAUCUGAAGUUCAAAUCGGCGGCUGAGACCAAGCUUGUUGACUUCGUGCCCGGCGAUUCGUCCAAGCAGUUCACUGUCAGUGCCAACUUGGACCCUAAAUAGGAAAGCGCGCUCAUCGAGUUCAUCCGUGAGAAUCGGGACAUUUUUGCAUGGAAGCCUUCUGACAUGCCAGGUGUACCGAGGGAACUCGCUGAGCACACUCUUAAUGUUGAUCCCAACUAUAAACCGGUAAAACAGUUUCUCCGCCGGUUUAACGAAGAAAGGCGCAAAGCUAUUGGAGAGGAAGUGGCCAGGCUCUUAGCAGCUGGUUUCAUGAUUGAAGUGUUCCAUCCAGAAUGGCUCGCUAAUCCGGUGCUGGUACUUAGAAAAAUGGCACUUGGUGUAUGUGUGUGGAUUACAUGGAUCUUAACAAGGCUUGUCCAGCGGAUCCUUUUGCCCUCCCUCGCAUUGACCAGAUUAUUGACGCCACGGCGGGUUGUGAGCGUUUGAGUUUUUUGGAUGCGUAUUCUGGGUAUCAUUAGAUCAAAAUGGCGGUUAAGGACCAGGAGAAGACAGCGUUUAUUACUCCCUUUGGAGCCUUCUGCUAUGUAUCUAUGCCUUUUGGGCUCAAGAGCACCCAAGCCACUUAUCAACGGUGUGUACAGAAUUGCCUGCAUAAACAGAUCGGCCGCAAUGUGCACGCCUAUGUGGAUGAUAGUGUAGUCAAGUCAAGGCAGAAGGAGACGCUGGUUGAUGAUAUGAAGGAAACCUUUGACAACUUGCGGGUUUAUAAGAUGAUGCUUAACCCUGCCAAAUGUGUCUUUGGUGUUCCGGCAGGCAAGUUACUGGGCUUUCUCGUGUCCAACAGAGGAAUUGAGGCUAAUCCGGAGAAGAUUACGGCUAUCACCUCCCUGGCUAAACCGAAGUGUAUCAACGAUGUUCAGCGUUUGGCGGGUCGGAUCGCCGCACUGAGCCGGUUUAUCAGCCGCCUCGGAGAGAAGGCCAUCCCUUUAUACCAGAUGUUGAGAAAGACAGAUCAAUUCAUCUGGAGUCCAGCUGCUGAUGAAGCGUUGGGGGACUUGAAGCGGCAAUUAGCCAAUCCGCCUGUUCUUGCAGCUCCGGUCGACAAGGAGCCAUUAUUGUUAUACGUAGCGGCCAAUGCUCGUGCAGUUAGCGUGGCUAUUGUGGUAGAACGCAAGGAGGCAGGCAAGGAGUAUCCGGUUUAGCGGCCGGUUUACUAUGUCAGCGAGGUGCUUAUUGAAUCCAAGCAAAGGUAUCCGCAUUGGCAAAAGCUGGUAUAUGGAGUUUUCAUGGCAAGCCGGAAGUUGAAGCAGUAUUUCCAAGGGCACCCCAUCACAGUGGUCAGUUCAGCUCCCUUGGGCGAUAUCAUACAGCACCGGGAGGCGACUGGCCGGAUUGCCAAGUGGGCCAUAGAACUUGGGCCGCACGGAUUGAAGUACGUGCCUCGGACGGCGGUGAAGUCUCAAGCACUUGUUGAUUUCAUCAAUGAUUGGACGGAGUUGCAAGCACCAGAGGAAAAGCCGGAUCACACAUAUUGGACUAUCCAUUUUGAUGGAUCCAGGCAAUUGGAAGGCUCGGGGGCUGGAGUCGUCUUAACUUCCCCACGGGGUGAUAAGUUUUGUUAUGUUCUCCGCUUAAUGUUCCCUUGUACUAAUAAUGCACCUGAGUAUGAAGCUUUGCUCCAUGGUCUCCGGAUGGCUAAAGAGAUGAAUCUAAGUCGUGUUAAGUGCUUCGGUGACUUGGACCUCGUCGCUCAACAGGUAUCUGGCACUUGGGAUUCUAAGGACCUGCUUAUGGCUGCAUAUCGUCGUGAGGUGGAUAUUGUUGCGGGUCACUUCAAGGGUUAUCAGGUGGAGCACGUGGAUCAUCGAAAAAAUGAAGCGGCGGACUCUUUAAGUCGGUUGGGCUCUCAGCGUAAACCAGUCCCGCCUAAUGUCUUUCUCGAUGUGUUGCACAACCCGUCAGUCAAGCUCCCGGGUGAAGCGGAUUUGGCUAUUCCUGAUCCGGAGGCUCAAUUGGUGGCAGCCCUGCAUAUUAUACCGGAUUGGAUAGUUCCUUAUCUUGCGUACAUGAACCGGGGAGAGUUGCCAGAGGAUGAGACUCUAGCCAGGCAGAUAGUCCGGCGAUCCAAAUCUAUGACAAUUAUCAAUGGCGAAUUGCAUCAUUGCAGUGUAUCAGGGGUGUUUCAACGCUGCGUCUCUCCUGAGGAAGGUUGUGAAAUUUUACAUGAAAUCCAUGAAGGGGAUUGUGGUCACCACGCCGGUUCAAAGUCUCUGGUGGCUAAGGUGUUUCGUCACGGGUUUUACUGGUUGACAGCUCAUGCUGAUGCGGAGGACUUGGUUAAACGGUGUGAUGGCUGUCAGAAAUUUUCAAGGCGUGCUCAUGUGCCGGCUCAAGAAUUGAGGAUGAUUCCAAUUACUUGGCCGUUUGCAACAUGGGGGCUGGAUAUGGUCGGACCUUUUAAAAGAUCCAAGGAUAAGAAAACCCACCUUUUGGUGGCAGUUGACAAGUUUACCAAGUGGGUUGAAGCGGAGCCUGUCAGCAAGUGUGAUGCAGCUACAGUGAUGCAGUUCAUUAAAAAGGUGAUUUUCUGGUUUGUCUUUCCACACAGUAUCAUUACUGACAAUGGUACCAAUUUAUCCAAGGGUGCUAUGAAGGAAUUCUGUGAACGUGAGAACAUCAGACUUGACGUAUCAUCAGUGGCUCACCCCCAGACCAAUGGGCAGGCAGAACGAGCUAAUCAAGAGAUCUUGCGAGGCAUCAAACCCCGGCUUAUGGUUCCAUUGCAAAGAACACUGGGAUGUUGGGUUGAAGAACUACCAUCUGUGCUAUGGAGUAUCAACACUACGCCCAACCGAUCUACAGGAUACACACCGUUUUUUAUGGUCUACGGAGCAGAGGCAGUUCUCCCUAGUGAUAUCUGGCACGAUUCGCCUCGUGUGGCGGCUUAUGUUGAAGCGUACAAUGAGACAGCACGGCAAGAUGCUUUGGACCUAUUAGAUGAGGAGCGUGACAUAGCGGUUGCCCGCUCGGCGAUUUAUCAACAAGAUCUUUGUCGCUAUCACAGUCGCCGGGUCAGAACCAGAACUUUUCAAGGAGGAGAUUUGGUGCUUCGGCUCAUCCAAGAUCAGACGGAUAUGCACAAGUUAUCCCCACCUUGGGAGGGACCUUUCGUGGUCAGCAAGAAUCUGCACAACGGGUCAUACUAUCUGAUUGAUAUUCGAGAGCAUAAAGACUCACGCACAUCAGAGGAGGAGACCAACAGGCCGUGGAAUAUAGCUCAUCUUCGGCCUUACUACACUUGAGCCAUCGGCUCUAUCUAUGUACAUAUUAUGGCAGUGUAUAUAUUAUCAUUGAUAUAAUAAAACCGGAGCCUCAGCUAAAGCGGGGUCUCUGUCCUUUCAUAUCAUGUGUGGUUACAUGGAGUGGUUCUGUUUUAAAGCGGCCUCCGGUUUACCCCUUGAAAUUUGCUUUUCAAAAAAGCUUUGUGAUAUCACUUGGGGCCUUGGUCGUGUCCGAACCAAUGCGACACCUUUUGAUAGGCGAAAGCCACCAGAUCAUUUGGGGACAUGGUCAAGUCUGAACCAGUCACGCCUCUUGAUCGGCCUAAGGCCACAGAAUCACUUGGGGGCUUGGUCGAACCCGAACCAUUGCCACGCCUUUUGAUCGGCAUAAAUGCCAGGGUUUCAUUUGGGGACCUGGCUGACUUGAACCAUUGUCACUCCUAUUGGGGGCUUGGUCCUGUCCGACCGUGGUAACACCAUCUGAUCAGCUCAGUAAAGCAUGUUUUUGCAAACGGUUUUUAUCAUUACCUUUGCUUCCAUAUUUCUUUUAUGACUAUUCUUCAAUUUUUGUUGUGUUUCCUUUAAACCAACAACACUUUUUUACCGGUUCAGCUGACGGAAAUCGGUUCAUUUGUACUCCGGAGAAAUAUGCCCGGUUUAACUUUCCUGUUAACAUCAUGAAGUAGCAGGGGGGCUCAUAAUGACCCAGCACGGUUUACAUGGGAGUUGUUUUCUCCCCUUUGAUGGUAACGAUUUAUAAAUACUCCAUUUCAAGCCUGGCUAAGCCAACUUCAUGCCCAGCGAUGGCAGGUAUUUUGUAUCACAUAUUUGAUUAUACGUCUUAAAUACAUUGAUGAUAUAUAUAUAAAGGUCAUAAACCGGUUGGCGGUAUAACCGCCACCGAAGUUCAAGAUUUUCUGAUUGCAGGAAAUAUAAAUUGAGGAUUUCAAGCAAAAGCAUCAGUACUUAUGCACGAAGGCAUAUUCAAGGCAGAAGUAUUGUCUAUCCUAUUACAAGGCAACGCGGUGCCCAAAUAAGAUCAUUGUUGUUCCGGCGGAUCAUAAUAAAGCAGUUAUUUAAACUGGCUUCCGGUUCAAGCCUGUUCAUCGCCCCGGUCUGAUGAUUGUGGGUCGGCCCGCGCCGUUUCAGCUUCCUCAUCUCUAUCCAUUGGCUGGAAAUCAACAGUGGUCCAGUCGAUUCCCAUUAAAGUUUGAAAGACAGCCUCUUCGUGGAUCAGAGAAGACGGUUCAAUAUCAGGAGCGUAAGUAUGCUUACAGAUUGGAGGAAUCAGAUUCUCCGCUUCAGGAGUUGGUGCAGGCACUCGUUUGUUCUGAUCAUUGUACUGAGCUUGAUAAUGCGACAAGUCUGCCUCUUCAGCCAAUUGACAAGCCAGAGGGCGUACUGCAUGAUUUAUCGCCCUCAAAUCAUCUUCAUUGAACUCCGAGCCGUCUUCCUUCAAGCUUGGAUAGCCUUGAGCUGCCUCAAUAGGAUCGAAAUCCGGCACCCAUGCUUUUGCCCGGAUCAAGGCAUUAAUGGCUCCGGUUCGAGCAGCAGAUUUUUUCAGUUCUUCAAUCCGAGCAGGAAGCAUUGACAACCUAUUAAGAGUGUCUUGGAUUAAAGUGGGUGCCGGAUUGUUAUGAGAUGCAGUGGUGAUGAUCCGCUGUGCUCCGGUAUACAGCUGUUCAAUUAAAGUGUAGGCAGCCUUCAACUUCUUCCGAACAUCUGACCCUAAGUGACCAAUGCGUGUACCUGCAACAAUACAGGAAAGAUCACAAACCGGAUCUAUUAUAAGCAGGCCAGAGUUGUCCAGGAAACCAAAAGGAGCUUACCAAAGAUAGCAGCCGUCAUGGAAUGUACUUGCCGCUUUAUGGCGGUCAGCUCAUCUACCACCGGUUUAAGGGCAGCUUCAGUGUUUUCAGCUCUUUUUAUUAAAUCGGCCUUCUCAGUGGCCCAAUCAGUCCGCUCUUUCUUGAAGCCCUCCUUCAGCUGUUCUGUGAUGUUCAAAGCGCUGGUUAUUUCUUCCCUUGCCUUGUCGGUUUCAGCUUGUUGGGUUUUCAAAGUUUCCUGCAGAUCAGUAAUCCGGUCCUCUUUGAUCCUCACUUCAGCCUGCAUAAAGACAGUGCUUGGCUUUCAACAAAGGGUACAAGAAUUUGAAGUACCAACCACAUAACAAGUUAUACGUUUGAUACUUGGGGGCUAAUGCACCUUCAAUUUUCAUCUAUUACUAAAUCGCAAAGUCCCAAGCUCAAUACAGGUAUUCAACUCGGCACUUGGGGGCUAAUGGCUAUUUGCUCAGUUAUGUUCUGAUGUUAGAAUCUUUAUUGGAGUCCCGGUUUAACUAUACUAAGUUGAACCGGCCCUUGGGGGCUACAUUGAUGGAUUUCAAAGUAUUGAGGACUAUAUUCAAGUCCCGGCUUGAAGAAGGUUACAAACCGGCCCUUGGGGGCUAGGAGGAUUAAUACAGUGGCAGUAAUUAAAGAAAGAAGGAGCACAAGGAAGUUACCUCAAAUUUAUCUCUCAUCAUCUUUACCAUGCCAGCUUCACAGUCCCGACUAGUAUAUAGCCGGUUCAAGUAACCAGAAUGAAGAUCUUGGGCACUCAGAGCAGCAUAUGUUUCUAGAUCAACAUCCCAUUUGCCUUUGUUCAUGGCAGAAAAAUCUUCUUUCACAGUAUGCUUGGCCAAAGCGACAGGAUUCCCUGGUUCAAAGCGACCUACGCCGGUAAUUACAACGUCAUCAUCCUUGGACUCGCCGGUUUGCGUUGGCGUGGUCGGGUUUAUCGGCAGGCUUUGAAGGACUGCGGGAUCUAUCAAUCCGGACGGAGCUGGCAGGCUGGUCAAUAGGGACUAAGGUAUUGAUAGGCCUUUUCUCAGGAAUAGCAUCAUCUUGCAAGGGAGGAUCAUUGGGAAUAUCCUCAUCAACGAAUGUUUCAAGAUCUGGUGUUUUAUCCUGUUCAGGGGUGACAUCUUCCUUGGCCGCUUUAUCCAGGCGGGCUUUCUUGCUCAGUUUAGGUUUAGCCCUGAAAGAGAAAGAAAGAGUCAAGAAACAGCAUAAGUUAUAACGUGGUAUACCAGAAGCAUAUGUUCAGUCUAGCUUACCCAAGAACCGUUUUCAAUGGUGGCAGCUGAGUGGCCGACGAUUCACCAGAGGAAGAAUGGGAAGUAACCUGAUAAUCGGAGUCGGACGGAUUAAGAGGUUGACGGAUGAAACCCGCUUUAGGAUAUAAAUUAAUAAAAAGGUCGGAGACCUCGAAGCGGCGUUUUCGAACCGGACUGUUUGGUAAACCGGCGGAGGUAACUACCUGGCCGCUGUGCCGGGUUGUGCGGCGAGCUUCAUGUUGCUGAGUCUUCAUAAGAAAUUUGGGAUCCAAGUAAGCAAGAGGAUGAGAAAAUUUAACUUUCCGGUCUGCCUGGCGAAAUUUUGGCAAAGGCAAAGGAUCUGAAUCGGAAGAGAGAAUAGUUACCUCAGCGACAUCAGCAUUACUGGCUUCAGCGUCGUCCUGACAAGUAUCAUCAUCAAUAAGGCAUGUAAAAAGUAAGCCUAGUGAAUCGAGUUCUACCUCAAGGUCCGAGUUACCCACAUCAUCAUCAACAGCCGGAUCAGAUGAAGUAGUGGUUUUCCUCUUUUUAGCAGGCUUCUUGAUGACCUUGGUCUUUGGCCGGAUUGACCGUUCUGCUUUCUCCGGUUUGUCUUGUGGAAGCUUCUUGCUCCAAAAUGGAUUAUCACCCUGGUUAAGCAGCAAUUGAUGUCAGACAGAGAUAGCAAUAACAGGUUUAGUAAAAAGUACAAUCAAAGUCUUACAGCUGGCGGUUUGUUGGUAGCACAGAAAGGGAGCAGGCCGGUUUGAGCACAGAGGUUCUCCGGUUCGUUCAGCAUUUUCUUCACAGCCUCUGUAACUUCAUCAUCGGAGAGCUGGAUGUUGGUGUGUCGGAGUGGGUCAUCAACGCUACCAGUAUACUUGCACAUUAAACCGGAGCGCCGGCUGAGAGGCAGUAUGCUCCAUGAUAUCCAACAGCGUGCGAGAUCUACUCAUGUUAAACCGUUGGCCAUGAAGGCUCGGAGCUUGGAUAAUUGCGGAGCGUAUUUACUCCUCUCCUUGGCACUUAACCUUUGUGGGAAGGGGUGUGUAUUGCUGAGCCGCUCCGGAUGAAAGCCAGGCAAAGGAUUUUCAUCAUCAGGGGAAGUAUCUUUGCAGUAAAACCAUGUUGCAUUCCACUCCUUGGGGUGACUGUGUAGUCGGGCAUGGGGAUAAGUGAUUUCUUUCCUUUUCUGAAUUGCCAUUCCGCCCAAUUUGGUAUUGGGACCAUCAGUGAACUCUGUGCGGCGGUUCAACUGGAAGCAGUCUCUGAACAAUUCAACUGUGGGUUUCUCUUGAAGGUAUACCUCAUAGAGCACUUGGAAGUGACAUAAGUUGGUAACAGAAUUGGGGCCAGUAUCUUGCGGGCGGAGUUGAAAAUUGGCUAACACAUCCCGGUAAAAUUUAGAGCCGGGCGGUUUGAAGCCCCGGGCUAAGUGAUCCGCAAAGAUCACAACCUCUCCCUCUUGAGGUGUGGGAGGACAUUCAUCACCAGGAACCCUCUAGUGGAUAGUCUCUUUGCUGUCUAAAGCGCUGAUCGAGACUAAAUCAUCCAACUGAGUUUCUGUGACACGAGAAGGAACCCAGUUGCACUCAUAUACUUGUUUGGCCAUGGUGAGAUCUACAAGAAAUAGGUGAUUCCGGUUCAAGAACAUGUUGGAUAAAAGAAGGCGCUGGUAUGAACAAUGCUAAACCGGAGGCAGUAUAUUUAAACCGGAUUUUUAUGAAGUGGCAUCAUAUGGCUAAAGAGUUCUGGCGGUUCAACAAGGGGACUAAUGGUUGCGGAUGGCUAAGUAUGCAGAAACAGGUUUCACAAGGUCUUAUUGCAGCAAUGGAUCUGAAGCAAGUUCAGAAAAACAGAAAAUAUUCACAAGGUUAAAGCAGAACAGAAGUAAAUCAAUGGGUAGGAAUGUGGAUGAGAUCUAUAGACUUGAGCGUAAAACUACAGGCGUAUGCUAAAAAGCUACUGCUAGUCAGAGCAGGGUUUCACAGAUAUGUCCAGGAGUCUGGGUACGAGUAUGAACAAGUGAUGAACAUGGCAAGAACACGAAACCCUAGAAUAGAUCUAUGUUAAGAAGAACAGAAGGCUUACUAGAGUCAAGGAAGACGCGGAAGGCUACCACGGUGCUCUGGUGCGUUCAGGUUGAUGCAGCGGCCCAAGACGGUGCAGAGGUCAACGGCGGUGGCGGAGCUCCGAGGCUGGCGACGCGAGGAAGACGAAGAGAAAGAGACGAAGUGGAGAAAAGGAAAUGACCCUUCGGUCCUAUUUAUAAGGCAGGGGACGUGUGUCAGGCGCGCGAAUCCAGGAGCCACAAGAUUCGAAAGUGGAGCUGCUGCCUUGGGUAUCGCAGAUCUAUUAAUGAAGGAAGGCGUCAUAAAUGUUAACUUCAUGAUGACGUCAUGCCGGUUUACAGCAACCAGAGAUGAUGACGACAUGGCGGUUUACCAAUUACCAGAAGAUGUUGAAGACAAAGAUCUUUGUGAAGGAUUGACAUGAACCAGUUCAAAUCAAUCUGGGGCCUAAUGUUGGGGAUAUUACCAUUGGGCGUGAACCGGCCUACCUGGGCCGGGUUAACUUCAUUAGUAGUUUAAAGGUGAUUAAGCAGAUGAAGGCCCAAGGCCUGUAGUCGGUUUAGAACCUGUAGCCGUAAACCGGCUUGAUAUGUAAACUUGCAUUGUAAGUUAGGAAUAGAGAGAGACCAACCGGGAUACGAGUAUGAAACGGUGUGGGACUCUGUGGACCGACGGGCGUCACCCGUGUAUAUAAGGGGACGACCCGGCGGCGGUUCAAGGAGAGACAACAACAACUCGAGCCUAGGUGAAGCUUGUUUGCUCCCUAGCCAUCGAAACCACAUCAAUUCCAUCACAACUAGACGUAGGCUUUUACCUUCAUCGAAGGGGCCGAACUAGUAUAAACCCUCAUGUCUUUGUGUCCGCUUUAACCCCUUCAAGUUAACCUGUAGCGAUGGCUCCACUACUAAGUCCUUUCACAAGGACAUCUGCCGUGACAAAUCCACGACAGACUCCGUUUGAUAUUCCUUUUCUUCGAAAUACUAAAAUAGGCAAAAAAAUAGCAGUGCGGGCUGGGCCUCCGGUUAGUAGGUUAGUCCCAAAAAUGAUAAUAAUGUGUAAAAUAAAGCCCAUAAACAUCCAAAACAGGUAAUAUAAUAGCAUCGAACAAUCAAAAAUUAUAGAUACGUUGGAGACGUAUCAUGCCCCAACGCGAGACGACGACCGUGACACCGGAUAUACCAAAUACAAAUCCGGUCGGGCCGAAUACAACAGACUGGACUCAUUUGAGCUGCGUCGCGACAUUGCGCGGCACAGAGGCGCCGCACACCCCCUAUGCUUCACUGGCGAAGUAAUGGAUCAUGAAUUCCUAGAAGGGUUUAAAACUGUGAAUAUUCAGUCAUACGAUGGCACAACAGACCCCGCGGUAUGGAUUGAAGAUUUCCUUCUACACAUUCACAUGGCCCGCGGCGAUGAUCUACAAGCCAUCAAGUACCUCCCACUAAAACUCAAGGGACCGGCUCGACAUUGGCACAGCCUACCGGCAAAUUUCAUUGGCUGUUGGGAGAACCUGGAAGACGCAUUCCUUGAAAAGUUCUAGGGCACUUACGUGCGACCGCCAGAUGCUGAUGACUUAAGUCACAUAACCCAACAGCCCGGAGAGUCAGCCAGGAAAUUCUGGACUCGGUUCCUAACGAAAAAGAACCAAAUUGUCAACUUUUCGUAUGCCGAAGCCCUAGCGGCCUUUAAGCACAAUAUCCACGACGAGUGGCUCUCCCGACACCUCGGCCAAGAGAAGCCGAAGUCCAUGGCAGUCCUCACGACACUCAUGACCCACUUUUGUGUAGGCGAAGACAGCUGGCUGGCUCGCAGCAACAGCACAUCAAGAAAUCCUGACACUUCAGAUGCCAUAGAAAACAACGGCAAGCCCCGACGCAACAGAUGCAAGCGUCAUAGCAAUGGCGACAACACCGAAGACACGGCAGUCAAUGCCGGAUUCAGUGGCUCUAAGACUGGUCAGCGGAAAAAGUCAUUCAAAAGAAACAAUCCGGGUCUGUCCAAUCUGGAGCGCAUACUCGAUCGCUCGUGUCAAAUUCACGACACCCCUGAUAAACCAGCCAACCACAGCAACGGAGAAUGCUUGGUGUUCAAACAGGCCGGCAAGUUGAAUGCCAAAAACAAGGAAAAGGGGUUGCAUAGCGAUGAUGACGAGGAGCCCUGGUAGCCGAACACAGGAGGAUAGAAUAAAUUUCCUCCCCAAGUGAAAACGGUAAACAUGAUAUACGCCACCCACUUUCCCAAGCAGGAACGGAAGCGUGCACUAAGGGACUACUACGUCUUGAGAUUGAGUUGGUUUUCCUUGAAGAGGAAAGGGUGAUGCAGCGCAGUAGCGUAAGUAUUUCCCUCAGUUUUUGAGAACCAAGGUAUCAAUCCAGUAGGAGGCUCCUCACAAGUCCGACGAACCUACAAAAACAAAGAAAGAACUCACAACCAAUGCGAUAAAGGGGUUGUCAAUCUAUUCACGACCACUUGGGAAAGUGAGAUCUCAUAGAGUUAAUAUGAUAAGAUAAAUAUAUUUUUGGUAUUUUAUAAUAUAGAUGCAGAAAAUAAAGAUGAAAAUAAAAGUAGAUUGAAAGCCUAUAUGAUAAAAGAUAGACCCGGGGCCAUAGGUUUCACAGGAGGCUUCUCUCAAGAUAGCAUAAGUAAUACGGUGGGUGAACAAAUUAUUGUCGACUAGUUGAUAGAAAAGCGAAUAAAUACGAGAUUAUAUAGGCAUGAUCAUGUAUAUAGGCAUCACGUCCGUGACAAGUAGACCGACUCCUGCCUGCAUCUACUACUAUUACUCCACACAUCGACCGCUAUCCAGCAUGCAUCUAGAGUAUUAAGUUCAUAAGAACAGAGUAACGCAUUAAGAAAGAUGACAUGAUGUAGAGGGAUAAACUCAAGAAAUAUGAUAUAAACCCCAUCUUUUUAUCCUCGAUGGCAACAAUACAAUACAUGCCUUGCAACCCUUUCUGUCACUGGGUAAGGACACCGCAAGAUUGAACCCAAAGCUAAGCACUUCUCCCAUGGCAAGAAAGAUCAAUCUAGUAGGCCAAACCAAACCAAUAAUUCAAAGAGACUUGCAAAGAUAACUCAAUCAUACAUAAAAGAAUUCAGGGAAGAUUCAAAUAUUACUCAUAGAUAACUUGAUGAUAAACCCACAAUUCAUCGGAUCUCGACAAAAACACCGCAAAAGGAGUUUACAUUGAAUAGAUCUCCACAAGAGAGGGGGAGAACUUUGUAUUGAGAUACAAAAAGAGAAAAGAAGCCAUCUAGCUAAUAACUAUGGACUCGAAGGUCUGUGGUAAACUACUCACAACUCAUCGGAAGGGCUAUGGGGUUGAUGUAGAAGCCCUCCGUGGUGGAUUCCCCCUCCGGCAGAACGCCGACGACGGCUCCAAGAUGGGAUCUCGUGAAUACAGAAGGUUACUGUGGCGGAAAUAUUUCUUCGGUGGCUCCCUGGAAGUUUUCGGGGUAUGUCGUAUUAUAUAGGAGGAAGAAGUAUGUUGGUGGCCGCUCGAGGGGGCCAGGAGAUAGGGGCGCCCCCAGGAGGGGUGGGCGCGCCCUCUUGUCUCCUGGCCGCCUCAUUUGCUUCUUGACUUGCACUCCAAGUUCUCCGGAUCACGUUCAUUCCAAAAAUCACGCUCCCGAAGGUUUCAUUCCGUUUGGACUCCAUUUGAUAUUGCUUUUCUUCGAAAUACUGAAAUUGGCAAAAAAAAUAGCAAUACGGGUCGGGCCUCCGGUUAGUUGGUUAGUCCCAAAAAUGAUAUAAAUGUGUAAAAUAAAGCCCAUAAACAUCCAAAAUAGGUAAUAUAAUAGCAUGGAACAAUCAAAAAUUAUAGAUACGUUGGAGACGUAUCAGGGACGUCUAUGCGAUGGAGCCAGUCGCCCCGAAGUUCAACCCAUGGUCAUCUUGUCCGAUCACUUUCGAUAGCAGGGACCAUCCUACUAGUAUCUGUCAUGGCGGUUCAGCCGCAUUGGUCCUCAACCCCAUCAUUGACGGAUUCCAUCUCACGCGAGUCCUUAUGGACGGUGGAAGUAGCCUGAACCUGCUUUAUCAGGAUACAGUGCUCAAAAUGGGCAUUGAUCCCUCAAGGAUCAAACCCACCAAAACCACCUUCAAAGGUGUAAUUCUAGGUGUAGAGGCCUGUUGUACGGGCUCAAUAACACUGGAAGUAGUCUUCGGAUCUCCGGAAAACUUCCGAAGCAAGGAGUUAAUCUUCGAUAUCGUCCCCUUCCGUAGUGGCUAUCAUGCACUACUAGGACGAACCGCAUUUGCUUGAUUCAAUGCGGUGCCACACUACGCAUACCUCAAGCUCAAGAUGCCAGGACCUCACGGGGUUAUAACAGUCAAUGGAAACACAGAAUGCUUGCUCCGUACAGAGGAUCACACUGUGGCCCUCGCAGAAGAAGUACAAAGCAUCCUUGUUAGCUAGACUCUCAACCCGACGAUAAAUGCCCCGGACACCGUCAAGCGAGUCCGGAGUACUCUGCAGCAGGAUCAUCCGGCACGUCCAGAGCUCGACUAGCAAUUCGGCCUCCGUCCUAGUCCCAGUCAAGCGGCGAAAUUUGCGCCGCGCGUACAUAAUUACGCACUCAAAAUACCAUGGGCAUAGGCGGAGGCACGGCUACGAAGCGGUCCACAAUGCGGCUCAACCGCCCCAGGAUGCGUAUACCUUCAUCAUUUUCUUUCUUUCAGGACCCUAAUUUCGGGAAGUCCUUUCAGAUAGUCUGAUCAUCGGAAUCAUCACGGGAAGGAAAAACCAAGGAGGCAAGUGGCUUGGACGUACAAGGGAAUACGGAGGUGGUCUCUAAUAACGAUUGUUAUACCUGUUUUACAUACCUGCUCGCAGCCUGCCCUUGGUUAGGACAUGUCAAAUAGUCCUAUUUUUACUUAUCACAUUACUUGUAUACAUACGCUUUGACAUAUUAUUUAAAUAACAAUGGAAAAAAUAUACAACGUCAGCUUAUCAUUAUAUUUUCUUUAUCUUUUUCCUUGACUGCUUAUUUAUUACAAAUUGCACCCGUACACUUUGGUACAUUCCGUUUGCGAGGGGCUUCAAUGUACCGCAUAACACGGCAAGAAAAGUCCGAACACUUUCGACAGUUGGGCACCCCGAACUUAUAGCAUUAUAUGCAUCAGCUCCGAAUCAUGUCUUGGGUCAAUAGUUGGGUUUGCCCGGCUCCCAUGUUUUGGUACCUUACGUUCCGCUAUAUCGUCUAAGGUAGCGCUGGGAGAACUACUGCGAUUGUGUCCCGGUUCUUCCGGACGAGCACCUCAGUAGAGAAAGCCGAAAACUGACUGUCAUGAUGCGGCAAGAGCUGGUCGUUGUUCGAGAGGUCUCAAAUCCUUAAAGAUUUAUUCCGCUUCGGGCGAGGAAUUGGCCUUGUCCGAUUUAGGCGUGUAUAGUGCCCCAAGUUCGGUCUUUCGAAUAACAGGGGCUACGCCAAAAUUUAACAUUACAGACUUCUAUGGCUAAGUCAGAGUGAUAAAGCUAUAUAGUCCGAUUGCCUUGUCCGUUGCGCUAAACACCUCCUUAUUGGACCAAAAAUUUGGAUAAAGAGUGUUUAGAUUUACCCCGAACACCCCGGUACUAGUUGCAUGGGGGCGGAAGCCGACGACUGGCCAACUCUCAGGUUUUAGAAACGGCUGCAUAGAAGGUAAUAUUUUAAAUCAACAAGCGUUAUAUGGCGCAAACGAACUUUUUUUCAUACUACAAGAUCAGAUGAGUACAUUCAUUCAAAAAUUACAUCCUUAGAGCAUUCCUCCGCCACAAGGCGAGCGCCCUUCAGGACACCAUAGUAAUACUUCUCGGGGUUGCGGUGCUCCUUGCCCUUCGGUGGCCCCUCCGUCACCAGUUUCUCGGUGUCCAUCUUAGCCCAGUGCACUUUCGCGCGGGCGAAGGCCCGGCGCGCACCUUCAAUGCAGACAGACCGCUUUAUGGCUUCAAGCCUCGGUUAGGCAUUCACAAGACGCUUCACCAAGCCAAAGUAGCUGGUGGGCAGGGGCUCGGCAGGGACUAUGAGGUCCUUCAUGGCCAGUUUCGCCGCCUUGUGCAGUUCGACCAGUUGCUUCAGCUGGUCACUCAAGGGCAUCGGCCGUUCGGCCCCAAUAUACUGGGACCAGAAUAACUUCUCUGUUGAGCUUCCUUCUUCAGCCCGGUAGAACUCUGCGGCAUCAAAGAUGCUGCGUGGAAGAUCUACGGAUGCUCCUGGAGAGUUCCAAAUUCGGGUAAGUAAUAGGAAAGCCUCCUUCACAUGCUUGCUUUGCAUAUUGAAAGCCUUCCCCUCCGAAAUCUUCUUGGCCGCCUGAACCUCGUGGAGGGCCUUUUGGGCUUCGGCCUUGGCGUCUUGCACGCUUUGGAGGGCCUUCGCAAGCUCAGACUCUUGCAUCUUGGAGUCACGCUCCAUGGACUCGAAUUUUUUGACGAAGUCCUGGAGCUCUUGCUGGACCUCAUUAACCCAAGCCUCUUGCCUCUCACGCUCGGUGCGCUCCGUGGCCGCCUUGUCUUUUGCCUCGGACAACGCUUUCUUAAGGGCUGCCACUUCGGUCGUGGCCCCUAUUAUAAUUCAUGAUGCUUCUGUUAGCAUCAACGAUUUUUCCUUUAUAUGACACUCAGACAGGGUAUUGCUUACCUUUGUUCUCCUCGAGCUGCCUCUUCACGAGGCCAAGCUCUUCGUCGACCCGCCCCAGGUCCAGCUUUAGUCCGGAGACCACCGUAGUUCGGGCCACAGCGGCCAGCAGCGACGCCUGCUUAUUCACAUAGACAUAUUCUGAUUAGACUCCUGUGGAUGUUAUUUGAUCCUCUGUUCGGUGUUUCUCUUCGAAUACCAAACAGAGCAUCAGGGGCUACUGUCUAUGUUGUGAUAUUUCCUCAUAAUGUGAUUAUUUCCCUCAAAGCUUGUUAGGAGGCUGGCGCAGGCUUCGGUCAAUCCGCUUUUGGCGGAUCGAACCUUCUCAAUCACCGUACUCAUAAGAGUACGGUGCUCUCCGUCAAUGGAAGCGCCGCGAAGCGCUCCCAACAAAUUGCCCGAUGCCUCUAGGUGGACAAAGGUCGUCGGCAUAGGAGGCUCGCCCUCCUUAGCGAGGGGCUUCUCACCUGAAUCCGGAACUGUUGGAGGUUCCGGCGCAGUAUCUGGAACUGUUGUUGUGGCCCCCGUCGGCAUAAUCCAUGGGGCUCUUUCCACCCAUGUACCCAGCAUCUGGGAUUUCUCCUUGGGGCGUCUCCAGAACCAUCGCCCCCUAUUCCGGUAUCCUCUGGGACAAUGCCUCGGUGUCGUCUGCGGGCCGGUGGCUGGUGGCCGUCGGGAGUGAAUAGCUAUUCAUCUCCGAUUGACUCAAAGACCCAGCCGAGGAGGAUACAUUGAUGUGGGCUUUGGGCGGACUGCACAGUCACAUCUGACAUGAUAAGGAGCAAUAAAGCCAAAAAUACUGGAAGCAUUAUAGUGUCCUGAUACACUACUGGAAUCUGGCACUUUGCCAUCUGCCAUGGCGGAUGGCAAAGGCAUGGUCGGCGGAUGGCAAAGGCUUUGCCAUCUGCCAGUAGAUGGCAAACAGUUUGUUUGAAACCCUGCUGGUAAAGGCUUCUUUGCCGUCUACUGGCUGAUGGCAAAGAGCCUAUGGCUUUGCCAUCUGCUGGCAGUUGGAAUACUUUGCCAACUGCCAGCAGAUGGCAAAGGCUGCAUACUUUGUCGUCUGCCAGCAGAUGGCAAAGAGUUUUGCCAUCUGCAAAGAGCCUAUGGCUUUGCCAUCUGCUGGCAGUUGGAAUACUUUGCCAACUGCCAGCAGAUGGCAAAGGCUGCAUACUUUGUCGUCUGCCAGCAGAUGGCAAAGAGUUUUGCCAUCUGCUGGCAGAUGGCAAAGAGCCCAAAUAUGCCAGCCCAAAUUUAACAUGUAGAUAACACGUGGCCUCUUUGCCAUCUGCCAGCUGAUGGCAAAGCUCUUUCCCAUCUGCCAGCAGAUGGCAAAGUGACUAUAUUGCCCCAUUUAAUUUUGUUUUUUCUUAUAUCAAUUCAUUUUCACAUAAAUCAAGCACAAAUAUAUUUAUACGACCAAUAUAGCAUAUUCAACACAUAUUACCAAUAGUCAUGAACACAUAUGUAUCCAACACAUGUUACCAAUAGUAGCAAGUUUCAUCCGUACAUAUACAUAGUUUCAUCAAUAUUACACAGUUUCAUCCAUAGGUAGCAAGUUUCACAAGGUCAAAACAAAAACUAAAUACAAGCACUCCAUCAACCCAAGCUUCCGUGAUCUUAAGCAAAUCUGUAAAAUGGGAAAGAAGAAAGUUAGAAGAAGAAGACUAGAAGAAGAAGAUUAUUAUGAUGCAACUAAAAUGUUCAGCUGCCGUUCAGUUACCAGUUCAGCUACCGUUCAGUUUCAAGAAAAAAAGAGUUACUUACCCACAAAAAGAAAAAGGAGAAAUGAGUCAGCUAGCUUUCUUGCAGACUAUACGUACGUGUGAAACAUAGAAUCAGGUCACACAUGUUAUACAGCAGGCCAAACAUAUCUUUAGAAAACAAAAUAAAGUAAAAUAAAGUAACAACCAACAGAUAAUCUUGAGCAGAUGCAGCAGAGUGAUCUACAAUAUGAAAAAACCACUGCAACUAUGUAAGCCACAACACCCAUACAAAUACAUGAAAACAUCGCCACACUUCGCCAACAGCAAACCGCCUGAUGCCUAUGUAUUAUAUAUAGGAGUGGAACGAAGUAGUCCCAGAUUUAAAAUAAAUAUAGGAGUUCGGGAGAGAUAAAGUUGAGUUGUUAUAAAUACUGCAAAUGUGGUUGUGUGUAUGUGUAGGUUCGCCUCAAGGCACACAACCAUGAGAUGAACUAUGUUGGUAUUUCUGUAUUUGCGCAGUCCAGCCUUACAAGCCACACUGAAUAACAAUGAACAGAGUAAGAUUACUAGAAAUGUACUGAAUGCAUAAAUUACAAAAUAUGUGCAGAUCUGUCUAAGGCUCAGGAAAUGUUUGUUUUUUUGGUUAUUGGAGCUGUAGAACAGUAGGAGAAUUAACCACUUAAUUACUACUGGAGUUUUGUUCAUCUGAAAAAUAAAAUAGUGCGAGUUUUUUGCCAGGAGCUUCAGGGCACAAAUAAGUUAUGGGGCAAGACAAUUGUAUGAGUAGUACUAUUUUGCAUUGUAUUUGUAGGGAGGCAGCACUGAUGUUUAGUCCAAGAAAGCUUACCUUAGAUACCUCGAGGCAACUCUGCCAUUUCACUCCAAAGGAACAACUCGGCGCAGAAUUCAGUUCUCACAACCAACGGCAUCAACAAGCAUUCAGCAAACAUCAAUCAAACCAUCAGAACACGUCCAACAUCCAAGCAUCAAUAUGUCUUUCUUCAGACCGGAAAUUACAUGUCUGUGUUGUUCUCUAUUUUUGAGUCGCCGAGUCAAGCCAAGUCGCCGAGGCUGUGGCUAGUGGCUUGCUGGCUUGAGUCAGCGACUUGGCUUGAUUAGUCACCCUAAGUCGCCAUGGCUUAGAAUAGGAUUUAGGGGUAGAAUUAGGAGUGAUAUUACCUUGUAAUCUUUUAUAGUUGGCAAUGGAAAUCCCUUUCUGACCUUGUGCAAGGUCGUCUUUGUUGAUUGCAGGUGCACCUUGCAGUGUAAAUGUAAUAGCAAGCAUGAGCAUCAAGUUGUUUGCACCUUGCAGUAUAUAUGUAAUAGGAAACUUGCACAUUUGAGUUGAAAUAAAGAGGAGAACUUACUUCUUGUGUGUCCAUCUGUCCCAAUUUGUUUUCCUUGAUGAUCCUUUUCUCUUUGCACCUGAUCACCUGAUUCAGACAAGGAAAACAGCAGCAGUUCUACAUACAAAUACCAUCACAUUUCUUAAGCAUUAGUUCAUUACAUUUAACUACGAGCUAUCAAGUUCUUAACUCUUAACAACCAGCCCCAAAUCGACCCCAAAUCCUAUGUCCAAAAUAAGGGAUAAGGCACACCAGCCCAACCCCCAAGCCCCCAACUCCAUAUGUCCAAAAAGAAGCCACAAGGUCCACACCAGCCCCAAAUCCUAUGUCCAAAAUGAGGCACACCAGCCCCAAGAGCCCCCAACUCCAUAUGUCCAAAAUGAGGCACACCAGCCCCAAGAGCCCCCAACUCCAUAUGUCCAAAAUGAAGCCACACCAGCCCAAGUUCCAUCAAUCGUCCUAGUAAUCCAGAUCAUCAUCAAAGCCAAUGGAGCCUCUCUCUUCACCUCCACCCUCACCUUCACCUUGAUUUCCCUCUUGAUCAUCUUCACUUGUUGAAUAAUCUUCAAGCUCAACCUCCUGAUUUGCAUCAUCCUCCUCGUCCUCAUCUUCUCCAACUUGGUGCACUCGAGAUCGAGAAUAGACAUGAGUAACAGCAGCCUGACUCCCACUCCCAUGGCUUCUAAGGUUGCGCCAUGUACCUUCAGAUGCACCGACAGCUUCGUCAACUUGAGCCCAAGUGAUAUCAGCCCCUUCAUAAACCGGCUGAGCAUUAUGGUCAACCCAUUCAUUGUCCCAUUGUAAGUCUUCUAGGACUAAUGGGUCAGACCUAGUCCCUUUGGAGCCUUCCUCACGAAUCUUUUGGAACCUAUCAGCAUUCUUCCGGUUGUAUUGAACAUAUGACAAAUCAUUAAGUCUUUAGAACUCCAACCUAUUUCUCUUUUUGAUAUGGAUCUGAAAACAACAUACAAGAAAACAAUUAGAAAGGCUACCAUAAGCACCCCACCAAAGAACUACAGAAGUACAAUGAACAUCAAGUUGGUACAUACUACUUACAUUUUGAAAGCAAGACCAAUUUUGUUCGCAACCGUAAGCUGAAGUACAAAGGCUAACUAUGUGCUUUGCUAAAUGUUGCAGCUCAUAAGCAAGGCCACCAUAAGCACCCCACCAAAGAACUGCAUGACUACAAAUGAAGACAAUGUUAGAAUUCUUAAUCCAAAAAAGAUAGGUGCUGAAAUUUAUGAAAAAGUAGAAGGCUAUAGCUGAAGUAACUUACGAGGAAUCUUUUUUGUUCGGUCAUUGAUUGCCAACUUAGAGCUGAAGCAUUCACCUUCACCUCUUUCAUAGUCAUCAGCCAAUCUACUUAUCACGCUUGCUUUAUCAUCAUCGGGCUCCAUGUGCAAUAGCACCUCAUUGAACAUAUGCCUAAGCCUUUGACAAUAUCGUGCUUUCUCGGGCUUAGCUUUGAGAUCAUAGAUCCUAUUUGGGUUUAAGAAUAGUGCAGCUCCAUACAACUUCACCCCCAUUUGAGAUUCCCACUUGUCCUCUACUAUUUUUGUCACCUUCUUAACCAACGUUGGUUUGUCAUCUAUCCCUCCUGUUCAUAUCAUGCCAAUACCCAUACUUCCACCCAGGGUCUCCCUACUUUGCCUUCCGCUUAGGAUCCUUGGAUGGAUCAUACUGCUCAGGCUCAGGCCCAUUGCCGCCGGCUGCACUAUUGACAGUUUGGUCAGUCAUCCUCUAGCUGCAGCCAAGGUGCCUACAGAAAAAACAGAGCAACACAAGUAGUAAUCAGUAAUUACUAAUUAGAGCAGCAGGGCACAUCAGUACAUAGAGCAGCAGAGCAAAUCACUACAUCAGUACAUAGAGCAGCAGAGCACAUAGAUCUACAGCAGAGUAAAUAUAGAGCCCACCCCACGCUAUCUUUCCUUCGGUCCUUCUAUUUUCCCAGUCCCCACAGCAACAGCAGCAGAGCACGCAGCAGCAGAAGCAGAGCAAACAGCAGCAGAAGCAGAGUAAAGAGACGCAGAGGGGGCAACGAGCCAUACCUGCAGUCUUUGCUGGCGUAGGCGCAGGAGAAGAUGGAGGCGAAGGCGGAGGAGGCUAGUGGGGGCAGGUCACCGGCGGAGGAAGCUCUUGGGGCCGCGCGUCACCGGCGGAUCUGGAGGGGCACGUCGCCGGCGGCCGCCGAUCUGGAGUCCUAGGUUAGGAGACUCAUAAGACGGAGUUGCAGCCAUGGCGCGGCGGUGCGGCGCAUCGAGGAUGCUUCGGCCGACGGCAGCGAGCUAAGGAGGCUGCGGUCGACGGCGGCAGGCUAAGGAGGCCGCAGCUGGCGACGGCGACAGCGCAUCGAGAAGGGGACGGCGCCGCGGGGAGGGGUCGGCGCCGCGGNNNNNNNNNNNNNNNNNNNNNNNNNNNNNNNNNNNNNNNNNNNNNNNNNNNNNNNNNNNNNNNNNNNNNNNNNNNNNNNNNNNNNNNNNNNNNNNNNNNNNNNNNNNNNNNNNNNNNNNNNNNNNNNNNNNNNNNNNNNNNNNNNNNNNNNNNNNNNNNNNNNNNNNNNNNNNNNNNNNNNNNNNNNNNNNNNNNNNNNNNNNNNNNNNNNNNNNNNNNNNNNNNNNNNNNNNNNNNNNNNNNNNNNNNNNNNNNNNNNNNNNNNNNNNNNNNNNNNNNNNNNNNNNNNNNNNNNNNNNNNNNNNNNNNNNNNNNNNNNNNNNNNNNNNNNNNNNNNNNNNNNNNNNNNNNNNNNNNNNNNNNNNNNNNNNNNNNNNNNAGAUAGUCCGACUUCUUUGCCAUCGGCCAGCGGAUGGCAAAGGCCCAUAUCUUUUCCAUCAGCCAGCGGCUGGCAGAUGGCAAAGAGGUGGGGCUACUGGGCCGUUACAGCGCCGUCAUCCACUGGGCCCCACCCACUUCUUUGCCAUCUGCCAGCAGACGGAAAAGAUUCUUUGCCAUCUGCUAGCAGAUGGCAAAGAGGUGGGUAGUCUACCCACCUCUUUGCCAUCUGCCAGCGGAUGGCAAAGAUUCUUUGCCAUCGGCUGGCGGAUGGCAAAGAACUGGCUGAUGGCAACCAGGUUCUUUGCCAUUUGUCAGUUCUUUGCCGUCUGUUUUUUGUAAGCAGAUGGCAAAGACGUUCUUUGCCAUCCGCUGGCAGACGGCAAAGAGCUGACUGAUGGCAAAUUCCUUUCCAGUAGUGAUACUUAUGACUUCGCCCGGGGCUUGUCCCUGGCCAACCACUCCUCGUCGCUAUAGGCGGCCAUGGUGGACUAGUUCGGAGGGUGGGUCCUUCCCUUCUUGGACCCUUCAGCCUCCCCAGACGGGCGACCUUCCUUUUCUUCUCCCUCUCGGUUUGGGGGGGGAGGGUUUUCCUCUUCCUCCUCGUUUUCGUUGGAGGAGUGCGCCUCGGUGUCAUCGGACGAUGAGUCCGACACGGCCUUGCGCCGGAUACCUUUCCUGCUCCCCGUGGCCUUCUUCUCAGGCUCUUUGUAAGGCGCCGGAAGCAGGAUCUCCGUCAAGAGAUCUGUUGCUUUUCUUCAAGUAGCGGAGCCGGACAGUCGAUCCGCUCCGCUGUCGCUACCCAGUCCUAUUAAAUUGGCAUGGAGGCUUAGAUCCCUCCCACGAAUAUACUGAGGAAAGGUGCAUUUUGUGAAAUAUAUAGAGUUUACCGGAUUGGCGGGGCGCUUUGCGCUGAGACCGCGAUCCUCGGUAGUGGGAGGAGGUACUUCGGUGGCCUUGAACAACACUUUCCAGACGUCUUUGUGCAUCGUGUUGAAGAGCUCUCACAGUGUUUGGUAUUUGGCCAAAUCGAACUCCCGCAUAUUGAAUUACCGUCUUUGACACGGAAGGAUCCGGCGGAAGAGCAUGACUUGGACCAUGUUGACAAGCUUGAUCUUCUUGUUUAUCAUAUUUUUGACACAGUUCUGAAGUCCGGUCAGCUCUGUCGGUGCACCCCAGGCUAAGCCCUUCUUUUUCCAGGAGGUGAGCCGCAUGGGGAUGCCAUAUCGGAACUCGGGGGCCGCCGCCCAGUUGGCGUCACACGGCUCGGUGAUAUAGAACCACCCCGAUUGCCACCCCUUCACGGUCCACGUAGGAGCCUUCGAGCCAUAUGAUGUUCGGCAUCUUGCCCACCAUGCACUACUAGAAAAAGGCCUGUUAGUGGCGCACCUAUUUUUUCCAUUAAUGGCGCACUAUAGGUGCGCCACUAUUACCACGCCACUAGUAGCAAAUACUAAUUUCUUUUUUUUCUUAAUUUCGGGUCACCAUGGCUUAAUCUCGGGUCAAUAUGGCUUAAUCUCAAGUCAAGUCGCACUCCGUGGUCAAACUUGCCGAAAGGUCACCCAUCCUCACACUACUCCAGCCCAAGCACGCUUAACUUCAGAGUUCUAUCCAACCCCAGCACCAGCUCACUUAACAGGCACUUGUUGAUAUAUCUAGCAUAUCAAUCCAAUUAAACCUUGUUGAUGUUUAGGACUUUGUUCAUGUUCAUGAGUGUGAUGAAAUUUUGAAAAAAUGUUUCAAACUUCCGUUCAUAUUACGUAGCAUAUUCUGAAAAACAUUUCCCCAAAAAAAUUCGAAACUACUUUUUUUCUCUUACUAGUGGCGCACCUAGCAAAUGGUGCGCCACUACUAAGUUUGAAUUUUAUUGAAUUUUUUUCCUCUCCAGAUCUUGAAAGCCCCGUAACUUUCUUUCUGUUAGGUUUUUGAGGAUUUUGAAAAUGUUUAACGGGGUUUCCCCUGGUUAAAUUCGGAUAUAACUUUUCGAGUAGAUGAUUUUUCAUAUAAAAAACUUUUUAAUAUGAGUUCGUAUGCAAAAGUUAUGCCCAUUUUACAAAUUCCAGAGAGAUUUUGCAAAUAAAGUAGAAAUUCAUAUUUGUAAAUUUUCCCAAGGACUAGACCACAUAUCACAUGGGAAACUUAUUUUCUUUUAUAUUUUUGACAUUUCCAUCAUUUUCUUUUAUUUUUUUAAAACUAAAAAGGCGGUCCACAGGGGGGGCAUUCGGUGGAAUUUUUUGUCAAAGUUAGUAAUGGUGCACCGUGAGUGUGGUGCGCCAUUACUAGUUAAAACUAGUAAUGGCGCACCACACCCACAAUGCGCCAUUACUAACUUUCAAAAAAAAUAGUAGUGGCGCACCGAGGGUGUGGUGCGCAAUUACUAGUUAAAACUACUAAUGGCGCACUAUCCCCUGGUGCGCCAUUACUAGUUUUGAAAAAAAAAUGAAAAAAAAUUGUUAGUAGUGGCGCACUGAGGGUGUGGUGCGCCAUUACUAGUUAAACUAGUAAUGGUGCACUAUCUCCCGGUGCGCCAUUACUAGUUUUGAAAAAUAAAAUAAAAUAAAAUUGUUAGUAGUGGCGCACCAUGGAUGUGGUGUGCCAUUAGUAUUUGGAGUUUAAUGGCGUAGCUAUAUAUGGCGCGCCACUGCUAUAUAGCAGUGGCGCACCAUAUAUGUGGUGCGCCAUUAAUUUCUGUAUUAUCUAUAGCCGUUUACCUAGUAGUGAUGGCGCCUCCGCACUACGCUUGCUGUCCGACCACUAUCUUCGGCUUUGCGUUGAAGGUCUUCAGCCACAGGCCGAUGUGGGGCUUGAUGCGGAGGAAGGCCUCGCACACGACAAUAAACGCCGAUAUGUUGAGGAUGCAAUUGACGGCCAGAUCAUGGAAGUCCAGCCCGUAGUAAAACAUGAUACCACGGAAAAAUGGGUGGAGUGGGAAUCCCAGUCUGCGGACAAAGUGAGCAAGGAAUACCACCCUCUCGUGGGGUUCCGGAGUAGGGACGAUCUGCCCUACAUCCGGAAGACGGUGCCCAAUGUAUGCGGCCAGCUAUCUGGCUUCCUGGAGCUUCGUAAUGUCCUCCUCCGUUACGGAGGAGGCCAUCCCCUUGCCUCCCGCUCCGGACAUGUUUGGAAUGGCUUUACGGAAAAGGUGAGAACUUGGGCGCUGGGGCUCGAGCGUGCGAGAAUGGAUGAGCAGGGAAGAAGAAGGCGUGGGUGAAAAUGAGGGAUCCUUAUCUCUUUAUAAAGGCGGUAGAAACUGUGCGCCUCCCAACUUGCCCAGUAAACCCGCUAAUUCCCCAAGCGCCGCAUUGAUGGUGUGGUUGGGUUACCCACACCCGUAUUAAUGAGAAUCCCAUGAUAAGGGCACACGAUCUCUGCUUCGACAUGAUGUGCCAAUAAAAUUGCCUCGCGAUAUGUGCGGUAGCAGGUUGGAAAACGGUUCGAAUAAUGAUCGGGCCACGGCGUGAUGUCACGCUAUGAAAAGAUGUCUAUAGAUUAGAUUUGUGGAAUAUUGUGCUCUCUACGGUGGUAUGUGGAAUUUGUUUUGCAGAGCCAGAGACGAUCCUCGUGUUCAAAAUCUUCUAUGGAGUAUUCGGAGAAGGAACCCUCCUUGCAAUGCCGAAGACAAUUUGCGCGCCGGUCAUCGUCAUUGAAGCCUGGUCUAGGGGCUACUGAGGGAGUCCUAGAUUAGGGGGUCCUCGGACAGCCGGACUAUAUACUUCGGCCGGACUGUUGGACUAUGAGGAUACAAGAUUGAAGACUUCGUCCCGUGUCCGGGUGGGACUCUCCUUUGCGUGGAAGGCAAGCUUGGCAAUCCGGAUAUGUAGAUCUCUUUCUAUGUAACCGACUCUAUGUAACCCUAGCCCCCUCCGGUGUCUAUAUAAACUGGAGGGUUUAGUCCGUAGGACAACAACAAUCAUACCAUAGGCUAGCUUCUAGGUUUAGCCUCUACGAUCUCGUGGUAGAUCAACUCUUGUAAUACUCAUAUCAUCAAGAUCAAUCAAGAAGGAAGUAGGGUAUUACCUCCAACGAGAAGGCCCGAACCUGGGUAAACAUCGUGUCCCCCGCCUCCUGUUACCAUUAGCCUUAGACGCAUAGUUCGGGACCCCCUACCCGAGAUCCUCCGGUUUUGACACCGACGGCUAGGCUUAGACAAAGUCGGUUACUGAGGAAAGAAAUCUACAUAUCACGAAUCGCCAAGCUUACCUUCCACGCAAAGGAGAGUCCCACCCGGACACGGGAACAAGUCUUCUAUCUUAUAUCUUCAUAGCCCAAUAGUCGGGCCCACGUAUAUAGUUCGGCUGUCCGAGGACCCCUUAAUCCGGGACUCCCUCAAUGACCUCUCCAAAUCCAUGUUCAUAAUUAUUACAAUAAGAUUCGACACCCUCCAAAAUAGUGGGAUCAUUAGUACCUAGAGACGACACUCUUCCAAUCCCAGUUUCAUCAAUAUAAUCAUCAUAAGUAGGAGGCAUGAUAUCAUCAUAAUACUAAUUCUCGCCAAAAAAUGGGUAACUAAAAAUAGCAUCUUCAUCAAACAUAGCAUCCCCAAGCUUAUGCAUUUGCAUAUCAUUAUCAUCAUGUAUAUUCAAAGAAUUCAUGCUAGAAACAUUGCAACCUGAUACGUCUCAGUCGUAUCUAUAAUUUUUGAUUGUUCCAUGCCAAUAUUCUACAACUUUCAUAUACUUUUGGCAACUUUUUAUACUAUUUUUGGGACUAACAUAUUGAUCCAAUGCCCAGCGCCAGUUCCUGUUUGUUGCAUAUUUUAUGUUUCGCAGAAACCCCAUAUCAAACGGAGUCCAAACGGGAUAAAAAAAGACGGAGACUAUUUUUGGAAUAUUUGUGAUUUUCUAGAAGAAAAAUCAAUGCGAGACGGUGCCCGAGGGGGCCACAAGGCAGGGGGCGUGCCCCAGGGGGGCAGGCGCGCCCUUGACUCUGGUGGGCACCCCAUAAGGCGGUUAACGCUCUUCUUUUGCCGCAAGAAAGCUAAUUUUCAGAGAAAAAUCUGGGCGAAGAUUUUAAUCCAAUCGGAGUUACGGAUCUCCGGAUAUAUAUGAAACAGUGAAAGGGUGUCGGUGUCAAAACCGGCGGAUCUCGGGUAGGGGGUACCGAACGGUGCGUCUAGGCAGAUGGUAACAGGAGACAAGGGACACGAUGUUUUACCCAGGUUCGGUCCCUCUUGAUGGAGGUAAAACCCUACGUCCUGCUUGAUUAAUAUUGAUGAUGUGUGUUACAAGAGUGGAUCUACCACGAGAUCAACGAGGCUAAACCCUAGAAGCAAGCCUAUGGUAUGAUUGUUGUUCAUCCUACGGACUAAAGCCAUCCGGUUUAUAUAGACACCGGAGAGGGCUAGGGUUACACAGAGUCGGUUACAAUGGUAGGAGAUCUACAUAUCUGUAUCGCCAAGCUUGCCUUCCACGCCAAGGAAAGUCCCAUCCGGACACGGGACGAAGUCUUCAAUCUUGUAUCUUCAUAGUCUUGGAGUCCGGCCAAUAAUGAUAGUUUGGCUAUCCGGACACCCCCUAGUCCAGGACUCCCUCAGUAGCCCCCGAACCAGGCUUCAAUGACGACGAGUCCGACGCGUAUGUUGUCUUCGGUGUUUGCAAGGCGGGUUCUCCUUCACGCUCCACGUGUUUGCCGGAUAGUGUCUGGUUGCUUCAUAAAUGUUGCGCUCCUUGGCUUCCACGUCCAAUAGUGGCCUUCUUCCACAUGUUGUACGAAUGCGAAAAGCCAGGGUAUUCUUACAUUUUACCCCCUAGCCGCGCGAAUAAGCUGCCUAUAAGAGAGGCGAGGAUCCAGAUCCAAAUCACACCAUCCUCCUUCCGCAAGUACUCAUCGAGGCGCAUCUGACAAGAAAUCCAUUCCAUCAUGGAUAGUCGACGCAACUCCUCUUCUCGCGCUCCCAGUCCUCAGCCAGGAGAUUGGAGGAGAUGCUCAGUCCCGCAUAGCGAGUUAGUGACGCUCCAAGCAGAGGGAUACCUUCCCCCAGCCUUUAUGGUUCCGGUUCGAGCCGGACUGGCCACCUACAAUAGGAAGAGAGCAUCACCAAUCCCUCCAAAGGACAGCGGGUAUGCUUCGUCCCCUACCUAAUAAGGGGACUCGGAUUUCCCAUACAUCCGUUUCUCCGGGGGCUCCUGGAGUUCUAUGGACUCCAACUUCACCACCUUACGCCUGCCUCCAUUUUGCACAUCGCGGGCUUUGUAGCUCUUUGUGAGCUGUUCUUGGGCAUCGAGCCCCAUUUUGCCAUGUGGAAGAGGUUGUUUUGCCUCGUACCCCGUUCUCACGAGGGGUCGAUAUAUCAAGUGGGCGGAGCCGAAAUAUGGCGCAUCGCCGGGACCAGAUAUCUAUCCGGAACCCUGAAGAAGGCGUCCGAAGACUGGCCUUCGGAGUGGUUCUAUAUGGAAGACGCCCCGCUACCGGAUCCAAUUCGGAUCGGCCUCCUGGAGUUUAGCAAUGCUCCUCUAAAGAAACGCCUGAGUUGGCGCCCACAGAGCCCUCAACGGGAAGAUGACAGGAGCGUCCACUAUCUGAUGGGCCGGAUACGGUUACUAGCCCAUUCCGAAUUAACCAUGAUUGGAGUCAUGGCCACAUGCAUUAUGCGAGGGGUGCAGCCGCUUCAAUAUAGGGGCCACCCCAUGUGGGAUUUCAACGGGAAGAAUGACACCACCCAUCAUGGCCGCACGGGGCCGGGAUCGGCCGCCGAUCUGGUGAAGAUCCUGUCCGGCUUGUACAAGGGGGAGAAGGAGGACUUCCUCCACACGAAUCCAUUGAAUGGAUUCUCCAUGAAUAACCCUCGGAGCUGGGUAAGCGGACGCUUAUAUAUCUGAUCCGUGCUUUCAAAGAUAAGUGCCUUACUUUAUGAUUUCGACGCAGGAAAUACGUCGGGAUGUGGCGGGCAUAGAAAGCCCAACUCCACAACCCGAGGAUCCGGGAAGAUCCCUUGAUCCGGCCUCCGAAGAGGAUCCGGACAUAAAGGUGGAUUUGAUUGACGGGGUGUUCCACCAGCUCAGCAUAGACAAUGCUUUAGUCGCCAUUACGGCUGACUACCCCGGUUUAUGUCCGGCUUCCCAGGUGAGUACGACCGAAGUCCUGACACCGUUACCUUUUUAAUGCUUAUUUCUGACCACCGUGUAUCAAUGGUGCUUGGCAGGAGGUGCCUUAAUGGCGGGAAGCCGAGCCCGCGGCGACUGACCAAACGAGGUCAGUGCGUCCUAGCAGGCGGAAGAGGAGUGCAGCGCGAAUCGAAACAUUGCCGCAAAGGUAUGGUGCGCCAUUGUCUUUUAAGGGAAAGACUCCUGGGAGGAAUAUUAAUGCUCAUGAUUCUUCCAGGAGAAAGAGCGCUCGCCGGACUGAGUCCGGAGAGGGUGCCCACCAAGCCUCCGCCAGCCAGGCUCCAACGCCUGGUCCGGAGGGGGAGGCGAGCGCAAGGCGCGAGCCGGAUGCUCCUCCAACAGAGGAUGCCGACAGGUUGUCCGCCACUAGGUUUGAGGUGGAGAGCGCCAUGAAUCACAGGCGCCGUCGGAUAGUUCUUCGUGACGCGUGUUUCUCCCCUGAGGCGUUAAAUGCCUUUAAUGCGGGAGACGCGCACCUCCGUGCUGCUCAAGAUGGUUUAACCAGAGCCAUGGAGCAGUAUGUAAAGGACAUACGGGUAAGGAAUUUUAAUAGUUAUAUAGGCCAAUAGCCCCUGAGACUUAAAAUAGUUAAACUAACUGAUUUAAGGAUCAUUUGUUAUGCAGGAUCUUACUGAGAAGAAUACCCACCUGUCUCAGGAGCUUCAAGAAUGCAAGGCCCAACUUGAGGCCGCACUAGCCGCUGCCGGGGGAGCCACGGAGACCCCCUCUGGUAAUUCAUAUUUUGAAAAGAGAAGUAGUUUAUGAAGUGCGGCGUGUGUGUAUAGUCUGACAAUAAUAUUGCAGAGGGUGCCGGACUAGAUCCGGACAAGCAAUAGCUGUUGCGCCAGUUGAAGGCCGGCGAGAGGGUGCUUAUGAGGGUGCAGCAGGAGAGGAACAAACUCCAAGAUGCCAACACCCACCUGGGCGAAGAACUAAAAGAUGUUCGGGUCCAGCUGUCUAACUCCGUAAAGGAGAAUCGGCGGCUUCAUCGCGGCAUUUAUAGUAAGUUCUUGAGCAAACUCUUUUGAAAAGAAGAGUUCGGCGAGGAAGUCGAUUGACAGAAAUGUGUGUGUAGGUGUGCUCACGGGUCAUCCAGCGGAGGUGAUGCCUGGUUCUACGGGAGACCCACUUCCCGAGCUGCUGCAACUGCACGAACGUGUUCGGCAGGCGAUGAGCGGCAUUGUUCAGGCCUUAUGGCCUUCUGUCUCCCUACCCGAGGGUCUUGGAGGGCUUGCCGAGAAGCUUCAGGGAGUACGGCGGCGUCUCCGUCUAUGGAAGAUAUUGGCCUGCCGUCAAGGUGCCAGGGAGGCCUGGGCCAUGGUGAAGACGCGGUACCCGAAGGCUGACCCAAACCACAUGGCCGAGGUCAGACCUGUGGGGCCCGAUGGGUAGGAGAUCCCUGUGAGCCUGAUGUACGGCCAAGUAGAGUUGGUCGUGAAAUAUUCCCAAUAGGACUGUAAAUUAGACAACCUGUUAGAUGGGAUUGAAGAGGAGUACAAUCAUUCAGUUUGACGAUGUAAUUUUAAAAUGACAUGUAAAAUGCCUUCUAGCCGGAUUGUAGAUCGUUUGUCUUUGCGGACCUUUUCGCUUCAACCUCGGGACCCAAUAGUCCGAAGUGUGUCCGAAUACCCUUACGGUUAUGAAAGAACCGGGGCAUGCAUGGAGACAAGGCGUAGGGGUCAUAAUUGCUUUAUCAGACAAGUGCCCAACUAGCUAUGUUAUAUUACAUGGUUAGUAAGAAACAUCUUCCAGGGAGAAUAGUUCCGUUAAGGGUUCCUUUUACUGGGAGGCAUGCCCUAAAGUGCAUGUCCGGACUAUGAAAAUAGCAGAAAAAGCAUCUGGGGGCAGAUAAAUAAGUAAGUAAUAAAUCAUCUUUCAAGGUCACCGACCGAAUAUUCCCUUAAGAACGCUAGCCUUCGGCUUCACCCAGUCUGAGGUACACAUCCGGCUGACCCGGCAGUAACAAUCGCAGAGGUGCUCCCUUUACCUCCUAGCCGAACAAUCGGGAAUGCGGGGGUAAGCACAGGAUCCAGGCAACCCGGCUUGGCCAAAACUUAAGUCAUAUCGAUGCAUAUAAUGGUGAUCAAAAGGUACAUGCGGAAGUAUGACACAUGUGUUGGGAAUGAAGCCCAUAGAAAUAAGCUUCUGUUAAAGAAGCCCCCAGGUAUAACGAGUGUGAGUAGCACAUCGAGUGAGUGCGAACAAAGCGUGGAUCAGCCCUCAAGAGGCUUGUACUGAAAGAGGGAGGAAAAAGGAGGGAAAACAAAGACAGCGAAAAAACAUGAAAGGUGGACGGAGGAAGGAGACGAACCCUGAGUCCGGCGUUAGCCGUAAAAUCUUCAGAGACGGGCUGCGUUCCAUGGGUUUGGCUCGAGUCGGUUGUCAGAUGCAUUGCAUAGACGGUAUGCACCGCCCGUAAGGACUUGGUCGAUGAUGAAGGGACCUUCCCAUUUGGGCUUAAGUUUGUCCUUUUUCUUGUCUGGCAGGCGUAGAACUAGCUAGCCAACAUUGUAAGUUUUGGCCCGUACUUCUCUGCUUUGAUAUCUUCAAGCCUGCUGUUGAUAGAAUGCGGAACGGGAUUUUGCCACGUCACGCUCCUCCUCUAAAGCGUCCAAACUGUCCUGCCGAUCCAACUCGGCUUCUCUUUCCUCGUACAUGCGCACGUGAGUUGAGUCAUGAAUUAUAUCGCAGGGCAAAACUGGCUCAGCGCUGUAUACCAUAAAAAAUGGUGUGAAUCCGGUUGUGCGGUUUGGCGUGGUCCGCCGCCCCCAGAGUACGGAGUCGAGCUCCUCUACCCAGUGCGUGUUAGAUUCCAUGAGGGACCGCACUAAUCUGGGUUUGCUUCAAUUCCUCUACCAGAUACAAUGUACUGGUACUGCUGGGCUGGUUGCCCGGGGCUAGAAAGCCUUCGCCACUUUUGGCCACCUGCCAUAGUAUCCAACAUGCUUGGAGGCUAUGUGUUGGAGUGGCGCCCUCCGUACUGUGGAUUUUGCAGGGUCUGUUGAGCCAUCCCUCCAGUACGGUUCCAUGUCCUUUAGGGGUUUUUUGUUUUUUGGUUUUUAACCUAGGUGCUUGAGUAUGACGCACCCUUUUAUUUCGGACUGGGGUUGUAUUCAGGGCCGGAUUGUCCCAAAACCUGGUUUUGGUUUUCCAGGUGCUCUGCAUCGCACAGUAUUUUUGUACAAUGGUCGCUAGGUCGGCGAAGCGUGUAACUUUGCGACGACUUAUGGCGUUCAUGAUUGCCUUGUCCGUGCAAUUGUUGCAGAAAAUUGAAAUCGCGCUUUCUUCACGGCAGUCCUUUAUCCUGUUCAUAACCAGGAGGAAUCUGGCCCAGUAAUGAUGUACUAUUUCAUCGGGCUCUUGCCGUAUUUGAGAUAGAUCGGUUAUGUUUGGGUGGGCGGGUGGAAUUAAGUUCGGAACCCCGCCCGAUCUGAGGCUCAAAGGCCAAGAAGUUUCUGGAUUUGGAAGCUUGGUUUGUUGGAUGCUUUCUGACAAAUCUGGUCCGAUGCCUGACUUUAGGUUCAGUAUUUGAUUGACGUCCGUCCCUCUGCGGGAAUCCGGCAUGGAGGGAUCGGGAAUCCGGACAUAGCUGGUUUUUAACAUAGAAGAAGAGUCGCCGCAUUGUUCCUCUACCACAACAACGUGGUGGGUAGCCUGGGGAGAGUUAAUUUCUCUCAGAUCGGUUUUAAGACCAAUCUGAUCGUAGUCUGUAGCGACUCCCAGGGCGGCGAUGCGAUCCAAGAGCUCGUUUAUGGAGGAGAGCUCAAUCAGAUCUAGCUUCUCGGAGAAUUCCGAGCUGACGUGAAGAUCGCUUUUGAUAACCUGAGAGGUCAUCGUCGGGGCGGUGGCCGAACAGGCGGUCAUAAGAAAACCACCUAGCCGGAUAGUUUGGCGGGCGGCCAAAGCUCCCUUGACGACGGUGCCGUCUUAAAAGACGGGAAACGACAUCCUUCCUUAUUGCGACGACACAGAGGAACUCUCAAUGAAAGCACCAAUGUCGGUGUCAAAACCGGCGGAUCUCGGGUAGGGGGUCCCGAACUGUGCGUCUAGGCAGAUGGUAACAGGAGACAAGGGACACGAUGUUUUACCCAGGUUCGGGCCCUCUUGAUGGAGGUAAAACCCUACGUCCUGCUUGAUUAAUAUUGAUAAUGUGUGUUACAAGAGUGGAUCUACCACGAGAUCAAGGAGGCUAAACCCUAGAAGCUAGCCUAUGGUAUGAUUGUUGUUCGUCCUACGGACUAAAGCCAUCCGGUUUAUAUAGACACCAGAGAGGGCUAGGGUUACACAGAGUCGGUUACAAUGGUAGGAGAUCUACAUAUCCGUAUCGCCAAGCUUGCCUUCCACGCCAAGGAAAGUCCCAUCCGGACACGGGACGAAGUCUUGAAUCUUGUAUCUUCGUAGUCUUGGAGUCCGGCCAAUAAUGAUAGUUCGGCUAUCCGGACACCCCCUAGUCCAGGACUCCCUCAAAGGGCAAAAUCAGAGAACGCAGAAACAGAGAGAGACAGAGAGACAGAUCCAAACUCGGAGGGGCUCUCGCCCCUCCCACACCAUGGGUGCUAAGGACCAGAGGGGAAACUCUUCUCCCAUCUAGGGAGGAGGCCUAGGAAGAAGAAGAAGAAGAAGAAGGGGGGCUCUCUCCCCCUUGCUUCCGGUGGCGCCGGAACGCCGCCUGGGCCAUCAUCAUGACCCUAAUCUCCAGCAACAACUUCACCGCCUUCAUCACCAACUCUUCCCUCCUCUAUGCAGUGGUGUAAGCCCUCUUUUACCCGCUGUAAUCUCUACUUAAACAUCGUGCUCAAUGCUAUAUAUUAUUUCCCAAUGAUGUAUGGCUAUCUUAUGAUCUUUGAGUAGAUCCGUUUUGUCCUAUGGGUUAAUUGAUGAUCGUGAUUGGUUUGAGUUGCAUGUUUUAUUAUUGGUGCUGUCCUAUUGUGCCCUCGUGUCGCGCAAGCGUGAGGGAUUCCUGAGGUAGGGUGUUGCAAUAUGUUCAUGAUUCGCUUAUAGCGGGUUGCUUGAGUGGCAGAAGCAUAUACCCGAGUAAGGGGGUUGUGGCGUAUGGGAUAAAGGGGACUUGAUACAUUAGUAGUUGCGGAUGCUUGCUAGAGUUCCAAUGAUAAGUGCAUAUGAUCCAAGUAGAGAAAGUAUGUUAGCUUAGGCCUCUCCCUCAAAUAAAAUUGCAAUAGUGAUUAACGGUCUAGUUAUCGAUUGCCUAGGGACAAAUAACUUUCUCGUGACAAAAAGCUCUCUACUAAAACUAAUUUAGUUGUGUCUUCAUCUAAACAUCCCCUACUUUUUUACGUGUUCUUUAUUAUCUUGCAAACCUAUCCAACAACACCUACAAAGUACUUCUAGUUUUAUACUUGUUCUAGGUAAAGCGAAUGUUAAGCGUGCGUAGAGUUGUAUCGGUGGUCGAUAGAACUUGAGGGAAUAUUUGUUCUACCUUUAGCUCCUCGUUGGGUUCGACACUCUUACUUAUCGAAAGACGAUACAAUUGAUCCCCUACACUUGUGGGUUAUCAAGACCUUUUUCUGGCGCCGUUGCCGGGGAGUCAUAGCAUGGGGUGAAUAUUCUCCUGUGUGCUUGUUUGCUUUAUCACUAAGUAAUUUUUAUUUUCUCUUUUAAGUUGUUCUCUAUGAUUAGUUAUGGAUAUGGAACACGAAAUACCAAAAACAUUAGGUGUACUUUCUACUCAUGGACAUGGGAAACCUCCUAAAACCCUCGAUGCUCAUUAUGUGAAAGAACUUAUGUACUUCUUUGAUAAUCCCGAGAAAGCCCCAUUCAAUUAUGUUAUGCAAGACACGUUGGAUCAACGUGAAUACUUUAGGGCUUAUCGCUUGACACAAAAAGGGAAACUAUUAUGGAUCAAAUUCAUAUGUUGCAUUGGUAUGCUCAGGAACUAUGCUUGAGAUAUGAUUAUACUUGUUGCUCUAGGAUGAAGGCUCCACACCUUCCCUUUUCAUGCAAAUUUAAUGAUGAUAAAACCUUGGCUUCUUAUGCUAAUGGUAUAUAUGAUUACUAUGAUGUGAAACAAAUAAAAGAAUUCGUUGCUUUUAUGGGUGCUUAUGAAAUUGAAUCUUUGUUUAAAGAGUUUUAAGAUUUUGAUGAUUCAGUUUAUAGACCUGAAAAUUUUGCUAUACUUAAAUAUUGUUAGGAGAAUUAUGAAUACAAUUCCGAUAUUGAUGCAUUUAUUGAGAAAGUCUCCGCUGUCCAAGAAGAGACUAAUGUUUUGCAGGAGUCUAUGGAAGAAGGAAUAGAUGAAACUGUGAGCUCAUUGGAUGAAAAAGAUAAUGAGGGUAGCAAAGAACAAAAGGAGGAAGAGCGGAUUAGCUACACGUGCCCACCUUCUAAUGAGAGUAACUCUUCAACUCAUACAUUGUUUAAUUCCACUUCGUGCUUACCGAAGGAUGAUUGCUAUGAUAAUUGCUCUGAUCCCGUUGAUUCUCUUGAAAUAGCCCUUUUUGAUGACGCUUGCUAUGCUUGUGGCCAAGAUGCCAAUAUGAAUGAUGCUUAUGAAGAUGAACUUGAUAUAGUUCCUUAUGUUAAACAUGAAAUUGUUGCUUUUGCACCCAUGCAUGAUAGUCCUAUUAUCUUUUUGAAUUCUCUAAACUACACUAUAUCGGAGAAGUUUGUGCUUAUUAAGGAUUAUAUUGAUGGGUUGCCUUUUACUACUACACAUGAUGAUUUCGAUAUAUAUAAUAUGCAUGCGCUUGCUGCUCCUACUUGAAAUUAUUAUGAGAGAGGAACUAUAUCUCCACCUCUCUAUGUUUCCAAUAUGAUAAAAUUGCAAGAAACUUCUUAUACUAUGCAUUGGCCUUUACUAUGUGUGCAUGAAUUGUUCUUUUAUGGCAUGCUGAUGCAUAGGAAGAGAGUUAGACUUCGUUGUUGCUUGAUAUAUGUUACUUUGUGCUCACUACUAAAUUAUAAAUCAUUGUUAAUUAAAAUUGGCUUUGAUAUACCUUGGGAUCCGGGUGGAUUCAUUACAUGAGCACUGUAUGCCUAGCUUGAUGGCUUUAAACAAAGCGAUGCCAGGGAGACAACCUGGAAGUUUUAGAGAGUCAUUUAUUUCUAUUGAGUGCUUUUAUAUAGUCUAAAAACAAAAAAUAAAUAAAGAGGGGAACCCAAAACUUUUCAAAAAGGAAAGUGAAAGUGAGAGAGACAAGCAUUGUUGAAGUGGGAGAGCUCCUUGAACUUUGUUCGUGCUCAUGGAAACUUUGUGAAUCUUGAUUACAGAAACUUUUCAUCAAAAAUAAGUAUCCCCUUGUACAAUUCCAUUGUAUUAUAAAAAUAAUGUGCCAAGGUUUGCCUUUAAGAUGUUUACAAUGCUUGUUGGUUUGUGCGGUGCAGGACAUAAACUUUGGCUGUAGUGCGCGAUUUUACAUUUUUUUUAUUGCAACAUCAAACGGUUCUGAUUCUUUUUGCACUGUCUUUCUGUACAAAUUGUUUAUUUUUCCUAAUUUCGGUAGAAUUUUUGGGGUAACAGAAGUAUGGUGAAUGUUCAGAUUGCUACAGACUGUUCUGUUUUUGACAGAUUCUCUUUUUGAUGCAUAGUUUACCUGUUUUGAUGAAACUAUCAAUUUCUAUCAGUGGAUUAAGCCAUGAAAACGGUUAUAUUACAGUAGACACAAUGCAAAAAAAUAUGAAUUGGUUUGCAACAAUACUUAGAGUAGUGAUUUGCUAUAUUAACGGAUCUUACCGAGUUUUCUGUUGAAGUAUUGUGUGGAUGAAGUGUUUGAUCGAGGAGGUCUUGAUAUGAGGAAAAGGAGGAGAGGCAAGAGCUCAAGCUUGGGGAUGCCCAAGGAACCCCAAGUAAAUAUUCAAGGAGACUCAAGCGUCUAAGCUUGGGGAUGCCCCGGAAGGCAUCCCCUCUUUCUUCAACAAGUAUUGGUAUGUUUUCGGAUUCAUUUCGUUCAUGCGAUAUGUGCAAGUCUUGGAGCGUUUUUUGCAUUUAGUUUUCACUUUUCUUUUAUGCACCAUGAUGGUAUGAGAUAGUCCUUGGUUGAUUUAUAGAAUGCUCAUUGCACUUCACUUAAAUCUUUUGAGUGUGGCCUUUAUAGAAUGCUUCAUGUGCUUCACUUAUAUCAUUUGAAGUUUGGAUUGCCUGUUCCUCUUCACAUACAAAACCGCCAUUUGUAGAAUGCUCUUUUGCUUCACUUAUAUUUGUUAGAGCGUGGGCAUAUGUUUUGUAGAAAGAAUUAAACUCUCUUGCUUCACUUAUACCUAUUUAGAGAGAUGACAGGAAUUGGUCAUUGACAUGGUUAGUCAUAAAAUCCUACAUAAACUUGUAGAUCGCUGAAUAUGAUAUGUUUGAUUCCUUGCAAUAGUUUUGAGAUAUAAAGGUUGUGAUAUUAGAGUCAUGCUAGUGGGCGACUAUGGAUUAGUAGAAAUAAUUGUGUUGAGGUUUGUGAUUCCCGUAGCAUGCACGUAUGGUGAACCGUUAUGUGAUGAAGUCGGAGCAUGAUUUAUUUAUUGAUUGUCUUCCUUAUGAGUGGCGGUCGGGGACGAGCGAUGGUCUUUUCCUAACAAUCUAUCCCCCUAGGAGCAUGCACAGUACUUUGUUUCGAUGACUAAUAGAUUUUUGCAAUAAGUAUGUGAGUUCUUUAUGACUAAUGUUGAGUCCAUGGAUUAUACGCACUCUCACCCUUCCAUCAUUGCUAGCCUCUUCGGUACCGUGCAUUUCCCUUUCUCACCUCGAGAGUUGGUGCAAACUUCGCCGGUGCAUCCAAACCCCGUGAUACGAUACGCUCUAUCACACAUAAGCCUCCUUAUAUCUUCCUCAAAACAGCCACCAUACCUACCUAUCAUGGCAUUUCCAUAGCCAUUCCGAGAUAUAUUGCCAUGAAACUUCCAUCAUCAUCAUAUAUAUGACUUGAGCAUUCAUUGUCAUAUUGCUUUGCAUGACCAUAAGAUAGCUAGCAUGAUGUUUGUCAUUGCUACGCUAGAUCAUUGCAUAUCCCGGUACACUGCUGGAGGCAUUCAUAUAGAGUCAUAUCUUUGUUCUAGUAUCGAGUUGUAAUAUUGAGUUGUAAGUAAAUAAAAGUGUGAUGAUCAUCAUUAUUAGAGCAUUGCCCCAGUGAGGAAAGGAUGAUGGAGACUAUGAUUCCCCCACAAGUCGGGAUGAGACUCCGGACUUUAUAAAAAAAAGAAAGAGAGAGGCCAAAGAAGCCUAAAUAAAAAAAAGGGGGCCAAAGAAGCCCAACAAAAAAAGAGAAAAUAAAAAAAAUGAGAGAAAAAGAGAAAAGGGGCAAUGUUACUAUCCUUUUACCACACUUGUGCUUCAAAGUAGCACCAUGUUCUUCAUAUAGAGGGUCUCUUGAGUUAUCACUUUCAUAUACUAGUGGGAAUUUUCAUUAUAGAACUUGGCUUGUAUAUUCCGAUGAUGGGCUUCCUCUAAUGCCCGAGGUCUUCAUCAGCAAGCAAGUUGGAUGCACACCCACUUAGUUUGCAGUCUGAGCUUUCAUACACUUAUAGCUCUUAGUGCAUCCGUUGCAUGGCAAUCCCUACUCCUCACAUUGACAUCAAGUGAUGGGCAUCUCCAUAGCCUAUUGGUUAGUCACGUCGAUGUGAUACUUUCUCCUUUUUUAUCUUCUCCACACAACCUCCACCAUCAUAUUCUAUUCCACAUAUAGUGCUAUAUCCAUGGCUCACGCUCAUGUAUUGCGUGAAAGUUGAAAAGGUUUGAGAACGUCAAAAGUAUGAAACAAUUGCUUGGCUUGUCAUCGGGGUUGUGCAUGAUUUGAAUAUUUUGUGUGGUGAAGAUGGAGCAUAGCCAGACUGCAUGAUUUUGUAGGGAUAACUUUCUUUGGCCAUGUUGUUUUGAGAAGACAUGAUUGCUUUAUUACUACACUCCAAGUAUUAUUGUUUUUAUGCCAAAUGAUAGACUAUUGCUUUGAAUCACUCGUGUCUUAAUAUUCAUGCCAUGAUUAGAUAUAUGAUCAAGAUUAUGCUAGGUAGCAUUCCACAUCAAAAAUUAUCUUUUUUAUCAUUUACCUACUCAAGGAUCAGCAGGAAUUAAGCUUGGGGAUGCUGAUACGUCUCCGUCGUAUCUAGAAUUUUUGAUUGUUCCAUGCCAAUAUUCUACAACUUUCAUAUACUUUUGGGACUAUUGUCCCAGUGCCAGUUCCUGUUUGUUGCAUGUUUUAUGUUUCACAGAAACCCCAUAUCAAACGAAGUCCAAACGGGAUAAAAAUGGAAGGAGAAUAUUUAUGGAAUAUUUGUGAUUUUCUGGAAGAAAAAUCAACGCGAGACGGUGCCCGAGGGGGCCAAGAGGUAGGGGGAGCGCCCCUGACCCGCGUGGGCACCCCGUAAGACGGUUGACUCUCUUCUUUUGCUGCAAGAAAGCCAAUUUUCAAAGAAAAAUCUGGGCGAAGGUUUCAAUCCAAUCAGAGUUACGGAUCUCGGGAUAUAUAAGGAACGGUGAAAGGGCAGAAUCAGAGAACACAGAAACAGAGAGAGACAGAGAGAUAGAUCCAAUCUCGGAGGGGCUCUCGCCCCUCCCAUGACAUGGGAGCCAAGGACCAGAGGGGAAACCCUUCUCCCAUCUAGGGAGGAGGUCAAGGAAGAAGAAGAAGAAGUGGGGCUCUCUCCCCCUUGCUUCUGGUGGUGCCGGAACGCCGCCGGGGCCAUCAUCUCACCGUGAUCUACACCAACAAAUUCACCGCCUUCAUCACCAACUCUUCCCUCCUCUAUGUAGCGGUGUAACCCAUCUUUUACCCGAUGUAAUCUCUACUUAAACAUGGUGCUCAACGCUAUAUAUUAUUACCCAAUGAUGUAUGGCUAUUCUAUGAUGUUUGAGUAGAUCCGUUUUGUCUUAUGGGUUAAUUGAUGAUCGUGAUUGGUUUGAGUUGCAUGUUUUAUUAUUGGUGCUGUCCUAUUGUGCCCUCCGUGUCGUGCAAGCGUGAGGGAUUCCCACUGUAGGGUGUUGAAAUAUGUUCAUGCUUCGCUUAUAGUGGGUUUCUUGAGUGACAGAAGCAUAAACCCGAGUAAGGGGGUUGUGGCGUAUGGGAUAAAGGGGACUUGAUACUUUAAUGAUAUGGUUGGGUUUUACCAUAAUGAUCUUUAGUAGUUGCGGAAGCUUGCUAGAGUUCCAAUCAUAAGUGCAUAUGAUCUAAGUAGAGAAAGUAUGUUAGCUUAUGCCUCUCCCGCAAAUGAAAUAGCAAUAGUGAUUACCGGUCUAGUUAUCGAUUGCCUAGGGACAAAUAACUUUCUCGUGACAAAAGGCUCUCUACUAAAACUAAUUUAGUUGUGUCUUCAUCUAAACAGCCCCUACUUUUUAUUUACGUGUUCUUUAUUAUCUUGCAAACCUAUCCAACAACACCUACAAAGUACUUCUAGUUUUAUACUUGUUCUAGGUAAAGCGAACGUUAAGCGUGCGUAGAGUUGUAUUGGUGGUCGAUAGAACUUGAGGGAAUAUUUGUUCUACCUUUACCUCCUCGUUGGGUUCGACACUUUUACUUAUCGAAAGAGGCUACAAUUGGUCCCCUACACUUGUGGGUUAUCACAACCAUCCUCAUCAUUAAAAGAUUUUAUGCCAAACAUUUUAUUGAAUUCUUCUUCAAUCAAUUGAGCACACUUUUCCUUUCCAUCAUUUUCAUGGAAGACAUGAUAAAAACGAAUAAUACGUGGCCACCGUUUUUUUAGUUUUCUGUUAUAAGAAAAACUAGUGAGAAACAAGAACUAAAAUAUUCAAUUGCAAGAUCUAAAUGUAUAACUUGAAGCGCUCACCUCCCCAGCAACGGCGCCAGAAAGGAGCUUGAUAUCUAUUAAACAACUUUUUCUUGUAGACUCGUGUUGGGCCUCCAAGUUUGGAGUUUUGUAGGACAGUAGCAAAUUUCCCUCAAGUGGAUGACCUAAGGUUUCUCAAUCCGUGCGAUGCGUAAGAUGAAGAUGGUCUCUCUCAAACAACCCUGGAACCAAAUAAUAAAAAGUCUCUUGUGUCCCCAACACACCAAAUACAAUGGUAAAUUGUAUAGGUGCACUAGUUCGACGAAGAGAUGGUGAUACCUGUGUAGUAAUGAUAGUAGAUAUUGAUUUUGGUAGUGGUAACAAUAAAAACAACAAGGUAACAAGUAACAAAAGUGAGCACAAACAGUAUUGCAAUGCUUAAAAAUGAGGCUUAGGGUUCAUACUUUCACAAGUGAAAUCUUUCAAUAAUGCUAAUAUAAUUGGAUCAUAUUACCAUCCCUCAACGUGCGAUGAAGAAUCACUCCAAAGUUCCUAUCUAGCGAAGAACAUAAGAUGAAAUUUUUUGUAGGGUAAGAAACUACCUCAAAGUUAUCCUCUGCGAUCGAUCUAUCGAAGAGUUCCUACUAAAAUAACAGCAAGUUAUCCUUUCUGAUCGAUCUAUCUAAUAGUUCGUACUAAAAUAACACCAUAUGAUACACAUCAACCAAAUCUAAUGUCACCUAGAUGCUCCAAUGUCACCACGAGUAUCCGUGAGUUAUUUAUAUGAUAUGCAUCAAAAUAUUUCAUAUUCAUAAUACUCAAUCCAACACAAAGAACCACAAAUAGUGCCCCAAAAUUUUUAGCGGAGAAACAAGGACGAAAAUGUGCAUCAACCCCUACGAAUAGACUACCCCAGUGUCACCUCGGGAAUCUGCAAGUUGAGUGCCAAAACAUAUAGCCAGUGAAUUAAUAUGAUAAGACAUUAUCACCACGGGUAUUCAUAGAAAGACAUACAUCAAGUGCUCUCAAAUCCCUAAAAGUAUUCAAUCUGAUAGAAAGAUCUCAAAGGGAAAACUCAAUUCAUUACAACAAGAUAGAGAGGGGAAAACACCAUAUGAUCCAACUGUAUUAACAAAGCUCUCGAUACAUCAAGAUUGUGCCAAAUCAAGAACACGCGAGAGAGAGGUCAACCACAUAGCUACUAAUACAAACCCUUAGCUCCGAGGGUGGACUACUCCCUCCUCAUCAUGGUGGCCGCCGAGAUGACGAAGAUGGCCACCGGUGAUGAUUUCCCCCUCUGGCAAGGUGCCAGAACAGGGUCUAGAUUAGUUUUUUGUGGCCACAGAGGCUUGGGGCGGUGGAACUUCUGAUCUAGGAUUAUUUCUGGGGGUUUCUGUAUUUAUAGGAUUUUUUGGCGUCAUUUUCACACGAAGAUGGGCUUCGAGGGGCCCACCAGCACAUGGGCAAGGCACAUGGCGUGCCCUUGUGGGUGGUGGCCACGUCCUUCACUUUCUGGUCCUCCCACGAAGCUUCUAGUGCCUAUUUUGUUCCAAAAAAUCAUCAAAAAAGUUUGUUGCAUUUGGAGAAACUUUUAUUUCUGCACAAAAAACAACACCAUGGUAGUUCUGCUGAAAACAACGUCAGUCCGGGAUAGUUCCAUUCGAAUCAUACCAAAACCAUAUAAAAUUGUUGUAAACUUGGCAUGGAUUCUUCAUAAAUUAUAGAUACGUUGGAAAUGUAUCAAGGUAUUUGCUGGAUAAGCUUCCCGGGAAUGAUGGUUGACGGGGUCCCCUUGGUAGAAUCUGCUUCUUGGCACUCCUCGCCUUGGUGCUCCCCUCGCGUCUCCUUGCCAUCACUAGAAGGAUGAACCUUAGCAUCAGCAGCAGUCAACUGGGAUGGCGGCACGUCCUAGACCAGGGGGCUGUCCUGGGGGCUGGCUGUUGGGGAUACAACCCCGUGGUAUAACCCGCCCUAAUAGGGUCGGGUCAGAUUAUUGGCGACUUAUGAAGUUGGGCCUUAGAUAGGCCACGACGAUCAAGACAUGAGGCCGGAAGGGCGGCACACAAGAUGGGCCGGCUUAGAGCCCAGAUCCAGAUGGCGGUCUAGAGGCGUAAGCCGCUAUAUGAUGACUUGUCCUGUAAGGCAAGGUGACUUAGACUCAGUCACGGAUCCCAACCCACGGACUCUUGUAAGACGGAGGCCUCGACCUGCAUAUAAAGGUGAGUCCCUGGCAUAGUAUAGGUCAACUUACAAUCAAUCGAUAGCUAGCUCAAGCAAAUCCAUUCCCUUGUAAUCGAUACUCAAGCAAUAAGCAACAAGAGCAGGAGUAUGUUUUUACCUCCACCGUGAGGGGCCGAACCUAGGUAAACAUGGGUCUCUCGUCCUGCUCUACCCCUUCAAGCAAUCACCUAGUUGCAAUGGCCUGGCGUCAAAGUCCUCACACCAGGACAUCUGCCGUGACAAACCUUGAAAGUUGGCACCCACCAUGGGGCCAGCGCACCAUGGUUUCGAGUUCUUGAAGGGCUCUUUCCUAGGGAUCGAGCAAUAGGACAUUGGCAGGAUGACCAAGAGUUGUUAUGGCAAGCUCUACAUCUACGAUGCUGGCUGGGGCCCCGAGGCCGACUCAAUCGAGUACGGAUACCAGGACCCCUUCAGUGGAAUCGACGUCUUCAUGGACAAGAUCGGUGGAUCAGAGCCUGAGCCAGACAUCUGCACCAACAUCCUCGAGCCGGCUCGGCGCAUGCAACACAUCUGGGUCCAAGCUAGGAUGAAACACGCUUUCAUGGGCUUCACACAAGGUAUGGAACUUGCAGAAGAUUCCACAUCUGGAGGAGAGACUCUCGUCUACUCAAGCGUGGGCUUCACGCAAGGUAUGGAACUUGCGGAAGAUUCCACAUCUGGAGGAGAUACUCUCGUCUACUUAGGUGAUGAGUCCUUGACCGGAUAGACGGAGUCGAUCUACUAGCUUCAAGACAGUGGGCUUUGGGGCUGUUCCGAUGGCAACAGUAUCCCGGACCCCUAUGAGUCGCCGUGCCGAGCCACCAUCUUCAUGGAAAGCAUGGCACCGGCUCUCACCGACACAACAGCCGGUGUCGUGGAAUUAUCACAUCAGAUGUCCUAGGGAAAGGACUUAGUCGUGGAGCCAUCGCGAUCGGGUUAGAUUAGAGGGGUUAAACCGGACAAAGGACACAGGGAGUUUAUACUUGUCCGGCCCCUUGCGGUGAAGGUAAAAUCCUACGAUCCAGUUGUGGUGUUCUUGAUGUGGUCUCGAUUACCAGGGAGCAAAAUAUGCUUUGCCUAGCUUUCGAGUUGUUGUUUCUUGUCCCUAAACCACCGUCGGGUCCUCCCUAUAUAUACACAAGUUGACGGCCGGGCCUGUCUAUAGAAUCCCGAGGCCGGCUCAUACAAGUGUCCGGCUCGGUUUCUCCUUUCCCUAACUUACAAUACAAGUUAUACAUAUAUGGCAGUUCAUUACUAUGGGCCCUAAUCCGCCAUUGGGCUCUGGGCCUUCUAAGCCUUCAUAGUUAAAGCUCCACAACCUUCGUCUUCAUGGGCUUCUAUAUAGAUGACUACUUACGAGUGUAAUCCAGGCCUCCUGGGUGGUUUAACUUAGUAGUCAUAUCCCUAACAUUAGGCCCUAGAUUAGUUUGAACUUGUUCAUGUCAAUCUCCUACAUAGAGAAACUUUGAUUUGAACAUCUCCAUGUUGUCCUUGUAAACCGCCGUGACAUCAUCUUCUGGAAUAACGUUAAACCGCCAUGACGUCAUCUGCGUAAAAAACUAAUAAACAUUUCUUUUUAUUAAUUGAUCUAUGAAGAUCGAGGCGACAACUGUGCCCCAUUAUCUUUUUAAGGCUCCUCGAUUCCCACGCUUGCCUUAGCUAUCCAUUCACCUUAUAAAUAGGCCCAGGGGUCCUUUCCUUUUUCCCUUCCGUGUCUCUUCUUCCUCCUCGUGACGCUCAAGCCCUGAAGCUCCGCCGCCGCCCUCGACCUUCAAGCACUGCAUCAUUCUUGGCCGCUGCAUCGACCUGAACGUACCAGAGACCCGCGGCACUUCUCCGCUAUUCCUGUGAAUCCGGUAAGCCUCCUUCCUUCAACCCUGAAUCUGCAUUAGGGUUUCGGUGUUCAUCAGUGUUCAUCCUCGUUCGUUGCUUCGCCCUUAUUGUCUCAUCGAAUCUAGAUAAACUUGCCAUCUUCUUUUGCGGCCGAAACUGUAGCUUUAGUUUGCCUCAUCGUAGUAUCUCUUCGUUCCAAGAUAGAUCCCAUCUAGAUCUUUACUGUUCUGCUAUCAUCCAUUUUUAGGGUUGAGAAAUUUUUCUUUACUGAAGGUAGAUCCAAAAUUAUAGCACCAUCUUGUGAAACCUGUUUCUACAACACUUAGUAAAUUUCAGAUCUGCUUCUUCCACUGUAGGCGGUUUAACUUUUAGAAGCUGAUAAUCCGCUAGGUACCAUUAGCCCUCACUUAAACCUCCAACUUUACCUAAAAAGAAGUAUCCGGUUUAACGUGCACAUAUGCUCUGAUUGAAUCUUCCAAUUUGACACAGUUGUACACAUAUCAAUCAUGAAUCGUGAAUCAACAUUUUGAACUUAUUUUUACAGCUUGUCAUCAACAAUGGCCAAACAAUUCUCCUCUUGCAACUGGGUUCGUUCCCGGGUCACCAAAGAGUAGCUGACUGGGUAUGUUGUGACUGGCGCUUUAGCAAAAGAGGAAACCAUUCAUUGGAGGGUCCCAGGUACUGAAUGUCCUCCUGAACCACAGGACGGAGAGGUAACUGUGUUUGUACAUCAUCUGGACCGAGGGUUUAGCCCUCCCAGAUCAAAAAAAUUCCGUGAUGUACUCGCCAGCUUUCAACUCCACCCUCAAGACAUUGGACCGAACUCUGUGUCCAACCUUUGCAACUUUCAAGUGGUUUGUGAAGUUUACCUGCAAGAGGAACCGACUGUUGAGUUGUUCAGAGAUUUCUUUCACUUGAACCGCCGUACUGAGUUCACUAAUGGCCCCAAUACUGAACUUGGCGGGGUAUCAAUUCAGAAGAGGAAAGAAGUCAAUUUUCCUCAUGCCAAACAUCACAGCCACCCCAAGGAUUGGAACCAAACGGUUCUACUGCCGAAACACUGCUCCUGAAGAUGAAAAUCCUCUGCCGGGUUAUCGUGCUCAUCGGCUCAACAAUGAACACCCACUGCCUCAAUGGCUGACUGCUAAGGAGCAAAUGAAAUAUGCCACGCAGAUCUCAAAGAUCCAGGCUUUUAUGGCCAACGGUUUAACUGGUGUCGAUCUUGUCCGCUGCUGGGUUUCAUGGAGCAUCUUGCCUUUAAGCCGUCGUUCCGGUUUAAUGUGCGAGUACACAGGACAUGUGAAAGACCCUCAACGUUAUAUUGACACUCAAUUGACUGAUGACGAGAUUACUGAAUCCAUCUGGUAGAUGUUGGAUGAACCGGUAGCUGAAUGCAGCAAAACCGGGCUGCGUCCGUUCUGUACUCUCCACAAACCGCUAGCUGUAAGAAUUGCAUUUUUUUCUGUUUUAAUCCGCCCUUUUUGACACUUUCUGACAGGCCUUCUGUUUACCUUUGCAGAGCAAUGAUCCGUUUUGGAAGAGGAAAACGCAGGACAAACCGGCCAAAGCUCAAGACAAACCGGUGAGAGCGCCUCGGGCUAAGUCCAAGGUUACCAAGAAGUAUGCCAAGAAGAGAACCAUCGAGUCCCCUGAUCUGGCCAAAGAUGUUGAUGACUCACACGUAGAGGUAGAACUUGAUUCACUUGGUUCACUUUUCAUGCACCUUAUUGACAAUGACUAUUAUCAGGAUGAUGCGGAGGCCAGCGGCGCUGACAAUGUAGAGGUAAUUUCCCUUUCCUCCGAUUCAGAUCAUGUGUCGGUACAAAAACUCCGCCGCGCAAUCCGGAAAGUAAAACAUUCACAUCCUCACACUCAUUUGGAUCCGCAUUGUUCUUUGAAGACAAAGCAACAUGAAGCCCAUCGCACAACCCGACAUAGUGGCCAACAAGUUACUUCUUCUGGUUUACCAGAUACUCCGGUUCGAAAACGCCGACCAGAGGUCUCUUGUUCUUCCAAUACAUCUUAUCCCAAGGCGGGUUGCUUUCGAUAUCCUCUUAAUCCGUCUGAUUCGAAUUAUCAGGGAACUUCCAAUUCCUCCUCUGGCGAUUCAUCAACCACACAGAUGCCUCCACUCAAGACCGUUCCUGGGUAAGAGUAACAUAAUUAUUUUUAUAUGAUGAUCCGGUUUACUAUACUAAUGCCUGUACUUUACUCUUUUCAGUGCCAAAGGCAGGCUUAGCAAGAAAGCCAAAUUCACUGUUCCAACUGAUGAUAAUCAGACCCCUGAACCGGAGUAGACCCUUGAACCUCAUGACCUGGAUGCCGAUUUUGUUCAAGAAGAUCCGGUACCUCCGGUUCAAGAUACUUUUGUUGAACCGGAUGAGAGUAAUGUUAUGAACCAGCCUGCUGAUCUACCAAGUCCAUCCAAGGAUGAAGAUCAUCCGCCAAGUCCAGCCAAGAAUACUGAUAUUCCUCCAAUCUCAUCCAAAGGUGGUGGUGAUGAUGUUGUCAUUACUGGUACUGGACAUACAAUUCCUGGUAACCCGGUUGCCUUAGCGAAGCAUACUGCCAAGGAAGAAGCUGCUGCUAUGGGCAAAGGCAAGUGGAAGACUGCUUUAGCCAGCUGUGCUAACCUCAAUGCUCAGGAACUCCACUCUGGAUUUCUAAACCGCCUGUACACAAGUCAUGACUAUGAAGCCGGUUUAGUCAACUUGAUGAAGGAGCGCUAUGAGGUAAUUCUUGCUUGAACCAUUUCAUAAAAACUAUUCCUUUGCUUCAUGUCUACUCCAGUGUAGCCCCCAAGGGCCAGUUUAUCUUUUGAAGGUGAACCGAUACUUUAAUAUGAAAAAACUUCAACUGUGUAGCCCCCAAGGGCCGGUUUAUCUUUUUGAAGAUGAACCAGUACUUCAUAUUGUAAAGCUUAUCUUUGUUAGUUCCUUCACAUCCGCUUUAUCUGAUCAAAUAAGCAUUAGCCCCCAAGUGCCAAGAUGAAUACAUGUAUUGAGCCUUGGGACUUAAAAAUAACAGUUAGGAAGAAACAAUCCGCAUUAGCCCUCAAGUGCCAAGUUUAUAACUUGUUAUGUGCUUGGGACUUUGAAAAAGUCUUAUAAAACUUAUUGUCUGUCUUUUGCAGGCUGACUUAAGCAGCAAGGAUUCCCAAAUCGCCGACCUUCAAGACAAAUUAAGUCCCAACAAGCCGAGACCACCAAAUCCAAGGAUGAACUGAAAAGUGCUUUAACAUCCAUGGAGAAAUUGAAGGAUGACUUCAAGAACGAACGGGCAGGCUGGGAGACUGAGAAAGCCGCUUUGCUGAAGCGGGCAGAGAAUGCUGAAGUAGUGCUUAAACCGGUAACAGAAGAGCUGUAGGUUUGAAGCAGCAAAUCAACGCGAUGACUUCUGCUGUCUUUGGUAAGUACUUUUCUUCAGUUUUUAGUAAACCUUGUUGAUACUGCCGAUUUAGCAAGAAUUUAUCAAACCGUUGCAGGUAGUCAUGUUGCUCAUCUGGGCUCAGAUAUGCGAAAGAAACUGAAGGCUGCCUAUACCUUGAUAGAGCAGCUUUAUACCGGUGCUCAACGGGUCAUCUGCGAAGCCUCAUACAAUAAACCGCCGCCAACCUUAAUCAAGGAUACGUUGUCCAGAUUAUCCAUGACUCCUGCCCAACUAGAAGAGGUGAAGAAAUCUGUUGCAAGAGCUGGUGCUUUGUCUGCACUGACUCGGGCCAAAGCUUGGAUAGCUGAUCUUGAUCCGGAAGAUAUUGGAAACGGCUAUCCUAGCCAAAUAGCAGACGGGUUAGAUUUUGACAAUGAAGCCCUUAAAGCUUUGACGAAGGAGAUGCGCCCACUUGCAAGCAGAUUGGCUGAAGAAAUUGACUUGUCUGUCCAUCGGUGAAACUAUGAUGCAGACAACAAAUGGAUUGAUGCAUCUAUGAAUGAAGUGCAGAAUCUUAUUCCGCCAAUCCGUAAGCACAGUUAUGCCCCUGACAUUGAACCGUCCGAUCUUAUAAGUGAUGAAGCUGUCUUCCGAGCUUUGUCUGGAAUUGAUUGGGCACACCUUGAAUUAUAGCAAGUGGAUGGGGAGGAGGAGGGUGAACCGACACAAUAUGAUCCAUCCACCUCACGUCAACUUGGUGACGAGUCGUGAUCCGGCAGCCGGCUUAAUUUCUACAGACUGCGUUCUGUGCAACAAAUAGUCAUUAUUUUGGGCAUCAAAGCGACGUGUAAUAGGUAGUUGAAAUACUUUGAUCUGUUGCCAUCGUGCACUGCUACAUGACACUGUUUGAUCCGCCAUGAUUAUUGCAAUGCUUGCUUAUAUGCCUUGGUAAUUUUAUGCAAUCCUUGUGUCUGCAUAAAAAAAUUGUCCUGGCGGUUUACCGCUGAAUGGGUCAUAAUGCCCAACACAAAUCCUUGUUUAUAACCAAGACUGCCAAAAUAUCAAAAUAUGAAAUAGAUCAUACCUGUGAUAUGAAAUCAUAUUGUUGGUUUACCAACUGGAUUGUAGUAAGGGUGAGAACCCAAAUCUUGAGUGUUGAUAACUCCCACCACGCUGUGCUGGCGUAUAAUAAGCCAUGCUGGGUUAUGAUAAACUCCAGAUGAUCAUCCUGGCGACGUAUAGUCAAUGCCAGACCGGGUUAAUAAACACCGGUUUAAAAUUGAAUGUGGUCUGUCAACUUGUAGUUGAAAACCAAGCCGGGUUAACAAACACUGGGUUAAUUUGAUGACUGAUAGUCAUGCCGGGUCAAUAGACGCCGGUUUAACAUAAAGUUUUAACCAAGAAAAAAAAACUUGACAAAGUCAAAUAAAACUGUGUAGUCGAGGCUUUUCAAGGGCUGCCAAGCCCAAAUUUGAGGCUUUUCAUGGGCUGCCAGGCCAUUGAGUUAAACCAUUUUGCAAAGCCUUUCAAGAUGGGCCUCCAACUAACCAAUCGUCAUUUUAACUUUGACAAGUUCAGGGUCUAUAUAAGAUUGACUUGUCAAACAUUCGGCGGGUCAUGCCAGGAUUACCUGGAUAGGAGUGGCUUACUUGAUGAAGGCAAGUUAACCUGGGGUUUUAGGUGAAUACACCAGGCUUCCACGCCGUGCUUGAUAGCAUAUUACAAGGGUCCUUUCAAACUCUUUGUUGCAUUGCACAAAGAGCCCCCAAGUAAUUUUGUGAGAUGUGCUCUUAUGGGUGCCUAUGUUUGAGCUGUGCAUAGCAACCAGACUCUCUUUGGCCCUUUGGGUGUGAAGCUCCCAAGCUAUAUUGUGGCGUGUUAGCCGGAUUAAUGGACAGAACCCCGCUUUGUCAGCUGAAGCCCCCAUAUAACGAAGAGGUAUUGGAAAAAACAGCAGAGGACCUGCUUGUAGCAAGGAUGCCAGUUUAUUAUAUUGAUCAUAAUAUAUACAUUGUCAAAAUAUGUACAUAAUAUUAGCCUAUGGCUCAAGUGUAGUAAGGACGACGGAGAGCUAUGUUCCACGGCCGCCGGGUCUCCUCCUCAGAUUUGCGUGAGUCUGCAUGCUCUCGAACAUCGAUGAGGUAGUAUGAUUCGUCGUGCAGAUUCUUGCUGACCAUAAAGGGUCCUUCCCAAGGUGGGGAUAACUUGUGCAUAUCGGUAUGAUCCUGAAUAAGUCGAAGCACUAAGUCGCCUUUUUGAAAGGUUCUUGUCUUAACCCGGCGGUUGUGAUACGCCGCAGGUCUUGUUAAUAAACCGCCGAUCAAGCCAACGCCAUAUCCCGUCUUUCAUCUAACAGCUCUAGUGCUUCCUGACGUGCUUGCUCGUAGUCCGCUUCAACAUAAUUGGCAACCCGGGGCGAGUCAUGACGAAUAUUACUUGGGAGUACCGCCUCUGCCCCAUAAACCAUGAAGAAAGGUGUAUAACCCGUUGAUCGAUUGGUGGUGGUGUUUAUGCUCCAUAACACAGAAGGUAAUUCUUCCACCCAACAACCCCGCAUCCUUUUCAAAGGAACCAUAAGCCGGGGCUUGAUACCCUUCAAGAUUUCCUGAUUAGCUCUCUCAGCUUGACCAUUAUACUGGGGGUGGGCCACUGAUGACACAUCAAGCCGGAUGUGCUCCCGUUGACAGAAGUCCUCCAUCUCCCCUUUGGAGAUGUUCGUGCCAUUAUCUGUGAUGAUGCUGUGUGGAAAACCGAAGCGGAAGAUCACUUUCUUGAUGAAUUGAACCGUGGUGGCUGCAUCACACUUGCUUACUAGCUCCGCUUCAACCCAUUUAGUGAACUUGUCAAUCGCCACCAACAGGUGGGUCUUCUUAUCUUUGGACCGCUUAAAAGGUCCUACCAUAUCAAGCCCCCCUGUAGAAAACGGCCAAGUGAUUGGAAUCAUCCGCAGCUCUUGAGCCGGAGCAUGAGCUCGACAUGAAAAUUUCUGACAAGCGUCACACUGCUUUACCAGGUCCUCAGCAUCAGCAUGAGCCAUCAACCAAUAAAAACCGUGACGAAAAGCUUUAGCAACCAAGGAUUUUGAACCGGCGUGGUGACCACAAUCUCCUUCGUGGAUCUCACGAAAAAUCUCUUGCCCCUCUUCACGAGAAACACAGCGCUGGAACACACUUGAGACACUACAAUGGUGUAACUCGCCGUUGUGAAUAACCAUGGACUUGGAUCGCCGGACUAUCUGUCUGGCCAGAACUUCAUCUUCUGGUAACUCGCCCCGGUUCAUGUACGCCAAAUAUGGAACCGUCCAAUCCGGAAUAACAUGUAAAGCGUCCACCAAUUGUGCCUCCAGAUCAGGAAUAGCUAAAUCCUCCUCUGUAGGCAACUUAACUGACGGGUUAUGCAAGACAUCCAAAAAGGUAUUGGGUGGCACCGGUUUAUGCUGAGACCCCAGCCGGCUUAAAGCAUCUGCUGCUUCGUUUUUGCGCCGAUCAAUGUGCUAAACCUGAUAACCCUCGAAGUGGCCAGCCACAAUGUCCACCUCCCUUCUGUAAGCCGCCAUGAGUGGAUCAUUAGAAUCCCACAUACUGGAAACUUGCUGAGCCACAAGAUCAGAGUCUCCAAAGCAUCAUACCCGACUUAAGUUCAUUUCCUUAGCCACGCGAAGACCAUGGAGCAAGGCCUCGUACUCAGCUGCAUUGUUAGUACAAGGAAACAUUAAGCAGAGAACAUAACGAAUUUUAUCACCUCGAGGGGGAGUAAGGAGAACUCUAGCCCCCGAGCCCUCCAAUUGCCUGGACCCAUAAAAAUGGAUAGUCCAAUAUGUGUUGUCCGGUUUGUCCUCUGGUGCCUGCAACUCUGUUCAAAUAUUGAUGAAGUCGAUAAGUGCUUGAGAUUUGAUAGCUGUCCGAGGCAUAUACUUCAACCCGUGCGGUCCAAGCUCAAUAGCCCAAUUUGCAACCCGGCUAGUUGCCUCCCUGUUCUGAAUUAUAUCACCCAAAGGAGCAGAACUGACCACCGUGAUGGGAUGGCCCUGAAAGUACUUUUUAAGGUUCCGACUUGCCAUAAAAACCCCAUACACCAACUUCUGCCAAUGUGGAUAUCUUUGCUUUGACUCGAUGAGCACUUCGCUGAUAUAGUAAACCGGCCUAUGAACCGGAUAUUCCUUCCCAUCCUUCUUGCGCUCGACCACAAUAGCCACGCGGACAACCCGGGCAUUAGCAGCCACAUAUAAUAACAAUGGCUCAUUGUCGAUCAGAGCAGCAAGGACCAGCGGUUCAGCCAACUGCCUCUUCAAGUCCUCAAACACCGCAUCAGCAGCAUUACUCCAGACAAAAGUGUAUGUUUUCUUCAACAUCUAAUACAGAGGGAUCACCUUCUCUCCCAAGCGGCUGAUAAACCGACUCAGGGCUGCGAUUCGACCUACCAGAUGCUGAUCAUCAUUGAUACAUGUCGGUUUACCCAGAGACGUAAUCGCCUUGAUAUUUUUUGGAUUAGCCUCAAUGCCCCUGUUAGACACCAGGAAACCUUGAAGCUUGCCUGUCGGAACACCGAAGACGCACUUGGCCGGAUUGAGCAUCAUUUUAUACACCUGAAGAUUGUCAAAGGUCUCCUUCAAGUCUUCAAUCAAUGUCUCCUUCUUCCUGGACUUGACCACAAUAUCAUCCACAUAAGCAUGAACAUUGUGCCCAAUUUUGGUAUGAAGACAAUUCUGCACACAGCGCUGAUAAGUCGCCUGGGCACUCUUGAGCCCAACGGGCAUAGAAACAUAGCAGAAGACUCCAAAGGGAGUGAUGAAAGCUGUUUUCUCUUGGUACUUAACCGCCAUCUUGAUCUGAUGAUAACCAGAAUAAGCAUCCAAAAAACUCAAACGCUCACAACCCGCUGUAGCAUAAAUGAUUUUAUCAAUACGAGGGAGAGCAAAAGGAUCGGCCGGACAAGCUUUGUUCAAGUCCGUGUAAUCCACACACAUGCGCCAAGUGCCAUUCUUCUUAAGCACUAGCACCAGAUUGGCCAGCUACUCUGGAUGAAAAACUUCAACGAUAAACCCAGCAGCCAACAGCCGGGCUACCUCUUCACCAAUGGCCUUGCGCCUUUCUUCAUUGAAGCGACAAAGAAACUACUUGAUUAGUUUAAACUUGGGAUCAAUAUUGAGAUUGUGCUCAUCGAGUUCCCUCGGUACACCUGGCAUGUCAGAAGGUUUCCAUGCAAAGAUGUCUCGGUUCUCACGGAUGAACUCGAUGAGCGUGCUUUCCUAUUUCGGAUCUAGAUUAGUGCUGAUACUAAACUGUUUGGAUGAAUCGCCAGGAACAAAAUCAACCAGCUUAGUCUCAUCAUCCGGUUUGAACUUCAGGGUUGGGUCAUGCUCUGUAGUGGGCUUCUUCAGAGGAGUAAUAUCUGUCGGAUUAACAUUGUCCUUGUAGAACUUCAACUCUUUUGUCGCACAAACUGACUCAUCAUAAGCCGCAUCACCCUCUUCAUAGUCCAAGGCUAUCUUCCGACUCCCAUGUACCGUAAUGGUCCCCUUAUGACCCGGCAUUUUGAGAUGCAGAUAAGCAUAUCAGGGCCUUGCCAUGAACCUUGCAUAGGCCAGCCUUCCAAACAGGGCGUGAUAUGGGCUCUGGAUUUUUACCACUUCAAAGGUUAAGGCUUCUGACCUGGAAUCAUGGACAUCUCCAAAUACCACUUCCAAAUUUAUCUUACCAACUGGGUAUGCCGAUUUUCCUGGUACCACUCCAUGGAAAACAAUAUUUGACGGUUUAUGAUUUUUAUCCGUCAAUCCCAUGCGCCGGAAGGUUUCAUAAUACAAAAUAUUGAUACUGCUCCCUCCAUCGAUGAGUACCUUGGUGAACUUAUAACCUCUAACCCGAGGCACCACCACCAAAACAAAUGACCCGGAUUGUCAACCCGGGGUUGAUGAUCCUCUCUGCUCCACACAAUGGGCUGCUCAGACCAACGUAAGUAAUGUGGCACCGCCGGUUCAACAUCGUUUACUGCCCUCUUGUGAAGCUUCUGAUCGCGCUUGCACAAGCUAGUGGUGAAAACAUGAUACUGCCCACUACUCAACUGCUUCGGGUGAUUCUGAUAACCCGACUGCUGCUAAUUUCCAUGAUUAUUCUGUUGAUUAUAACCACCCUGGUUGUUCUGAUUACCCUGAUUGCCUUGGUUGCCCUGGAAUCCGGAGUUUGAACCGCCACCACCAUAACCCGGCCCAUGAGAUCCUGAACCGCCAGAUGGGCCCUGAUCAUACCAGAAAAAAUCAGAGUUCUUAAACUCUCGCAUAAUGAAACAGUCCUUCCAGAGGUGUGUGGCUGGAACCUCUUUCGUCCCGUGCUUCGGCCAAGGCUGAUUCAACAUACGCUCCAGAUUCAUACCGUCACCGCGCUGGGGCGGUUUACCCUUUCGACGCUGAUUAUUGCCCUGCACAUUGGUGUUAGCCACAAAAUCUGAAGUAUCCGCUUUACAUUUACUGUUGUUACUGUUCCUCGCCGGGUUAGGUUGCUGUCCCUUGGUGUUGCCGCUCAUUUUUCCCUUCCCCGACUUCUCCUCGCCAGACUCGGGAUCCUUGAUCUCAUCAGAGUCAGCAUACUUGAGUAGAGCCCCCAUGUGUGUUCCCAUAUCAUUGAAGUGACGCUUCAUCCGCCCCAACUUGAACUUCAAAGGCCUGAACUUGCAAUUGCCUUCCAACGUUAUGAUUGUUGAGUCUGCAUUGAUGCGGUCAGAUGAAUGUAAGAUCUCAAAAACCCGGCGUACCCAUUGGGUAGUUGAUUCACCCUCUAUUUGAACACAAGCGGCCAGAUCAACAAUCGACAUCGGUUGCUUGCAAGUAUCUUUGAAGUUAUUGGUAAAUCGGCUCUUCAACUCCUCCCAUGACCCAAUUGAAUUGGGUGGUAAACUCAUUAGCCAAGUGCGAGUUGUUCCUUCUAGCAUCAUAGUGAAGUACUUAGCACACACCGCUCCAUCCACGUCCAGCAUCUCCAUGGCCAUCUCAUAGCUUUCUACCCAUGAAUCGGGAUGUAAAUCAACAAUGUAAUUGGGUACUUUUUGAGGGCCCUUAAAAUCCUUGGGUAACCGUGCAUUGCGUAGGGCCGGUGUGAGACACGGGACUCCCCAAGUGGUAAAGGCAACCCCUGGCUCUACUGUAGUGGUCGGACGAACCGGCGUAAGCUGGCGCUCCAUGUCUUGUGUAGUCAACCCGGCGCCACGGCGCGCUCGUGCUUGGUCCAAUAAAUCCUGCGCUUCAUUCCUUCCCGCUGCCGGGUGAGGCCUCCAUGGAGGAUGAUGAUUCCGUCCACUGCUUGACACAGCUGGCUCUUCAACACGCCUGCUGUAACUUUGACUUGGAUGAGGGGUAGAGUGUAUCCUCUCCCGACUGUACCAAUAAGCCUGCUGCUGAACCCUUGCUAUCUGGAGUAAAUCCCUAGCCCGUCGUGUCUCAACCGCCACAGGGGAGUCACCUUCCAUUGGAAUAGGAGCCAAUCUUGAUGCUGCAGCAAUCAUGUUGUCCAACGGGGUGGGAAAAUGACCCGGUGGUGCUGGUGUGUAUUGCGGCGGAUCACGAUUAUGCUGAGGUGGACCCAUCAUGCCCGGCUGAUCCGGUGCUCCUUUCCUCAGUGCUCCAAUCCGGUUCACUACGGGUGGGUUGCUAGUGCCCACUCCUGGCGUGUUAAAAAGAUUUCUUCCUUAGUAAACCAGCGGUAGACGAGAUUGGUGCCUUCUCCUCAUCACCUCCUUUAAAGCGUUCUGAUCCAACAUAAGCCGAUAAGCCUCUGCAUGAACUCGCUAUGCCUCAGCAUUUAAAGCGGUUCAUUCCUCGACCAUCCUGGUCUUCUCAGCAGCCAUGUCAUCCUUAGCCUGAGCUAUCUGAUCUCGCAACUUUCUGACUUCCGUAUUAUGCUCAUCCCGUUUAUCCGGAGUAACUUCAGCAGCCAACAAUGUUGCUAAAGUAUCCAAUAACCCGGACAAGACUUGAACCGGCGGGCGCACAGGGCCACCUGCCCUUGCUGCUGAUCCGGAGAUUAUCGCUGCUGCUGUUGAAGAUUGUGGGGCGGGUUGCGUGCCAGCCAUGAAGAUUGCAAAGGGGUCCGGAAUACUGCUGCCGUCGGAAUACCCCCCAAACAGGCCAUCCUAAACUUGAUACAAAGACUCGGUUUCACCGGUAGAUGACUCACCAUCGGAGUAGACGGCCGUCUCACCAUCGGACACCGGUUCAGAUUCGAUCCCAUGGAUACAUCCUACGAACGCACGCUUCAUGGCAGGCUGACCCCGGGCAGGGCUCGCAUGCUGAGCCGUCUCGACAAGGUAGGUGUAGAUGUUCUGCUUACGGCCUGGUUCACCGAUCUUGCCGAUGAAGACGUGAAUUCCUCUGAUGGGGACCUGGUACCCAUACUCGAUUGAGCCGGCGUCGGGGCCCCAGCCUGCGUCGUUGAUGUAGAGCUUGCCGUGACGACUGUCGGAGUAAUGGGCCACGGGUAGGAUAACCCGAGUCCCAGGACCUUUCAAGAUAUCGGGGCAGGCCACGCCCCUCAAGCCGAGUCCCAGGAGCGACUCCAAGACAAGCCGACUCCGAGCUAGGCGACCUCCAGAGGGGCGGACUAUGGAGAGUCGGCCCAUGACUCCUCCCUCAUCUCAAAGUACGAUGCGGGGUACGGUCACGGCGUGGCCGUUCCCCCCUGCUUACGAAGGGCCGGCAUGGCUACAGUAAGCCGUAUCGCUGGAAGAUCUCCGGCGAGGCGCGACACUGUUGCCAUGCCUGCCCUGACCUCAGCCAAAGUGCACAGCACAGUGUGCCCACGAUGCCGGCCUGUACGACCCGAAGGCGACGGGGCCGCCUGUCAGUGGGUGGGCCGAAGGCGGCCUGAGCGCCCCGAAGACGGACCUGUGGGAGUCGGCCGACUCCUCCUCGGGGCCCCACGAGCCAUUAACCAGAUAGGAUGGGGAAUGGCGACAGUGAUCGCCCGACAGAUUGCGGCACUGUUGCCACGACCCUAUAACCGAGCCUGCGUCAUCAGGAGUGCCGCAACAGUAUCAAGCCUGUCCGCGGGACCCGCCAGUCGGCGGGCCCCAGAAGCCGGCAGGGAGGACGACGACCUCAGAGACAAACGGCUGGGACCCGCGCCCAGCCGGAUUACUACUGUACCCCCAGGGGGUAGGCCUAUAUAACCCCCCCGGGGCACCCAUGCAAAGGGUUCGGACCUAGAUAGAGAUAGACCAAAUAGCAUAGGGAGGAGAGAGCUAGCCUUGCCAUCUCCUGCCUCCCGAGACAGCUCCAGGAGCACCAUUGUAGUCACUUUGCCUUAGUGAUCAUGCGGAGACCCCGCAGAGCAGCAGUAGGGGUGUUAUCUCCUAGGAGAGCCCUGAAGCUGGGUAAGUUCCACCGGCGUGCAUGUCUUCGCCUCAUCCCGCUUCCAGGCACCAGCGACGUUCUACUCGCUCCCACCAUGAUAAGCUAUCCUUUGGCAUAUGUCUUAUCCAACCCCCGACAUUUGGCGCCCACCUUAGGGCGAGGUGCACCGUCGUCCGGAGAUCUGCUCUGGACGGGAACCCUGUUCCUCCCCGGCGAGCACAGCCAGCCCGGCACGCCGAAUGGCGUCUGGGCCGACGCGCUGCACAGCGCUGAGAUCGCCUGUGCGCCCAGCUGCCUCGCCGAUCUUAUCGGCGAGGUUCGCCUCUCCGAUGAGCCUGCGUCCGACGCAGGCAUGAGUGGCCCCGAGAGCCUCCUCGCGGGCCUCCUCGACCAACUCCACGUCGCCGGCGAGCCUGCCGCGGACCUGGAGUCCAUAGGAUCCACUGACCCGAUGCUGGUCGACUCCGACACUGUGUCGCUCGACGCGUUCCCCACCAACGUGGUGGUCUACGACGAGCCGCUCUCUUACGCGGGGAGCGGCGGAAGCACCAUCACUGAGGUCCUCAUCCUCGACCACGGCGAGCGCUCCGGCGAAGGAGCGCACGACCCGCUUGACGCGGCCCUGCGAGGCCUCGCAGCGCCGAUUCCGGAAGACGCCGACGCCGAGACGCUGGAGGCGCUCCGCCUUCAGCUCGUCGAGGGCGUGAAGAAGCUGGAAAGCAUGAGGCGCUUGUCAGAAGCUUACCAACGCGAGAUGGAUCGCGCCGUAGGCGGCUCGCCGGCUCCAACCGGGCCUAGCCGCCUAGGCGCGGUCUGACAGCGCGGCGCGGCAAUCGCCAACCUCUUCGGGGCUGAUCGCCCUGUGUAUGCCAUGCCCGCAGAGAAUAUCCGUGCCGCCCAGGCGGCGGCAGACGAGCUUGACAACUUCGAGGGCGAAGAGCGCCGCAUAAUGACGGAGCGAGUUCAGCAGCUCCUUGACGCGGCUGCCACGCAGAAUGAUGCCAGCUGCCGCACCGAGGCGCCGCAGCGCCAAAACGACGACCCACCGCCUCGCCGAGACCAAGGUGCGACGUCUCGGACGCCGACUGGCGGGGCCCGUGGGAAGAAGGACAAGGAGCCGGAUGUCAGCCACAGUCGGACUCACAUCACCAUCGAGCGGGACCAAGACGGCCGCCCCAAAGAGGUGGAACGGCGGGACGACUACCUGCCUCCCCCUCCUCGUAGAGAAAGGCGAGUCUCCCCGCCGCCCGUGGAACAUCCGACUCUCGGCGACCGCCUUGGCCACCAAGAGGGAGUCGGAGAGAACGACGCCCGCCACCGGAUCGACCGACUCCACCCGAUCCCUGGCGCUGGAAGAAGAAGACGAGUUGGGUCCCCCCUGCUUUGGACCCCGCAUCCGAGAUGAGCCCUUCCCCAAAGGGUUCACGCUCCCCCGAGACACGCCCAAAUAUACCGGCACCGUGAAGCCGGAAGAUUGGCUGAUCGACUACUCCACAACCGUCAACAUAAUGAACGGCAACAAGCGUGUUGCCGUGAGAUACAUCCCGCUCAUGCUCCAGGGCUCGGCCCGGACGUGGUUGAACAGUCUAAAGCCUCGCAGCAUCAACAGCUGGGUCGACUUCACCGAGGCUUUCGUCCGCAACUUCAUGAGCACGUACAAGUGACCUCCCAAGCCACGCCAACUCUCCUUCAGUUGGAGCAGAGCUGAUCACCCAGAGGUGAUGUCGAGUCCAGGCUCCUACGCUUUGGUCUUAGGUGCCACACUCGCCACAGAUAGGCGGGUCGCUCGCUUCUCGCGAGUACUGAUAGACGGAGGCAGCAGUAUCAACAUCCUGUACAAGGAUACAAUGGAGAAAUUAGGAAUCAAGCGAAGACAGCUUCAGAGCAGCCGGACUGUGUUCCACGGAAUCGUCCCUAGCCUUUCCUGCUCACCAAUCGGCAAGAUCCUGAUAGAUGUCCUCUUCGGAGACAAGGAUCAUUUCCGCCGAGAGCCAAUUUGGUUUGAGGUGGUGGACCUUGAAAGCCCAUAUCAUGCAUUGCUUGGCCGACCCGCCUUGGCCAAGUUCAUGGCGGUCCCCCACUACGCCUACCUCAAGAUGAAGAUGUCGAGUUCCAAGGGAAUCCUAACGGUGUCCGGCGACUACAGGAAGUCGUCCGCUUGUGCGGCCGAAAGCAGUCGGCUAGCCGAGUCCUUGGUGAUCGCGGCUGAGAAACGGCUUCUUGAUCGGGUCGUGGCGAUGGCCGGCAAGCAGCCCGAGUUAUCGCCCGACCCCAAGGAGUCGAAAGCAGAAGGAUCAUUCAAGCCAGCCAAAGAAACAAAGAAGAUACCGUUGGACCCGGAGCACCCGGAGAGGUAUGCUGUCAUGGGCACAGGCCUUGACAGCAAAUAGGCAGGCGAGCUCAUCGAUUUCCUCCGUGAGAAUCGUGACAUCCUCGCAUGGUCCCCCAAGGACAUGCCUGGUGUCCCGACAGAAUUCGUCGAGCACAAAUUACAUGUCCGAUCUGAUAUGAAGCCCGUCAGGCAGCCCUUGCGCCGCCUGUCAGAAGAAAAAAGAAGAGUUGUUGGAGAAGAAAUAGCCCGGCUCCUGGCAGCCAGCUUCAUCAUGGAAGUGUUUUUUCCAGAGUGGCUGGCAAACCCAGUACUGGUGCUGAAGAAGAACAAGCAGUGGCGGAUGUGCAUUGGUUACACGAGCCUCAACAAAGCUUGCCCCCAAGGACCCAUUUGCUUUGCCGAGAAUCGAUCAGGUGAUAGACUCCACAGCCGGAUGCGAGCUGUUGAGUUUCCUAGACGCAUAUUCAGGAUAUCACCAGAUCAAGCUGAACCCGGCUGACAGACUGAAGACCACCUUCAUCAUGCCGUUUGGAGCCUUCUGCUACCUGACCAUGAUGUUCGGCCUAAGAAACGUCGGCGCCACCUUUCAGCGUUGCAUGCAGAAGUGCCUCCUGAAGCAACUCGGCAGAAAUGCCCACGUCUAUGUGGAUGAUGUAGUGCUGAAGACGGAGAAGCAUGGAACCUUGCUCGAGGACCUCAAGGAAACCUUUGAGAAUCUGCGCCGAUUCUAGAUCAAGCUCAACCUAGAGAAGUGCGUUUUUGGAGUACCAGCCGGCCAGCUCCUCGGUUUCCUGGUCUCCGAACGCGGCAUGGAGUGCAAUCCUGUGAAGAUCAAGGCCAUCGAGAGGAUGGAAGCACCCAGACGACUGUUAGAUGUGCAGAAGUGUCACAUCCCUAGUCUGGUAUGACCUAGACUAGCCAGUCAGUUGUGCAUCAUACUUAAAUUUCAUUUAAAUUUGAAAUGAGGAUUGGUGGAACCCUGAGAAUCAUUUUUGAAAAUGACCCAAAUAAAAAUUUCUCCAAAAGGGUCCAAGAAAAUGCUCAUGUUGCUCUCUGAAAAUAUUGGACAGAGAUAAAAAUCAAAACAAUAUUUUUAGGAGCUCAUGGAUAUUUAUUUUGGCCAUUUGGAUUAAUUCAAUAAAUAUUUGCAUUGGAAAUAUAUUAGUUAUAUAUAUAUAUAUAUAUAUAUAUAUAUCUCCAAAAAUUAUGCCAUUUAUAAAGGAGCUCUGGAAUAAUACCAUUAGCCCCUACAAAAAUUGGCAUAAGCAAAUAAAAUGGUUUAGUAUUUUUAUUAAAUCAAAACAAAUGUCAGAAAAAAAUAGAAAAACAGAAAUAAAAGAAGGAGGGGCUUACCUGGGGCUUCCCCUGUGCAGCCCAGCCACAGCAGGCCGGCCCAGCCAGCAGGCGGCCCAGCCCACCUGGCCCCCCUCCUCUGUCGUCUUCCUUCCCGACAGGGGAACGGAGCGUGCCCGGUGCGCGCGCGCGCCACCGCGCCACGCCUCCUCCCUCCCUGCCUGCCUGUCCUCCCCUCGCCGCUCUGGAUGGACCGAACAUCGCCACGCAGCCGCCCCGGUCCUUUUCCCCUCCCUCUCGCUCUCCCUCCUCCCUGGUUCUCUCUUCCCCGAGCGCACCCGAGCGCAGCCGCCGCCAUCGCUCGCCCUUGCAGUGGCCACCGGCCUCCCCUCGCCUCCCUGACACGCUUCCCAGCUCCGCCUCGACCCCCUCUACCUCCUCGUCAAGCCACGCACCUCCGGACGCGCUCCAUCGCCGACGCCGUUGUCUUCUUCAGCACCGACGCCGGAGAUCGACCUCGCCGCCAUUGCCGUCGAUUCGCCGGAUGCAGGACGUCCCCGAGCACACCGGCCUGCUCUGCGAGUCCGCCGUGAGCCCCUCUUCCUUUCCCCUCACCUCUCUCUCUUGCGCGUGCCCUGUAGUCGCUGCCCCGCGAGCGCCCGAAGCCGCCGUCCGCCAUGGCCGGCGAGCUCCGUGCCUCCGAGCACCUCCGCCUCGCGUAGUAGCUCGAUGUGCUCCUGCUGCCUCGUAGCUACCGCCUGUGCCCUCCGUUCGCUCGAACGCGAGCUGCAGCCCCACGCCCGUGCUAUCCCGAACUCCGGUCGCCGCCCAAGUGGUCGCCGCCGGUGAUAUAGGCCGUCUCCGGUGAAACAGAGGGUGCCACAGGAUGCGCGCGAGCCUGGGCUUCGCGUAGGUGCUCUCCGCCGCACGAUUGGUCGCCGGAGCGACGAUUCCGCAGCCCUCCGUCGCGUUCAGGCCUCGCCGGCGACUAACCGCCGGCGGGUCUGACUUGUUUGACCUGGGAUUUGACCCCCCAGGGUCGCUGACUAGUGGGGCCAGGCUCUGCUAAUUUUAGUUAAAAAAAAUAAUAACUAAACCUAAUUAGCCACUAACACUGACCAGUGGGCCCGACCCCCCUAAUCUGUUAAUUAAGUUAAUUAACCCCUGUUUGACCCCCCUGUCACUGACGUGUGGGUCCCACACGUCAGGUUUGACCCGGACCAGCCUAGUUUACUGCUGACGUCAUGCUUACUCAAUGCUGACGCAAUUAUAUAUUUUCUGGAAUUAAAAUAAUUCAGAAAAUCCAGAAAAUGAUUUAAACUUCAAAAAUUCAUAACAAUUCAACCGUAGCUCAGAUUAAAAUAAUUUAUAUAUGAAAAAUUAUCAGAAAAAUGCAAUCUUUCCAUCUGUACUAGUUUCAUGCAUGACAAACCAACUUAUACAUGCUGAAUAUGGGAAAACACAUUAUGGCAUAUAUAAGAGACUUAAUUUAGAAAUGCAUUUGAACCUUUGGUUCAAAUGGAAUUCAAACCAAAUAUUUACUAGUUGCAUUAGCUCAAAUAGCAUCACAUCUACAUGCCAUGUUCAUGCAUCAUAUUGUUGCAUAUGUUUGUGUUUUGAUUGCCGGCACCGUUCCUUCUCGAUAGGUCCUGCUCCGGAGACGUUCCAGAGUACCUGUCUGUGAAGCAGUGCCCCCUCCUUGUUAAUUUACCAGGCAAGCAAACCCCCUUGUUCAUUUCCAUAAAACCCUACUCUCUCGCUCCUGCUCUCAGUUAUUGCAUUAGGACAACAGCGAUUCAUCUGUUACUUUGUGCUGCGGUAGUUGAACCCAUUCCUCUGCAUGACCUGUCAUUGCCACAGUAAAUAGUUGAAACCCACUAGCAUGUGUAGGAGUUGAUUGAAACCACUGAUAUGUUCCUACCAUGCUAUGCCUGCUAUUGCUUAGAGUUGUGUCAGGUCUAGUUCAUUGGGAAUGAAUUGGAGUGUUACGAUAUGUUCUGAUGCUGAGAGUUAAGUGUGUGAACACGAUUUGGUAAAGGUAGCGGUGAGAGGCCAUGUAGGAGUACAUGGUGGGUUGUCUCACUGGAACCGUCAUUAAGCACUGAGUUCUGUGUAUGUUGUCCAAUGACUCGAUACUACCACACAUUGGGUUCCGGUAACUCGACCCCUCUCGACUUAUUAACCAACUUGAUCUCUGUCCAGGAGUCGCAACUAGUUUCUGGCGUUUGUAGGUAGUGUUAGUAGUCUACCAAGUGGCACCCGACCAGGUGGGCUUGGGACAGACUAGGCACCAGUGGCACGGUGUACCAAGCAUAGAUCCAUCCGGCGAGGUGGGCUUGGGAACCCUGCACACAUCGUUUGGGGCCGUGAGUGAAACCCCGGCCGGAUCUCCUUGCGGAUGGAACCCGAAUAGGCGAUAAACCUGGAUUAGAGUCUUGUGCGGUUAGUCAGGUCGUGGCCGACACCCUCGCCAGGCUUCCGCUUGAAGGUUGCCGAGAUACAUGACGUGUACAUGGCGGUAAGUGGCGAGAGCGUGUGUGAAGAAGUACACCCCUGCAGGGUUAACAUGAUCUAUUCGAAUAGCCGGGUCCGCGGUUAUGGACUUCUUGGAUGCUUACAUGGUACAUAGACAACUUGAAGUGGAUACCCUAAAAUGCUCAAGACAAGUGUGAGUGCUAUGGAUGGCCUUCUCGUAGGGAGACGGGGAUGAAUCCAUAGUAGUGUAUUGUGUGGUGAUUAGUGGACUCGUGUACGUUGUUUCACCUCCAGAGUUUCUGGUAGUCGUAGAAUAGGAUAGCCACAGAGUUAAAGCUGGCUUGCUGCAACUAAACCCCACAUUACCCUCUUGAUACAAAUGCAUGUACGAUAGGAUCUGAUGUAAGUCUUGCUGAGUACCUCUGUACUCAUGUUGCUUUAUUUAUGUUUUUGCAGCUGAGACUUCGGUCUUACUAGCGUUCUCGUGGACUUCGACUAGUAGCUAGUACCUCAGCUACGAUCUUGAUCGGAGGUUGUAGAUAGUCAGGCGUUCAGCCUUUUUCAUUUAUAGAUGUCUGUACUCAGACAUGUAAUGCUUCCGCUUGUUGCUUGUAUGCUCUGUAUGAUGGGUUUUGUGACCCCUGUUUGCAAUAAAUGCUAUGAUAGCUCUUCUAAGCCUUUAUCUAUAUGAUUGUUGAGUUAUGCUGUGAUGCCAUGUUGUACAGCACAUACUUGCAUGUUAUGCGUACGUGUAAUGUGUAUUGCUAUGUGUGGGAUCUGACUAUCUAGUUGUUUAUUCUUAGUAGCCUCUCUUACCGGGAAAUGUCUCCUAGUGCUUCCACUGAGCCCUGGUAGCUUGCUACUGCUCCGGAACACUUAGGCUGGCCGGCAUGUGUCCUUCUUCGAUCCUGUGUCUGUCCCUUCGGGGAAAUGUCACGCGAUGAAUACCGGAGUCCUGCUAGCCCGCUACAGCCCGGUUCACCGGAGUCCUGUUAGCCCAGUGCUACAGCCUGGAUUCACUCGCUGAUGACCGACACGUUCGAUGCUGGGUCAUGGAUGCCUGUCCCUGUAAGUUAGUGCCACUUUGGGUUUACGACUAGCCAUGUCAGCCCGGGCUCUUUAUCAUAUGGAUGCUAGCGACACCAUCAUAUACGUGUGCCAAAAGGCGCAAACGGUCCCGGGCAAAAGUAAGGCGACACCCGUGGGGAUACCGUGCGUGAGGCCGCAAAGUGAUAUGAGGUGUUACAUGCUGGAUCGAUGUGGCAUUGAGUCGGGGUCCUGACAGCGUUGGUAUCAGAGCCUGACUGCCUGUAGGUUUACCAAGCCAUACUGGUCGAAGUUGAGUCUAGAAAAUCUUUAGUUAUGUAAGGGAAUUGAUUGUGGGUUGGAACGUAAGGCUCUUUUUACUCCUUAUACCUCAUGACCUUCUGAUCUGAGUCGUCCUAUCUUUCCGACGGGGUUAAGGAACUAGGCUUCUCUUCCGUCUAUUAGGAUCACGUGUUACUACUCCGUAGUUCCAUAGGAUUGGUUGAUUAGAGUCAUACCCCAGUUUUCGAGUACUUCCAGUGUAGUCUGUUUAGUACUACCUCCGAACCUUGAGUGAUGCUGAUGAGUAUGUUACCACCCCAUUUUUAGUAGGAUGUCUCAUUCUGAACAUUUUACUGCCGUUAUGCUGUCGAAAUUUCCCUAGGAGUUCGAGAGAUACUAAUUCCUUGUCCUACAUUCUACAGUCCAUAGCUGAUGCUGAUUCCGUCCUUGGUUCGUUUCUCAGGAUGUCAUCGGCUAAGCGAAGUUCCGUUGCUCGUAGCCAGAACCACGGAGAUGGUAGGGAUGAGGAUCCUCCUGAUCAGCCUUCGUUGACAGAGUUCAUGCUAGAGAUGGAGAGGAACAAGCGUGAGUCCAACCGCUUGUUGGCACGUAUCGAGGAGAACACCGCACAUCAGUCCAAUAAGCCUGUGACCAUUCAUGACUUCAUUCGCUUGCACCCACCUACCUUCCAUCAUUCCAUCGAGCCACUCGAUGCAGAUGACUGGCUCCGUAGCAUCACUCAUAAGCUGCAUUCCGCGAGCGUAGCCGAAAGUGACAAGGUCACCUAUGCUGCACACCACCUGGAAGGUCCUGCUAGUCUUUGGUGGCAGAACUAUGAGGCUAUGCUUCCAGCUGGCCAGACUUCCACCUGGAGGGAUUUCGUUGAGGCUUUUCGUGAGCAUCACAUUCCUGAAGCCCUCAUUGAUCGCAAGAGAGAAGAGUUCUGUAGUUUCACCCAGGGUAAGAUGGCUGUUGAUGCCUAUAGUAGAGAGUUUGAGAACCUCGCCCGUUAUGCCACAGAAGAGGUGUCCACGGACGCCAAGAAGCAGGCUAGGUUCCGGAAGGGUCUCAACCCCAAGUUGCGUCGUGAUCUCCACCUGCAUCAUUGUGAUACCUUCCAAGCCCUUGUGAACAAGGCCAUUAAUGCAAAGACAGCUCAACUCACUUACGAGGAGUCUCGUAAGCACACUCGUGGUUUGGGAUCUUCCUCCGGUUCUAGCUCUCAGAAGCGCCAGAUUUGGGUUCCAAACUCCGCUCUUCCACCCAAAUAUGUAUCCAGGCCAUCUUAUGUGGCACCUCAUCAAGUUCAGCAGUAUGCUCCACCCAGGCCUAUUGGUGGACCGCCUUCCAAUGCAGGUCCACAUCCUACCUCCAAGAUUUGUUACAAGUGCGGAGAGCCAGGCCACACUGCCCGUAUUUGCACUCAGACCAGAGUUGCUCCACCCCAGCCCAAGAAGUCUAUUGGCCGUGGUAAGCCAUCACGCAAGAUGAUCAGUGCCAAGUCAGCUCCCACUGAACAUGGACGUGUGCAUCACGUCUCAGCUAAAGCCGCUCAUGAUGAUCCAGAUGUCAUUCUUGGAACACUCCUUGUCAACUGUCAUCCGGCAUCGGUUUUGUUCGAUACUGGAGCGUCUCAUUCCUUCAUUUCUGAAAGCUAUGCCCGCUUGCACGACAUGUCAUUUUGUGAUAUGCCCUCUCCACUACUUAUUCAAACUCCUGGAUCCAAAUGGCAAACUUCUAGGAUAAGUUAUGGCAAUGAAAUCCUUGUGGAAAGACUUGCAUUCCUUGCCUCCUUGAUAUCUCUCAAGUCUUCGGAUAUUAACAUCAUCUUGGGUAUGGACUGGAUGACAGCUCAUCAUGCCAAGAUUGAUUGUUUCACCAGGUCUGUUCAGCUCACACACCCAUCUGGCAAGAUAGCCAUUGUCUCCACUAGAGUUGCAAAGCGUCAGCUCUAUUCCCUUAAUGCCAGCCCUUCUCCAGACCUUGAAGUUAUCCCGGUAGUCCGUGACUUUCCGGAUGUCUUUCUAGAGGAACUGCCAGGUGUUCCGCCUGACAGAGAUGUAGAGUUCGUCAUAGAUCUUAUCCCAGGAACUGCUCCAAUCUCUAGGAGACCCUACAAGAUGGCACCUUUAGAACUAGCCGAGCUUAAGAAACAACUUGAUGAGUCCUUGCAAAAGGGUUUCAUCCGUCCUAGUUCUUCUCCUUGGGCUUGCCCCGUCCUCUUUGUCAAGAAGAAAGACGGUACGGACCGGAUGGUCGUUGAUUAUCGUCCCGUUAAUUUGGUCACGAUAAAGAACAAGUAUCCGCUCCCCAGGAUCAACGACCUGUAUGAUCAGCUCGCUGGAUCCUCAGUCUUCUCCAAGAUGGAUUUAAGGUUAGGAUACCACCAAAUCAAAAUCAGAAACGGGGACAUUCCCAAGACAGCUUUUGUCACUUGUUAUGGUCAGUACGAGUACACCGUCAUGUCCUUUGGCCUAAUCAACGCCCCAGCCACAUUCUCCCGCUUGAUGAACUCGAUCUUCAUGGAGUACUUAGAUAAGUUCGUCGUGGUUUACCUCGAUGAUAUUCUUAUCUACUCGAAGAACGAGGAAGAGCAUGCCGAACAUCUUAGACUUGUGUUAGAAAAACUCAGAGAGCACCGCCUUUAUGCCAAGUUCUCCAAGUGUGAAUUUUGGUUGCCAGAAGUGACCUACCUAGGCCACGUAAUCUCUGGUAAGGGCAUUGCUGUCAAUCCCGAGAGAGUUCAAGCCGUUCUCGAUUGGACUCCACCUGAGACCGUGAAACAAGUUAGGAGUUUCCUUGGUCUAGCCAGCUAUUGUCGCCGCUUUGUUGAAAACUUCUCCAAAGUAGCCAAACCCCUCACGGAACUUCUCAAGAAAGAUAAAAAGUUUGAGUGGUCCCCACAGUGUGAACACAGUUUUCAGGAACUGAAAAGGCGCCUGACUUCUGCUCCCAUACUUGUGCCACCGGAUUUCACUAAAGACUUUAUUAUCUACUGCGAUGCCUCACGACAGGGACUAGGUUGCAUUCUUAUGCAGGAACGUCAUGUGAUUGCCUAUGCAUCUCGACAGUUGCAUCCACAUGAGGAUAAUUAUCCCACACAUGAUCUAGAGCUUGCAGCCGUAGUCUAUGCACUCAAGACCUGGCGACAUUACCUCCUUGGUAAACGUUGCGAGAUCUACACCGAUCACCAGAGUCUCAAGUAUAUCUUCACCCAACCAGAUUUGAACCUUAGGCAAAGACGUUGGUUGGAGUUAAUCACAGAUUAUGAUCUAGGGAUUACCUACACCCCAGGCAAAGCCAAUGUCAUGGCUGAUGCUCUAAGCCGUAAAUCCUAUUGCAACAAUCUCAUGUUGCAGCAAGGUCAACCACUUCUCCAUGAGGAAUUCUGUAAGCUUAAUCUUCACAUUGCUCCUCACGGAUUCCUUUCUACCUUGGUGGCGAAACCUACCCUUGUGGAUCUUAUCAUAGAAGCCCAGAAGCAUGAUACGGGGAUUACCCGGAUCAAGAGAAACAUUGCCAAGGGUAUUGCUGGUAGUUUCUCUAUAGAUGAUCGAGGUGUUGUUUUCUUUGGGAACCGCCUGGUGGUCCCCAAGAAGCAACAUCUUCGACAAUUGAUUCUUAAGGAGGCGCAUGAAUCUCCUCUCACAAUUCAUCCCGGUAGUACUAAGAUGUAUCAGGAUCUACGCCAGAGGUUCUGGUGGACUAGGAUGAAGAGAGAAAUCGCUGAGUUCAUUGCUAACUGUGACGUUUGUCGUCGCGUUAAGGCAGAGCAUCAAAGGCCUGCUGGCACCCUUCAACCUUUAGCUAUUCCUGAGUGGAAAUGGGAUAAAGUUGGUAUGGACUUCAUUACCGGCUUUCCCAGGACCAAGAAAGGGAAUAACGCUAUCUUCGUAGUCGUUGAUCGUCUUUCCAAAGUGGCUCACUUCCUUCCUGUUCGGGAAAGUAUCACUGCUGGUCAGCUUGCUGACUUAUAUAUUUCUCGAAUAGUGUCACUUCAUGGUGUUCCACUAGAGAUCAAUUCAGACCGUGGCAGUCUUUUCACUUCUCAUUUUUGGGAGAGCUUCCAAACUGCCAUGGGAACCCAUCUUUCCUUCAGCACCGCUUUCCACCCUCAGUCGAGUGGUCAGGUGGAACGGGUCAAUCAAAUUCUCGAAGACAUGCUUAGAGCUUGCGUUAUCUCCUUCGGUAUGGAUUGGGAGAAAUGUCUUCCUUUCACCGAGUUUGCUUAUAACAAUAGCUACCAAUCCAGUCUCAAGAAAGCUCCUUUUGAGGUUCUCUAUGGACGAAGAUGUCGAACACCUUUGAACUGGUCAGAAACCGGUGAAAGACAAUUCUUUGGACCGGACAUGAUCCAGGAGGCAGAAGAGCAAGUUCGCAUCAUUCGUGAGAAUUUGAAAACAGCCCAGUCUCGUCAGAAAAGCCAGUACGAUCGUCAUCAUAAGGAUAUGACUUAUGAAAUUGGCGACCAAGCUUACCUUCGGGUUACUCCUUUGAAGGGUACCCAUCGUUUCGGUAUCUAGGGCAAGUUGGCUCCUUGUUACAUUGGUCCUUUUCGUAUUCUCGCUAAACGAGGAGAGGUUGCCUACUAGUUGGAACUACCCCCACAUCUUUCUCGAGUUCAUGAUGUCUUCCACGUCUCUCAACUCAGGCGUUGCUUCUCGGAUCCCAUCCGCGGAGUGGACCACGAAACGCUUGAUCUCCAAGAUAACCUCACCUACCGAGAGUACCCGGUUCGCAUUCUUGAUCAAGCAGAGCGUGUCACUCGACGUCAGAACAUCAAGUUUCUCAAAGUUCAGUGGUCCCAUCAUUCCGAGAGAGAAGCUACUUGGGAACGAGAAGAUCGUCUUCGACUGGAGUACCCCGCUUUCUUUCCGUCGACCCCUGAAUCUCGGGACGAGAUUUUUCCAAGUGGGGGCGAGUUGUCACAUCCCUAGUCUGGUAUGACCUAGACUAGCCAGUCAGUUGUGCAUCAUACUUAAAUUUCAUUUAAAUUUGAAAUGAGGAUUGGUGGAACCCUCAGAAUCAUUUUUGAAAAUGACCCAAAUAAAAAUUUCUCCAAAAGGGUCCAAGAAAAUGCUCAUGUUGCUCUCUGAAAAUAUUGGACAGAGAUAAAAAUCAAAACAAUAUUUUUAGGAGCUCAUGGAUAUUUAUUUUGGCCAUUUGGAUUAAUUCAAUAAAUAUUUGCAUUGUAAAUAUAUUAGUUAUAUAUAUAUAUAUCUCCAAAAAUUAUGCCAUUUAUAAACGAGCUCUGGAAUAAUACCAUUAGCCCCUACAAAAAUUGGCAUAAGCAAAUAAAAUGGUUUAGUAUUUUUAUUAAAUCAAAACAAAUGUCAGAAAAAAAUAGAAAAACAGAAAUAAAAGAAGGAGGGGCUUACCUGGGGCUUCCCCUGUGCAGCCCAGCCGCAGCAGGCCGGCCCAGCCAGCAGGCGGCCCAGCCCACCUGGCCCCCCUCCUCUGUCAUCUUCCUUCCCGACAAGGGAACGGAGCGUGCCCGGCGCGCGCGCGCGCCACCGCGCCACGCCUCCUCCCUCCCUGCCUGCCUGUCCUCCCCUCGCCGCUCUGGAUGGACCGAACGUCGCCACGCAGCCGCCCCGGUCCUUUUCCCCUCCCUCUUGCUCUCCCUCCUCCCUGGUUCUCUCUUCCCCGAGCGCACCCGAGCGCAGCCGCCGCCAUCGCUCGCCGUUGCCGUGGCCACCGGCCUCCCCUCGCCUCCCUGACACGCUUCCCAGCUCUGCCUCGACCCCCUCUACCUCCUCGUCAAGCCACGCACCUCCAGACGCGCUCCAUCGCCGACGCCGUUGUCUUCUUCACCACCGACGCCGGAGAUCGACCUCGCCGCCAUUGCCGUCGAUUCGCCGGACGCAGGACGUCCCCGAGCACACCGGACUGCUCUGCGAGUCCGCCGUGAGCCCCUCUUCCUUUCCCCUCACCUCUCUCUCUCGCGCGUGCCCUGUAGCCGCUGCCCCGCGAGCGCCCGAAGCCGCCGUCCGCCAUGGCCGGCGAGCUCCGUGCCCCCGAGCACCUCCGCCUCGCGUAGUAGCUCGAUGUGCUCCUGCUGCCUCGUAGCUACCGCCUGUGCCCUCCGUUCGCUCGAACGCGAGCUGCAGCCCCACGCCCGCGCUAUCCCGAACUCCGGUCGCCGCCCAAGUGGUCGCCGCCGGCGAUAUAGGCCGUCUCCGGUGAAACAGAGGGCGCCACAGGAUGCGCGCGAGCCUGGGCUUCGCGUAGGUGCUCUCCGCCGCACGAUUGGUCGCCGGAGCGACGAUUCCGCAGCCCUCCGUCGCGUUUAGGCCUCGCCGGCGACUAACCGCCGGCGGGUCUGACUUGUUUGACCUGGGAUUUGACCCCCCAGGGUCGCUGACUAGUGGGGCCAGGCUCUGCUAAUUUUAGUUAAAAAUAAUAAUAACUAAACCUAAUUAGCCACUAACACUGACCAGUGGGCCCGACCCCCCCUAAUCUGUUAAUUAAGUUAAUUAACCCCUGUUUGACCCCCCCUGUCACUGACGUGUGGGUCCCACACGUCAGGUUUGACCCGGACCAGCCCAGUUGACUGCUGACGUCAUGCUUACUCAAUGCUGACGCAAUUAUAUAUUUUCUGGAAUUAAAAUAAUUCAGAAAAUCCAGAAAAUGAUUUAAACUUCAAAAAUUCAUAACAAUUCAACCGUAGCUCAGAUUAAAAUAAUUUAUAUAUGAAAAAUUAUCAGAAAAAUGCAAUCUUUCCAUCUGUACUAGUUUCAUGCAUGACAAACCAACUUAUACAUGCUGAAUAUGGGAAAACACAUUAUGGCAUAUAUAAGAGACUUAAUUUAGAAAUGCAUUUGAACCUUUGGUUCAAAUGGAAUUCAAACCAAAUAUUUACUAGUUGCAUUAGCUCAAACAACAUCACAUCUACAUGCCAUGUUCAUGCAUCAUAUUGUUGCAUAUGUUUGUGUUUUGAUUGCCGGCACCGUUCCUUCUCGAUAGGUCCUGCUCCGGAGACGUUCCAGAGUACCUGUCUGUGAAGCAGUGCCCCCUCCUUGUUAAUUUACCAGGCAAGCAAACCCCCUUGUUCAUUUCCAUAAAACCCUACUCUCUCGCUCCUGCUCUCAGUUAUUGCAUUAGGACAACAGCGAUUCAUCUGUUACUUUGUGCUGCGGUAGUUGAACCCAUUCCUCUGCAUGACCUGUCAUUGCCACAGUAAAUAGUUGAAACCCACUAGCAUGUGUAGGAGUUGAUUGAAACCACUGAUAUGUUCCUACCAUGCUAUGCCUGCUAUUGCUUAGAGUUGUGUCAGGUCUAGUUCAUUGGGAAUGAAUUGGAGUGUUACGAUAUGUUCUGAUGCUGAGAGUUAAGUGUGUGAACACGAUUUGGUAAAGGUAGCGGUGAGAGGCCAUGUAGGAGUACAUGGUGGGUUGUCUCACUGGAACCGUCAUUAAGCACUGAGUUCUGUGUAUGUUGUCCAAUGACUCGAUACUACCACACAUUGGGUUCCGGUAACUCGACCCCUCUCGACUUAUUAACCAACUUGAUCUCUGUCCAGGAGUCGCAACUAGUUUCUGGCGUUUGUAGGUAGUGUUAGUAGUCUACCAAGUGGCACCCGGCCAGGUGGGCUUGGGACAGACUAGGCACCAGUGGCACGGUAUACCAAGCGUAGAUCCAUCCGGCGAGGUGGGCUUGGGAACCCUGCACACAUCGUUUGGGGCCGUGAGUGAAACCCCGGCCGGAUCUCCUUGCGGAUGGAACCCGAAUAGGCGAUAAACCUGGAUUAGAGUCUUGUGCGGUUAGUCAGGUCGUGGCCGACACCCUCGCCAGGCUUCCGCUUGAAGGUUGCCGAGAUACAUGACGUGUACAUGGCGGUAAGUGGCGAGAGCGUGUGUGAAGAAGUACACCCCUGCAGGGUUAACAUGAUCUAUUCGAAUAGCCGGGUCCGCGGUUAUGGACUUCUUGGAUGCUUACAUGGUACAUAGACAACUUGAAGUGGAUACCCUAAAAUGCUCAAGACAAGUGUGAGUGCUAUGGAUGGCCUUCUCGUAGGGAGACGGGGAUGAAUCCAUAGUAGUGUAUUGUGUGGUGAUUAGUGGACUCGUGUACGUUGUUUCACCUCCAGAGUUUCUGGUAGUCGUAGAAUAGGAUAGCCACAGAGUCAAAGCUGGCUUGCUGCAACUAAACCCCACAUUACCCUCUUGAUACAAAUGCAUGUACGAUAGGAUCUGAUGUAAGUCUUGCUGAGUACCUCUGUACUCAUGUUGCUUUAUUUAUGUUUUUGCAGCUGAGACUUCGGUCUUACUAGCGUUCUCGUGGACUUCGACUAGUAGCUAGUACCUCAGCUACGAUCUUGAUCGGACGUUGUAGAUAGUCAGGCGUUCAGCCUUUUUCAUUUAUAGAUGUCUGUACUCAGACAUGUAAUGCUUCCGCUUGUUGCUUGUAUGCUCUGUAUGAUGGGUUUUGUGACCCCUGUUUGCAAUAAAUGCUAUGAUAGCUCUUCUGAGCCUUUAUCUAUAUGAUUGUUGAGUUAUGCUGUGAUGCCAUGUUGUACAGCACAUACUUGCAUGUUAUGCGUACGUGUAAUGUGUAUUGCUAUGUGUGGGAUCUGACUAUCUAGUUGUUUAUUCUUAGUAGCCUCUCUUACCGGGAAAUGUCUCCUAGUGCUUCCACUGAGCCCUGGUAGCUUGCUACUGCUCCGGAACACUUAGGCUGGCCGGCAUGUGUCCUUCUUCGAUCCUGUGUCUGUCCCUUCGGGGAAAUGUCACGUGAUGAAUACCGGAGUCCUGCUAUCCCGCUACAGCCCGGUUCACCGGAGUCCUGUUAGCCCAGUGCUACAGCCUGGAUUCACUCGCUGAUGACCGACACGUUCGAUGCUGGGUCAUGGAUGCCUGUCCCUGUAAGUUAGUGCCACUUUGGGUUUACGACUAGCCAUGUCAGCCCGGGCUCUUUAUCAUAUGGAUGCUAGCGACACCAUCAUAUACGUGUGCCAAAAGGCGCAAACGGUCCCGGGCAAAAGUAAGGCGACACCCGUGGGGAUACCGUGCGUGAGGCCGCAAAGUGAUAUGAGGUGUUACAUGCUGGAUCGAUGUGGCAUUGAGUCGGGGUCCUGACAAGAAGUUCACCGGCUAUUUGGAAUCCAUCAGCCGAUUCAUCAGUGGGCUGGGCGAGAAGGCUCUCCCCUUGUAUUAGCUCAUGAAGAAGACGACCUUCUUUGAGUGGACUCCCAAGGCGGACGAGGCUUUUCUCCAACUAAAGAAGAUGUUGACUACUCCCCCUGUGCUGGCGGCUCCGACUCCCAAAGAGCCCAUGCUCCUAUACAUUGCCGCCACCAGCCGAGUAGUCAGCACAGUCAUUGUAGUCGAGCGCAAGGAGGAAGGCAAGGCGCUGCCUGUCCAGAGACCAGUAUAUUACUUGAGCGAGGUACUGUCGGCCUCCAAGCAGAACUACCCCCAUUACCAGAAGAUGUGCUACGGCGUGCAUUUUGCCGCCAAGAAAUUGAAGCCUUACUUCCAGGAGUAUCCAAUCACUGUGGUCUGCACAACUCCACUGGCCAAGAUCAUCGGAAGCCGAGAUGCUUCUGGCCGAGUGGCCAAAUGGGCCAUCGACCUGGCCUCCUACACCAUCUACUACGAGCCCCGCACUGCCAUCAAGUCGCAAGCACUGGCCGACUUCCUCGUCGACUGGGCCGAGACCCGGUAUCUGCCGUCAGCGCCCGACUCCACCCAUUGGCGGAAGCACUUCGAUGGCUCCAAGAUGCACACCGGCUUGGGAGCCGGCGUCGUCCUCACUUCCCCCAAGGGCGACAAGCUCAGAUAUGUGCUGCAGAUCCACUUCGCCGCCUCCAACAACGUGGCCGAGUACGAGGCGCUCAUCCACGGGCUCCGGCUUGCCAAAGAACUCGGCAUUCGCCGGAUCCUGUGUUAUGGCGACUCUGACUUGGUGGUCCAGCAAUCAUCUGGCGAUUGGGACGCCAAGGACGCAAAUAUGGCGAGCUACCGUUUCCUCGUCCAGCAACUCAGCGGAUACUUCGAGGGGUGCGAGUUCCUCCAUGUGCCAAGGAACGACAACGACUAAGCAGACGUCUUGGCACGAAUCGGCUCCACCCGCCAGGCAAUACCAUCUGGUGUCGCCCUCCGGUGCCUCCUCAAGCCUUCUAUCAAGCCGUCACCAGAAUCAGAUUCAAUCUUUGUGCCGGCUCCGCCUGAGGAAGACGGAUCCGACUCCAAGAAACACACAGUCGAAGCCGGCCUGGGGACUUCAGAACCCGGCCCGGGGACUACAGUGGCAAGAUCGAAGACUCCAGAGCUCGGCCCGGGGACUGCUCCAGUCGGCCCCUGGACUUUGUCAAAUCAGCAAGCGGCUGCGGACUCCAACCCGCCGCCUCCAAGCCCGACCGCCCUUGUCCAAGUCGCACUAGUGGCAGUUUAAGAAAUAGCAGCACCUUCAUGGGCCCAGCCCAUCCUCAGGUUCUUAGUAAACAGAGAGCUGCCAACUGAUGAAAUCUUGGCUCGACAAGUGCAACGCCGAGAAGCAGCCUACACCAUAGUCAAUAGAGAGCUGGUCAGGCGCAGCGUUACCGGCGUCUUCCAACACUGCGUCGAGGCAGAACAAGGCCAAGCAAUCCUCAGAGACAUCCAGGAAGGCGAGUGCGGUCACCACGCGGCCUCCAGGGCACUCGUCGCCAAAGCCUUUCGGCACGGUUUCUUCUGUCCAACCGCCCUGGAAGAGGCCAAAGAGUUAGUCCAAAAGUGCAAGGGGUGCCAGAUUUUCCGUUCCAAGCAACUUCAGCCAGCUUCCGCACUCAAGACUAUCCCCAUCGCCUGGCCCUUUGCAGUCUGGGGUCUGGACAUGGUGGGACCAUUCAAGACGGCACGAGGUGGCGUGACUCACCUACUUGUCGCAGUGGACAAGUUCACCAAGUGGGUGGAGGUGAAACCCAUCAAGAAGUUGAAUGGUCCGACUGCAGUGACCUUCAUCGCUGACAUCACAACUCGGUACGGCAUCCCACACAGCAUCAUCACAGACAAUGGAACGAAUUUUGCCAAAGGCGCCUUGGCCCGUUUCUGCGCGACACAGGGCAUCCGACUGGACUUAGCGUCCGUUGCCCAUCCAUAGUCAAACGGCCAGGUGGAGUGAGCGAACGGCCUCAUCUUAUCCGGCAUCAAGCUUCGACUCGUCGUGCCGCUGGAGCGAUCUGCCGGCUGUUGGCUUGAGGAGCUGCCAGCCAUCCUCUGGAGUCUGCGCAUGACUCCAAACAAGUCAACCGGUUUCACACCCUUCUUCCUCGUCUAUGGUGCCGAAGCCGUCAUCCCAACGGACAUAGAGUUCGACUCCCCGCGAGUCACCAUGUACACCAAGGAAGAAGCAGAAGAAGCACGUCAAGACGGCGUCGAUCUGCUGGAAGAGGGCCGGUUGUUGGCACUCAGCCGGUCCAGUAUCUACCAGCAGAGUCUGCGUCGAUACUACAACAGGAAGGUCAGGCCAAGAUCUUUCCAAGAAGGCGACCUUGUGCUCCGGCUGAUCCAGCGAACAGCCGGCCAGCACAAGCUGUCGGCACCUUGGGAAGGACCCUUUAUCAUCAGCAAGGUGCUAGGGAACGACGCCUACUAUCUUAUCGACGCUUAGAAGCCCCGAGCGCGCAAGAGGGAUGACUCCGGCAAAGAGACAGAGUGCCCGUGGAAUGCAAAUCUUCUUCGAAGAUUUUACAGUUGAUGCAGUAUGUAUCACACUACCCCUUUGUAUUAAACUACUAAGACUUUGGGCCCCCCGAGACGAGCUCGGGGACUGCCCUUUUUGUUAUCUGUAUGAUAAGAAUUAUGCCUUCGAGUACAUUACUUUCAUUACAAGCCGCUUGGCACCGGGCCAGACUAGUUGGCCCGGGGACUCGCCGCCUUGCGCUAUGAGGAGCUUCCCGCAGUCAGACAAGUAGUGCGCGGUGCCCAAUCCGCCUCCUAGCAAAGCCGCAGCUCGCAGAGCGACUGUGAGGCGGGCAGGAGUGAGGAAGAACGGGCGCCCACACGAAAAAUGGCUAGGGACCUAAAGCAUGAACAUAGCGUAAGACGGCCUCCAGCAUUUCUGAAGCAGAAAGCCGACUCAUGAGUAGCCGGCUCGCCGUCCUCUAUCAAGGACGGCCGACUCUUGGGUAGUCGGCCAGUUUCUUUCUAUCCGACUUGCUAAAGAAACUCUAAACGGCCAAGUACUUGCCUUCCCGAAGUAGCCAAGCGCUUGACCCAGCGACAGUCCCCAGAGCGGCUGUCCGACUGGCAAGGCAGCGACUAAAGGAAGGCGGCAAAGGGAAAAGCCUAAAGAGCAGUAAGUAAGGAAAGACGGAAAUCGGAUAAAUAUUUACAUAGGCCCUUGGCCGAAUCUACGAAUAGAAGUUCAAGAUACACCCCGCGGGUGGAAUUGUUCGAAUCAAACAAAGUUUUCAAAAGAUUACUAAGACAGACAAACAGAGGCGAAAAAGGCAGCCUAGGAGGCGUGAUCUGGGAUCGGAGGAUCGGAGGAGAUGGCGGUGUCAGGCGCCGGGGCAGUCGGCUAGGCGGUCUCGGUUUGAUCGCCUCCGGCGGCAGUCGCCUUCUCUCGACGCGGCUCGUUGCUGGAGGCGCGGUCGAGCUGAGGCUGGCCGCCUGCGCCGUCUUCUGGCACCUCCGCCUUGCCUUCGUCCUCUGCCUCGUCCUCCUCCUUGGUGCUGGAGUCGAUCACCUCCGCCGAGUCCUCGCCAUACUCCGGGUUCAUCCCGAACCACUCUGGUGGCACUUCCUCGCCGCCUUCAGCCCGCUCGGGGACGAAGACACUGGUGUCCGUGUACUCGGCGAUGGCCGCCGCACGCUCGAUAAGGGCGCCUUCCACGGCCUCCAGCUCGGCCUGGGCUUCUGACCGGAACACGGCCAGACGGUCCAGGUCCAGCCCUGGAUACCAUGCCUUGACGAACUCCAAGGCCCGAUGCGCUCCGGCCCGGGCCGAGGAGCCCUUCCAGGCCUCAAGACGGCAGGCAGCGACCUCCAGCCAGUCGGCAGUUCGGCUGGCGGUGCACAGAGCCGGUGUGCCUGGCCACAGGGCGGCAACCGCCUGGGCGCCGGCACGCUGAAGCCGGCGCAUCAGCCGGUGAGCCGGACGAGGACGGGCUUCAAUGCUCAGAAGCUGCUCAUCGAUGGUUCGGGGGGCAUUAGUGACGAUCUCCUCACCGUUUGCCCUUCGCGCCUCACGAGCAGCCUCGAUGGCCAGAGGGACUGCCUGCGAGUGACCAGGGAAGAAGUCUGCCAAGACAAAAAAGAAGCCAGUCAAAAAAUCAGAAGUGGGCCUGACACAUAGACGGAAGCCCGAAGAAACGAAAGAAACUUACCAUCAACGAUAUCCUCGAUCUCGUGGAAGCCGGAGGUCAGCAUCGCCUUCCUGUCAGUCCAGGAGGAGCGCUCGCUCUCGAACUCGGCCAGGAGAGCGGCCUCCUUCUUCUCGGCCUCGUCCUGCGCCUUCUUGAGCAGCUCCUUCUGCUCGGCCAGCUGCGCCGCCAGCAGGUCGCGCUCCGCGGCAAGCUUGCCACACUCCUCCUCCUUGGCACACCGGGCGGUAUUGGCCUCGCCCAGCUGCUCCUGAAGAGCGGCGUUGGCUCCUGAAGAACGAAAGAAGAGACAAAUAAGUCGUCAGCAAAGAAGAUUGCAGAGAAGAUCCGGCCCGACUGCUCAGCAGUCGGCCCGAAUCUCGGGGACUACAGCCCGCGGGUGCGCCAGCGCGCCCCCGCGAAGAAAAAGGACUUACUCCGGCUUUCCGUCAAGUCGGCAACCCGCUUAUUCAACUCCUCAACAUUGCGGUUGAAGGCAGUGGCGCGGAGGUUGUGAUACUCCUGCAAUAAGUCAUUGAGACAAAGUUAGUAUUUGGAACUCGCCAAAGGAAGUUCCGAGCCGCCUGCUCAGCAGCCGGCCCGAAACUCGAAGACUACACCCAGUGGGUGUGCUGGCGCGCCCCCACAGAGAAAAACAAGAAUCAAAAAGAAGAAGGAAACAUACUCGAACAGCCGUCCACGCUGCCAGAUGCGCCCUGGUGCAAGUUUGAAGGGCGUCGCCUUCAGCGCGCAGCUUCGCCUGAACGUCCAGAAGCGCUUGAUUCAGCGGCCCGGUGCCGCCUCCGCGCAACCACCCGGUGGGCGCGGCGCUUGUGGCCACGGCAUCUAUGGUCGCCGAGCUGGCAGCGCCGGUCUCCCGAGGUCGCCCUCUCAAAACGGCGGCGCACCGGCGAGGCGACUUGGAGAAGCAGCCGCGCCUCGGCCUCGUCCGUGACCGGCGGCUCUGACGGACCCACCGGCUAUUUGCCGUGCGGCCUCCCAGACGGCGGUGGAGGCGGCGGUGGCGGCAUGAGAAUAUCCGACAUAGAAGCCUCGCCGCUCUCCUUCUCCACGACGGGGUUCUCGCUGCCGGCCUCCCCGGUCUGCCCCGUGAACUCCGGAGGGGGCGGUGUAGACGAUAGUGGGGGGACGAGCAUCGCCGAUCGGCGACGCGCGACCUCCUCGGCAUGCCGUCUCGCCGCAAGGGCGGCUUCGGCAUCCUCCAGCUUCUUCUGGGCGGAGGCGGCCGCCCUGUCGGCCUCCGCCUUCUCCAGACGUUCGACCUCCUCCUCCUCAUGCUUCUCCCGCGCAUUUCGCUCUGUCGCCUCCCAGAGGUCGGCGGCGGGGUCGGCCCGCCGAGUAUUGGCGGACGUCUCUACCGACCCCAUGACGGAGGGGACGGCGACUCUAUCAAGGGAAAGAGGGGCCCUGAAGAAGAAUGGAGGGAGUAUAAAAGAAGACUCGGACAAGAUUCAACGAAGGAAAAUAAAAAAGUGUAAAGACUUACGCAGAGACUAGCGACGGCCUUCUCACUUCCCUACGGAAGCGGUUGGCCUUCGCGGCCGCCUCCUCCCGUUUGGUCGCGGCGGCCGCCCCCUUGAACUUCUUCAAUUUGCCGCCGGGCGCACUCGGCCCGGCGUGACGCCUCUUCGUGCCGCCUUGGCCAGCCAGGCCGGCGGAGGAGCCGGCGCCCGACGAGCCGACCCUCGGCUGGUGGCGUGGGGCGACUUCCCCUUCGGCGUCAUCGUCAGGCCAGUCGGUGAAGGUGGCUGAGGGCCUGAAGUCGCCUUCUGCUCCUUCUCCCCCGCCUUCGGUGUCGGCUUCCAUCGCCGUCGCCCCCCAAGUCGGGGUCGUCGACGUCGCUGUCCGCAUGAUCGGGAACAUACUCGCGGGGCUGUCUCGUGGCGCUGGCUGCAGGCUGCAUAAAAGGAUUCUAGCUCAGAAGAAACCGACCAGAGUCAAAAGCCGGAGUCGGCCGCAAAGAAGACUAAACAAUGGGAGGACGCGACUUACCACUGGUGGGGGGUUGUCGCGCGAGUACGGCUCCUUGCCGAACUGCCAGUCCUCCCCGAACUCGCAGUUCGCGAUACGAUUCACCAUGUUUGCCACCUCCGCGCGGGGCAUCUCCUUUGUGCUUAUCCGACUCGGGUCUCAGAGGCCGCUCAUCUGACAGAUCAGGUGAAGCCGACCUUGGAGCGGGAGAACUCGGCGCGCCACGAAGGCGGCCAGCAAGUCGGCCCCGACGAGACCCUCCGACUGCGUCAAGACUCGGAGUCGCGCAACGGCGGCGGCUCCGGCGGGAGUCAGCGUCUUGACUCAGUGAGACCAGCUGGGGAGCCUCCCAGUUAGGGGGGCGGCGUUGUAAGGAGGCAGGUUGACCCAGUCGCCGUCGGAGGCGAGGUUCUUCACGUGGAAGUAUGAGCGCUGCCACAUCUUCACCGACUUGAUCAGCGUGAUGGGAGGAAAGGGGUUGUCGGCCGUCGAGCGCCGCACCACGAUGUAGGCGCCGCACUGAGCCGGCACCCUGGCGACGUGCGUGCCGAGCUUAGAAGAGAAGAAUUCUCCCCACAGCUCGAUGGUGGGGAGAACGCCGAGGAAACCUUCGCACAGAGUGGCGAAGGUGGAGAGCAACACCACCGUAUUCGGAGUGAGGUGGUGCGGUUGAAGGCUGUGGAACUCCAAGAACGAGCGGAAGAAGCCGCUCGCCGGCAGCCCCAGGCCGCGAAAGAGGUGCGAGCGGAAGAUGACCCGCUCGCCCUCCUCCAGCGCCGGCCAGAUCUCCCCCUCCAGCGCGGCGCGGGCGCGCACGAGGUCCGCGCUGGGGAGACGGCGUGUCCGGCGGAGGAACUCGAUGUGUUCCUCUUCUACCUCCGAGCCGUCCCACACGCCGGAGCGCACGGCGGGGGCCGCGGCGGAGGAAGAGCUCAUCGCCGUGGUGUGGAGUGCUCUUGCUCAACGGCGGAGGCAGGAGGGAGAGAAGGCAAGAUGAGGCGGGGGAGCAGGGAAGAAGGGCGCGGGUGCUGUGCCGCUCCCCUCCCCCCCGCCUACUUAUAGCCCUGUGGGCUGAGAAGCCGAGGGGGCGGGCGUGGGAUUAACUACGCACGAUGCCCCACGCCGCCCCACGAUUUACCCCACGAAGUUACUGCGCGCAGUAACGACGUGGGAAAACCAACCGUCCACGGCCGCAACGGAUCCGUUCGUAUGCCGAGGCACGGUAGUGGCGGGCCCCGCCUGACGGCCCGUCCCGUCGCGCGCGUGGGCAGGCAGACUGUCCUCUCCACAUGGCGCCACAUGAUAGGACCGCCCUGAUGGCUGCGGGGAAGCGUAUCAGGCACGCCGCCUGGUUUCCCGCUGCGGCUUUCGAGCUGCGGCUCUUCGCUAAAACAUCCGACUCUCGACAGUCGUCCCAAGGGAAGACGGCAGCCGAGUUCCAGAGUCCGCUCCUGGAAGGUUGAAACUGUUGAAGCCCCACAAUGCAGCGUCCGCAGGGCUUCACCAGCUUCGGGGACUACUGUCGGAGUAAUGGGCCACGGGUAGGCUAACCCGAGUCCCAAGACCUUUCAAGACAUCGGGGCAGGCCGCACCCCUCAAGCCGAGUCCCAGGAGCGACUCCAAGACAAGCCGACUCCAAGCUAGGCGACCUCCAGAGGGGCCGACUAUGGAGAGUCGGCCCAUGACUCCUCCUCAUCUCAAAGUACGAUGCGGGGUACGGUCACGGCGUGGCCGUUCCCCCCUGCUUACGAAGGGUCGGCAUGGCUACAGUAAGCCGUAUCGCUGGAAGAUCUCCAGUGAGGCGCGGCAUUAUUGCCAUGCCUGCCCUGACCUCAGCCACAGUGCGCAGCACACUGUGCCCACGAUGCCGGCCUGUACGACCCGAAGGCGACGGGGCCGCCUGUCAGUGGGUGGGCCGAAGGCGGCCUGAGCACCCCGAAGAUGGACCUGUGGGAGUCGGCCUCCCUGGAGUCGGCCGACUCCUCCCCGGGGCCCCACGAGCCAUUAACUAGAUAGGAUGGGGAAUGGCGACAGUGAUCGCCCGAUAGAUGGCGGCACUGUUUCCACGACCCUAUGACCGAGCCUGCGUCAUCAGGAGUGCCGCAACAGUAUCAAGCCUGUCCAGGGGACCCGCCAGUCGGCGGGCCCCAGAAGCCGGCAGGGAGGACGACGGCCUGAGAGACAAACGGCUGGGACCCGCGCCCAGCCGGAUUACUACUGUACCCCCGGGGGGUAGGCCUAUAUAAACCCCCCGGGGCACCCAUGCAAAGGGUUCGGACCUAGAUAGAGAUAGACCAGAUAGCAUAGGGAGGAGAGAGCUAGCCUUGCCCUCUCCUGCCUCCCGAAACAGCUCCAGGAGCACCAUUGUAGUCACUUUGCCUUAGUGAUCAUGCGGAGACCCCGCAGAGUAGCAGUAGGGGUGUUAUCUCCUAGGAGAGCCCUGAAGCUGGGUAUGUUCCGCUGGCGUGCAUGUCUUCGCCUCAUCCCGCUUCCAGGCACCGGCGACGUUCUACUCGCUCCCACCAUGAUAAGCCAUCCUUUGGCAUAUGUCGUAUCCAACCUCCGACAAUGACUCUUAGUCAUCCGGCCCACUGCGUAUCCCUUAAGCCCUUCGAACUUGCCCUCUAAGAACUUGAAACAAUCGUGCGAUAGCCCCACGGUGGGCGCCAACUGUUGUGGAAUUAUCAUGUCAGAUGUCCUAGGGAAACGACUUAGUCGUGGAGCCAUCACGAUCGGGUUAGCUUAGAGGGGUUAAACCGGACAAAGGACACAUGGAGUUUAUACUGCUUCGGCCCCUUGCGGUGAAGGAAGAAGCCUACGAUCCAGUUGUGGUGUUCUUGAUGUGGUCUCGAUUACCAGGGAGAAAAAUAUGCUUCAUCUAGCUGUUGAGUUGUUGUUUCUUGUCCCUUAACCGCCACCGGGUUGUCCCUAUAUAUACACAAGUUGACGCCCGGGCCAGUCUACAGAAUCCCAAGGCCGGCUCAUACAAGUGUCCGGCUCAGUUUCUCCUUUCCCUGACUUACAAUAUAAGUUAUACAUAUAUGCGGUUCAUUAUGGGCCCUAAUCCGCCAUCGGGCUCUGGGCCUUCUAAGCCUUCAUAGUUAAAGCGCCAUAGCCUUCGUCUUCAUGGGCUUCUAUAUAGAUGACUAGUUAUGAGUGUAAUCCAGCCCAUCCUGGGCGGUUUAACUCAGUAGUCAUAUCCCCAACAGCCGGGGCAGCAGCAGCUAUUGACCUCUAGAGAUUCGGCUCAGUCAGGCCACCGGCUCAACUCUUAUCUAAGUUGAUGAAUGAUUUGACAACCUUAAUGCGGAAAACCAAGCAGAGCAUAACGCAGAGAUCGCAAAGCUUAGGGAACAAAUGACGAAGGCCCAAGAGGAUAUCAACGCCUGAGAAUACCCAGAUGGCAAUGGUGCUGUCUCAGAUUAAUGCUGAGUCGGAGCACUUGAAAGCAGAAGCUUGGCGUUUAAGUCUGUAUAAGAAUGCCUCGAAUGUAGUCCUCGGGAGGAGGCACCAGACCUGUUUGCCCUUAAAUUAUGAGCCCACAAAUAUGUUCAAUAACAUUGGUUGCAGGUCCAAGUACUCCACUGUUUGUGCCCCCGACUGCAGAGGCGCCCACGAAUAGGGUGGUGGCUCAGCCUUGUCAGCUAGAGCCGACCCGUAGGGGCCAGACCCCACCUCAGCGGUUUUCAACACCACCAGGACAUUUUUCUAACACGGUUGAUAACAUGGUGGCAGCUUCUACUCGGCUCAAUGCGCUCCCUAUCAUUGGUGAGUCGCUAAUUGAAGUGGAUGCACGGAAUGCCAUUGAGCUUCUUCAAACAACAUUUGCACAGCAGGAGAAGUGUUCAUACAGUCGUAAUCGUGUGCACUCAACUCCUCUCCCGAGCCAAAGUUACAGUCGACAUGUUGAGUCACCCGCGGUCUCUCGUUGUGAGCAACACUGUAACUGCUCAAGCAAUUGUCAAUUAGGCUAGAGCCCGCCAUGAGGUGGUGGCGGCUAACCGGGUGUCUUACCAGCAGCCCUUGAUGACCCCUUCAGCCUCAAUGGGAGCCGAGUCAAAUUCCAGGACCAUUGGGGUGCCAUGUUUAAUGCCGGCUUUGUGAAAUGAGCGCCUGCCCACAGAUUUUAAGGGCCCUCACAAGGUGCCCAAUUACACGGCGGGUCUGCCUCCGGAUGCUUGGAUUGAGAGUUAUGAGCUAGUCAUGGAGAUGUUGGACGUCAAUGAUGCAGGAUGUGCCAAAUAUUUCACUAUGAUGUUGGAAGCGAGGCUCGUACAUGGUUAAAGAACCGCCCCCAACUCUAUCAAUACCUGGGCGGGAGUUGAAGGACGGAUUUAUAAAAGACAUUCAGGGAACUUGUAAGCAUCUAGUGACAAUUACUGAUUUGGAGCACCAUGUGCAGCAAGACAAUGAGUCGGCUCAUCAUUGGGCCCGCCGGGUUGCGACCAUCAUCCAUUCUUCAAAAAGUGUUGGGGCGCCUCAAGCUGUCUUGCUCUUGGAUAAAAUGGUCACUUUGACCCCCUUAAGCAGAAGUUAGGCCAACUCCACCGUGCGACCCCAUCCUAUCCGGGCCUGUCCGUUUGGGGUAAAAUGGACAAACCGGGCGACCCAGCGCGCGGGAGCAAACGGACUUUUGUCCAUUUUGUGUCCACUUUCGACCCAUCCACGGCCCAAGUUUGCGCCGCUUUUGGGGUGAAACGGACACCACGUGGACGCGCCGGCCGUCUGUGCGUGUCCUCCCCUGGCCCGCCCAUUGUUGGCACAGGAUGGGCCUUUUUCUAUCUGCCCCCUCCCUCCCUCUGGCCGCAUCCCACUCCAUUCUUCUCCACUCUUCCAAACUCUUCCCCUCACCGCCUACCGCCGCAGCCAUUGCACGGACGCACGCUCGCCCAGCCUCUUCCCCUCAUCGCCGCCGAGCUACCCAACCACGGCCGCCUUGUUUGCACACCCGCAGGCCGAAUUUGGGGCGGAUCCGGUCGGUCUUGAGCUCGCCCGGCUGUGGGAGGCUGGGCCGCGCCAUGGAAUGGUCGGGCACCUCGCCGGAAGGCCCUGGCAGGGCCGCAAGGCCACAUGCAGGCAGUGGCUCGUACUCUAGCUGCUCGGAUCUACACCAUCGGUGGUCCACUGGCAGAUACGUGAAUGGCAGCCGGCCGGGCUCGGUGCUUGCCCAAAAGCUCGCCGGCGCACCGUUGCCCCUCAUCAAGUGCGACCACUGCCCAAGGAUGGCCGUGCGCUGCGUGUCUACAACAUCGGAGCAUCCCGGAUGGGUGUUCAUCAAGUUCUUAAACGAUGGGGUAUGUGCUCUUUUUAGCUUCGGUUUGUGCUCUCGGAUUAGAUUAGUUGUGCUAACUUUAAGUUUUAUUGUGUAGAGUGGAUGCAAGUUUUGGUAUUGGGAAGAAGAGUACAUCGAUAUAUUGAUAGAGCGAAAUCUAGUACAUGUUCGUGCACUUUUAGCUAUCCUAGAGGCUGUAGAUGAGACAAGUGCACUUGUUGCUAGAUUGGAGGCUAGGCACGAUACUACAUGUGAGGAAGCAACAUCGACUUCUGGCUUGAAGGAGAAAGGAGGGUGCAACGUCGAGCCUCCUCCACAGAUCAACAAUGAGUGCAUCAAGAAGGCCCUAACCCAACUCAAGGGAGCAGUUAUUGAAGUUGGGUAUCUUCUCAAAUGUAUUCUUGUGGUUCUUGUUUUCUUUGGCCUUGCUUUACUAGUCAAAAUGUGAUGAUGUAUUUGUCAUGUACCAAAAAUGAAUGAUGGAUAAAGCUUAAGGACUUGCAAAGAAAUGUGCAUGCAGACAAGAUGCGGUCGGGAUGCGUCCGCGCGCUGGGCACACGGCCACCGCAUCCCGGAAACUGCCCAGACAAGACCCCAUUGCCCUACCCAAACGGACAGAAUCCAGACAAAACAGACGUCCGUUUGGGGUCGCGCGGUGGAGUUGGCCUUAGGGCGGCUCAAGCGUAAGUGUAUAAAUAUGGGAAAACUUAUGGAUGUGCUUAACAUGUAUGGCGAUUUUGAUACUACCAAUGAUCCAAGCUCUCAUGAUGAUAAGUCUGGUAAGGGUAAGGAAACUGGUGGUGGCAAGGGACAGCAGCAACAUGCCUCGACUAAGCAUGGUAAUCAGAAUAACCAAAACAAUUGGGGGAAGCACAAGUACUCUGACGACGAGUCAUAUUUUGUGGCUAACACCAACACCGGGUUUAAAAACUAGCAUCGCAAUGGUAAUGGCAAUCAACCUUUCCCUGGAGGAAAGCAAGUCAAUCUUGAGGCAAUGCUCAAUGACCCUGCUACCUCUUGUCAGGACUGGUUUUCCAAUAAAACAUUUAUUGAGAAACCGUCCUUGUGUAAGACCAGUAUAGGAAAAUCUUCCUUACUAGUAGAAAAAUCCUUGAUACAUAAAUCCAGUAGUACUAAAUAUUAUACAAGGUUGAGCUGAGGCUGCUCAACAAUCUAUUACAAGCACGCCGAUAUUAUACUUAAAGGCUGAUAUGACACAAGGAGUGUGGUGGCAUAACUACUGGCUCGUAAUAAAAGUGGUGGUGGAUAUGUCACAGUGGCGUGAGUGACAUGACUCCUAAAUCUUACAACUCAUUGAGCGCCGAAGUGAGUCUCGAUGAUUUUAUUUGGGUAGCGGAAGCGUAUAUGAUACAAGUGACCAAUUCCAGGAAUCGCACGGGACUAACUGGGACUCCUGUAGGCGUCGGAGUCGCUAUCGUACUCUUCAUCCAUAAGAUCACCUUCAUCGAUAUCUGGCCAAAUCAACAAGCCAGGUGAGUACUUUGAAUGUACUCGCAAGACAGUUUGGACAUAAGAUAUAACAGAUGCAAACAUGAUGCACAUGAGCAGAUUAGUAAUGCACACUCAGAUAAUAAAUUUGCAUGGCACGUAAAAUAAAAAGGAAGUCAGGCGGUAGUCCUCCCGAAAUCCCAAUAAAAUAACUGAAGACCGAUCGGGUGUCUGAAGCGACGCCUCGAAAGGUAAAAAUAAAUUAACAUGCCGCAGUCGGGUGUCUGAGUGACACCACAUAAAGGGCUUAUAUUGAAAUGUGAAUGACAGUGCAUGCCACAGUCGGACGUCUACGCGACAUCUCGAAAAGGGCUUGUAACAAAAGUAAAUAACAUGGAUGCCACAGUCGGACGUCUGAGCGACAUCACAUAAAGGGCAUAUAUCGAAAGUAAAUAACGAGAAUGCCACAGUCGGACGUCUGAGCGACAUCACAUAAAGGGCUUAUAACAAAAAUAAACAACAAGAAUGCCACAGUCAGACGUCUGAGCGACAUCAUAUAAAGGGCUUAUAACAAGAAUAAACAACAAGAAUGCCACAGUCGGACGUCUGAGCGACAUCACAUAAAGGGCUUAUAUUUCACCAUUCGAAUUCAACUAGCUCAUGAAUUUAAAUUCUCCCAAGGAAUUACUCAGCAAUAAUAAACAGGUUAGUCCAUCCACAGGAAUAACAUUCAACCGGGUUUACCACUCAUGUUUGUUGACCGGAGAUUGUCACUGAAACUGACACUGAGGCUGACGAUGAGACUGACACUUACACUGGUAUGUUGAUCACAGUCCUUGACCAUGGACAUGGUUACUCGAAUGGUUUUGACUCUGCAGAGUUUGUACUCUUUACCCACAGUCAACGGAUUUCCGUAGUCACAAGGACUAGUUCCAUUUACGGUAUUUUAGAAGAAACUCAUAUAACCAGUACACACCCAUUUCCACAUCCCGCUGCCAGGAAUCACCCUAGGCAACGUGCAAGAAAAACUUUAAGACGGGGAGGCCACAACCUCGAGUAGCAUGGGAUCAAAUUUAUAUCGCGCGCUCUAAGGGGUGCCCCCCUCUCGGUCCCAACCGGAAACACUGAUGCCCCCUGACCGGAUGACGGGCUUUAAUCUAGGGCCAUGGAACCCUCAUCACGACCUCUCUAUUUGGUAUGUGCAAGGAAAGAGGUUUGCAACCUACUAGACCGCAUUCUUUUCAGAAGGCAUGUGGUAGCACGAAAAAGGGGAUGAACGGGAACAUGACUUGAUCCAUGUUAGUGCUGGAGUUAAACAGUUGGCAUAAGCCUGGCAUGCUACAACAAUACCAGCUUGCAACCUAUCAUGCCACCACAUGAUUGGAUUAUCUCACCAUCAUAUGAGCACAUCAAGUUUCGAAGCUCACUUGUAGCUUACCUUGCAUGUAAUAUAACAUUCACUAAUGCACAUAAAGACAUGCCAUAAGAACGCUACUCAAGCAAACAUGCAAAACACUCAUUAUAUCAAAGGUUCAAACAUGCUUGCCUGGUUCUGAGUAGUCGGAGUCUAGCUCGGUGAAGCUUGCGGCUCCGUCACCUCCGUCGGUAUCUACAUUAAUAACAAAAUCGGAUACUAACGUAAAUACCGUGCGUGCAUAAAAGUUGUUCCAAAUAAUUUUCAAAUAAAUAUGAUAAAAAAUUAGAUACAAAAAUAAAGAUGACAAGAAAAGAAUCAACUCAAAAUCUUCUUUUGUUUAAAAGUUAUUAAGGUUUUAGUCCAGGGACUCAUCUGUAAUGAAACAGAAAACUUCCCGGGGCUAGUUUAGAAAAAGACGGAAAAACAUUUCAGUUAGAAGACGUAUUUUGCCCGAAGGCAUUUUCAGAAAACGUUUCAAAAAGAAGAAAAAGAUGACGAGGGGGUCCCACCCAUCAGGUUUGAAAAUCAAAACAGAGUGCACCGGCGCCCGAGGAUUGCGGUGGUCGCCGGCAUCGAUCCACGUCGAGGUAGGGGGAGUGGAUGGUACCUACGGACUCACGGUGCUCUCCCGCGUCUGUGGGUGGUGGAGUUGGUCAUCGGCGAGCACCACGUCAACGGCGGCCUCCACUCAGGCGGACGGUGGUUUGGGCGGUGAUGGAUCUCGCCGAGGAGGGCUGCAGACGCCAAAUUGAUGCUAGGGUUAGAAGGAUGGGUGCACUAGGAGGCUUCUGGCAAGGUUAUGGAAGCGGGGGUGCCCUCACCAGAGAGAAUCGUGCUGGAGCCCGAGGCUGAUCGGGGCGGCCGGAUUCGGGGAAGAAGACCUCCUCGAGGUCCUCCUAGUGGCUGGGCGUGGUUCUCGUGAGGUGGAGGGAUGGUGCUUGGUCGAAGGCGAGCUCAUGGUUGCUAUUUAUAGACGGCCCGAGGUAGUUGCCGAGAACGGGAUAACUCCGGCGAGUGAUUACGGCGAUGCAGUGGUCGGUUUGGAGGUUUGGCGGCUUUGGCCUCAUCGUGUUGGUCCCCUGGUUCCGUUCAAGGGCUAAACUUGGCAAGACUUGGGUGAUCCUCCAAGUUCUCGACAGAACGGCCUCGCGGGCACGUUGGCGGCAGGGAGCACACCAUGUGCUUCUCACGCCACAGCGACUAUGUUGCAGCAUGCGCAGAGGAGGGUACGGCCAUGCGGAGGCUUCUGUUGGUGCGGGCGGUGCUGGACGGUGCCAAAAGGCAGGGCUGGCCCCUGCUGGCCGCCACGGGUGGUUCUGCCACCACAGAAGACGCCGGCAUUGGCGAGACACAUCGCCACCGACGCUCAUGCUCGUCCAAACGACCGUGCGGCGCACUGGAUAAGGAGGAGAAGAAGUGAGAAAUGUGCCAAACAAGGGCACUGGCGAGAUUGACGCCGCACUCUAAAGAAACGACACUGAUGAUAGACUGAAUCACUGAACUUUCUAAAUUUCGACAGGAACAGUGCAUGCCAGGUGUUCGACGAAAUAUUUUUGGCAUGUGGAAAAUUUUUCUGGAGUUGAUCUUUGGUGAGGUGGUCUCUUGAUGCAUCUAGAGGCUGCCUGAUUUUUCUCAGAAUUUUAGGAGAAGAAAAAUAAUGAAUUUUACCAAAACUGACAGAUCUGGUCCAAACUUGCAGCAAGCAAAUUUUGAAAAAUUUGAAUUGUGGACCAGUGGAUCUUGAUGGAUCUUUGUUGAGGGUACUAAGGACUAGUCAGAGGAGUUUAUUUGGGACCAAGACUCAAAGGGAUACUGGAGGUUCCUUUGUAAAUCAUAAAGGCCCAAAUAAAUGACAUAAAAUGCUUUUGAGGGAAAAUAAAUAAAUAAUUUUUUUAAGGAGGUAGAAACUUGCUGGAGUGGGAUGCUUGGUUUGAUCCAAAGUGGGGAGCUGGGUUUUGGGAUAAAUAUUUCAACAUAUGUCAUGGCAAGCGAAAUAUUUUUUUGAUUGGGAAGGAGUAAGUCCAAAAUUUAUGGGAACUCUUUUAAUAAAAGAAAUAUUAAAAACAACCCAAGAUAAUUUGUGUUGAUCCAACACAUGUUGAAGAACCCUCAAGACUAAAAAUCAAUAUUGAGAAGAGCUCUUAAAAUAUUUUUCAAAAAAAGUUUUGAGAAGGAGAGCCCUUCUAUUAGAAAAAUUCAAAUAACCCCCUUUUUUAAAUCAAAUAAAGAAUUUUAGGAAAAACGAAAACAAAAUUUUUGAAGUGUUACACCUAUUAAGCUUGCUUUGGUUUUUUCCUUGAAGAGGAAAGGGUGAUGCAUCAAAGUAGUGUAAGUAUUUCUGUCAGUUUUGAGAACCAAUGUAUCAAUCCAGUAGGAGACGACACACAAGCCACCUAGUACCUGCACAAACAAUCAAGAACCUUGCAACCAACGUGAUAAAGGGGUUGUCAAUCCCUUCACGGUCACUCGCAAAAGUGAGAUCUAAUAGAAAAUAGUAAAGUUAAUAUUUUUGGUAUUUUUGUUGUAUAGAUUGGAAAGUAAAGAUUGCAAAAUAGUAAAUGAGAUGUGAUGUAAAUAAAAGAGAUGUAAUAUAAUAAGAAAGAGACCUGGGGGCCGUAGGUUUCACUAGUGCCUUCUCUCGAGAUAGCAUGUGUUAUGGUGGGUGAACAAAUUACUGCCGAGCAAUUGAUAUAUAGAAAAGCGCAUAAUUAUGAAGAUAUCUAAGGCAAUGAUCAUGAAUAUAGCAUCACGUUCGUGUCAAGUAGACCAAAACUAUUCUGCAUCUACUACUAUUACUCCACACAUCGACCGCUAUCCAGCAUGCAUCUAGAGUAUUACGUUCAUAAGAAUGGAAGAAUGCAUUAAGCAAGAUGACAUGAUGUAGAGGGAUAAAAUCAGGCAAUAUGAUAAUAACCCCAUCUUUUUAUCCUCCAUGGCAACAAUACAAUAUGUGCCUUGCGGCCCCUAUUGUCACUGGGAAAGGACACCGCAAGAUUUAACGCUAAGCUAAUGUAACAUCCCAAAUUGAAGAUCAUCAUUGCAUAUCAUAUUUUAUUACAUUUUGGCUUGAUCCUAGAAAUUCUACGCAACUCAAGGACCCAUGGAGAGAGUUGGGGAUUUCGUUAUUUUCAUAUUUGAGUUUUCCCAAAUUUUGAAAAUAGGAUCAUUUGAUUUUAUUUAUUUUAUCUUCAAUUAUUUCUAUUAUGAAAAUAAGAGAGAGGGAAUAAAAUGACUUUCCAAAAAUAAAGAAAUAUUGAGGAUUUAAUAAAAAAAUCAAAUAAGAUUUUAUUUCAGAGUUUUUGGCUAUUUUAUUUGAAUUAGGAAAAAUGAAUGUUUUUCAAAAUUGCAUUUAGGCCCCAAAUAAAUGAUCAUCUUGUUCGGCUCAAUUUUAGAGGACGGCGAAAAUUUAUUUCGGGAUUUUUGGAGUCCGUUUAGUAUUUCUUUUAUUCGUUUUUCUGCGCGUAAUUAGUUUAAGAAAAAAAGUCAACCGACCUAGCCGGGCCGUACCCGACCCGGACACGCCCGGGGGCGCUUUAUAAGCCGGACCCCCCUGCCCCCGAAGCCCACCGCCACCCCAGCCCAGCCCGCUCCGCCGCCAAACCCUAGCGCUGCCGCCGCCACCCCAGCCCAGACAGUGAACGUUCGUUCUUUAGCCUGUUCGUCCGUUUUUCUUUUCUCGGAUUUUCCGCGAUUAUUUCUGAUCGUGAUUUCUGAUCUGAUUAUCGUUCUAGUAUAACUUUUUGCUCGUUUAUCGGAAUCAGGUGAUUCAAGCGCCUAGAGUUUCGUUUCGAAGCCCUCUUUCGGCUUAACCAACUCAAACAAGUUUUUGCUACUGUAAAAUGUCACUUACGUCCAGAAUAGUAAACAAAGCUUGUUUCUUUCGCCGUUUGACCGUCGUUGCUUCGUUUGAUUUGAUUUGAUCUCUUAUUUGAGUUUUACAUGUGCAUUAGAUGAGUGCUUAUUGUAUGCUUGUUUGUUUGCGAUAGAGUAACCGGAGUGCGCUUCUUGCCACUACGAGUCUCUAUGUUUCACGGAUCAUCAGGAAGGCAAGUAACACUUUGAUCAUACCUCUUUACUACCCAGUUUUAUUGCAUUAGAUCAAUGCUCAAACAAUUGCAUGGUUAAGAUAUGAUUAAUAUCUGUGAUUUGGGGAGUAGAUGAGGUAGUGCCUAUUACCUGUUUUAUUAUCAAACCUUUGGGAGUUACUUCUAUGUUUGCUUUUGUUGCCAUGCUAUGCUAGUAGACGUGGAUUGGGUGUGUGUAUUCAUGACAGAUGUGAGAGUGAUAUUUAAUGGUUUACUUAAGGUGGCAACUUAAACUCACAUAUGGGUGGAUUGAGGCACCUGGGGAACCCAGUGUUGCCUGUAUUUUUGGAAAUCCCGGGGUACCGUGUAAUUCUCCUAUGGACCGCCACCCAGGCUCAAAGGGAUCAUGAGAUUAUUCAUGCUAGAAACUUCCGUGUGCAGCCACAAGCUACUAUGGGCUCUAGCAUAGUUGAUUAAGUUGUGUGAACUCUUGAAGAAGUAGACUAGCAAAUGUAGCGGAAAGUAGGUGUAACUGUCUACCUGGAGUAGGGAGUUUAUGCUUCUGAAAGACUGUGUCUCGGUCAUCCGUUUCUCAAACACCAUGUAGUGCGAGAAAUCCAGCGGAGGAGAUCGAGUCUUGUGGGGAAAGGUGUGCAAACCUCUACGGAGUGUAUAAACUAAUCAUGGUUUGCCGUGUCCCCAGUUAUGGACGUUUUGAGUAUCUAGUACCUGGAUUAUCAUGUGAAUCUCAUCAUGUUACUUUAAAUUAAUUUGUUGGGUUUAAUGAUGAUGUUUAAUUGGGAUUGAGUUGGAGGAACGUUCUCAAUGUUUAACAACCACCAUGAUAGUUAAAUUAAAUUUAUUCCUUUGCAGUAGGCAAAAAUUGGCUUUAUGCAAAACUGUAACCAUAGAGCUUUCCACCAGCCAAAUAUGCAUGUAGUAUAGCAUUAUCCUGUUCAUUACUCUCUAUGUGUUACAUUGCCAGCAUAUUCCAUGUGCUGACCCAUUUUUGGGCUGCAACGUUCAUGUUGCAGACUUAUCAAACGACGAGUAAGGUGCCUUAGGUCAUGGUAUUAUACUCAGUGAUGCCGUUGGAGUUGAUGGACUCACUUAUCUUCCAAGCCUUCCGCUGUUAUCGUUAUUAGAUGGCCUUAAGCCAUAUUUAUUGUAAUAAGUUCUCUUUUGACACAUUCCAUGUAAUAAGUGUGUGAUUGCUACUCUGCUAUAAAUCCUUCAAGUACUGUGCAUGUCAGCAUUACCGACCCAGGGAUGACACUAAUGCACAAAGAUCAGAUUGUUUGAGGUCUGGUCGCUACAGCUAAGCACUUCUCCCAUUGCAAGAAAGAUCAAUCUAGUAGGCCAAACUAACCGACAAUUCGAAGAGACUUGCAAAGAUAUCAAAUCAUGCAUAUAAGAAUUCAGAGAAGGACCAAAUAAUGUUCAUAUAUAAUCUUGUUCAUAAGUCCACAAUUCCUCAGAUCUCGACAAACACACUACAAAAGAAUAUUACAUCGAAUAGAUCUCCAAGAACAUCAAGGAGAAUUUUGUAUUGAGAAUCAAAGAGAGAGAAGAAGCCAUCUAGCUAAUAACUAUGGACCCGAAGGUCUGUGGUAAACUACUCAUGCUUCAUCGGAGGGGCAGUGGUUUUGAUGUAGAAGCCCUCCGUGAUCGAUUCCCCCUCCGGCAGAUCGCCGUAAAAGGCCCCAAGAUGGGAUAUCACGGGUACAGAAGGUUGUGGCGGUGGAAAAGUGGUUUCGUGGCCCCCCCUGAUGUUUCUAGCGUAUAAGAGUGUAUAUGGGUGAAAAAAGUACGUUGGUGGAGCUACGAGGGACCCACGAGGGCGAUGGCGCGUCUACCCCCCUGGGCGCGCCCUCCUGCCUCGUGGCCUCCUCGUAGAGUCCUAUACUUCAACUCCAAGUCUUCUGGAUUGCUUUUGGUGAAAGAAAGAUCUCCGUGAAGGUUUCAUUCCAUUUGGACUCCGUUUGAUAUUCCUUUUCUAUAAAACUCUAAAAUAGGCAAAAAAAACUGGCACUGGGCCUCCGGUUAAUAGGUUAGUCCCAAAAAUAAUAUAAAAGAGUAUGUUAAAGCUCAUUAAACAUCCAAAACACAUAAUAUAAUAGCAUGGAACAAUCAAAAAUUAUAGAUACAUUGUAGACGUAUCAAUCAUCCCCAAGCUUAAUUCCUGCUCAUCCUCAAGUAGGUAAAUGAUGAAAACAGAUUUUUUAUGUGGAACGGUACCUAACAUAAUUAUCAAUGUAAUUUUAUUUAUUGUGGCAUGACUGUUCAGAUCCAAAAGUUUCAAGACAAAAGAUUAAUGUUGACAUAAAAAUAAUAAUACUUCAAGCAUACUAACAAUGCAAUCAUGUCUUCGCAAAAUAACAUGGCCCAAGAAAGUUAUCGCUACAAAAUCAUAUAGUUUGGCUAUGCUCUAUCUUGGUCACACAAAGUAUUUAAUCAUGCACAACCUCGGUUUCAGCCAAGCAAUUGUUUCAUUCUUUAGUAUUUUCAAACUUUUUCAAUCUUCACGCAAUACAUGAAUGUGAGCCAUGGACAUAGCACUAUUGGCGGAAUAGAAUGGUGGUUGUGGAGAACACAAAAAGGAGAAGAUAGUCUCGCAUCAACUAGGCGUAUCAACGGGCUAUGGAGAUGCUCAUCAAUAGAUAUCAAUGUGAGUGAGUAUGGAUUGCCAUGCAAUGGAUGCACUAGAGCUAUUAGUUUAUGAAAGCUCAACAAAAGAAACUAAGUGGGUGUGCGUCCAACUUGCUUGCUCACGAAGACCUAGGCUACUUUGAGGAAGCCCAUCAUUGGAAUAUGCAAGCCAAGUUCUAUAAUGAAAAAUCCCCACUAGUAUAUGAAAGUGACAACAUAGGAGACUCUCUAUCAUGAAGAUCAUGGUGCUACUUUGAAGCACAAGUGUGGUAAAAGGAUAGUAGCAUUGUCCCAUCUCUCUUUUUCUCUCAUUUUUUUAUUUGGGCUUUUUCUCUUUUUUUAUGGCCUCUUUUUUUAUUUAGUCCGGUGUAUCAUCCCGACUUGUGGGAGAACCAUAGUCUCCAUCAUCCUUUCCUCACAUGGGAAAAUGCUCUAAUAAAGAAGAUCAUCACACUUUUAUUUACUUACAACUCAAGAAUUACAACUCAAUACUUAGAAUAAAAUAUGACUCUAUGUGAAUGCCUCCAGCGGUGUACCGGGAUGUGCAAUGAUUCAAGAGUGACAUGUAUGAAAAAUUAUGAACGGUGGCUUUAUCACAAAUACGAUGUCAACUACAUGAUCAUGCUAGGCAAUAUAACAAUGAUGGAGGGUGUCAUAAUAAACGGAACAGUGGAAAGUUGCAUGGCAAUAUAUCUCGGAAUGGCUAUGGAAAUUUGAUAGUAGGUAGGUAUGGUGGCUGUUUUGAGGAAGGUAUAUGGUGGGUGUCUGGUACCGGCGAGAGUUGUGCGGCACUAGAGAGGCUAGCAAUGAUGGAAGGGUGAGAGUGCGUAUAAUCCAUGGACUCAACAUUAGUCAUACAGAACUCACAUACUUAUUGCAAAAAUCUACAAGUAAUCAAUAAAAGUACUACAAGCAUGCUCCUAGGGGAAGGGUUGGUAGGAGUUAACCAUCGCGCGAUCCCGACCUCCACACGUAAGGAAGGCAAUCAAUAAAUAAAUCAUGCUCCAACCUCAUCACAUAACGGUUCACCAUAUGUGCAUGCUACGGGAAUCACAAACCUUAACACAAGUAUUCUUCAAAUUCACAAUUACUCUACUAGCAUGUCUCUAAUAUCACCAUCCUCAUAUCUCAAAACAAUCAUAAAGAAUCAAACUUCUCAUAGUAUUCAAACUUCUCAUAGGACAAAUUUUAUAACCAAACAAAAUACUGUUAUGUUCUAAAUGACUCUCAAAAUAAUAUAAUUGAAUCAUGAGAGAUCAAUAAUUUCUAUAAAAUAAAACCAUCGCCGUGCUCUAAAAAGAUAUAAGCGAAGCACUAGUGCAAUAUUGUCUAGCUCAAAAGAUAUAAGUGAAGCACAUAGAGUAUUCUAAUAAAUUCCGAUUCAUGUGUGUCUCCCCCAAAAGGUGUGUAAAGCAAGUAUGAUUGUGGAAAACUAAAAAGAAAAGACUCAAAUCAUACAAGACGCUCCAAGCAAAACACAUAACAUGUGGUGAAUAAAAAUAUAGCCCCAAGUAAAGUUACCGAUAGAUAAAAACGAAAGAGGGGAUGCCUUCUGGGGCAUCCCCGAGCUUAGGCUUUUGUUUGUCCUUGCAUUAUGUUGGGGUGUGUUGGGCAUCCCCAAGCUUAGGCUCUUGCUACUCCUUAUUCCAAAAUCCAUCAAAUCUUUACCCAAAAACUUGAAAACUUCACAACACAAAACUUUAACAGAAAAAUCUCAUGAGCUCCGCUAGUAUAAGAAAAUAAACCACCACUUUAAGGUACUGUAAUGAACUCAUUCUUUAUUUAUAUUGGUGUUAAACCUACUGUAUUCCAACUUCUGUAUGGUUCAUACCCACUGAUACGACUUAUUGAUUCAUCAAAAUAAGCAAACAACACACGAAAAACAGAAUCUGUCAAAAACAAAACAGUCUGUAGCAAUAUUUACAUUUAGAGUACUUAUGUAACUCUAAGAAUUCUGAAAUAAAUUGGUUCACGUGAGUAAUUUGUAUAUUAAUCAUCUGCAAAAAUAAUCAACAUAAAAUCACUCUCCAGUAAAAAAUGACAGCUAUUCUCGUGAGCGCAAAAGUUUCUAUUUUUUACAGCAAGAUCGCAAAGACUUCAGCCAAGUCUUCCCAAAGGUUCUACUUGGCACAAACACUAAUUAAAACAUAAAAUCACAUCUAAAUAGAAGCUAGAUGAAUUAUUUAUUACUAAAUAGGGGCAAAAAUUAAAGAACAAAAAUAAAAUUAGGUUGCCUCCCAACAAGCGCUAUCGUUUAACGCCCCUAGCUAGGCAUAAAAACACGAAUAGAUCUAGGUAUUGUCAUCUUUUGUAUGCAAUCCAUAAGUGGCUCUCAUAAUAGACUCACAAGGCAAUUUAAUUUUUCUUGCUAGGAAAGUGUUCCAUGCCUUUCCUUAACGGGAAUUGGAAUCUAAUAUUUCCUUCUUUCAUAUCAAUAAUUGCACCGAUCGUUCUAAGGAAUGGUCUACCAAGAAUAAUAGGACAUGUAGGAUUGCAAUCUAUAUCAAGAAAAAUGAAAUCUACAGGCACAUAAUUCCUAUUUGCAACAAUAAGAACAUCAUUAAUCCUUCCCAUAGGUUUCUUAAUGGUGGAAUCCGCAAGAUGCAAACUUAAAGAACAAUCAUCAAAUUCACAGAAACCUAGCACAUCACACAAAGUUUUUCGAAUCAUGGAAACACUAGCACCAAAACCACACAAAGCAUAGCAUUCAUAAUCUUUAAAUCUUAAUUUUAAUAGUAGGUUCUGACUCAUCAUAAAGUUUUCUAGGGAUAGAAACUUCAAGUUCAAGAUUUUCUUCAUAAGAUUGCAUCAAAGCAUCAACGAUAUGUUUAGUAAAAGCUUUAUUUUGAUUAUAAGCAUGAGGAGAAUUUAACACGGAUUGCAACAAGGAAAUACAAUCUAUCAACGAGUAAUUUUCAUAAUUAAAUCUCAUGAAAUCCAAAAUAGUGGGUUCAUUGCUAUGUAAAGUGUUGACCUUUUCAAUCACAUUUUCACUACUAGGAAAACGGUAUAGAUGAAAUGGACAUUAAUGGCGCACCACAUGUGUGGUGCGCUACUGCUAUAUAGCGGUGGCGCACCAUUUAUAGGUACGCCAUUAAACUCCAAAUACUAAUGGCGCACGACAUACACGGUGCACCACUACUAACAUUUUUUUUUCAAAACUAGAAAUGGCGCACCAGGGGAUAGUGCGCCAUUACUAGUUUAACUAGUAAUGGCGCACCACACCCUCAGUGCACCACUACUAACAAUUUUUUUUCAAAACUAGUAAUGGCGCACCAGUUGUUAGUGCGCCAUUACUAGUUUUAACUAGUAAUGGUGGACCACACCCUCGGUGCACCACUACUAACAAUUUUUUUUUAUUUUUUUCAAAGUUAGUAAUGGCGCACCGUGGNNNNNNNNNNNNNNNNNNNNNNNNNNNNNNNNNNNNNNNNNNNNNNNNNNNNNNNNNNNNNNNNNNNNNNNNNNNNNNNNNNNNNNNNNNNNNNNNNNNNNNNNNNNNNNNNNNNNNNNNNNNNNNNNNNNNNNNNNNNNNNNNNNNNNNNNNNNNNNNNNNNNNNNNNNNNNNNNNNNNNNNNNNNNNNNNNNNNNNNNNNNNACCCACGGUGCGCCAUUACUAACUUUGACCAAAAAUUCCACCAAAUGCACCCUCCCUGUGGACUACCUUUUCAGUUUAAAAAAAUAAAAAAAAUGAUGGAAAUGUCAAAAAAAAAAUAAAGAAAUAAAAAUCUUCCCAUGUAGUUGUUGGGAAAAUUUACAAAUAUGAAUUUCGACUUUAUUUGCAAAAUCUCUUUGUAAUUUGUAAAAUGCGCAUAACUUUUGCAUACGAACUCGGAUUAAAACGUUUUUUAUAUGAAAAAUCAUCUACUCAAAAAGCUACAUCCGAAUACGGGGUUCCUCAAAAAAACCUAACAGAAAAAAGUUACGGGGCUUUCAAGAUCUGGAGAGGCAAAAAAAUUCAAAAAAUUUCAAACUUAGUAGUGGUGCACCAUUUGCUAGGUGCGCCACUAGUAACAGAAAAAAAAUAGUUUCAAUUUUUUUUUGGAAUUUUUGUCCAAAAUAUGAUACAUAAUAUGAACGGAAGUUUGAAAUAUUUUUUCAAAAUUUUAUCACACUCAUGAACAUGUACAAAGUCCUAAUCAUCAACAAGGUUUAAUAUGAUUGAUAUGCUAGAUAUAUCAAUGAGUGCCUGUUAAGGGAGGUAGUGCUACGGUUGGAUAGAACUCCGAAUUUAAGCAUGCUUGGGCUGGAGUAGUGUGAGGAUGGGUGACCUUUCGUGAAGUUUGACCACGAAUUGAUAUUUCACUUGAGAUUAAGCAUAUUGACCCGAGAUUAAGCCAUAGUAACCCGAGAUUAAGAAAAAAAUGAAAAAACAAAUCCUAAAAAAAUUUGAAAUUUUUUAUUUGAAAAAAAUUUGAAAAAAAAUUAUUAGUAAUGCCGCACUUCUAUGUGGUGCGCCAUUACUAAGUCAGAUAGUAAUGGCGCACCUCUAGGCACAGAAUGGUGCACUAUAGGUGCGCCAUUACUAACAAUUACUAAUGGCGUGAUGCUAGUAUCACACCUGUAGUGCGCCAUUAAUGGCCAAAAUAGGUGGCCACUAGCAUGCCUUUUUCUAGUAGUGUUUUAUCAUUUUUGCAUGAAGAUCUAAAAACUCUGAAUCAUUAGGACGCCUUUUAACUAAAGUUGACUCAUCUCCAGUCCAUAUUUAGCAAGAUUCAUAUUGGAAAAUAAAGAUUUAAUAGGAGUCACAUCAAUCACUUUUAGAUCUUCAUCAUUAUUGUCAUGAAAACUAGAAGAACAUGCUUUCACAAAGCAAUCUUUUUUAGCACACAUCCUAGCGAUUCUUUCUUUGCACUCAUCAAUGGAAAUUACCAUGGAUUUGAGAGACUCAUUGAUAUCAUGCUUGGGUGGAAUAGAUCUAAGUUUCAAAGAAUCAACAACAAGAGAAAUUCAAUCAACAUUCCUAGCCAACUCAUCAAUCUUAAGCUAUUUUUCCUCAACCAAAGCAUUGAAAUUCUUUUGCGAACUCAUAAAUUCUUUAACACUUUUCUCAAAAUCAGAGGGCAUCUUAUAAAAUUUCCAUAAGAGUUGUUGUAGGAAUUACCAUAAUUAUUAGAGGAAUUACUAGGAAAUGGCUUAGAAUUAAAAUUUCCUCUAUACGCGUCGUUACCAAAAUUGUUCCUACCAACAAAAUUCACAUCCAUAGAUUCAUUAUUAUUCUCAAUCAAAGUGGACAAAGGCAUAUCAUUAGGAUUAGAAUAAACAAUUUUAUUAGCAAACAAUUUCAUAAGUUCAGCCAUCUUUCCACUCAAAACAUUAAUCUCUUCAAUUGCAUGAACUUUUUUACUAGUGGAUCUUCCAGUGUGCCAUUGAGAAUAAUUAACCAUAAUAUUGUCUAGGAGUUUAGUAGCUUCUCCUAAACUGAUUUCCAUAAAAGUGCCUCCCGUGGCCGAAUCUAAGAGAUUUCUAGAAGCAAAAUUCAAGCCGGCAUAAUUGUUUUGUAUAAUCAUCCACAAAUUCAAUGUGUAGGGCAAUUACGUAUCAUUAAUUUCAUCCUCUCCCAAGCUUGUCCAACAUGCUGAUGAUCAAGUUGCUUAAAAUUCAUAAUAUCGUUCCUAAGAGAGAUGAUCUUAGCGGGAGGAGAUAAAAGGAUCUUUGUACUUAUUCCAUGAAUCAAUACUAUUUUUAGGCAAAGAAGAGAACCAAGUUUUAGCACGAUCUCUAAGCAAAAAUGGAAAUAGCUUCAAUUUAACAAUAUCAUUAUCCACAUCUUUCUUCUUUUGCAUAUCACAAAAAUCAACGAAGUUGUUUAGAUGGGUUGCGGCAUCUUCACUAGGAACGCUAGAAAAUUGAUCUUUCAUAACAAGAUUCAACAAAGAGGUAUUAAUUUCACAAGAUUCAGCAUCGGUAGUAGGAGCAAUUGGGGUGCUAAAAAAAUCAUUGUUGUUGGUAUUGGAAAAGUCACACAAUUUAGGAUUAUCUUGAGCCAUCGUGACAAACAAUCAAUCCAACACACAAGCACACAAGAAACAAGUGAAAAGAGACGAAUGUAAGAGGGGCGAAGAAAAUGAGAGGCGAAUGCAAAUAAUGUAAUGCGAGGGAUAAGAGUUUAUGAUGGGUACUUGGUAUGUCUUGACUUGGCGUAGACUCUCCGGAAACGGCGCCAGAAAUCCUUCUUGCUACCUCUUGAGAUUGCGUUGUUCUUUCCCUUGAAGAGGAAAGGGUGAUCCAGCAAAGUAGCAUAAAUAUUUCCCUAAAUUUUGAGAACCAAGGUAUCAAUCCAGUAGGAGACGACACACAAGUCACCUAGUACCUGCACAAACAAUCAAGAACCUUGCAACCAAUGCGAUAAAGGGUUGUCAAUCCCUUCACGGUCACUCGCAAAAGUGAGAUCUAGGUUAGUCCCAAAAAAUGAUAUAAAAUAGCAUAUAAAUUACAUAUAAAACAUCCAAGAUAUAUAAUAUAAUAGCAUGAAACAAUAAAAAAAAUAUUAAUAUGUUGGAGACGAAUCAGACAAAUGUUUUUUUUCUGCGGGCUCGUUCCGAUAAAUUAUACAAUCAUUGAUGCAUGUGUGGUAUCUAAUGUAUUGAAGAUCAACAAGGCAUAUGAUUUUCUUGGCCUCCUCGACACUAGUAGGACACAGGUUCCCUGCAGGAAGAACCUUCUUUAGGUACUUCAAAUGAUCAUCGAGACUUCUGUCAGUCCAUUUGAUUUUGGACUUCGUCUUUAGCUGUUCAAGCAUGAAAUUCAAGCGGGUCACCUCGGUGUCACACCCUAGCUAGUCAUGCAUCAGAGUGUGUGCAUCAUGUUUAAAAUUCCAUUUAAUUUGAAAUGGGGAUUUGUGAAACCCUCAGAAUCAUCUUGAGAAUGACCCAAAUAAAAAUUUCUCCAAAAGGGUCCAAGAAAAUGCUCAUGUUGCUCUCUGAAAAUAUUGGACAGAGAUAAUAAUCAAACCAAUAUUUUUAAGAGCUCAUAGGUAUUUAUUUUGGGCUUUUGGAAUUAAUGCAUAAAUAUUUGCUUUGGAAAUAUAUUAAUUAUAUAUAUUAAUAUAUGUCCAAAUAUUAUGCCAUUUAUAAAGGAGCUCUGUAAUAUAUUUAGCCCCUGCAAAAAUUGGCAUAAGUUAAAUAAAUGAUUUAAUAUAUUAUUUAAAUCAAAACAAAUGUCAGAAAUUAGAAAAACAGAAAAAAAAUAAAAGGGAGAAGCUUACCUGGGCUCCUCCCUGUACAGCCCAGCCAGCUGGCCGACCCAGCCAGCAGCCGGCCCAGCCCACCUCCCUCCUCUGUCGUCUUCGUCCUCGACAGAGGGAGGGGAGUGUGGCCGGCGCGCGCGCGCGCGCCACCGCGCCACGCCACCUCUCUCCCUGCUUGCCUGCCCUCCCCUCCUCGCUCGAUGCCCCGGACGACGCCACGCCUCCCCCCCUGCUCUCUCUCACUCGCCCCGGCUCUCCCCUCCUCUCCCUCACUCUCUCUCUCACACGGCCGAACACCACCGUCGCCGCGGUUCGCCAUAGCAGUCGUCUCCGGCCACCCCUCGCUCCCCCGACUAGCUCAGAAGCUCCGCCACAACCCCCUCUUCCUCCCCACCGCUCCACGGGCCUCCGGAAGCCCUGCAUCGCCGCUACGUCGCCGUUCCCCUCUUCGGGCUCCGACCAUCAUCGCCGUCGAAUUCGCCAUCUCCAGCGCGUCUCCGAGCCCGCUUCGACGCCCACUACAACCGCGGUGAGCCCCCGAGUCGUUUCCCCCUUCUCCCCUGGUCUCUUUCGACCUCUAGGCCUUAGCCCCACCUUGGCCGAGAGCUCCACGCCGCCGGCGAUGUCGCCGUCGUGGCCACGGUCACCGUAUCGCCCAACCGAGCACACUAUCGUGCUCCACGCCUCACUAGGAGCACGCAGCACGCACCAAUGCCUCCCCAAACACCCUGCAACACCGACUCCGACCGCACCCGAACUCCGGCCGCCGCUCACGAGCUCGCCGUCGACGGUACCGGCCACCACAGGCUCGGCCACCACCACCGUUCGACGCGCGGGAGCAAGAGCUCUCCAACGAGCCCAAGAACGGCCUCGCCCGUGCCCUGUAGCGCGAUCCCGCAUCGCGCCGCCGUCUCGGGCCUCGCCGGCGUCACGUCGCCGGUGGGUUUGACCCACUUUGACCACGGCAGGACCCCCCUGAGUCCCUGACAGGUGGGCCCAGCCCUGUAGCUAAUUAGGAUUAGCGCUAACCACUGUUAGUUAACCCCCUAACACUGACCAGUGGGCCCCAGCGCCACUAACCCCUAAUUAGGUUUAAACUAACCCUGUUUAACCCCCCUGUCACUGACGUGUGGGCCCCACACGUCAGGUUUGACUCCAGCCAGCCGCAGUUGACCACUGACGUCAUGCUGACGUCAUGCUGGCGCAAUAAUUAUAAUUUCUGGAUUUAAUUUAAAUCAGGAAAUUCCAGAAUAUUAUUUAAACUUUAAAAAUUCAUAACUUUUAUUCUGUAACUCCAAAUUAGACAAAUUAUAUAUGAAAAAUGAUCAGAAAAAUCCAAUCUAUCCAUCUGUACUAUUUUCAUGCAUGAUCAAACAAGUUAAAUUGAUGUUUUAAGCAGAACAAGGAAAAGCACUUUAAAAGGCCAUAUUUGAAUUUGAAAUUUGAAUCCUUGAUUCAAAUUUGUUCAAACCCUUCUGGUUUUAGUUGCAUUAGCCCAACACACUCAUAUUGCCAUGUUUCAUGCAUGCAUCAUAUUGUUGCACAUUGUUUGGUGAUGCUUGUGUAUCGGUGUCCUCUGCGAUAGGUUCUGCCUCCGAGGAGUACCGUGAUUACCCUAACGAAGAACCGUAUCAGUGCAUCGAACCAUCAGGCAAGCAACCAACCAUUUGAUCAUAUCGAUACAAACCCAUGUUCUCGCUCCUGCUCUCUUUUACUGCAUUAAGACAACGCGUUUCAAACUGCUGUGUGCUACGGUAGUUGAACCCAUUUCCUCUGCAUGACCUGUCAUUGCCACAGUAACUAGAUGAAACCCACUAGCAUGUGUAGGAGUUGAUUGAGCCAUAUGUAUGUGUUGUUCCUACCUUGCUAUGCCUGCUAUGCUUAGAGUCGUGUCAGGUCUGGUUCAUCUGGGUGAUGGGCUAGAGUGAAAUGAUUAUGUCGGUAAUGAGAGUGGUGUGGUGAACAUGAUUUGGUAAAGGUAUCGAUGAGAGGCCAUGUAGGAGUACAUGGUGGGUUGUUUCAUUGAAGCCGACCUUAAGCACUGAGAUCUGUAUGUGUGAUUUAAGAACCAGCUACUACCAUGCAUUGGGCCCGAAACCAAUGGACCCUCUCGACUUCUUAUUCACCCUAGUUCUCCGUCCAGGAGUUGCAAGUAGUUUCUGGUGUUUGUAGCCUACUGGAGGCCGUGGACAGCGCUGACCGUAGGGGUGGGCUGUGAUGCGGUAGGUACGUGGCACAGUGUACCGAAUACCCGUUAGGUAUCUCGGGAACCCUGUUCACAUCGUUCGGGGCCGUAUGGGAAACCUCGGCCGGACUCCCUGCGGAUGGAACCUGGAUAGGCGAUAAACCUGGACUGGAGGCUUAGGUGAUUAGGUAGGUCGUGGCCGACAUCCACGUUGGGCUUCCGCUUGAAGGUUGCCGAGUACAUGUCGUGUAAACGACGGUAAGUGGUGAGAGCGUGUAUGAAGGAGUACACCCCUGCAGGGUUAUCAUAAUCUAUUCGAAUAGCCGCGUCCGCGGUAAAGGACUACUUGGUUGCCUAUACAGUUCAUAGACAAGUAAAUGGAAACUGUUAAAAGCCUCAAGAUAAGUGUGAGUGCCGAGGAUGGCCCUUCCGUAGGAAGACGGAGGUGGAUCCUCGGUAGUGUAUUGAAGUGGUGAGUAGUGGACUCGUGUGCGCAAAACCAUUUCAAGUUGUAGUAUCGUAGGAUAGUCUAGCCAAGAGUCAAAGCUGGCUUGCUGCAAUAACUCCACCAACCCUUCUUGAUACUAUGCAUGUAUGUAGGAUCUGAUGUAAGUCUUGCUGAGUACCUUUGUACUCAUGUUGCUAUAAUCUACAUUUUUUUACAGAAGACGCUGCAACCCCUUCUGAUGGGUUCUAUGUAGACGUUGACAUCAACGAGUAGGCUAAAGACCCAGGUGGUGACCCUGAGCUUGUGAAGGACCACGUAGUAUAGCUAGGCUUUCCAAGCCUCUUUUAUUUUACUAGUUGUCUGUACUCAGACAAUGUACUUCCGCUGCUGGUUUGUAUGACUGUAUGACUUGAAUGUUGGGUCGUGAGACCCGUACCUUUGUGUAUGUUAUGCAUGGCUCCCUGAGCCUUAAAUAAAGUACUUGUGUCGUAGAGUCAUGUUGUGAUGCUUCGUUGUAUUUGCACAUAUCGAGCAUAUUGUGUGUAUGAUUGAAAUGCUUGGUAUGUGUGGGAUCUGACUAUCUAGUUGUUUAUCCUUAGUAGCCUCUCUUACCGGGAAAUGUCUCCUAGUGUUACCGCUGAGCCAUGGUAGCUUGCUACUGCUCUGGAACACUUAGGAUGGCCGGCAUGUGUCCUUCUUCGUUCCUGUGUCUGUCCCUUCGGGGAAAUGUCACGCUUUGAGUACCGGAGUCCUGUUAGCCCGCUACAGCCCGGUUUACCGGAGUCCUGCUAGCCCAGUGCUACAGCCCGGACCCACUUGCUGAUGACCGACACGUUCGGAGCUGGGUCAUGGAUGCCUGUCCCUGUAAGUCUGUGCCACUUUGGGUUUACGACUAGUCAUGUCAGCCCGGGCUCCUUAUCAUAUGGAUGCUAGCGACACUAUCAUAUACGUGAGCCAAAAGGCGCAAACGGUCCCGGGCAAAGGUAAGGCGACACCCGUGGGGAUACCAUGCGUGAGGCCGCAAAGUGAUAUGAGGUGUUACCGGCUAGAUCGAUGUGACAUCGAGUCGGGGUCCUGACAGCGUUGGCAUCAGAGCCGGACUGCCUAUAGGUUCUCCAAGCCAAACUGGUCGAUGUUGAGUCUAGAGAUUCUUUAGUUAUAUGUAGGGGAAUUGUUUGUGGGAUGGAACGUAAGGCUCUUUUUACUCCUUUAUCUUAUGACCUUCUGAUCUGAGUCAGUCCAUUCUUCUACCGGGGGAUAAGGAAUUAGGAUCUGUUCUCUCUAUCAGGAUCACGUGUUACUAAUCGGUAGUACCUUAUAAGUUUGGUGGAUACAAGCCUAGUUCAGUUCUACUACCACAUUAUGUUGCUAAGAUGGAUUCAAAACCUUGUUAUGAUGAUGAUGAGUGUGUAUGCAAUCCUUUGUCAAAUGUCUCAAAUCCUUCUUGAGCAUUUACAGCUGUUAUGCUGCCGAAAUUUUGCUAGAAAUUCUAAUGCCUUUGCAUUAUGAUUGUGCUUUCAGAUGGCCACUCGCGACCUCAAUCAAGUGGUUCGCCUGACUCGAUGCCUAGAUGUACCCGGCCAUACUGCUAAGUUGGUCAGGGUAAUGACUGAGGCUGGAUACCGCUGGUAUCCUGAGUACACGGUCGAAGAGCAAUUCCUAGACUUUAAUCAAAGCCAGUAUCUCUGCACUGUCAGGAUAUUUCCAUCUUAUCCUGGAUCCACCGAGCCCCUUCACUGCUCUUAUGGACUCGGGGUUACUAUUGAGAUGGCUGUGCAGGACGCCGCCUACUCUAUGAUGACCAUUAUGCGAGUCAGAUCUGGACUAUUUCGGGACUCUGAUUUCCGGUAUAUGCCAGGAUCACUUCCGGGAGCACAAGGGUAUCUCCAGGCUAUCUAUGCUGACCCCACUCAGGAGGAUUCACGGACUCGCACCACUGCUGAGAUGCUCGAGGAUAAGGACCGUGAAAAUCGGGCCUUAAGGUUAGAGCUCUUCAAUACCCGUGCUGACCACUGGGCCACUUUGACUCGGCUCGCACCGGCGGUGCAAGCUGGAUAUUCGGAUAUGCGCGAUCUCUAUCCUGUGAGAUCUGCUCUGCCGGACGUGAUGGUUUGGCGUGAUGUAGGAGGCAUCACCCCACCUCGCGGUCCCCGCAGGCCACCGUCUGUUGGUCUAAGACCUCAUCCUAGCCCCUAUGGUCCACAAGCUUCGCGAGAUCGUCUGUUUCCGGAUGAUCAUGUUGAGCUUCCAGGCUAUGGAGGCGACUUCUACGAGGACUACUACGGAUCGGUCUGAGUUAGCGAUAGUAUCACUAGUUCGCACUAGCCGUGUCGUCUAUCGUCCCGCGUGACUCGUGGGAUAUGACCUAGUUUGUACUCUUUCCGGAGGUGUAGAAAAAUAAUGUAUAGGAGCUUGGAAUGCCUCCGAUGAGAUGUAAUCCUCUUUUCACCGUAAUAGUACUUUGUUUGGUCUUGUACUAAACCCUGUAUGGUGUGUAUGACGAUGGAAUAAAGAAGCAGUUUCUGUAUCUACCAUGUCAUAUGGAUGAUCAUCUUGCAUUUCGAGUUAUUCCUUACAUUUCUAUCCUUUGUCGGAAUUUUAUCAUUCUGACUAAAUCAUUGCCUUGUUUACCUAGGAUGGUCAACACGCGCGCUAACCCUGCUUCUCAAGAGCAGGCCGAAGGCAGUGAAGGCAGGAAUGAAAAUCUGCCUCAUCCUCCUUCACUAGCCGAGGUUAUGAUGGAAGCUGAGAGAAACAAGCGGGAGACCAACCGUUUGUUGGAGCGUAUUGAACAGAAUACAGCACACCAUCAGAGGACUAACGUGGUGUCACUCAGUGAUUUUAUCAAAUUGCAUCCACCCACGUUCCACCACUCCGUUGAGCCUCUCGACGCUGAUGACUGGCUUCGCAGUAUUGCUCACAAACUGCGUUCCGCGCUGGUAGCGGAGGCUGACAAGGUCACCUUUGCUGCAUAUCAUCUUGAAGGCCCCGCCAGUCUAUGGUGGGAGAAUUAUGGAGCUAUGCGCCCGGCGGGCCAUGUCACUACUUGGGCUGAGUUCAGCGAGGCUUUCCGUGAACAUCACAUUCCGGAGGGUCUCAUGGACCGUAAACGUGAGGAAUUUUGCAGUUUCACCCAAGGCCGACUUUCUGUGGAUGCUUACAGCAGGGAGUUUGGUAAUCUCGCACGAUAUGCAACCGAGGAAGUUUCUACUAAUGCCAAGAAGCAAGCAAGGUUCCGUAAGGGCCUUAGUCCUGAGCUUCGCCGCGACCUUCGUCUGCAUGAGUGCACAUCUUUCCAGAAACUUGUCAACAAAGCCAUCAGUGCUGAAACGGGUCAGACUGACUAUGACGCAACACGCAAGCACGGCCGCGAAAUGGGUUCCUCAUCCGGUGCUGGUCCUCAGAAGCGCCGCGUGUGGGUACCCAACACCGCCCUGCCACCCAGGUUCACACCGAGGCCAUCUUUCCAGGCGCCUCGCCCUGUUCAACAGUCUGCACCGGCCAAGCCCUAUGGGGGUCCAACCAAUAAUGCUCCUCCACAUACCAGUUCCGUGACUUGUUUCAAGUGUGGUGAAUCUGGCCACUAUAUGCGUGAGUGUCCCCAGACCAACCCCAAUCAAGCUGCUAAAGCUGUUGGCCGUGGCAAGCCGACAGGAAAAGUAUUCCACGCCAAACCGGUCACCGCUUCACGUGGCCAUGUCAAUUGUAUCUCUGCCGAAGAAGCUCAAGAGGAUCCCAACGUCGUUCUCGGUACGCUUCUUGUUAAUUGCCACCCGGCAUCUGUUCUUUUCGAUACAGGAGCCUCUCAUUCUUUUAUAUCUGAAAACUAUGCUCGUUUGCAUAACGUCGCAUUCGGUGAUAUGCCAACCUCUAUGGUAAUUCAAACUCCGGGAUCCAAAUGGCAAACCUCUAGAGUAAGCCAUGGAAAUGAAAUCCAAGUCGACAGACUUGUUUUCCUCGCAUCCUUGAUAGCCCUUAAAUCUUCAGAUAUUAAUAUCAUUCUGGGUAUGGACUAGAUGUCAGCUCAUCAAGCCAAAAUUGAUUGCUUCUCUAGGACUGUUCAACUUACUCACCCUUCGGGCAAGAUAGUCAAUGUCUUGACCCGAAUAGCCAAGCGACAGUUAUAUUCUCUUAACGCCAGCCCUUUGCCAGACCUUGAGGACAUUCCGGUAGUCCGUGACUUCUCGGAUGUCUUCCCAGAGGAAUUGCCAGGUGUUCCACCUGACAGAGAUGUUGAGUUCGUAAUAGACCUCAUCCCAGGAACCGUUCCGAUUGCUAGAAGACCUUAUAAGAUGGCACCACUAGAACUAGCCGAGCUUAAGAAACAACUCGAUGAGUCCUUGAAAAAGGGUUUCAUCCGACCUAGUUCAUCUCCGUGGGCUUGCCCCGUCCUAUUCGUCAAGAAGAAGGAUGGUACGGACCGGAUGGUUGUAGAUUACCGACCUGUCAAUUUGGUCACAAUCAAAAACAAAUAUCCACUUCCCAGGAUCAAUGAUCUGUAUGAUCAGCUCGCUGGAUCCUCAGUCUUCUCUAAGAUGGAUUUGAGGCUGGGCUACCAUCAAAUCAAAAUCAGAAACGGGGACAUUCCUAAAACGGCCUUUGUUACUCGUUAUGGCCAAUACGAGUACACCGUCAUGUCCUUCGGAUUAACCAACGCUCCAGCCACCUUUUCUCGGUUAAUGAACUCAAUCUUCAUGGAGUAUUUGGAUAAAUUCGUCGUGGUCUACCUCGAUGAUAUACUCAUCUACUCCAAGAACGAGGAAGAACAUGCCGAACAUCUAAGGCUAGUGUUGAAGAAACUUCGAGAGCAUCGCCUUUAUGCCAAAUUUUCUAAAUGUGAAUUAUGGUUGUCAGAAGUGACCUAUCUGGGCCAUGUAAUAUCUGGUAAAGGUAUUGCUGUUAACCCUGAGCGAGUUCAAGCCGUCCUUAAUUGGACUCCACCUGAAACGGUCAAGCAAGUUCGGAGUUUUCUGGGCUUAGCGAGCUAUUGUCGUCGCUUUGUCGAGAACUUCUCCAAAGUUGCCAAACCUCUAACCGAACUCCUCAAGAAAGAUAAGAAGUUCGAUUGGACUCCACAAUGUGAGCACAGCUUUCAGGAACUGAAAAGAUGCCUGACCUCUGCUCCCGUACUGGUACCGCCAGACUUCUCCAAGGACUUUGUUAUCUACUGCGACGCCUCACGACAAGGACUAGGUUGCAUUCUCAUGCAAGAUCGACAUGUAAUUGCCUACGCUUCACGGCAAUUGCACCCACAUGAGGAGAAUUAUCCUACUCAUGAUCUAGAGCUUGCAGUCAUAGUCUAUGCACUUAAGACCUGGCGACAUUACCUCCUCGGUAACCGUUGUGAAAUAUUCACUGAUCACCAAAGUCUGAAGUACAUUUUCACCCAACCGGAUCUGAAUCUCAGGCAAAGACGUUGGGUGGAAUUGAUCACAGACUUCGACUUAGGAAUAACCUACACCCCAGGGAAAGCCAACGUCAUGGCUGAUGCGCUAAGCCGUAAAUCUUAUUGUAACAACGUGAUGUUACAACAAAGUCAACCGCUUCUCCAUGAGGAAUUUCGGAAGCUUAACCUUCACAUUGUUCCUCAAGGUUUUCUUUCCACCUUGGUGGCAAAACCUACUCUUACGGAUCAGAUUAUCAAAGAACAGAGGGUAGAUCCGGGAAUUUCCCGCAUCAAGAGAAACAUUCAGAAAGGAAUUGCGAAUUGCUUCUCCAUUAAUGAUCAAGGGGUCGUAUACUUCGGGAAUCGACUAGUGGUUCCCAAAGUGCGAAACCUGAGGCGUUUGAUCCUUAAGGAAGCUCAUGAAUCUCCCCUCACCAUUCAUCCCGGUAGCACUAAGAUGUAUCAGGACCUACGCCAGAGGUUCUGGUGGACUAGGAUGAAGAGAGAAAUUGCUCAGUAUAUUGCUAAUUGCGACGUCUGUCGUCGUGUAAAAGCAGAGCAUCAACGGCCUGCUGGCACCCUUCAACCCUUAGCUAUUCCUGAAUGGAAAUGGGAUAAAAUUGGUAUGGACUUCAUUACCGGUUUUCCCAGGACCAAGAGAGGGAAUAAUGCUAUUUUCGUCGUGGUCGAUCGUCUUUCCAAAGUAGCCCAUUUCCUACCUGUUCGUGAGAGUAUAACCGCUAGUCAGCUGGCAGACUUAUACAUCUCCCGAAUAGUGUCUCUCCAUGGUGUUCCUUUGGAAAUCAACUCGGAUCGAGGAAGUCUUUUCACCUCUCGAUUUUGGGAAAGUUUCCAAAAUGCUAUGGGAACUCGUCUCUCCUUUAGCACCGCUUUCCACCCUCAGUCAAGUGGUCAAGUGGAACGCGUCAACCAGAUUCUAGAAGACAUGCUUCGAGCUUCUGUUAUCUCAUUUGGAAUGGACUGGGAGAAGUGCCUUCCAUUUGCCGAAUUCGCUUACAACAACAGCUAUCAAUCUAGCUUGGGUAAAGCCCCUUUUGAAGUUCUCUAUGGACGACGGUGUCGAACACCCCUUAACUGGUCAGAGACCGGGGAAAGACAAUUCUUUGGCCCGGAUAUGAUUCAGGAAGCAGAAGAACAAGUUCGUAUCGUUCGUGAAAAGUUGAAAACAGCCCAAUCCCGUCAAAAGAGUCAAUAUGACCGAAAGCAUAAGGCUAUGACUUUUGAGGUUGACGAGAAGGCUUAUCUUCGGGUCACCCCUCUGAAGGGAACCCAUCGUUUCGGUAUCAAAGGCAAAUUGGCUCCUCGUUACAUUGGACCUUUUCGCAUUCUCGCCAAACGAGGAGAAGUUGCCUACCAGUUGGAACUACCUCCGCAUCUCUCCAGAGUCCACGAUGUCUUCCACGUUUCUCAACUCAGGCGUUGCUUCUCGGAUCCUAUCCGUGAAGUGGACCACGAAACGCUUGAUCUCCAAGAUAAUCUUACAUAUCGAGAGUACCCCGUUCGUAUCCUCGAUCAGGCCGAACGUAUCACCCGACGUCAGAACAUCAAGUUCCUCAAAGUACAAUGGUCACACCAUUCUGAGGAUGAAGCAACUUGGGAAAGGGAGGAUCGUCUUCGACUCGAGUACCCCGCCUUCUUCCCGGAGGAACCCAAAUCUCGGGACGAGAUUCUUUUGAGUGGGGGUGAGUUGUCACACCCUAGCUAGUCAUGCAUCAGAGUGUGUGCAUCAUGUUUAAAAUUCCAUUUAAUUUGAAAUGGGGAUUUGUGAAACCCUCAGAAUCAUCUUGAGAAUGACCCAAAUAAAAAUUUCUCCAAAAGGGUCCAAGAAAAUGCUCAUGUUGCUCUCUGAAAAUAUUGGACAGAGAUAAUAAUCAAACCAAUAUUUUUAAGAGCUCAUAGGUAUUUAUUUUGGGCAUUUGGAAUGAAUGCAUAAAUAUUUGCUUUGGAAAUAUAUUAAUUAUAUAUAUUAAUAUAUGUCCAAAUAUUAUGCCAUUUAUAAAGGAGCUCUGUAAUAUAUUUAGCCCCUGCAAAAAUUGGCAUAAGUUAAAUAAAUGAUUUAAUAUAUUAUUUAAAUCAAAACAAAUGUCAGAAAUUAGAAAAACAGAAAAAAAAUAAAAGGGAGAAGCUUACCUGGGCUCCUCCCUGUACAGCCCAGCCAGCUGGCCGGCCCAGCCAGCAGCCGGCCCAGCCCACCUCCCUCCUCUGUCGUCUUCGUCCUCGACAGAGGGAGGGGAGUGUGGCCGGCGCGCGCGCGCGCCACCGCGCCACGCCACCUCUCUCCCUGCUUGCCUGCCCUCCCCUCCUCGCUCGAUGCCCCGGACGACACCACGCCUCCCCCCCUGCUCUCUCUCACUCGCCCCGGCUCUCCCCUCCUCUCCCUCGCUCUCUCUCUCACACGGCCGAACACCACCGUCGCCGCCGUUCGCCAUAGCAGUCGUCUCCGGCCACCCCUCGCUCCCCCGACUAGCUCAGAAGCUCCGCCACAACCCCCUCUUCCUCCCCACCGCUCCACGGGCCUCCGGAAGCCCUGCAUCGCCGCCACGUCGCCGUUCCCCUCUUCGGGCUCCGACCAUCAUCGCCGUCGAAUUCGCCGUCUCCAGCGCGUCUCCGAGCCCGCUUCGACGCCCACUGCAACCGCGGUGAGCCCCCGAGUCGUUUCCUCCUUCUCCCCUGGUCUCUUUCGACCACUAGGCCUUAGCCCCACCUUGGCCGAGAGCUCCACGCCGCCGGCGAUGUCGCCGUCGUGGCCACGGUCACCGUAUCGCCCAACCGAGCACACUAUCGUGCUCCACGCCUCACUAGGAGCACGCAGCACGCACCAAUGCCUCCCCAAACACCCUGCAACGCCGACUCCGACCGCACCCGAACUCCGGCCGCCGCUCACGAGCUCGCCGUCGACGGUACCGGCCACCCCAGGCUCGGCCACCACCACCGUUCGACGCGCGGGAGCAAGAGCUCUCCAACGAGCCCAAGAACGGCCUCGCCCGUGCCCUGUAGCGCGAUCCCGCAUCGCGCCGCCGUCUCGGGCCUCGCCGGCGUCACGUCGCCGGUGGGUUUGACCCACUUUGACCACGGCAGGACCCCCCCUGAGUCCCUGACAGGUGGGCCCAGCCCUGUAGCUAAUUAGGAUUAGCGCUAACCACUGUUAGUUAACCCCCUGACACUGACCAGUGGGCCCCAGCGCCACUAACCCCUAAUUAGGUUUAAACUAACCCUGUUUAACCCCCCUGUCACUGACGUGUGGGCCCCACACGUCAGUUUUGACUCCAGCCAGCCGCAGUUGACCACUGACGUCAUGCUGACGUCAUGCUGGCGCAAUAAUUAUAAUUUCUGGAUUUAAUUUAAAUCAGGAAAUUCCAGAAUAUUAUUUAAACUUUAAAAAUUCAUAACUUUUAUUCUGUAACUCCAAAUUAGACAAAUUAUAUAUGAAAAAUGAUCAGAAAAAUCCAAUCUAUCCAUCUGUACUAUUUUCAUGCAUGAUCAAACAAGUUAAAUUGAUGUUUUAAGCAGAACAAGGAAAAGCACUUUAAAAGGCCAUAUUUGAAUUUGAAAUUUGAAUCCUUGAUUCAAAUUUGUUCAAACCCUUCUGGUUUUAGUUACAUUAGCCCAACACACUCAUAUUGCCAUGUUUCAUGCAUGCAUCAUAUUGUUGCACAUUGUUUGGUGAUGCUUGUGUAUCGGUGUCCUCUGCGACAGGUUCUGCCUCCGAGGAGUACCGUGAUUACCCUAACGAAGAACCGUAUCAGUGCAUCGAACCAUCAGGCAAGCAACCAACCAUUUGAUCAUAUCGAUACAAACCCAUGUUCUCGCUCCUGCUCUCUUUUACUGCAUUAAGACAACGCGUUUCAAACUGCUGUGUGCUACGGUAGUUGAACUCAUUUCCUCUGCAUGACCUGUCAUUGCCACAGUAACUAGAUGAAACCCACUAGCAUGUGUAGGAGUUGAUUGAGCCAUAUGUAUGUGUUGUUCCUACCUUGCUAUGCCUGCUAUGCUUAGAGUCGUGUCAGGUCUGGUUCAUCUGGGUGAUGGGCUAGAGUGAAAUGAUUAUGUCGGUAAUGAGAGUGGUGUGGUGAACAUGAUUUGGUAAAGGUAUCGAUGAGAGGCCAUGUAGGAGUACAUGGUGGGUUGUUUCAUUGAAGCCGACCUUAAGCACUGAGAUCUGUAUGUGUGAUUUAAGAACCAGCUACUACCAUGCAUUGGGCCCGAAACCAAUGGACCCUCUCGACUUCUUAUUCACCCUAGUUCUCCGUCCAGGAGUUGCAAGUAGUUUCUGGUGUUUGUAGCCUACUGGAGGCCGUGGACAGCGCUGACCGUAGGGGUGGGCUGUGAUGCGGUAGGUACGUGGCACGGUGUACCGAAUACCCGUUAGGUAUCUCGGGAACCCUGUUCACAUCGUUCGGGGCCGUAUGGGAAACCUCGGCCGGACUACCUGCGGAUGGAACCUGGAUAGGCGAUAAACCUGGACUGGAGGCUUAGGUGAUUAGGUAGGUCGUGGCCGACAUCCACGUUGGGCUUCCGCUUGAAGGUUGCCGAGUACAUGUCGUGUAAACGACGGUAAGUGGUGAGAGCGUGUAUGAAGGAGUACACCCCUGCAGGGUUAUCAUAAUCUAUUCGAAUAGCCGCGUCCGCGGUAAAGGACUACUUGGUUGCCUAUACAGUUCAUAGACAAGUAAAUGGAAACUGUUAAAAGCCUCAAGAUAAGUGUGAGUGCCGAGGAUGGCCCUUCCGUAGGAAGACGGAGGUGGAUCCUCGGUAGUGUAUUGAAGUGGUGAGUAGUGGACUCGUGUGCGCAAAACCAUUUCAAGUUGUAGUAUCGUAGGAUAGUCUAGCCAAGAGUCAAAGCUGGCUUGCUGCAAUAACUCCACCAACCCUUCUUGAUACUAUGCAUGUAUGUAGGAUCUGAUGUAAGUCUUGCUGAGUACCUUUGUACUCAUGUUGCUAUAAUCUACAUUUUUUUACAGAAGACGCUGCAACCCCUUCUGAUGGGUUCUAUGUAGACGUUGACAUCAACGAGUAGGCUAAAGACCCAGGUGGUGACCCUGAGCUUGUGAAGGACCACGUAGUAUAGCUAGGCUUUCCAAGCCUCUUUUACUUUACUAGUUGUCUGUACUCAGACAAUGUACUUCCGCUGCUGGUUUGUAUGACUGUAUGACUUGAAUGUUGGGUCGUGAGACCCGUACCUUUGUGUAUGUUAUGCAUGGCUCCCUGAGCCUUAAAUAAAGUACUUGUGUCGUAGAGUCAUGUUGUGAUGCUUCGUUGUAUUUGCACAUAUCGAGCAUAUUGUGUGUAUGAUUGAAAUGCUUGGUAUGUGUGGGAUCUGACUAUCUAGUUGUUUAUCCUUAGUAGCCUCUCUUACCGGGAAAUGUCUCCUAGUGUUACCGCUGAGCCAUGGUAGCUUGCUACUGCUCUGGAACACUUAGGCUGGCCGGCAUGUGUCCUUCUUCGUUCCUGUGUCUGUCCCUUCGGGGAAAUGUCACGCUUUGAGUACCGGAGUCCUGUUAGCCCGCUACAGCCCGGUUUACCGGAGUCCUGCUAGCCCAGUGCUACAGCCCGGACCCACUUGCUGAUGACCGACACGUUCAGAGCUGGGUCAUGGAUGCCUGUCCCUGUAAGUUUGUGCCACUUUGGGUUUACGACUAGUCAUGUCAGCCCGGGCUCCUUAUCAUAUGGAUGCUAGCGACACUAUCAUAUACAUGAGCCAAAAGGCGCAAACGGUCCCGGGCAAAGGUAAGGCGACACCCGUGGGGAUACCGUGCGUGAGGCCGCAAAGUGAUAUGAGGUGUUACCGGCUAGAUCGAUGUGACAUCGAGUCGGGGUCCUGACAUCGGGAUCGCAACCAUCAUACAAUAGAGUCUUUGAGUCUAACUCCAAGUACCAGCUUGGCCUCCUCUCUAGAAGCAGCUCUAUCGGUAAUCGUCUUCUUGUCUAGCAAGUCUCGAUCAUGAGGGUCCUGGAUGACUAAAGCUUGUAGCGACAAAGACUGCGGCGUGUUCGCUUCAUCUCAGUCAUACCCGGCCUCUUCUCCGCCAUCAUGCCCGGCGCCCUCUUCUUUGCGUCCAUUAUUGGUUAUCUCUUCAUCUAAACCCAUGUCCUUAUUGAUUGCCCCGCCGACAUCCUCAUCAUCGUAAUCUUGACUUAUUCACCGAGUAUAGCCAUCCUUUGCAUCUUCGACACGGACAUAAAUCACCUUAUGGUUAUUUUCAUACAUGUCGUGUACCACUGAUUGCAACCAUCUUUCCACCAUCCUACCACUAAACUUCAUGAUCGCUUGAGAGGUAUAUCAAAAUAAUUAUAACCACACAUGCAUGCAUGAAAGUCAUACAAAUCGGCAUCACCUUCCCUAAGAAUAAGACAUAUCGAGCUUGCCCGAAGUUCACCGAAACUGAAAUAAAUCGACAUUUCGGUAAACAUAGGCAACUCAUGUCACACAUACAUUUCGGAAAAUACAUAUAGGCAACUCAUGCCACGCACUGUUUGGUAAAAUUGCACACACACAUAUAUUUCCAUUCUAGCAAAACACUAUUUUUUACUCACGUAUCUAGAUAGCAAGGUGAUGAACAGGUGUCGCUUUUGGGAUCGAUGUGGACAAAGAUAUUUAAUGCGCCUUCAUUCAUGAGAGUGAGAUAGCUAGCUUACUUCAUUUAAUGAGUAGAUCUACCUCGUAGGAAAUGCAUCUAACUAGUGGAGAGGAUAGAGUGCUAGUAAGUGAAUGAAGUGGAAGAGGCAAGAGAUAUGGGAAGCUGGGAGAGCGAGAAGAAAAGCAAGUGAGGAAUGUGAGCCAUUAAUAAAGGGGAGAAUAGAGGGAGGAUGGUGGAGAAGCAAGAGAGAAGAGAGCAAGUGGAGAGCAAAGGAAUCUACGGGAGAAGGAAGGGGGGGGGGAUGAGGAGGUGUCCAUGUCAAAACCGGCAGAACUCGGGUAGGGGGUCCCGAACUGUGCGUCUAAGUAUCAAAGGUAGCAGGAGGCAGGAAAAAGAUGUUUACCCAGGCUCGUGUCCUCUUGAGGGAGGUAAUACCCUACUUCAUGCUUGAUUGAAUUUGAUGAGUAUAGUGGUUACAAGAGUUGGUCUACCUCUAGAUCGUAAUGGCUAAACCUUAGAUGCCUAGCAUGUAUGAUUGUGAUGGCCCCUAAGGACUAAACCCUCUGGUUUAUAUAGGCACCGGAGGGGACUAGGGUUGUACAAAGUCGGUUUUACAGAGGAAGGAAACUACACAUCUGGAUGCCAAGCUUGCCGUCCAUGCAAAGGAGAGUCCCAUUCAGACACGGGAGAAGGCCCUCGGUUCUGCAUCUUCACGGCCCGUCAGUCCGGCCAAUGUCACAUAGGCUGGCUCUCCGAUGACCCCAUAAUCCAAGACUCCCUUAGUAGCCACCGAACUUUCCUUCAAUGACGACGUUGUAUCCGGCUUCAUAUCUUUGCAAGGCGAGUUCCCCAUUGUACUCCAUAUAGUUGGGCCUUUACAUUUAAAUAUUGUACACUUUAGCUUCUGUGUCGUCGUCGCCUCGGCUUCCACGUGUUAGACAAAUAUGAAGGGUCUAAGUAUUUUUACAAAUAACCCCUUGACCAUGUAGGGAAGGCGCUUAUUUAAAGAGAUUGAAUCAUAGAUGCCAUUCCUCACCAGACAAAAAUCCUUAGAGCUUGUCAUAGGAAACCAACCAAAGAUGGCCACCGCUCCUUGUUCUUCUUCGCACCCACAUGGCCCUCAAGAAGGCGACUAGGAGAGCUUCUCUGUGCCCCAUCCCCAGUUGACCAAGCUUCAGGCACAGGGAUACCUCCCUCCAUCGGAUCUAGUCCCCGUUCGGGCGGGAUUAACUACCUUCAACGGUGAAGCCCUGGUGGAGAACUUCCCUAAUCCCAAUAAAGGUGAGCGAGUGCGCUUCAUUUCGUUCCUGCUGAGGGGCGUGGGAUUUCCAAUCCACCCUUUCCUCAGAGGUCUUAUGGAGUAUUACGGUCUCCAACUGCACAACCUCACGCCGAGCUCGAUUCUACAUAUCGCAGGCUUUGUUGCUCUUUCUGAGCUGUUCCUAAGCUGUGAGGCCCAUUCCAAUUUAUGGAGGAAAUAUUUCUGCCUCAUCCCCUGCUCCCAAAAGGGAUCCAUAUUUGAGGUGGGCGGUGCCGAAGUAUGGUGUAUAGGAAGAACAAGAUACCUGUACGGCACUCCGAAGAAGGCAUCCGAAGAGUGGCCCUAGGAGUGGUUCUACAUCCAAGACAUUGUCCUUCCGGACCCAAUCCGGCAAGGUCUUCCCAAAUUUUCAUCCGCUCCUUUAAAGAAGCACGCCAGCUGGCGUCCCCGAAGAUACGAAGAAGAAGAUAGUGCGGAGGUUAAGAGGCUAGUGAACAAGAUCAAAAUACUUGCCCACUCUGGACUAUCUAUAGUCGAGGUAAUGGCGAUUUCAAUAACGUGAUGCGUUCAACCACUUCAAUCCAGGGGACUUCCCAUAUGUCAUUAGAACGGGGAUGGUGACACCUCACGUUGUGGGCGCAAGGGUCCGGCUAAUUUUGCUGCGCUGGCCGCCAUGUUCGCUGGCCUUUUCAAAGGGGAAAACGAAGAUUUCGCUCGCCUGAAGUGUCGAGAAGGUUUCUCCAUGUAUACUCCCAUUGACUGGGUGAGUCUUUGAUUAUAGGCCUUAAUUGAUCUUUUUUCCUUAACUAUGCUUUUUAGUCGAACAAAAUCUGACUACCUUCAACAGGAAGGAAGAAAGGUCGUCGCAGGGAUCUACAGCCCCGCUCUGCAGCCAGAGGACCAUAAUCGAGACCUUGAUCCUGGAUUCGAAGAGGAUCCAGAUAUAUUUGUAGACUUUAAUGAUGGAGUCUUUUAUCAGACGAGCUACGAUGUCACAUAAGUGGCUAUUAUAGCUGACUACCCCGACCUUCUCCCUUCCUCCCAUGUAAGUACCCAGAAGACAUCUCCUCAAAAAGAGUUUUCCCUCUAUGACUCACCCACUGCACUACAUCGUGCUCCCAAGGGGCGAUGCUCGCACCAGCGUACUGCAGCAAAGGCGUCUUCUAAGAAGACGACGCUUGCACAAGGUGCGUCUCUGAAAAGAAAGGCAAACAACGAUACAGUCGGGACCUCUUCUAUGUCGAAGAGGUAUAAUAUUUUAGAACGCACUCGGCGGAUAGAUCGGACGGUGACAUUCCCUGCUAUGCCAUAUUGCAGGAGGAGUGUACGUCGAACUGCAUCCGAAGACCUUGCCGGCCAUGCACAGACUAAUCUAGUCCUGUACCCUGCCACAAGGACUAGAGGGGAUGCGGGAGCAAUGUCGGAUUGUCAUCUCCCAGAGGAUUCAGAUAAUGUAUCCGUCAUGAACUCUGAAGUGGAGAGUGCGAUGAAUCACCGGCGGCGGAGAGCGGCUAUGCAUGACCCAAACUUCACCGAAGAGGCAUUCAAUGCUUUCAGCUCAACGGAUGCUUAUAUCUGAGAUGCUCGAGAUGGACUUGCUGGAGGCACUCACCAGCUUUCAAAGGAUAUGCGGGUAAGUAUUUUUAUGUAGAUUCAAUAAUCAUAUGCCAGGAGCCCCCGAGUCUUGAAGCGGUUGGCCCAACUGAUUUGAGAGUCGUUAUAUUGUCAGGUACUCACGGAGAGUAAUAACACAUUAUUGAAAGAGCUAGAGGAAUGCCAAACUAAGCUGACUGCAGCCACCAUCGAAAUGGAAAGUUUGAAGAAAUCCAAGAAGGCACCUGAUGGUAAGUACAGCAGCGGCUCGGAAAUAAAAUUUCGUGCCUACAACGAGGUUGCUUAACUAUGCUUUUAUCUCAUUUGGUAGGCUCGACAGAUCAACUGGAGGAGAGGCUAAGGGCUGGUCAAGCAGACAAACAACAUGCCGAAGGGCAAGAAGCCGCUGGUCAACGUGUAUUGAUACGGACAAUUAAUGAGAAGAACAAACUACAGGAUGCAAAUAUCAAGCAAGCCGAAGAACUGAAGGAUUUAAGAGCCAAUUAUCGGAUGCUUUGAAGGAUAACUGGAAACUGAAAGGCGGCAUAUUCAGUAUGCUCUUUGACCUAUCUAUCACUCGUUCUCCUGUUUGAAAAUUUUACGAGUUUGCUUCUGUAGGUGUGCUAACCGGACGCCCCGAAGGAGAAGUGUCUGGAUUCCAACGCGACCUGCUACAGGAGUUGUCCAAAGUGCAUGAGCGAGCUCGGAAAGCAUUGAGGAACAUGGCGAAGGCUUUAUGGCCAGCCGUUCCCCCUCCAGGAAGUAUGGAUGAGCUUGCGAAUUUACUCAAGGGAGCUCAUCGCCGUUUGGAGCUAUGGAAGAUAUCAGCAUGUCGGGAAGGCGCCGUGAGGCCUGGGCCAUGGUGAAAACAUAUUAUACCAAGCUUGAUCCAAAUCGUAUGGCCCGGGUCGGACCUCGGGGACCAGAUGGACAAGAAAUUCCUGUUAGCUUAUUGUACGACCAAGUGAAAAUAACCGCUAACUUUUCUCAAUAGGAUUGUAAACUAGACAACCUACUAGAGGGUCUAGAGGAAGAAGAAGUUUUUGAAUCUAAGUUGUAGUGUACUUUAUCAACAAACUUAUCUCCAGCCGAAUUGUAAAACGGUUGUCAUGGCAGACUUUCCGCUUCAACCUCUAGAACCCGAGGUUUGGAGUGUUUCUGGGUAUUUAUACCAUUUGUAAACACCAAGGUAUGUUCGGAAACUAGGCAGUCCGGUCAUAGUUGCUUAAACAGGCAAGUUGUAUUUGGGGACUUAUGUUAUAUUACAUUUGAUCGUAAGAAACAUCUUCCAGAGAGAAUAGUUCCGUCAAGGGUUCCUUUCCCUGGCCAGCAUGCGUUUUUGCGCAUGCAUGAACUGUGGUGCGAGAAAUCGCAGUAUGCAUUAUAAUUGGGGGCGUGUAUUGCAACGAGGGCACUUCGGCUUUUGUCCGCCGACAGAUUAUUCCCUUAAGAACACUAGCUUUCGGCUUCACCCGUCUGAGGUACACGUCCGGAUAACCCGGCUGUAACAACCGCAGAGGUGCUCCAUUUAUGCCCUAGGUAAACAAGCGGGAACGUAGGGCAUAAGCAUAGGAGCUAGGCAACCCAGCUUGGCAAAAACUUAAGUCAUAAAGGUGCAUAUAAUGGCGAAGACAAGGCACAUAUGAGUAGAAAACACACAUAUACGGUGGGCUUGAUGCUCCAAAAUAAUAAUCAUAAUAAGAUUCUUUGAAAAGAAGCCCCAUGUAUUGUGGGGUAUGUACAUUUAAUGAUGUAUAUCCCUCGAGUGUGCGGUUUCUCCGAACACUGGUAGAAGUCGUACAAAAAACGGAGAAGAGAUAAAAAGGGGUGAGAUGGAGAAAAGAAAAGGCGAAAAAAGUUAUAAGUGUGAACUUAGGCGUAGAAUCUUCGGAGCCCACCAGCGUUCCAUGGGUUUGGUUCCAAACGAUUAUCCGAAGCGUUGCGAAGGCGAUAGGCUCCUCCAGUGAGAACUUCAUCUAUGAUGAAGGGACCCUCCAAUUUAGGCUGGAGCUUGUCCUUUUUCUUCUCUGGUAGGCGCAGGACAGGUUCACCAACAUUAUAAGUCUUUGCCCAUACUUCCCUGCUUUGAUAUCACCGAGCUUGUUGUUGGCAAAAUGCAGAACGGGCCUUCGCAACGUCGCGCUCCUCUAUCUCUUCAUACACGCGCACUCAAGGUGAGUCAUGAAUAAUGUCGCAAGGCAAUACUGCCUCGGCGCCGUACACCAUGAAAAAAGGUGUGUAUCCGAUCGUGUGAUUGGGCGUGGUAUGCAGCCCCCAGAGUACAUAAUCGAGUUCUUCAACCCAGUGCUUGUCUGAUUCACGCAGGGAUCGCACUAGUCUGGGUUUAAUGCCGCCCAUUAUCAAGUCGUUAGCCCGUUCGACCUAGCCGUUUGUCUGAGGGUGAUAUACGGAGGCGUAAUCGAGCUUGAUGCCCAAAUUAGCGCACCAGGUUUUCACCUCAUCGGCCAUAAAGUUAGAACCGUUAUCAGUAAUGAUACUAUGCGGGACACCAUAAAGAUGUACAACACCGGAUAUGAAGUCUAUAACCGGUCCGACUUCAGUCGUUUUGACUAGUUUGGCUUCUAUCCACUUAGUGAACUUGUCGACGAUAAAUAGUAAAUAUUUCUUAUUAUGGCUUCCCCCUUUAAGGGGUCCGACCAUGUCUAGGUCCUAGACCGCAAAAGGCCACAUAAUGGGAAUUGUUGGUAAGGCAAUGGGCGGCAUAUGGAUUUGAUUUGCGGAAAGCUGGCAUCCAACACAUCGCUGUACGAGCUCUUGUGCGUCUGCUCGGGCCGUGGGCCAAAAGAAACAUGUACGGAAGGCCUUACUUACAGGGGCCUGAGCUGCGGUGUGAUGGCCACCAAGACCGGCGUGUAUUUUAGCCGGGAGUUGUCGUCAUUCUUCUUCGGAGACACACCUUUGGAGUACUCCAGUGGUACUUUUCUUGUACAGUUCCCCCUCGUGGACUUUGUAGGCCUUUGAGCGUCGAACAAUGUGACGGGCCUCCGUCUGGUCAUCAGGGAGCUCAUUCCUAUUAGGCGAGGAACGAUUCGGUCCAUGGGGCGAUUACAUCCAUGAUUUCAUGAGCCGAUGGUGUUACUUUGUUGCCCAAACCCCCAACGAUAUCUGGACUGUGUUCGGAAUCUGGGGGUAUGAUCGGUUCUGGAAUAGUGUUGCCACUAUCGUCCUGCCACACGAUAGAUGACUUGAAGAGCCUCUCCACAAAGGUGUUAGGCGGGACGGGGUCGCGCUUGGCACCCAUGCGUCCAAGUAAGUCCGCAGCUUGAUUACUCUCUCGAGCCACAUGAUGAAACUCGAGCCCUUCAAACCGAGCUGAUAUUUUGAGUACGGCGUUGCGGUAAGCCUCCAUCUUUGAAUCUUUUGCGUCGAAGUCUCCGUUUAUCUAAGAUAUUGCGAGGUUUUACUCCCCGUGUACUUCGAGGCAUUGUAUGCCCACGGAGACGGCCAUCCGGAGACCGUGUAAUAAGGCCUCGUAUUCGGCUGCAUUGUUAGAGUCUGUAUAUAGUAUUUGGAGCACAUAACGGAUUGUGUCUCCUGUGGGGGUUGUCAAGACAACACCAGCCCCCAAUCCGGCUAACAUUUUAGAGUCGUCAAAGUGCAUCACCUAGUUGGAAUAUGUGCCGUAUUCUUUAGGGAGUUUGGUCUCCAUCUAUUCGGCGAUGAAGUCAGCCAACACCUGAGAUUUAAUAGCUCGGCGUGGCUUGUAAAUUAUUUCAAAUGGUAAUAUCUCAAUGGCCCAUUUGGCAAUCUGGCCGGUGGCAUCCUGAUUGUUUAUAAUAUCGUUAGGUUGUACUUCGGAAGCCACCAUGAUCGAGCACUCUUGAAAGUAGUGCCGCAGCUUGCGGGAUGCCAUAAAGAUCGCAUAUGCUAUCUUUUGAUAAUGCGGGUAUCGGGAUUUGCAUGGUGUAAGGACCGUCGAUACAUAAUAUACUGGUUUUUGAAGUGGGAAUUUAUGUCCCUCCUCUUCUCGUUCGACGACGAGAAACGCACUCACCAUGGUGAGUUGCAGAUAUUUAGAGAAGCAUCGGUUCGCCAAGUUUGGUUCGGCCAGGAUUGGGUUACUUGCUAACAGAUCUUUUAUUUCGUCCAGUCCGGCUAUGGCAGCAUCAGUCCACAUGAAGUGGUCACUGCCGCGGAGCAAGUGAUAUAAUGCCAACGCCUUUUCCCCUAGUCUGGAGUUAGAACGGCUUAAAGCUGGCACACACCCAGCUAAUUUUGGGACCUUCUUGAGGUCUGUUGGUGUUGCCAACUGUUACAGGGCUCGGAUUUUAGUGGGGUUUGCUUCGAUUCGUCUAUUGGAGACAAUGAACCCAAGCAGCUUUCCGGCUGGAAAGCCGAAAACGCAUUCUUCCGGAUUGAGCCGUAUGUCCUAUGCUCGGAGGUUGUCGAUUGUAAGGCGUAAGUCAUCAACCAAUGAAUCUACAUGUUUGGUUUUGAUGAUUACGUCAUCUACAUAUGCCUCCAAAAUUUUGCUGAUCUACUUUUCCAUCCAUGUUUGAAUCAUGCGUUGGUAGAUUGCGCUGGUGUUAUUGAGCCUAGUGUUGAAGCAGAAGGGCCCGUACGGAGUGAGGAACAUCGUGGCGGCUUGGUUGGAUUCUUUCAUCUUAAUUUGAUGGUCUCCGUAGUAUGCAUCAAGGAAUCAGAAGGAAUCGUGUCCUACGGUUGCGUCAAUAAUCUGGUCAAUUCGAGGUAAUGGGAAGGGGUGACGAGGUUACAGACCUGGGGUAGGGUCAUAGGCCUGACCUAUAUGUCCUACCCGAGGUCACUACCCUAGAAGAUAAAAAGACCAAGAGUCAACAGGAGAGCACCGGUCGAGUGCGUCGGGCGCAAUCCACUCGACGGCCAUAUCAUUCGGUGGUCUCCUCCCUACCGUCACUCGACCAUAUGAAGAGUCACUCGACUUGUCACAAACCAGGAGUCGGAGGAGAACGCAACGGCCAGACGUUCUCCCCUUAGUCUUUAUAAGCAUUAAGGGUACUUAAGGUUGGCGUUACAAGUAACGCCCCUUACUUUAGGUACAUUAAGCCCCUUGUAAUGGAGGCGGGCGGGGGUCCUGGCGCACUCUAUAUAAGCCACUCCCCUCCUCUGGGACAAGGGUUUGCACCCCCUGUAAUAUCACACACAUAAUCCAAUCGACCGCCUCCGGGCACCGAGACGUAAGGCUGUUACUUCCACUGUGAAGGACCUGAACUCGUAAACCUUGUGUGUACACCUUCACCAUAGCUGAGAUCUUGCCUCUCCAUACCUACCCCCCUUUCUAUUGUCAGUCUUAGGACUACAACAGUUGGCGACCACCGCGGGGCAGGUAUCUUAGUGACUUGCUGGUGAAGUUGCAAGUUUUACCGAUCGUUAUCGUCAUGGUUUCCGGCGGCGGAUUGGCUAAGGGCCACGAGAUCUGUCUCGGCGCGCUCGUUUUCGUCCCCGACGACUCUGUGUGGCUUCAAGAAGCUCCCCUGGACAUUGAGGCACUCCCCGUCCGAGGGGCAACGCACUUCCGAGCGUGCGUUUGCGGUGUUCUCCUUCAGAAGCCGUCGACUCAGUAUCAGUCGACCCCGACCAUGUUUUCACUCCCCACCAUUCGUCACCGCGAGCGAUCCGGUUGAUCGCGGCUUCAGCGGUAGGUGAAACACGUGGUGGUUCAACGUUCGACCACCCAUCAAGUCACGGCAAUCGAGCCCGACAGUACUCUCCACGGCAUGUUCGACCUGUCGACUGGCUCCGCGGAGACCACAUCCGAGUGCGAUAGCAGCGACCCUGCGGCUGAAGUCUUGAUGGUCGAUAGACCCCACAGCCCGCCCGGUUUCCAUCGUGAAGGCGGCGAAGACGGGGGCGGCGAUCCAUUGCACGUCCCCGAGGAAUACCGACCCGAGCCCCUCUCUUCGCAGCAGAUGGAAGAACUUCGUCACCGCAACAUGGAUGCACUCCACACGCCCAUCAUUGGAGAAACCCCCGAGGCUCAGGCCUUGGAGGGGGUGUGCUUGGCUAAACUGGCUGAGCGCACUCGACUGGAUAACCUUCAGUGGGCCCUCGACGAGCGCGCUCAGGAGCGGAUCCAUGAGUCCAGUCGACGACAACUUUUUCCACCUCCACCUAAGGUAUACCACACUCCGAUUCAGAAUAUCCAACCUUCCCAGUCAGAAGCUGCCAGAGGGUUGAUGCAGAUCCGGGCCUUGCUCAGGGCAGCAGGAGAGCAAAACAUAGCAGUAUCUCAGUCGCGGAAUAGGAUUCACAGCAGAUCCGUUGCAGCGGACACGGUUUAGUCGGCUCACAGCCCAAGAUCGCCUCCGCGGCGUGAAGGCUGUGGGCAGUAUGAUCAUCCACUCGACCGUGACAAUCGUCGUCGAGGACCCACGCCUCCCUCGAGGAGUGCGUCAUAUGUGCCUCGGCAGAACAAUGACAGGCGCCGUCACAGUGGUGAGCAUAGGGCUUCAGUCGACCCAAGGGAACCGUGCUUCGACGCGAGGUCUAUCCUUGUUCAAGGCCUGGUCGACCAGAACAGAGCACACAGAGAAGACCCUGGCAUAGAUCGUCCGAGUGGCAGCCGAAUGCAUGCUUCUGGUCCCGAGUAUUUUAGCAGGGCCAUCAAGGCAGCAGUGACUCCUCCCAACUUCAGGUUGGCGUCCGAAGUCAGUAAGUUCGCCGGCGAAUCUAAGCCUGAAACAUGGCUUGAAGAUUACCGAGUGGUUGUACAGAUUGGUGGUGGAAACGAUGAGUUUAUGAUGAAACAUCUCCCUCUGACAUUGGAAGGGUCAUCCUGAGCAUGGUUGACUCGGUUGGCUCCGAGCAGUAUAUACAGUUGGGAAGAACUAUCUCGAGUGUUCCUCCGAACUUUCGAAGGCACUUGCAAAUGACCAGCGGGAUUGACCGAGUUGCAUCAUUGUGUUCAGAAGCCGAGUGAGACCUUGAGAGAUUUUAUCCAGAGGUGGUCCACUUUGCAUUACACUGUCGAAAAUGUUUCAGAGCAUCAGGCAGUGUGUGCUUUCAAGGAAAACGUCAAAUACAAAGAGUUAGUCUUGAAAUUCGGUCGGACUGGGGAUAUGACUCUGACUCGGAUGAUGGAGAUAGCAACCCGGUUCACUAACAGAGAAGAAGAGGAUCGACUCCGUAGCGGGAAGAGCAAACCAAUCGGCCAAGAGGCUGGUGGAGGCAACUCCAGUCGGAAACAGAAGCGCAAGGCCGAACCAGCGGCACCUGGAGAGAUUGCAGCAGUGACUCAAGGAAAGUUUAAGGGAAAACCUAAGGGGCCUUGGCCCCCUAAGAAGGUAAAGGAUCAAGGAGGGAAUGAUGUGCUGGAUUUGCCAUGUCACAUCCACACGAAGAAAGAUGAAGAAGGUAAUCUGAUUUACCCGAAGCAUACCACUCGACAAUGUAGACUCCUGAUCCAGCAGUUCCAAGAGAAACAACCCAAUGAGAAGGAGAAAGAGUCGGACAAGGACGAGGAUGAAGAGGAAGACGAUGGUUAUCCCAAAGUCAAUUCCACUUUGAUGAUUUUUGUUGAUGUUGAGAGCAAGAGUCGAUUGAAGGUCAUCAACAGAGAAGUAAAUAUGGUCUCUCCGGCGGCGAAGACCACAUACCUAAGAUGGUCUCAGACAGCCAUCACAUUCAACCAGUCUGACCGUCCUGCUCGUGUCACCACCCCUGGGAGGCAAGCACUACUGGUCGGCCCCGUGGUUGGAGGCACUCGACUGACCAAAGUACUGAUGGAUGGUGGCAGUGGUUUGAACAUCCUUUACGCUGAAACCUUGAAGGGGAUGGGCAUUCCGAUGUCCAAACUUAGCGAGAGCAACAUGAGUUUUCAUGGUGUUAUCCCUGGAAAGAAAGCUGAAUCAUUCGGCCAGAUCGCCCUCGAUGUGGUUUUCGGUGAUUCCAAGCAUUACCGUAAGGAGAAGUUGACAUUUGAAGUUGUGGAUUUCCAGAGUGCCUAUCAUGCCAUUCUGGGUAGGCCAGCCUAUCCACGUUUUAUGGCUCGACCAUGUUAUGUGUAUCUCAAGCUGAAGAUGCCUAGCCCCAAAGGUGUAAUCACAGUUACUGGCAAUCGGUAGAAGGCAGAGGAAUGUUUCCAGAAAGGUUCCAGAAUAGCAGAUGCACAGAUGGUAGCAGUUGAACUCCAAGAGUAGCAGAAGAGUGCAGAUCCGAGUGAUUUGCUCCAAGCUAAGAAGCCUGCUACAGACUCAGCAUUUCAGUCGACUGGUAAAACAAAGCCGAUUCAUACUCACCCGACCGAUCCCAAUGUUGCACCGACUCAUAUAUCAACAACACUCGACAACAAAUAGGAAGAAGCGCUCAUCCAGUUCCUCCGUGAGAACUGGGACAUCGUGGAAGCCCUCUGACAUGCCAGGUGUACCCAGAGAACCGGCUGAGCACUGUUUGCGUGUCGACCCCAAGGUAAAACCCGUCAAAGAGCACCUUCGGCAGUCCGCCACGCAGAAGAGAAAAGCAAUUGGUGAAGAAGUAGCUCGGCUGUUGGCAGCAGAGUUCAUCCGUGAAAUCUACCACUCCGAGUGGUUAGCCAAUGUAGUCAUGGUCCCGAAGAAGGAUGAUUCACUUCGUAUGUGCAUUGAUUUCAAGCAUAUCAAUCGGGCCUGCCCAAAAGAUCACUUCCCUCUCCCUCGCAUCGAUCAGAUUGUUGACUCGACUGUAGGGUGUGAGUGCUUGUCUUUCUUAGAUGCAUAUUUCGGGUAUCAUCAGAUCUGACUGUAUGGUCCCGAUGAAAUAAAAACAGCCUUCAUCACCCCAUUCGGGUGCUUUUGUUAUGUCACCAUGCCAUUUGGUCUUAAAAAUGCUGGAGCCACAUUCAUGAGAAUGAUUCAGAAGUGCCUGCUCACUCAAAUCAGUCAGAAUGUGGAAGCAUACAUGGAUGACAUUGUGGUCAAGUCUCGCAAAGGUUCCGACUUAUUCAUUGACCUCGCAGAAACCUUUGCCAACCUAAGAAGAUACGAUAUCAAGCUUAAUCCGUCAAAGUGUACAUUCGGAGUUCCAGGAGGAAAGUUACUCGGUUUUCUCGUUUUUGAACGAAGGAUCGACGCUAAUCCAGAAAAAGUUGAUACCAUCCUCCGAAUGAAACGCCCCGUGCGAGUGCAUGACGUUCAGAAGCUGACUAGUUGUUUGGCCGCCUUGAGUCGAUUCAUUUCUCGUCUCGGUGAAAAGGCCUUGCCUCUUUACCUAAUGAUGAAGAAAUCUGAUAAGUUCGAGUGGACUGAAGAAGCUGAUGCAGCGUUUGUAGAGCUCAAAGCCCUGCUUUCCACCCAGUCGGUGCUCGCUGCGCCAAUCAGCAAAGAGCCUUUACUGCUUUACAUUGCAGCCACUGGACAAGUUGUCAGUAAGGUAGUCACAGUCGAGCGGGAAGAGGAAGGAAAAGCUUACAAGGUUCAACGCCCAGUUUAUUACCUCUCUGAAGUUUUGACUCCAUCCAAGCAACGAUAUCCACAUUAUCAGAAGCUUGUCUAUGGAAUAUACAUGACCAUGAAGAAGGUUGCGCAAUAUUUCUCUGACCACUCCAUUACAGUUGUCAGCGACGCGCCACUAUCUGAAAUUCUGAAUAAUAGAGAUGCAAAUGGUCGAGUGGCAAAAUGGGCGAUUGAAAUCCUUCCAUUGGAUAUCAAGUUUGAGGCAAAGAAGGCUAUCAAGUACCAAGCAAUCGCAGAUUUCCUUGCCGAGUGGAUUGAGCAGCAAUUGCCAACUCAAGUCCACUCGGAGCAUUGGACUAUGUUCUUUGAUGGCUCCAAGAUGUUGAAUGGUUUAGGUACUGGGGUAGUAUUUGUAUCCCCCCGUGGAGACAAGCUUAGUUAUGUUCUCCAGAUUCAUUUUGAUAACUCCAAUAAUGAAGCCAAAUAUGAAGCACUUUUAUACGGGUUGCGUAUGUCCAUUUCACUCGGCGUCCUCGCCUUAUGGUUUACAGUGACUCAGAUUUGGUGGUUAAUCAAGUGAUGAAGGAAUGGGAUGUCAGGAGCCCAGCUAUGACUGGUUAUUGCAAUGCAGUGAGAAAGCUGGAAAAGAAGUUUGAAGGUUUGGAGCUUCACCAUAUACCCCGACUGAAAAAUCAAGCUGCAGAUGAGUUAGCAAAGAUAGGCUCAAAGAGAGAGGCCAUUCCUCGAAAUGUGUUUUUGGAACAUAUUCAUUCACCAUCAGUUUAGGAAGAUCCUUUCACCGACGAGUCACCACAGCCCAAGAGUGCCACAUAUCGGACUGAAGUCGAAAUCCCAACCGUGGUCGACUUAGUCAUGGAGGUUUUGGUCAUCACUCCUGACUGGACAGUGUCGUACAUUGCGUACAUUCUUAGGAAAGAACUGUUGGGGAACGUAGCAGAAAUUCAAAAUUUUCCUACGUGUCACCAAGAUCUAUCUAUGGAGAGACCAGCAACGAGUAGAAAGAGAAUGCAUCUACAUACCCUUGUAGAUCUCUAGGCGGAAGCGUUCAAGUGAACGGGGUUGAUGGAGUCGUACUCGUCGUGAUUCAAAUCACCGAUGAUCAAGUGCCGAACGCACGGCACCUCCGCGUUCAACACACAUACAGCUCGGUGACGUCUCCCAAGCCUUGAUCCAGCAAGGAGAGAGGGAGAGGUUGAGGAAGACUCCAUCCAGCAGCAGCACAAUGGCGUGGUGGUGGUGGAGGAGCGUGGCAAUCCUGCAGGGCUUCGCCAAGCACCGCGGGAGAGGAGGAGUACUUGUGAGAGGGGGAGGGCUGUGCCAGAACUUCGUCUGUAGCUCCCAUGCGCCUCCCCACUAUAUAUAGGGGUGGAGGGGCUGGUUUCUUGCCCUCCAAGUCCAUUGGGGCGUUGGCCAAGGUGGGAGGAAAGAAAUCUCAUUAUUUCCUUCCCCAUCGAUUGUUAUCCCCCCUUUUUAGGGAUCUUGAUCUUAUCCCUUCGGGAUAUGAUCUUAUUCCUUCUAAGGGGGGAUCUUGGUGCGCCUUGACUAGGGGUGUGGGGCCUUGCCCCCACUACCCACGUCCAUGUGGGUCCCCCCAUGCAGGUGGGCCCCACUCCGGAACCUUCUAGAACCUUCCCGGUACAAUACCGAAAAAUCCCGAACAUUUUCCGGUGACCAAAAUAGGACUUCCCAUAUAUAAAUCUUUACCUCCGGACCAUUCCGGAACUCCUCGUGACGUCCGGGAUCUCAUCCGGGACUCCGAACAACAUUCGGUAACCACAUACAAACUUCCUUUAUAACCCUAGCGUCAUCGAACCUUAAGUGUGUAGACCCUACGGGUUCGGGAGACAUGUAGACAUGACCGAGACGUUCUCCGGUCAAUAACCAACAGCGGGAUCUGGAUACCCAUGAUGGCUCCCACAUGUUCCACGAUGAUCUCAUCGGAUGAACCACGAUGUCAAGGACUUAAUCAAUCCCGUAUUCAAUUCCCUUUGUCUAUCGGUAUGUUACUUGCCCGAGAUUCGAUCGUCGGUAUCCAAUACCUUGUUCAAUCUCGUUACUGGCAAGUUACUUUACUCGUUCCGUAACACAUCAUCCCGUGAUCAACUCCUUGGUCACAUUGCGCAUAUGAUGAUGUCCUACUGAGUGGGCCCAGAGAUACCUCUCCGUUUACACGGAGUGACAAAUCCCAGUCUCGAUCCGCAUAAAACAAUAGAUACUUUCGGAGAUACCUGUAGUGCACCUUUAUAGUCACCCAGUUACGUUGUGAAGUUUGAUACACCCAAAGCACUCCUACGGUAUCCAGGAGUUACACGCUCUCAUGGUGGAAGGAAGAGAUACUUGACAUUGGCAAAGCUCUAGCAAAUGAACUACACGAUCUUUUGUGCUAGUCUUACGAUUGGGUCUUGUCCAUCACAUCAUUCUCCUAAUGAUGUGAUCCCGUUAUCAACGACAUCCAAUGUCCAUAGCUAGGAAACCAUGACUAUCUGUUGAUCACAACGAGCUAGUCAACUAGAGGCUCACUAGGGACAUAUUGUGGUCUAUGUAUUCACACGUGUAUUACGAUUUCCGGAUAAUACAGUUAUAGCAUGAAUAAAAGACAAUUAUCAUGAACAAGGAAAUAUAAUAAUAAUACUUUUAUUAUUGCCUCUAGGGCAUAUUUCCAAUAGUCUCCCACUUGCACUAGAGUCAAUAAUCUAGUUCACAUCGCCAUGUGAUUAACACUCACAGGUCACAUCGCCAUGUGACUAAUACCCAAGAGUUUACUAGAGUCAGUAGUCUAGUUCACAUCACUAUGUGAUUAACACUCAAUGAGUUUUAUGUUUGAUCAUGUUGCUUGUGAGAGAGGUUUUAGUCAACGGGUCUGAACCUUUCAGAUCCGUGUGUGCUUUACAAAUCUCUAUGUCAUCUCCUAGAUGCAGCUACCACGCUCUAUUUGGAGCUAUUCCAAACAACUGUUCUACUUGGAGCUAUUCUAAAUUAUUGCUCCAUUAUAUGUAUCCGGUCUCUCUACUGAGAGCUAUCCGGAUAGGUGUCAAGCUUGCAUCGUCGUAACCUUUACGACGAACUCUUUUACCACCUCCAUAAUCGAGAAAAUUCCUUAGUCCACUAGUUACUAAGGAUAACUUUGACCGCUGUCCUGUGAGCCAUUCUUGGAUCACUCUUGUACCCCUUGACUGACUCAUGGCAAGGCACACUUCAGGUGCGGUACACAGCAUAGCAUACUGAAGAGCCUACGUCUUAAGCAUAGGGGACGACCUUCGUCCUUUCUCUCUAUUCUGCCGUGGUCGAGCUUUAAGUCUUAACUUCGUACCUUACAACUCAGGCAAGAACUCCUUCUUUGACUGGUCCAUCUUGAACACCUUCAAGAUCAUGUCAAGGUAUGUGCUCAUUUGAAAGUAUUAUUAAGCAUUUUGGUCUAUCCUUAUAGAUCUUGAUACUCAAUGUUCAAGUAGCUUAAUCCAGGCUUUCCAUUGAAAAACACUUUCAAAAUAACCCUAUAUGCUUUCCAGAAAUUCUACGUCAUUUCUGAUCAACAAUAUGUCAACAACAUAUACUCAUCAGAAAUUCUAUAGUGCUCCCACUCACUUCUUUGGAAAUACAAGUUUCUCAUAAACUUUGUACAAACCCAAAAUUUUUGAUUCAUCAAAGCAUACAUUCCAACUCCGAGAUGCUCAUUCCAGUCCUUAGAAGGAUUGCUGGAGCUUUGCAUACUUAUUAGCAUCUUUUGGGAUUGACAAAACCUUCCGGUUGUAUCACAUACAACCUUUCCUAAUUAAAAUCGUCGAGGAAACAAUGUUUUGACAUCCUAUCUGCAAGAUUUCAUAAAUAAUGCAGUAAUCGCUAAUAUAAUUCCAACAGACUCUUAGCAUCGCUACGAGUGAGAAAAUCUCAUCGUAGUCAACUCCUUGAACUUGUCGGAAAACAUCUUAACGACAAGUCGAGCUUUCUUAAUGGUGACAUUUACCAUCAUUGUCCGUCUUCCUUUUGAAAUCCAUCUGUACUCAUUAGCCUUACAACCAUCGAGCCGUUCUGCCAAAGUCUACACUUUGUUUUCAUACAUGGAUCCUCUCUCGGAUUUUAUGGCCUCAAGCCAUUUAUCGGAAUCCGGGCCCACCAUCGCUUCUCCAUAGCUCGUAGGUUCAUUGUUGUCUAGCAACAUGACCUUCAAGACAGGAUUACGUACCACUCUGAAGUAGUACGCAUCCUUGUCAUCCUACGAGGUUUGGGAGUGACUUGAUCCGAAGUUUCAUGAUCAAUAUCAUAAGCUUCCACUUCAAUUGGUGUAGGUGCCACAGGAACAACUCCCUGUGCCCUGUCACACACUAGUUGAAGAGACGGUUCAAUAACCUCAUCAAGUCUCCACCAUCCUCCCACUCAAUUCUUUCGAGAGAAACUUUUCCUCGAGAAAGGACCCGAUUCUAGAAACAAUCCAUAUUGCUUUCGGAUCUGAAUUAGGAGGUAUACCCAACUGUUUGGGGUUUCCUAUGAAGAUGCAUUUUAUCCGCUUUGGGUUCGAGCUUAUCAACCUGAAACUUUUUCAUAUAAGCGUCGCAGCCCCAAACUUUUAAGAAACGACAACUUAGGUUUCUCUAAACCAUAAUUCAUACGGUGUCAUCUCAUCAGAAUUACGUGGUGCCCUAUUUAAAGUGAAUGUGGUUGUCUCUAAUGCCUAACCCAUGAACGAUAGUGGUAAUUCGAUAAGAGACAUCAUGGUACGCACCAUAUCCAAUAGGGUGCAACUAUGAUGUUCGGACACACCAUCACAUUAUGGUGUUCCAGGCGGUAUUAAUUGCGAAACAAUUUCCACAAUGUCUUAAUUGUGUGCCAAAACUCGUAACUCAGAUAUUCAUCUCUAUGAUCAUAUCAUAGACAUUUUAUCCUCUUGUCACAAUGAUCUGCUACUUCACUCUGAAAUUACUUGAACCAUUCAAUAAUUCAGACUUGUGUUUCAUCAAGUAAAUAUACUCAACAUUUACUCGAAUCAUCUGUGAAGUAAGAACAUAAUGAUAUUCACUGCAUGCCUCAGCACUCAUUCGACUGCACACAUCAAAAUGUGUUACUUCCAACAAGUUGCUAUCUUGUUCCAUCUUACUGAAAAUGAGGCUUUUCAGUUAUCUUGCCCAUGUGGUAUGAUUUGCAUAUCUCAAGUGAUUCAAAAUCAAGUGAGUCCGAACGAUCCAUUUGCAUGGAGUUUCUUCAUGCAUAUACACCAAUAGACAUGGUUCGCAUGUCUCAAACUUUUCAAAAACGAGUGAGUCCAAAGAUCCAUCAACAUGGAGCUUCUUCAUGCGUUUUAUACCAUUAUGACUUACAUGGCAGUGCCACAAGUAAGUGGUACUAUCAUUACUAUCUUAUAUCUUUUGGCAUGAAAAUGUGUAUCACUACGACCGAGAUUCAAUAAACCGUUCCUUUAGGUGCAAGACCAUUGAAGGUAUUAUUCAAAAAUAGAGUAACCAUUAUUCUCCUUAAAUGAAUAACCGUAUUGCGAUAGACAUAAUCCAAUCAUGUCUAUGCUCAACGCAAACACCAAUCUCGGUGGUAGAGGGAGCGUGCGAUGCUUGAUCAUAUCAACCUUGGAAACACUUCCAACAUAUAUCGUCAGCUCACCUUUAGCUAGUCUCCAUUUAUUCCGUAGCUUUUAUUUCGAGUUACUAACACUUAGCAACCGAACCGGUAUCCAAUACCCUGGUGCUACUAGGAGUACUAGUAAAGUACACAUUAACAUAAUGUAUAUCCAAUAUACUUCUAUCGACCUUGCCAGCCUUCUCAUCUACCAAGUAUCUAGGGUAAUGCUGCUCCAGUGGUUGUUCCCCUUAUUAUAGAAGCACUUAGUCUCGGGUUUGGGUUCAACCUUGGGUUUCUUCACUAGAGCAGCAGCUGAAUUGCCUAUUCAUGAAGUAUCCCUUUGUUCCCUUGCCCUUCUUGAAACUAGUGGUUUCACCAACCAUCAAUAAUUGAUGCUCCUUCUUGAUUUCUACUUUCGCGGUGUCAAACAUCAUGAAUAUUUCAAGGAUCAUCAUAUCUAUCCGUGAUAUGUUAUAGUUAAUCACGAAGCUCUAGCAGCUUGGUGGCAAUGACUUUGGGAAACAUCACUAUCUCAUCUGGAGGAUCAACUCCCACUCGAUUCAAGUGAUUGUUGUGCUCAGAAAAUCUGAGCACAAGCUCAACGAUUGAGCUUUUCUCCUUAGUUUGUAGGCUAAGAAAAUCGUCGGAGGUCUUAUACCUCUUGACAUGGGCACGAGCCUGAAAUCCCAAUUUCAGCCCUCGAAACAUCUCAUAUGUUCUGCGACGUUUUGAAAACGUCUUUGGUGCCUCUACUUAAACCAUUUAAUUGAACUAUCACGUAGUUAUCAAAACGUGUAUGUCCGAUGUUCGCAACAUCGACAAACGACGUUGGGGUUCAGCACACUGGGCGGUGCAUUAAGGACAUAAGCUUUCUACUGAUCGCAUAAUCUCUACUAUCAACUUUCAACUAUAUUUUCUCUAGGAACAUAUCUAAACAGUGGAACUAAAGCGCGAGCUUACGACAUAAUUUGCAAAAGGUCUUUUGACUAUGUUCAGGAUAAUUAAGUUCAUCUUAUGAACUCCCACUUAGAUAGACAUCCCUCUGGUCAUCUAAGUGAUCACAUGAUCCGAGUCAACUAGGCCGUGUCCGAUCAUCACGUGAGACGGACUAGUCAUCAUCAGUGAACAUCUUCAUGUUGAUCGUAUCUACCAUACGACUCAUGCUCGACCUUUCGGUCUCCGUGUUUCGAGGCCAUGUCUGCACAUGCUAGGCUCGUCAAGUUAACCCUAAGUGUUUUCGCUGUGUAAAACUGUCUUACACCCGUUGUAUGUGAACGUAAGAAUCCAUCACACCCGAUCAUCACGUGGUGCUUAGAAGCGACGAACUGUAGCAACGGUGCACAGUUAGGGGAGAACACUUCUUGAAAUUUUGUAAGGGAUCAUCUUAUUUACUACCGUCGUCCUAAGCAAACAAGAUGCAUAAACAUGAUAAACAUCACAUGCAAUCAAAUAGUGACAUGAUAUGGCCAAUAUCAUUUUGCUCCUUUUGAUCUUCAUCUUCGGGGCUCCAUGAUCAUCAUCAUCACCGGCACGACACCAUGAUCUCCAUCAUCAUGAUCUCCAUCAUCGUGUCUUCAUGAAGUUGUCACGCCAACGACUACUUCUACUUCUAUGACUAACGCGUUUAGCAAUAAAGUAAAGUAGUUUACAUGGCGUUCUUCAAUGACUCGCAGGUCAUACAAAAAAUAAAGACAACUCCUAUGGCUCCUGCCGGUUGUCAUACUCAUCGACAUGCAAGUCGUGAAUCCUAUUACAAGAACAUGAUCAAUCUCAUACAUCACAUAUCAUUCAUCACAUUCUUCUUGGCCAUAUCACAUCACAUAGCAUACCCUGCAAAAACAAGUUAGACGUCCUCUAAUUGUUGUUGCAUGUUUUACGUGGCUGCUAUGGGUUUCUAGCAAGAACGUUUCUUACCUACGCAAGACCACAACGUGAUAUGCCAAUUGCUAUUUACCCUUCAUAAGGACCCUUUUCAUCGAAUCCGUUCCGACUAAAGUGGGAGAGACUGGCACCCGCUAGCCACCUUAUGCACCAAGUGCAUGUCAAUCGGUGGAACCUGUCUCACGUAAGAGUACGUGUAAGGUCGGUCCGGGCCGCUUCAUCCCACAAUACCGUCGAAACAAGAUUGGACUAGUAACGGUAAGCAUAUUGAACAACAUCAACGCCCACAACUACUUUGUGUUCUACUCGUGCAAAGAAUCUACGCAAUAGACCUAGCUCAUGAUGCCACUUUUGGGGAACGUAGCAGAAAUUCAAAAUUUUCCUACGUAACACCAAGAUCUAUCUAUGGAGAGACCAGCAACGAGUAGAAAGGGGAGUGCAUCUACAUACCCUUGUAGAUCGCUAAGCGGAAGCGUUCAAGUGAACGGGGUUGAUGGAGUCGUACUCGUCGUGAUUCAGAUCACCGAUGAUCCUAGUGCCGAACGGACGGCACCUCCGCGUUCAACACACGUACAGCUCGACGAUGUCUCCCACGCCUUGAUCCAGCAAGGAGAGAGGGAGAGGUUGAGGAAGACUCCAUCCAGCAGCAGCACAACGGCGUGGUGGUGAUGGAGGAGCGUGGCAAUCCUGCAGGGCUUCGCCAAGCACCUACGGGAGAGGAGGAGGUGUCACGGGAGGGAGGGAGGCGCCAAGGGCUCAGGUAUGGAUGCCCUUAACUUCGUACCUUACAACUCAGGCAAGAACUCCUUUUUUGACUGAUCCAUCUUGAACACCUUCAAGAUCACGUCAAGGCAUGUGCUCAUUUGAAAGUACCAUUAAGCGUUUUGAUCUAUCCUUAUAGAUCUUGAUGCUCAAUGUUCAAGUAGCUUAAUCCAGGUUUUCCAUUGAAAACACUUUCCAAAUAACCCUAUAUGCUUUCCAGAAAUUCUACGUCAUUUCUGAUCAUUAAUAUGUCAACAACAUAUACUCAUCAGAAAUUCUAUAGUGCUCCCACUCACUUCUUUGGAAAUACAAGUUUCUCAUAAACUUUGUAUACACCCUAAAUCUUUGAUCAUCAUCAAAGCAUACAUUCCAACUCCGAGAUGCUCACUCCAGUCCUCAGAAGGAUUGCUGGAGCUUUGCAUACUUAUUAGCAUAUUUCAGGAUAGACAAAACCUUCCGGUUGUAUCACAUACAACCUUUCCUCAAGAAUCGUCGAGGAAACAAUGUUUUGACAUCCUAUCUGCAAGAUUUCAUAAAUAAUGCAGUAAUUGCUAAUAUAAUUCCAACAUACUCUUAGCAUCGCUACGAGUGAGAAAGUCUCAUCGUAGUCAACUCCUUGAACUUGUCGAAAAACAUCUCAACGACAAGUCGACCUUUCUCAAUGGUGACACUUACCAUCAUUGUCUGUCUUCCUUUCAAAAUCCAUAUGUACCUAACAGCCUUAUGACCAUCAAGUAGUUCUUCCAAAGUCUACACUUUGUUUUCAUACAUGGAUCCUCUCUCGGGUUUUAUGGCCUUGAGCCAUUUAUCGGAAUCCAGGCCCACCAUCGCUUCUCCAUAGCUCGUAGGUUCAUUGUUGUCUAGCAACAUGACUUCCAAGACAGGAUUACUGUACCACUCUGAAGUAGUACGUAUCCUUGUCACCCUACGAGGUUUGGGAGUGACUUGAUCUGAAGUUUCAUGAUCACUAUCAUAAGCUUCUACUUCAAUUGGUGUAGGUGCCACAGGAACAACUUCCUGUGCCCUGCUACACACUGGUUGAAGUGAUGGUUCAGUAACCUCAUCAAGUCUCCACCAUCCUCCCACUCAAUUCUUUCGAGAGAAACCUUUCCUCGAGAAAGGACCCAAUUCUAGAAACAAUUCAUAUUGCCUUCGGAUCUGAAUUAGGAGGUAUACCCAACUGUUUUGGGUGUCCUAUGAAGAUGUACUUUAUCCGCUUUGGGUUCGAGCUUAAUCCUGAAACUUUUUCACAUAAGCGUCGCAGCCCCAAACCUUUAAGAAAUGACAACUUAGGUUUCUCUAAACCAUAAUUCAUACGGUGUCAUCUCAUCGGAAUUACGUGGUGCCCUAUUUAAAGUGAAUGUGGUUGUCUUUAAUGCCUAACCCAUAAACUAUCCUGGCAGUUCGAUAAGAGACAUCAUGGUAUGCAUCAUAUCCAAUAGGGUGCAACUAUGAUGUUCGGACACACCAUCACACUAUGGUGUUCCAGGCGGUAUUAAUUGUGAAACAAUUUCCACAAUGUCUUAAUUGUGUGCCAAAACUCGUAACUCAGAUACUCAUCUCUAUGAUCAUAUCAUAGACAUUUUAUCCUCUUGUCACAAUCUUCUACUUCACUCUGAAAUUACUUGAACCAUUCAAUAAUUCAGACUUGUGUUUCAUCAAGUAAAUAUUCUCAACAUCUACUCGAAUCAUCUGUGAAGUAAGAACAUAACGAUAUUCACUGCAUGCCUCAGCACUCAUUGGACUGCACGCAUCAAAAUGUGUUGCUUCCAACAAGUUGCUAUCUUGUUACAUCUUACUGAAAACGAGGCUUUUCAGUCAUCUUGCCCAUGUGGUAUGAUUUGCAUGUCCCAAGUGAUUCAAAAUCAAGUGAGUCAAAACGGUCCAUUUGCAUGGAGUUUCUUCAUGCAUAUACACCAAUAGACAUGGUUCGCAUGUCUCAAACUUUUCAAAAACGAGUGAGCCCAAAGAUCCAUCAAUAUGGAGCUUCUUCAUGCGUUUUAUACCGAUAUGACUUACGUGGCAGUGCCACAAGUAGGUGGUUCUAUCAUUACUAUCUUUUGGCAUGAACAUGUGUAUCACUACGAUCGAGAUUUAAUAAACCAUUCAUUUUAGGUGUAAGACCAUUGAAGGUAUUAUUCAAAUAAACAGAGUAACGAUUAUUCUCCUUAAAUGAAUAACCGUAUUGCGAUAGACGUAAUCCAAUCAUGUCUAUGCUCAACGCAAACACCAAACAACAAUUAUUUAGGUUUAACACCAAUCUCUUUGGUAGAGGGAGCGUGCGAUGCUUGAUCAUAUGAAGCUUGGAAAAACUUCCAACACAUAUCGUCAGCUCACCUUUAGCUAGUCUCCGUUUAUUCCGUAGCCUUUUGUUUCGAGUUACUAACACUUAGCAACCGAACCGGUAUCUAAUACCCUGGUGCUACUAGGAGUACUAGCAAAGUACACAUUAACACAAUGUAUAUCCAAUAUACUUCUAUCGACCUUGCCAGCCUUCUUAUCUACCAAGUAUCUAGGGUAAUUCUGCUCUAGUGGUUGUUCCCCUUAUUACAGAAGCACUUAGUCUCGGGUUUGGGUUUUACCUUGGGUUUCUUCACUAGAGCAGCAGCUGAUUUGCCGUUUCAUGAAGUAUCCCUUCUUGCCCUUGCCCUUCUUGAAACUAGUGGUUUCACCAACCAUCAACAAUUGAUGCUCCUUUUUGAUUCCUACUUUCGCGGUGUCAAACAUCGCGAAUACCUCAAGGAUCAUCAUAUCUAUCCCUGAUAUGUUAUAGUUCAUCACGAAGCUCUAACAGCUUGGUGGCAAUGACUUUGGAGAACCAUCACUGUCUUAUCUGGAAGAUCAACUCCCACUCGAUUCAAAUGAUUGUUGUACUCAGACAAUCUGAGCACAAGCUCAACAAUUGAGCUUUUCUCCUUAGUUUGCAGGUUAAGAAAGUCAUCGGAGGUCUUAUACCUCUUGACAUGGGCACGAGCCUGAAAUCCCAAUUUCAGCCCUCAAAACAUCUCAUAUGUUUCGCGAUGUUUCAAAAACGUCUUUGGUGCCUCAACUCUAAACCGUUUAACUGAACUACCACGUAGUUAUCAAAACGUGUAUGUCAGAUGUUCGCAACAACCACAGACAACGUUCGAGGUUCAGCACACUGAGCGGUGCAUUAAGGACAUAAGCCUUCUAUGAAGCAAUGAGGACAAUCCUCAGUUUACGGACCUAGUCCGCAUAAUUGCUACUAUCAACUUUCAACUAAUUUUUCUCUAGGAACAUAUCUAAACAGUAGAACUAUAGCGUGAGCUACGACAUAAUUUGCAAAAACCUUUUGACUAUGUUCAGGAUAAUUAAGUUCAUCUUAUGAACUCCCACUCAGAUAGACAUCCCUCUGGUCAUCUAAGUGAUCACAUGAUCCGAGUCAAACUAGGCCGUGUCCGAUCAUCACGUGAGACGGACUAGUCAUCAUCGGUGAACAUCUUCAUGUUGAUCGUAUCUUCUAUACGACUCAUGCUCGACCUUUCGGUCUCCGUGUUCCGAGGCCAUGUCUGCACAUGCUAGGCUCGUCAAGUUAACCCUAAGUGUUUUCGCUGUGUAAAACUGUCUUACACCCGUUGUAUGUGAACGUAAGAAUCCAUCACACCCGAUCAUCACGUGGUGCUUAGAAGCGACGAACUGUAGCAACGGUGCACAGUUAGGGGAGAACACUUCUUGAAAUUUUGUAAGUGAUCAUCUUAUUUACUACCGUCGUCCUAAGCAAACAAGAUGCAUAAACAUGAUAAACAUCACAUGCAAUCAAAUAGUGACAUGAUAUGGCCAAUAUCAUUUUGCUCCUUUUGAUCUUCAUCUUCGGGGCUCCAUGAUCAUCAUCGUCACCGGCACGACACCAUGAUCUCCAUCAUCAUGAUCUCCAUCAUCGUGUCUUCAUGAAGUUGUCACGCCAACGACUACUUCUACUUCUAUGACUAACGCGUUUAGCAAUAAAGUAAAGUAGUUUACAUGGCAUUCUUCAAUGACACGCAGGUCAUACAAUAAAUAAAGACAACUCCUAUGGCUCCUGCCGGUUGUCAUACUCAUCGACAUGCAAGUCGUGAAUCCUAUUACAAGAACAUGAUCAAUCUCAUACAUCACAUAUCAUUCAUCACAUUCUUCUUGGCCAUAUCACAUCACAUAGCAUACCCUGCAAAAACAAGUUAGACGUCCUCUAAUUGUUGUUGCAUGUUUUACGUGGCUGCUAUGGGUUUCUAGGAAGAACGUUUCUUACCUACGCAAGACCACAACGUGAUAUGCCAAUUGCUAUUUACCCUUCAUAAGGACCCUUUUCAUCGAAUCCGUUCCGACUAAAGUGGGAGAGACUGGCACCCGCUAGCCACCUUAUGCACCAAGUGCAUGUCAAUCGGUGGAACCUGUCUCACGUAAGAGUACGUGUAAGGUCGGUCCGGGCCGCUUCAUCCCACAAUACCGUCGAAACAAGAUUGGACUAGUAACGGUAAGCAUAUUGAACAACAUCAACGCCCACAACUACUUUGUGUUCUACUCGUGCAAAGAAUCUACGCAAUAGACCUAGCUCAUCAUGCCACUGUUGGGGAACGUAGCAGAAAUUCAAAAUUUUCCUAAGUGUCACCAAGAUCUAUCUAUGGAGAGACCAGCAACGAGUAGAAAGAGAAUGCAUCUACAUACCCUUGUAGAUCGCUAAGCGGAAGCAUUCAAGUGAACGGGGUUGAUGGAGUCGUACUCGUCGUGAUUCAAAUCACCGAUGAUCAAGUGCCGAACGCACGGCACCACCGCGUUCAACACACAUACAGCUCGGUGACGUCUCCCAAGCCUUGAUCCAGCAAGGAGAGAGGGAGAGGUUGAGGAAGACUCCAUCCAGCAGCAGCACAACGGCGUGGUGGUGGUGGAGGAGCGUGGCAAUCCUGCAGGGCUUCGCCAAGCACCGCGGGAGAGGAGGAGUACUUGUGAGAGGGGGAGGGCUGCGCCAGAACUUCAUCUGUAGCUCCCAUGCGCCUCCCCACUAUAUAUAGGGGUGGAGGGGCUGGUUUCUUGCCCUCCAAGUCCAUUGGGGCGUUGGCCAAGAUGGGAGGAAAGAAAUCUCAUUAUUUCCUUCCCCACCGAUUGUUAUCCCCCCUUUUUAGGGAUCUUGAUCUUAUCCCUUCGGGAUAUGAUCUUAUUCCUUCUAAGGGGGGAUCUUGGUGCGCCUUGACCAGGGGUGUGGGGCCUUGCCCCCACUACCCACGUCCAUGUGGGUCCCCCCAUGCAGGUGGGCCCCACUCCAGAACCUUCUAGAACCUUCCCGGUACAAUACCGAAAAAUCCCGAACAUUUUCCGGUGGCCAAAAUAGGACUUCCCAUAUAUAAAUCUUUACCUCCGGACCAUUCCGGAACUCCUCGUGACGUCCGGGAUCUCAUCCGGGACUCCGAACAACAUUCGGUAACCACAUACAAACUUCCUUUAUAACCCUAGCGUCAUCGAACCUUAAGUGUGUAGACCCUACGGGUUCGGGAGACAUGUAGACAUGACCGAGACGUUCUCCGGUCAAUAACCAACAGCGGGAUCUGGAUACCCAUGAUGGCUCCCACAUGUUCCACGAUGAUCUCAUCGGAUGAACCACGAUGUCAAGGACUUAAUCAAUCCCGUAUUCAAUUCCCUUUGUCUAUCGGUAUGUUACUUGCCCGAGAUUCGAUCAUCGGUAUCCAAUACCUUGUUCAAUCUCGUUACUGGCAAGUUACUUUACUCGUUCCGUAACACAUCAUCCCGUGAUCAACUCCUUGGUCACAUUGCGCAUAUGAUGAUGUCCUACCGAGUGGGCCCAGAGAUACCUCUCCGUUUACACGGAGUGACAAAUCCCAGUCUCGAUCCGCAUAAAACAAUAGAUACUUUCGGAGAUACCUGUAGUGCACCUUUAUAGUCACCCAGUUACGUUGUGACGUUUGAUACACCCAAAGCACUCCUACGGUAUCCAGGAGUUACACGCUCUCAUGGUCGAAGGAAGAGAUACUUGACAUUGGCAAAGCUCUAGCAAAUGAACUACACGAUCUUUUGUGCUAGUCUUAGGAUUGGGUCUUGUCCAUCACAUCAUUCUCCUAAUGAUGUGAUCCCGUUAUCAACGACAUCCAAUGUCCAUAGCCAGGAAACCAUGACUAUCUGUUGAUCACAACGAGCUAGUCAACUAGAGGCUCACUAGGGACAUAUUGUGGUCUAUGUAUUCACACGUGUAUUACGAUUUCCGGAUAAUACAGUUAUAGCAUGAAUAAAAGACAAUUAUCAUGAACAAGGAAAUAUAAUAAUAAUACUAUUAUUAUUGCCUCUAGGGCAUAUUUCCAACAAGAACUUCCAGAAAAUGAAGAAGAGGCCCGGUAGAUCGUCCGACGGUCUAAAGCAUUUACCGUGAUAAAAGGUCAGUUGUUCAAAGUAAGUGUAACUGGGGUCUGCCAGAAGUGCAUCAUGCCAGAAGAAGGCCGAAUGAUCCUCAACGAUAUUCACUUGGGGACCUGUGGUCACCACGCGUCCUCUCGGACCAUUGUGGCCAAAGCAUACCGAGACGGGUUUUACUGGCCACGUGCCAACGAGAUGGCAAAGGAAAUAGUGGACAAGUGUGAAGGUUGUCAGUUUUACUCCAACAUGUCCCACAAACCGGCAUCAGCUCUGAAGACUAUUCCACUCGUCUGGCAUUUUGCUGUUUGGGGAUUGGACAUGGUUGGACCUCUGAGGGCCGGCAGGAGCGGACUUACACAUGUGCUAGUAGCAGUCGACAAGUUUACCAAGUGGAUCGAAGCCAAGCCCAUUAAAAACCUUGAAGCAAGUACUGCUGUGAGUUUCAUCAGAGAAUUGAUAUUCAGAUAUGGUGUACAAUGCAGCAUCAUCACUGACAAUGGAUCGAACUUCGACUCUAAUGAAUUCAGGGCCUUUUGCGCUUCCCAACGCACGAGGGUCGAUUACGCUUCAGUCGCCCAUCCUCAGUCGAAUGGGCAGGCUGAGAGAGCGAAUGGAUUGAUCCUGAAAGGACUGAAGCCCCGAUUGAUGCGUGACCUCAAGCAUGCAGCAGGAGCUUGGGUGGAUGAACUCCCGUCAGAGCUUUGGGGAGUGAGGACAACUCCCAAUCGGUCGACUGGACGGACUCCAUUCUUCCUAGUCUACGGGGCCGAAGCCAUACUGCCGAGUGAUUUUCUCCACAAUGCUCCCCAAGUCGAACUCUUCUCAGAGGAGGAAGCAGAGCAAGCUCGGCAAGAUGCAGUCGACCUCUUGGAGGAAGAAAGAGAGAUGGCCCUGAUCCGGUCGACCAUUUAUCAACAAGACUUGCGACGAUUCCAUGCCAGGAACAUAAGAGGUCGAGCGUUCCAAGAAGAGGACUUGGUUCUCCAAGUGGACCAGCAGAAGCCACACAAGCUCGCCCCUGCCUGGGAAGGCCCUUUCGUCAUCACCAAGGUGCUCCACGACGGAGCUUAUCGUCUCUUCAACGUCGAGCACAACAAAGAUGAACCGCGCGCCUGGAACGCGAAACUGUUCCGCCCUUUUUACUCUUAAGUAUUUAGUUGAUGAGAUGUAAUAAGAAGCACCUCCUAGUUUGGUUAUCAAAAGACAUAAUUUUACAGCUUUCCGAAUGAUUGUUGUCUAUUUCUUUCGUUUGUAUCGCCUUAGCUGCGAAUCUGUUCCGCCCAAGAUGAAGUGUUAAAAAUCCUACUGAGUGGUGAGUCUGCCUCUCACUCGGGGGCUUAGCUGCAGUCCACUACUCGCCUAAGUGAUAAAAAUCCCACCGACUAGUGAGUCUGCCUCUCACCAGGGGGCUUUGCUGUAGUCCAGUACUCGCCUAAGUGAUAAAAAUCCCACCGAGUGGCGAGUCUGCCUCUAACUCGGGGGCUUAGAUGCAGUCCAGUAAUCGCCUAAGUGAUAAAAAUCCCACCGAGUGGUGAGUCUGCCUCUCACUCGGGGGCUUAGCUGCAGUCCAGUACUCGCCNNNNNNNNNNNNNNNNNNNNNNNNNNNNNNNNNNNNNNNNNNNNNNNNNNNNNNNNNNNNNNNNNNNNNNNNNNNNNNNNNNNNNNNNNNNNNNNNNNNNNNNNNNNNNNNNNNNNNNNNNNNNNNNNNNNNNNNNNNNNNNNNNNNNNNNNNNNNNNNNNNNNNNNNNNNNNNNNNNNNNNNNNNNNNNNNNNNNNNNNNNNNNNNNNNNNNNNNNNNNNNNNNNNNNNNNNNNNNNNNNNNNNNNNNNNNNNNNNNNNNNNNNNNNNNNNNNNNNNNNNNNNNNNNNNNNNNNNNNNNNNNNNNNNNNNNNNNNNNNNNNNNNNNNNNNNNNNNNNNNNNNNNNNNNNNNNNNNNNNNNNNNNNNNNNNNNNNNNNNNNNNNNNNNNNNNNNNNNNNNNNNNNNNNNNNNNNNNNNNNNNNNNNNNNNNNNNNNNNNNNNNNNNNNNNNNNNNNNNNNNNNNNNNNNNNNNNNNNNNNNNNNNNNNNNNNNNNNNNNNNNNNNNNNNNNNNNNNNNNNNNNNNNNNNNNNNNNNNNNNNNNNNNNNNNNNNNNNNNNNNNNNNNNNNNNNNNNNNNNNNNNNNNNNNNNNNNNNNNNNNNNNNNNNNNNNNNNNNNNNNNNNNNNNNNNNNNNNNNNNNNNNNNNNNNNNNNNNNNNNNNNNNNNNNNNNNNNNNNNNNNNNNNNNNNNNNNNNNNNNNNNNNNNNNNNNNNNNNNNNNNNNNNNNNNNNNNNNNNNNNNNNNNNNNNNNNNNNNNNNNNNNNNNNNNNNNNNNNNNNNNNNNNNNNNNNNNNNNNNNNNNNNNNNNNNNNNNNNNNNNNNNNNNNNNNNNNNNNNNNNNNNNNNNNNNNNNNNNNNNNNNNNNNNNNNNNNNNNNNNNNNNNNNNNNNNNNNNNNNNNNNNNNNNNNNNNNNNNNNNNNNNNNNNNNNNNNNNNNNNNNNNNNNNNNNNNNNNNNNNNNNNNNNNNAGUACUCGCCUAACUUUGAGAAAUCCUACCGAGUGGUGAGCAGCCCUCCCACUCGGAGGCUUAGGUGCAGACCAGUACUCGCCUAAAUUUGAGAAAUCCUACCGAGUGGUGAGCAGCCCUCCCACUCGGAGGCUUAUCUGUAGACCAGUACUCGCCUAAGUUUGAGAAAUCCUACCAAGUGGUGAGCAGCCCUCCCACUCAGAGGCUUAGCUGCAGUGCAGUACCCGCCUAAGUUUGAGAAAUCCUACCGAGUGGUGAACAGCCCUCCCACUCGAAGGCUUAGGUGCAGUCCCGUACUCGCCUAAGUUUGAAAAUUUCUACCGAGUGGUGAGCAGUCCUCCCACUCGGGGACCUAGCUGCAGUCCGAUACUAGCCUAAGUCCGAAAAAAACCCACCGAGUGGUGAGCAGGGUUGUAGGUCGACCACGACGCCAUCACCCCCCCAGGCUGCAUUGUCAAGAAGAAGGACGAGAUUGUGUGCACCCGUCCAACGGUUGGCCCCUUGCCAAUGACAGGAACGUCAAGACCAUUGCUGAGUACCUUGCUGAUGAGCUGAUCAAUGCUACCCAAGGCUCGUCCAACUGUUUGACUGUUGUUCCUUCUUUAGCACCUGCAUCAAACAAAGAGAGAUCGAUCCAAGAGAAGAACGGAUUCCACUCGGAGAUAAAUCAAUAUAUUCAAAGAUAAAUCCUGAGGUUCCUAACCGCAGAUUAAAAGGGAUCGGGCUUCAGGCCCGAAGGAGUUUUAACGAUUACAAAAUCACUCGGCAUUCCGAGGAAAAUAAAAGUGAGGCAUAAUGUUUUUUCCGCCACUCGACGGGAGAAGGGCUAGACGGAUCACAGAAGCUGUCAAGAUCGAUGCUGUCGGCAAUGCGGGUAGCUGCUUCGAGUAAGGUGUCCAUGAAGUCCUGGAAAGAGUGCUUCUUAGUAUUCGCUACCUUGAGGGCCGCCAACUUCUCUUCUUUAGCCUCCUUGCAGUGCACACGAACCAAUGACAAGGCGACGUCGGCCCCACAGUGGGCAGAGGACUUCUUCCACUCUUGCACUCGGUCAGGGAUUUGGUUGACUCGAGUCAUCAGCGACUCGAGACUUUGAGAGAGUUCUACCUGAGCCCAGAGUUUGGCAUCCACUCUGGUUAUUGCAGCCUUUCGGCGAGCCAGAUAGUCGACAGCGCCGUCCAAACGUGAUUCCAAUUGAAGCAAGUUCAUCGCAACUUCAUCUUUCACGGGACAAUUGAUGGGGUUGAGACCUGUCUCGACCCGUCCAGUUUCAGCUUCAAAGUCCUAGCAAAGUUCUGCUCCAUUGCAAAACACAAUGAGUCGAUGGUAUUGCAAAUUAUAGUCGACGACAGUUAUUUAACUGAACAAGCCAUACCUUCAAGAUUGAAGACAAGCUUUGCCGCAAGUUGUUCCAAAUAGGACUCCAGCUUGCCCAUCUUGGCUCUAAGGCCGUCGACUUCAGUGAUCAGGAUCUCAUUGUCCUUCCUCAGUUGCUCGACUUCCCGAUUGGCGUCCGAGAUGGCCACGUUCAACUUUGCAUUCUCAUCCUCCAACUUGCCGACUUAAGCCAGCUUCUGGUCCGCAAGCGUCGUCUUCUCACAAGCUUCUUUUUUAGUAGCAGCAAGGUCCAUGUCCUUCUUCUCCAACGCCUCCUUCAUUUUCUCUAAAGAAACAACACUCUUCAGACGAGCCUGAAGUUGGCAGUUUUCACUACGCACAUCUGCUUAUGUGAAGUCACUCGGUUCAAAGAGACUGAAUGAAAAGAAGUGGAAAGUGCAAACUACUAAGCAGACAAAGCGGUCGGAUGGUUACCUCCCAUGAUGGCCGUCUCUUGUUGAGCAGUCUAGAGAUUCUUCUUGGCGAGUUCAAGGUCAAAUUCAACGCUGAUAUGCUUCUUCUUUAACUUGGAAAGACGAGCUCCAAGAUUACAAGACCUCUGCCGUCAGCAAGAGUGAUAUGUCAGUCAACAGAAAUAAAGGAUACCGACAGAGGAAAGUUACUCUAAGACUACUGCCGAAUCAAAAUAUUCAGCAAGUAGUCUCGGGGACUACACCCAGUGGGUGCACUUAGCGUUCCCCCACUGGUUAAGAUCAAUUCUCAGCAGGGUCUGCCCAGCGUGAGUUCAAAAAAAAAGAUACAUUCUAAGACCUCAGUCGACUGCUGGGUGCACUUAGCGUGCCCCCACUGGUUAAGAUCAAUUCUCAGCAGGGUCUGCCCAGCGUGAGUUCAAAAAAAAAAGAUACAUUCUAAGACCUCAGUCGACUGCCAGCAGUCGACCGUGGUCUCCGGGACUACACCCAGUGGGUGCACUCCGCGUGCCCCCACUAGUUCAGAAAGUCUACAAAGAUUCAACUCAAGUCGAGUGGCAUGGAAAAUUUUCCAGGCUCUAAGCAACAAAACACCCCAGUGGGUGAUCCGAUAUAAGACAACAUUCGAAAAGUCAGUCGGAGUCUUGCUGACCUGAACAUUGGCCUAAAGGGCAGUAUUGGCAUUGUAGGCCACCUGGCUAGCCUCGUGAACCACCUUCACCUGCUCCAUGACAAGGUUCACCUGGCGGAGAGCUUCCCUAGCUGCACUCGGCGAGUCAUCCGGAGUCUGAUACGCAGAAAAAAGUGAUGGUUGUAGAGCAGCUUGAGCAGUUGUUGAGUCAGAGGCGUGAAGUUGCACUGGAGCAGCAGGAGUCGGAGCAGUCGAGCCCGCCGGAUGAUCAGUCGUCAGCGGGCUGGCGAAUCUGAUGCUAGUUCGAACAGGCUCUCCGGAGCGUUCGACCAUCGCCUCGAGCGCCGGUGUCGACUGAGGGACUUGAAAUUCAAGCCUCCUCCUGCCAGAGCUUCCACUCCUCUUCCUCCUCUCCUGUAGAGGUGCCUCUUCUUCGUCAUCAGGGAGCACAACAACUUCUUGCAGAACUACAGAAAGAGAGAAAUGUCAGAAACUCUAUCGAUCGGUGGUCUACACAACUCAACGAAGCUUGGCCGAUUAGACUUACCGACUCGUGAGGUGGCCUCUUCGUCUCCUGGUGCCUUGUCAAUGUCCAUGUCAGUGGCAGCAGAGGUGGGGAUGGAAACACAAAUGAAUUGGUUGGUCAUAACAAGAAAAUCUUCAGUCGACCUAUGAAAACGCAAGCGAGAUACUCACCCCGAAGCAACAGGGACGUCCAUCUUGAUCCGUGGCAAUGUCUUCCGAGCCUUGGGAGGAGCAACUUUAGGCUGCUUGGCCACCUUCUCCGUCGGCUCCGGAGUCGACAUUCGAGUGCGCUUCUGAGUAGUGGCACUCGGAGCCAUGCUUUUCCCAUGCCCGCCAGACUGAUCAUGCUGCUGUUUGGAUCGACGUUCAGAGCGCGGCGGCGAGUAGACCUCUUCCUCCUCGUCCGACUCGUCGCUCUCCUCCUCCUCCUCUUCUCCCGGAGACUCCCACUUGCCACUCUCCUCCACACUGUCCUCCCCCUCCUGGUCCUGCGCCAAAGCCUAUUCACCGUUGGGCAUUGAAUGCAUCUCAGUGAAUACCUGCAAAGCAAAUCGAUCGAGUAAGAGUCAGCCAACAUCAAGUACAGUCAGAACGCGAGCGGGAAACAGUCGGAACAAUGAGUGUACCUUGUCGGGCGGGUUGUCAUCGCCGAAAGGGGUGACUCGCUUGGAUCCUCUAGGGUUGUCUUGGUUGCCUGUAAUACCCUACAGCCACAAAGCUAUAGUUUCGGGCGGCACUUCUUCUGGAUGGACCCGAGCGGUGUCAUCUGGUCCAGAAUACAAUCACAUCGGGUGAUCGCGAGCCCGGAGAGGCUGGAUGUGCCGACUGAGGAACAGUUCCAGCAAGUCUAGGCCAGUAACGCCAUCAUUGAUGAGCUGGACCACUCGGUCCACCAACAUCCUCGUCUCCACGGUCUCAGCAACGGUUACUUUCAGUGGAGCAGGAAUCUGAACACGGUCGAACGAGAAGAGAGGAUGACCGGUCGACUGACCUGGAGCCGCGAUGUCCUGGCAGUAGAACCAGGACGACUGCCAACCCCUAACAGAUUCAGGAAGAGUCAUAGCGGGGAAGGCACUCGUAUUCCACUUUUGGAUACCUAAACCCCCGCACAUCUGGAUGAUGUGGGUUUUCGAGUCACCCGACUUCGCCUUUUUUACCGACUGGGAACGAAUGGUGAAGAUGUGUUUGAAGAGACCCCAGUGCGGUCGACACCCUAAGAAGUUCUCGCACAUCAAUACAAAUGCAGCUAGGUACGUGAUGGUGUCGGGAGAAAAGUGGUGGAGCUGAGUACCAAAGAAGUUCAAAAAUCCCCAGAAGGAAGGGUGCGGAGGGAGCGAGAAACCCAGGUCGACGUGACUAGCAAGCAGAACACACUCACCCGGUCGAGGUUGUGGUUCUGUCUCCUCCUUCGGCAGCCUCGCCGCUCCCUUGACAAUCAGCCUGGACUCCUCCAGUUCGGGCAGAUACUCCUGCUAUACCACAGACUGUAUCCAAUCGCCCUGGAUCCAGCCCGGCGGCAGCCCCGCACGCAACGACGAUCCUUGGCUCUACUUCUUUCCCUUCGCCGCCCCCGUCGCCUACUUAGCACGCUCUAGCGCCGCCGUCUUGUCCUUCACCAUGGCGGGUGAGGGAGUCCUGGAUUAGGGGGUGUCCGGAUAGCCGGACUACCAUCAUCAGCCAAACUAUCAUCAACCGGACUAUCAUCAUCGACCGGACUCCAAGACUAUGAAGAUACAAGAUUGAAGACUUCGUCCCGUGUCCGGAAGGGACUUUCCUUGGCGUGGAAGGCAAGCUCGGCGAUAUGGAUACGUAGAUCUCCUACCAUUGUAACCGACUCUAUGUAACCCUAGCCCUCUCCGGUGUCUAUAUAAACCGGAUGGCUCUAGUCCGUAGGACCGAACAACAACAACCAUUACAAUCAUACCAUAGGCUAGCUUCUAGGGUUUAGCCUCCUUGAUCUCGUGGUAGAUCCACUCUUGUAAACAUCCACGAUAUCAAUAUCAAUCAAGCAGGACGUAGGGUUUUGCCUCCAUCAAGAGGGCCCGAACCUGGGUAAAACAUCGUGUCCCUUGUCUCCUGUUACCAUCCGCCUAGACGCACAGUUCGGGACCCCCUACCCGAGAUCCGCCGGUUUUGACACCGACAUUGGUGCUUUCAUUGAGAGUUCCUCUGUGUCGUCACCGAUAGGCUUGAUGGCCUCUUCAAUCGACAACGAUGCAGUCCUGGGUGAAACUUUUCUCCCCGGACAGAUCUUUGUUUUCGGCAGCUUCGCACUGCGGGCCAACUCACUUGGCCAUCUGGAGCAGAUCGAAAGCUACGCCCCUGGCCGUUAGGUCAGGUUUGGAAGCCUGAACUUCACGGCCGAUAUCCGCGGGGACUUGAUCUUCGAUGGAUCUGAGCCACAGCCGAGCGUGCCGCGCUGUCACGAUGGGCACGACCUAACUCUGCCGCCGGACAGCACCUUGGAGGCCGCACACGAAUCCGCUCCGACCCAUAGUCCGGAGCCGAUCGCUCAGAUUGAGGACGGAUGGCUGGACACCGCCUCGGGAGCUGCAACUUCUACGGCGAUGGAGCCGAACACUUACCUUGUCCCGCAUAAAGCUCAUGACUCCGAGGUGCCCGACUCUCCGCCGGACUCCGAACCUCCUGCGCCCCUGCCAGUCGAAUCCGACUGGGCGCCGAUCAUGAAAUUCACCGCUGCGGGCAUCUUUCAGCACUCACCCUUCGGCGAUAUCUUAAAUUCGCUGAAGCAUCUCUCGCUAUCUGGAGAACCCUGGCCGAACUACGGCCAGGAUGGUUGGGACGCGGACGACGAAGAAAUUCAGAGACCAGAAGACCUUCUCCGUUGAGCUCCCCUCCUCGGCUCGGUAGAAUGCGGCGGCAUUAGACACGCUGCAAGGCAGAUCUGCAAACGCCCCUGGAGAGCUCCGAAUUUGGGUCAGUAACACGUAAUUUACAUUCACAUGCUUGCAUUGCAUGAAAAAUGCCUUACCCGCCGCUAUCUUCCUCACCAACUCAAUCUCCUGAAGGGACUUAUGGGCAUCGGCCUUGGCAGUUUUGGCACUUUCGAGAGCCGAGGCAAGCUUGGACUCUCGAGUCUUUGAGUCACCCUCCAAACUCUCAUGCUUUUCCAUCAGAGCCUGGAGCUCUUGCCGAACCACCGCCACCCGCGCCUCCUGCUUUUCUCGCUCUGCCCGUUCUGCGGCCGCAUUGCGUUUGGCCGCGGACACGGCCUCCUUCAGGGUCGCCACCUUGUUCGUGGCCCCUGCAGUACCCAUGUUAUCCUUGUUAUUUUUUGUUGCAACCUAAAUCCUUUUCUGUAAGUCACAAGUUCAAAGUGGUGUUACUCACCUUCUUUGUCCUGGAGCUGGUUCUUGGCGCGGCCGAGCUCUUGCUCGGACCGCUCGAGCUCCUGCUUCAAAGCACCGACCUCCGCAGCCAGUGCGGCAGAGGUCAGCAGCGCAGCCUGCAACCCAUAUUGACAUAAUUUUUUAGCAACCCUGCGUAUAUUUUUUUUUCAGAUCCUCAGUCCGGCUUUUCUAUCCGAACACCGAACCGAGCAUCAGGGGAUACUGUCUAUGCGGUAUUACAUUGCAUAUUUUUAACUUCUUACCUCAAAGCCUGAUAGAAGGCUACUGCAGGCUUCGGUCACCCCGCUCUUGGCAAGCUGUACCUUCUGAAUCACCGCACUCAUAAUAGUGCGGUGUUCUUCCUCGAUGGAAGCGCUCUGCAGCGCCUCCAACAAAUUGUCCGGAGCCUCCAGUUGGACGGAAGCUGCCAGCGUCACGGUCUUGCCCUUCGUGCGAAGGGGCCGCCGGCCGGACUCCGGAACCACUGCGGGUUCUGAUGUGGAGUCCGGCGCAAAGCCCGGGAGGCCGCCUUGUGGCACCUUCGGAGCCUCCCCCUGAUGGGUCCAUUCUUGGGAUCCCACCUCGGCGUCCUCGGUGUCGCGAGGGGUGGAGGCGGUCGGGAUGGAGUCUACAUUCGACGGAGCCAACGACCCGCUCGAUGAAGCGGGGAGAUCAUCAUUGGCCGGACUACAGGCAGCAUGCGGCAUCAGAAUGACAUUAUGUGACGCAGAAAAAGAAAUUAUAAAUCAUUCAGGAAUCCGGAUACUUACGAUCUCGCCGGAGGCCUGGCCCUUGAAGGCCAUUCUUCCUCGCCAACAUUGAUGUUGGCGGAGCUGUCCGGGGGAAUAGACCUUCCCCUCUUGGACCCUUCGGCCUCCCCUGUUGGGGAAGCCUUCCUCUUCCUCUCUCCCUCCUCUGGGAGAGAGUCCUCUUUCUCCUCCUCAUUUUCGGGGGAGGAGUCCGCCCCGGAGUCAUCGGACACCUGAAAACGGGAACUCUUUCGAGCACCCGUGGCCUCCUUCUUGGCCUUCUUCUCCGGCACCACGUGCGGUGCCGGAACCAGCAGCCUCGCUAGAUGGGCGUCUACUGGGUUUUCUGGCAUAGGAGCCAGGCAGAUAAUCUGCUCCGCCUUCCUCAUCCAGUCCUGUCAAAGGAAAAGGGGAAAUUAAAACCCGCAUAGAGUCAAACUAUGAAAAGCAAGUGUCCCGUAAAGGGGUAGAAUCACUUACCUCGUCGGCUUGGCGCUGCAAGCGAAAUCCGCGAUCUUCAGUCGCGGAUGCGGGGGCUUCGGCGCCCUUAAACAACACCCUCCAGGCGCCUUCAUACAUCGUGUCGAAGAGCCCACUCAGUGCCUGGUGCUAUUCCGGAUUGAACUCCCACAGAUUGAAUGCCCGCUCCUGGCAUGGGAGAAUCCGGCGGACGAGCAUGACUUGGACCAUGUUAACCGGCCUAAGCUUCUUCACCGGCUUCUGGAAAUAGGCUUGGAGUCCCGUCAGCUCCUCCGAACUACCCCACAUCAAGCCCUUCUCUUUCCAGGAGGUGAGCUGCAUGGGGAUACCAGAUCUGAACUCGGGGGCCGCCGCCCACGUAGGGUUGCGCGGCUCGGUGAUAUAGAACCACCCCGAUUGCCACCCCUUGACGGAUUCCACGAAGGCCCCUUCGAACCAAAGGACGUUGGGCAUCUUGCCCAACAUGGCGCCUCCGCACUCCGCUUGAGUGCCCUUCACUACCUUCGGCUUGACAUUGAAGGUCUUGAGCCACAAGCCGAAGUGGGGCUGGAUGCAGAGGAAGGCCUCGCACACGACGAUAAACACCGAGAUGUUGAGGAUGAAGUUCGGCGCCAGAUCAUGGAAAUCCAGGCCGUAGUAGAACAUGAGCCCCCGGACAAAGGGGUGAAGUGGAAAGCCCAGUCCGCGGAGGAAGUGGGGAAGAAAAACGACCCUCUCAUGGGGCCUGGGGGUGGGGAUGAGCUGCCCCUCGUCGGGCAUCCGGUGCGCAAUGUCGCUGGACAGGUAGCCGGCACUGCGCAGUCUUUCGAUGUGCUCCUCCGUAACGGAGGAGGUCAUCCACUUGCCUCCCGCUCCAGACAUGACUGGGGAAGGUUGAGACGAGAUGUGCGGGCUUGGGCGCUGGAGCUCGAGUGCACGGAGAUGGAUAAGCAAAGGAGGAAGAAGGCGUAGGUGAAAAGGUGAAUCCUUAUCCCUUAUAUGGGUGGGCGAAGUCUACGCGUCCCCCACCGGCCUGGUAAAACUCGCUUAUCCCCCAAGCGUCACCAUCAAUGGCGCGGUUGGGUUACCCACGCCCGUAUUGAUGAGAAUCCCGGAUUAACAGGGAACACGAUCUCUGCUUCGACAAGACGUGCCAAGGAAACCGCUUCGCUAAAUGCGCUGAGGUGGUAGAGUAAAAAACGAUUCAAGUAAUGGCUUGGUAGUGGCGUGACGUCAUGCCGCAAAAAACGUUAGCAGAUUGAACUUGUAUAUAUAUUAUUCUCUCUACGGUGGAAUGUGGAAUUUAUUUUGCAGAGCCGGACACUAUCUUGGUGUUCACAAUCUUCUAUCAUUCAGAGGAGGAACCCGCCUUGCAAUGCCAAGCAAUAUACGCGCUGGACUUAUCGUCAUUGAAGCCUGGUUCAGGGGCUACUGAGGGAGUCCUGGAUUAGGGGGUGUCCGGAUAGCCGGACUACCAUCAUCAGCCGAACUAUCAUCGGCCGGACUAUCAUCAUCGACCGGACUCCAAGACUAUGAAGAUACAAGAUUGAAGACUUCGUCCCUUGUCCGGAUGGGACUUUCCUUGGCGUGGAAGGCAAGCUUGGCGAUAUGGAUACGUAGAUCUCCUACCAUUGUAACCGACUCUAUGUAACCCUAGCCCUCUCCGGUGUCUAUAUAAACCGGAUGGCUCUAGUCCGUAGGACCGAACAACAACAACCAUUACAAUCAUACCAUAGGCUAUCUUCUAGGGUUUAGCCUCCUUGAUCUCGUGGUAGAUCCACUCUUGUAAACAUCCACAAUAUCAAUAUCAAUCAAGCAAGACGUAGGGUUUUACCUCCAUCAAGAGGGCCCGAACCUGGGUAAAACAUCGUGUCCCUUGUCUCAUGUUACCAUCCGCCUAGACGCACAGUUCGGGACCCCCUACCGAGAUCCGCCGGUUUUGACACCGACGGCGGGGGAGCAGCGGCGUCGAGAGCGAAGGCGCUGGACGCGGUGGAGAAGCGGAGCAGAAAGAAGGACAAGCAGGCGUGCACAGUGCAAGCGCCUCAGCUCCUUCACCUUAUAAAGGGUCACUUUUGAGUGACUGAUGCGUGGGACCGGGCAAUCUCAUCAAAUCCCGCAACAGUUGCAUGCAGCAUACGUGGCGAAAAAGGCGGCGCAGUAAUCGAGGCAUUGCUACUUAUCCGGACCGCCUGUUUCGGCGCUCUCCGGCCCGCGCACUUCCCCGAAAUUUCGUAUCCCACGAAAUCCGGGAUACACCGCACACAAUCGCGCCCAAGAUUUCAGACUCUGACACAGCACAUGACGCAUGCAGUUACCGUUGCAGUCGACAGCUCUCUGAAUGGAUCAAGGCAACUGAGUUGACAUCGAAGUACCAACGCGGGCGUUCAGUCUUGCAGGAAACACUCGCGAAGGCACAAAGCCCAGAACAUGUUCAACUUUGACCUACUUUCCACUCACACCUUAAUCCAUUCAGGGGCUACUGACGAGGAUACAGACCUGGGGUAGGGUCAUAGGCCUGACCUAUACGUCCUACCCGAGGUCACUACCAUAGAAGAUUAAAAGACCAAGAGUCAACAGGAGAGCACCGGUCGAGUGCAUCGGGUGCAAUCCACUCGACGGCCAUAUCACUCGGUGGUCUCCUCCCUACCGUCACUCGACCAUAUGAAGAGUCACUCGACUUGUCACAGACCAGGAGUCGGAGGAGAACGCAACGGCCGGAUGUUCUCCCCUUAGUUUUUAUAAGCAUUAAGAGUACUUAAGGCUGGCGUUACCAGUAACGCCCCUUACUUUAUGUACAUUAAGACCCUUGUAAUGGAGGCGGGAGGGGGUCCUGGCACACCCUAUAUAAGCCACCCCCCUCCUCUGGGACAAGGGUUUGCACCCCCUGUAAUAUCACACACAUAAUCCAAUCGACCGCCUCCGAGCACCGAGACGUAAGGCUGUAACUUCCAUUAUGAAGGGCCUGAACUCGUAAACCUCGUGUGUACACCUUCACCAUAGCUGAGAUCUUGCCUCUCCAUACCUACCCCCCUUUCUACUGUUAGUCUUAGGACCACGACAAGGGGUCAUUAGGGCAAGAAUUAUUAAGGUCUUUGAAAUCGACGCACAUGCGCCAGGAUUUAUCCUUCUUAGGUACCAUGACCAGGUUUGCUAGCCAGUCCGGAUGUUUGAUCUCUCUUAUAAACUCGGCUUCGAGUAGCUUGGCUAGCUCCUCCCCCAUGGCCCGUCGUUUGGGUUCAGAGAAUCGACGCAGAGAUUGCUUGACUGGUUUGUAUCCUUUCAGUAUAUUGAGACUAUGCUCAGCCAGUCUCCGUGAGAUACCUAGCAUAUCCGAAGGGUGCCAGGAAAAAAUGUCCCAGUUCUCACGCCGGAAUGCGCAUAAUGCAGGUUCCGCCGUCGGAUCCAGCUAUGCCCCAAUGGAAGUUGUUUUCUUGGGGUCCGUCGGGUGAACUUGAAAUUUGACUAUUUCAUCUGCUGGCUUGAAGGAAGUAGAUUUGGGUCUAUUAUCGAAGAUUACAUCGUCCCUAUCGACUGUAGAACGUAGAGUGGUCAAUUCUUCGGCCGUGAGGGCCUCGAAUAAUGCCUCAAGAGCUAGAGAGGCGGUUUUGUUUUCGGCGCGGAGUGCUAUGUCCGGAUCACUGGUGAUAGUGAUAAUUCUGUUGGACCCGGGCAUUUUGAGCUUCAUAUACCUGUAAUGGGUUAUGGCUUGGAAGCACAUGAAUGUGUCUCGCCCCAGCAAACCAUGAUACCCUCUGUUGAAUGGUGCCACAUGGAAGAGUAACUCAUUGGACCUGUAGUUCUCAGGCGUGCCGAAUACCACGUAGAGUUUGUUUUUUCCCGAGCAUCUGGCUUCCCGACUAGGGAUAAUACCGUGAAAGGUUGUGUUACUUUGCUCAAUGCGAAUCAUGUCCAUUUGCAUUUUAUUGAGCGUGUCCUCAUAGAUGAGGUUCAGUCUGGUACCGCCAUCCAUGAGCACUUUAGUGAGCCGAAAGCCGUCUACGAUUGGGUUUAGGACCAAAGCGGCUGGUGCCCGGACUGAGCGGGCUCUUGGUUCGUCAUCGGUGUUGAAAGUGAUCGCCGUGUCGUUCCAAGGAUUUGUUGCUGCCACAUGGCAGACUUUGGCAAGGUCGCGGAGCGCCCUUUUGUGCCGAUUAUUUGAAGAAAAGGUCUCAAAGACCGUGAAUACUUUAGGAUCAUUAUCCUCCAAAGAGUAGUUCUCUGGAGUGUUUUUAGGGAGGAUAUCCUCGCUGCUCUUGGCCACUUGCCGGAGAAUCCAACAUGCUCGAAGGGUAUGCGUUGGUUCAUUGUUCGACGCCAUGUGAAUUUUAUAGGGCUUGUCGAGACAUUCCUCGAGGACAGUUCUAUGCCCCGUAACGGGUAUAAUUUUCUUGUCCACGGGAUGAUGAUUGGGUUCUCCGCGGCGGUACACCUCUUUGCCUGUCCGGGGGAUGGCCUAAAGGCCUGCGGGUCCCAGCGGGCUGUCUAGGUUUUCCAUGUGCUUUCUAUUACACAGUACUUCCGUACUAUGUGUGCUAAAUCAGCAAAGUGCAGGAUGCGAAGUCGGUUGAGGGCAUUAAGGAUUCCCUCAUCGGUGCAAUUGUUGCAAAAUACCGAGAUCGCGUCGUCGUCACAGCAAUCCUUGAUCUUGUUUUUAACAAGUAGGAAUCUAGCCCCAAAGUGGUGGACUGUUUCCUGAGACUGCUGCUCCACAUACAUUAAGUCGCAUAUGUCUGGAGGACCGGAGUUUCAUGGGGAAUAUUGCUUGUGGUGGGUGGGCGGGUUCAAAUCCGAACCCUGACCCACUGAGAAGUCCGGAUUCUGAAGAAUUUCCAAGGUUAUAGGCCUAGGCUACAUAGCAUCCAGUGCGUUUUUAGGCUCAACGCAUGAUUCCAUGUUCGGAGGAAAAUAAGUGUCUUCCAGAACACGGGAGUCCGGUUCUUCGAGCUCGGAAACCCGAACAUACUUUGUUCUCAAUGUAGGAGAAGAGUUAUUGUCGGCUUGUUCCUCCAUGAUUGCCACAUGAUGGGUGAUUGGCGGAGAUCUGAUUUCUCUCUAAUCGGGUCUAAGCCCAAUCCAAUCAUAGUUGGUUGCGACCCCCAGGGCGGCGAUGCGAUCUAGCACUUCUUUUAAGGCCGAUACAUCUACCAGAUCCAUCUUGUCGGAGUGUUCAGGGCGGAUACGGAGGCAAUUUUGGCGAUGAUUUGGGCUGCUUCUGGCUUAAUGACCGGGCGAGCUCCCAGAAUGAAGCUGCCGAGCCGGAGGGUUUGCCCUAAAGCUAGGGCUUCUCCGCAAGUGAUGUUGUCCUUGAUGACAAGGCGAGCCAUCAAUCCUUCUGGCGACGGCACAGAGGAACUCUCAAUGAAAGCACCAAUGUCGGUGUCAAAUCCAGCAGAUCUCGGGUAGGGGGUCCCGAACUAUGCGUCUAAAGAUCGAAGGUAACUGGAGGGAGGGGACAUGAUGUUUAGCCAGGUUCGGGCCCUCUUAAGGGAGGUAAUACCCUACUUCCUGCUUGAUUGGCUUUGAUGAGUAUAUGGGUUACAAGAGCUGAUCUACCUCGAGAUCGUAAUGGUAAACCUUAGAUGCCUAGCAUGUAUGAUUGUGAUGGCCCCUAAGGACUAAACCCUCCGGUUUAUAUAGGCACCAGAGGGGACUAGGGUUGUACAAAGUCGGUUUUAUAGAGGAAGAAAACUACACAUACGGACGCCAAGCUAGCCGUUCACGCAAAGGAGAGUCCCAUCCGGACAUGGGAGGAGGCCUUCGGUUCUGCAUCUUCGCAGCCCGUCAGUCUGGCCCAUGUCACAUAGGCCGGCUCUCCAAUGACCCCAUAAUCCAGGACUCCCUCAGGAGGGGAAAAAGGUGGCUGCUUUGGUGGGUGCGCCUUAGCAUUAGUGCAGGGUGAAGGCCCGCGCUACUGUUAUGACACCUACCUAUAGCACGGGUCGUAUCCCAAUGCUGCUGCUAAGUGGGCCCACCAGCUGGCCUCGUGUAGCAGUUGUCACAGUGCCGGUUAUGUGCCCCACGCUAUAGGUAAUGGCCAUCGCAGUAGUGCGGGUCUUUACAUGGCGCUGCUACUAUGGCUCGACCCGGGUGGUACCAUGGGGCACACUUACACUAGUAGAUAAAGGGCCUCUUGUCCCGGUUCGUAAGGGCCAUUUCUCCAGGUUAUUGAACCAGGACUAAAGUGUCGGUACUAAUGCCCUAGACCUUUAGUCCCGGUUCUUACACAAACCGGGACAGAUGGGCCUACACGUGGCCGAUGCGGUGAGCCCAGGCAGGAGGCCCUUUGGUCCCGGUUGGUGGCACCAACGGGACCAAUAGGCAUCCACACUUCAGUAUUUCAGGGGCUGGAGUUUUUGUUUUUUAAGGGGGGGGGGUUAGGGGGUUUUGGGGGGUUAAAUUAGGUGUUUCAUAUAUUGUGUUAGCUAGCUAAUUAAUAGAGAGAGAAGUGACCUCUCUUAUCUCGUGCUUGGUCGAUGCUACGUACUAUAUGUAUAGAGAGGACUAGACACGGUAGCUAGUAAGAAAAUGAAGGAAAUAGAAGAUCGUCAUGAAAAUAUGCAUACAGAGAGAAGUGAUAUCGACCACCUCUCCUUCUCUCAGAGAUUGGUCGAACAACAAGUUCUCGUAUAUCUAUCUGACGCUACUGGCUACAUAUAUACAAUAUAAUUAUCUCUUACAAUAUAAUCUCCUAAUUCCAAAUGAACUUGGGGUCCACAUGGUAUUCUCCGUCUUUAGCGAUCACAUGGUCAAGAAAGAAUGCUGCCAAUUCCUCUUGAAUUGCUCGCAUACGAUCUGCUGGUAGGAGUUCAUCCCGCAUCCAAAAUAUCUAAUUUGAAGAAGGGGGUGAAUACAUAUAUAUGAAUAAAUGAAACUCACCACAAAUGAUGGUAAUAAAAUAAAAUUGUGAAUAUUAUUAUUUACGCACUUCAUAUUGUUUGUCAGAGUAGCCCCACUGACAGGUCAUGUGGCGAAUGGACUCACAAAUGUAGUAUCCACAGAAAUCAUUCCCGAGUUCCUGCCACAACCACGUUACAAAAAGUAGAGGACAAUCGAACUGAUAAGCAAGCAUGCUAAAUGGUAUUGAUGAAACUAGCACUUGAAUCACUAGGAGAUGCGCGGAACAUGCUAAUAUAGUACUUACUUUCGGGUGUUUAAAUUGCAACUUCUUCGGCAGUCAUGAAGUUUUUGAGGUGAAUUUUUUCCAAACCCUACCAGACAAAGAAAACAAUUACUUGAUAUCAGGAAAUGAACAAAGUUGCCGAUAUGGUGCAAUAAUGAUCUAUUUAACUUACUUCUCUAGAAUUUCAGUGAUGUAGCAUACUCCUUGGGAUCUUUUUGUUUCGAGUGCUCAAGCUUAAUCUCUAGGAGAAUAUAGUGGAAGCUGCAACUGCAUGCGCAUAACUCAUCAAUUACAUUACUAUAACCUCUACUAAUAAGGGAAACCGAAUAUCCAAAAGACAGUAACACUCACUUACAUUUGUAAGGAAAGAGUAUUAUAGCUUUGUUUUGAUUUAAUACAAACGAUUGUAGCAACUUGACCUCGGUAUCUCUGGCGUGAAAUUUAACCAUUUAUGCAUCUAUGAGAUUUGUGUUAACGAACCCAAUAUCACCGAUUUGUCUUUUCUUCAAUUCAGCGAUUUUCAACCUACAUAAUAUAGUGAGGAUAAUUAAAAAUACAUGCAAUGAAAGAGCUGACCUAUAUAUAGAGACUAAAUGACAGAAGUAGUCCUACUUAGAGGCAGUAGCAAGUGACUGUUAAUUUAUCGAUGGCCUUUUGAUUGAAAAACGUGAAGAACUCCUCAAAUGGAACAUUCAACAGUUCAAUUCCAACGAGGUCAUGCUGCUCUCUAACUCUCAGCGUCAAAAUAUUCCUCCCAUCAGACUCUCUGCAGGUUUUCGUGUACCAAUCAUGGAAUCUUCGCAUCAUCGUUGCUAGAGAUCUUUCAUCUUUGAUGAGAGACUUCCCGUACUCGUAUUUGUGUUCGUCCACCUCCAAUAAAUCGUAAUGUACAUCCUCGGGCAGGUAAUCUCCAAGAUUGUUAUAACCGGGCACCAUCCCCGGAUCUUUAGCAAUGAUAUCUCUAGACACCUGGAGCAUCGGGAACAAUUGGUUCGCUUGUUUGCCGAGCUGGGCAAUUUUUUCCCAGCUCGUCGUUCUGCUAACCUUUGAUCACCGACAGUACUUCCAAACCUCUUCGCUUCGAUAAAUGACUUUUUAAUAAUGAGCUCAUAGUUGUCUUUCGCCGAAGACUUUGGUGGUUUCUUCAGGGCAGCCAGAGUACGCUUCGCUUUUACCGGAUCUAUCUUCUCCUCCGGAGGUGGAUGUUUCUUUGCUUUCACCCCUUCAAAGAAGUUGUUCAGUUCGGCUUGCAUGAUCUUCGUGUUCUCCUCCAUGCUCCUCUCUUAUAGUAACUUCUCUAGAGUCUUCAGAGAAGGACCGUAUCUGUAUUGCCUCCCGCCUCUGGCUGUACUGCUAGAUGCCGGAGCAGACGGAGCGCCUGCGUUGUCUUCCUUUCUUACGAGGUGGAGGAGAAGGACUACGAUGCGCCAGAGCAGCCGGAGCGGCGGCUAGUCUCUUCCGCCCUUGUUGACGAGGCGGAGAAGGAGGAGGAUUGCUGCUCGGGCGCACCGGUGCAGGCGGAGAAGGAGGUGGAGUGCCACCACGCGCCGGAGAAGGAGGCUGAGUGCCCUUAUCACUUGCUGGAGGAGGUGGUGGAGGAGGAGGCGGAGUGCCCUGACUCGCCGGAGGAGGAGGAGGAGGAGGAGGAGGCCUCUAGUUCGAAAGGUGGAUGAACUCCGUUCGCCAUAGGCAUGGAGUCUUCAGAGAGGAACCCACCCAAAUCUCCCCUUCACCCGUACGGUAGUCAAGAUCGAGGUCCUCAAAUCCGUCCGUUAUUUGAUCCACCAUCACCCUACCAUAUCCUUCUGGAAUCGAACGGCCAUGGUAGGUUGCGCCAGGUUCAGUAGGUAAAACAGAGCCAACAUCCGCCUUGACUUUCAAUUCCGUCCAUUGCGCCAUAAGGUGGCAAUUUUGAGACUCCAUGAUAGCAUCCACGGGGUAGCUAGCAGGAGCCGUGAAGACAGGCUCCAGCUGCUGAGUCUGCUUGGUGGAAGCCACAUUGCUUCUCUAUUGAGAUGGCGGGGUAGCUUCAGGGGAAGCUUCGGUAGGUCGUUUGCUGCGAUCUGGUUCUCAUUCCUCUAGCCCUUGUACCUUUGCGUGCAGCGCCUGCAGUAGGCUAUGCUCCACUUUCUUCCUCCUCUCCUGGCAUUUGUAACCCCCUGCGUCCGGAAACCCAGCCUUCCACGGAACAGAGCCCGGCGUGCCUCGUGUCCGUCCAGGGUGCUCAGGAUUCCCGAGGGCCAUUGUGAGCUCGUCCUUCUCUCUGUCUGGAACGAACGUCCCUUGCUGCGCUUUCUCGAUAUACUCCUGAAGCCUCGUAAUAGGUAUUCGCAGUUGCUCAUUCGUCCAAAUGCACUUCCCUGAUACAAGGUCCAAGGUUCCGCCAACCCCGAAGAACCAAGUCCGGCAACGGUCUGGCCAGUUCAAUGUCUCUGGUUCGACCCCUUUAUCAAUCAGGUCAUUCUUAGCCUUGGCCUACAACGGUCGGGCUUUGAGGUAGCCACCUGACCCCGUGCGAUGGUGAUGCUUCUUCUUCGCAGCAUUUUUCUUGUUUGCCGUUGAUAUCUUCUUACUCUUGUCCAAUGUCUUGUUGGCCACAAAUGCGGGCCAGUGAUCUUUGAACUUCUCAAACUGGCUGGUGAAUUCUGGUGUAAUUUCUUUGUCGACAAGCGUUUUCAGCUCAUUCUUCCACCUCCUGAAUAGUUCUGCCAUCUUCUUAAGAGCAUGAGACUUGAUCAAUUGCUCUUUAACUGGCUUCUCCAGACCCUCCUCUGGCGGUAGGGUGAAAUUUUCCUUAAGUGUUGUCCAAAGAUCUUCUUUCUGCAUAACAGAGACAUAAGACACCUCAGGGUCUUCAUUCUUAGGCUUUAACCAUUGGUGGAUACUGAUCGGGAUCUUGUCCCUAACAAGAACCCCGCACUGAUAAGCAAAUGCUUCUUUGUCCGGAUGGGUUCAAUCGGCUUGCCAUCACGCACGAUUGCUGUGAUCUCAAACCUUUCAUCCAAGCACAACUUUUUCUUCGGGCCUCGUCUCUUUACCGAAGUUGUGCUCGAUCCGGAGGGCUAGAAAAAAGAAGAAAGACGAGAGUUAAUUAAUAUGUGAAGAACAUACUAAAACAAUGAAUGCAUCUAUUAGCUAGCUAGUCAGCACAUGCUUAACUAAUAUAUAUACCUGGCCGGACUCAGUUCGGUCACCAGAGCCGUCAUCAUGGUCUCCUUCUUGUACCGACGUUGGGUCACCGGAGCCAUCAUAAUCAUAGCUUUCUUCUUGUACCGGCAUUAAUCGGUCACCGGAGCCAUCAUAAUCAUAGCCUUCUUCUUCACCCUGUCCUUCCAGACCAUCGGUGUCGUUGAGAAACGACAAGAUGAUGUCACUUCCUUUUGCGAUUAUGUCCCCCAACAUCGCUUGUGUUGCUUCCUCUCGGGGGAGCUCCAUAGUUUCUGCAAAUAUUUACAACAUGGAAAUUAUUAUUCAAACAUGAUAGAUGGAUAUAUUAGUGGCAAACGUAGAACUAGCUAGCUAAUCACAAUAAGGAAUCAUAUUAGUGGCCUCGACGCUGCUUAUCUAGGGUUUGGGGUGGCCUCGGCAAUGCUUCAAGGGUUUGGGGUGGCCUCGACAAUGCUUCAAGGGUUUGGGGUGGCCUCAACGACAACACUCUUUUAACUUGGUAAAUUUGGGUGGUCUGGAGAGAGUUUGUUAGGUAGGGGCGCGGCGGGAGGGGGUAGGAGACCGACAUCGUUUUUUUGUAGGGGGUGUCCUCGAGAGUUUUGGUCGAGCGAGAGGGCCGGGGGGUGUGCUCCCGUGGUAUAAGUUAUCACGGUCGAGAGUGUCGGAUUUCGGGUUCCGGUAGACCCUUGAGGUUCGAACUCUGGGGUGCGUGCGGAGAUCUCUCCUCUACCAACUCACGUCCCAAAACUUCUCAUGGAAUCUAAGCUAGAGAGAUUAACACACGGGGGAGACGGGGUUUAUACUGGUUCAGGCCACCAUUGUGGUGUAAUACCCUAAUCCAGUGUGUGGUGUGGUGGAUUGCCUCUGGGGCUGAUGAUGAACAAUACAAAGGAAGAAUAGCCUCGCGAGGGAUGUUCUUGUGGUGGUGUUGUCCCUUUGGAAGGGUUGGGUUCAGAUCCCUUUCUACUGUGGUGGCUAGCCCUAUUUAUAGAGCGAGGCCCUGGUUCUCUUCCCAAAUAUUGAGCGGGAAGGGCGCUAACAAUUGGCCAUUUUGAAGGGGAACAUCUAGUACACUUAUCCUAACUAAAGUUGGUCUUCGACUGCCAAAAGACUCUAACGAUGACACCGUCUUGGACUCCACGGUGACCUCCAUCCUGCCACUCUGCUGGUCUUGGUCUUGUUGCACCGAAAUGGUAGCCUUUGCCUGAUGCCUUGUCCUGUGCUUGCCCCCUUUGCACCAAACAGGAAACAAGGACACUGCGCAGGCCAGCACCCGCCUGACGCCCGCCUGGCUUCGGUCGUCAUGGCUUGCAUCAUGUGCACCUCGCGAGGUACCCUUGCCUUGAUCUCUCUGCCUCCUCGCGAGCCUGCCUGACAAGGCCGCUCCCGGGGAAGCUUCCUGUCGUCCGCCCCGCGAGGCUUGGCCCCUUGCGAGGGUCUUGAGCAUGAGUUGAUGAAGAUGGGCCGUACUGGGACACUUCUUGAGCCACGCCGAUAGUAGCCCCCCGGCCCAAGGCGCGCCCGGACUUGGUUUGGCAGAGAAGCGAAGGGGCAAGUGCGAAGCGCCGCGGGCCCCAACAGCAUGCGGCCUUGGGUGCCGCGUGGUGGUUGAUUGGACGUGGUCGUCUCCGUUUCCCCACGACGCCUCGGAAACCGUCCGUCUGACAAAAGGGCUGGCCCGGGCCAGGCUUACUUUCUUUGCUCUAGUCCGUCUUGCUCCAGAUCCCCUUUCUCGCUCUCCUCCUUCUUGCUUCCGAAAUCCUCCAGAUCUGCCUCAAUCUCUCACUUUCGACAAGCCAUGGCGCCUCGCAAGGCUCUAGCUGGGGUCUGGUACUUGCAGGCUCUGGAUCCCCUGAACGUGUCGGAGAAGAAUCUCGCCCUCGCGCGGCUGAUUACGGUGGUGUAGGGCAACGAGGGGGUGACCGUGCUCAAGAUCGGCUCCGCCCAGCCUGAAGGCAAGGGUAGCACCUUCUACCCGCUCUUUGUGAGCGCCAUCAACGCCGGUCUGGUGCCUCCUUUUUCUGAGUUCUUCCUCGCUGUUCUUCGCCAAUACAACUUGCAAGCUCUGCACCUCCACCCCAACUCUGUUCUUCUCCUGGCGAUUUUCGCCUACUAUUCUGAGGCUCAUGUUGGAGUGAUGCCCUUAGUGGCCCUACUGCGCCAUUACUUUUCCCUCCGGGUUUCUGGUGCCCACAUCACCGCAUGUGCAGGCUUUAUCGCAUACUCCAACUCCAAUGCCAUAUCGAAGCCCGGGAAGAGGAUCGAGGGCUUUCGGAGCAAGUGGGUCAUGAUGGACGCUGGGCGCGUCCACCCUCGUCUGGUGAUGCCUACGGGGCAGCCCAAGGCCGUUGAUGCCUGGUCUCGCACGGAACUCGAAGAACCCCGUGCGAAGGUGGUGCUGAAGAGGAUGAACGCGGACCUGAGGCCAGGCAACCUGGUGGCGGCGAAGCUGACCGGGGCUAUGCUCCUGAGGGAGUUCCUAGAGCACCGGGUGGCUCCACUUCGGGAACACUCGCUCCCAUUGUGGAGGCUCGGGGAAGCAUAUGCCGCCCUCCGCCUGAGCUCCGCGGCCCUGGCCGACGAAGAUCUGGCCACGACCUUCCAUUCCUUGGUUGGAGGAGACGUGGCGAGCCUAGAGGGCGCUCCUGUCCCCCUGUUCCUUCGUGAUGACUAGGAGCAGGUGGUGAACGCCAUGCCCACCUUCAACGGGAAGGGGCUGGUGCCGGCGGAAGCUCCCGAGGAUCUGGCGGCGUUGGCGACGGUGAACUUUUCCUCUGACGACUCCAGCGGGGAGGAGGAAGAAGAGGAGGAGGAAGAAGAGCCCGACUCUGAGGCGAUCGACGGAGAGUUGGGGGAGUCCUUCCCUUGGCGCAGGUCCCACGCCCUCCGCUCCAUGCCGGAUGACGACGAGGCUGCUGCCAGGCGGGGCGAAGAGGACUCGCCCUCGGUCCCGAGGAAGGACAGGACGGGGCUUAUUCCCCGAGGGUCUUCUCUGGUCUCGGGGCUGCCUGAAGCCAGCUCGAACCCUUCUGACGCGCCCUCUGCUUUCGGGCCUCCCGAGGCUGACCCCUGCAGUAGGCUCUCGGGCUUCAAGUUCGGCCGGAGGCUGCUUGAGUCCGCGAACAACGACCAGUAAGUACUCGAUUCAUGUUUUGCUUCCUGUUUCUGCCGCCAAGGCUUGACAUCUGCGUCCUUUUGGCUAGGCCGGCGCCUGCGCUAAAAUGGUUGAAAGGGGCCUCGGUGGCCCUACUUGGGGCGAGUUCGCCUGCCGGGGCAGCGCCUUCAUCUGCGGGGAAAGGAGGUAGUGAGGCUUGUGCCUCCCCUGCCCGGUCGUCCUCGCGAGGCCAGGUGGGGUGCACUGGCGUGGAUCCAGCCCCCACGGCCUAGGCGACUCCCAAGGCGGCCAUGCUUAAUGCCGUUGCCGAGGCCGCCGGGGACGAGAAGGCCCUAACGCUCGAUUCUGUGAUCACGCUGUCAUCUUCUCCUCCUACUCCGCCGACUGCUGCUUCCCUCACUCCUUCCACCGUCCUGUACCGUGCCAUUGCUGAAUUAAGCCGGCUGCAAGAAGAUCUCCAGGGAACCGACCCUCGCCUGGUGGUCGGGCGCCUACAGCUAGCCUCUGGCUGGGUCCGCUCUAACGCCUCCGUCCGAGCCGCGCUGAGCCAGGCUGCGUCGGCCUUUGAUGAGGAGAAGCAAGCCACCUCCCAGGCCAAGGCCGCUCGCGACGCUGCCUUGGGUGACUCUACGGAUGCCCGGGCCGCUGCAAGGCGUUGGAGGACGAGCUGCAAGGCCUGCGCGACGAGCUCGCCAAGGAGGUCCGCGACAGCCAGGACAAGGAGAAGGAGAUGAAGACUCGAGAAGCUGUCAUCAGGGACCAGGACGCUGAGCUCGAUGAGCGUGAUGGCCAGUUGGAGAUGCUGGAGCGGAGAGGAUCGAGCUGGAUGGCAAGGCGAAGGUCCUGGCUGAGGAUCGAGUGGCCUUCGCGAAGCUGGAGGAGAAAGCUUGCACCACGCUGAAGACGCUUUAUGACGGCGGCUUGGAGAAGCCGUUGGCUGCCGCAGAGGACGGCCCCGUCGAGUUCCUUCCCUUCCUGGUCCGUGCACUUGAAGAUGUCGCAGACGGCCUCGGCCCCACGGCCGAGGCCGGCGCGCGUGUCCUUUCUUCUGCGGCACUGACGCGUGUCCUCAGCCACGUCUACCUUCGCGACCCCAAUGUUGACCUUGACAGCCUGCUGGAACCUGUGAGCGGCGAGCUUGUCGCUGCUGCUGCUGAGGCUGUGAAGGGCCGAGCUAAGAGGCCUUGCUGGCAAGGUUCCGCGCCUUCAGCACCAGGGCCGGGCGAGAUGCUGCGAGCUCCGCGGCUUCGGGAGGUGGAGCCGCCCAGCACGACCCCACCACAAGCAACGGUGCCGCCGGAAAGUGAUCCUUUUGCGGCUUCUGUCCUGUUCCAAUUCCUGCAACAUGCAUCAUGCCUCAUGGAGGCGUUUAAACUUGUGUUUGAGGUUGUGAAAACAACCUAUGGCCUAUAAUAUUUGCUUUUGAAUUCCUUAGAAUUUUGCAUUUUUCCUUCCUAUUUGCUUGUGUUCUACAUCGGCAGGGCCUGGCCCCGCGCAUACCUCAGCCGACGUUAUCCCCGACCGGAAACCAGGAUGGGACUAAGGAGUGAGGGGCUACGUGACCUGUUAGGCUCCUGAGUCGCGAUGCUCAGGAGUCCCCCUUGACGCGCGAACAGCAAGUAGGGAAGGGAGGCAUAGGAGCGGAUUUGUCGUUCUACGUUGGCAGGGCCCGGCCCCGCGCAUACCUCAGCCGCCGUUAGCCCCGACCGGAAACUACGACUGGACCAAGGAGUGAGGGGCUACGUGACCAGUUAGGCUCUUGAGUCGCGAUGGUCAGGAGUCCCCCUUGACGCUCAAACGACCUUCGUACCUUGGCUCCGCUCGGGGAGGGGUGCACGACAAACCAGGCCCGAGGGACCUGGCUGGGUGGCGUGUGCCUGGGCGUGGCCCGGACGUAGCCCCCGUCUCCAGUCCCCUCGUGUGGCGCUCCCGAGGGGAGGCGUUAUGAUAGGGCCGAACACUGAGCCCUGGGCUCCCUGAGGUUGAUGCGUCCGUGGGCCGCUCUCAGUUGUUUAUCACCAGCGCGGAGCAUAGCGCUUCCGUAUGUGUACGGGCAUAGCCGCUCCUCGGCAGUGUCGUCAGCCAGCACGGAGCAUGGUGCUUCCACUGGUGCGUGGAGGGGGCCCCCUCCAGGAGGAGCCCCCGGGGCGUGUACAGCCCCACCCUGACACGUGACUGGCACGGUAGAGCUUGACGAGGUGUAUUUGGGCACCCGUGAGCCAGCACGGGACUCACGGGGCCCUACCUCAAGGCGGGUUGCGCCUGGCUCUGGGCCUUUGUUUGUAGCGUGCUCCAGCAAGAUUGGUUAGAUGCCGACGCUCUACGUCCUCAGGUCCCGGCCCUCGAGCAAGCUCAGCCAUCACUGGUAUGCCAGGUCGCGAUGCCGUGGACAAGGCCAGGAGGUAGGGCUGGAGAGCCAGUAAGAGCAUGUGAGUCGUGAUGCUCAGGUGCCCCCCUUUUAACGUGCAAGCGAUUAGCAUGAAGGAGAAAAAAGAGGGUGGUGCCAUGGGAGGCAUCAGGUAAUAAUCAUAGCGGGUCAAAUAUGCAAGGCACACGACCUAGAUAGAUGCGGGAAAGAUACAUGCCACCGGGUCAGGCCCGAGCGGCUUGGGCAUAAUGCAGCCCGAGGGGCACCCCCAACAAGGUAACCUAAAGAUACGAACAAAAGAGAUACAUGCCACAGGGACGGACCCACGUGGCCUGGGAAUGAUGCAGCCCUGGGGGCGCUCCCAGCUGAAAAUGGAACUUGAAAGAUGUCACCUGAUACCGUUGGACAUGAAGAAAUGCUGAAUGUAGCGGACGACGCGUGGUGAGGAAGCCGACCCUCACGAGCUCCUGGGCCCAGAAGCCUCGGGAGGCUCCGGGGGCGCAAGGGGCUCCUCAAGGACCAUUUCCAUCUCUGCCAGGACCGCGCAGUGCCUGACCUCCUGAGCCUCCAGAAUGCUCCUCGGCAGGCGCUGAUGAGCAGCGGCCGCGUUCGGCAGGCCGAAAGGCAUGCGAACGUAGCUUUGGGGAGGACCCUCGCAACGUCCCACGCGUGAGGGCAAGAUGCGCUCCUGAGAGGCGGCUCGGUUGAGCCCUGGUACGUCGAUGCAGACGCACAGCCCACCAUCCUCGCCGAGAUGGGGGGCCACGGCGGGUAAGCGGCGGCUGCCGCGCAUGGCUCUUGACUACUGCCGCUUUUGAGUGUUUUUUCCGAUAAACUCCUGAGGGUUUGGCCCUCCUUGCCUGAUGCCUUCCUGAGGGAAACGUGCUUUGAAGCAGGCCUCCAAGUCAUGCCCGAGCGCCUCCCUCGUGACCUUGGCAAAUUCGGUGGCCCUCCAGGAGAGAACCCCCGAGCCUUGCCCAAGGAGGGCGCCGGGCGUGCCUUCCUAUGCAACAGAGGGAGGCACCCCUUGAACGGGCGCGGAUCCUGACACAACACCACUGGAGGUGCCUGCCUCCUGAUGGUUCGGGCCAGGUGAUGUCUUCUUCUUCUUAAGGACUGCCUAGGGAAGGCUCCCGCUCCUGUGAUCUCGGUGUUCGAUUGCCGCAACUUGGAAGGCACGCUCGAGAGAACACACUGCAUCCUUCUCCUCACACGGGACUGUGAUGACUCUGCCGCUUCCUGGCAUCUUGAGGACAUUGUAGCCAUGGUGGGUCACUGCCAUGAACUUGGCCAAGGACGGAUACCCGAGGAUGGCAUUGUAUGGCAGGCGAAUGUGGGCGACGUCGAAGUCAAUGAGCUCAGUGCAGUAGUUUUUGCGCUGCCCGAAGGUGACAGGGAGGCAGACCUGCCCUCUCAGGGUGGUAGAACCAUCAGUUACUCCUGAGAAAGGCUUGGUCGGUGUCGUGGUUCUAAGCCUGACAGUAGAGUGGGGGGUAGGUAUGGAGAGGCAAGGUCCUAGCUAUGGAGAGGUUGUAAGCACAAAGGAUGUACGAGUUCAGGCCCUUCUCGGAAGAAGUAACAGCCCUACGUCUCGGAGCCCGGAGGCGGUCGAGUGGAUUAUGAAUGUAUGGAUUACAAGGUGCCGAACCCCUCUGCCUGUGGAGGGGGGUGGCUUAUAUAGAGUGCGCCAGGACCCCAGCCAGCCCACGUAGGAGAGGGUUUAAGGUGAGUUAAGUCUGGGGCGUUACUGGUAACGCCCCACAUAAAGUGCCUUUACUAUCAUAAAGUCUACUUAAUUACAGGCCGUUGCGGUGCAGAGUGCCUCUUGACCUCCUGGUGGUCGAGUGAGUCUUCGUGGUCGAGUCCUUCAGGCCAGUCGAGUGAAUCCUCGUUGGUCGACUGGAAGGCGACCUCUUCUAGGGAUGUCCUAGGGUAAGUUACUUGGAACAGGUCCAUGACCCUACCCUAGGUACAUAACCCCAUCAUUAGCCCCCGAAUGGAUUGAGGCUUCGAGUGAAGAAGGAGUUGAUGUCGUUUCCGAUUAGCCUUUGCGCUCUAGUUGUGCGCUGUUCUGGAUCAAAGAAUCUCUUCGUUGACAGGGAGUAAUUUGUCUUCGGUCGACUCGAUCCAUUCUAUUUUUGCGUCGAGUGAUCUUUCGAGCUUCGACGAUCUCCGAGCGACGGAUCGCCGGAAACACCGCGUCUGACAGACUGAUUUGUUGCUUGCGGAUUCCGCGGGAUGCGAAAUUUGGGGGCGCGCGCGAAGCGGGGCAGACCGCGGCGUUCGGAUGGGACGGGGCAUAGACGCCUCGAUCUCCGCGCCGCCUUUUUCGCCACGUAUCCAGUCCCCAUAACUGCUCCCAGAUAUGAUUAGAUCGACCGGGCCCACAUGUCAGCCACUCGGAAGAGACCUUAUAAUUGCGCCCGGCGAGGAUUUCUGUGCUGCGCCUCAGCAUUCUCCCUUUCUUCCUCUGCUUCCUUCCUCCCUGCUCAGCGCGCUCGCUCUCACCCCCGCACCACUUCCCUUCGUGCAUCUCACCGGCGACCAUGGCCAAGGAGAAGACGGCGGCGCUGGAGCGUGCCAAGAAGGCGUCGGCAUCGGAGAAGGCGAAGGGGAGAUCCACCAGCCGCAGAGGGUCCUCGUCCAGAUCCCGCCUGCCGAAAGGCUGGGUCCAAGGAGACUGGAUCCAGUCGACCAUCACGGAGAAGGACCUCCUCGACAUGGCCAACGAGGGCUUGAUCCCUCACGGAGCUGCGAGGUUGCCGGGGAAGGAGUGGCAGCCACAGCCAGAAGAGGGUGAGUGUGUGCUUCUGGCCACUCAUGUUGAUCGCGGGUUUUCCUUGCCUCCAAGCAUUUUCUUCCGUGGCUUCUUGAAUUUCUUUGGAGCGCAGCUCCACCACUUUACCCCAAACUCCAUUGCCUAUCUUGCUGCAUUCGUGUCCAUGUGUGAGGGUUUCUUGGGCUGUCGACCGCACUGGGGUUUGUUCAAACGUAUCUUCACGUGUCGCUCUCAGACCGUGAAGAAGGCGAGCCCAGGUGAUGAGAAGACCCGAGUCGUCCAAAUGUGUGGGGGCCUGGGGAUUCAGGUGAGGAACAAUAGCACCUUCCCGCCCAUGAGCUUUCCCGAGUCCGUCAGAGGCUGGCAGUCGACUUGGUUCUACUGCCAGGUCCAGUCGACGCCAGGGCAGUCGAGUGGACUCCCUCCGUUUACCAUGGACCGAGUGAACAAGCCCUCCCCUCUGAAGCUGAUUCCGGAGGAGAAAGCCGACGUGAAGAUGUUGAUGGAACGCGUGGUGCAGUUGGUUCGGGAGGGGGUGACGGGCAUGGAUCUUCUGGAGGUCUUCCUCAGGCGUCGCAUCCAACCCCUUCAAUUCCGGAGCCACUGCAUGUGGUUGUACUGUGGGCCCGAAGACGAGACUAGAGUCCAUCCAGAAGAAGUCGACGAUGUCACUCUGGAAAGAUGGAUGGUAGCCGUUACCGGAAACAGGGACAACCCGCGCGGAGCCAGAAGGAUCCCCCCACUCGACCACAACAGCAAUCCAAACAAGGUACACUUGCUCUGCCCUCCACUGAGUCCUUGUCGUACUCAUUUCUGUUAACCCUGCCGACUGGUCGACUGAUCCUUGUUUGAGCAUCUGCUAGGCCCUCACCGAGCUGUACUCGAUGCCCAACGGGGCACAAGCUUCGACUGAAGAAGGCGAGGCGAGCGGGGGCGAGGCGAGCGGGGGCGAGGCGAGCGGGGGCGAGGCGAGCGGGGGCGAGGCGAGCGGGGGCGAGAGCCAGGAAGAGGAGGAGUGGGAUUCGGAUGCUGCAGGGGAUGAUGACGACGAUGAUGAUGAUGAAGGUGAUGAAGAUGACAUCGAGGACGAAGAAGAAGAGGAGGAGGAGGUCGUUCCACCGCGCUCGGAAAGGCGGUCGAAGCUUGUCCACGACCCUUCGACCGAACGUGGUAAGGGGGUUGCGACCGCCACUCAGUCGACCAAGCGCCCUCGGACCACCUCUCCGGCGCCGACUGAAAAGGCGCCGAAGCAGCCCAGGGCGGCCUCAUCGAAGCCGACCAAGCUCCUGCCGAAGAUGAAGGUGUCCAUCCCCACCAUAUCAGGGUAAUUGUGUUGCUCAUAUUCUCUUAUUCUGUGUGAACUUUAUCUCUGGUCGACGCUGAGGGUAGUCGACUGAUCCUUUGGAAUUGCAGUGCUGCUACUUCUGAGACCUCGGCCCGGGCCGAUGACCACGAGAUGGAGGAUGCGGCAACUUCGAAUCCAGGUACUGUGUACUUAACACCAUUCUUAGUCGACUGACUCGCGAUCUCUGAUCCUGAUCCUUCUCCGCAGCUCCACCCAACACUGUUAUCGAUCUUCCUAAUGAUGAUGAGGAUGAAGAGCCGCUGAAGCACAGGAGGAGUCGGAAAGCGUCUUCCAGUAAGGUGCCCCAGGAUGUGCCGGCGCCUGAAAUUAUGACUGUGGAGGAAGAGAACACCACUCGACACACGGUGUCCUUCGCGAAUCCACUGACGAGUGUUCAGCAGCCUUCCCUCUUCACGACGCACCACGUCCCAGAGGACCAAGCUGGUGCAGCGAAGGAGGCAAUACGCCAGGCGGGACUUAUGAUGGAGCAGCUGAAGACCAUCCGAGAUGCGAGCCAGGCAGCUUAUGACGCCAGCUCUGCCCUCCAAAGUAAUGUCCAGGUCAGUCGACUGCUGUUUGUUCUGUUGGAUAUGCUACCAAAAACUUUUCUUUUCCGGAAUUUAUAUUAGUCACCCACUAGGUGUGUCGAAUAAACUCCGUGUUAGCGGGGGCACGCUGAGUGCACCCGCUGGGUGUAGUCCCCAAGGCUAAGGUCGACUGCUGGCAGUCGGCCUUAGGCUUUAUGAUGUCAAUCUUCUGUCAGUCGACUGGUCGACUGGAUUUCGCAAACCGGUGGGGGCACGCUGAGUGCACCCACUGGGUGUAGUCCCCGAGACUGUGGUCGACUGCUUGCAGUUGAUCACAGUCUUAGAGAAUGCGUCUCGCACACUGUUUUUUUUUUUUUUGAGGUCGACUGGUCGACUUUGUCUUCAACAGGAUUAGUGGGGGCACGCUGAGUGCACCCACUGGGUGUAGUCCCCGAGACUACGGUCGAAUGCUUGUGUUCGGCUGUAGUCUUAGAAACGUGUAUUUUUCCCUUUUUCACUCGGAAGUGAGUUACGUUUGACAUUUAGUCGAUUGAUUCUCCGCAGAACUCCUGUGAUCUUGUGGCUCGCUACUCAGAGCUGGAACAGAAGCACACUCAAGUCGAGCUGAGCUUGAAGCUGGUUCAGGAGAAGUUGGCAAAGGCAACGGAGGAGACUGAAGGUAUGUUUGGUGAGACCCUGACGACCGCUUUUCCCCUUGCUUGUUUCAGCAUCUGAUCUUGCUGUGACUUGCAGGUAAGGUAAGGGAGGCCCAGCAGAAGAAAGACCUUGAGCUAGCUGAGAAGGUCAAGCUUGCUGACGAGAAGUUAGCUUCAGUCACCAAGCUUGAGCAAGACAAUACCAAUCUGAAAACUGCUCUUGGGAUUGCCAACAAGGAGGUCAGUCGACUGAGAACUGACAAAGCUGCCCUGACCGACCAAGUCAGCAAAUUGACUGAGAAGAAAACUGAGCUGGAAGCCUUCCUGAGUGGCCUUGCCAAGAAGCUGUUCCUUAUGCUUGAAGGUAAAUCUCCAUGUUUGGCAAAUAUUUCCAACUGUGGCUUCUUCCACUCGACUAUCCCCUUGACUUAGUGAUCACCCUUGCAGAAUUUUGUCAAAACUUUGAAGAGGAAACCAGCCGACUGGAGCCAAACCUUGACCCCGUCAAUUCUCCGGUGAACGACGAAGUUGCUAUGGAUGUCUUCCGACUGGAGUCUCGUGUUGCAGCUGUCGUGGACUAUCUCGCAAGGCUGAAGGCCGCCACAUCUCGCAUCGACUCGACGCUCUGGCCUGAGGAGACACUUCGGAAUGACCUUGAGUCGCUGAUGGCCCGCUUGAACACGAUCCCUGGUCGAGUGCAGGAGUGGAAGAAGUCCUCGGCUCGGUGUGGCGCAGAUGUCGCUCUGUGUCUGGCCCGAGUCCACUGCGAAGAUGCACGAGAGGAGAAGCUGGCGGCCCUUCGGGUGGCCCAUACCAAGAAGCACGACUUCAGGUCCUUUAUGGAGACUUUCCUUGCAGCCCUCCACAGGAGGGGUAAAAAACUUUUUCUGGCUCGACUCUUUAAAUUUGCCUCGGUAUGCCGAGUGGAAUUGUAACCGACAAACUUUAACAGGCUUGAUGCCUGAGCACUUUCGGUUCCUUUAGAUAUCGAUUCAAACUUGAAUUUGGCGCUUGAAUAUGAUUGCCUUCGGCUCAAAAUGUCUUCUGCAGGUUCAAAGCAAGGCGCCUUUUCUGCAAUCGACCUAUUCUUUGGUCCACUUAGGCGAGCACUGGGCUGCAGCUAAGCCUCCGAGUGGGAGGGCUGCUCUUCACUCGGUAGGAUUUUAUAACUUAGGCGAGCACGAGGCUGCAGCUAAGCCUCCGAGUGGAAGGCUGGCUUUCCACUCGGUAGGAUUUUGAUAACUUAGGCGAGUGCUUGGACUGCAGCUAAGCCCCCGAGUGUGAGGGUUGCUCUCCACUCGGUAGGAUUUUUAUAACUUAGGCGAGUGCUUGGACUGCAGCUAAGCCUCCGAGUGGAAGGCUGGCUUACCACUCGGUAGGAUUUUUGUAACUUAGGCGAGUACGAAGCUGCAGCUAAGCCCCCGAGUGAGAGGAUUGCUCUUCACUCGGUAGGAUUUUUGUAACUUAGGCGAGUGCUUGGACUGCAGCUAAGCCCCUGAGUGUGAGGGUUGCUCUCCACUCGGUAGGAUUUUUAUAACUUAGGCGAGCACGAGGUCGCAGCUAAGCCUUCGAGUGGAAGGCUGGCUUACCACUCGGUAGGAUUUUCACAACUUAGGCGAGUGCUUGGACUGCACCUAAGCCCCCGAGUGAGAGGAUUGCUCUUCACUCGGUAGGAUUUUUGUAACUUAGGCGAGCACGAGGUCGCAGCUAAGCCUCCGAGUGGAAGGCUGGCUUACCACUCGGUAGGAUUUUUAUAACUUAGGCGAGCACGAGGUCGCAGCUAAGCCUCCGAGUGGAAGGCUGGCUUACCACUCGGUAGGAUUUUGAUAAACUUAGGCGAGCACGAAGCUGCAGCUAAGCCCCCGAGUGAGAGGAUUGCUCUUCACUCGGUAGGAUUUUUGUAACUUAGGCGAGUGCUUGGACUGCAGCUAAGCCCCCGAGUGGAAGGCUGGCUUACCACUCGGUAGGAUUUUGAUAAACUUAGGCGAAACAGAUUCGCAGCUAAGCCUCCGAAUGAGAGUCUGGCUCACCACUCGGUAGGAUUUUUACAAACUUAGGCGAAACGGAUUCGCGGCUAAGUCACCCACUGAGGGGGAGUUUUUAUGUGGACAAAAAUAAAAAGUGAUGACACUAUUAUUUCUAAAUCCAUGAACUACAGAAGUACUUUAUUGCAACUCAUCCGAGUGAUAAAACUUAAGUGUAAAAUGGGCGGAGUAGCUCCGCGUUCCAAGCUCGGGGCUCGUCGAUAUUAUGCUCGACGUUGUAAAGACGGUACGCCCCGUUGUGGAGAACCUUGGUGACGAUGAAGGGACCUUCCCAAGAAGGAGCAAGCUUGUGUGGUUUGUGCUGAUCCACUCGAAGAACCAAAUCUCCUUCCUGGAAGGCUCGACCUCUCACAUUCCGGGCGUGGAAACGGCGCAGAUCUUGUUGGUAGACGGUCGACCGGAUCAGAGCCAUCUCCCUUUCUUCCUCUAAAAGGUCGACUGCGUCCUGCCGCGCUUGUUCAGCUUCUGCUUCGUUGUAGAUUUCGACUCGAGGGGCAUUGUGGAGAAGAUCACUCGGCAAGACUGCUUCGGCUCCAUAGACCAAGAAGAAUGGAGUUCUUCUGGUCGACCGAUUGGGCGUGGUCCGCAGUCCCCAGAGUACAGAUGGAAGUUCGUCGACCCAAGCUCCAGCCGCGUGUUUGAGAUCACGCAUCAGUCGCGGCUUCAGUCCCUUGAGAAUCAGUCCAUUAGCUCGCUCUGCUUGUCCAUUCGACUGUGGAUGGGCGACUGAUGCGUAGUCGACCCGUGUGCCCUGGGAGUUGCAGAAGGUUCUGAAUUCCUCUGAGUCAAAGUUCGACCCAUUAUCCGUAAUGAUGCUGAUACGCUGAGCUGAGCACUUCCAUUAUCCAUUAUUCGGUCAGAAGUGCAUUGGGAGGACCCCAGCUAUUGCUGCGCAUUUGAGCUGAUACGCUGAGCUGAACGUGAUGGCACAUGUGGACCACCUGAGAGGGCACGAGGCCUCGAGCUUUGGGAGGACUGCAUUCACCUCGCGAGCAAACUGCUUGAAGAUACGCUGAGAGGAAUGGGGCCUGAGCUCCGCCCAAGAUAUAGGUGACAGCUCGUGGCUCCUGGAAGCCCCCAGCCCCCUCGUCCUGAUGCUGGUCUUCAUUCCUCCUUGACGGUGGUGGCAGAGGAGGAAGGCCUGCGUUGCCUUGUGGGCGAUCCUCACGAGGCUGAUCCCUCCAGGACCCCUCACGAGGCUGGUCCUGCCAGCGGUCCCCGCGAGGCCGGUCACGCCACCCUUGGCGAGGGCCACGGUCUUCCCAUCGUCCACCACCUCUUCCUCCUCCGCGGCCAUAGCCCCGAUCGCUGCGCUCGGGGCAUCAACCGCCACGCCCUUCUCGCACGGCCCUGAGCUCUUGACAUUCGUUGGUUUUGUGAGUGUGGAGGUCGUGGAACACGCAGUACCGGCUGCCCUUGGACGACUCUGGCUGAUCUCUGCCAUGCUUGGUAUCAGGCUCAGCUGCGAGCACAACUGCUCCCUUGCGCUUCGCGUCCUUGGCUUUGGCCUUCUUCUCUUCAGGAUCAGCAGUUGGAAGCUCGAGGAGGGAAAGGUGUCCCUCCUCAGCCCUGGCGCACUUAGUCACCAAGUUGAACAGCUCCAGGGAUGUGCACAAGUCUUCAUGGAUUGCUUGCUCCUCUUUCAUCUUGAUGUCUCUGACGCCAUCAGAAAAGGCUGAGAUGAUGGCCUCCUUAGUCAACCUAGGGAUCUUGAGUCGCGUGUUGUUGAAGCACUAGAACUUCUGCAGGGUCUCUCCUGGUUGCUGCUUGAUGCGGCGCAGGUCACUCAUGGCUGGGGGUCGGUCGCGAGUACCUUGGAAGUUGGCGAUGAAGCGAGUGCGCAUCUCGUCCCACGAGGAGAUCGUGCUGGGAUGUAGGUUCAGGAGCCAAGUGCGGGCGCCAUCCUUCAGUGCCAUGGGAAACCAGUUCGCCAUGACCUUUUCGUCUCCGUUGGCCGCCUCGAUGCCCAGCUUGUAGAGUUGGAGGAACUCCGCGGGGUCGGCGGUGUCGUCGUAGCGAAGAGGCAGAUCUGGCUUGAACUUGCCCGGCCAGGCCACGCUGCGCAGCUCGGCGGUGAAGGCGCGGCAGCCUACGGUAGCCACUGUGGGCCUUUGCUGGCACAGUGCUUGAUCCUGGGGGUCUCCGCGCGCUGCCGCCAGGAGCAGCGCGGGUCUUGGCGCGCUGGAGCAGGAACGCGGUUGUGGCGUGCUGGCACAGGCAGCACGCGAGCGCCUUCUUGAGGGUGAGGAACCUCUUGGCAGCUCCUUUCUUUCUAUGCUAGUGCUGGACGCGGUGGGUCCCGUCCAGGAGCCGCGCGCUUGGAGCCAGGGCGCCUUCUUCGGGAGGAGGCGACGGAGGUGCCUCCGGAGCCACGUUGCCUGCGCAGGACGGAGGGUGAUGAAGCAAGAGGGAUGGUGCAGGGGUGCCCCCUAUCGCGCUGAUGAGCUCGGUGAUGCGAGCGAGCCACUCCUCGUAGAGGUCGUCGACGGGACGGUAGUGCAGGAGCUCACGCGCCAGGAGCAACACGUCGUCCGCGUCCGCAGAAGCGCGACGAGCGUGCGACGACGAGCCUGCUGGAGUUAGCAACGGGGUGGCGGUGCGGCCCUCCCGCCACACCGAGGGUUGCAGACACGACGCCUGCUGCUCGUUCCCCGCCGGGCCAGUGGCAGCGUAGGCGGCGGGCGACCGGGAACGGCGGGGAGUCCCACCGACGGGAGCCGUCUGGGCGACGUGGGCGGCGAGAGCAGCCCGACGCUUGGCGCGGGCUCAGCGAGCGUCAGCCAUGGAUGGGACAGGAGAUGGAACGCGAGACGGCGGAAGAAAAGAUCCCGGCACACCCCUACCUGGUGCACCAAAGGUCGGAUUUCGGGUUCCGGCAGACCCUUGAGGUUUGAACUCUGGGGUGCGUGCGGAGAUCUCUCCUCUACCGACUCACGUCCCAAAACUUCGCACGGAAUCUAAGCUAGAAAGAUGAACACACGAGGGACACGGGGUUUGUACUAUUUCAGGCCACCCUUGUGGUGUAAUACCCUACUCCAGUGUGUGGUGUGGUGGAUUGCCUCUAGGGCUGAUGAUGAACAAUACAAAGGAAGAACAACCUCGCGAGGGAUGUUCUUGUGGUGGUGGUGUCCCUUUGGAAGGGUUGGGUUCGGAUCCCUUUCUACUGUGGUGGCUAUCCCUAUUUAUAGAGCGAGGCCCUGGUCCUCUUCCCAAAUAUUGAGUGGGAAGAGCACCAACAAUUGGCCAUUUUGAAGGGGAACAUCUAGCACACUUAUCCUGACUAAAGUUGGUCUUCGACUGCCAAAAGACUCUGACGAUGACGCCGUCUUGGGCUCCAUGGUGACCUCCAUCCUGCCGCUCUGCUGGUUUUGGUCUUAUUGCACCUAAGCGGUAGCCUUUGCCUAAUGCCUUGGCAUGUGCUUGCCCCCUUUGCACCAAAGAGGAAACAAGGACACUGCGCAGGCCGGCGCCCGCCUGGCUUCGGUCGUCAUGGCUUGCGUCAUGGGCACCUCGCGAGGUACCCCUGCCUUGAUCUCUCCGCCUCCUCGCGAGCCUACCUGACGAGGCCGCUCCUGUGGAAGCUUCCUAUCGUCCGCCCCGCGAGGCUUGGCCCCUCGCGAGGGUCUUGAGCUUGAGUUGAUGAAGAUGGGCCAUACUGGGCCACUGCUUGAGCCACUCCGCAGGCCGCGGGCAGGCAAGUCUGGGGAUCCCCGUUCCCAGAACGCUGACAGAGAGGGGGUAUAUAUAUCGACCGCCCCUCAUGUCAAAGUUAUCCGGGAGGGGGUUAUAUCGACAACGACGACAUACAUACAUGGGAAAAUAAUGUUAUCGGGGACGGGGUAUAUCGACCCCCCCCCUCGUGUUGAAGUUAUCGGGAGGACACCCAAAAGAGGACAUAAAUAGAGGAGAAGAAGAUUCUAUUUUCUCUUCUUCUCCUCUAUUCUUUUCUUCUUCUCCUUUUUUUCCUUCUGUUUUCCUCUUCUUAUUUAUUCCUCCUCUUCUUCCUCUCCUCUUCUUGUCCUUUCUUUCUCUUCUUAUUUUCCUUUUUCCUCUCAUUCGUUUUCUUCUUUUUCCUUUCCUAGCUAGAUAUAUAAAAAAAUCAAAAAAUAAACUAACCUAAAAUGUACUAAAUCAGAGAACAUAUAUAGAUAAAACUUUUCUAAAAAUCUAACUUGCAUAUAUGUAUACUUUAAAAAAUACAUACAUACAUACAAAAAACAUGUAAAAAAUACGCACAUACAUGUAUGAACAUACAUAAAAAAAUACAUAUAUCUAAAAAAUACAUACAUUCAUAUGAAAAUCUAAAAACAUGUAAAAAAAUCUAAAGUUCUUAUAUGAAGAAAAACAUGCUCAGAACAAAAAACUUAAUACAUUAUGAACAUCUACAUAUAUGCAUACACAUACAUUCAUAUAUACAUUAUGUAUAUAUGAACACGAAAUUACUCUAAUAAAAAUUAAAAAAAAUAGAGUAGGGUGGCGCGGCGCGCGGCUCACAAUGCGGGCGGCUAGUGACGGCGAUGGCGGGGGCGGCGAGGGCGCCGGCGCGGGCAGGGGCUCGGGCGCGGGGCAGGGACCAGUGCGGCGACGGCGACGACGUGGUCNNNNNNNNNNNNNNNNNNNNNNNNNNNNNNNNNNNNNNNNNNNNNNNNNNNNNNNNNNNNNNNNNNNNNNNNNNNNNNNNNNNNNNNNNNNNNNNNNNNNNNNNNNNNNNNNNNNNNNNNNNNNNNNNNNNNNNNNNNNNNNNNNNNNNNNNNNNNNNNNNNNNNNNNNNNNNNNNNNNNNNNNNNNNNNNNNNNNNNNNNNNNNNNNNNNNNNNNNNNNNNNNNNNNNNNNNNNNNNNNNNNNNNNNNNNNNNNNNNNNNNNNNNNNNNNNNNNNNNNNNNNNNNNNNNNNNNNNNNNNNNNNNNNNNNNNNNNNNNNNNNNNNNNNNNNNNNNNNNNNNNNNNNNNNNNNNNNNNNNNNNNNNNNNNNNNNNNNNNNNNNNNNNNNNNNNNNNNNNNNNNNNNNNNNNNNNNNNNNNNNNNNNNNNNNNNNNNNNNNNNNNNNNNNNNNNNNNNNNNNNNNNNNNNNNNNNNNNNNNGGCGCAGGGCAGCGGGUCGGGGGCGGGGGCGGGGCCGGCGCCGGGCGGCGGGGGCGGCUGGAUGUGGGCGUCGGGGAGGAGAGAGGGAGAAGAGAGAGAGUAACGGGCCGGGGGAGCUCGGCCGUUAGGUAGGUUAGUUAGGUUAGCCUUUGCCGUCCGCUCCUCCUUUGCCGUCCGCUUUCCUUUAUCUUUGCGGUCUGCUGCGUACGACAAAGAGGGGGGACGUUAAGUUUUUUCGUUAGUGGGUGCCACCUCCCUCUUUGCCGUCAUCCAGCGGACGGUAAAGAAUCGUUGCCGUCAGCCAGCGGAUGGCAAAGAAUUGGUGAUGGCAAAGACCUUCUUUCUCGUCCGCCAUUUGUUUGUUGUCCGCUUCUUGGUAUCUGAUGGCAAAGACCUUCUUUGUCGUCCGCUAGCGGACGGCAAAGAUAUGGCAGACGGCAAAUUCCCUGAUUCCAGUAGUGAUAAGACCAUGAAAUUGAAAAGCAUUUGAAAUGAACUCUGAAAAGGUUGAAAGUUGGCAUGGUAUCAUCCACAUAGCAUGUGCAAAAAAGUAGAGAGGGUUACGGCAAAAACUGGAUGCACUUCGUGUACAAAAUGGACAAUCUCUUUCGAAGUAUUAGGGUUUCAUACGGAAACUCGUCUGUUACCAAGGAAUUUCAUUUUUUUUGAACUUAUUUGAACUCCAUAGUUUUUCUGUGUUCAAAAUGCACCAUUUAAAGCCACAUCAUCAAUUUUCAAACCUUUCUGACUUCAUUUGUUAUUUUUCAUGCAUUUACUGAUUAUUUUGAGCUAUAAGACCAUGAAAUUGAAAAGCAUUUGAAAUGAACUCUGAAAAGGUUGAAAGUUGGCAUGAUAUCAUCAUUUCCCCCACAUAGCAUGUGCAAAAAAGUAGAGAGGGUUACGGAAANNNNNNNNNNNNNNNNNNNNNNNNNNNNNNNNNNNNNNNNNNNNNNNNNNNNNNNNNNNNNNNNNNNNNNNNNNNNNNNNNNNNNNNNNNNNNNNNNNNNNNNNNNNNNNNNNNNNNNNNNNNNNNNNNNNNNNNNNNNNNNNNNNNNNAUUUCAUUUUUUUGAACUUAUUUGAACUCCAUAGUUUUUCUGUGUUCAAAAUGCACCAUUUAAAGCCACAUCAUCAAUUUUCAAACCUUUCUGACUUCAUUUAUUAUUUUUCAUGCAUUUACUGAUUAUUUUGAGCUAUAAGACCAUGAAAUUGAAAAGCAUUUGAAAUGAACUCUGAAAAGGUUGAAAGUUGGCAUGGUAUCAUCAUUUUACCCACAUAGCAUGUGCAAGAAAGUAGAGAGGGUUACGGCAAAAACUGGAUGCACUUCGUGUACAAAUCGGAUAAUCUCUGUCGAAGUAUUAGGGUUUCAUACGGAAACUCGUCUGUUACAAAGGGAUUUCAUUUUUUGAACUUAUUUGAACUCCAUAGUUUUUCUGUGUUUAAAAUGCACCAUUCAAAGUCACAUCAUCAAUUUUCAACCCUCUCAUGAAUAGAUAAGUGACCAAAUUAAUAGAAGUUCAUCAUCACAUUAAAAUGAAAAUACAUACAUAGUUCUCAUUGAACAACAUAUAGCUCUCCAGAGCAUCUAAUUAAACCAUACAUUGAAAUUAUGUAAAACAUUUCAAUGCAAAAACGAAUGCGAUCAUAAUCACAACUAAAGUAACAACUGAUCCAACUGCAUAAUGAUGCCAAGCCUCAGUAUGAAUGGCAUAUUUUCUAAUCUAUUUAAUCUUCAACCGCAUUGCAUCCAUCUUGAUCUUGUGAUCAUCGACGACAUCCGCAUGCAACUCCAAUAUCAUCUUCUCCUCCUCAUUUUUUCUUAUUUUUUCCUUUAAGUAAUUGUUUUCUUCUUCAACUAAAUUUAACCUCUCGACAAUAGGGUUGGUUGGAAUUUCCGGUUCAACAACCUCCUAGAUAAAUAAACUCUAUGUCACGUUGGUUGGCAUAAUUAUCAUAAACAAUAAAUGAACCAAAUAGUUAUCAAAAGAUAAUAUAUACCACAUCUGAAUCAUAGACAUGACGAGGGCCGACGGGGGCGGAUACCAAAACCAUCGCACUAUAUAAUAACAAGGAAUAAUAAAAGUAAGAACAUUAGACAAGUAUCUAUCUGAAGUAAGAAUUUGUUUUGUUUCGGAAAGAAGACAAGAACAAGAGGCUCGCCACGGUGGUGUCGAUGACGAGAUCGGCGCGGGCGAUCGGCGGCGGUGAAGACGGGGACAGGACGUGACAGACCGCUAAACCUAGACAAAUCUCGGGGAAAAUGGAGCUCGGAGGUCGAGUUUCGAGAGGAGAAAGAUUAACUAGUGUGGCUCAGAUAUUUCAUCGAACACCUCAUGUGCAUAGGAGGUGAGCUAGAGCACCCAAAUGCCCUCCCCUCGCCGACCAGAAAAAACAGAGCACUGUCGAGUGCUCUGCUGCGGCGAUGGGGUAUAUAUAGGCAACUCAUUUGUCCCGGUUCUUGGUAGAACCCGGGACUAAAGCCCUGCAAUCUGUCCCGGUUCAAGCCACGAACCGGGAAUAAUGGUUGUGGGCCAGGAGCGAGGACCAUUGGUCCCGGUUCGUGCCUAGAACCGGCAUAAAUGGAUCCAGACAAACUGGGACCAAUGCCCACGAGGCCCCGGCCGACACCCUGGGCUAAUAAACCGGGACUAAUGCCCCCCAUGGGUCCCGGUUCGUGAAGAACCGCGACUAAUGGGCUGGCCAGGCCCGAACCAAAGCCCUGUUUUCUACUAGUGUUACCAGCAGCGCAUAAUGCGCCCACCCGCACUACUAUUGAAUUGUACUUGUAGAGUGGGUCCCUUACCCCACGCUACUGUUAAGAAUCUACCUAUAAGUUAUUUCCUAGUAGUGACACCGCAAGAUUAAACCUACUAGAAAGCACCUCUCCUGCUGAAGAUAAUUCAACCUAGUUCGCCAAACCAAAUAGAUAGAUCAGAGAGAAAUAUAAAUCUAUAACAAUCAUGCAUAAUAAUGUUCAACAAAGACUCAAUUACUUUCAAUGAAUAAUCUGAUCAUAGAACCACAAUUCAUUGGAUCCCAACAAACACAUAGCAAAACAAGAUUACAUUGAAUCGAUCUCCAAAAAGAACAUUGUAUUGAAGAUCAAAGAGAGAAAGAAGAAGCCAUCUAGGUGCUAGCUAUGGACCAGCAGGUCUGCAUUAACUAACAACUCACACAUCAUCGGAAGGCAGCAAGGCUGAUGUAGAAGCCCUCCAUGAUCGAUUCCCUCUCCGGCAGAGUACCCAAAAAGGCUUCCAGAUGGGGUUGCCGAAGAUUAGGCACUUGCGGCGGCGAAAAAAUUGUUACAGUGGCUUCUCGGGGGUUUCCCAGUAUUUAAGAAUUUAUAGAAGUGGAAUUAGGUCAGACAGGACCAUGUGAGGCCCGCAAGGUAACACGAAUGCAUAGCCCAAAGGGCGCGCCCUGUUGCCUUACUAUCUCCUUGCUUAUCGUAUGUUCUCUUCCGAAGCGUCUAGGUUCUCUUAUGUCAAGAAAAAAGCAUCAAAAAGUUUCCUAGCGUUUGGUCUUCGUUUGGUACAAACUUCCAGGAAAACAAAAAAUAGGCAGAAAACAACAACUGGCAUUAGGCACUAAUUUAAUAGGUUACUCCUAGAAAAUGAUAUAAAAUUGCAUAUAAAGCGUCUAAGAUUGAUAAUAUAAUAGCAUAAAAUUAUAGAUACAUUGGAGACGACACUACUGCUACAAAGUACCUGCAGCCCCGGAUUGCAGGUCCACACUACUCGUAAUUGAGGCUCAUAGGCUUGCUUUACGUAUAAGUAGUAGAAGUGUUGGGUAAAGUACAUACGCUACUACUAAAAGAUUAGUUACAGCGUUGGUAAUAUACCCAUCGCUGCUACUGUGGCCUACCCCGGGGUACUGUGGAGACCACGAGUAGUAGCGUUGGGUUGCUUAACUCGUGCUGCUACUAAGUGAUACCUAUGGUGCAUGUUUUUGAACAACGCAGCUAAUAAUUAACUGUAUCGCGGUCCACCUGCCCCGCGCUACUGCUAAGCAUCUACAGAUAGGCUUUUCCCUAGCAGUGCCUUCUUGCGCUUGAGGUUGGCCACCCUAGCCGCCUCCGUCGCUGCCUCCGCCACCUCCCGUUCAGACUGAUCAAUGCCGAGCCGGAGCCUUGACGGUGAUCCUUUGGAGCCGUUGGGUGUUCGUUUCUGCCGUGGUAAGUGAUCGUCGGUACACCCCUGGAAUGAGAUGUUCCUCCUUGUCGGGCACCGACAUCACGCGGCGGUGCCAGGUGGGCUCGUGUGAUUGCUUUAGUCUUUGGUAGAUCGACUAUGCAUCUUGAAUUAUUCUAACACCGAUUAAAAGGGAUCGAAAGGGUGAUGAAAACUAGCCUAGACAAAAUGGGUGCAAAAUAAGGGGAAAGAAACAAAAUGAAAGAAGUAAUUACAAGUCCAACUCACUACUCUCAUCAAUUUUUCCACUACAUAUAGUUUCUGCACUGCUAAGCCGAGUGAAGUUUAUUGGGUACUCGCCUUAUAGCUAGCACCAUCCCGAAGUCGUUAGUGGACGCCGCGUGGCAGUUAAAUUUGCCGUAUGUUUAAGGUAAGCCGAGUACUUUUUUCACGGCCUCACAGCUGAUUACGAUGUCAGCCGUGUUAUAUUACAUAAGCCAAAUGUCUUCUGCGUGGACACACAACUUACAUGGAAGUACAACUUACAUGGAAGUGAGUCGAGUGUCGCCAUGUAGCCGUGUGUCGUGUUAGCCUCACUCCGUUUACAUGCCACUAAGCGUUCAACCCGUGUCUUGACUCGGCUUACAUGCCACUAAGCGUUAAACCCGUGUUUUGACUCGGCUUACAUGCCACUAAGCGUUAAACCCGUGUUUUGACUCGGCUUACAUGCCACUAAGCGUUAAACCCGUGUUUUGACACUCGGUACUACCUCAGUGAAACUGUGGGAAGAUGGGUAGGUGGGGCCUCUCAACCAAGACAUCGUGGUUGGCGAGUGGGGACUCUACUGAACUCUAGCAUGGGUGUGGUAGAUUACUGACGUGAAGCCGGACCUCCUUAUGACUUGAUACUCGGCGACCUGUAGUGUAUGUUGAUUGUUCUUCUCCAGUUGUAAUAUAAAAUAAUUUUAACUAAUUUGAUUUGCGUGUUCACACUGUGCAUGUCAUUUUCCAAUAAGCACUAGUGCAGAAAAAGCUAGUGCCGGCGUUUUAAAAAUCACAUUCGUGGUGUGAGGGGUCGACGCCACCAAUAUGGUGUCAUUCUUAACAAAUACCGAUGAUGUCGGGCCCCACGCCAUCGGUAUUUUACAUAUUGGUGGCAUGGCACUAUUCACUCACGCCACCACUUUGUGAAAUAGCAAUGAUCGUGCACACAGAUACCACGUCACCACUAUACACUAGUAGUAGCAAUGUGAGCAUAUAGCCACCAAUGCCAUCAAUAAAUAUUUCUGGAUUUAAAAAAAUAUAAUUCAUCCAUGAAUCCAAAUAUUUAUAUAUUCAUCCACAUGUUCAAAUCAGUUAUAAAUUCAUACAUUCAUCCGUAUAUAUCAGUUCUACGAUGUGGUCGUCGUCGUCGCCGUUGUAGCCCCGUGUUGAUGUUAUCGUUGCCGUCGUCAUCGCCAUCGCAGCCCCAUGUCGAUACCACUUGUUGAGGAGAUCAUCGCGCAGCCCCGCGUCGAUUUCGUCGCCGCCGCAGGAACUUACUUUCAAUGGAAAUGUAGCAAUAACUAUUCGGUAAAGCGCAAACUGCACACUUAUCUUUUUUUAUCUAUCUUCGAACAUUCCUUUUCCAGACAAAUCACAACAAUUGAUUGCAAGUAACAAAAACAAGCAAGCAAUAUUAUCUAGCAUGCAAGCAUAAUUAAAGUUCACAUAAAUGAAGCUAUGCUAGAUCACUGUCAGACAUCAUGCAUUUGUGAACUAACUUUUUUUGAUAUAAGAUUGUGAAGUAUUCAGAUACCAUUUUAAUUGUAUUUUCAUCCAACUAUUAUUAUUGGAAAUAAAUAUAAAGAUGUUUCAGGUUUCAGUUUGGGCCCUAACACAAGGCAAUCAGUUAAAUGGACGGCAUUUCAGAAUGUUUCUUUUUUGUUUGAAAAUAGUGUGUUUACUGUAUAAUGGUGUCUAUCCUAGUUAUGUCAAACUUCCAAAUGGUGAACACACACAGAUUAAACAUAAGGUAAAGCAGCGGCUAAGGAUGUUGUUGAUUCAAAUUUCUGGAUGGAUGUGUCUUACGAAAUUCAAUUGGCCAGCUGCAGUUUAGGAUAAUUGGUAAUAUAUCUAUACACCAGCAGCUGGCCAAUCUCUUCACUGAAGGCUCCAUCGAUCAGCUAAAUCAAUAAGUUUAUUAAUUAGGACAUCCAUCAAGUCUAGGCCAGUAGGUUAGUUAGUUAAGAUGCAUGCAAACAGUAGGGAAAUUUAAGCAGUAUAAGAUGGGAAAUCUAAGCCCAUUACAAGACUUGCACGCAAGGAAACAUUAUGUGAGCUGCGCUACAACCACACUGCAGGGAAACAUUAAGCAGUCUUAAGUUUUAGAGCUUCUUCAUAGUUUCAUCUCUGAAUUUCAUUCGUAAAUCUUGUCCAAAUCCGCUUUUGGGGAGUCACAAAAAGACAUCGAGUACUUCAAAGAAGGAAUACUCUUCCAGUCUAUAUUCUACUACUUACAUCAAUUACAACAUAUAUCUGCAAGCACUAUCCAGGUUAUGUUUUCUGCACUGAUAUAAUGCAUCACUCAUUUAUUUUAUAUGAAUUAAAUUCUCAAAGUUGACCUUUAUUUGCAAACUAGACGAACUUGUUUGUGAAGUUAACUUACGAUGAAACAUGUAUUUGCAGUUCAUGACUAGAAAAUUUACUCAUGCACCCUCAGCUUAACUGUUAGUCUAACUAGCCAAACACAAACUUCUUCGGUGGAGACCUAUACCUUGGAGACGUGACAACAGGCGAGGGGUUGUAGCAGGGUGCAACCUCCAGCAUGAUGUCGCCUAGCUCCUCCACCCGGCUGUUCAUCAGGGCAUCUCUCCCGACUCUGAUCAGAUCGAAAUUCUAUUAGAUCAGAUCGAAUCAACAACAAGAAAGGGAAAGUUAGGAGAGGAGAAGAAUAUGGCCAGGCACGAGAUGGCUGACAACGGGAAGGGAGGGCGCUGGUAAAGGCGGAGGAGGAGCCCUUAUCUCCGGCGAGCCCAGCGGGUCGACCACCACCACCGUGGGCGGCGGCGCGUUUACGUUCUCCCCCCUGCACCACCCCGCCAAGAGCCGAGGAGGUGUAUGAGGAGAGCGAGUGGAUCUCCGAGGAGAGCACUGCGGUGGCGGGAGGGGCCGGAGUUUACCGGAAUCGUUGGUCGGCAGCGGCGGCAAUUUGAGGAUCACGUGGAGACAGAGAUGUGCGUUUGGGGAUCGUGGGCAGCGGCGGAGUUGACCGGAAGCAGAGGAGAUUAGGAUUGGGCAUGAUUUUAUCCGUGGCGUGUACAAAAACUAACGCCAUAAGUACUUCCUCCGUUCUUUUUUAGUCUGCAUAUAAAAUUUAAUCAAAAUCAAACUUUGUUAACCUUUGACUAAUUUUAUAAAAAAAAUUAUCAAGAUUCACAAUAUGAUAUCAAUAUUGUUAGAUGCCUCCAGGUCAACUUUCCUCUUUUUAGUGAUGACAAUUCACAAGCAAUUUAUAGCAGAAGUAACUUGUAUUGAGUGUUAAUGUACGGACCGAAAUGAUCUACAUUAUGUUGGUGGUUGAUAUAUCUUUGAUUGUAGGACCAAAAAUGUACGCAUACGUGGUACGCCGAGACACGCCCAAACAUCUAGUUGUAUAUACAUUUCCCUCGAAUAAAAUACUAGCAGCUAUAACACUACUCUUGAGAAAAAAAUUAUAUAUACCAGUAGUACAUGAUAUGUGAUGAUGUUUAGCUGCAGGCACGAUGGAACUCCUGCAAAGUUUUUGCUCUAACAAUCUGGGAAGUAUUCACGAAAGCUUAAUUUACCAAAUUGAGUGUUACAUGCAUGGUACAUGAGUUUUCGUUCUAGAAUACAAAGUGAUAACACACCCGUUUAGUUACCUCAUGGGUACAUGUUUUCUUUACAGAAGUAGAAUAAUACUACAUAUGGAGUUAUAUAAGCGGUACAUUAAAGGUAAGCACUCACACAAUGAAAAUUGGGGUAUAAAAAAUAACCGUGGACCGGAUCUAGUCAUAGUCCCUCCUCAAGUGAGCUGAGAGGGGAAGUUAUUUUGGUUGGUCACUCGGAAGCUAGGUGAGGCUCUCGACAUACAUAUGUGGUAGGGGAAAUGGCCAGUCUUCUGGUGUGUCCGGUUAGUCAUUCUUCGGUUAGGGGUAACCACCGGUUGUGCUAGCCGCCGCCAUCUCCGGCUGAGCAGUCUUUGGCGCAGCAUAAGUGUCAGUUGUGCUAGCUGCCGGCGUCUCCGGCUGAGCAUUCUUCGGUGCAGUGUAAAUAUCGGAUGUGACGGUCGCCGCGAUCACCUCCUUCUUCGGCUCUUCCUUCUUCGUCUCCUCCUUCUUCGCCUCCUCCUUUGGCUUGGUGUAUUUUUUAGGUUUCAUAGCCAUGACCUCCUCCUUUGGCUUCUCCUUUUUGGGUGUAUCCACUUUUUCUUUUGGUUUCUUCUGCGCACCAGUGUAUCCAGAGGCGUCAUUCUUUCCUUUGGACUUCUUCUCAUUUUUACUUUUGGGUUUCUUCUCGAUGGUGGAAGGCUGGGAGGGCUCACUCUUUCUUUUGGAUUUCUUCUCGGAGGCAACUUCAGAUUUCUUCUCCUUAGCAGCCUUGGUGCCACCUUCGGGUUUCUUCUCCUUGCCAGAGGCACUUACUGGUUUCUUCUCUGCAUCAACAUUGUUGGGGCUGACAUCAGGUUUCUUCUUAGCACUGUCAUAGCCAGCGACGACUUCGGGUUUCGUCUUUGCGCUAGAGGAGACGUCUGUUCCGGAGACGGCAUCUGGUUUGUUCUCCACAUCACUGGAGAUUGCUUCGGGUUUCUUCUCAACACUGGCCGAGACAGCUUCGGGUUUCUUCUCAAUACCGGCGGUGUAUCCGCCGGUAGCUUCAGAUUUCUUCACUCCACCGCCAUAGUCAAGAUCGCCAUGGGCCAAUGCUAGGGGGCUGGUGGAGGCAACAACGAGGAAGAGUAGAAGGGCUAGAGCGAGCUGGGCCCUCAUGAUAAUCAAUCAACCCGACGAACAGUGGUGGUGCGAUGAAAUGUCUGCAGGAGGAACUCGGGAGGUAUUUCAAUGGUGAGGGAGAGGGAGCUAGGGAAGGAGAAGAGAGAUGGUGCUGGUGGGUCUUGUUCAUUUUUCCUAGAACCGUAGCCGCUAAUUUUGUCCUGUAAAACCAUGCGCCCGCCGUGAAGAAAGGAGCCAAAAGAUAAGGCGGUAACUUUACUAAAUAAGGUCUAAUCCAUGUUUUAUUUACAUCUAUUCUGGGUGAUGUUAACAAAAUAGACACCAUGCAUGAAUGCAACUUCCUUUUCCUUUUUCUUUUUUCUUUUUUUGAGAGACUUGGUUUACUCAAUAACAUGUGGGCGCUCACCCGAGCUAUCGACCAUGGUAGAUGCAAAUACGAUUACUCAUCUAGCAAUUCAGACAUGUUGGAAAAAGUUGCUUUCAUGCAUCUAAAAAAUUACCAUGUUAUAGCCAUCUUUGCAAUGGACCAUAGGAUAUUAUUGCGGACUACAACAACUGUGGCAUGUGCUCCUCGAUACGCCAUUGAUCUCCCAUUCCUGACAAGAACAAACAUCGGUCAAUGCUCAUGAUUCCACUGCUCUUGUCGCAACACCGCCACACGGCUUGCAUAGCACAAUGCAGUCGCAGGACUAUCUUCCCCAGUGCUGCCACAAUUAAACUAGAUAGACGAAGUUUAGUGUUCAUUAGAUUCGACAGAAAAUCAUAAAACUUGCGUGUGGCAGUUAAAAAGGAGAGCAAGCGUUACUUUCCAUGGACGAAACUGGUCGUGACAAAGCCUGUCAGCCAUCUCAACUCCUCUGCGGUGGUGUUAUGUUUGCGAAAUUCAAGUCACUGGUUCCAGGAUCCAGACAUGAAAAACAACAACUAAUAUGGGACUGCGGGAGCUGGACUUGCCAUUUUUCUUGAAAAUUUGCCUCAUCCUCCUCUGAUCUGUAUGUAACAUUCACGAAAAUACAUUUCAGUUAUAUGUGAAGCAGAAUAUUCUUGCCUACACGUCUACACCUACUCAAUAUAUACGAUUUUAUAGGGUACCUUUCAAGUGUACCAAAAAGUUCUUCGUUAUACGCUUUGUGAAGAAAUUAAUAUAGCUCCAAUGUCCAAGCCUCCAUCAACGAAUAUAAAGCUUACAAUUUGAGCGGGAUGGGAUACAUACCUUGUUUUAUCCUCUAAAAUUUGAUGGAAAUGGGGCACAAACUACAUCGCCCUCUUCAAAGAAACCUUCUUUGAAUGCUCGGAUUAGGAAACUAAAUUUAACAAGUAGUUGUCUUCAGCGGAUCAGUGGUUCCAGCUCCUCUUUUUGGUAGGAACCAUGCUCAAUAUUCAGAAUCUUCUACAGUUUUGACAAAGAUUCAGAAGAUGUGUACUUAUCUUGCACCAGUUUUUCAAAUACAGCUUCUUGUGUAGAUAUUCAUAAUAUCUCCAUGGUUAUUACUUAGAGCAUUUCUAAACGAUCCCCGAUAAAGAGUGAAUAUCUGGUGGAGUAAACACUUAGUGGAGUAAAUUUACUACACUAAGUUUUGGCCAGACCUAAUUGAUCCCCUCUAUAUGACGGUGUAAACUUUUUUCAUUUGUUUUUCAUUUUGGGCCACUGAAACACAUUUCUUUGCUUCAUUAUUUCAUUCAACGAUAUUUUGAUACAUUUGAGUACAUUAUUCACAUAUUCUUCGCUAUGAGAGCAAGAGCAAAGAAAAUAGGAACCACAAUUAGACAUUUUAAAAGAUAUCCAAUUUCCAUAACUGCUCCCACUAGUUGGAUUAUAUCUUCUCUAUGUCUUCAUUGUUUAUCUGCAGCUUCUUGAGCUUGCACACUUGUUUCUUUCUUCUUCGAUUUCGAAGAAGUAGACAUUGCUUUGCAUGUAGUCUCAUCUGUAGUCUCUAUUCUAGCAAUCAGUGCACGAGCAUCUAUCAAUUUUUGUGCUAUCAAUAGAUCAAUGUAAUCUUCUUAUCAAUACAAAAACUUGCAUCCNNNNNNNNNNNNNNNNNNNNNNNNNNNNNNNNNNNNNNNNNNNNNNNNNNNNNNNNNNNNNNNNNNNNNNNNNNNNNNNNNNNNNNNNNNNNNNNNNNNNNNNNNNNNNNNNNNNNNNNNNNNNNNNNNNNNNNNNNNNNNNNNNNNNNNNNNNNNNNNNNNNNNNNNNNNNNNNNNNNNNNNNNNNNNNNNNNNNNNNNNNNNNNNNNNNNNNNNNNNNNNNNNNNNNNNNNNNNNNNNNNNNNNNNNNNNUCAUACACAUAAAUUAGAGCAAACAAUGAGCUACGGAAAUUCGAAUCCGGUGGAAUGAAAAUAUUCAUAUACACCAUCUUUCUUGCACUUGAAGAACACCCAUUCGGGAUGUUGCGGCAUGGUAAAAACUUGGCACACAACCUGCUGCGGGUAAUCGUUGCACUUUAUGAGCGGCAACUGUGAGCCAACGAGCCGUUUGGCCAACAUGGAGCCCAGGCAACGGUCACCCGUGUCUUUGCCGGCGAACCGCUGACGGGAGAGAUUAGAGCGGCUAGAUCGAGAGUGGACUUUUCACUCAACCGCCGAUAGGUGGAGUAAAUAUAGGGAGGCCGGGCGCGGCUGAGGAUAAUUAUCCUCAACUACGGUGGAUUGGGGAUCAGUUAGGUGCCACUUAGGAGAGUAAAACAGAAUUUUUACUCCUCUAACCAGUUAUAGGGGAUCGGUUAGAAAUGCCCUUACUAAAUUGUUCAUCCUUAGUCUGUGUGAAAAAUGCUAAAUGAAGAGUGAAAAUGUUGUGCACUGUAAGUUUUCUGCGAUUUAUGUGUUCGUUUGCCGAAACCGAAUGCGGUUAUGACUAAGGUUGGAAAAUCCAUAUGCUUGUGAUGACAUAUGGCAUAUCUUGUUCCUCUUUUGCGAAUGGGACUGCAACUAAUAUGUUUCCACCAGAAACUUGGGUUAGUAGUGUGUUUCACAGAUUGUUGCAGUAUGUAUUAAGGACUCAUGGCAUAACACAAGGAUAUUCUUUCUUCUUACAUUUUGUAAAUCCAACCUUGACAUGCUGCAGCAAACGUGCAGAUUUACUUCGAUCCUAGUUUUCUAGCGUUUAGGCCAAGAGUUUGGUGCGCUAAGAUUUUCCUAACACCGUGUUUGGGCAUACGCUGCACACGCUCUCAUCAUUUCUGCACCAUACACUAAAGGGCCUCAAGACACAGACCAGCAACAUCAACAUCGACAAUGACCCUGUGAAAAGGAUGAUCUAUUUUGAACAGGGCAUGCACUGCCGUGGAGCAGACCAACAGCUAGCGCUUCUUCUGCGGAGAGCUGCUGGAGAAAAGUCGCACCCUAGGCUAGCUACAACAUUUUGGUUCAUUCGUGUCCAUCCACCUUGCAAAAAGAUUCUUGUUGGUUAAAAAGGAAAAUCAGGUUUCGAUAAAUGGUAGCACAGUGUCGUUGUUCAAAGAUAAUUAAGCUCGUUGAAAGGGAUAAAUGUAUAAUCACACAAUGAAGCACGCACAAAGAUAAUUACUAAGUUCACUGCCCCUUUCUUGCCAGCACCAAAGUCUUACAGAUACCGAUCAGUCAGUCAGCCACGCGCUCUAAUUUCAUACAUCAGGAAAGAAAGAUGAAAAGGGAGGAUGCAUCUCAAAGAGGCAGCCAAAAAGCGGCACUCAUUGGGAGCGCCAUCAUUCUUUUGCCAUCCAUUGAGGUCAUUGUCAUCGUUCAUUUCACAUUUCACAACGGAUUCCAGAAUUUCAUACUUGAUAGGCCUACCAAACAAAAAAUGUAGGGCUGGUAUGGGGAGGCCCAGGCGCGAUCAGGUGCGUCCGACACGUCCGACCUGACAAGCCUCCCCUACCAAAAAUUGCACGAAAUCCACCGANNNNNNNNNNNNNNNNNNNNNNNNNNNNNNNNNNNNNNNNNNNNNNNNNNNNNNNNNNNNNNNNNNNNNNNNNNNNNNNNNNNNNNNNNNNNNNNNNNNNNNNNNNNNNNNNNNNNNNNNNNNNNNNNNNNNNNNNNNNNNNNNNNNNNNNNNNNNNNNNNNNNNNNNNNNNNNNNNNNNNNNNNNNNNNNNNNNNNNNNNNNNNNNNNNNNNNNNNNNNNNNNNNNNNNNNNNNNNNNNNNNNNNNNNNNNNNNNNNNNNNNNNNNNNNNNNNNNNNNNNNNNNNNNNNNNNNNNNNNNNNNNNNNNNNNNNNNNNNNNNNNNNNNNNNNNNNNNNNNNNNNNNNNNNNNNNNNNNNNNNNNNNNNNNNNNNNNNNNNNNNNNNNNNNNNNNNNNNNNNNNNNNNNNNNNNNNNNNNNNNNNNNNNNNNNNNNNNNNNNNNNNNNNNNNNNNNNNNNNNNNNNNNNNNNNNNNNNNNNNNNNNNNNNNNNNNNNNNNNNNNNNNNNNNNNNNNNNNNNNNNNNNNNNNNNNNNNNNNNNNNNNNNNNNNNNNNNNNNNNNNNNNNNNNNNNNNNNNNNNNNNNNNNNNNNNNNNNNNNNNNNNNNNNNNNNNNNNNNNNNNNNNNNNNNNNNNNNNNNNNNNNNNNNNNNNNNNNNNNNNNNNNNNNNNNNNNNNNNNNNNNNNNNNNNNNNNNNNNNNNNNNNNNNNNNNNNNNNNNNNNNNNNNNNNNNNNNNNNNNNNNNNNNNNNNNNNNNNNNNNNNNNNNNNNNNNNNNNNNNNNNNNNNNNNNNNNNNNNNNNNNNNNNNNNNNNNNNNNNNNNNNNNNNNNNNNNNNNNNNNNNNNNNNNNNNNNNNNNNNNNNNNNNNNNNNNNNNNNNNNNNNNNNNNNNNNNNNNNNNNNNNNNNNNNNNNNNNNNNNNNNNNNNNNNNNNNNNNNNNNNNNNNNNNNNNNNNNNNNNNNNNNNNNNNNNNNNNNNNNNNNNNNNNNNNNNNNNNNNNNNNNNNNNNNNNNNNNNNNNNNNNNNNNNNNNNNNNNNNNNNNNNNNNNNNNNNNNNNNNNNNNNNNNNNNNNNNNNNNNNNNNNNNNNNNNNNNNNNNNNNNNNNNNNNNNNNNNNNNNNNNNNNNNNNNCCCCCUCCUCCCGCCUCCCUCCACCAAUUCCCACAUCUGAGCCCUCGCUGUCCGCCACGCUUGCUCCCCAUCCACGCCGCCGGUCCCAAUCCGCCAUCCUUGAUGUCGUCCAGCCCGACACACAACACCGCAAUUGAGGUUCUGUCUGCAUCGCUCAUCGAUGUCUCGUCCUCGGCGACAUCGUGCAAACUAGAGAGCAUCGCCUGAAGGGACAAGCGACAGACGCAGCGGGAGAGAGAAGCGGUGGCGGCUCAUGGAACGAAUGUGGACCUCAAGGAGCAAUCGCAAACCUCCCCCCCCCCCACCGCCGACAUGCCUGGGACCCCGCACCACGUCCAUCCAGGUGCUGACAAGGAUCGCGCCAUUGGACCAGGUUGGGUUAGAGGAUCCGGCGAUCGAAUUAGUCCAAUGUAGUUUCCACCAACACAAAUGUAACAGCUCGUUCAGGCGCAGACAAGCAUGGGCACCGGCAGCCCCUGGGCUGCCCACAACCUAGUCAACGUUAUGACAAAACAAGACUCGCUAUGUUCUUUUUUCUCCUCUCCGAUCAACUUUGCAUAUGCCAUGAUGAAUGUUGUAAAUAGACCGCUAGUUCAUUUCCAACAUGAUCAAUGCUUGGAAACCAUGAGAGUUUUAGGGGUUUGUCAGGUCAGACACGACCAAUGAUAUUCAUGAUCCGACCCAAAUGGACUACGGGUUUGGGGAUCCCACUUGCCCUUCAUUUAAAGUUGUGGCAACAUCAAAUCACAGUCUGGGAAAGAAAUAAAAGAAGCCAAGGCCGAGAAAGGCAAGACGUCCGACAUUCUCAACUUUUUCGGAUAUCUUGGUGGUUAAAUCUUCGUUGGUCACAUCAGUGGAUCUAUAUGUGGCAUGGAUCAAAAGAGGAAUAAAUAUGACAGAAGAUUUGGAAGGACUGCCAUGAACAAGAGCAAUAUGCGCAGCCCCAUCAUAUUGUAACCAACCGCAGUGUGGCAUCUCUCCAACAUCAAUGGGGGAUUAUUCAACGGGAAUGAACUAGUACAUCGUCUUCUAUUCAAAAGUGCUUGUCCGCUCUCAAAGUUGGAUGGGAGAGGCAACUCAGAUAAGCUAAAUUACUUCAUCUUGUCAUCAUUUGCACAUGCUUGUUUUUUGUUGCAUUUUCAUUGUCACACAUACACUAAUAGAGGAACGGCCUUUAGUCCAGGUUUGAAAGGGCCUUUAGUACCAGUUCACCAACCGGGACAAAUAAAUCGGGACUAACGACCCCACCCUUUAAUCCCGGUUGGCCACGACCCGGACUAAAUCCCUGCCACGUGGCCGGCAGCAUGCACCGGGGACUGUGGACCUUUAGUCUGGGUUGGUGCCAUCAACCGGGACUAAAGAUUUAGGUGUUUAGGCGUUUAUGGUUUUAGGGUUUAUGGUUUAAUUUUUUUCCUUUUCAUUUUGUGUUUUUCAUUUAAUUCUUUUUCAUUUCAAACAUAUUUUACGCUACUACAUACUAUACACGCCAUACAUAUAUAAUAGAAUUUCUCGUACGAACAUGCAUACACAUAUUAUAUAUAUAUAUAUAUAUAUAUAUAUAUAUAUAUAUAUAUAUAUANNNNNNNNNNNNNNNNNNNNNNNNNNNNNNNNNNNNNNNNNNNNNNNNNNNNNNNNNNNNNNNNNNNNNNNNNNNNNNNNNNNNNNNNNNNNNNNNNNNNNNNNNNNNNNNNNNNNNNNNNNNNNNNNNNNNNNNNNNNNNNNNNNNNNNNNNNNNNNNNNNNNNNNNNNNNNNNNNNNNNNNNNNNNNNNNNNNNNNNNNNNNNNNNNNNNNNNNNNNNNNNNNNNNNNNNNNNNNNNNNNNNNNNNNNNNNNNNNNNNNNNNNNNNNNNNNNNNNNNNNNNNNNNNNNNNNNNNNNNNNNNNNNNNNNNNNNNNNNNNNNNNNNNNNNNNNNNNNNNNNNNNNNNNNNNNNNNNNNNNNNNNNNNNNNNNNNNNNNNNNNNNNNNNNNNNNNNNNNNNNNNNNNNNNNNNNNNNNNNNNNNNNNNNNNNNNNNNNNNNNNNNNNNNNNNNNNNNNNNNNNNNNNNNNNNNNNNNNNNNNNNNNNNNNNNNNNNNNNNNNNNNNNNNNNNNNNNNNNNNNNNNNNNNNNNNNNNNNNNNNNNNNNNNNNNNNNNNNNNNNNNNNNNNNNNNNNNNNNNNNNNNNNNNNNNNNNNNNNNNNNNNNNNNNNNNNNNNNNNNNNNNNNNNNNNNNNNNNNNNNNNNNNNNNNNNNNNNNNNNNNNNNNNNNNNNNNNNNNNNNNNNNNNNNNNNNNNNNNNNNNNNNNNNNNNNNNNNNNNNNNNNNNNNNNNNNNNNNNNNNNNNNNNNNNNNNNNNNNNNNNNNNNNNNNNNNNNNNNNNNNNNNNNNNUUGUCAAAUGAAAUGUACAUUGCCUCCUGGACAACUUUCCUCUUUUUAGUGAUGACAAUUCACAAGCAAUUUAUAGCAAAGGAAGUAACUUGUAUUGGGUGUUAAUGUACGGCCGAAAUGAUGUACAUUAUGUUUGUGGUUGAUAUAUCUUUGUUUGUAGGACCAAAAAUGUACGCAUACCAUGGUACGCCGAGACACGCCCCAACAUCUAGUUGUAUAUACAUUUCCCUCGAAUAAAAUACUAGCAGCUAUAACACUACUCUUGAGAACAAAAUUAUAUAUACCAGUAGUACAUGAUAUGCGAUGAUGUUUAGCUGCAGGCACGAUGGAACUCCUGCAAAGUUUUUGCUCUAACAAUCUGGGAAGUAUUCACGAAAGCUUAAUUUACCAAAUUGAGUGUUACAUGCACGGUACAUGAGUUUUCAAUCUAGAAUACAAAGUGAUAACACACCCGUUUAGUUACCUCAUGGGUACAUGUUUUCUUUACAAAAGUAGAAUAAUACUACAGAUGGAGUUAUAUAAGCGGUACAUUAAAGGUAAGCACUCACACAAUGAAAAUUGGGGUAUAAAAAAUAACCGUGGACCGGAUCUAGUCAUAGUCCCUCCUCAAGUGAGCUGAGAGGGGAAGUUAUUUUGGUUGGUCACUCGGAAGCUAGGUGAGGCUCUCGACAUACAUAUGUGGUAGGGGAAAUGGCCAGUCUUCUGGUGUGUCCGGUUAGUCAUUCUUCGGUUAGGGGUAACCACCGGUUGUGCUAGCCGCCGCCAUCUCCGGCUGAGCAGUCUUUGGCGCAGCAUAAGUGUCAGUUGUGCUAGCUGCCGGCGUCUCCGGCUGAGCAUUCUUCGGUGCAGUGUAAAUAUCGGAUGUGACGGUCGCCGCGAUCACCUCCUUCUUCGGCUCUUCCUUCUUCGCCUCCUCCUUCUUCGCCUCCUCCUUUGGCUUGGUGUAUUUUUUAGGUUUCAUAGCCAUGACCUCCUCCUUUGGCUUCUCCUUUUUGGGUGUAUCCACUUUUUCUUUUGGUUUCUUCUACGCACCAGUGUAUCCAGAGGCGUCAUUCUUUCCUUUGGACUUCUUCUCAUUUUUACUUUUGGGUUUCUUCUCGAUGGUGGAAGGCUGGGAGGGCUCACUCUUUCUUUUGGAUUUCUUCUCGGAGUCAACUUCAGAUUUCUUCUCCUUAGCAGCCUUGGUGCCACCUUCGGGUUUCUUCUCCUUGCCAGAGGCACUUACUGGUUUCUUCUCUGCAUCAACAUUGUUGGGGCUGACAUCAGGUUUCUUCUUAGCACUGUCAUAGCCAGCGACGACUUCGGGUUUCGUCUUUGCGCUAGAGGAGACGUCUGUUCCGGAGACGGCAUCUGGUUUGUUCUCCACAUCACUGGAGAUUGCUUCGGGUUUCUUCUCAACACUGGCCGAGACAGCUUCGGGUUUCUUCUCAAUACCGGCGGUGUAUCCGCCGGUAGCUUCAGAUUUCUUCACUCCACCGCCAUAGUCAAGAUCGCCAUGGGCCAAUGCUAGGGGGCUGGUGGAGGCAACAACGAGGAAGAGUAGAAGGGCUAGAGCGAGCUGGGCCCUCAUGAUAAUCAAUCAACCCGACGAACAGUGGUGGUGCGAUGAAAUGUCUGCAGGAGGAACUCGGGAGGUAUUUCAAUGGUGAGGGAGAGGGAGCUAGGGAAGGAGAAGAGAGAUGGUGCUGGUGGGUCUUGUUCAUUUUUCCUAGAACCGUAGCCGCUAAUUUUGUCCUGUAAAACCAUGCGCCCGCCGUGAAGAAAGGAGCCAAAAGAUAAGGCGGUAACUUUACUAAAUAAGGUCUAAUCCAUGUUUUAUUUACAUCUAUUCUGGGUGAUGUUAACAAAAUGGACACCAUGCAUGAAUGCAACUUCCUUUUCCUUUUUCUUUUUUUCUUUUUUUGAGAGACUUGGUUUACUCAAUAACAUGUGGGCGCUCACCCGAGCUAUCGACCAUGGUAGAUGCAAAUACGAUUACUCAUCUAGCAAUUCAGACAUGUUGGAAAAAGUUGCUUUCAUGCAUCUAAAAAAUUACCAUGUUAUAGCCAUCUUUGCAAUGGACCAUAGGAUAUUAUUGCGGACUACAACAACUGUGGCAUGUGCUCCUCGAUACGCCAUUGAUCUCCCAUUCCUGACAAGAACAAACAUCGGUCAAUGCUCAUGAUUCCACUGCUCUUGUCGCAACACCGCCACACGGCUUGCAUAGCACAAUGCAGUCGCAGGACUAUCUUCCCCAGUGCUGCCACAAUUAAACUAGAUAGACGAAGUUUAGUGUUCAUUAGAUUCGACAGAAAAUCAUAAAACUUGCGUGUGGCAGUUAAAAAGGAGAGCAAGCGUUACUUUCCAUGGACGAAACUGGUCGUGACAAAGCCUGUCAGCCAUCUCAACUCCUCUGCGGUGGUGUUAUGUUUGCGAAAUUCAAGUCACUGGUUCCAGGAUCCAGACAUGAAAAACAACAACUAAUAUGGGACUGCGGGAGCUGGACUUGCCAUUUUUCUUGAAAAUUUGCCUCAUCCUCCUCUGAUCUGUAUGUAACAUUCACGAAAAUACAUUUCAGUUAUAUGUGAAGCAGAAUAUUCUUGCCUACACGUCUACACCUACUCAAUAUAUACGAUUUUAUAGGGUACCUUUCAAGUGUACCAAAAAGUUCUUCGUUAUACGCUUUGUGAAGAAAUUAAUAUAGCUCCAAUGUCCAAGCCUCCAUCAACGAAUAUAAAGCUUACAAUUUGAGCGGGAUGGGAUACAUACCUUGUUUUAUCCUCUAAAAUUUGAUGGAAAUGGGGCACAAACUACAUCGCCCUCUUCAAAGAAACCUUCUUUGAAUGCUCGGAUUAGGAAACUAAAUUUAACAAGUAGUUGUCUUCAGCGGAUCAGUGGUUCCAGCUCCUCUUUUUGGUAGGAACCAUGCUCAAUAUUCAGAAUCUUCUACAGUUUUGACAAAGAUUCAGAAGAUGUGUACUUAUCUUGCACCAGUUUUUCAAAUACAGCUUCUUGUGUAGAUAUUCAUAAUAUCUCCAUGGUUAUUACUUAGAGCAUUUCUAAACGAUCCCCGAUAAAGAGUGAAUAUCUGGUGGAGUAAACACUUAGUGGAGUAAAUUUACUACACUAAGUUUUGGCCAGACCUAAUUGAUCCCCUCUAUAUGACGGUGUAAACUUUUUUCAUUUGUUUUUCAUUUUGGGCCACUGAAACACAUUUCUUUGCUUCAUUAUUUCAUUCAACGAUAUUUUGAUACAUUUGAGUACAUUAUUCACAUAUUCUUCGCUAUGAGAGCAAGAGCAAAGAAAAUAGGAACCACAAUUAGACAUUUUAAAAGAUAUCCAAUUUCCAUAACUGCUCCCACUAGUUGGAUUAUAUCUUCUCUAUGUCUUCAUUGUUUAUCUGCAGCUUCUUGAGCUUGCACACUUGUUUCUUUCUUCUUCGAUUUCGAAGAAGUAGACAUUGCUUUGCAUGUAGUCUCAUCUGUAGUCUCUAUUCUAGCAAUCAGUGCACGAGCAUCUAUCAAUUUUUGUGCUAUCAAUAGAUCAAUGUAAUCUUCUUAUCAAUACAAAAACUUGCAUCCNNNNNNNNNNNNNNNNNNNNNNNNNNNNNNNNNNNNNNNNNNNNNNNNNNNNNNNNNNNNNNNNNNNNNNNNNNNNNNNNNNNNNNNNNNNNNNNNNNNNNNNNNNNNNNNNNNNNNNNNNNNNNNNNNNNNNNNNNNNNNNNNNNNNNNNNNNNNNNNNNNNNNNNNNNNNNNNNNNNNNNNNNNNNNNNNNNNNNNNNNNNNNNNNNNNNNNNNNNNNNNNNNNNNNNNNNNNNNNNNNNNNNNNNNNNNNNNNNNNNNNNNNNNNNNNNNNNNNNNNNNNNNNNNNNNNNNNNNNNNNNNNNNNNNNNNNNNNNNNNNNNNNNNNNNNNNNNNNNNNNNNNNNNNNNNNNNNNNNNNNNNNNNNNNNNNNNNNNNNNNNNNNNNNNNNNNNNNNNNNNNNNNNNNNNNNNNNNNNNNNNNNNNNNNNNNNNNNNNNNNNNNNNNNNNNNNNNNNNNNNNNNNNNNNNNNNNNNNNNNNNNNNNNNNNNNNNNNNNNNNNNNNNNNNNNNNNNNNNNNNNNNNNNNNNNNNNNNNNNNNNNNNNNNNNNNNNNNNNNNNNNNNNNNNNNNNNNNNNNNNNNNNNNNNNNNNNNNNNNNNNNNNNNNNNNNNNNNNNNNNNNNNNNNNNNNNNNNNNNNNNNNNNNNNNNNNNNNNNNNNNNNNNNNUCAUACACAUAAAUUAGAGCAAACAAUGAGCUACGGAAAUUCGAAUCCGGUGGAAUGAAAAUAUUCAUAUACACCAUCUUUCUUGCACUUGAAGAACACCCAUUCGGGAUGUUGCGGCAUGGUAAAAACUUGGCACACAACCUGCUGCGGGUAAUCGUUGCACUUUAUGAGCGGCAACUGUGAGCCAACGAGCCGUUUGGCCAACAUGGAGCCCAGGCAACGGUCACCCGUGUCUUUGCCGGCGAACCGCUGACGGGAGAGAUUAGAGCGGCUAGAUCGAGAGUGGACUUUUCACUCAACCGCCGAUAGGUGGAGUAAAUAUAGGGAGGCCGGGCGCGGCUGAGGAUAAUUAUCCUCAACUACGGUGGAUUGGGGAUCAGUUAGGUGCCACUUAGGAGAGUAAAACAGAAUUUUUACUCCUCUAACCAGUUAUAGGGGAUCGGUUAGAAAUGCCCUUACUAAAUUGUUCAUCCUUAGUCUGUGUGAAAAAUGCUAAAUGAAGAGUGAAAAUGUUGUGCACUGUAAGUUUUCUGCGAUUUAUGUGUUCGUUUGCCGAAACCGAAUGCGGUUAUGACUAAGGUUGGAAAAUCCAUAUGCUUGUGAUGACAUAUGGCAUAUCUUGUUCCUCUUUUGCGAAUGGGACUGCAACUAAUAUGUUUCCACCAGAAACUUGGGUUAGUAGUGUGUUUCACAGAUUGUUGCAGUAUGUAUUAAGGACUCAUGGCAUAACACAAGGAUAUUCUUUCUUCUUACAUUUUGUAAAUCCAACCUUGACAUGCUGCAGCAAACGUGCAGAUUUACUUCGAUCCUAGUUUUCUAGCGUUUAGGCCAAGAGUUUGGUGCGCUAAGAUUUUCCUAACACCGUGUUUGGGCAUACGCUGCACACGCUCUCAUCAUUUCUGCACCAUACACUAAAGGGCCUCAAGACACAGACCAGCAACAUCAACAUCGACAAUGACCCUGUGAAAAGGAUGAUCUAUUUUGAACAGGGCAUGCACUGCCGUGGAGCAGACCAACAGCUAGCGCUUCUUCUGCGGAGAGCUGCUGGAGAAAAGUCGCACCCUAGGCUAGCUACAACAUUUUGGUUCAUUCGUGUCCAUCCACCUUGCAAAAAGAUUCUUGUUGGUUAAAAAGGAAAAUCAGGUUUCGAUAAAUGGUAGCACAGUGUCGUUGUUCAAAGAUAAUUAAGCUCGUUGAAAGGGAUAAAUGUAUAAUCACACAAUGAAGCACGCACAAAGAUAAUUACUAAGUUCACUGCCCCUUUCUUGCCAGCACCAAAGUCUUACAGAUACCGAUCAGUCAGUCAGCCACGCGCUCUAAUUUCAUACAUCAGGAAAGAAAGAUGAAAAGGGAGGAUGCAUCUCAAAGAGGCAGCCAAAAAGCGGCACUCAUUGGGAGCGCCAUCAUUCUUUUGCCAUCCAUUGAGGUCAUUGUCAUCGUUCAUUUCACAUUUCACAACGGAUUCCAGAAUUUCAUACUUGAUAGGCCUACCAAACAAAAAAUGUAGGGCUGGUAUGGGGAGGCCCAGGCGCGAUCAGGUGCGUCCGACACGUCCGACCUGACAAGCCUCCCCUACCAAAAAUUGCACGAAAUCCACCGANNNNNNNNNNNNNNNNNNNNNNNNNNNNNNNNNNNNNNNNNNNNNNNNNNNNNNNNNNNNNNNNNNNNNNNNNNNNNNNNNNNNNNNNNNNNNNNNNNNNNNNNNNNNNNNNNNNNNNNNNNNNNNNNNNNNNNNNNNNNNNNNNNNNNNNNNNNNNNNNNNNNNNNNNNNNNNNNNNNNNNNNNNNNNNNNNNNNNNNNNNNNNNNNNNNNNNNNNNNNNNNNNNNNNNNNNNNNNNNNNNNNNNNNNNNNNNNNNNNNNNNNNNNNNNNNNNNNNNNNNNNNNNNNNNNNNNNNNNNNNNNNNNNNNNNNNNNNNNNNNNNNNNNNNNNNNNNNNNNNNNNNNNNNNNNNNNNNNNNNNNNNNNNNNNNNNNNNNNNNNNNNNNNNNNNNNNNNNNNNNNNNNNNNNNNNNNNNNNNNNNNNNNNNNNNNNNNNNNNNNNNNNNNNNNNNNNNNNNNNNNNNNNNNNNNNNNNNNNNNNNNNNNNNNNNNNNNNNNNNNNNNNNNNNNNNNNNNNNNNNNNNNNNNNNNNNNNNNNNNNNNNNNNNNNNNNNNNNNNNNNNNNNNNNNNNNNNNNNNNNNNNNNNNNNNNNNNNNNNNNNNNNNNNNNNNNNNNNNNNNNNNNNNNNNNNNNNNNNNNNNNNNNNNNNNNNNNNNNNNNNNNNNNNNNNNNNNNNNNNNNNNNNNNNNNNNNNNNNNNNNNNNNNNNNNNNNNNNNNNNNNNNNNNNNNNNNNNNNNNNNNNNNNNNNNNNNNNNNNNNNNNNNNNNNNNNNNNNNNNNNNNNNNNNNNNNNNNNNNNNNNNNNNNNNNNNNNNNNNNNNNNNNNNNNNNNNNNNNNNNNNNNNNNNNNNNNNNNNNNNNNNNNNNNNNNNNNNNNNNNNNNNNNNNNNNNNNNNNNNNNNNNNNNNNNNNNNNNNNNNNNNNNNNNNNNNNNNNNNNNNNNNNNNNNNNNNNNNNNNNNNNNNNNNNNNNNNNNNNNNNNNNNNNNNNNNNNNNNNNNNNNNNNNNNNNNNNNNNNNNNNNNNNNNNNNNNNNNNNNNNNNNNNNNNNNNNNNNNNNNNNNNNNNNNNNNNNNNNNNNNNNNNNNNNNNNNNNNNNNNNNNNNNNNNNNNNNNNNNNNNNNNNNNNNNNNNNNNNNNNNNNNNNNNNNNNNNNNNNNNNNNNNNNNNNNNNNNNNNNNNNNNNNNNNNNNNNNNNNNNNNNNNNNNNNNNNNNNNNNNNNNNNNNNNNNNNNNNNNNNNNNNNNNNNNNNNNNNNNNNNNNNNNNNNNNNNNNNNNNNNNNNNNNNNNNNNNNNNNNNNNNNNNNNNNNNNNNNNNNNNNNNNNNNNNNNNNNNNNNNNNNNNNNNNNNNNNNNNNNNNNNNNNNNNNNNNNNNNNNNNNNNNNNNNNNNNNNNNNNNNNNNNNNNNNNNNNNNNNNNNNNNNNNNNNNNNNNNNNNNNNNNNNNNNNNNNNNNNNNNNNNNNNNNNNNNNNNNNNNNNNNNNNNNNNNNNNNNNNNNNNNNNNNNNNNNNNNNNNNNNNNNNNNNNNNNNNNNNNNNNNNNNNNNNNNNNNNNNNNNNNNNNNNNNNNNNNNNNNNNNNNNNNNNNNNNNNNNNNNNNNNNNNNNNNNNNNNNNNNNNNNNNNNNNNNNNNNNNNNNNNNNNNNNNNNNNNNNNNNNNNNNNNNNNNNNNNNNNNNNNNNNNNNNNNNNNNNNNNNNNNNNNNNNNNNNNNNNNNNNNNNNNNNNNNNNNNNNNNNNNNNNNNNNNNNNNNNNNNNNNNNNNNNNNNNNNNNNNNNNNNNNNNNNNNNNNNNNNNNNNNNNNNNNNNNNNNNNNNNNNNNNNNNNNNNNNNNNNNNNNNNNNNNNNNNNNNNNNNNNNNNNNNNNNNNNNNNNNNNNNNNNNNNNNNNNNNNNNNNNNNNNNNNNNNNNNNNNNNNNNNNNNNNNNNNNNNNNNNNNNNNNNNNNNNNNNNNNNNNNNNNNNNNNNNNNNNNNNNNNNNNNNNNNNNNNNNNNNNNNNNNNNNNNNNNNNNNNNNNNNNNNNNNNNNNNNNNNNNNNNNNNNNNNNNNNNNNNNNNNNNNNNNNNNNNNNNNNNNNNNNNNNNNNNNNNNNNNNNNNNNNNNNNNNNNNNNNNNNNNNNNNNNNNNNNNNNNNNNNNNNNNNNNNNNNNNNNNNNNNNNNNNNNNNNNNNNNNNNNNNNNNNNNNNNNNNNNNNNNNNNNNNNNNNNNNNNNNNNNNNNNNNNNNNNNNNNNNNNNNNNNNNNNNNNNNNNNNNNNNNNNNNNNNNNNNNNNNNNNNNNNNNNNNNNNNNNNNNNNNNNNNNNNNNNNNNNNNNNNNNNNNNNNNNNNNNNNNNNNNNNNNNNNNNNNNNNNNNNNNNNNNNNNNNNNNNNNNNNNNNNNNNNNNNNNNNNNNNNNNNNNNNNNNNNNNNNNNNNNNNNNNNNNNNNNNNNNNNNNNNNNNNNNNNNNNNNNNNNNNNNNNNNNNNNNNNNNNNNNNNNNNNNNNNNNNNNNNNNNNNNNNNNNNNNNNNNNNNNNNNNNNNNNNNNNNNNNNNNNNNNNNNNNNNNNNNNNNNNNNNNNNNNNNNNNNNNNNNNNNNNNNNNNNNNNNNNNNNNNNNNNNNNNNNNNNNNNNNNNNNNNNNNNNNNNNNNNNNNNNNNNNNNNNNNNNNNNNNNNNNNNNNNNNNNNNNNNNNNNNNNNNNNNNNNNNNNNNNNNNNNNNNNNNNNNNNNNNNNNNNNNNNNNNNNNNNNNNNNNNNNNNNNNNNNNNNNNNNNNNNNNNNNNNNNNNNNNNNNNNNNNNNNNNNNNNNNNNNNNNNNNNNNNNNNNNNNNNNNNNNNNNNNNNNNNNNNNNNNNNNNNNNNNNNNNNNNNNNNNNNNNNNNNNNNNNNNNNNNNNNNNNNNNNNNNNNNNNNNNNNNNNNNNNNNNNNNNNNNNNNNNNNNNNNNNNNNNNNNNNNNNNNNNNNNNNNNNNNNNNNNNNNNNNNNNNNNNNNNNNNNNNNNNNNNNNNNNNNNNNNNNNNNNNNNNNNNNNNNNNNNNNNNNNNNNNNNNNNNNNNNNNNNNNNNNNNNNNNNNNNNNNNNNNNNNNNNNNNNNNNNNNNNNNNNNNNNNNNNNNNNNNNNNNNNNNNNNNNNNNNNNNNNNNNNNNNNNNNNNNNNNNNNNNNNNNNNNNNNNNNNNNNNNNNNNNNNNNNNNNNNNNNNNNNNNNNNNNNNNNNNNNNNNUUGUCAAAUGAAAUGUACAUUGCCUCCUGGACAACUUUCCUCUUUUUAGUGAUGACAAUUCACAAGCAAUUUAUAGCAAAGGAAGUAACUUGUAUUGGGUGUUAAUGUACGGCCGAAAUGAUGUACAUUAUGUUUGUGGUUGAUAUAUCUUUGUUUGUAGGACCAAAAAUGUACGCAUACCAUGGUACGCCGAGACACGCCCCAACAUCUAGUUGUAUAUACAUUUCCCUCGAAUAAAAUACUAGCAGCUAUAACACUACUCUUGAGAACAAAAUUAUAUAUACCAGUAGUACAUGAUAUGCGAUGAUGUUUAGCUGCAGGCACGAUGGAACUCCUGCAAAGUUUUUGCUCUAACAAUCUGGGAAGUAUUCACGAAAGCUUAAUUUACCAAAUUGAGUGUUACAUGCACGGUACAUGAGUUUUCAAUCUAGAAUACAAAGUGAUAACACACCCGUUUAGUUACCUCAUGGGUACAUGUUUUCUUUACAAAAGUAGAAUAAUACUACAGAUGGAGUUAUAUAAGCGGUACAUUAAGGGUAAGCACUCACACAAUGAAAAUUGGGGUAUAAAAAAUAACCGUGGACCGGAUCUAGUCAUAAUCCCUCCUCAAGUGAGCUGAGAGGGGAAGUUAUUUUGGUUGGUCACUCGGAAGCUACGUGAGGCUCUCGACAUACAUAUGUGGUAGGGGAAAUGGCCAGUCUUCUGGUGUGUCCGGCUAGUCAUUCUUCGGCUACGGGUAACCACCGGUUGUGCUAGCCGCCGCCUUCUCCGGCUGAGCAGUCUUUGGCGGAGCAUAAGUGUCAGCUGUGCUAGCUGCCGGUGUCUCCGGCUGAGCAUUCUUCGGUGCAGUGUAACUAUCGGAUGUGACGGUCGCCGCGAUCUCCUCCUUCUUCGGCUCUUCCUUCUUCGGCUCCUCCUUCUUCGCCUCCUCCUUUGGCUUGGUGUAUUCUUUAGGUUUCAUAGCCAUGACCUCCUCCUUUGGCUUCUCCUUCUUGGGUGUAUCUACUUUCUCUUUUGGUUUCUUCUCCGCACCACUGUAUCCAGAGGCGUCAUUCUUUCCUUUGGACUUCUUCUCAUUUUUACUUUUGGGUUUCUUCUCGAUGGUGGAAGACUGGGAGGGCUCACUCUUUCUUUUGGAUUUCUUCUCGGAGGCAACUUCAGAUUUCUUCUCCUUAGCAGCCUUGGUGCCACCUUCAGGUUUCUUCUCCUUGCCAGCAUAGCCAGAGGCACUUACUGGUUUCUUCUCUGCAUCAACAUUGUUGGGGCCGACAUCAGGUUUCUUUUUAGCACUGUCAUAGCCAGCGACGACUUCGGGUUUCGUC
RNAcentral lists this long non-coding RNA (415479 nucleotides) under Triticum aestivum (bread wheat). RNAcentral's name for it is "long non-coding RNA (TAES_LNC003934)". Lineage: Eukaryota; Viridiplantae; Streptophyta; Magnoliopsida; Poales; Poaceae. The record is from RNAcentral.